This 393583-nucleotide long non-coding RNA is filed under the name Populus tremula. RNAcentral describes it as "long non-coding RNA (PTRE_LNC002040)". The stretch from base 262076 to 262232 matches the Rfam family "MIR2912 microRNA precursor family". The record is from RNAcentral. Lineage: Eukaryota; Viridiplantae; Streptophyta; Magnoliopsida; Malpighiales; Salicaceae.
UGAAUUGAAGAAUCUGAAGCAAUUAGAUCUCUCUGGAAAUAAUUUUGGAGGUUCGCUCCCAGAUUGUUUGGGGAACUUGUCAUCUCUACAACUAUUAGAUGUUUCUGAAAACCAGUUUACUGGAAAUAUUGCCUCUGGUCCUCUUUCCAACCUCAUAUCCCUUAAAUUCCUCUCAUUAUCAAAUAACCUCUUUGAAGUUUCCACUUCAAUGAAGCCUUUUAUGAAUCACUCAAGCCUCAAGUUCUUCUCCAGUAAGAACAACAGACUAGUAACGGAACCUGCUGCCUUUGAUAAUUUGAUUCCAAAGUUCCAACUAGCUUUUUUUAGCUUGUCGAAAACAUCGGAAGCACUCAACAUAGAAAUUCCCGACUUCCUCUAUUACCAAUACGACUUAAGAUUCCUUGAUCUCUCCCAUAACAACAUCACCGGAAUGUUUCCAUCGUGGUUGCUUAAGAACAAUACACGAUUGGAGGAACUAUAUCUGAGCGAAAACUCCUUUGUUGGUACUUUGCAGUUGCAAGAUCAUCCAUAUCCGAAUAUGAUCCAAUUAGAUAUAUCCAACAACAACAUAAAUGGGCAAAUUCCAAAAGACAUUUGUUUGAUCUUUCCAAAUCUAUACACCUUAAUGAUGGCUAAGAAUGGAUUCACAGGUUGUAUUCCUUCUUGUUUAGGAAAUAUUAGCUCUUUUUCAGUUUUGGAUUUAUCCAACAAUCAAUUGUCUACGGUAAAACUAGAACAACUAACAACAAUAUGGUUUCUCAAGCUGUCAAACAACAAUUUGGGUGGGCAAGUACCAACCUCGGUGUUCAAUUCUUCUACCUUAAAAUAUCUCUACCUAGGUGGUAACAACUUUUGGGGCCAGAUAUCAGAUUUUUCAUUAUAUGGGGGGAAAGUGUGGAGGUAUUGGAUUUGAGUAACAAUCAGUUUUCAGGCAUGCUUCCAAGGUGGUUCGUCAAUUCUACUUAUCUUACCGCAAUUGAUAUGUCCAAAAACCAUUUUAGGGGUUCGAUUCCAAGAGACUUUUGUAAGCUUGACCAGCUUGAAUAUUUGGACCUUUCUAAGAAUAGCUUGUCUGGAUAUAUACCAUCUUGUUUUAAUCCACCGUCUCUAACCCAUUUGCAUCUAUCCGAAAAUAGAUUGAGUGGUCCAUUAACAUAUGGAUUUUAUAACAACUCUUCCAUGUCUUCCCUGGUUACGAUGGAUUUUCGAGGUAACAGCUUCAUCGGCUCCAUUCCAAAUUGGAUUGGCAAUCUUUCAUCAUUGAGUGUUCUUCUUCUGAGGGCUAAUCACUUUGAUGGUGAGCUCCCUGUUCAGUUAUGCUUGUUAGAACAAUUAAGCAUUUUGGAUGUUUCACAAAACCAGCUCUAUGGUCCACUACCCUCCUGUUUGGGCAAUCUUACUUUCAAGGAAAGUUCCCAGAAAGCGUUGGCGUAUCACACAGUUUAUUUUCAACUAGGGUCCAUAGAAAAAGCUUAUUAUGAAAAAUUGGGUCCACCACUAGUGGAUAGUAUUUCCAACUUGGAAAAUGAUGUUUGGCUUAACUUUACAGAAGAAGUGAUAGAAUUUACAACUAAAAAUAUGCAUUAUGGUUACAAGGGGAAAGUUCUCAGCUACAUGUCUGGUAUUGAUCUCUCCAAUAACAACUUUAGGAGCAAUCCCACCAGAAUUUGGAAACUUAAGUGAGAUACUGUCAUUAAACUUAUCACACAACAAUCUCACUGGAUCUAUCCCUGCAACAUUCUCAAACCUAAAGCAAUUGAGAGUUUGGAUCUUUCUUACCAACAACUUGAAUGGUGCCAUCCACCAACUUAUUGAAAUUACCACACUGGAAGUUUUUAGUGUGGCGCACAAUAAUUUGUCAAGCAAGACACCCGAGAGAAAAUUUCAGUUUGGGACCUUCGAUGAAAGCUGUUACGAAGAAAAUCCUUUCUUGUGUGGACCUCCAUUGCGAAAGAAUUGUAGUGAGGAAACAGUGUCGUCGCAGCCAGUGCCUAAUGAUGAACAAGGAGAUUAUGGUUUCAUAGACAUGGACUUUUUCUAUAUCAGUUUUGGUGUAUGUUAUAUAGUUGUGGUGAUGACAAUUGCAACAGUUCUCUACAUCAAUCUAUAUUGGCGACGCAGGUGGUUGCACUUCAUCGAAGAGUGUAUAGAUACUUGCUACUAUUUUGUGGUGGCUAGUUUUCACAAGUUCUCCAACUUCACAAGGUGAAUUUGUUACUGGGGAGACGGUCGUUCCUAGUUUGUGAUCAUUGUUUGUCUAGCUAUUGGGUGCUUAAUUUGUACUGUACUGUCUCUAAGCUUAGCCUUUUUAUUUGAUUAGUUAAUUGGGUUAAAUAUAUAAGCUGGACUUGUCAUUCCUGAACCAUUAGAAAGGGAACUGUUUUGGAUUGGUCAUUGACUCGGGUGUGAUUACUCUUUGAACUCUCAAGACUUGUCUAAAAAUAAAUUGCCAAAACCACUACUAAGUAGAAACUAAAUAAUCUAUGCAUGUGUGACAGCACUUAAAUCUGCCUCUGUUUCAAGGGCGACCCCACCUCAGUUAUUCAAUCAAAGCAUUGAAAUCGGAACAAGAAGAUCCACCUUCUUCAACAUCCUUCCUGGCCGUUUCUCCUAGCUUCUUGAUUCUUUUUGUUUCUUCUAACUACCCAGAUAAAUUGAUGCCCCAGUUUCUCCUAUCUUUUUUUUAAAUCUCUCGUCCCGCAUCAUCGUGUUUGGCUGUGACAUAGAAACCCUCGAUGAAAGAGAACCAUGCUGCAAGCUUGACAUAUUGUUCUGCUGCAUUGUUGGUAUAGAGCCGUGCACAUUCAUUGAUUGCAACUGGGGAUUCAGUUGAUUUUGUUGGGACUGCAAUUGAGGAACUGGAGGGUGGGGAAGUUGUCCUAGCUGUAGAUUAGGAAUAGGCCUCCUGAAUCUGCUUGGGAAGUUGUCCCAAUUUCUACUUGAAACUAGGUGUGAUGUUGUUUUCAGAGACCUGUAAGAAUGUUAUCAAGCGCUCUAACAUGGCCUUGAAUACCUCCAGCUUUUCAAGCUGUUCUGACUUCGGUUGUUGCGGAUGAGAGUCAAGCUGGAAAGCAAAGUUAACAUACACGAGAAUUAAAAACUUGCGUUGAUUCUUUGUAGCAAAAUAUUAGUGAAAAAAAAUGUUUCUAUUCCAAUUCUUCCGUGUCGAUGCAUGAUUAGUGCAGAUGAUACAGUGACAGGCAAUGCUGAUGAGGAAAACAAAUGAAUACAGAAGCUCAACGUGGGGAAAUUGCAGAUAAUCAUGCAUGGGCAGAUAAUCCGGAAGAAAUUGCAGAGACAAUGUACCUGCUGUAACUUGGCAGCAAUUCUCUGAUAUAUUUCAUUUAUUUCAGGGAAAUAAGUCUCCUUAAUAACUUUGAUCUAGGAAGUACAAAUAACCAGCAAAACAUUAUCGGUCACAUGCUUGAUUUCUUCAGGUGCCAGUCAGAAAGAAAGUAACACAAACAAACUUAAGGGAAUUGAUAAAAAUAAAAUAACAAAAAAAGGGCAGAGGACAGCAUAAAUUAGUUGAGAUAAAAAUAGCAGAGUGGAAUUAAUGCUGGAAACUCAAGAGGAUGUCGAUAUUGAUGGAAUGGAAAGAUGCAAAGGGCUGUGUAAGUACACCUUUAGACAAGAUUCAGGGGUUGGUUAAGUUCAGUUACUUUGUCUCCCUGCAAACUAAUCAUCAUUGUUUUAUGUUGUCAUAGCUCAAGACAAUGGAUGUCACAACUUUAGCAACGCUUCUUAGCCUUAUAGAUCCUAAGCAUGACCCCAUGUAUCAUCAACAACCAUUCCCGUUUUAAUACUCUCCUAAGCACAAAAAAAAUAGUCCUUAUCAACCUCAUUUUCUAUAAAAUUCAACAAUACUGGAUAUGGUCAUGAUUCAAUGGAAUAAGUCCCACUUAUUUUCUUUUUCUUCCAUAGUCACAUGUUUCAGAACAAGUUGAUUGCAAUCGUGCAAAUAACUCUUCACUUAACCAAAGAUAAACUGUAAGUCAUUCAGAAAUAGUGCACUCUUAUUUCUAAUUCUGUCUAAUGCAGUAAGAAGUAUGGACAAUAGGACUCGUUGGAAAUAAAUAAUAAUUCACCACAAAACAAAUAUAGGGGGAAAAAUCGAAAGGGAGAGGUUUGCAAUAAAAAACUGCCGUGCCAGAACCAAGAAAGCAAUCCUCUUGACCUACAAAUCUGAAUAUUUUUACCUUCAUUCAUCUAAUCAAUGAUUAAUCAUUUCUUAGUUGCUGCAAUCAUGGAACAAUGCUUCCUAACUAAUCCCAACCAUAGCUGAAUAAAAUUACUUGGACCAAUCCCAGGAGACCUUUUUUCCAUUGAAAUUUUGCAAGACUAUGGCAUACAUGAACUCCAUCUAAUGAACAGUAAAUCACAGAAAUUACCUUCUGAUAGAACUCCUGUUGCCAAUCAGCGCCUUUUGCAUGUCCAGUCUGUGCUGUAGAAUCUAGGGAUGCUACAAAAAUUUCAAUGCGGGCAACAAAAGAAUAGAAUUCAUGUAUUUUUGUGUGUUUUCCAUAUACAAGGGUAUUUCUGUAAUUUUCACACUUGCUGAAAAUUAUGGAAUAUUGCAAGUCUCAGUUUUAUUUUCCAUCUAUUAUUUUAUUAUCCCAAAGUAUAGAGAGCUUCAUUAGGUUUUCCUAUUCUAGAUAGAACUGUCGCACCCCAAAAAAAAUCAAAUUUCAAUUGCGGGUUCGACUGGCGAAUUUUUUUUAUUUUGGUUUGAUUUGGUUCUUUGGAGUCGCCACCUAGUAUUUUGGUCACUAGGAACCAUAACUGGUCUCAGAGAUCGGGUACGGAGACUAGUUGCGUAAAGGGAAGGUAUUAGCACCCCAAAUACGCCUUACCUAAGGUAAGCUGCAUUGUUUUAUUGUCUGAUAAAAAAAAAAACUAAGCUAAGGUGUUAUUGUGUUUUCCUAGUUGUUGGUCUGUCUAUAGUUCAAGAAAAAUCCUCCUCGGUAAGGAGAUCUUUAUCUUAUCGAGCAAAAAUCCUAACCGUUCUAACGUCCGUACCAAAAUUUUAUUAAUAAUAUUUUCAGAAUAAAAAAUGAAUAACACUUUCAAUAAAACAAUGCAGCUUACCUUAGGUAGGGCGUAUUUGGGGUGCUAAUACCUUCCCUUUACGCAACCAGUCUCCGUACCCGAUCUCUGAGACCAGUUAGGGUUCCUAGUGACCAAAAUACUAGGUGGCGACUCCAAAGAACCAAAUCAAACCAAAAUAAAAAAAAUUCGCCAGUCGAACCCGCAAUUGAAAUUUGAUUUUUUUUGGGGUGCGACAAGGACUAUCAGUAUGUUCCUACAGAGAAAUACAAGUCUUUUUUGGACUAGGAGUACUAGGAACUCCAUCUAAAGAAAGCCAGGAACGGCAAGAAGAGUAAAAGCACAUCAAGAACAUGAAAAACGGAAUAUCAGUUUAUUCAGACUUGAAUAGACUUAAAAAGAACUUCCGUCUAAUAUCAUGUACUUUAUUAAAUAAUUCAGCCAAAUAUGGAUGCAUAACAAAUAUACACAACCAUUCAGGACAAGGUGCUAGGAUCCUGGGUAUUCGGCCAUUCAAAGCAAAGAUUUGGGCCUGAAUCUUCAUGGUGCUUCUAAACCAAAGAAGCAUUCCCUGCUAAGCAAACAAUCUUUCUUUGAAUAGACAGCACAAUAACCCUGACCAUACUAAAUGCUCCAACCACAGUAGAAUCGGCUGAUUGCGCCUUUCUUCAAGUUGCGUUCACGAGCAGCGAUUUCAUCGGAUCCGAUUAUAUUUUUUUUUAAUUUACUUAUUAAAAUCGAAUUUCUCUCUCUGGAUAGUAAUUUCAAUUAAAUAAAUGAAAACGCAGACGUAAAUUUAAAAAAACAAAAACAUAAUAGAAGCACCUGGGUAAGAUUUGAAGCAUUAUUGGUUGAGGCGGCGGCGGUUUCUGAAAGCGGAGGAGGGAAAGAGAGAGAGCUCAGGUGGGGAGAGGUGAGGAAUGUCGGACCAAAGUGAACAGAGCUUGACAGAUGACUUUUUUCUUUUCCAGAUUCGCUAACAAACUAAAAAAUUGUAUUCUGGUGCUGCUUCUUUCUCUAAAUGUUAAAUGCUUUUUUUGUGAUUUUGUGUCCUUUGGUAUCAUCUUCUUUUACCAUUAGUUAAUGGAUAUUCUACCUCUUAUUCGUUUUUAAUAUUGUUGUUUGGCUCCCUUUUAUAUUCUUUUUAUAGAUUUUUUGCCUGACUUAAUAUUCAAUAAGUAUGUUAAUUAAGUAUGCAUCCAAUUUGCAAAAAUAGAUAAAUACAUGACUUUUAUUAAUUAAUAAGAUUGAUCUACAUUAAUUCUUGAACUUGUUUUAUUUAAAUAAAUAUAUAGAAUUAUUAUAAUUCAUAAUUUGAUGAUUAGAUAAUAUUCAUGAUAAUUAGAAUACACGAUGUAUGUAUUAAGUUCAAUGUUUUUGAAAAAUAAAUUUUUUUAUUGAUUAAUAUAUAAGUGUAUAAAUUUAUUUACCAAAUAAUAUAUUGAUUAAUUAAUAAAUUUCAUGUUCUCAAUGAUAUUAAUUUAUAGAUGUUUAAUUAACUGUAUAUUGUAUUAAUUUUUUUAAAAAAUAUAUAAAUUUUACAUGAUAAAAUUAAAAACACUUAACUUCAUAUAAGGAAAAUAUUUAUUUUUUUAAACAAGAAUACAAAAUAUAUGAUAAAACUAAUAUGUAAAUUCAAAUCUAUCUCUAACUAGGCAAGAUGCUAACAAGUUAAUAUAAUCCCUAAAAUAUGAUCUAAUUCCUUUUUCCAACAUAUGUCAAUUUAUAAAUGUAAUUGUCAUUUUGUUGGCUUAAUCAGUGAAAAUCUUUUUACAGUUGGCAAAAAAUUAAUUUGGUUAACAUUAUAGUUUAUGUAAUUAUCUUAUUAGUUUAUAUUAUUUAAAAGAUAAGUUCAGAUAUAGUAGAAAAAGUUAUCUAAAAAUAACUUUAUUAGUGUUUUUGUAAAACACGUUAGCAAUUUGUUACGAACAUGACCAACAAAGAAACUCAAAUAUUAAUUUUAUCUUUAUUAUAUAAGACAUGUAUAUAAGAAAGAUUAAGUCUGAAAAAAGUAGGUCGUAUGCUUAAAAGAAGAGUUUUAGUGAAGUUUGAAUCCAAAAUAUGCAACCAAAUAACAGUCAGAUAAAGGAUGGUGGAGAAACAAUCAAACAAGCAUAGAGUUUUAGAAUGUAAAAGCAUCAAUUACAUUGAAUCAAGUGUGUCAACUAGCUAAGGGAUUUACAUAGAGUUGCACAUCAUAUACUCUUGACACACGAGGAGUGUGUAGGAAAUGCUCGAGGAGAAUUAAUCUCUGAAGAGUCGAAGAGCUUGCAAACUUCUCGGGGGAGUUCUUAUAUGAACUGUUAGCAACUAGAGGUUCCAGGUCUCCAAGGGGUGUAGCAUGGUGGCAAAGGGCUUAAGAUCUGCACAGCAGGUCUCAAGUUCGAGUCAGGGCGUGCACCUCUUGUAAGAGCCUGAGACAGCUGGGGUUUUACUCACUUACCUGGGCCUACAAAUUGCGCUUUCCGGAGAGUGGGGUUUCCUCGAAUCCAAAAAAAAAAAACUAGAGGUUCCAGUUAGAAUGACAAAAGUUUAAAGAUCAUUAGAUAUACCGAAAAACUAUUACGGUAAGUGACAUAACAUGGUUCAUUGUCUUAUCAAGUAAUAAGGUAGUAUAGAUAAAAAAAUAUUAUGUUAAGAGAUACUUCAAUUAUAAUAAUAAAAAAAAAAAAAAAAAAAGCUUCUCCUCUCCCUCAUGCUAUAAAAGCUAAAGUGUUUUAGAAAUUAGAUCUUUUAUUUUGCUACACUAAUAAUAUCAGGCUUAACUUACUGACCCUAUAGCUUAUGUUUCAUCAAAGCAGACUAAAUAAGGUUCUAGAUAGCAGGAUUGAAAAAUAAAGUGCCUUUGUUAACUCUCCUCAGCCUCAAGCACCAGCUGAUUCGCCUCCAGCUGUAAAAAAAAAUAGCGCACCUCAGCCUCCUUCCACUCAUAUGUCAUUGCGGCAACAAUAUCUUCAUGGGAACAAGUAGGAAUCAUUGCCAACUCAGAUUCCUUGGAUGAUUCCUGUUUGAGAGAUAAGAUAUUGGUGAUGUUACUUCUACACAUGUCUUUUAUGGCUUUAUCCAGGGAAAAAAAACAACAGUCUCGACCACCCCAUAAUUCACUGUGACUAUCGGUUUAGAUUAAAAAGAACUGUACUGGAUGUCUUUUUCGAAAUUCUCAACUGAACGAAGAACAAAUAAUUGGUUUGGUUUAAUUCGGUUUUGUUUUUGUUAAAACUGAGUAAGUUCAACGGGUCAAAAAAAAAAAAAAAACAAUUGGGUUAUUUCAUCAAAGCUGUUCUUUUAGACAAAAAAUUACGUUCUUUUGUUCAGUUUGAUCAUGUAUAGUCUUAGUUUUUUACAGUUUGAUUUCUUGGUUUUUUUGUUUUAAGAAAAAGGGCUUUUGAUGGGUUGAAAUUUAUCUCUUAGUCUUAGUGCCUUCUCUAACCUUCAAGCGUCUCUUUUUUCUUUUUUCUUUUUCUCUAGCUAGGCAUAUGUCAUUGCGGCAACAAUUGCUUACUAGGGACAAUAUUAGCUUUUUAGCUUCCAUUGGUUUAUCCAUGCAUUGCCUCUUUCAUUUCUUAACUGACCGAUCGUUUUUAACAUUCCAUGUUAAUUUUAUUUAUAGAUGAAGCUCUCAAAUGUACUUGGAAUCAACAACUUAGGUUACAUGAACAUCACCCUUUUUCUCACACGUACAUAUAAAAGAACUUUGACAUGCUUAACUUUCUUACUAUGGCUUUGUCUAAAAUAUGAUUGUUGUAACCCAUUUUUGGGUCCCCAUGAAAAAUAAAAUAAAUAGCCAAAAGAGUUUAGAAAAAAUAACAGAAGGCAGAAGCGCUCAGAAAACAGUCAGAAAAUUGGUCAAGGAAUUUUAAAAAUACAAGGAUGGAAUUUUUGACAAAUAUUCUUGAAGGAUGAAAGCCCUAUUGAGAAGCAAAAUUUAAAUUUUGAGGAGAAAAGCCCAAAUUUGGAUAUUUAUGGACUUAAUUGGAUUUUUAUUUGAAUUUAUAGAAGAUUUGAUUGCAAGAAAAAUUGAUUUUUAAGUCAAUUUGGGCUUUAAUUAGAAGAAAUUUAAGUUCUAGGGCCAAAAUAUAUUUUUUAGGAAUUUAUUAGGUCAAAUCAGGGGCUUAAUUGCAUAAAUAUUGAAGUUUAAUGGCCAAUUAGGGACUUAAUUGUGAAAAUCAGAGGUCAAGGACCAAAGUGAAAAACGCGGCCAACUAUAGGGUAGGGACCGAAUUUGGCAGGGACGCAAUUGAAUUUUAUUCUUAAAAUUGGAAGUCGCUGUGCAUGCACCAUUUCCUUGCAUUUCACUGUUCAAGUGAAAUAUAAUUCACUUGAACAGUGAAAUGCUAAUUCACUGUCCACAUAAAUAUAAUUCACGUGAACAGUGAAAUGCUAAUUCACUGUGCAUAUCAAAUAUAAUUCACGUGAAUAGUGAAAUGCUAUUCACUGUUCACAUCAGACAUAUGCACUGUUCACAUGAGGCCCGCCUGGACAGCCGCUCCCCGACCCGCUCCUUGGCUCCACGGUGAAGCCACGCCCACUGGCUCUAUAAAUAGCGCCCAACCCAGCACACUGAAAAAAAAAAGGCAGAGAAGAAGAGGGAGAGAGACAAACACACCAACACUGCCAACACCAUUGAUUUGUUACCUUCACCUUCCCACCUUCCCUGAACCGCUGCUGCAGAGAGGAAAGAACAGCUGCUGUCACCGGGAUCCCACAGUCACCGACCACCGUCCAAGUCACUCCCCGGCCACCACUACCAGCGCCUCCACAAAGCUGCCAUAGAGAGGGAAGAACAUUGCUGACUGAAGGAAACUAAGAGAAGAAGCAACGCCUCUGUAAAGGGGAAGAAGAAGAGAAAACAGCUGCUGUCAUCGAGCUUCCCAACCAUUGCCACCGUCAGAACCACCGUGAGCCCCCAUUAGCUUCCUGUCCACCACCACCAGCAUCACUGGGAGUGUUCGCCAUCGACUUCAGCAUCGUUUCUGCCACCAGGUUUGCACCCCUUCGUCGCUGUGCAUGCACUGCAUUUUUACUGUUCAAGUGAAAUAUAAUUCACUUGAACAGUGAAAUGCUAAUUACUGCUCACCUUCACGUGAACAGUGAACUUCACUGUUCGUAUUAAAUAUAAUUCACGUAAACAGUGAAAUGCUAUUCACUGUUCACAUCAGACAUAUGCACUGUUCACAUGAGGCCUGCUGGGCUCAGCCCAGCCACGUGGGCCCCGCCCUAAAAAAAAAUAUAAAAAAUAAAAAAAAUUUCAAAAAAUUAUUUCAAAGAAUUUAUGAUUUUUCUGUAAUUUUAUUACUGUAUUUUGGUCAAUAUCGGUUUGUAUUUUUAUACUGUAAAGAUACAAAUCCAGUAUUAAAAUACCCGGUUUUUGUCAAAACAUCAAAGAUUUUCAGAAUAAAAAAUGUUUUUGCUUUCAAAAAAAUUCUAAAAAGUCCCUAAAAAAUGUUGUUGAUUUUUCUGCAUAUUUUUAUCAAAGUGGAUUAAUAUUGGGUUGUAUUUUUAUACCGUAAGGAUACAAACCCAGUAUUAAAAUACCCAAUUUUCGUCAAAACAUCAAAGAUUUUCAGAAUAAAAAAUGUUUUUGCUUUCAAAAAAAUUCUAAAAAGUCCCUAAAAAAUGUUGUUGAUUUUUCUGCAUAUUUUUAUCAAAGUGGAUUAAUAUUGGGUUGUAUUUUUAUACCGUAAGGAUACAAACCCAGUAUUAAAAUACCCAAUUUUUUGUCAAAGCAUAAAAAAUAAUAUUUUCCAAAAAAAUUGUUUUUGUUUUAAAAUACGGCCUAGUCUCUCCAAUAUAUAUAUAUAUAUAUAUAUAAAUAUUAUAACAUCAUAUUUUCGCACAACAAAGAAAAUUUUCAAAACAAUAUAUGUAUUAACAUGCAUUUUGGCUUUAAUAACCAGUUUAUUCAAGCCAUGAGAACUAGGCCAAUAUUUCAAAAAUUCUAAAAAAAUCUUUUUGUUUUCUUUUAGUAUUUGGGAUUACGAAUUUAUACGUAAAACGUAUUCCUAAAUAUUAUUAAUAAAGUUUUGGUAUAGACGUUAGAACGGUUAGGAUUUUACCCGAUAAGAUAAAAGAACUUCUUACCGAGGAGGAUUUUUCUUGAACCAUAGACAGAUCAACAACUAGGAAAACACAAUAACACUUUAGUUUUUAUCAGACAAUAAAACAAUGCAGCUUACCUUAGGUAGGGCGUAUUUGGGGUGCUAAUACCUUCCUUUUACGCAACCAGUCUCCAUACCCGAUCUCUGAGACCAGUUAGGGUUCCUAGUGACCAAAAUACUAGGUGGCGACUCCAAAGAACCAAAUCAAACCAAAAUAAAAAAAAUUCGCCAGUCGAACCCGCAAUUGGAAAUUUUUUGGGGUGCGACAAUGAUGAUUGAUCUUUGGCUUAAGAGUUACUUUUCAUGCUACUUUUCAUUCUUCUCCCUUUCAAUUUGCCUUAGCAUUUGUUGUUUCCCUUUCAAUUCUUCUACUUUUUAUGAUGUGAAAAGAAAAUUUACCACCAACUACUUUAAAUCUUAUGUUCAAAGGACAAUAGUACAGCUUUUACUUUUAGCCUGGAGUUCACGAGGAAGCAAUGAGAAACUAGAUUUGCCUUUCCUGCCUUUCCAACUUCCAUUAACAAUUUGAGUGGCUUACACAUUGGUUGCUUAUGUUUAUUGAUGAUAGCUUUUAUUGUCUUUUUUUAUUAUUAUUUUUGUUUGUAAUUCAUAACAAUAGAUUGGGUCUGAUUAUCUUGGUCUGGAAUUGACACGAAAAAAAGAAAAGAAACUUGCAUUCUCUACUUUAGAUGGGUUGAGCAUUGUUCGCUAGAACAACAGAUUGGGUUUGACAAUCUUGGUCCCGAAUUGGCGGGGGAAAAAAAAAAAACAGAAACUUGCAUUGUCUGCUUUAGAUGGCUUGAGCAGUGUUUGCUAGAUGUUCAUUAAUUUUUCAUUUUUUGCAAUGGACUGGUCCUUAUAUUUUUUCGGUUCUUGAUUUAGUGUUUUUUUUUCUUCUUUUUUUUCCUUUCAUAUUUUUGCAAAUUGGUCUUUAGAAAUUUUCUUCUCUUUUUGGGUCUCAUUGUAUGAGAUAAAGAUUUUAAUUAAAUUAAAAAUUAUUUAUUAUACUAUAAAAGUUAGGUUUUUCCCUCCUAUUUUGCUAUUCAUAUCCUCCCUUAAAAAAAAAAACAUUAUCUUCUAAUUUUUUCUUCUUUUAAUUGAAUGAUUUUUGUAGUUUUUUUCCUUUCAAUUUCACUUGAAUAUUUUGUUGAUUUUGAAUUGGGCAUCAUAAUUUGUUUUUGUUUUCGUUAUAUGUAGUUAUCACAGUCUCAACACAAACGUCACUAAAUUUAUUUAAUUCUCAAUUUUGUAAGUGUCUAUAUUAGUUAUUGUAUCAUUAUAUAUAAAAAUGGUUUUUAAAUCUAGUAGAGUUCAUCAUCUAAAUUACGAAUUUAACAAAUUAAAUCAAGGAGCUCAAGUUAAUCUAGUAUAUCUUCGUCUCAAUACUUUUUUUUAAAAAAGUCAUCUUGAUUUUGUUUCUUAAAAUUCAAACCAUGUUUUUAUUGGUCAUUUGGGUUGCCUUAAUUUGCACAUGUCAAAUCAACUAGGUUAUGUACAAAAAACUCCAUUACAAAUUAAAUUUAAAUAUAUGCUAGGCAAGAAGUCAAGUCGAGAGAUCAAGAUCAAGUUUAAUAACAAAGUCAUAUUAUUCCUUAGUUUUUAAACUCCACCUUCCAAUUUUUUUUUUCUUUCAAUUGAAUCCUUUUUGGCUUUUCUCUAAUUUCAUCCUUUAAUAUUUGUUUAAUAUCUGUUUGAUUUUUAAUUGAUUAUGUUUCAGUUUGCUUUCAAUGAUGUUAUUAAUUACAAUUUCAAACAAAUAUUUUGGCAUUUGAUUUAUACUUGAUUUUACGAGCUUUUAUUUUUGUUAUUAUAUCAUUAAAUAAAAAAUAUAUUUUUUUUUAAAAUUAAACUGGAUGGAGUUCAUUAUUCAAAUUAUAGGUUUAAAGAGUUACGUUAUAAAACUAGAAUCAAUCUAAGAUGUUGUAUCAAUGUUAAAAAAAUAUAUUAUCUUUAAAUUUUUUUAAAGCUAAAUUAUGUUUUUUUACCGGUUAUUCAUUUGUUUUAAUUUUAAACGUGAUAUAGAUAAGAAGCCAGAUGAGAGGAAUUUGGAUUAGAGUUUUAAUUAUGAUGCCAAAUAAUUCUUUAAGCCUAGAUGAUUUUUUUAUGGUGCGCAAAACAUAAACUAUUUCAUUCCAAAAUAUUUACAAGUAAACACUCACGAAUAUGAUGAUAAAAAUUGGAGUAAAAUUUUACAUUACCAGUGUCUGUUUUUUGUGAAACAAACAAAUUAAUCCCUCAAGUUUUUUAAAUAAUUAAUUGAUUCUUUGAUCACAUUUUAACGUCAUGUAAGUGGAACAAAUUGAGGAAUUAUUGCUGACUGCUCUACAUUUGACUAACGAAAAAACUAAUGAGGGGACCAGUUUAUUAACUUAAUGUAAAAGUAUAGGGAUUAGUACAUACAUAGCAAAAUGCAGCAAUAAAAUGUAAAAGGGUCUGAUAACAAUGCGAAAUGUAAAACAAAAGGUAAGGAUGUUUAGAAAUUCAAAGCUUGGAUCUUGCACACUUCCCUCCUGGAUACAGGGGUUUGUUACCAUUGCCAGUGGGUAUGGCGUUUUGAGACUUGGUCUCCAUUGUAAGCAUCUUCAGAGAUAUUUUACGCAGAUAAUCAGACUGAAAUCAGAUAUCAAUAACAAAAUAUUAGAUCUCGGAGCAGUCCAUGUUACAAGAGAAGGGGGGAAAGGGAUAUAUGCUCUUUCUAAUAUGCUAGGAUUUUUAUAUUUGAGUCUUCUGUGAGGAUAUAGGAUAUGCUUCUGUAUCCUAUCUUUUUAUUUAAUUAUUUAUGUAUUGAUUCGUUAUUUGCAUUUUGCACACUUCCCUUGUACUAGAAAAGAACCUUGGUCACUCUAAAUAAAACACUUGUCAAGAGAAUUAACAACAGAUGAGAACUUCUACAGAAUGACCAAUGAGGAAGUGUGGACACACUACACACACGUGUACCAGCAUGAAUCCACAAACUUAUGCAUGUGUAUUCAUGUCUAGAGAAUAUCCAAAUUAUUGAACCUAGCAUUAGCCGAAUACCUGAUUGGUGGCGGAAGUAUAAAUCUUUUCCUCAAACCGUACGGCAAUUUUCUUGAGUUCUUGUAAUCCCUCCUGACCAGAAAACGGAAGAUGCCUCUUUAAUGUCUCCAUUCUGCACAUGUAAAACACUGCAUUUAAUUUUUAAUGACAAGGCAGGUAUAGAGAAGUUAGCAGUAGUGAGAAAGAACCGUGAACUCAUACACCACACCAAUAUCAGAAAUAUAUACAACAGAAUCAUUAGCAAAAAGUAAAACAAAUAACGAUAUAGCUGAGUGUCAGUCAAGUAAUAUAUGGCAUCAAAAUACAGACAUCUAUUUUUACUUCCUUUCCCCGUAUUAUUCCAGAGGUAUAGGGCAAUGGAGUUUACUUAGCCACCCUUCUGUCUAAAAUUCUAGUUACGAGCUUCAUGGUUAAUUUUCUUGAACUGGAAGAACCUUCCAUUUAUGGCUAUGGCUAUGUUCCAAGAUAUAUAAGUGAAUUAGUUGCAAACCAGGGGAACUCUGUGAAAACAUUACAAUAGCAUUUACUCUGAGUAAGAAAACUUUUAUACAUGCACCGUAAUUGACAAAGAAAAGAAGAGAAAACCUUUUAAUUUAUGAAAAUGCAUUGAGUUAACCUUAUCUCACGCCGCAAUAUAUACUUUACAGUGCUCAUUGGCUACUGCAAGUGCCAACAGUAGCUGUCUAUAUGAUUUUGGAUGUAGAGAUAUCACCAAAACAUUCAACUUUAUACUGAGAAACUAGGAAACCAUACACUAUUGUGGCUAAUUGAUUUUUGUCUGCUGCUUUUGUACUUUAAGAUCACUAUCAUUUCAAUCCUGUAGAAGUAAAGCAAAUAGAAGGCCCAAAUCCAACACUAUUCAUUUAAGUUCAGUUGCAACUCAAGGUUGAAAUUGAAACACCAAUGCUCAUAGCAAUAGAUUAACCUUGAAAUUUAAAGCGGAACAAGCUUCAUGCAGCCAUCCAAGAGGUCAUCAUCAAAAGAAGAUGUUACACAAGAAGUUCCAACAAAAAUUACUUUCCAGCACUUUUUAUUCCCUCAAGUUCACUUCUUGUGAGAAACAAGUGAAAAAUGAAAAAGACAAAAACAGAGGUGUAUGAUACUUGAGGUUGCCUCAUGGCAGUCCUGCUGAUUUUAAUUAACCUUUUGCCCUUCUCUUUUUCUUUCAUUUAAAUACAAGAUUUACUAUUUUGCAGCACUUGCACAUAUUAGGAAACAGAUACUUACAUUUUGUUGACUAUUCUUUGCCGUGAGCCAGGCUGCAAUUGAGUUCUCCAAUCACCUGUGUCCAUCACAGGUUCUCCGCCUAAUCAAAGUCAUGAAAAUUGGAAUAUCAGUUUAUUCAGACUUGAAUAGAUUUAAAGAGAACUUCCAUCUAAUAGCAUGUACUUUAUUAAAGAAUUCUACCAAACAUGGAUGCAUAAAAUCUGAACAGCCAUAACAAAUAUACACGACCAUUCAGGGCAAGGUGCUAGGAUCUUGGGUAUUCGAGUAUUGUAAGCAAGAUUUGGGCCUGAAUCUUCAUGGUGCUUCUAAAACCAAGGAAGCAAAAAACUAGCCAGCUAGUUCAUAACUUGCCGCACCAACAGAUGGUGAGUGUUGGUAAACCAAGCCAUAGAGAAACUCAUGGUGCUUCAAUUUUAACUUGAUGUUUUCUAGCAACACUUGUGAUGCAUCAUCGAUGCAAUGUUUACAAUGACAAACUUGCAUUUCUAUUCAUUGUGGUUUUAGGUUCACAGAUUCUGAUCAAAUAGAUAUUUAAUGUUCCAAAAACAUUGUAUACACAUUUAAAUGCUUUACUUCAAUAGAUAGAUUAAGGUAUCUUUCUAGAUAUCAGCAAAUCACAUCUUACCAAUUUAGAUUCAGCACAGGACCUUUUUCAGGUGCUUGCCACUUUUUACUCGCAAGCAAAUACAUACAGUCAAACCCCCUCCCCCUCCCCUCCUGUUCUUGUUAUUUAUGCAUGUAUUAACUUUUCUGAAAGAAUAAAUGUUGUAGGGAGCAAAUAGUGUAAAUAGAACAUGAAGAGGCCACAAACAAUAACCCAUCCCAAAGAGAUUGUCUAGGAUGUUUUAAGCUAGGAAAAUGAAGAAGAAAACGACGAGAAUUAACAAUGAAUAUUACAUGUUAUCAUCAACUCUAAUGAGCAGACUGAUAAGAAUCAACUUAACAACUCUUGUUGAAAUAAGAUUAAAUUUACAGGCACAUCUUUCUCGGAAUAGACAACACAAUAACCCUGACCAUGCUCGACCUUGAGGUGUGUUAUAAAAUGUUCUUCCUAACUAGAUGCACUUUGGGGUGAAGUGAACUAAGUCAUUUGUUUUACACUUCCACAUGCUCUCAAGCUUUCACCUCAUACUCAAGACCAGCUGAGCAGUCCUAAAAAGAAAGAUAUAUCAUGUAGGGGUUAUCAAGGCAGACCUGUUAUUUUUAUUUUUUUCGCGUUAACAUGACCAAAUUAUAAAAUUUAAAGUUAUUUUCUUUCUUUCUUUUUUCCAUGUGUGAGCGACCAUAAAACCCAAGGAAAUCAAUUUGUUGUUAAAAACACAAUAAUUUUGAAGAAUUCGGUAAAUUCCAAAAAAGAAGAAUCAACCGAACAGCUCAUUUUUCGGCCAUUCCAGCAGUAAUAUCUCUUCCACUCCAGCUGCUGCAUAAACUAAUUAACAAAUAUCGAUCGAGCCUAAAAGAUUUGAAUUGAUUUCUAUUCUCAACUUUAAAAUAAAACUAAAAAAUAAAAUAAAAUAAAUUUGGGUUCAAGAAUUCACGGCUUGAUUAUUACAACAAUAACUGUGAAAAAUCGGAUAAUAUCAUGUAAAUUGGGGGGGGGGGGGUUGAAAAAGAAAAUAUUAGAAUCGACUGAUUGUGCGUUUCUUCGAGCAGCGAUUUCAUCGGAUCCGAUUAUAUAUUUUUUUAAUUUACUUAUUAAAAUCGAAUUGCGUUCACUAGCAGAGAUUUCAUCGGAUCGAUUUUUUUUUUAAUUUACUAAUUAAAAUGGAUUUCUGUCUCUGAAUAAUAAUAACAAUAAAAUAAAUGAAAACACCCAUAAAUUUUAUAAACAAAAGCAUGAUAGAAAAGGAAGCACCUGGCAGAAAUCUGAAGCCUUAUUGGAUGCGGCGGUUUCCGGGAGGCGGAAGAGGGAGGGAGGGAGGGAGCUCCGGCGGGGAGAGGUGAGGAAUGGCUUGUCGAAGCUUUAUGUAAUGGCCAAUACCCAUCAUCAGAACAACCUCAGGAUCGUAUAUUCUUCGAUGCAAGAGUGCCCCACACUCUAUAAUGGGUGGCAAGCUCCUUGCUUUUCACGUGAUGAUGUGCUAAAAAGAAUCCUUUUUAUUCUUAAAAUCCACCCACUAAUGGGUCGAUGAAGUGGCCACUAACAACAACGCAGAUAAGAUGUUGCUUGUUCUUACAGGGAGAGGAAGCCCAGCUCCAGACAGCAGAAGGGAGAUCGUUUUCCUACAUCUUCAUCAUUAGAACACAGCAAUAACUCAAAGCUCUACCAUGUCACCAUCGCUUUUGAUUGUUAUCUUCAGUUGUUAUACCUACAAAUCCAAGAACAAUGAAUAACUCAAACGUUAAUCUUUCUUUUCUUUUCUUUUUUUCAAAAUAGCACGUAGAACAAAAAAUAACACAAUUCAAAAUUUAUUUAAAGAAAUAAUAUAAUUCUAACAUGGUUUUAAUUUAAAAUUCUUCUCUUUUACAUUUCUACAGUUAAAUUUUUUACAAAGAGUAACAUAUAAAUUUUGGUUCACUAUUUGUUCUUGAUUAUGCCAUCAAGAAUAAAAGAUUGAGUAAACUUGAAAAAUAGUACUAUAAUCACAUUACUAUCACCAAAAAGCAAGUAAUAAAUUGUUUUAUAAUAAUUUAUUGUCAAUUUAUUGAUUUUAAUUUAUGGCUAUCUACACAAAAUAGAUCUGCUAGAUCUAUCAAAAUUGAAAAUAAUAUUGAAAUUUUUAAAACUAAAAGUUAAUAUACAAGAGAGAGCUCAGCUUGACAGAUGACUUUAUUCUUUUCCAAAUUCACUAAACAAACUUAAAGAAUUGUAUUCUGGUGCUGCUUCACUGUUCAUAACUAACAAACUAAAACAAAACUAAAAGAAUUAUAUAUAUAUAUAAAAACUAAGAGUGCUCAUUAAAACACGGUGCACUGUGUGUGAAUCCUGUGGCUUCACAGUCUGUACCGCGCUCCGUCCCUGUUUUUCGCGUUUUUUCUCGCGCGGUGGGUGUUCCCGCACUUUCUUCUCGGCUGCUGAGGCUCCCUGGCGUCUUUUCAUCGACUUUUGUCUGGUGCAUGUUCAGAUUGAGGCGGUUUGGCUGGUGCUAGGCGCGCGAGGAGAUGUCAGCCGACGGGUAAUCACCUGCCUUGGCUUCAUUGAAGCUGUCCUCUUGGUUCACUAAAACAAAUAUGAAAAACCAAAAAAAACUUCACUAAUAAUAUCAGGCUUGACCCUAUAGCUUAUGUUUCAUCACAGCAGAUUAAAUAAGGUUCUAGAUAACAUUAUAUAGGAGUUUACUUAGCCAUUCUAGUUACUAGCUUCAUGGUUAAUUUUCUUGAACCAGAAGAACCUUCCAUUUAUGGCUAUGGCUAUGCUCCAAGAUAUAUAAGUCAAUUAGUUGCAAACCAGGGGAACUCUGAAAACAUUACAAUAGCAUUUACUCUGAGUAAGAAAACUUUUAUGCAUGCACUGUAAUUGACAAAGAAAAGAAGAGAAAUCCCUUUAAUUUAUGAAAAUGCAACGAGUUAACCUUAUCUCACUCUGCAAUAUAUAUCAGUGCUCAUUGGCUACUGCAAGUGCCAGCAGUAGCUGUCUAUAUGAUUUUGGAUGUAGAGAGGUCAACAAAACAUUCAACUUUAUACUGAGAAACUAGGAAACCAUACACUAUAUAUUGUGGCUAAUUGAUUUUUGUCUAAUGCUUUUGUACUUUUAAUAAGAUCACUAUCACCUCAACCCUGUACAAGUUAAAACAAAUAGAAGGCCCCAAAUCCAACACCAUUCAUUUAAGUUCAGUUGCAACUCAAGUUUCAAAUUGAAACACCAGUGUUCAUAGCAAUAGAUUAACCUUGAAAUUUAAAGCGGAACAAGCUUCAUGCAGCCAUCCAAGAGGUCAUCAUCGAAAGAAGAUGUUACACAAGAAGUUCCAACAAAAAUUACUUCCCAGCACUUUUUAUUCCCUUGAGUUCCCAUCUUGUGAGAAACACGUGAAAAAUAAAAAAGACAAAAACGAAAGAAGAUGACAUCCUGUCAUUGCUACCAAAUCCUCACCAGCUGCAGCUCUAGAUCCAUUACCAGCUGCAGAAUCAGCAAUACUGUCAAUCAUACUGACAACGGAGCCAAUGUCACCGACAGAUGCACUAAGUGCUUUGGGAGACAGAGAUUUCACCUGGGAAAAAAAAUUACAGCAUCACCAUCUCAUUAACAAAGAAGUUUUCUUUUUCAGAAAUGUUAGUUUUAAAGAAAGAAAGGAGUAUAACAGAGGUAGAAGUUUAUGGAUAUGGAGAAGGGAGAAAGAUAGAAAUAGUAGAUAAGGGAAUACAAACUGGGAAUUCAAAUAUUAUUAUGCACCAAGCUUACAUUAAAUAGAAACAGAGAAAAAAAUUGAAACCGAGAAUUAAGCCAUGAACAUCAACGUGUGCCAUGAACAGCAACGUGUGCCAACAAACUAACCACUUCCUAAAGACUAGGACAAACUAAAAACAGAAUGAAAGCAUAAAAUAAUUUCUGAUACUUAGACACGUUGCAGUCCUAAAACAAUCAACUAACACUCCUCCAUGAUUUAGGAGCUGCAAACUCCAAGUCUUUGCCUAAGAGGUUCAAACUUGUUUGCUGGCAAAGGUUUUGUAAAAAUGUCUGCAAGCUGAUCUUCAGAUUUGCAAUAAAUGAGGCUCACUUCUCCUUCCUUCUGCACUUCCCUUAAAAAGAAAAAUUUGAUCUUGAAAUGCUUGGUUUUUCCAUGAAAAACAGGAUUGUGGGAGAUUGCAAUUGCUGCCUGAUUGUCCACAAACACCUCUGUAUCAUUUUGUUGCUUCAAAUGUAAAUCACAGAACAACUUCCUCAGCCACAAAGCUUGAUUCACUGCUGCUGUAGCAGCAAUAAAUUCAGCCUCGGCAGUAGACUGUGCUACAGUCUCUUGCUUCUUGGAACUCCAUGAGAAAACUCCUGAUCCUAGGCUAAAACAGUACCCAGAUGUACUCUUCAUGUCAUCCACUGAUCCACCCCAAUCACUGUCAGAAAAUCCCAGCAACUUGAAGUUUUGACAGUACUUGAAUUUUACACCAAAAUCAAUAGUUCCUUUGAUGUAUCUAAUGACUCUUUUUGCAGCUUUAAGAUGCACUUCACUAGCACAAUGCAUGUAACGAGAGAGAAUGCUUACAGCAAAAAGAAUAUCUGGUCUGGUUGCUGUUAGGUACAUUAGGCAACCAAUCAUGCUUCUGAAACAGCCUUCUUCAACUUUGUCUGUGUCGUCCUCUUUACUUAAGCUCUCCUUUGGAUUCAUUGGAGUAGCCAUUGCCUUACAGUCCUCCAUAUGAAACUUCUUGAGAAUUUCCUUGGCAUAUUUCUUUUGACAGAUGAAAACUUCAUUUUCUAACUGUUUGAUCUCCAUUCCCAGAAAGUAUGCCAUGAGUCCAAGGUCUGUCAUUUCAAAAAUUUUCAUCAUUUCCCUUUUGAACUCUUCAACAAGCUUGGCAUUGUCACCUGUGAUCAAAAGAUCAUCAACGUAAAGAGAGACUAUAAGCAGAUUGUCUCCUUUACAUUUCACAUAAAGAGUAGCCUCUGACAAACUUUUCUGAAAUCCUAGGCUUGACAGAUGCUCAUCUAUCUUGCUAUACCAUGCUCUAGGUGCUUGUUUCAAGCCAUAUAGAGCCUUCUUGAGCAAGUAGACCUUCUCCUCUUCACCUUGUUCCAUGAAUCCCUCGGGCUGUUCAACAUAGAUUUCCUCCUGCAAAAUACCAUUUAAAAAGCAGAUUUCACAUCUAGUUGAAACACCUUCCACCCAUUUUGAGCUGCUAUAGCUAGCACAAGCCGAAUAGUAUCCAAUCUAGCAACAGGGGCAAAUGUAUCCGAGUAAUCAACUCCAAAGACUUGAGCAUAUCCCUUAACAACAAGCCUGGCUUUGUGUUUGUUGAUGGAACCAUCAGCAUUGAGCUUGGUUCUAAACACCCAUUUUACUCCAAUAAUCUUUCUAUCCUUUGACCUAUCAACUAGCUCCCAAGUCUUGUUCUUUUUUAUCAUUGACAGCUCCUCCUCCAUCGCCUUCUGCCAUUUUGGAUCUUUAAUAGCCUCUUCAUAACCAGCAGGUUCACAAAUGGCCACAUUGCAUCGCUGAUAGAUAUCAUGGAGCGGUCUUGUUCCACGAAUUGGAAGAUCAUCUUCCAAUUCUUCUUGCCACUGUUCUGAUGCUUGCUCUUCUCUUGUUUGGGAGGUUAGACUUGAUUUUUGCUUGCUUGUGGAUGUCUCUUUUGUCUGUUCCCAAUUCCAUUUCUCUUCUUCAUUGAAGAACACAUCUCUACUGACAAUUAUCUUCCCUGUUUGAGGUUGAUAAACCUUAUAUGCCUUUGAGAAAGAGCUGUACCCAACAAAGAUGCCUGGUUCUGACUUUUUAUCAAGUUUAUCCCGCUUGACCUGUGGAAUGUGAGAGAAACACAAGCAACCAAACACUCUAAGAAAAUUGAGUGAAGGUUUAUAGUCAUACCAUGCCUCAAAUGGAGUUUUAUCCUUUAAUGCUUUGGUGGAUAAUCUGUUCUGUAAGAAAACAGCAGUACUGGCCGCUUCAGCCCAAAAAUAUUUGGGUAACUCCUUGUCAUGUAGCAUGCAUCUGGCCAUCUCCAUUAUGUAUCUAUUUCUCCUUUCACUUACUCCGUUUUGCUGCGGAGUGUAAGGAGUAGUAAGCUGGUGUUCAAUGCCAGCUUCUUCACAAAACAUAUCAAAUUCUGCUGAAGUGUACUCCUUUCCAUUAUCUGACCUUACAGCUUGAAUUUUGCAGUCACUUUGAUUUUCUACCAUCUUCUUGAACUUCCAGAAGACUCCAGCUACUUCUGACUUGAAUUUCAAGAAAAAAAUCCAGCACAUUCUUGAAAAAUCAUCAAUAAAAGCAAUGUAAUAUCGACUACCUACUAAUGAUUCAGUUCUUUGAGGACCUGAUACAUCUGUGUGGAUUAGCUACAACUUGUGAGUGGCUCUCCAGGAUGACUUUGGGAAUGGUCUCCUAUUUUGUUUACCGUAUUGACAAGCAUGACAAUUCGGUAAGUGAUCUCCAAAGGUUGGUAAGCCAACUGUGAGUUCCCUUUCCUGCAUAAGUUGCAUCCUUUGUAAGUGACAAUGACCAAGUCGCUUGUGCCAUAUCUCUGUGUUGCAAGCUUUCAUGGAGAAUGCAGCAAGUUCUUCUUUGAUAGGAUCAAACGAAAAACUUUUUCCUUUCAUUCUCACUUUGAGAAUUUCCUCACUAUUAGCAUCCAGUAUGUGACAGAAACCAUCUUCAAAGAUCACUUUAAAGCCUUUUUCAAUCAAUUGGCCUACGCUCAACAAAUUUUGAUUAAUUUCUGGUACGUAGAGAACAUCAGAAAUUGUUUUUGUGCCUGCUGUGCUGGUUAUGGUGAUUGUCCCUCUUCCUUUGACAGAGAUGUGAUCACCAUUGCCAAUUUUGACUUUAGUAAUAUCAGUUGGCCUCAAAUCUCUGAAGAGUUUCUUGUCAUUGGUCAUGUGAUUGGUACAACCACUGUCAAUUAACCAACUUUCAGUCGAACUACUACUUGCAAAGCAGGAUGCUACAAAAAGCUGAUCUUCAUCCUCUUGUUCUGCAACUUGGGCAUCAACUUCAUGCUGCUGAGCACUUCCCUUACAAAUUACUGCUUCAUGUCCCAUUUGAUUGCAUUUUGAACAUUUUGCAUCAGGUCUCCUCCAACAUUUGAAUGGAGGGUGACCUUCCUUUUUAUAGUGAUGGCAAGGAGGAUAUUUACCCUUGAAGCUUCCUUUUUUGCUUCUGUUGUUGUUCAAAACAGGAGCAAAAGAAUUUCCCUCUUGGCCUUUCUUCUCUUUCCUUUUGUUUCUGUAAGCUCCAUGAUGUUUUGCAAAUAAGGCUCCUUCAGUGUUGACCUCUUGCCUCAUAUGUCAUCUCUGCUCUUGCGCCUGUAGGGAAUUAAGUAAUUCUGCCAAGGAAAUUUUUGACAGAUCCUUGGUAUUUUCCAAGGUGGUAACUGUCGCUUCAUACCUUUCAGGUACUGUGACAAGGAUUUUUUCCACAAUCCUUGAAUCACUGAAUUCAGACCCGAGUAGCUUGAUUUUAUUUGCAAUUCCAAGAAGUCUAUCUGAAUACUCUUUAAUUGUUUCAGAUUCCUUCAUCUUUUGCAACUUGAAAUCCCGUAUCAAAUUUAAAACCUGCAUUCCUCUUAUCCUUUCAUCUCCUGCAUAUUCUUCCUUAAGGUAAUCCCAUAUAGACUUGGCUGUCUUACGGGACAUUAUUCUUGUAAAGAUUGUUGUUGACACCGCAGCAAACAAGCAUGCUUUGGCCUUUGACUUCUUCGUCUUCAUCUCCUUGUGAGUUUUGAUCUGCGUCAUGGUGGGAUUGUUUGGAAGUACAGGAACAUCAUAGUCUUCAUCCACUGCUUCCCAAAGAUCCAAAGCUUCCAAAUAUAUCUCCAUGCGUACUGCCCAAAUUUGGUAGUUGUCACCAUUGAACACUGGCGGAGCAAUUGAGGAGAAACUUGUUUCAGCUUCCAUGAUACGUCAAAGUCACACACAGAUCCCUUAAGAACAAUAAAAGCUCUGAUACCAAUUUGUUAGUUUUAAAGAAAGAAAGGAGUAUAACAGAGGUAGAAGUUUAUGGAUAUGGAGAAGGGAGAAAGAUAGAAAUAGUAGAUAAGGAAAUACAAACUGGGAAUUCAAAUAUUAUUAUGCAGCAAGCUUACAUUAAAUAGAAACAGAGAAAAAAACUGAAACCGAGAAUUAAGCCAUGAACAUCAACGUGUGCCAUGAACAGCAACGUGUGCCAACAAACUAACCACUUCCUAAAGACUAGGACAAACUAAAAACAGAAUGAAAGCAUAAAAUAAUUUCUGAUACUUAGACACGUUGCAGUCCUAAAACAAUCAACUAACAAGAAACCUCCAAAAUAAGGGUGGGGUGGAGUAAAACCAAAAGGAGAGCAUCACUAACCGCUUCAAUCAAGUACUCAAGUGGUUGCUCUGUAACAUUUGACUUGCCAGAAACAGUUGUCAAAGCACUGCCAUGAGAACCAUCAGGACUGGUAAAGUCUGCAAGCAAAGGUGAUGCAGAUAUCCCAGGAGUGCCAAUUGCAAGGGAGGGAGCCAGUGCUUGUGCAACAGAUGGUUGGUGUACAAUAGGAGAUGGAGCUUGCUGGUGUAAUUGCUGCUGCUGCUGCAUCUGUCGAUUCUGCAUUAAAUUCUGGUGUUGCUGCAAUCGUUUAAGCUGUUGUGUUUGUAGCAUCUGUUGUUCAUGCUGCUGCUGCUGCUGUUUUAGAUGCUGGUGUUGAAUCAUAUUGGAAUUCGACUGAAGGGGAAUAUUUGACUGCAGCAUACUCGCCCCACUUUGUGUUGACAAUGUGUUAACAUUGGUUGGUUGGGAAAUGCUCACGAGAUUCUGUUGGACAGAUCCUACAGGUGUCUGCUGCAAUGAGCUCAGUGCAUUUCCUUGUCCAGAAUCUAAAUUGGAGCCUGGUUGUAUUGGAUUCAUCAUGUUUGAUUGUGACAUCGAAUCCCCAGAUAAAGUUCAAAGACAAUUAUGCAGCAAGCUUGACAUAUUGUUCUGCUGCAUCUUUGGUACAGAACCUUGCAUAUUCAUUGAUUGCAACUGGGGAUUCAGUUGAUUUUCAUGGGACUGCAAUUGAGGAACUUGAGAUUGGGGUUGCUGCAUAGGUUGAAUAUGAGGUUGGGGAAGUUGUCCUUGCUGUAGAUUAGGAAUAGGCUUCCUGUAUCUGCUUGGGUUUAGAAAACCUACAAUCUGCUUCUCAUAGAAACCCAAUUUCUCCUUGAAAGUAGGUGUGAUGUUGUUUUUAGAGACCUGUAAGAAUGCUAUCAAGCGCUCCAACAUGACCUUGAAUACCUUCAGCUUUUCAAGCUGUUCUGACUUCGGUUGUUGCGGAAGAGGGUCAUGCUGGAAAGCAAAGUUAACAUACACGAGAAUUAAAAAUUGCAUUGACCCUUCGUAGCAAAACUAGUAAAACAUAAGUGAAAAAAAUGUUUCUAUUCCAAUUCUUCUGUGUCAAUGCAUGGUUGUGGGGUGGUUGGGGGUGAGGGGGGGGGAAUUAGUACAGAUGAUACAGUGACAAGCAUUGCUGAUGGGGAAAACAAAUUAAUCAAAAGCUCAACUGUGGGGGUUUAUGAAUCAUGUGUGAGCAAAUAAAUCAGAAAAAAUUACAAAGACAAUUUACCUGCUGUAACUUGGUAGCAAUUCUCUGGUACAUUUCAUUUAUUUCAGGCAAAUACGUUUCCUUCAUAACUUUGAUCUAGGAAGUACAUAUAACCAGCAAAACAUUAUCAAUCAUAUGCUUGAUUUCUUUAGGUGGCAGAGUCAGAAAGCAACAUAAGCAUGUUGGAAUAUUGCCAAUUAUGUUGCCAUUGUCAAAGAAGAUGGCUGCCAUAUGAGAGUCAAAGAGGGCUGCUGGUAUAGCAUUUGCAGCCCCUUGACAUUGUCAAAGAAGGAAGCUGCAAUGGUGGGUUGUUGGUGGCAGCCAACAACCAUUGUCUAAUGUCAAAGUUUGGUAAGUUUGGCAGCCACCAUUGUUGACAAAGAAGUAAGAGGAGCUGUCAUUGAAGCCUACAAAUAGACACCAAGAGUGCAGCACAAAAUGAGAGAGAGAGCCUUGUAGGAGAGUUACAAAAGAGAGAAGAAGAGAGAAAGAAAGAGAAGGGCUGCCACCAGCAGCCCUGCUGCCUUAUGCAGCUGCUGCCCUAUGUAGCAAAGAGAGAUGGGAGUUGAGUGGAUGUGAUCCUCCUCCAUGUGUUGUAUUCUUUCUCUAUCCCUAAUAAUAUCGAUCUCUCCCGUGGAUGUAGGCAAUUUGCCGAACCACGUUAAAUAUUGUGUGCUAGUGUGCUUACCCUCCUAUGAGCAAUUAUCAGUACAUCACCGGUCCGGAAUUCCCAACAAAGCAAACUUGAGAGAAUUGAUAGAUAAAUAAAUAAAAUGGCAGAGGACAGCAUAUAUUGUUUGAGAUUAAAAUAGCAAAGUGGAAUCAAUGCUGGAAACUCAAUAGAGAAUAUAGUUAUUGAUUGCAUGCAAAGAUGCAAAGGAGUGUGUAGUUACCCCUUCAGACAAGAUUCAGGGGUUGGUUAAGUUCAGUUACUUUUUCUCACGGCAACCUACUCACCAUUGUUUUCUAUUGUUCUCACUCAAGUCAAUGGAUGUCACGACUUUGGUAAACACUUCUUAGCUUUAUAACUUUAGAUUUAUAACCCUUAUAUCCUAAUUACAACCACUCCUAUUCCCGUUUUAGUACUCUCCCAGGCACAAAAAAAUUGACCUCAUCAAAUAUGCAAUUAUGAGUUGCAACUACAGCCAUUAAACGAUUCAGAAUUUCAACCUCGUUUUCUAUAAAAUUCAACAAUACUGGACAUGGUCAUGAUUCAAUGGAUUAGGUCCACUUAUUUUCCUUUCUUCCAUUGUCACAUGUUUCAGAACAAAUUUGAUUGUAAUCUUGAAAAUAACUGUUCACUUAACCAAAUAUAACGAUGACUAUUCAGAAACAGUUCACUCUUGUUUUCAAGUCUGUCUAUUAUAGUAAGAAGUAUUGUCAAUUGGACUUAUUGGAAAUAAUAAAAUAAUAAUUCACCACACAAUAAAUGUACGGAAAUACAUGGAAAAAAUUGAAAGGGAGAGAUUUGCAAUAGAAAAAAUUGUCGUGUCAGUACCAAGAAAAUAACCCUCUUGACCUAGAAAUAUGAAUAUUUACCUUUAAUCAUCUUAUCAGUAAUUUAUCGUUUCUUAGUUGCUGCAAUCAUGGAACUUACAAUGCUUCCUAACUAAUCACAACCAUAGCUGAAUAAAACUCCCUCGUACCAAAUUCCAGGAGACCUUUUCCAUUGAAAUCUUGCAAGACAAUGACAUACAUGAACAGUAAACUACAGAAAUUACCUUUUGGUAGAUCUCCUCUUGCCAAUCAGCACCAUUUGCAUGUCCAGUCUCUGCUGUAGAAUCUAGGGAUGCUACAAAAAUUUUGAUACAGCCAACAAAAGAUUAGAAUUCAUGUAAUUUUUGAAUGUUUUCUGCACACAAGGUUAUUUCUGUAAUUUUCACACUUGUUGAAAAUUAUGCAAUAUUGUAGGUCUUGGUUUUAUAUCUAUUUAGUAUUUUAUUGUUCCUAAAGAAUAAGGAGCUUUAAUAGGUUUUCCCUAUCCUAGAUAGGACCAUUAGUAUUUUCUUACAUAGGAAUACAAGUCCUUUUUGGACUUGGAGUACUAGGAACUCCAUCUCAACGUUAUGUAACCAUUCAAACAGACAGAGAGACCCCCCUCCAACAAGUGAUCAUUAUAUAUUAAAAAAAAAAGGCUCAAACAAUUUAUCAUGGAAGAAAAGCACAAAAGUGACGCUUUACCUCCUAACCAGGAAAAUCUUUAAAAUAAACCAUCUCAAUCAUAAAAUAUAGAUAGCCAUGCAUCACAGUCCUUGUUCCUUGACAAGUUAUGGAUGAAACACUUCACAUGCCUUACAGAAUUAGCAUCGAGGAGGUGAUCAUGAGAUUUUCCAGCAAGGUGAUGAUUUAUCAGCACACCAAACCUUAAGUGCCUCAGAGUUAGUCCACUUGCUAAUUUCUUUCUUCCCAUAAAAAUCAAUUGGCUGAUGAUUAGUUACCCUAGUGUCAAAUGCAUUGUCCAGUUAUACAUAUAUUUUUAAAAUUCAUGUCCGUUAAAUUCAAAAUGAGAGGUGAACAAUUGGUGCGAUGAGCUGGAGGGCAUGAUGUGGUAACAAACGAGUGUGAUUGCAAUGGUUUCAAUAGCAGUGGCAUCAGUAGCACAUAAAGCUACCAAAAGAGCAUUGCUGACUUGAACCAUUAUGAGAGGUGAAUAGUUGGUGCAAUGCACUGGAUGGCAUUAUGUCGUAACAAAUGUAUGUGUGAUUGCAAUGGCUCCAAUAGCAGUGGCAUUUCUGAUGCCAUAAGUGGCAGCCAUAGCUCAUAAAGCUACCAAAAAGAGCAUUACUGACUUGUACCAUUAUUGUAUUUUCAAGAAAUUUAAAUAAAUACGUUAUAAUCUAACAUGAAAGCACAAAGCUGCAAAAUUAAAGUUGGAGCAAGGCUAGAGAGCUGCAAGGAUGAGAAAAACUUACUUAAGGACGUUUCUGGAAGGGCUCGUUGAGGUUGAUAUAACUGCUUUUGCUGAUCAAUCACAUUCAGCUGUUGAAGCAAGGAGCCUGAUGCUUGAAGCCUUUGCUGCAGAUCACGUUGUAAUGGAUUUGAUUGCUGUUGCUGCUGUCCAUGUUGAAUAUUAAACUCAACAUCCAGAAGGUCAAGGAAGGCAACCACCGCCUCACCGGCCACCAGCUGUCACCGACCAGCCGCCAGCCACCAGCUGCCACCGCCUAGCCGCAUUCACACCAUUGGCCGCCAACCAUUUUUCACACCAUGACGGUUGAAUUUUGAGCCGACUGAAUUUGUGUAUAAAUAAGCAUCUAAGCUAAGGUUAUUAUAAGUGUGAAGAGAAGAGAAAAACAAUAGAUAGAGAGAGAGAGAGGGUGUGUAUUGUAAAGCUUUAUUGUUAUUGUUAAGCUUCUGUUUUUUGUAAUAAAACUUCGUGUUUUAUCCCCUCUUAGUGUUUUAAAGCCACCACCAGUGGUUUCUCCCACCAACAAUUGGUAUCAGAGCCCCGUUCGUCGGAAAACAGAAGAGUUGUGGGGUAUAUCCGAAAUUUCAAAGUUGUCAAAAACAAGUUUUGAUCAUUCCAUAGUGUAGAGCUCAUCAAGACGAACUCAACGCCGCAAAAAUCAGCCUCAUCGGAGUCCGGGGUAGCCCACACGCGCCGUCUGAUUCAGCCAGAUCGCCCACGCGCAUCCCACGCGCCCCAGGUUGAAGACGACUGAGCCACACGCGCGCCAUAUUCGAGCCGUGUAAGCCGCCUAAGCCGAGUCCAGCCAAGCCACAAGCCGAGCCGUACCCCGAGCCGAGCCGAGCCGAAGGAAUAUUCCCCAGAAUAUUCCACGAAUAUUCCCCAGCAUAUUCCCAAGAAUAUUCCCGCGAAUAUUCCCGAAUAUUCCCCGAAUAUUCCCAGAAUAUUCCCCAGAAUAUUCCACAGAAUAUUCCCGGUUCAACCCAGCGAACCGCCCCCGUACAGAAUUGGUUUUUUGACCGGUUCACCCAUUUUUUGACCCGAUUUCAACAAAGUAAGACCGGUUCCCUACUAUUUGGACCAUUCCGGAUCGAUCUACAGUGUCCGUUUGGCCAAAUUCGGCUCCCAGAAAGGUGAUAUAGUCAUUCAAAGAGCAAAAUGACUACAGAAGGUACACAUACACUCAUCCCGAAGCUGACCAAAGACAACUAUGAUAGUUGGUGCAUCAGAUUGAAGGCAUUCCUUGGGUCACAAGAGUGUUUGGAUAUUGUACAAACUGGUUAUGAUGAACCAGAAUCCAAAGAAAGAGAAGAUGUUUUACAAGAGGCACAGAAGCAAGCUUUGAAAGUCAACAGAAAGAAGGACAACAAGGCAAAGACCAUCAUCUAUCAAGGUCUUGAUGAAGAUACAUUCGAGAUAAUAGCUUCCGCUGAAACGUCACAUGAUAUAUGGGAGGCUCUCCAACAGAAAUACAAAGGUGCUGACAGAAUCAAGAAGAUUCGUCUUCAAUCUUUGAGAGGAGAAUUCGAAUUAUUACGAAUGAAGUCCUCAGAAUCUAUUUCUGAUUAUCAUACAAGGAUUAUGGUGAUAGUCAAUCAGAUGAGGAGAAAUGGAGAAGCCAUCAUAGAUACUCGAAUUAUUGAGAAAAUUUUGAGAUCCAUAGAUCCAAAAUUUGAUCAUGUUGUUGUCGCAAUUGAAGAGUCCAAGGAAGUGGACAAGUUGACAGUGGAUGAGCUUAUGAGUUCUUUGCAAGCUCAUGAGCAGAAGAUUGUAAUGCGAAAUGAAGAUAAGGCCAUUGAGCAUGCCUUACAAGCAAAGCUGUCUUUCAAAGACAGAUAUGAGCAAGGGGAGACUUCAUCAAGUGGCUACACCACUCAAGGAGGAAGUCAGCAAUCCAGAGGAGGAUUUCAUAGAUUCCAAGGAAGAGGAAGAGGAUCUUGGAAUACAAGCUUCAGAGGAAAAGGUGGCAGAAACACCACCAGAGGAGGCCGAGGACAACAAGCAUUCACUCCUAGAGGAAGAGGAGGCGGUUACAAUAACCGUGACAAGAGAAUAUCAAAUGUUAUAGCUGCAAUCAAUUUGGGCACUAUAGCACUGAAUGCGAUGGAAAGCUCCGUUGGAGAUACGUGAGCAAGCCAACUAUGUAGAGAAGAUGAUGGAGAAGCAUCUGCAUUUCUUGUCCAACAAGGACAUGGCGAGAAACAGAGGAGAUAUGGUAUCUAGAUACUGGAGCCAGCAAUCACAUGUGCGGCUACCGAGAGUUAUUUGGUGAUCUAGAUGAGACCAAGCAAGGUCUAGUUACUUUUGGAGAUACCACAAAGGUUCCAUUCAAAGGUAAAGGCACAUCCCAGUAAGUUGAAGAAUGGCGAUUCCAGCUACAUCGCCGAUGUCUAUUAUGUCCCAGCCAUAAAGCAGAACCUGAUCAGCUUAGGUCAACUGUUGGAGAGAGGAUAUAUCUUUUACUCGAAGAAUUGUCAUCUGGCAAUUAGAGACAACAAUGGGAGAUUAAUGGCCUACGUGAAAAUGUCCAAGAAUAGGAUGUUUCCUUUGAACAUCCAGUAUGAUGCAACAAGGUGUUUGAGCGCCAUCACCAACAGUGAAGAAUGGCUUUGGCACCUAAGGCUUGGACAUCUGAAUUUCACAAGUCUGAAGAUGCUAGCAAGCAAGAAGAUGGUCAAAGGUUUGCCUCACAUUGAUCAUCCAGAUGAAGUCUGUGAGAGUUGUGUCCUCAGCAAACAUCACAGAUCCAGUUUUGCCAAAGAAGUCAACUGGAGAGCAAAGAGGCCACUGGAGUUAGUACACACAGAUGUGUGUGGCCCAAUUACGCCUAUGUCGACUGGACAAAAUAGGUACUUCCUCACUUUUACUGAUGAUUGUAGUAGAAAGACAUGGAUAUACUUUCUGAAGAGGAAGUCAGAAGUAUUCAAUUGUUUUAAAGAUUUUAAAGCAAUUGUGGAGAAGCAAACUGGUUACACGAUCAGAACCGUAAGAUCUGAUCAAGGUGGAGAAUAUACAGCCAACGACUUUGAAGCCUUUGUACACAACAAGGCAUCAACAUCAACGACGCCAGCUUAUACACCACAGCUGAAUGGUGUAGCAGAAAGGAAGAAUCGCACGAUUCUUGACAUGGCAGAAGUUUGCUCAAAGCAAAGAAGCUGCCCAAGCAAUACUGGGCUGAAGCUGUAUCAUGUGCAGUGUAUACUGAAUCGCUGCCCAACCAGAAGUUUGCAAGGAUCACUCCAGAAGAAGCAUGGAGUGGUCACAAACCAAGUGUUACUCAUCUACGAGUCUUUGGUUGUGUGGCAUAUGCAAAGAUCCCAGAUGCAAGAAGGAGAAAGCUCGAUGAUAAGAGCGAGAAAUGCAUCUUUGUCGGAUAUGGUGAAAGAAGGAUGGGAUACAGGCUGUAUAAUCCCAUCACGAAGAAGGUGAUUACGAGUAGAGAUGUUAUCUUUGAAGAAGAUAAAUCUUGGGCAUGGAAUGAUGAUCAAGAAGCAGUCAGAUGGAUCAACACUGAUUUGAUCCUUGAAGGUGAAGAAGUACCAACAGUACUUAUAGAAGAACCGAUUGUGCCAGCAGCUGAACCACAAAGUCCGGUGAUUAUGCCAGCAGCUGAACCACAAAGUCCGGUGCACAGAUUCCCUGUAUUCAACAGGAGGAAUACACCAGGAGCAUCAUCAUCAACACCACCAUCAGCAUCCUCAUCAGAAGAACCAAGAAGGAUGCGGAAUCUUGAAGAGCUGUAUGAUGCCACUCAAGUUAUGGAAGAUACAAAUUUAUUUUGUUUCUUUGCAGAUAGUGACCCAUUAAGCUUCAAUGAAGCUGUCACAGAAGAGAAAUGGAUAACAGCAAUGGAUGAAGAAAUACAUGCCAUUGAGAAGAAUGAUACCUGGAAGCUGACUUAUCUACCAGAAAACAAGAAAGCAAUAGGUGUCAAAUGGGUCUACAAGACGAAGAAGAAUGCCAAAGGAGAAGUGCAAAGAUACAAAGCCAGAUUAGUGGCUAAAGGCUACAAACAGAGAGAAGGCAUUGACUAUGGAGAAAUAUUUGCUCCAGUAGCCCGGCUAGAGACAAUCAGACUGAUGAUCUCACUAGCUGCACAACAUAGAUGGAAGAUCUAUCAACUCGAUGUGAAGUCAGCAUUUCUGAAUGGCUUCCUAGAAGAAGAAAUCUAUGUUGAACAACCACUUGGAUACAUUGAUGCUGAAAAUGAAGGCAAAGUAUACAAGUUGAAGAAGGCUCUCUAUGGUUUGAAGCAAGCUCCGCGUGCUUGGAAUACCAGAAUUGACAGGUAUUUUCAAGAUAAUGGAUUUGAAAAUGUCCAUAUGAACACGCUAUAUAUGUGAAGAAAGGAGCAGAUGGCAGCAUCUUAUUUGCGUGCCUGUAUGUUGAUGAUUUGAUAUUCACCGGCAACAACCCUACCAUGUUUGACGACUUCAAACAAAGCAUGGUACAGGAGUUUGAAAUGACUGACAUUGGUCUAAUGUCACAUUUUCUUGGCUUAGAAGUAACGCAGAAGGAAGAAGGGAUUUUUGUAUCCCAAAGCGGUUACGCCAAAGAUAUUCUUGAAAGGUUCAAGAUGGAAAGCUGCAAUCCGGUAUCAACUCCAGUUGAGAAUGGAGUGGAAUUGAGGAAGAGUAAGGUUGGAAAUGUUGAUCCAACUUACUUCAAAAGCUUAGUAGGAAGCUUAAGGUACUUGACAUGUACCAGACCAGAUAUACUCUACGGAGUCGGACUCGUCAGCAGAUACAUGGAGACACCAGACCAGUCUCAUUUGAAUGCAGCCAAGAGAAUUCUUCGCUACAUCAAAGGCACAAUGAAUGAAGGUAUGUUUUAUACCUCAAGUAAAGACUUUAAUCUUGUAGGCUACUCGGAUAGUGAUUGGGGUAGAGAUUUGGAUGAAAGGAAAAGCACAACAGGGUUUGUCUUUUUCAUGGGAGACACAUCUUUCACAUGGUCAUCCAAGAAGCAAUCGAUUGUCACGUUAUCAAGCUGUGAAGCUGAAUAUGUAGCUGCCAACUCAGCCGUAUGCCACUCAAUAUGGUUAAGGAAUAUGCUGAAGUUUUUGGGAUUUCCUCAAGAAAAUCCUACGGAGAUUUAUAUUGACAAUCGAUCAGCAAUCGCAUUGGCAAAGAAUCCAGUGUAUCAUGAGAGGAGCAAACAUAUUGAUACACGUCAUCACUUUAUCCGGGAACAUGUGAAGAAUGAAGAAGUUCAACUGAUAUCUUGAACACAAAUGAUCAAGUUGCAGACAUCUUCACAAAGCCAUUGAAAAGAGAAGUAUUUAUCAGAUUAAAGUACAUGCUAGGCAUGACAUCCCUCGAUUGAGUUUAAGGGGGAGAUUUGUUGAAUAUUAAACUCAACAUCCAGAAGGUCAAGGAAGGCAACCACCGCCUCACCGGCCACCAGCUGUCACCGACCAGCCGCCAGCCACCAGCUGCCACCGCCUAGCCGCAUUCACACCAUUGGCCGCCAACCAUUUUUCACACCAUGACGGUUGAAUUUUGAGCCGACUGAAUUUGUGUAUAAAUAAGCAUCUAAGCUAAGGUUAUUAUAAGUGUGGAGAGAAGAGAAAAACAAUAGAUAGAGAGAGAGAGAGGGUGUGUAUUGUAAAGCUUUAUUGUUAUUGUUAAGCUUCUGUUUUUUGUAAUAAAACUUCGUGUUUUAUCCCCUCUUAGUGUUUUAAAGCCACCACCAGUGGUUCCUCCCACCAACAGUCCAGGCUGUGAUUGAAUCUGUGCCAUCAAUUGCUGCUGUGGCAGCUGUGAGUGUGACUGCUGCAGUGUAACCUUGGGCUGUUGCAGCAUGUGUGUUGAAUAUUAAACUCAACAUCCAGAAGGUCAAGGAAGGCAACCACCCACCAGCCGCAGCCGCCAGCCGCCUUCACACCACCGGCCGCCAGCCGCCUUCACACUUGGAACAGUUGAUUUUUUGUAUUUUGAUUUCGUGUAUAAAUAGAGUGCCCAGCUUCUAUUAAUGUGUGUGGAGAGAAUUGAGAGAAACAUUAGAGAGAAAGAGAGGGUGUGUAUUGUGAGUUUUGUGUUAUUGUAAGCUUCGGUUUUUUGUAAUAAAACAGUGUGUUUUAUCCCCUCUGAGUGUUUCAAAGCCACCACCAGUGGUUUCUCCCACCAAUAAUGUGUAGACAAUGCUGAUUAGAUUGCAUGCUUGAGUUACCAGGCUGAGGCUGUUGUUGUAAACCAGUGACAUUACUUUGAGGGCCCAACUGUUGCUGAUGCAUGCUUGAGAGGUUAUUUUGUUGAGCCAUUAACUGCUGCUGCUGCUGCAGAUUUUGAAGGUUAUUCUGCUGAACUAGCAAUCUCUGCUGCUGCUGCUGCAAGUCCCCAACAAUGUUUUGUUGUCCAAUUAACUGAUUUUGCGACAUGUUAGUGGUAUUUGAUUGUUGCCCCAUUAGCUGCUGUUGUGGAGGCAAUAGUGGCUGCUGCAUCAUUGGUGUUUGCUGCUGAUGAAUACCAGCAGACUGUUGAGGCUGCUGCUGCUGCUGCCUAAGGACUGAUUGUGGAUGUUGCUGGUGCAUUGGUUGUGUUGACUGUUGAACAGAAGAUGGUUGGUUCUGUUGAAGGCCAGAGACAGUUUGCAUCAUUGAAGGCUGCAUAACAGUUGAUGUUUGCAAACCAGAUUGCUGAGAAGAUUGCAACUGAUUUGGCUGUAACAAAUUUUGCUGCUGCUGCUGUUGCUGCUGGUGGAUGUGAGAUUGCACAAGUGAGUGUGGAUGAUUUCCCUGUUGAAGCUUCUGCUUUAAAAGCUGUUGUUGUAUCUGCUGCUGAUAAAGAUACUGCUGAGGAUUUUGGGACUGCUGCUGUUGCUGUGGAGGAACAACUUGUUGCCUGCCUGGCAUUUGUCUCUGAGAAUUGACAAACAUAUUGGAGGGAAUCCCUUGUCCCAUUGAAUUCCCCACUGGGUUCUGUGAAACACCAGAGAUACUCUGCAUGUUAGCAUUCUGUCCAACAGUGUUUGAGAUAGUCUGGGUUAAACCGGAGACAGAAGGCAUUGCUGAUUGUAAACCAGCAGAACUUUGAACUCCAUUAAAUGACAUAAUAUUCCGCAUGUUCUGUGAUAACUGCUGACGUGCUUGAGACUGAUUGGUGGGCAAUGAGAUAGGGAGCGACUGCCCUUGGUUGUGAACUUGAGGCGGCAUACUAUGAGAUGCUGUUCAAGAUAAAAGGCAAAAAGGAAAACCAUGUCUAAGGAAAAAAAGAAGGCAUUGAGCAAGAAAAACAAAUGAAACAAUGACAGUUCACACGUAAAGUUAUGAGGUAAAUAAUUAAGAUGGUUUUACCUCAAAGCAUAAAAGUACAAAAAUAAUCUGUAAUUUUUUUGAACAUUCAUCAAUUACUCAACUAUUUUAUUAAAGCAUGGUAUAUACAUAGCAAUAUGCAGCAAUAAAAUGUAAAAGAGUUUGAUAACAAUGCGAAUUAUAAAACAAAAGGUAAGGAUGUUUAGAAAUUCAAUGCUUGGCUGCAUUAUUACCUCCUGGAUCCAGGGGUUUGUUACCAUUGCCAGUGGGUAUGGUAUUUUGAGACUUGGUCUCCAUUGUAAGCAUCUUCAGAGAUAUUUUACGUAGAUAAUCAGACUGAAAUCAGAUAUCAAUAACAAAAGAUUAGAUCUCUGCACAAUCCAUGUUACAAGAGAAGGGGGCAAAGGGAUUUAUGCUCUUUCUAAUCUGCUAGGCUCUUUGUAUUUGCAUCUUCUGUGAGGAUAUACUUCUGUGUCCUCUCUUUUUAUUUAAUUAUUUAUGUAUUGAUUCGUUAUUUGCAUUUUGCACACUUCCCUUGUACUUGAAAAGGACCUUGGUCACUCUAAAUAAAACACUUGCCAAGAGAAUUAACGAAAAGAUGAGAACUUCUACAAAAUGACCAGUGAGGAAGUGUGGACACACUAUAAUGCAGAACGAUAUCAAGACAGACACAAUAUUCACUAAAGUUGGUUCCAGAAGAAGAGAAUCGAAGAAGAAUUAACAAAUGGAAAGAAAGCUAAUGUUUUAUUGUAGAGAAUAAAGAUUACAAAGAAGAUAAAACAAGUAGCCUCACACCACUCAAGAGAAUCACUCUCAUUUUGGAAUCACACCCCAAGCAACUUGUACUUGCAUCAGUUUCCUCACUCCCCAAGCAACUUGCCUCAGGCAAGUAUUGUUGAAUAUAAUCUUGAAGUAACUGAGGAUUCAAACGUUGAAUUUCCUUCUCAUGUACCCAUGUGGCUUCGGAUUGUGGUUUGGAUGCCCAUUGAACUAAGAAUUUAUUAUAGCCUCCCCUUCUGUUGGACACGUACUGAUGUGCUAAAAUAGAAUUCACGAGUUCUGGUGUAGGAACAACUUGAGGGAUUGUUGAUGGUGCAGGUUGGUCUUCCAGAAUUGAUGGAGGGCCAUGGUAGGCUGUUAGAUCUGCAACAUUGAAAAUGGGACUAAAUUGAAACUCUGGUGGUAAAUCAACCAAAUAAGCAUUGUCUCCCAAUUUCUUCAAGAUGUGAAAUGGGCCACCCCUACGAGCAUGUAAUUUGUUGUAAGUUCCAGGGGGAAACCUCUCUGGCCUCAAUCUUAUCAAUACAAGAUCUCCUUCUGCAAACUGCACUUCUCUUCUGUGACGAUUUGCAUGUUCAGCAUACUUAGCCACUUGUUCUGCCAUUUUACACCUGACGCUGCUAUGUAAUGAGGACAUAAAUGUUGCAAAAUCUAGGCCGCCUUCACUAGUCUUCUGAGGUAAUGGUAGAGGAAUGGUGUCAAUAGGUACUUUGGGGUGCAAUCCAUAUACCAACUCAAAAGGUGUAUGCCCUAUAGUCCGAUUUACAGAGUUAUUGUAGGCAAAUUCUGCUUGAGGCAGAACCAAAUCCCAACUGACUCCAUGCUCAUUUGUUAAACACCGUACAAGAUUACCAAGACUUCUGUUAAUUACUGCAGUUUGGUUGUCGGUUUGAGGGUGAAAAGCACUAGAGAAAAGGAGUUUUGUCCCUAAUUUAGCCCAAAAUGUCUUCCAAAAAUAGCUGACGAAUUUAACAUCCUUGUCUGAGACAAUAGAUAGUGGAAUGCCAUGCAAUCUUAUAAUCUCUUUCACAAAAAAAGAUGCAAUAUGGGAAGCAUCAAAAGUCUUCUUACAAGGAACAAAAUGUGCCAUUUUUGAGAACCGAUCCACCACCACCAUAAUGGAAUCAUGCCCCCGAACUGUCCUGGGAAGUCCCAAGACAAAAUCCAUGCUCAAUUCCAGCCAUGGUUGAUACGGAAUUGGUAAGGGAGUAUAAAGACCAGCAUUAGUCUUGUUUCCCUUAUUCAGUUGACAGAUCUUGCAUCUAUUCACAAUAGUAUGAACAUCCUUUCUCAUACCUGGCCAGAAAAAUCGAUCAACAACCAGUGAAUAUGUCUUGUCCUGACCAAAGUGUCCUGCUAGUCCUCCACAAUGUAAUUCUUGAAUGAUGAACUCACGCAUGGAUCCUGAUGUGAUGCAGAUACAGCCUCCUUUAGUUAAAUACCCAUCCAAGAUAAGGUAAUCUGCUAUGAAAGUGGGAGGGUUGCUGUUGAUAGAUGCCCAAAUCUUUUGGAAAUCAGGAUCUGUAGAAUAAGAGGUCUUCAUUGAAGCAAAACCUGAUGGGUUAAUUGACAGAAUAGUGGAAGAAUGAGAUCGUCGACUAAAUGCAUCAGCCACUUUAUUCUCACAACCAGUUUUGUGUCUGAUAACAAAACUAAAUUGUUGCAAGAAACUGAUCCAUCUAGCAUGUCUGGGACUCAACUUGUUCUGUGAAUGUAAAUACUUCAAUGAAUCAUGAUCUGUAAAUAAAAUGAACUCACGGUGGAUAAGAUAUGGUCGCUAGUGCUUCAAUGUCUGAAUUAGAGCAUAAAACUCUAAAUCAUAGGCUGAGUAUCUCCUUCUGGUGUCGUUUAACUUUUCACUGUAAAAGGCAAUAGGGUGUCCAGCCUGACUUAAUACUCCGCCUAUGCCCACUUGAGAGGCAUCACAAGAAAUCUCAAAAAUCUGGGAGAAAUCUGGAAGUUUCAGAACGGGUGCCUCUGUCAUCUUCUGUUUGAUAAGCUGGAAUGUUGCCUUUGCUGCUGGAGUCCAUUUAAAAACCUUGGCCUUGAGACAUUCUGUAAUUGGAGCCAUAAUGGUGCUAAAAGCAUGAAUGAAUCGGCGAUAGAAAGUGGCCAAGCCAUGGAAACUUCGAACCUCAAAAAAUGACUGUGGUUCGGGCCAUUCCAAGAUUGCUCUCACCUUCUCUGGAUCAACUUCUACACCUUGCUGUGAUAUAAUAAACCCCAGGAAGUAUGUCUUUGAUUGAAGAAAAGAGCAUUAGUUGAAAUUUGCAUAGAACUUUUCUUGUCGUAACACUUGCAGGAUUUGUUUCAGAUGUUGAAGAUGCUCCUCCCUGUGCUGGCUGAAGACAAGUAUGUCAUCAAAAUAGACAACAACACACUUGCCUAAAUAUGGCUUCAACGUCUGAGUCAUCACCCUCAUAAACGUGCUUGGUGCAUUGGUGAGGCCAAAGGGCAUCACUAACCAUUCAUACAACCCUUCUUUUGUCUUGAAAGCUGUCUUCCAUUCAUCUCCAGGUCUAAGACGAAUCUGAUGGUAACCACUUCGCAAAUCCAGUUUGGAGAAGAUGUUGGCUUGUCCCAUUGAUCCAACAGAUCAUCCAAUCGGGGGAUUGGAAAGCAAUAUUUGACAGUUAUCUUGUUCACUGCUCUGCUAUCAAUACACAUUCUCCAGCUGCCAUCUUUUUUUGGAAUGAGAAGGGCUGGUACAGCACAAGGACUAAGGCUUUCUCUAAUAAAACCCUUUUGCUCCAAUUCCUGCACUUGACGCUGUAACUCCUUAUGCUCUGCUGGACUCAUACGGUAAUGUGGCAGGUUUGGCAAGGAGGAACCCAGUACCAGGUCAAUUGCAUGUUGGACAUCACGCAAAGGAGGUAGUUGGGAGGGAAGUUCUUUGGGAAAAACAUCUUUAAACUGGUGCAGCAGAUGUUGAAGAGUUGUUGGUAAGCAUUCCCUUUCAGUCUUCAGUCCUUCAUCUACGAUCCUGCUCACCAGCAUAAACACAACUUGACUCUCAAGUAGUGCUCAUUGAAAUUUUUGAUGGGAUAAAAUCAUAGCUGGCUUGUGUGGGAACUCCAUGAUAGGAAGCGGUUCCAAAAUCAACUUCUUAUUCUUGAAUAUCAAUGAAUAAGUGUUGUGAAACCCAUCAUAACUUACUUUUCUGUCAUACAUCCAUGGUCGGCCUAGAAGAACAUGACAGACUGUCAUGGGGAGUAUAUCACACCAGACUUCAUCUUGAAAAUGAUCCCCUAGAGAAAAUGAUAGUAGGCAGCGAUGUUGGACCUUAACUGGAUUUUUAUCAUGGAUCCAACUAACACUGUAUGGGGUAGGGUGUUCUUCUGUUGGUAGGUGUAAUUUCUCCACAGCCUCAGUGGAAAUUACAUUAAGGCCACUUCCGUUGUCAAGAAUCAUGUUCAGUGCCUUGCCCUUGCAUGCUACCCUGGUGUGAAAUAUAUUUGUCCUCCUCCAUUCGUCUUCUAAGUGUGCUGCAGGUGUCGCCUGACUGGAUAACAUCCGGUGGACUACACACAAAGGUAGUUCAGAAGCUUGCAACCUUUCUUCUCCAAACUCUUCAAUUUCGGUUUCUCCAAUUUCUUGAUCUCCAGUUGAGGACUCAGGCAUGGCUUCAGAGUUCAUUUCAGAAGUAAGCAUUACCUUUCUUUCUUUUGUCGGACAUACUGCUACAAAAUGUCUAUGGCCCUUGCAUUUGUAGCACUGUGGUCCUGUUGCAUUGGUACUAGGCUUCCUUUGAUCUCCAUAUGGAAGUGCAUUCUUGACAGCAUUCACCAUUCCGCGAUCGUUGGUCUGCAAGGAUGUUGUUUUGGAAGUGCCCCACCAAUCUCUUGUCAACUGGCCUUUAGAAAUUGUUUGUUGUUUCUCCAACUGUAGAGCCAGCUGGUAUGCUUCAUCUACAGAGAACAAUCUUGUUGUAAACAUAUCUCUUCUAAUAUCAACACGUAGUCCUCUCAAAUACCGGGCAAGGGUUUGUUGAUCGGUUUCCAUGACUUGACUUCUUACAGAUAAAUCAUGGAAUUUUUCAGUAUACUGGUCAACUGUCAUAUGCAUACCCUGCAUCCAGCGAAGCAUGGCUUCAUAUACCAAUUGUUCAUAAUUGGCAGGGAGAUAUUUAGUCUCUAGACGAGCUUUCAUCUCUACCCAAUCCUGAAUAGGAGGUUGGCGUGUCCGGCUAAGUUGUUCUUCUACAUUUCCCCACCAUGCACGAGCAGCCCCUUUUAAUUUUAAUUUAACAAAUCUGACCUUCCGAUUUUCAGGUACUGAAAACCAUUCAAAAUAGUCUUCUAACGAUACCAACCAAUCUUGAAAUACAUCAGGAUCUUGUCUCCCAGAAAAAUCAGAUACGUCCACUCUUAUUCCUCUAGAAAUUUCAUCAAAGACCCUGCCAUCUCUGUUUCUAUAAUCGCCCACAUGUUCUCCUACUUCUUCCGCAUCUAUUGCUACAUUGCCUCCUUGAUUCACUCUACCCCUUCUGUGAUCAACAGUAUUACUCCUCUCUUCAAUAUGCUCCAGACAUCCAACAAUAGUUCCCAAAGUACUGGUAACUAACUCCAUUUGAUGUUGUAACUGGUGUAACAGAGAAACAGGUUCAUUUUGUAAAGGUGUUGGAUGGGGGUGGGGGUUCUGUGUAGAAGUCUGGGAAAUAUUUGGAGGAAAAGGUAUUGGAGGAGGAGAAUUUAACGGGUUCUGUGGGUUUGUUUGUUGUAGGGGUUCAGUGUGUGGGAGUGUAUGUUGAGAGGGAUGAGGUUGGGAAGGACCAGGUUCCCGUAAUCCCUGAUUGGGAUUAUAGGAAUUGCCACUUCGGGUUCCUGGCAUGGGAGAACAAAAAUCGAAACCUGCUCUGAUACCAAAUAAUGCAGAACGAUAUCAAGACAGACACAAUAUUCACUAAAGUUGGUUCCAGCAGAAGAGAACCGAAGAAGAAUUAACAAAUGGAAAGAAAGCUGAUGUUUUAUUGCAGAGAAUAAAGAUUACAAAGAAGAUAGAACAAGUAGCCUCACACCACUCAAGAGAAUCACUCUCAUUUUGGAAUCACACCAAAGAAAAGAACUGUAUUACAAUCUACUAAAUCAUACAAACAUUCUACAUUAAAUAGAAAUACAUAUUACAGUUAAUACUAAUUAACUACUUAAGAUAAGAACAAUGACAGUUAUAGUAACUGCUUCUGCCACUUGGAAGUAUGAGAUGAUCUUCAGUUAUUUGUUUAUAACUUCCACUUUUGUCAACGUGUAAUCUGGAUGUAUUCCUUUACUUGAAUUGGUUGAUCCCUGUCAGCAGUUGUUAUGGCCUUCUGCUGGUUUGGAUUAGAGUGCUAUCACUUGGAAUACCUGUACUUGCAUCACACUACACACACAUGUGUACAUGCGUAAAUCCACAAACUUAUGCAUGUGUAUAUUCAUGUCUAGAGAAUAUCCAAAUUAUUGAACCUAGCAUUAGCCGAAUACCUGAUUGGUAGCAGCAGUAUAAAUCUUUUCCUCAAACCGUACGGCAAUUUUCUUGAGUUCUUGUAAUCCCUCUUGACCAGAAAACGGAAGAUGCCUCUUUAAUGUCUCCAUUCUACACAUGUAAAACAUUACAUUUAGUUUUUAAUGACAAGGCAGGUAUAGAGAAGUUAGCAGCAGUGACAAAGAACCGUGAACUCAUACACCACACCAAUAUCAGAAAUGUAUACAACGGAAUCAUUAGCAAAAAGUAAAAACAAAUAAUGAUAUAGCCGAGUGUCGAUCAAGUAAUAUAUGGCAUCAACAUACAGACAUCUAUUUUUACUUCCUUUCCCCGUGUUAUUGCAGAGGUACAGGGUAUAGGAGUUCACUUGGCCACCCUUCUGUCUAAAAUUCUAGUUACAAGCUUCAUGGUUAAUUUUCUUGAACUGGAAGAACCUUCCAUUUAUGGCUAUGGCUAUGCUCCACGGUAUAUAAGUGCAUUAGCUGCAAACCAGGGGAACUCUAUGAAAACAUUACAAUAGCAUUUAGUCUGAGUAAGAAAACUUUUAUACAUGCACUGUAAUUGACAAUGAAAAGAAGAGAAAUCCUUUUAAUUUAUGAAAAUGCAAUGAGUUAAUCUUAUCUCACGCUGCAACAUAUACUCUACAGUGCUCAUUGGCUACUGCAAGUGCCAACAGUAGCUGUCUAUAUGAUUUUGGAUGUAGAGAUAUCGCCAAAACAUUCAACUUUAUACUGAGAAACUAGGAAACCAUACACUAUUGUGGCUAAUUGAUUUUUGUCUGCUGCUUUUGUACUUUAAGAUCACUAUCAUUUCAAUCCUGUAGAAGGAAAGCAAAUAGAAGGUCCAAAUCCAACACUAUUCAUUUAAGUUCAGUUGCAACUCAAGGUUGAAAUUGAAACACCAAUGCUCAUAGCAAUAGAUUAACCUUGAAAUUUAAAGCGGAACAAGCUUCAUGCAGCCAUCCAAGAGGUCAUCAUCAAAAGAAGAUGUUACACAAGAAGUUCCAACAAAAAUUACUUCCCAGCACUUUUUAUUCCCUCAAGUUCACUUCUUGUGAGAAACAAGUGAAAAAUGAAAAAGACAAAAACAGAGGUGUAUGAUACUAUUGUUUAACUGCCUUAGAAAGCUGCAAAAGACCAGGAAGCUGAGCUGCUGCAUGUUGAUCAAAUCUAGUCAAUAAGGAUCUCUGCUGAAGACCAAGAUUCUAGGAAUAAAUAACUGAUCAUAUCUGAUCAGUAGUUAUGCAUUUGAAUUUUGAAUUGUUUUUGUUUCCAUGUAAAACUCUAACUCUAUUUAAAGAGUAUUCAAUGAUCAAUGAAAGUAAUCUUCUUCUACAAAUUCUAUUCUGCUGUUGAGUUGCACUAACGAUUGUCCUGCAACUAAAGAAUAUAACCAACAAAUUGGUAUCAGAGCAAUAUAUCUUUCUUGAGGGACUUGUGAGUUGAGAGAAACAAAAACACAAAACCAAAUCAAACCACAAACACAACCAAAAAACACAAAAUGGAUUCUGAAACAAUUAUCUCGCAUGGCUCACCGCCAAUGUUCAAUGGUGAAAACUAUGAAACAUGGGCCAUCAGAAUGACAGUGCAUCUGGAGGCGCUAGAUCUCUGGGAAGCUGUGGAAGAAAACUAUGUUGUUCCUGACUUGCCUGCAAAUCCAACAAUAGCUCAGCUAAAGAUUAACAAGGAGAAGAAGACAAGAAAAUCCAAGGCCAAAGCUUGCUUAUAUGCUGCUGUAUCGAAUACAGUAUUCACAAGAAUCAUGAAUGUGGAUUCGGCAAAAGGUAUUUGGGAUUAUCUUAAAAAGGAAUAUCAAGGAAAUGAAAGAACCAAAAAUAUGCAGGUUCUUAAUUUAAUUAGAGAGUUUGAAAUGCAAAAGAUGAAGGAAACUGAAAACAUCAAAGAUUAUGCUGACAGAUUGCUAAGCAUAAUAAACAAAGUAAGAUUGCUUGGAAAAGAAUUUUCUGAUGAUAGAAUUGUGCAGAAAAUACUGGUUACUAUGCCAGAAAAAUAUGAGUCUAAGAUCUCUUCAUUAGAAGAGUCUAAAGACUUAACCAGCAUCUCUCUUGGAGAGUUGACAAAUGCAUUGCAGGCACAAGAACAGAGAAGAUCAAUGAGACUUGAAGAAUCAGUGCAGGGAGCUUUUCAAGCAAGAACUCAAUAUCAAGGAGGAAGCAGAAACAAGAGAUUCAUCAAGAAGAACAAAUUUCAAACUUACAGAAACAAGGUGGAAACAUUUCCACCAUGUACCUACUGUAAAAAGACAAAUCAUCAGCCGAUCAAAUGCUGGUGGAGACCAGAUAUCAAAUGCAGAAAGUGUGGGCAGACUGGACAUGUUGAACGAAUCUGCAGGACACAACAUCUUGAAGAAAAGGCAAAUCCUGUUGCACAACAAUCUGAAGAGGAGCAGCUGUUUGUUGCAUCAUGUUUUUCAACAGGAAAUAGUUCGAAUGAUUCCUGGUUGAUUGAUAGUGGAUGCACAAACCACAUGACAAACAAUCAGGAUUUGUUCAAAGAGCUUGACAGAACAGCUAUUUCCAAAGUUAAAAUUGGAAAUGGUGAUCACAUUGAUGUCAGAGGCAAAGGAACUGUUGUCUAAAUAGUCUGUCAGGUUUGAAGUAUAUUUCAGAUGUUUUAUAUGUGCCUGACAUUGAUCAAAACUUGCUUAGUGUUGGACAGCUCAUUGAGAAAGGAUUCAAAGUAAUGUUUGAAGAUCAAUGGUGUCUGAUCAAAGACAACUUGGGCAACAAUGUGUUCAGGGUAAAAAUGAAAUCAAAAGGUUUUAUUUUAAACCUUAUGGAGAAGGAGCAGAGUGUGUUUUCUGCAAAAAUAUGCAGUGAUGAACUAUGGCAUAAAAGGGUUGGACACUUUCAUCAUGCAGGGCUUAUCUACAUGCAAACACAUACUCUUGUAAAAGGAGUACCACAACUGGAGAAUGGAUCAAUAAACUGUGCAGCAUGUCAAUAUGGAAAGCAGGCCAGAAAACCUUUCCUCAUGCAACCUGGAGAGCAACACGAAAACUUCAGCUGAUACAUACAGAUGUUGGAGGUCCUCUGAGUACAGCUUCACUGAAUGGCAGCAAAUAUUAUAUCAUCUUCAUUGAUGAUUAUUCCAGGUUCUGUUGGAUUUACUUUCUUAAAUUCAAGUCAGAAGUUGCUAAUGUUCUGGAAAUAUAAAACAUGGGUAGAGAAUCAAAGUGGGUGCAGGAUUCAAACAUUAAGAUCAGACAAUGGAAAGGAGUAUACCUGUGGAAGAUUCCAACAAUUCUGUGAUGAAUCCGGAAUUGAACAUCAGCUUACUGCACCUUACACACCUCAACAGAAUGGUGUGAGUGAAAGAAAAAACAGGAGUAUCAUGGAAAUGGCCAGAUGUAUGCUGCACGAAAAAGAAUUGCCAAAGAAAUUGUGGGCUGAAGCUGCAAAUACCUCAGUAUAUCUGCUGAACAGAAUGCCAACCAGAGCUUUGCAGAAAAAAACUCCUUUUGAAGCUUGGUUUGGAUACAAACCAGACCUGCAACAUUUGAAAAUUUUUGGUUGUAUUUGUUUCAGUCAUGUACCACAGGUGAAAAGAGAUAAGCUGGACAAGAAGUCAGAACCAGGAGUCUUCAUUGGAUACAGCAGUCCAUCAAAAGCUUACAGAAUUUUCCAACCUCAAAAUGGAAAAAUUCUGGUAAGUAGAGAUGUCAAUUUUAUGGAAGAUAAGCAAUGGAAGUGGGAGCAACCAGAAGAACAGCUGGGAUCAUCAACAGAGCAGCAAGAGCAGCAAGAAUCUCCAGUCUUGGAGAUUGUUGAUGACAACAUUGAUGAUGAACCAGUAAGAGGUACAAGAACAUUAACUGAAAUUUAUGAAAGAAGCAAUAUUGCUAUCUAUGAACCUGCAGAAUUUGAAGAAGCAGUAAAGAAGAAUGAAUGGAAUGCUGCAAUGCAAGAAGAGCUUAGAAUGAUUGAAAAGAAUGAUACCUGGGUGCUGAUGGACAAGCCUUUGCACAAGAAGGCCAUAGGAGUAAAAUGGGUUUAUAGAACCAAACAAAAUGCAGAUGGUUCUAUAAACAAAUACAAAGCCAGAUUAGUUGUGAAGGGUUAUGCUCAAGUGUUCGGUGUGGAUUUUUCAGAAACCUUUGCACCAGUAGCACGCUUGGACACAAUCAGAUUGCUACUUGCAGUUGCUGCACAAAAGAAUUGGAAGGUUUAUCAGCUGGAUGUAAAGUCUGCGUUUUUAAAUGGAUAUCUGCAGGAGGAGAUUUACAUAGAGCAACCAAGAGGCUUUGAAGUCAGGGGACAAGAGGAGAAGGUUUACCUGCUGAAAAAGGCUUUGUAUGGCCUCAAACAAGCUCCUAGAGCAUGGUAUAGCAGAAUUGAUGAUCAUCUACACAAACUUGGCUUUGUUAAAAGUUUAAGUGAGGCAACUUUGUAUGUAAAAGGAGCUGAUGCAAACUUAAUUAUUGUAUCUGUUUAUGUUGAUGACUUACUUGUAACAGGGAGUAAUAAGACACAAAUUGAAGCAUUCAAGGCUGAGAUGCUUGAUGUAUUUGAGAUGACAGAUCUCGGGUUGAUGUCUUACUUCCUUGGAAUGGAGGUGAAACAAAGUGAUGAUGGAAUCUUCAUAUGUCAACAGAAAUAUGCUAAAGAGAUACUGAAGAAGUUUCGCAUGGAGAGCUGCAAGAGCACAAGCACACCUAUGAAUUUGAAAGAAAAAUUCAGCAAGAAUGAUGGAACAAACAAAGCAGAUGAAGGUCAGUACAGGAGUUUGAUUGGGUGUUUAAUGUAUCUAACAGCUACAAGAUCAGACAUUACAUUUGUUGUGAGCUUGCUGUCACGUUUUAUGCAUUGUGCAUCUGAAAUGCAUCUACAAGCUGCAAAAAGGAUACUAAGAUACAUUAAAGGUACAUUAAGCUAUGGAAUAAAGUAUUCUCAUCUUCAAAAACUUAUGCUGCAUGGAUACUCUGAUAGUGACUGGGCAGGUUCUGUAGACGACAUGAAGAGCACUUCAGGUUACUGUUUCAGCUUUGGAUCAUGUAUGUUUUCUUGGUGUUCAAAGAAGCAAGAAAAUGUAGCUCAAAGCACAGCUGAAGCUGAAUAUGCAGCAGCUACUGCUGCUGUCAAUCAAGCUAUUUGGAUAAGGAAAAUUCUUGCUAAUCUGCAUAUGAAUCAACUGGAACCAACAAAGAUUUAUGUUGACAAUCAAGCUGCAAUAUCUAUUGCAAACAAUCCAGUGUUUCAUGGCAGAACUAAGCAUUUUAAAAUUAAGUUAUAUUUCCUAAGAGAAGCUUAGAAGGAAGAAGAAGUUACUCUGCUGUAUUGCAGAACUAAUGAUCAGAUUGCAGAUGUUCUAACAAAAGCACUUCCAAAAGCAAGUUUUGAAGAUUUACGAGGAAAGCUUGGUAUCUGCUGCUGUUAAGACAAAGAGGAGUAUUGUUUAACUGCCUUAGAAAGCUGCAGAAGACCAGGAAGCUGAGCUGCUGCAUGUUGAUCAAAUCUAGUCAAUAAGGAUCUCUGCUGAAGACCAAGAUUCUAGGAAUAAAUAACUGAUCAUAUCUGAUCAGUAGUUAUGCAUUUGAAUUUUGAAUUGUUUUUGUUUCCAUGUAAAACUCUAACUCUAUUUAAAGAGUAUUCAAUGAUCAAUGAAAGUAAUCUUCUUCUACAAAUUCUAUUCUUCUGUUGAGUUGCACUAACGAUUGUUCUGCAACUAAAGAAUAUAACCAACAGAUACUUGAGGUUGCCUCAUGGCAGUCCUGCUGAUUUUAAUUAACCUUUUGCCCUUCUCUUUUUCUUUCAUUUAAAUACAAGAUAUACUAUUUUUCAGCACUUGCACAUGUUAGCAAACAGAUACUUACAUUUUGUUGACUAUUCUUUGCCGUGAGUCAGGCUGCAAUUGAGUUCUCCAAUCACCUGUGUCCAUCACAGGUUCUCCGCCUGGGGCAGUGGGCCUCCAAUUAUUGGCAUCCAUGGGGUUUUGGCCAACCAAAAAAAAUCACUUCUAUCACCACAAAAAAAAUUAAUUAUAUUGCACGUUAGAAUAGACCCUAAAAAGAAAGUCAGGAACAGCAGAAGAGUAAGAGCACAUCAAAGUCAUGAAAAUUAGAAUAUCAGUUUAUUCAGACUUGAAUAGAUUUAAAAAGAACUUCCAUCUAAUAGCAUGUACUUUAUUAAAGAAUUCUGCCAAAUAUGGAUGCAUAAAAUCUGAACAGCCAUAACAAAUAUACACGACCAUUCAGGGCAAGGUGCUAGGAUCUUGGGUAUUUGGGUAUUUGGGUAUUCAGGUAUUAUAAGCAAGAUUUGGGCCUGAAUCUUCAUGGUGCUUCUAAAACCAACGAAGCAAAAAAUUAGCCAGCUAGUUCAUAACUUGCCGCACCAACAGAUGGUGGGUGUUGGUAAACCAAGUCAUAGAGAAACUCAUGGUGCUUCAAUUUUAACUUGAUGUUUUCUAGCAACAGUUGUGAUACAUCAUCGAUGCAAUGUUUACAAUGACAAACUUGCAUUGUGGUUUUAGGUUCACAGAUUCUGAUCAAAUAGAUAUUUAAUGUUCCAAAAACAUUGUAUACACAUUUAAAUGCUUUACUUCAAUAGAUAGAUUAAGUUAUCUCUCUAGAUAUCAGUAUAUCACAUCUUACGAAUUUAGAUUCAGCACAGGACCUUUUUCAGGUGCUUCACUGUUUUUACUCGCAAGCAAAUACAUACAGUCAAACCCCCUCCCCCUCCCCUGCUGUUCUUGUUAUUUAUGUAUGUAUUAACUUUUCUGAAAGAAUAAAUGUUGUGUGGAGAAAAUAGUGUAAAUAGAAAGAGGAGAACACCCCAUCCACAAAAGAAUAAAGAAAGAAGAAGAAAACAAAACAAAGUCAUAAAACAAGGCUUUUCAAUCCCCGAUGAAUAUCAGCAGUCUAAAUACCCCAGCAAAUAGAACAUGAAGAGGCCACAAACAAUAACCCAUCCCAAAGAGAUUGUCUAGGAUGUUUUAAUCCUGGAAAAUGAAGAAGAAAACGACGAGCAUUAACAAUGAAUAUUUCGUGUUAUCAUCAACUGUAAUGAGCAGACUGAUAAGAAUCAACUUAACAACUCUUGUUGAAAUAAGAUUAAAUUUACACAAUAACUAGAUGUUCUUCCUAACUAGAUGCACAGCUACGCCUUUGGGGUGAAGUGAACUAAGUCAUUUGUUUUACACUUCCACAUGCUCUCAAGCUUUCACCUCAUACUCAAGACCGGCUGAGCAGUCAUAAAAAGAAAGAUAUAUCAUGUAGGGUUAUCAAGGCAGACCUGUUAUUUUUAUUUUUUUCGCGUUAACAUGACCAAAUUAUAAAAUUUAAAGUUCUUUUCUUUCUUUCUUUUUUCCAUGUGUGAGCGAGCAUAAAACCCAAGGAAAUCGAUUUGUUGUUAAAAACACAAUAAUUUUGAAGAAUUCGGUAAAUUCCAAAAAAGAAGAAUCAACCAAACAGCUCAUUUUUCGGCCAUUCCGGCAGUAAUAUCUCUUCCACUCCAGCUGCUGCAUAAACUAAUUAACAAAUAUCGAUCGAGCCUAAAAGAUUUGAAUUGAUUUCUAUUCUCAACUUUAAAAUAAAACUAAAAAAUAAAAUAAAAUAAAUUUGGGUUCAAGAAUUCAGGGCUUGAUUAUUACAACAAUAACUGUGAGAAAAAUCGGAUAAUAUCAUGUAAAUUGAGGGGUUUGAAAAAGAAAAUAUUAGAAUCGGCUGAUUGUGCGUUUCUUCGAGUUGCGUUCACGAGCAGCGAUUUCAUCGGAUCCGAUUAUAUAUUUUUUUAAUUUACUUAUUAAAAUCGAAUUGCGUUCACUAGCAGAGAUUUCAUCGGAUCGAUUUUUAUUUUUUUUAAUUUACUAAUUAAAAUGGAUUUCUGUCUCUGAAUAACAAUUACAAUAAAAUAAAUGAAGACACCCAUAAAUUUUAUAAACAAAAGCAUGAUAGAAAAGGAAGCACCUGGCAGAAAUCUGAAGCCUUAUUGGAUGCGGCGGUUUCCGAGAGGCGGAAGAGGGAGGGAGGGAGGGAUGGCGGGGAGAGGUGAGGAAUGGUGUCCCAAAGUGAAAUAGAUGACUUUAUUCUUUUCCAGAUUCCUUCUAAAAAAAUUAACAAGUAAACACUCGCUCGUCAAGCAUCCGCGUUCACGACCUUUUAAUGCUUUAACUCAUAUUGGCCAGUAGUGCUACAAAGAAGACAAAGUGGUAUAUCCACUUUUUCAUUAAUUACUUUAAGAUUUUUGGAAGAUAUGACACAAGAUACAGAGAAAAUGAUUGCUAUUAUCGACAAUUUCUCUGUUACACACACACACUUUGUCUUUAGCUGUAUUUUCUUACAAAGGAUCUUUAGCUAUGCAUUAGAGAUGAACACCUCCAACUUCUUGAUUUUCAGUCGUUUUCAUCCCAUUUAAAGAAGUUUAAGUUUGAAUGCUCAUUAUACAAAUUCUAAUAACAGGCAGCUAAAAGGGCUUGUCGAAGCUUUAUGUAAUGGCCAAUACCCAUCACCAGAACAACCUCAGGAUCAUAUAUUCUUAGAUGCAAGAGUGCCCCACACUCUAUAAUGGGUGGCAAGCUCCUUGCUUUUCACGUGAUGAUGCCCCUCCCUCUUUCUUUCUUCCUUUUUUUAAAAAAAAAAUAAUAAUAAUCCUUUUUAUGCUUAAAAUCCACCCACUCAUGGGUCGAUGAAGUGGCCACUAACAACAACGCAGAUAAGAUGUUGGUUGUUCUUACAGGGAGAGGAAGCCCAGCUCCAGACAGCAGAAAGGAGAUCGUUUUCCUACAUCUUCAUCAUUAGAACACAGCAAUAACUCAAAGCUCUACCAUGUCACCAUCGCUUUUUUUCUUUUUUUUUGAUUAACAUGGGUGUCCGGGCCAACUUGUGCGCACCUCGACUAAUCACACGGGCCUUGAAGUUAACAACCAUGUAAGCCUUCAGUGACCAUCAUAUGAGCAAUCUAGGGUUCGAACCUGAGACCACAGAGGGAGCAAACCUCUUGAUCCCAAGCUUUUUAUCACUAGGCCACCACCUAGAUGGUUAUGUCACCAUCGCUUUUGAUUGCUAUCUUCAAUUGUUAUAUCUACAAAUCCAAGAACAAUGAAUAACUCAAACGUUAAUCUUUUUUUUUUUUGCAAAAUAGCACCUAGAACAAGAAAUAACACAAUUCAAAAUUUAUUUAAAGAAAUAAUAUAAUUUAACUAGUCACAGAUUGCGACUCUCUUAAGAUAAAUUGGCAUGGAUAAAUUUAAAAACUAUUUUUAAGUUUUGAAUAUUUAAGUUAAUUAAUAGUAAUAGAGUACUGUUAUUGUUGCCAAUUUUUUAAAAAGAUUUAUCAUCUGUGACUCGCUAACUGUAUAAUUUCUUGAAUAAGUUUUGAACAGUUAUUUUUUUUUUUUUUGCUACUUUGCAGAAAAAUCUACUUUUCAGAAACUAACAUUGUUGAGAAUCCUAAUAUGAUUGAGAGUAUGACCAAAGAAAAAAUCAACAAAAUUGUGAUGGAAAUAGAUUUUUUAAUGCAAAACUCGGGUCAAAAUCCUUCUCGCGGCGAAAUUCUCUACUUUUAUAUUAGAUAUUCAAACAGGAAUAUCUUGAGCUUCUGAUAUUGAAAUCAAGCGAUUAGAAAGCCCAAAUUUAUCUACACGUCUAGGACUACAACUUUGAAGUAGUCGAAGUGAGAUAAAAUGGUUUUAGAGAACAAAAUCUGGUAGUAAUGUAGAUGGUCAAAAAGGUUCUUGAUUUGACAAUGCCGAGCAUCAAAAUGUGACUGAGAGUCUGCCCUAAGAACAGUGAUCCCUAGGAACCAAUAAAGGUAGGUCAAUUUUUCAAUAUGUCGUGAGUGACAGAAUAUAGCUAGAAUGAUCAGAUAUCGUAUGAAACCAAGUCAGAAUCAGAGCCUAAGUUUGAAUAAAAAAUUAUGACAGCAACAGAACCAGUUUUUUUUUAGUGCAAAUUCUAAUGGAUUUAUCCAACCUUAAAGACCAGAUAAGAAGGAACAAAUUUAGCAUUAUAAAGACUCCUGAUCAAUCUAAGAAAACAUGAUGAUUUUGGCAGCAAAGGGGAAGGAUAAAGAAAGCAGAAAACAACUCAAAUAGGGUUUCGAAAAAAUAUUUCUUUCUCUGUUUUUGUCAAUCUUCUAGCAAACAUGAGUUAAACUCCUACACUUAGUUCAAAAGAAGUAUACACCAUCUCUAGCACGUGGGGGCCAAAAAUGAGUAACAACAAAAAAUAUGUAAAUUUAACAACAAUACAUAUUAAAAGUAAAAUAUUUUUUAUAUAUUUUUUAUUCUUUCUCGUCUAUCAUAACUAAACAUGAUACAAAGACAAUCACUUUGUCUUGUACAUCACUAGUGGACACAAUUCUAUCUCAUUCUUCUUUUAUGUCUUGUCUUCUCUGUCUCCAUUGUCUCUGUCUCUAUUAUCUCGAACAGUAACUAAACGUUGCUUUAAAAAUAUACAAGUUUGCAUGCUAGUGCUAUGUUGUGGAGAUCAAAAAAACUUUAAAUAUAAAAUAAAAUAUCCAAGUCUAAAGAAACUCCUUGGCAUUGUUAUUAAACUUGAAAAUACAGUCGUUUUGAGUUUUUCUUCAUCAAGAUAAAUUUUCUUAUUAACAUAUUUAUUGUUUAUAUUGGUGAAUGCAAGUUUUUUUUUCUUAACUAGAAUCAUUGUUUCUGUUAAAAGAAUAUUGUAUAAUUUUCACAAAAAAUUAAAAAAAAUAUCAAAAUAGUAUGUUCAUAUUUUUAUGUGUGAUUGAAAAUUAAAAAAAUUCAUAAAUAUGAUAAAAUCAUGCUCAAAAUAUAUUUAAAAAUUCUAAGAUUAAAAAAGUGAUUUAAAUUAAACUUUCAUGAACAAAUGUUUAUGUCAUAUACAUAAUAAUUGAAAACAAUUAUUAAAAUUCAAAUAAAAAUUUAUAAAACAAGGCUCACGCAUCUGACCUUGCUUUAUAAUUUUUAUUAAACUCUGCUCGAAUGCUGGAGCUCUAUCAGUUGUUCCUCUAUUUUUGUUGUCUCAGCAGUAGUUGUUGAAAAAAAAACUGGAAACAUCCUCUUGUGGUUGCUAGGAGGUUGGGAGUCACAAAAAUUUACAUGACUGGAUGAUAUAACAACAACAUCCUUGUAGAAGAGUUGCCGAUGCAUUGCGGUUGCUGCUCAUUGCGAUGUCUUUGCAGAUGAAACCCACUAGCUGCUGAUACAAAGCUUGUUGAAUUUGCCACAUGUUGAGUUUGAGCUUGCAUAAAAGCAUUAGUGUAGAUUAGUUGAGUCUGUUGCAGUGCAUACCUUGUUAACUGCUGCUGCUACUGCCGCUUUGAACAAGAUUUUGAGGAAAUGCAAAAGUGCAUUAGGUAACUUGGUGCCCAUAGAUGAUGAUGAUGAGAUGUGGUCCGAAUAAACACUUCCAUUACUAGUUGUUGGUGUUUCACUAUGAGUGGAAGCUGCAGCUGCAAAUUGUUGAUGCUUCUGAAGUUGAUGGAUUUGCUGACUUCGUUGCUGCUGCUGAUUCCGCUGCAUCUGUUGUUGUAUACUUGGUGCAUUUACACUGCCAAUAGUAGCUGACAUAGCAGGGCUUGAGGUCCGAGCAGGAGUGUACCCAAGGUUAAGAGUUCGGACUGAGCUAUCAACAACAUUGUUCACAGGCAUUGUUGAAACAGAGGAGUCUGUUAAAUCUAGCCGAGAGAACACAAUUGACUGCCCACCAGUUAAUGGGGUCUGUCCUCCAACCAUAUCGGCCUUCCUCUCUCCUUCCAUAUUUGAAGUGUCACUUCCUCCAUUUUUCCCUUCUUCAGGCACACGGUAAUUCGUCUGCUGUGUUGCUUGGGCCGCAGUGAUGAAGUGAUAGCCAUGACUUGAUGCCUCUGGAGGGCUUUGGAGAAGAGCAUGAUUCUGUACCAGCAAUCAAACAUCAAGACCUGGGAAAGUUGUGGUUCCGUUGAUGGAGCAAAUGACAUUGCAAAAGGAAGAGAUGUCUGAGAUCUUAAGAGUUGGUGUUUGUGAUUAACAUUCUGAUUUUGCAUCAGCUACCGCUGCUAGUUCGGCAGGGAAUGAUUCUGCUGAUGAUUUUGCAAAUGGUUGGAUCUUGAUGACCGCUGCUGAUUCCACCUAAUUCACUCCCAUGUGGUUUAUGCUGCUGAUUCUGCAAAUGCUUCUGGGAUGACGAGGAGCCACUAGAAAUACUUGGAUUUUGAUGACCCUAUUGGCUUUGCUGUGUCUGUAUGAAUGGUUGUUGCUGUCGCUGAAGCUGUGAAGGAUGAAGCAUUCAAGAAGAAUAAAAUUGAUCCAUUGAAGAAAGACAUAGCCUGAGGAUGGGUUCCUUUGUAAGCUGUUGUGGCCCCCAACAUGUUCAGGGAUUGGAAUCUCGUACGCACCAUUCUGCAAAAUUGCCAGGGAAGUUUGGGUAGUUGAAGCUCAUUGUUGUAGCACCAGUUACUGCCGAUGUCGUGGCAUUUAUUGAAGCAGAACUUUAGCUACUUGAAGAAGCUACAUUGCUAGCAAAAGGGGAAGGCCUCACACUGGCUGGUUGGAUAGAAGCUUUUACUGCUGCAGUAGCUAUAGAGGAGACUUGAUCUUCAGGUAGACUCUAUAAAGUGUAGGAAAUUGAAUCUAUCAGCCAGACAUCAUUCCAUAAGCUAAUAUCUCUACCAUUGCCAACCAAACCACAAACUUCUUUCUUUGCAAAAUAUUUUGAAGUCCCUCGUCCUUAUAAAAAGUAAUGACAUUCCUGGACCAUGUACUGCCCUUUAAAUUAACACAAACUAAAGGCAUGUUCAAAUAUGCUUUUUGGUUGUGGAUGUUGUAGAUAACAUCUUUUCAUAGUCUUGUAUGAGUCCCCUCUUCGCAAUCCCUUUUCCAUAAAGAACUCUACAAGAAUUGAAAGUUUUGUUGUCGAAAUACAUUAUUGUAUCCAUCAUCUCCAUCGUGAACCAAAACCCACACAAGCCAUAACUGUCGAAAUACCUGGGCAGUAAUUGUUGUGCGUGGUCUAGGAUCGUGUGUGAUGCCACCGGAAGGCGAGUGAUCCAACUCUCUCUUGGGGGUGCUGGGGUUAAGAAGCAGAAUGAUAGCAGCAGAGGAGAGUAAGAGACUUGAGAAAUGAGAUCGAAAUUAGACUGCAAUCUAUCAAUUAACUCUAACUGAUUAACAAACUUUGCUAACCGAAUGUACUCCAACUAACUAACAUAAUAUUAACAACUAAACAACAGGUUGCGUGCUCCUGACGUCUCUACUUCCCGCUCUUUUUUGCCUCCCUAAGGUAGUCUUCUUCUUGUUGCAACUUCUCUGACUAUUCUGUCAUCCAGGUACGUAACAAUACCUUUCCUCAGAAAGAUUCACCUUAGUGAUAAUGCAUAAUGCUGUUAUCUAGUUGUUCCACUUCUUGGGACAAUGCAUAAUGAUGCACCUUAAGUAAGUCUCCAGGCAUCGAUUCACUCUCUCGCUCUGGCCAUCCGUUUGAGGAUGAUAGGAGGUGCUUAGUAACAACUUUACUCCCAGAUGUCUAAACAAUUCUCUCCAGAACAGGCUUGUGAAAAUUUUAUCUCUGUCAGUUAAUAUCAUGGCAGGCAGCCAUGGAACUUAUAAAUGUGAUCCAAGAAAAACUUAGCCACCUCUUGAGCUGUGAAGGGAUGGGCUAAUGUGAUAAAAUGCCCAUACUUUGUAAAUCGAUCAACAAUGGCCAUAAUGGUAUCCUUGCCUCCUGACCUUGGAAGUCCUUCUAUGAAAUCCAUGGUUAUAUCCUGCAAAAGACCACGUGGAACUGGAACAGCAUGUAACAAUUCAGGAUAAGGAACUAUUUCUUGCACUAAUUUCUUCAUAGAAGGCCAGUAGGAAUCAUUGGUAGACUUGAUGAGCUCUUCCCUGAAUUACCCUGCAGAUCCUAUAACAACUCUCCCCUUAUACUUAACCACACCAUCAGCAUAUGUAAAGCUGGGAGAUUGUGCAGCAUCUACCAGUUUACUUCUCAUUAUAUCCUGCAACAUGACAUCAUCUUUAUAAGAGGCAUAAAUCUUGUCAUACCAGGAGGGAGUUAUUUGUGUUAUGGCGGUGAACCUUCCCCCUUCCAUUUGAUUCCCUUGACAACCUUAUUCUCCUUCCCUUUUCUGUACCUGAUCCGAUGGUUCAACCCCAACAACUUAGUUAGUCCCUUCUUUUGAAUAGGAGUGUGAAUCUUCUAAUCAAGUAGAUACGUUAGACUUUCAUGAUUAGUUUGAAUGACAAACUGAUCUUGUUCCAAAUAAUGCCUCCACUUGUCGACUGCCAUUAGAAUAGCAAGGUAUUCCUUCUCGUAAAUGGAUAACCCCAAAUGUUUGACUCCCAAGGCCUUGCUAAAAAAUGCUAAUGGUCUUCCUUCCUGGCUGAGUACUGCUCCAAUUCCAGUAUCACAAGCGUGUGUUUCCAGCACAAACGGUUUGGUAAAGUCAGGCAGGGCCAGAAUUGAAGCCUCACACAAUGCUUGUUUCAGGUUGCGGAAAGCCUUCAGUGCUCCUUCAUGCCAAAGGAAGUUAUUCUUCUUGAGCAUCUCUGUCAAAGGCUAGCUGAUAAUACCAAAUUUCCUAAUGAAUUUUUUAUAAUAACCAGCUAGGCCAAGGAAUCCCCAUAGCUCCUUAAUGGAUUUUGGAACUAGCCACUCCUGUACUGCUUGUGUCUUCUUAGGAUCAGUGGCUACCCGGCCCCUUCAGUUGAAAUUAUAUGCCCCAAAUACUCCACCUGUGGCUCUACAAAUGUGCACUUGGAUCUCUUCACAUAUAGUUGGUUAGUUUUAAGCAUUUCCAAGACUUGCUUCAAAUGAAUAAUGUGUGCUUCUAGAGAGGAAUUAUAAAUUAGAAUAUUGUCAAAAAAUACUAAGACAAAUUUUCUCAAGAAUGGCUCUAGGAUAUCAUUCAUCAAGGCUUGGAAGGUUGUAGGAGCAUUCAUGAGACCAAAAAGCAUUACCUAGAAUUCAUAGUGCCCUUGAUGAGUGCAAAAUGCUAUCUUCUCUAUAUCUCCCCUUCACGCAUAUGAACUUGAUGGUAUCCUGACCUUAGAUCCAGUUUUGAAAAGAUGAUGGAUCCUUGUAUCUCAUCUAAUAAGUCGUCAAUAAGAAGAAUGAGAAAACUUGUUCUUAAUAGUGACUUCAUUUAGCUGUCGAAAGUUUACAUAAAAACACCAUUUGUUGUCCUUCUUCUUCACCAAAAAAACAAUAAAGGCAAAGGGACUAACACUUGGUUGUAUUAUGCUGUUGUGUAGCAUCACCUUGACCAUCCUUUCGAUCUCCUCCUUUUAAAAGAAAGAGCUCUUAUAUGGUCUACACUUGACUUGACUUGACUUGGAAAUAAUAAUAAUAAUAAUAAAAUAAAUAAAUAAAUAAUAUAUGUUGUAGUGAGAAAAGCUAUUGGACCACCCAAAAUGGUCAAAAAUUGGUCGAGGAGGUUAAAAAAUGCAAAGAUUGAAAUUUGAUAGUAUAUCGUUGACUGACGAGAGUCCUGUUAACAAAGAAAAUUUAAUUUUUAAAAAAUAUAUCCAAAAUCAGAUGUUUAUGGACUCAAUUAAAUUUUAUUGAGGGUUUAAUUGAAUUUAUGGAGGGUUUGAUUGAAAUAAAAACUGAAUUUUAUGUCGAUUUAGGCUUUUAUUGGAAGAAAUUAAAGUUCAAGGGUCCAAUUAUAAUUUUGAAGAGUUGAUUUGGUCAAAUCAGGGGUUUAAUUGCAUAAUUAUUAAAUUUUUAUGGGCAAUUAGGGACUUGAUUGAAAAAAUACAAAACCAAGGACCAAACCGGAAAUGAGCGUAAAUAGAGAGGUUGCAAUUAACCAAGUCAGGGGUAAAUUGAAAAAAUUAAAAGUUUAUUGAUCAAUUGAGGGUCAAAUCGCAUGAAUCCAUAACCAAAGAGGCUAAAAUCCAGGGAUCCAAUUACAAUUUAUUCGGGGGCUUGAUUACAAAAUUGCAAAACAUCCGAUGACCAAAUCGGAAAUAUUCAUUUUGAAUUUUAAAAUGGUACCGUUUCCUUGACAAUUGUUCAUUACCUUACUUCAUCAACAACGGUUUCUACAGUAAAAGGCAGUGAAGACGUUAGCGGUGGAGCUGCUUCAAUCAGGGGAGCACGUCUCACGGCUGAUAUCCCUCUCCACCAUGAUGCACUUCGGCCGUUACAACCUUCCUGCAAUAAAUCCCGAAAAGCAUGCAUCCUUUGGCUAUAAAAAGCCAGAGGAGAGACGGACAUAAAAAAAAAAAAAAAAGAGGAGGAGACAGGGAGGGGGAGCGAGCAGGACAAGAGAGAAAGUGGGGAGCAACACGAGAGGGAGACAGAAACGAGUAGAAGGAAAGAAUGUAUGAAGAGGAAAACGUUGAGACCAGAACCAGCGUUGCCAUUGUCUUCGUCAUUUCAAAAACCAGAGACGAAGAAGAAGAAGAGUGCAAAUAAGAAUUAAAUGAAAGGAGAAUCAGAAACGAAAAUAGUAGCAGAAGAAAAGAAAGAAACGUUGCUCGAUUAGAGCACUGAUCACCCUCAACUUCAUCUUCAUCUGCAGGCAGCAGCUCCAGGGGACGUUUGAGAGGACUAGAGAGGGAGAAAAAGAAUAAAACAGGGAACAAGAGGAAGAACAGAGCAGAAGAGAAAAAAAGCAGAAGGGAAACGCAGAGAAAGAAAGAAGAACCACCAGCCAGUUAGCACCAAGAUCUACAACCGCAACACCGUCCACCGCCACCGGCAGCACUGCUAGGCCGCAGGUCUGCUUCUUCCUCCUAUUCUUCUUCAUCUUCUCCAGCCCGCUCCACUGUUCACAUUGCAUGUGAAUAAUGGAGAGUCUCUCCGCUGUUUGUUUUAGUUUUCUGGGUUGGACAAUGCUGACCCAGCCUAAAAUGAUUGAUGGGGCUCGGCCCAAUAAAAAAAAACAAUUUUUUAAAAAAAAUCAUAGCUUUUUAUAGCCUAAGCGUACAUCCUCAUCUCGUGGGAAAAAUUGCAUGAUAACAAUGGUAUCACUAACCCAUCUCGUGGUGGAUAAUUUGUUGCAAUGUCCAUCUCCAUCAAAAUCCUUUUUGUUUUGAAAAGGAUUAUAUAUACACCCACUCAAUGAUCACUUAAUAUUUUUAUAUUAUUUUUCAAGUUUUGAGAUAUAAGUUCAUAGCUUUUAAAGACAACAAAUAUACCACAAGAUUUUAAACUAUUUCAUAUUUCAUUAAAAUAAAUAAAUAAAUUACUUAAAUGGUUACAAUAUUUUUUUUCUUAAGAAAAUAAUUUGAUUUCAUGUGUUAAUAACAUUUAAGGAUUUCUUCCAAUCAAAUAAUCAAAUUUAUUUUAAUUAAAAAGUUUCUAAUCAACAACAACAUUCCCUAUUAAACCAAAGUAUUUCCACAAACCCAUCUCGUGAAAAAAAUGCAUGAUGGCAACGGUUUCAGGGAUCAAUAUGCAGAUGAAAUUGGUCUCAUGAACUCAUAAAUGCUUACGGGGCAAUGGUCUUAGAGACCAUCUCACUAGAGUGGAAAAAAUGCAGAUGACAAAAGUCUCACAUACCCAUCUCACACUAUAAAUUCCCAUCCAUCUUACUUGUUGGUUGUAUUACAAAAAUUAAACUCUCUAGAAAGAAAAAGAAGAAGACUUUUUGUCAUGAUAAUGACAAGUAUUUUAGAAAUAAUUCAAUAUAUAAAAAGACACUAGAAAUGACAUUUUGUAUGAAAUUAUGAAUUUGAAUAAAAUUAUGAAAAUAUCAUUGGUAAUUUCGCAAAGUUUUAUAAACUCUGAUUGCAUUAGAAUUUUAGUUUGUGAUAUAAAUACAUGUUAUAAAGACUUCUCAUAAAAUUAAGAAAUAUAAUUGAUACUGUAAAAUUAAAAAUAAAAUAUUAUUUGAUUAUAAUAAAAUGGCUGGAAUACUAGUGAGAAUUUAGGUGAAGUUCAUAAAACAAAAUAAGAUUUCGAAGAUGAAAUAUCUUCUAAUUAUUCUAUUUUUUAAAUUGAAAUAAAAUGUACCUGUCAUACGCGCCCCAUCUCGUGGAAAAAAACAAUAGCUUUUACAGCCCCAAGCAUACGGCUCCAUCUCGUGGAAAAAAUUGAAUGAUGACAAUGGUGUCACGUGGAUAAUUUGUUGCAAUGUCCUCUCCAUCAAAAUCCUUUGAAAAGUUAUAUAUAUAUAUCAUGGCCGUGUUCGAAAAAUCACAUGAGAAUCGCACAGUUUCGUUGAUUAAUCAAACAAUUAAUUAAUAAAUAAAUAGUAAAAUGGUAAGACCAAGACUUGUGACUAUGACUGGCAAUGACAGGUUUGGCCCUUCACAUGACAGGAUAAAUUAAAUUAAUAAAAAGCUUGUUGACCAGUAAUCACUCUUUGACAAAUCUCGAAAUUAACAAAUCAAAUGCAAACACACCACUCAAACUGGCAAUGACAUUAAAUUAAUAAGUGCUUAAUUGAUAUGACCUGAUCAAUUUGAUGAAUCCAAAGAUAGUUUAGAUAACUGGUAAAAAUAUAAUUUUACUUAAAAAAGUUUAAGAUAACAUAUUUUUUUAAAACAUUAUUGAGACAACAACAUAUUGGGAUCGACCCGGGUCAAUUUGGGUUAAUCUUUUAAAUCCAUGACCCAGGUUAUGAGACCAUAAUAACCUCAAAUAAAAUAAAUCAAAACAAAUUAUGAAUCUUAAUUUUCAAUGAACUUAUUGUUGAAUUAUGAAAUUGAAAAAAAACAAUCAAUCUAAAAAAAGAUAUAAAAAAUGACAUUUCGAAACAAAAUUAUGAAUUUGAAUAAAAUUAUGAAAAUAUCAUCGGCAAUCUUGCAAAGUCUUUCUAAACUCUGAUUGCAUUAAAAGUUUAACUUGCGAUAUAAAUAUAUGUUAGGAAAUUCCUUAUAAAAUUUUAGUCUAAUUCAAUAGUCGCAUUGAGAGAUAUGAUUGAUACUAUAAAAAUAGAUUAUAUAUUUUUUUUUUAUAAAAGCAAAACAAAAUAUUAUUUGAUCAUAAUAAAAUGAUUGGAAUAUAACUAAAAUAUUUUAGUCAAAUUUGGGUGAAAUUCAUAAAACAAAAUAAGAUUUUGAACAUGAAAUAUCUUUUAAUUUAUUCUAUUUUUUAAAUUGAAAUAAAAUGGACUUAUCAUUCUAGACGUGACAUAAUAAAAUUAAAAACUAUAGCUUUUAGAGCUCCAAGCAUUCGGCCCCAUCUCUUGAAAAAAUUGAAUGAUGACAAUGGUAUCACGUGGAUAAUUUGUUGCAAUGUCCUCUCCAUCAAAAUCCUUUUUGUGUUGAAAAGUUGUAUAUAUAUAUAUCAUUCAUGGCCGUCUUCGAGAAAUCACAUGAGAAACGCACAGUUUCGUUGAUUAAUCAAACAAUUAAUUAAUAAAUAAAUAGUAAAAUGGUAAGACCAAGACUUGUGACUAUGACUGGCAAUGACAGGUUUGGCCCUUCACAUGACAGGAUAAAUUAAAUUAAUAAAAAGCUUGUUGACCAGUAAUCAUUUUUGACAAAACUCGAAAUUAACAAAUCAAAUGCAAACACACCACUCAAACGGGCAAUGACAUUUUCCCUUUUCUAUGUGCACUGCCAAACAGUCCCUUUACAUGUCAUUUUCACCAUCCCUCUCUUUUCCACGUGCUUUUCAGGAUUCAAAAUACGUGUUUAGGAAUAUUGAUGAAAAAUUAAAUACAACUAGAAAACAAAUACAGUAAAGCAUUCCCAAUUAAACCAAGUAUUUCCACGAACCCAUCUCGUGGUUGGAAGAGGAUGUCUCACAGCCUCUCCUCGAGAAAAAAUGCAUAAUGGCAAAGGUCUCAGCGACCAAUGUGCGAAAUGUUUUCAUGGAUCCAUCUUGUAGAAAAAUUGCUUGAUAGGACCAUCUCACUGCCUUUAUCAUGGAAAAAAUGCAUGAUGGCAAAGGUCGGAAAUGUUCUUAUAGACCCAUCUCGUAGAAAAAUUGCUUGAUAGGACCAUCUCACUGGCUUUUAUCAUGGAAAAAAUAUAGAUAGCAAUAUAUAGUUUUAUAGACGCAUCUCACACUGCAAAUUUCUAUAUAUCUUACUUGUUAAUUAUGUAAUAAAAAAUAGACUUUCUAGAGAAAAAGAAAAAGAAAAAAAGGAGAAGACUUAAUGUCUUGACAAUGACAAGAAGUUUUUUUAAAAUAAUAUCAUUUGUGGUUCAUUUUAUCAACGAUAGUGGUUUGAUUUUGCCAUCGCUAUCAAAAUUAAAGCAUGAUUUUCCACACGUUAUUUUCAUAAAAAAAAAUAGCAAGUCUUCUAUAUCCGUCAUUGUCAUGCAAAGUGAGCUACAUAGUGUUAACCUUUGAUUCAUAUUUUUCCUUAAAAAAAACUGACAUGGGUACAACUUUAUAAGAAGGAAUGCAAGUUUUUGGUUAAUUACUUUUAUGCAAUUCAAUUUUUUUUUUCUACAAUGUGGUUUUAAUUAGUGUUGUUAAAUUUAAUUCAAACCUAAUAUUUUAAUCUGGAAUCUAAACCGAUUUAGGUUUAGAAAAAAUCAAGUGAGAGUUGACCCAAUAAAGCGUAAUCGACUAGAUAAAUCAACUCACAACCUAGUCAACUCAAUCAAAAACUAAUUUUACUUUUUUUAACUACGUGAUUUUGAUUUUUCUAAAAUAAUCUUAAAAUGAUAAUAUCUUUUAUUAACAUUAGUCAAUAAGCUAACUUGUUAUCUAUAACCCAAAUCUUGAUCCGAGUAUUAAGCCAAUCUAUGGCCUAAACCCUCAUCUAGGUAUUAAAUCUAACCAUGUUUAAUAACUUUGGUUUCUUAAGAAAAAUGUCAUGUAUAAAACAUCUAUUUGCAUCCAAAUUGAAACAUUCACAAAUUCAUAUAAUAGUUAUUAAUAUUUAUUUUUAAUAUAUAUAAAAUAAAAAAUUUUAAUAAUUGAUUAAUAUUGUUAAACCAUGAAUAUAUGUUUUUAUAGUUUUUUUUUUCAAUUUUAUUUUUUAAUAUUGAGUUUGCUUAUCCCGAUCUCAUGAUGCAGGUCAUAGUUUGGAUGAGUUAACUAUAUAUGUGUGUGUGUGUUAUUACUUCCUCUCUUGUCUGUUUUUCUUUUUAUGCUAGAUAACCUCUAAUUUUGGAUAUAACACCUUUCUAUAAUAAUACUCGACUAUUAUAUAUAUAUAAAAAGAACCAGAAGCAGAAAUAACAUAGCGGAUUGAUUGUUAUAGGUAAUGAGUUAUUUAGUUAAUUUUUAAAAAAAUUAGGUAAAAAUAAUAAUUGUAAAUUAUAGUUUGUUUAAAUGAUGAAUUUGAGUUAGAAAUCUUGAUACAUCAGUAGGUGAUUUGUGAAAAAUUUGGGUUUGAGGUUGAAGAUGAUAAAAUUCAGUUUCGUCUCUCAAUUUGUGAAAAUUUAAGUUAAUCCCUAAACUUUAAAAAAAUUACAAAUUGGUCCCAUGCUGACAAUAAAUGCCAUAGCUUCUGGUGUUGCCUUUGACGCUGCCAUUAAAAGGCCUAAGCAUACCAGCUAGACCCAGAAAAUUAAAUAACAACAAGAGGGUGAGCCUUUCCUUGACGAAUAUCCUCAAUGGCCUCUGGGAUCGAAGCAAAUACGGUGGCCACAAUUUAUUGUUAGCACGUGUUUGCAAUUUGCAACAUAUAUUUUGAUGAGCUACUUGUAGAGUAAGGCGCUGUUUGUGUUUCUAGCUUUAGGUGAUUGCACCAAACAUAGACUGAACAAAACGGACAGACAGUGGUGGAAAAAUGCAUGAUGGUUGGAAGAGGUCUCACGGCCUCUCCUCGAGGAAAAAUGCAUGAUGGCAACGAUCUCAGGACCAAUGUGCAGAUGAAAAUGAUCUCGAGUAAAAGCAACGCUACAGGGAACCAAUGGGCAGAUGACAAUUAAUGGUCUCAUGGACUCAUAAAUACAUGAUGGUAAUUGUCUGUUGAACCCAUCUUGAGGGAAAAAAUGCAUGACAGCAAUAUACCACAAGAUUUAAAAUUAUUUUAUAUUUCAAUAAAAUAAAUAAAUAAAUUACAUAUAUGGUUACGAUAUUUUUUCUUAAGAAAAUAAAUUGAUUUCAUGUGUUAAUAACAUUUAAGGAUUUUUUCCAAUUAAAUAAUCAAAUUUAUUUUAAUUAAAAAGUUUCCUAUCAAUAACAGAAUUCCCAAUUAAAUAAAAGUUUUUCCACGAACCCAUUUCAUAGAAAAAAUGCAUGACAACGGUCUUAGGGAUCAAUGUACAGAUAAAAAUGAUCUCUCGGACUCAUAAAUGCAUGAAGAUAAUGGUCUCCAAUGAGCAGAUGGAAAUCAUCUCACGAACUCAUAAAUGCAUUUGAAAAAAAAAACCUCAUUUUGCGUAACUGUUCCAAUGUCUUUUUAUUAUUGAUGUAUGUUUGACAUUUUUAAUAUCUAAGAAGAGCACACAUAAAGGUUUAUGAGGAUGCCUUGGGAGGAGCAUCAUGCAACUUCUAACUGAGCAUUGAAUGUCAUAAUGAGAAAGAUUGGCGGUCAUUGCACACCCAGGAGAAUGCUUUAUUUAUUUAUUAUUAUUAUCUUUCUUUCAAAAGAUAAGGUAAUUGGUUGUCGUGUGAUUUUUAUAUGGCUUGUGUGUUUUGACUUUUAGCAUUCUUUUAGAUUGGCUUGUGGUGCUCCUCCAAGAUUCUGCAUAAGGAAAUCACAAGGAUAUCACUGCAUGGUUGUGUUUAAAAAUCAAAAUGACACACAGCAAGUCAAGCAUCCGUGUUCACGACCUUUCUUGGCAAUAUCCAUUGUCUCAUCAAUUACUUAAGAUUUGUGGAAGAUAUGAUACAAAAGAUAAGAAAAUAAUUGCUAUUAUCGACAAUUUCUCUAUUAUAUAUAUAUAUAUAUAUAUAUAUAUAUAUAUAUAUAUAGGCGGAGUUUCAUGAAUCUUUUCAUUAGAUAAUCAAUAAUAUUUUAUAUAUUAUUUUUGGAGAAGUAACUCAUUUUCACACCCCAUUUGCCACCCUGCUUUUUGGAGAAGUAACUCAUUAGAUAAUCAAUAAAGUUUCUUUUUGUUCAUUUACCACUAGUUUACACUUCAAUCAAAAACUAAAUUUACUUUUACUACUAUUUUAAUUUUUUAAAAAUAUUUUAUAUUGUUUAAUGCAUUAAUUUCAAGAAAUAAAUUCCUUUUAUCUUAAAAUCUGGAAUUGAAAAACCAGAUUUAUUUUAUAAUUAGGGAGAAAACUAGAAAAAUUGACUAGUCUUUUCAUUCUAAUAAUAUAAAUGGUAUGUCUUUGACUCAAUUGAAAAAAAAAAUUUAAUAUUGAAAUGUAAUAAAAACAAGUCAAUAAUACCUUACCGAACAUAAAAACAAAAGUGUGUGUGAAUAUAUUAUGUAUUUGAAGUUUUUGUGUAUAAUAUUAUAGCCACACAAUCCACAGGGAUAAGAUUUAUAAUUAUUCCAUGUUUAUUAUUAUUGAUAAUUUAUGUAUUUAAUUAUAUAUAUGAUAGUGAGAUGACACUAUGUAAGUAGGCUUCUAAAUGAUUCUAAAUUAUGACGAGAAAAAUAUAAUUAUAAAGUUAAAAAGAUUUUACGUGGAAUUACACACGAAUGUUCAAUAACAAUGAUUAAGUACUGCAACAAUUAUUAUUUUUAUUUUUUUAUAUAAAUUGGAUAAUUAGUAAGCAAAAGGUAAUUAAAUGCAAAUAGACUAAGUGCUUAACAAUAAAAUAAAAUAAUAUUCAAAUACAAGAAUAUUCCAAAAAAAAAUUAAUAAUAAAGAAAACAUCUCAAAACGUAGAAUCUGCACAGGAUAUGCAGAUAAAGUCAUGGAAAUGGCCAGAGCGUAGUAGAAAUAGGACCUCCAUGGUUGCCCAAAGGCACAUAACAAACAGCAAUAUUCUACGUAGUAGUUCAUAGAAUUAUCUAAGAUGAUGAUGAAAAUAAUGGGGGCUUGGAUGUUGCUAGCAUUAUUGACUUUGGUUGGCGAAUGGUCUGGUCGUUGUUAUGGGUGUUUGGAGGAAGAGAGGAUUGGUCUCUUGGAGAUCCACUCUUUGAUCCACUCUUUGAUCGACCUAGAUGGCUUUUCCUUGAGAGAUUGGGUGGACAGUAGUAAUUGUUGUGAGUGGCGUGGGAUCAAGUGUGAUAACACUACAAGGCAAGUGAUCCAACUCUCUCUUUAUGGAGUAAGGGGUUUCCGCAGUCAAGUUGUGGUCAAAUAUCUAGUCUAUGUACUAAAAUAAGUGGCACUCAAAGGUUCACAUAACAUUUUCAUUUUGGUCCUUCGUUAAUUUAAUGGCAUUGCAAAGGGUUGAGAAUUCACAUAUCUCCUGAUGGAAGAGGUCCUUGCUGCUAAGACAUUGUCUUUUAACUCUAAACAUUAUUUUUCUGGUGUUGGAAUUUGCUUCGCAUAACGGAUCGUUUGUAGAAAAAAGAACAACAUUCACAAUCUAUGAAGAUAAGUAUCGUAUCAUCCUCGGAUUUCAUAAGCUGACUAGCAUUUCUAUCCUGCGUGGCAUGUGUCCGGCGUUGUACCAACAGGAACCGCUCCAUCAAACUGCCGCCCACUCCCUCAAAAUUAUUCUGCAAGUCUUCCUCUCCAACAAACUCAGACGCAUCUAAUCCAUUCCAUUUGGCUUCUCACAAUCUGUCAAGGACACAAUUAAUGCUGGAGUCGCCGAAUGUGCAGAUGUCAUCACUUCUGAUUGAUCAACUGAACUAUAAGUCCACGGGACAGUGUAGACAUCUUUGAUUUCAGGAAACCGGACCUCAUCUGGGACAGAAUCUGCAAUUAAAUUAGCACUUUAAAAUCAAACCAAGAUAAAGGUUUCUUGAAAAGAUCAUAUCCAUUAGAUAAUAUAAAUGGAGAAGUUAGUGACGUACCACUGAUACAGUGAACGCAGUGCACAGUUUUCCUCAUUCUUCUUAUGAGUUACCAUUAAUGGAAGCUCACACACACUAUACCAGUCCCAUGCUUGACAAUAAAUGCCAUAGCUUCUGGUGUUGCCUUUGACGCUGCCAUUAUAAAGCCCCCCUCAUUUUCUCUUAAUUUCUUCAUCAUCAACAACAAUUACUAACUGCAGAGUAUCAUCACACAUUCGUAACAUAAAGCCUUUGAAGUAAUGAUGUAAGGCCUAAGCAUACUAGCUAGACCCAGAAAAUUAAAUAAUAAAUCAAGAGGGUGAGCCUUUCCUUGACGAAUAUCCUCAAUGGCCUCUGGGAUCGAAGCAAAUCCUCUGGCCACAAUUUAUUGUUAGCACGUGUUUGCAAUUUACAAUAUAUAUUUUGAUGAGCUACUUGUAGAGUAACCAGUUUUGUAUUCUUGCUCAUUUUCAAUUUGGUUUCGGUAUCGUGUUUUGUAAUUAUUACUUACUGCUGGUGUUUUGAAUUAACUAAUCAUUUUUUCCCUCCAACUUCCCAUAUCUUUUUGUUGGAAGCUCCAUCUGUAUAGCAUUCUAUUUUUUUUUUUUUUGCAAAGAAAAACCUCGUUUUGCAUAACUGUUCCUAUGUCUUUUUAUUAUUGAUGUAUGUUUGAAAUUUUUAAUAUCUUAAAAGAGCAUAGAGAAAGCAGGUUUAUGAGGAUUCCAUGGGAGGCUACUGAUUUUUGCUCCCCAAGAGCAUCAUGCAACUUCUAACUGAGCAUUGAAUGUUAUAAUGAGAAAGAUUGGCGGCUAUUGCACACCCAAUAUAAUGCUUUUUUAAAAAAAAAUCUUUUUUUCACAAGAUGAGGUAAUUGGCUGUUGUGUGAUUUUUAUAUGACUUGUGUGUUUUCUUUUUUUUUUUAGUUUAACGUGGGUGUCCGGCCCAGCUUGCGCACACCUCGACUAAUCCCACGGGCCUUGAAGUUAUCGAUCAUGUAAGUCUCCAGUGGCCAUCAUAUGAGCAACUCAGGACUCGAACCUGAGACCACAGAGGAAGCAAACCUCUUGCUCCUAAGCUCUUACCACUAGGCCACCACCUAUAUGGUUUACUUGUGUGUUUUAGAUGGGCUUGUGGUGGUCACCCUAGAGAGAAUGUCACUUUUAGCAUUCUUUUAUAUAAGGUAAUUGGUUAUGUUUAAAAAUCAAAAUGCCACACACCAGAAAAGUCAAUUACUUAAGAUUUGUGGAAGAUAUGAAUGAUACAAGAGAUAAGAAAAUGAUUGCUAUUAUCAACAAUUUCUCUAUUAUUAUAUAUAUAUAUAUAUAUAUAUAUAUAUAUAUAUAUAUAUAUUUGGAGAAGUAACUCAUUAGAUAAUCAAUAAAAUUUCUUUUUGUUCAUGUACCACUAGUUUACACUUAAGUCAAAAACUAAAUUUACUUUUACUACUAUUUUAAUUUUUAAAAAAUAUUUUUAUAUUGUUUAAUGCAUUUAUUUCAAGAAAUAAAUUCCUUUUAUCUUAAAAUCUAGACUUGAAAACUAGUCUUCUCAUUCUAAUAAUAUAUAUGGUAUAUCUUUGACUCGAUUGAAUUGAAAUGUAAUAAAAAUAAAUCAAGAAUACCUUUCCUAACAUAAAAACAAAAGAGUGUGUGUGUAUGUUAUGUAUUUGAAGUUUUUGUAUAUAAUAUUAUAGCCACACAAUCCAGAGAUAAGAUUUACAAUUAUUCUGUGUUUAUUAUUAUUAAUAAUUUAUGUAUAUAUAUAUAUAUAUAUAUAUAUAUGAUAGUGAGAUGACACCAUGCAAGUAGGCUCCUAAAUAAUUAUAAAUUAUGACGAGAGAAGUAUAAUUAUAAAAUUAAAAAGAUCUUACACGGAAUCACAUACGAAUGUUUGGUAACAAUGUUAAAGUAUUGCAACAAUUUUUUUAUUUUAUUUUUUUAUAAAUUGGAUAAUUAGUAAGCAAAAUGUAAUUAAAUGCAAAUAGACUAAGUGCUUAACAAUAAAAUAAAAUAAUAUUUAAAUCCAAGAAUAUUCCAAAAAAAAAUGAAAUAAAGAAAACAUCGCAAAACAUAGAAUCUGCACAAGAUAUGCAGAUAAAGUCAUGGAAAUGGCCAGAGCGUAGUAUAAAUAGGACCUCCAUGGUUGCCCAAAGGCACAUAACAAACAGCAAUAUUCUACGUAGUAGUUCAUAAAAUUAUCUACGAUGAUGAUGAAAAUAAUGGGGGCUUUGAUGUUGCUAGCAUUGCUGACUUUGGUUGGCGAAUGGUCUGGUCGUUGUUAUGGAUGUUUGGAGGAAGAGAGAAUUGGUCUCUUGGAGAUCCAGUCUUUGAUCGACCCAAAUCACCUUUCCUUGGGAGAUUGGGUGGACAACAAUAGUAAUUGUUGUGAGUGGUAUGGAAUCGAGUGUGAUAACACUACAAGGCAAGUGAUCCAACUCUCUCUUAGUGAAGCAAGGGAUUUCAGCUUGGGCGAUUGGGUUCUCAACGCAUCUUUGUUUCUGCCUUUCAAAGAAUUGCAAAGUCUUGAAUUGGUAUAUACUGGAUUGGUUGGCUGCUUGGAGAAUGAAGGUUAGUUCAAUGUUUCUGCACUUAAUUAUAAUCAUAAAAUAAAUGAAGGUUGGUUGGUGUUUAAUGUCAAUUAUCUUGCUUUGAUGAUUCUCUUCCAGGCUUCCAAGUCCUAUCAUCAAAACUGAGGGAACUUGACCUAAGUUUUAACCGAUUUAAUAAUGAUAAAAGCAUUUUGUCAUGUUUCAAUGGUAACCUUUCCACUCUCAAGUCUUUGGAUCUAUCAGACAAUGGGUUGACAGCUGGAUCAGGUAGCUUCUUUGGUAACCUUUUAAUUAUUUAGCUUUUAUGGUAACCUUCUAUGUUUCAACGGUAACCUUUCCACUCUCAUAUCAUUUAUAUGCUUUUGAGGAACAUCAUGCAGGUUUCAAAGUCUUGUCAUCAAGGUUGAAAAAGCUGGAGAACCUUCAUCUAAGUUGGAAUCAAUGCAACGAUAGUAUUUUUUCAUCUCUAACUGGAUUUUCAUCUCUCAAGUCUUUAGGUCUUUCACACAAUCAGUUGACAGGAUCUGCUAGUAUCAUUAGUAAGUUACAUAUAAUUUCUACCUGACUGCUUUACGUGACAUUCUUUUACACGGUUUCUUAAUCAAGAAAAUUGAGGACUUUAUAUUUAUUUAAUAAUUAAUCAACGAUAGCAUUUCAUCAUGUUUGAUUGCGCUAGCUUUCAUCCAUGAAGAUUUAUAUCUAUAGAGCUUAAUUUUAUCUUAUCCAUAAAUUGUUUUUCUAAUAAGACAUGAAGAGAUUAAAGUGAGCUAGCUGGAUCAAUACUAGCGAGGAUGAUUAAAAAAUACAUGUAUAGAAUGGAUACCAAGUUAUCAAUUCUAAGUGGGCUUUCAUCCCUCAGGGCUUUUAAAAGAUGAGGACUUUAUAUCCAUGAUCUAUUUUAUCACAACUCGAGCUCUAGUUUCAUAAUCGGCAACGUAGUAGUAGUGUUGAAAGGACAUUCUAUCUAUGCUAAGCCCCAUAACAAACAUAUUAAAAGAAUAAAUUAUUUUAAAAUACAUAGUAUUUCAUAAUCUUUAAAAAUAUUAUAUUAUUUAAAACAAAUAAAACCAAAUGAUUGUUCAAAACUUCUAAUUAAUAAUUAACACAAAACACUCAUUAUAUUAUCAUGAAAAAUGAGGACUUUAUAUCCAUGUGAUGAUCAAUUUAAUGAUAGCAUUGUAUCAUGUUUUUUCCCCCAAUAAGAUCAAAAUUAUAUAAUUAAAUAUGUGUUCGUGAGCUCAUUAUAAUUAAAUAUAGCAUUUUAUCAUUUUUUUUAUGUAUAAUUUGAGAAUCAUAUAUCAAUUGAACAACAAUAUCUCAUCAAUUCUAAUUAUCUGUAGUUUCUAUCUAUUAUGCAUAUCAUGAUUAUGACUUACUCUUAGAAACAACUCUCUUGAAGGUUCUGAGAUCAUAUCAUCACAUUUGUGGAAACUCGAGUCAUUAGAUUUAUCACGCAAUCAGCUGACAGGAUCUAUCACUAGUAAGUUACAUUCUCUUUAUCAAGAAAAUUGAGGACUUUAUAUCUAUUUAAUAAUCAAUUUAAUUAUAGCAUUUUAUCAUGUUUGACUGAGCUUUCAUCUCUAGGAAUUUAUAUUUAUAUGCUUUCGUGUAUCAUUUUAAUAUCUAAAAGAUACUUUCAUCAUUAUUUUGACUAUUUCGAGAUAAAUUGUACAGGUUUGUGUGAAUUGAAGAAUCUGAAGCAGUUAGAUCUUGCUAGAAAUAAUUUUGGAGGUUCACUCCCAAAUUGUUUGGGGAACUUGUCUUCUCUACAACUAUUAGAUAUUUCUAAAAACCAGUUUACUGGAAAUAUUGCCUUUAGUCCUCUUACUAACCUCAUAUCCCUUAAAUUUCUCUCACUAUCAAAUAACCUCUUUGAAGUUCCCACUUCGAUGAAGCCUUUUAUGAACCACUCAAGCCUCAAGUUCUUCUCCAAUGAGAACAAUAAACUAGUAACAGAACCUGCUGUCUUUGAUAAUUUGAUUCCAAAGUUCCAACUAGUCUUUUUUAGCUUGUCAAAAACAACGGAAGCACUCCAUGUAGAAAUUCCUGACUUCCUCUAUUACCAAUACGACUUAAGAAUCCUUCAUCUCUCCCACAACAACAUCACCGGAAUGUUUCCAUCGUGGUUGCUUAAGAACAAUACACGAUUGGAGCAACUAUAUCUGAGCAACAACUCCUUUGUUGGUGCUUUGCAGUUGCAAGAUCAUCCUUAUCCGAAUAUGACCGCCUUAGAUAUAUCCAACAACAACAUGAACGGUCAUAUUCCAAAAGAUAUUUGUUUAAUCUUUCCAAAUCUAGGGACCUUAAGGAUGGCUAAGAAUGGAUUCACAGGGUGUAUUCCUUCAUGUUUAGGAAAUAUGAGCUCUUUGGAAAUUUUAGAUUUAUCCAACAAUCAAUUGUCCACAAUAAAACUAGAACAACUAAAAACAAUAUUGUUUCUCAAGCUGUCAAACAACAAUUUAGGUGGGCAAUUACCGACCUCAGUGUUCAAUUCUUCUAGCCUGGCUUAUCUCUACCUAAGUGGUAACAACUUUUGGGGUCGGAUAUCAGAUUUUUCAUUAUAUGGGUGGAAAAUUUGGAAGGUAUUGGAUUUGAGUAACAAUCAAUUUUCAGGCAUGCUUCCAAGGUGGUUCAUCAAUUCUACACGCCUUACAGCAAUUGAUUUGUCCAAAAACCAUUUUAAGGGUUCGAUCGACUUUUGUAAGCUGGACCAGCUUGAUUAUUUGGACCUUUCUGAGAACAACUUGUCUGGAAAUAUACCAUCUUGUUUUAGUCCACCAAAAAUAACCCAUGUGCAUCUAUCCAAAAAUAGAUUGAGUGGUCCAUUAACAUAUGGAUUUUAUAACAACUCUUCUCUGGUUACGAUGGAUCUUCGAGAUAACAGCUUCACCGGCUCCAUUCCAAAUUGGAUUGGCAAUCUUUCAUCAUUGAGUGUUCUUCUUCUGAGGGAUAAUCACUUUGAUGGUGAGCUCCCUGUUCAGUUAUGCUUGUUAGAAGAAUUAAGCAUUUUGGAUGUUUCACAAAACCAGCUCUCUGGUCCACUACCCUCUUGUUUGGGCAAUCUUACUUUCAAGGAAAGUUCCCGGAAAGCAUUAGUGGUUCUCGGAUUUCUUUUAGUAUCCAUAGAAAAAGCUUAUUAUGAAAUAAUGGGUCCACCACUAGUGGAUAGUAUGUACACAUUGGCAAACAGUUUGUGGGCUAACUUUACAGAAGAAGCGAUAGAAUUUACAACUAAAAAUAUGUAUUAUGGUUACAAGGGGAAAGUUCUCAGCUACAUGUCUGGUAUUGAUCUCUCCAAUAACAACUUCAUAGGAGCGAUUCCACCUGAAUUUGGGAACUUAAGUGAGAUACGAUCAUUAAACUUAUCACACAACAAUCUCACUGGAUCUAUCCCUGCAACAUUCUCAAACCUAAAGCAGAUUGAGAGUUUGGAUAUUUCUUACAACAACUUGAAUGGUGUUAUCCCUCCACAACUUAUUGAAAUUACCACACUGGAAGUUUUUAGUGUGGCGCACAAUAACUUGUCAGGUAAGACACCCGAGAGAAAAUAUCAGUUUGGGACCUUUGAUGAAAGCUGUUACGAAGGAAAUCCUUUCUUGUGUGGACCUCCAUUGCAAAACAAUUGUAGCGAGGAAGUAGUGCCAUCGCAGCUAGUGCCUAAUGAUGAACAAGGAGAUGAUGGUUUCAUAGACAUGGAGUUUUCUACAUCAGUUUCGGUGAUUUACACAGUUGUGGUGAUGACGAUUGCAGCAGUUCUCUACAUCAAUCCAUAUUGGCGACGUAGGUGGUUGUACUUCAUCGAAGACUGCAUAGAUACUUGCUACUAUUUUGUGGUGGCUAGUUUUCGCAAGUUCUCCAACUUCAGAAGGUGAAUUUGUUAUUGGGGAGACGGUCGUUCCUAGUUUGUGAUGAUUGUUUGUCUAGCUAUUGGGUGCUUAAUCUGUAGUGUACUGUCUCUAAGCUCAGUCUUUUUAUUUGAUUAGUUAUUUGGGCUAAAUAUAUAAGCUGGACUUGGGUGUGAUUACUCUUUCAACUCUCAAGACUUGUCUGAAAAUAAAUUGCCAAAACCACUACUAAGUAGAAACAAAUUAUUCUAUGCAUGUGUGACAGCACUUACAUCUGCCUCUGUUUCAAGGGCGACAACAGUUAUUCAUUCAAAGCAUUGAAAUCGUAGCAAGAAGAUCCACCUUCUUCAACAGCCUUCAUCAUUCUCUCUUCCCCCCGAUAAAAUCUCUCGUCCCGUGUUUACCCAUGUUUGAUUUUAUCUUUUUUUUAAAUCUCUCCUCCCGUGUUUACCCAUGUUUGAUUUUAUCUAUAUAUUAUAUAUUCAUAAAAAGCUUAAAGUAGAUAAACAUCAAACAUUGAUUAAACAUCUAACAAUGCAAAGCUGAAGUUUGAUUGCGCAAACAUAAAUGGUAGUCAUUAGAAGGUUAUGUUUGAUGUCCCAGACGGUAAAAAGAUGAUUCAACAUGACAGCCUCAAACCCAUGUUUACCCAUGUUUUAAGAAGAUCGUAAGACAGUAAUCUAGUCAAAUAUUUUGGCUUGGAUUUGUAGUAAAUCCUCUGAAAUUUUUGCUACAAUAUCCUCAUCAUUCUCUCUGUCGCACCCCUAAAAAAAAAUAAUUUUCAAUUGCGGGUUCGACUGGCGAAAUUUUUUAUUUUUUUUAUUUGAUUUGGUUCUUUGGAGUCGCCACCUAGUAUUUUGGUCACUAGGAACCCUAACUGGUCUCAGAGAUCGGGUACGGAGACUGGUUGCGUAAAGGGAAGGUAUUAGCACCCCAAAUACGCCUUACCUAAGGUAAGCUGCAUUGUUUUAUUGUCUGAUAAAAAUAAUAAUAAAAAAAAUAAGGUGUUAUUGUGUUUUCCUAGUUGUUGGUCUGUCUAUGGUUCAAGAAAAAUCCUCCUCGGUAAGGAGAUCUUUAUCUUAUCGGGUAAAAAAAAUCCUAACCGUUCUAACGUCCAUACCAAAAUUUUAUUAAUAAUAUUUAGGAAUACGUUUUACGUAUAAAUUUGUAAUCCCAAAUAUUAAAAGAAAACAAAAAGAUUUUUUUAGAAUUUUUGAAAUAUUGGCCUAGUUCUCAUGGCUUGAAUAAACUGGUUAUUAAAGCCAAAAUGCAUGUUAAUACAUAUAUUGUUUUGAAAAUUUUCUUUGUUGUGUGAAAAUAUGAUGUUAUAAUAUUUAUGUAUAUAUAUUGGAGAGACUAGGCCAUAUUUUAAAACAAAAACAAUUUUUAGAAAAUAUUAUUUUUUUUAUGCUUUGACGAAAAUCGGGUAUUUUAAUACUGAGCUUGUAUCCUUACGGUAUAAAAAUACAACCCAAUAUUAAUCCGCUUUUAAAAAAAUAUGCAGAAAAAUCAAUAACAUUUUUAGGGAAUUUUUAGAAAUUUUUUGAAAGCAAAAACAUUUUUUAUUCUGAAAAUCUUUGAUUUUGACGAAAACCGGGUAUUUAUAACACUGGUUUUAUAUCUUUACGGUAUAAAAAUACCAACCAAAAUUAAACCAUUUUGAUAAAAAUAUGCAGAAAAAUCAACAACAUUUUUAGGGACUUUUUAGAAUUUUUUUGAAAGCAAAAACAUUUUUUAUUCUGAAAAUCUUUGAUGUUUUGACGAAAACCGGGUAUUUAUAACACUGGUUUUGUAUCUUUCAGUAUAAAAAUACAAACCAAAAUUAAAACAUUUUUGACAAAAAUAUGCAGAAAAAUCAACAAUAUUUUUUUAAGAUUUUUUCAAAAAUAUUUUUUUUUAUUAUUAUAUUUAUAUAUAUACAUAUAUACACACAUAUAAUAUAAUAAUAUAAUAUAUAAUAUAAAAAUAAUUCGGGCUGGGCCGGCCCAAAUAUCUGGGCCGGACUUGGCCCAGAGAGCUGGUAUGGGCCAGACCUGGUCUGGCCCGUCAGAUACAAGGCCGGGCCAGACAGUCUGGCCCAAAAAAAUGAUGCUGGGCCAGGAUCCACCUGGCCCAGCUACAUCAACAAGGGGGGAAUUAAUUCCCCCUCCUCCCUGCAUGCAGAAUGUUCAUUCUGCAUGCAGGGAAAAAAAUAAAAAACUAACGACAGGGGGGAGAAGAGGUGACCUGGCGUGGAGGAGGCGGUGCUGCGGUGGCGUGGCUUCCCGGGCGGCGCUGCGGCUCCUUCUCUCUUCGGUGUUCGGUUCUCUCUCUCUCUUCGGCCUCCUCUCUCUCUCUCCUCUUCGGUUUUUUUUCUUCUCUCUUUCUUCGGUUUUCUUCUUAUUUAUAGGGGCAGAACCGUGGGGGACCAUCAUUAGUGCGGUGCAACGGCUGGUCGGCCAAUGCUAAAGGUGGUGGGGGCGAGGAGAGAGAGAGGCGCGGGAAGAAUUUUCGAAUUUUUUGUCUUCUGUUCUGUUAAAACGGGGGGAAGGAGGAAGAUGAACAGUGUCGUUCAAAAACACCGUUCUGAUUUUCCUUUUUUUUUUUUUUUUUUUAUGAAACGGCGUCGUUUUGGGUAAAACGCGCCGUUUCAUUUAAAUGGUUAAACUUCAAAUCAGUCCCCAAAUUCGGUCCCGCCCCUCUUGUUGGCCGCCUUUUUCACUUUGGUCCUUGGCCUCUGAUUUAUGCAAUUGAGCCCCUAAUUGAUCAAUAAACUUCCAAUUUCUUCAAUUAAACCCCUGAAACAAAUCCAAACAGCCCCCUCUAUCUUUGCGCCUUCUCCAAAUUGGUCCCUGGUUUCGGAUUUUCACAAUUAAGUCCCUAAUUGGCCCUUAAACUUCAAUAUUUAUGCAAUUGAGCCCCUGAUUUGACCCAAUAAAUUCCUAAAAAAUAUAUUUUGGCCCCAGAACUUAAAUUUCUCCAAAUUAAAGCCCAAAUUGACUUAAAAUCAAUUUUUCUUGCAAUCAAAUCUUCUAUAAAUUCAAAUAAAAAUCCAAUUAAUCCAUAAAAAUCCAAUUAAGUCCAUAAAAAUCCAAUUAAGUCCAUAAACAUCCAAAUUUAGGCUUUUCUCCUCAAAAUUCAAAUUUUCCUUCUCAAUAGGGCUUUCAUCCUUCAAGAAUAUACUUUCAAAAAUUUAAUCCUUGUAUUUUUGAAUUUCUUGACCAAUUUUCUGACUGUUUCCUGAGCGCUUCUGCCUUCUGUUAUUUUUUCUAAACUCUUUUGGCUAUUUAUUUUAUUUUUCAUGGGGACCCAAAAAUGGGUUACAACACUCUCUUCCCCCUCUUUAUAAUACUUACGGAGCAUGGGUUUUGCGCAGUAAGUGUUAUAAAGAUAAACCCAAAACGGAACUCCCGAAACUGAUAUGGUCGAAGCUUGAUUUAUCUGAAACUUUGUCCUUUACAACAAUCCUCCUUAGCCCAAAAACUAUGAUCAAAACUUAGCCAUCUCGAGAUCCUUAUCCAGCAAUCCUCUGAAUUCUUACUUUAGUUUGAUCAAUAUGGAAAUCCAUCCGAGAUCCCAUCUGGUGAUCUCCUUUAACCUGGAAUCCCAUCUGGUGAUUCCUUUACCCAAUACAAAAAAAAUGUGUGUGUGGUCUCAUUUUGAUGGGUGACCUGCCCCGAAAAAAUAUGGUCUCAUUGUGAUGGGUGACCUACCCAAGAAAAAAAAGGAAUGGUCUCAUUGUAUGGGUGACCUACCCAGAAAAAUAAUGGUCUCAUUGUAUGGGUGACCUACCCAGAAAAAUGAUGGUCUCAUUGUAUGGGUGACCUACCCCAGAAAAAAUGAUGGUCUCAUUGUAUGGGUGACCUACCCAGGAAAAAAUGAUGGUCUCAUUGUAUGGGUGACCUACCCAGGAAAAAUGAUGGUCUCAUUGUAUGGGUGACCUACCCAGGAAAAAUGAUGGAGAAUGGUCUCAUUGUAUGGGUGACCUACCCAGAAAAAUAAUGGUCUCAUUGUACGGGUGACCUACCCAAAAAUGAUGGUCUCAUUGUAUGGGUGACUAACCCAAGGGGAAUAAUUCUUAGUAAACUCCAUGCUUUUCUAAGAAAUGGUUUCAAUAUAAGGUCCCUUCUGGCGACCUUCCUUGAUGAAUGUCGAAGUACGAGAUCCCUUCUGGCGAUCUCAAAUAACUUGGAAUCCCAUCUGGCGAUUCCUUUUAUUCAAAGCUGAAAUAUUAGGUCCCUUCUGGCGACCCUUAUCGAAAUAUGAGAUCCCUUCUGGCGAUCUCCUUUAGCCAAACAACUUGGAAUCCCAUCUGGCGAUUCCUUUUAUACCAAAGCUGAAAUUUGAGGUCCCUUCUGGCGACCUUCAUUGGUGAAUAAAACGAGACCCCUUCUGGCGAUCUCAAACUACUUGGAAUCCCAUCUUGUGAUUCCUUUUAUUCAAAACUGAAAUAUGAGGUCCCUUCUGGCGACCUCCAUCGAAAUACGAGAUCCCUUCUGGCGAUCUCAACAACUUGGAAUCACAUCUGGCGAUUCCUUUUUACCGAAUGCUAUCGAUGUCGUUCUUCCUGCUGGCAGGGUUUGAAAACCAUUAUCUUCUCUUCUUGUUGUUCUAGAAUCAACUCAAUGAUUUUCUUCGUCCAUAAUCUUGUUGGAAUGCGCUAAGAUCUCCUCCUGUAACGAUCCAAAAAAAACAUAUAUGCAAUGAUUUAUGAUUAGAUGCAAUGCAUGCAUUCGUACCUGGUUUUGAAACAUAGGCCCCAUCCUCUUCUUCUAGUUCAUGGGACUCCCUCUUAACAUGAACUUGCUUUUGAAGUCGUAUGCUGGAUUCAUCUCUCGUGUUGCCUAUCAUAUUCUUGGAGAAAAGGUCUUUGACUUUCUUCAAGUAGUCCUUUUCUCAAAAUGUAUGACUUGUAUUUGCCUCUUUGUCAUGCUUUUGUCAAAUGCUUUAGCUUGGUUUUCAAAUCGUAAAACUUUUCAUAAAACAUCUCGUCUUGCCCCCUAGUAUAGGGGUGCGAUAUUAGUCUGGGUUUUUAUAUAGAGAAGCAAUUCAUUCAGCCGGUGAUAAACUUUUUUAGUGAGUGAAUAGAUAAUGAUUUUUUUUAUUUCAAAAUGCCAUUGUUAUGGUUGAUAAACUCUAUUCUUUAAAAGACAAUUACAAAGUGACCACUUAAACAUUUAUCCAUGCUAUCAGAGAUAGGGUUGUACUUUAGCUUUUCUUAAAUUUCAUAUUAAACCAUUUUAUUGAUACUUUAUUUGUAACCACUCAAACUUGUUAAAAAAAUGCAUGAACUCAUCAUUUAUUUAAAGGUAAGCUCAAAGACAAACACAAAAAUCUGGCUGACAAUAUGAGCUCUGAAUGCUCACUAGAGAAAAUAAAAGCAAAGACAAAAGCAAAUGACAAAAACAUGCUAAGGCAAAUAAAGUUGUUUUACAUUUUGAAAACUACGAGAAGUUCUUGGGUCAACCCGUUCUGAAACUUCUUCUAGUGUGUGGAAAGUCAACCGAGGCAAUGCUUCAUCUUCCUUCCCCACUUGCAUUUCCUUGUCUUCUCCUUCGAUCUCGCCUUCUUCAUUAUUGACGACUCUUGACCAAGGUUUUCCAACCUUUAUCCCCUAUCACUUUUGUCAUGACCAGGCAAUGGAUUUAAACUGAUAUUGGGUGCAUCUUCAAAUGACACCCAUCCUAUCUUGAUGAGCUUCAACAACUUGUUCUUGAAACCGUAGCACGUUUCAAGACAAUGCCCGGGAAUACCAGCAUGGUACUCGCAAGUCAACUCGGGCUUAUACCAGAUGGGGAAUGGUGGCUGUAGUGGUAAUGUAGGGAUAGGAGCUAUUUGUCCAAUGCUUAGUAAUUUGGCAUAUAUAUCCUUUAGAGGCAUGGGUAAUGGCGGUAGUUGUUCUGAAAUGUAUCUUGUGUUUGGUCUUUGGUGGGUGUUUUGGGUGUCUGACUGGCCAUUUGCUCGAUUAGGGGAAAAAGGUUUGUUAAAGUUUAUGUGGGCCACAUGAGAGGUAGGUAUUUGUGGGUUAUAUGAAUCUGUUAUCUUGUCAUUGGACCCACCUUCGAAGUUGUUAACGGGACCUUUCAUUUUUCUUCCGAAAAAACCCUUUGUCUCCAAUGGCUCAAUUAUGCGUCCAGCUUUAAUCCCUUGCUCGAUUCUUUCCGCUAUGCGUACAACAUCAUAGAAAUGUUGAGAUGAGCUACCCAUUAAAUGCUCAUAGUAGGGUGCCUUGAAUGUAUUGGCGAACAAAGUCACCAUCUCCGUUUCUAUCAAAGGGGGUUGCACAUGCAUGGCCUCGUCCCUCCACCUUUGCGCAUAAGCCCUUACUGAUUCUUGGCUUCUUUUCCAUUGACAUAAGGCUCGUUCGAUCUGGAGCAAUUUCCAAAUUGAACUUGUAUUGCUUAAGGAAAGCCUCAACUAAAUCCUUCCAUUUCUUGAUCUUGGCAUUAUCCAACCUCAUGUACCAACUUAGCGCCGACCCCGAUAGACUAUCUUGGAAAAAGUAGAUCAGUAACUUAUCGUCAUGAAUCACCUCAGCCAUCUUAUUGCAAUAAGAUCGAAGGUGAGUGUUUGGGCAUUCCAACCCAGUGUACUUUAUAAACUCCGGUAUCCUAAAUUUUUUUGGUAUCGUGAUGUUUGGUACCAAGCAUAUUUCAGAUGCUCGCAUGGGGUCAAACCAGUCAUUUCCCUCGACUGCUCUUAACCUUUCUUCCAAGGCUGAUAUCUUGUCAUCGUUCAUAAAUCCGGUGGACCUAUUAUCGGGAGGCCCUUCACAGUGAUGUGAGCUUGAGGGGGCUGAAUGGGAAUGGUAGGUGCAAAGUGCUGCCCCGUCACUGAAUCUGCCCCCAAGUUCUGAGAUAUCCCCGGACAUGAACUGACGGUGCUCCUAUAGGUGGUUGGGUAGAUGUUCCCUCCCCAUUCUUGGCUCUUAAAAGUUGCUCAAGCAGAUUGGUCAGUCGAGAAACUUCAUUUUUCACAGAUUCCAACUCGGUCUGGUAGUGCGACUCUAAUUGAGCUCUUUCUUCGUUUUCCAUUCUUGAUCUGGACCGGGUUUGGUGGACUCUGGAUGUAGGACCUAUGUUUCACGAUCUGUAAUGCAUAUGAUAACAAAAAUGCGUGAUGAAAAUGUGAUGCACAAGUGAUGUGCGAUGAGUAUCCAUUAUUAAUCUUGAUGCAAAUAAGAUACAUAACCUAAGGACAAGCUCUAUUUAUUAAGUGAGAGUGGGUAGUUUUUCUAUCUAGUCUUGAAGGUUCUCAUAUCUGCCCAGUGACGUUCUUCGUAAAGAAGUAUGGGGGCGUUGCAAGGAACAGUUAAGACACGUAUGUCCACCAUUACCAAGCAGGCACUCAGAUAUGAGUUGGGUGUUUCACGCAUUUAAACCCUGACCAAUAGUCUUAGGGUAAAUCGCUAAUUCCCCACUUAACUUAAGGCUUGUGUGUGCUUUUCAAAAUUAAGGCAAGUGAUGCAUGAGACAAUUUUAUACAAUGCAUAAAUAAUACGCGUAAAAUAAAAAACCAAUAUGUAAAUAAAAGGAAAGGCAUAUUAACAAUAAACACAUGAAAACACAAACAAAUCAGACAAAAACAAAGCUUAGUCUACAAGGUCCCCAGUGGAGUCGCCAUUCUGUCGCACCCCUAAAAAAAAAAAAUUUUCAAUUGCGGGUUCGACUGGCGAAAUUUUUUAUUUUUUUUAUUUGAUUUGGUUCUUUGGAGUCGCCACCUAGUAUUUUGGUCACUAGGAACCCUAACUGGUCUCAGAGAUCGGGUACGGAGACUGGUUGCGUAAAGGGAAGGUAUUAGCACCCCAAAUACGCCUUACCUAAGGUAAGCUGCAUUGUUUUAUUGUCUGAUAAAAAUAAUAAAAAAAAACUAAGGUGUUAUUGUGUUUUCCUAGUUGUUGGUCUGUCUAUGGUUCAAGAAAAAUCCUCCUCGGUAAGGAGAUCUUUAUCUUAUCGGGUAAAAAAAAUCCUAACCGUUCUAACGUCCAUACCAAAAUUUUAUUAAUAAUAUUUAGGAAUACGUUUUACGUAUAAAUUCGUAAUCCCAAAUAUUAAAAGAAAACAAAAAGAUUUUUUUAGAAUUUUUGAAAUAUUGGCCUAGUUCUCAUGGCUUGAAUAAACUGGUUAUUAAAGCCAAAAUGCAUGUUAAUACAUAUAUUGUUUUGAAAAUUUUCUUUGUUGUGUGAAAAUAUGAUGUUAUAAUAUUUAUGUAUAUAUAUUGGAGAGACUAGGCCGUAUUUUAAAACAAAAACAAUUUUUAGAAAAUAUUAUUUUUUUUAUGCUUUGACGAAAAUCGGGUAUUUUAAUACUGAGCUUGUAUCCUUACGGUAUAAAAAUACAACCCAAUAUUAAUCCGCUUUUAAAAAAAUAUGCAGAAAAAUCAAUAACAUUUUUAGGGAAUUUUUAGAAAUUUUUUUGAAAGCAAAAACAUUUUUUAUUCUGAAAAUCUUUGAUAUUUUGACGAAAACCGGGUAUUUAUAACACUGGUUUUAUAUCUUUACGGUAUAAAAAUACCAACCAAAAUUAAACCAUUUUGAUAAAAAUAUGCAGAAAAAUCAACAACAUUUUUAGGGACUUUUUAGAAUUUUUUUGAAAGCAAAAACAUUUUUUAUUCUGAAAAUCUUUGAUGUUUUGACGAAAACCGGGUAUUUAUAACACUGGUUUUGUAUCUUUUCAGUAUAAAAAUACAAACCAAAAUUAAAACAUUUUUGACAAAAAUAUGCAGAAAAAUCAACAAUAUUUUUUUAAGAUUUUUCAAAAUAUUUAUUUUUUUUAUUAUUAUAUUUUAUAUAUAUAUACAUAUAUACACACAUAUAAUAUAAUAUAUAAUAUAUAAUAUAAAAAUAAUUCGGGCUGGGCCGGCCCAAAUAUCUGGGCCGGACUUGGCCUAGAGAGCUGGUAUGGGCCAGACCUGGUCUGGCCCGUCAGAUACAAGGCCGGGCCAGACUCAGUCUGGCCCAAAACAAAUGAUGCUGGGCCAGGAUCCACCUGGCCCAGCUACGGAUCAACAAGGGGGGAAUUAAUUCCCCCCUCCUCCCUGCAUGCAGAAUGUUCAUUCUGCAUGCAGGGAAAACAAAUACAAAAACUAACGACAGGGGGGGGAAGAGGUGACCUGGCGUGGAGGAGGCGGUGCUGCGGUGGCGUGGCUUCCCGGGCGGCGCUGCGGCUCCUUCUCUCUUCGGUGUUCGGUUCUCUCUCUCUCUUCGGCCUCCUCUCUCUCUCUCCUCCCUUCGGUUUUUUUUCUUCUCUCCCUCCCCUUGCAGCUUCGGUUUUCUUCUCUAUUUAUAGGGGCCGAACCGUGGGGGACCAUCGUUAGUGCGGUGCAACGGCUGGUCGGCCAAUGCUAAAGGUGGUGGGGGCGAGGAGAGAGAGAGGCGCGGGAAGAUUUUCGAAUUUUUUUGUCUUCUGUUCUGUUAAAACGGGGGGAAGGAGGAAGAUGAACAGUGUCGUUCAAAAUGACACCGUUCUGAUUUUCCUUGUUUUUUUUUUUUAUUAUUUUUAUGAAACGGCGUCGUUUUGGGUAAAACGCGCCGUUUCAUUUAAAUGGUUAAACUUCAAAUCAGUCCCCCAAAUUCGGUCCCCGCCCCUCUUGUUGGCCGCCUUUUUCACUUUGGUCCUUGGCCUCUGAUUUAUGCAAUUGAGCCCCUAAUUGAUCAAUAAACUUCCAAUUUCUUCAAUUAAACCCCUGAAACAAAUCCAAACAGCCCCCUCUAUCUUUGCGCCUUCUCCAAAUUGGUCCCUGGUUUCGGAUUUUCACAAUUAAGUCCCUAAUUGGCCCUUAAACUUCAAUAUUUAUGCAAUUGAGCCCCUGAUUUGACCCAAUAAAUUCCUAAAAAAUAUAUUUUGGCCCAGAACUUAAAUUUCUCCAAAUUAAAGCCCAAAUUGACUUAAAAUCAAUUUUUCUUGCAAUCAAAUCUUCUAUAAAUUCAAAUAAAAAUCCAAUUAAAUCCAUAAAAAUCCAAUUAAGUCCAUAAAAAUCCAAUUAAGUCCAUAAACAUCCAAAUUUGGGCUUUUCUCCUCAAAAUUCAAAUUUUCCUUCUCAAUAGGGCUUUCAUCCUUCAAGAAUAUACUUUCAAAAAUUUAAUCCUUGUAUUUUUGAAUUUCUUGACCAAUUUUCUGACUGUUUCCUGAGCGCUUCUGCCUUCUGUUAUUUUUUCUAAACUCUUUUGGCUAUUUAUUUUAUUUUUCAUGGGGACCCAAAAAUGGGUUACAACACUCUCUUCCCCCUGAUAAAAUCUCUCGUCCCGUGUUUACCCAUGUUUGAUUUUAUAUUUUUUUAAAAUCUCUCGUCCCGCAUCAUCGUGUUUGGCUGUGACAUAGAAACCCCAGAUAAAGAUGAAAGAGAACCAUGCUGCAAGCUUGACAUAUUGUUCUGCUGCAUUGUUGGUAUAGAGCCGUGCAAAUUCAUUGAUUGCAACUGGGGAUUCAGUUGAUUUUGUUGGGACUGCAAUUGAGGAACUGUAGAUUAGGAAUAGGCCUCCUGAAUCUGCUUGGGAAGUUGUCCCAAUUUCUCCUUGAAACUAGGUAUGAUGUUGUUUUCAGAGACCUGUAAGAAUGUUAUCAAGCGCUCCAACAUGGCCUUGAAUACCUCCAGCUUUUCAAGCUGUUCUGACGUCGGUUGUUGCGGAUGAGAGUCAAUCUGGAAAGCAAAGUUAACAUACACGAGAAUUAAAAAUUUGCGUUGAUUCUUUGUAGCAAAAUAUUAGUGAAAAAAAAUGUUUCUAUUCCAAUUCUUCCGUGUCGAUGAAUGGUCGUGGGGCGGUUGGGAGAAGAAAAAAAAUGGCUUUGGGGUGGAGUUGGGGGUUGCUGGCGGCUCCGGAUGGGUGAGGGAGAAGCUGUGCUUGCUGGCGAGAAAAAGGAAAAAAAAACCUGAUGAGGGGGGCUGCUCUCGGUGAUCGGCCGGGAAGAGGAAGAAAAAAGAAUCAGAAGAAGGGGGCGUGUCCGGCGGCUUGGUUUUGGUGAGGGGAGAAAAAUUAGGACUUAGGGUUUCUGGUUUGUGUUCCCUCUUCAAAAUUACCAAAUGACCCCCCUCAUUUUUUUUGAGUUUUCAACCUAUAUUUAUAGGUAAAAGUUUGUUCAAACCUCCAAAUUGGUCCCUCAACUUUCUUUUUUUGUAAAUUUUGAUUUUUUUUGUUUUUUUUUCUUGUAUUUUUAAAAACGAGCAAAAUCAACGUCAAUUCUAUAGAAAAUUACGAUUUUAAAAUGACGCGUGAAAAGUCGAACGCGUUCGAAAAAAAAUUGAAAAUUAAAAUUCUUUUUAAAAGACGUUGAAAAUGCUAAAAACAUUGCAAAUAUAAUAAAACAUAUAUUUUUUUUGGAUUUUUGUUGUUUUUCACUAUUUUUGGAUUUUUUUGAAAAAUUUUAAAAGGUGGGUCAAAAAUUGGUAACAACAGAUGCCCUCUUUACAAUGCUUAUGAAGCAAAACUCCUCAAUGUUUUGCAUAGUAAGCUUUGUAAAGAAUAGAAAAAGAAAAUGAUCUUAUUAUCUUGGGCGACAUGCCCCUUUUGAAGAAAAGUGGUCUAUUUUCAGGGGCGACCGGCCCAAACAAUCACACUGGUCUACUUUCACGGGCGACCUGCCCACACAUACUGAAAGUGGUCUAUUUUCAGGGGCGACCGGCCCACACACUCACAUUGGUCUACUUUCACGGGCGACCUGCCCACAUAUACUCACUCUGGUCUAUUUUCAAGGGCGACCUGCCCACACACUCACACUGGUCUAUUUUCAGGGGCGACCGACCCACACUCUCACACUGGUCUGUUUUCAGGGGCGACCUGCCCACACACUCACACUGGUCUAUUUUCACGGGCGACCUUCCCUUUUGAUUGGGUUUACCUGAGAUCCCAUCUGGCGAUCUAACAAGAACAAAAAUCGGUGUGUAGCUCGAUCAACCUGAAAUUCCAUCUAGUGAUUCUGCGUGAUUAGGCUAAACUGAGAUCCCUUCGCCGAUUCCCUUCAACCAGAACCAAAAUCCUUUCCAAUUAUGUUAAACUGAGAUCCCUUUGCCGAUCCCCUUUAACCAUAACCAAGGUCUGUGUGGUUAGACUGAACUGAGAUCCCUUUGUCGAUCCCCUUCAACCAGAACCAAAAUCCUUUCCAAUUAGGUUAAACUGAGAUCCCUUUGCCGAUCCCCUUUAACCAUAACCAAGGUCUUGUGUAGUUAGACUGAACUGAGAUCCCUUCGGCAAUCCCCUCUAACCAGAACCAAAAUCCUUUCCAAUUAGGUUAAACUGAGAUCCCUUCGUCGAUCCCCUUCAACCAUAACCAAGGAAUGUGUAGGGUUGGGCUAGACUGAGAUUCCUUUCGGCAAUCCCCUCUAACCAGAACCAAAAUCCUUUCCAAUUAGGUUAAACUGAGAUCCCUUCGUCGAUCCCCUUCAACCAUAACCAAGGAAUGUGUAGGGUUGGGCUAGACUGAGAUUCCUUUCGGCAAUCCCCUCUAACCAGAACCAAAAUCCUUUCCAAUUAGGUUAAACUGAGAUCCCUUCGUCGAUCCCCUUCAACCAUAACCAAGGAAUGUGUAGGGUUGGGCUAGACUGAGAUUCCUUUCGGCAAUCCCCUCUAACCAGAACCAAAAUCCUGUGUGUGGUUGGGCUAGACUGAGAUUCCUUUCGGCAAUCCCCUCUAACCAGAACCAAAAUCCUGUGUGGUUGGGAUAGACUGAGAUUCCUUUCGGCAAUCCCCUCUAACCAGAACCAAAAUCCUGUGUGGUUGGGAUAGACUGAGAUUCCUUUCGGCAAUCUCCUCUAACCAGAACCAAAAAUCCUUUGUGGUUGGGAUAGACUGAGAUUCCUUUCGGCCAUCCCCUCUAACCAGAACCAAAAAUCUUGUGUGGUUGGGAUAGACUGAGAUUCCUUUCGGCAAUCUCCUCUAACCAGAACCAAAAUCCUGUGUGUGGUUGGGAUAGACUGAGAUUCCUUUCGGCAAUCCCCUCUAACCAGAACCAAAAUUCCUGUGUGGUUAGGAUAGACUGAGAUUCCUUUCGGCAAUCCCCUCUAACCAGAACAAAAUCCUGUGUGGUUGGGAUAAACUGAGAUUCCUUUCGGCCAUCCCCUCUAACCAGAACCAAAAAUCUUGUGUAAUUGGGAUAGACUGAGAUUCCUUUCGGCAAUCCCCUCUAACCAGAACCAAAAUCCUGUGUGUGGUUGGGAUAGACUGAGAUUCCUUUCGGCAAUCCCCUCUAACCAGAACCAAAAUCCUGUGUGUAGCUCGGUUAACCUAAAUCCCAUCUGGCGAUUCCCUUUAACCAAAGCUAUAUGAGAUCCCAUCUGGCGACCUCAUCCAACUGGAACUAAAAGAAUGUGUAAAAAGUGGUCUCAUUAUAAUGGGUGACCUACCCAAAUGGACAGGAGGAAGAGUGGUCUCAUUCUUAUGGGUCACCUACCCAGGGGGAAAAAAUAUGAAGUGUGGUCUCAUUGUAAUGGGUGACCUACCCAGAUGGACAAAAUAUGAUGAAGUGGUCUCGUUGUGAUGGGCGACCUACCCAAAUAGAAAGAAUGUGAAGUGCGGUCUCAUUGUAAUGGGUGACCUACCCAAAAAUGGAAAAAGUAUGAAGUGUGGUCUCAUUAUAAUGGGUGACCUACUCAGAUGGAAAAAAUAUGAUGAGUGUGAAAAAUAGGACUUACCUGGCGAAGUCCUGAGGGGAUGACAGGAGAAGGGCUGGAAAACUUGGUGCUUCCUGCUAAUUCCAUAUCAUAGGUUUUGAAAACUCAAGGCUUCCCGAUUGCAAAGUUGAUCUUUUCAUUUCUUUGGGAUUUCCCUAAUGGUAGGGUUCAUCCCAUCUUCCCUUUUAUUCCAUGAUCAAAAUUGAUUCUUUAUUAUCAUCACCACAAUGCUUCUUUCUUUUUCCACUAUGUUGCUGGACCUCAUUAAGGAUUUUCCUGUAACAAUUCAAAAAUAUGUGCAAAUGUUUUUUGUUUUUUUUUUUUAGGUUAGAUGACAUGCAUGCAUCCUUACCUGAUUUGAAAUAUAGGUCCCCCCCUCUUUGAUGCUCCAUCGUAAUAGGGUGCCUUUGUUUGCAUUCCAAAGCUUUUCUUGUUCUUUCGAUGUAUUGGCUCAUUCAUGUGCUAGCCAUCCACUCAGCUGUAAAUGCAGUGCCCAUCCCGGGUUGUCUUCGACAAUUACUGCUUGCAUCGUUCAUCAAGCUUGACCCUGCCCCCAAGUGUGGUACUGCUUGAUUCAUCAUGAAGGAUUUUCUCUCCUGGCUUCUUCUGAGAAUUAUCCUCUGAUUGAUUGUGUGCAUCAUGCCAAUACCCAUCAAGAUUGUUAAUCAGUCAUGAACUUGACUCUAGUUGAAACAGUACUCUUCAAGUACAUGUUAUCAUCAGCCUUCUUGGAACUCAUCUAGUCAUCCCGACAUGCAUCUCAUAGCUUGCAGUACAAAGGCUUAUGGUUGUAUGCUCAGUGCUCUUCUCAUAGAUUCCUUUCAACUCUUCUAAUCAGAUUGUGAAAAGAAAUGUCUCAGCCUCAUCAAUGAUGCUGCUUUUUAUCCCCCAUACUCAUGCGGUGAAGCGUUCAUCUGGCUUUAGAACAAGUUGUCCCACAAUCAGUCUUCGAGGUGGGUGCCUUUCCGACAUUCAUUCAGUGCAGUUGUGUGAUAACAUCUAUCUAUAACCAUGUUUCAAAGAAUGACAAUAUGAGAUUGUCCUUUAAGUGCAGCAUGUUCCACGGUCAGUCUUGGUGGUGUGCAUCUUUUCACCAUUCAAUUACAUUCAUAUGUGUAUCUUCAUCGAUUGCUAGCCAUGUUUCAAAAGAUGAUGAUAUGAAAGUGUCCUUCAAGUACAUCCUUGUUUCUCCAUUGCCGACAAGGUUCACUGGAGCAUGGGCCAUUUUGGAAUGACAUUGCCCCCAGUAUGAUCUGAAUGUGCUCGUUCAUUGAUUAUCUGUCUUUGAACAUCAUUGUCUUCAGUUCACUGAUUCAUCAUUUAAUCAUUGCCUCAUAGUUGAUCUAAGCACUGCUUGUUUUUCCUUUUCAAGGUCUACUGUAUUGCCCCAGCUGCUCAACUUUUCAAGGAGUGUCGAGGACUUCAAUGUCAUUUCUAUCAACGAUUUUGCAUACUCAAUGUUCUUCUGUGUUUGAUAAUCUUCCUUGUUCUGGAAUCAACUCUCAUAUUUCAAAGAUCAUGUCUAUUCAAAGUCUAGUUUGUUGAAAUGAAAUCAGAGAUGUCCUUUUUGAAAAUCUUUUGAAAAUCAAGCUUUUUGAUCAAAGACCCAACACACGUUAUUCGAAAUACACAGUCCUUUGAUUGUCUGUAUUUUGAAAAGAAAUUGACCCGUUGUAAGAUUAAAAUGGUUUUUCCAUGGUUCUUUCUAUCCACUUUAAACUCUGAUUUUGGGUAUAUCUUUUGAUGGUCUGUGAUGAGGUGACAUUUUUAUGAAUUUCAAAAAGAUGCUCAGGCUUUAUCAAGAAAGGUUGUUUCUUUUCUUAGCAUUUAUUUUAUCAGCAUGCAUAAUAACCAGUAGCUUAAUUCAUGAAGUCACGACCCUUAUGGAAAAGCUCUUCAAGUUUUGAGAGCGCCAUUUAUCGAUUCAAAUUGCUUGCUUGAUUAAAAAGGGCUUUUAAAAAGCACGUAAUGCAGGCUAUGGUUCAUGGCUAUGAAAGAAAGGAAUUUCACAGGCUCAAAAGGUGUUUGAGGGUUUCAAAGACCUAGGAUCAACAUCAACUAUUCAUCAACUCUUUUCUAUUGUUGUCUUUGUAGAGGAAACGACAUAUAACCUUGUUAACCUCAAAGUUCAGACUUUUCUUAACAUAAGUCAUAAUGCAAAUCCCCCUUUCCUUGAUGAAUAACCAACCUUAAUCAUCUGAUAACAUCAGAGGCUUUAUAAUGGACACCAAAAGUCACGUUUAUAGCUUAGUCUUUUUUUUUUCUGGUAUUAACUUUUGUUGUGCCUUUCCUUGAUUGAAAUUUCUUUUGCUCUUCAUAGACUUGGUAAGCAUUCUCCUUCCUUUAUAUUUGACUUGUCUUUAAGUGAAGGCAAUUUCAACUUCCUCUUUUUUUUCUUUUUCAUAGCCUUCCGCCAAAUUUUCUUAUAUGCCUCCACUCUGUGUUUUCUUCUAGCGCUCUUUCGAUCAAUGGACUUUUAUUCUAAGCCUUUCGUUUUAUCCAUUAAUUAUAUCAAUGUCUCCAACAUAUCUCUCGUCUGCCCCCCAGUGUGGGGUGUGAUCCUAGUCAGGGUUUUUAUGAAAAGAAUAUUCUAUCCAGCUCAAAAUGGGACUACAAGGGAUAUAAUUUUUUAGAAAGUGAAGGGAUAUCAAAGAUGGCCUUUUCUCAUUUCAAGCAAGGUCAGUUAGAACCGAUAAAUUUUGACCCCAUCGAGUGUAAUGAUUUGGACUUGUAAGAAACAUGAUUCACGAGUCCAUAACUACCGAAUCCACUACAUGUCAUUAUGCAUACUGCUAAAACUUAGUUAUAUGAUGUGCGGUUCAAUUUUAUGUGUGAGCUCAAAAUUUGUUCGGUCACCUCCUGUCAUUUCAACAAGAAUCGAGUCAUUUCUGUAAUCAAAACACUUUUAAUCUUCAGGAUUGAUUAACCUUUAUCGCAUGUUGGAGUUUGAUCAAAAAAUUUGUCAGAAUAAAAUGUUAAACAUCUGUUGAUUUCAAAACAACAAAAAGACAAAAGCAAGGCAUGUUUCGUUGAAGGAUGAGAUGUGAUCCCAAAACAAAAUGCAAAAUUCCAAAACAAUAUGAUUGAUUGUUCAUCACCAUUCUUGAAUCAGCUUUUCUGGCAAUAUUUGCGUUUUGCCAAGCACUUUCGAUCAACAUGUCAUUCUGAAGAUGUUCGGGGGGCAAUAUAGCCAAUGACACCCUCCUUCACCGACUCCUACUUGUCUCUUGCUCUCCAACUUCAGGACUCGCUUCUUGAAAUGGUUGAGGACCUCAUCAUGACAUCACAUCUCUUGUCUGGAUUAAACCACCCAGAAAAUGGUGGUUGCAUGGGAUUUGUCGGAGUCAGGUAAAAGUCUGGAAUCUAGCAGAUGCUGGGAAAUAAACUCACAUGAUAACUAUUCAAUUGAAAUUCUUGCAACUAUUCCAUUGAAAUGGCCGAGGACCCCACCAUGACAUCACAUUUCUUGUCUGGAUUAUACCACCUAGAAAAUGGUGGCUGCAUGGGAUUUGUCGACGUCUAGCAAAAAUCUAGAAUCAUGCAGAUUCUGGUCGACAAACUUAAGUGGCAGAGGAAUGUCAAUCUUGGUAAAGACAUUUGAGCAAUUGAUGCUACCGUGAGACCUGGCUAGACCACAUAAUUAAGGUUUCACACUGUCAAAGUCAUCUCCUGAUUCACCUCUCAUCGUUUCUCUGGAAUCCUUGGCAGAACCUUCAAUCUUUCCCAUCUUGAUAGCUUGUUCAAUUUUUGGCAAUCCACACAGCUUCAUUUCAACCUUCCAAUGUUGUUGUUGUUGUUGUUUUAGGACUGUUGGAAACCUCUCAAUAUCUAGGUAAUCCUGGCAGUGCGCAAAAACAAAAAUGUAUGGAAUCUUAUAUUGUCAAAAUUGGAAGAGAAACUGAUGAAUCCACAACUCCUCUAUUUCCUCUUUGAUUCCUCUCGAACGGUGCAGCAAACAAGCACCAAUAGAGGAAGUUCUGCUCUGUUGAAGUUUCAGUCUUCUUCAUGUUUUUUAGUCUAGGCAUGUCUCUUCUUUCUACUUUUGCAUUUUAAAUAUUGGCACUGUUGGAGGAAAAUCAUAGAUGAUCUGAAACUACUGUAUUCCUUCUUGGAUUUCCCAUUUACAGGUCCACAAAUAGAUUCCUGCCGAGAGAUCUCUGCAAUGUUGAAGUUUGAUGUCUGCUCAAUGUUUUUCAAACCAAAUCUGGCUCUUUAACCUGCUACAGUUUCUUCGUGCUGAAACUGAUGAGAGAAAUAUUUGUAGCAUAUGCAAUUAGUAAAUCCCCUCUUGCACUCUCAACUUGCAGCAUCAUAAACAGAUUUUUAUAGAAAGAGCUCUCCCACGUUGAAGUUCGACGACUGCUCAUAUUUUCAUACUAGGCCUGACUCCUCUGCCUAGUACAAUGUUUUGCUCGUGCCACUGGUGGGAAAAAGCUUCAAAGCAUAUGAAAUUAAUACAUUCCCUUUUGCAUUUCCCAUUGGCAGAUCCACAAAUAAAUCUCUACAGGGAGAGCUUUACCACGUAGAAGUUCAGUGUCUAAUCAUGGUUUUUCAAACCAACAUCUUGUGCUGCUGAACUGGAAUUGAGCUCAUAAUUGGGGUAACUUCAAAGCAGACUAACGCACCAUGUACAGGAGGCUAGUAGUUGUUUGGUUCCAUUAGAUGAUGUGGAGGCGAUGAACACUUAACAGUGCAACUGGACAAGAACCAGAGUUGUCAUUAGUUGAUGACUGAAAGCAUUGUUGCUGUUGUUCAUGACUGAAAAGGAGAGCAACUUCAAUUGGACGUGACAAGCAGUGUUCCCACAGAAGACUGUGCAGACAUUCUCUUUCCAUUUGAUGCUCAACACUUGUUCGAGCAAUCUGAGUCUAGCUUUCACCUUUGAUGCUCUCAACCUUAAUCUGAUAAUGAGCCUCUAUCUGACUCUUUCUUCACUUCCUCAUCUUUUCAAUCACUUGCAGCACAGCUUGUGCGGGGGAACCUACCUUUCAACCCGGUACAUGCAUGAUAAAUGUAUGAAUAUGUAAUCUAUAUGACGAACUCGCCCUUCGAGGGGUGACAUAUGGUCGCAACUCUUGUAUGAUGAAACAAGAAUCUUGAUUCUUGCACAAACUCUACAAUGAAAAUUUUCUGAGCGACGGUCAUUAUGUCACCCAUAAGUCUGGAGUUCAAGAUGCUUCAAAAAGGGCUUACUCGGAUGCAAAACAAUGUCUACGGAGCAUACAUCCUAAAGACAGGUUCUAAUCUUUUUAAGUGAGACAAAAGGUAGGUUUAUUAUUUGGUCUCUAAAAAGGGACUCUCGUUGUCCCAGUGAUCGCCCUCGUGGAGGCAAUAUGGGGGCUUGUAGGCAACAAGAUGGCACGUGUCCAACUAUUACCAGUCUAAGCACUCAACAAAGAGUUGGGGUUUACACAAACUUAAACCUUGACUAAAAGUCGUAAGGUAAGCUGCUAGUCCCCCUCCUAACCUGAAGCUUGUGUGUGCUUUAAAAAAUUAACUAUGUGAUGCAUGAGAUAAUUCUACAAAAUGCAUGGACAAAACAAAAAUAAAAUAAGACAAAAAUGCAAAAACAUAAACACAUCAAAUAUACAAAGCUUAGUCCAAUAAUGUUGAAAACAAUACCGUCCCCAGUGGAGUCGCCAUUCUGUCGCACCCCAAAAAAAAUCCUGGCGCGCGGCAUCGGCUGGCGAUUAUUCGUUAUGUUUUGUUGAUUUGGUUCUUUAGAGUCGCCACUAGUAAUUCAUUGAGGGCUACUAGGAAACCUGAUGUACUGGUCUUGUCAGAGAUCGCGGGUAAGCGACUGGUUGUGGUUAGGGAAGGUAUUAGCACCCUAACGCACCCUACCUGAGGUAAGCUGCUUUGUGGACUUGAUGUGUUAAAGAAGUUUUAAAAAUUCUGUUUUUUCAUCGAAUUUUAGAAAAUACAACUUACAUGUAAGUUCAUGAUUCUUUAUCUGUGAUUAAAUCGGAAUAUUAAAUCCUUCUUUAUUCCUGCAAUUUUAUCAUAAUAAAAAAAAAAACAUUCAUAAUAAAAAUACACACCACAUUCACUUUCAAGCUUCGUGGACUUGAUGUGAUACUAAAAAUAAAAUUUUAGCCCAAUUCUAAGGCUUUGAUAAAUCAGUUAUUACUUUUCCAGACUAUAUGUAGAUACAUGUUCUACAUUUCCAUGGAAAAUUCAACAUGAUUUUUAUCUGUCCUUUAGAUAUUUGUGACUAUAAAUUAAAUUCCUUUUUUAUUCAAUAACAUACAUAAAAAAUAAACAUACAAGCCCACACAAACAUUUCUUCUUCUUUUUUUACCGUUCUCUUUCUUUUCUUUUCCUUUUUUUUUUUACAUACACAUUUACAUAAAAUACAAACUAUAUAAAAAAAAAACUCAAAAUUACACAAAUAUUACAUUAAACAAUUUUACAAUUACAAAAUAAUCCAACACUAUUCAGAACAGUGCAAAUGGACUUCUGGAGUUGCCGGAACAGUGUUCAACAGAGCUUUGAGAGCUGGAACAGUGGUGGCGCGUGGAUCUCACGCACCACUGCCACUGGCGGCGCGUGGGUCCACGCGCCGCCGCGAAAAAAAUAGAAACAGGGGGGGUCUGCAACGACCUCCUCCCCCCUUCACUUCCUUGCCGGCGGUGAGAACGGCGUCACCUGCAAAGCCAAACAAAACCCAACAUCCAGUCGAUUUUAAUUUUUCUUUACUUUUCCGAUCUGAUUAUCCCUUCCUUUUUUCGGUGUGUUCUCCUCUGCUGGUGACAGAUCCAGCUUCUGUGGCCGCUGUUGGGAUGUUCUGGCGGCGGGGAUGCUGCUGCGGUGGAGAUGUUUCCUCGGUGGUGAGCAGAUCGGGUCUGUGGGGAGGAGCUGCUGCGGUUGGUGGACGGCGUUGAUGGUCCGGAGGAGGAGGAGACACUGCUGAGAAGGGGAGGGUCUGGUACUGGUCGCUGCGUUCGGGUCGGUUGAAGGCAGUGGAGUGGGCGGUCCGUUCACGGUGGCUGAGAGGGAGGAUCAGCGCUGCUGGUUUGGCCGGUUGGAGAAGAAACAGGGGCCGGCGUGCAGGGGAGGUUGGUGUCGGCUGGGAGAAGAAAAAAAAUGGCUUUGGGGUGGAGCUGGGGGUUGCUGGCGGCUCCGGAUGGGUGAGGGAGAAGCUGUGCUUGCUGGCGAGAAAAAGGAAAAAAAAAUAUGAUGAGGGGGGCUGCUCUCGGUGAUCGGCCGGGAAGAGGAAGAAAAAAGAAUCAGAAGAAGGGGGGGUGUCCGGCGGCUUGGUUUUGGUGAGGGGAGAAAAAAUUAGGAACUUAGGGUUUCUGGUUUGUGUUCCCUCUCCUCAAAAUUACCAAAUGACCCCCCCCUCAUUUUUUUUGAGUUUUCAACCUAUAUUUAUAGGUAAAAGUUUGUUCAAACCUCCAAAUUGGUCCCUCAACUUUCUUUUUUUGUAAAUUUUGAUUUUUUCUUGUUUUUUUUCUUGUAUUUUUAAAAACGAGCAAAAUCAACGUCAAUUCUAUGAGAAAAAUUACGAUUUUAAAAUGACGCGUGAAAAGUCGAACGCGUUCGAAAAAACAAUUGAAAAUUAAAAUUCUUUUUAAAAGACGUUGAAAAUGCUAAAAACAUUGCAAAUAUAAUAAAAACAUAUAUUUUUUUGGAUUUUUGUUGUUUUUCACUAUUUUUGGAUUUUUUGAAAAAUUUAUUAAAAAGGUGGGUCAAAAAUUGGGUAACAACAAAAAUUAUUAUAGAGAGUAAUAUAAAAAUUUUAGUUCACCAUUUGUUCUUAGUAGUGCUAUCAAAAAUCAGAGAUUGAGUAAGCUUGAAAAAUAAAAUUACAGUUACUUUGCUAGCACCAAAGAGCAGGUAAUAAAUUGUUUUAUAAUAAUUUUUAGUCAAUAUUUUAAUUUGCGGCUAUCCGUACAAAAUAAAUCUGAUAGACUUAUCAAAAUUAAAAAUGGUAUUGAGAUUUCUAAAACUAUAAGUGACUAUGCGGAAAAUGAUAAAAAAAUUACUUUUUAUGGAUAUUAAAGCCAUGGAUAUUUUAUAUUAUACAUCGGGCAAAAGUGAAUUUGAUAGAAUUAUAUUAUAUAAAAAUACUUAGAGAUAUAUAGCAUGCUUUACAAGUAAUUCAUAAAGGAACUAACAAGUUAAAAAAUCUAAAAUUAAUAUGCUAAUUUAUCAUUAUGAAUUGUUCAAAAUGUUUGGUGACUUCGUAACUAAAAUUUUAAAAUGACUAAAAUAAUUAAUAGUUUAUUAGUUUGGAUGUUUUUAGUAAUGUUGAAAUUAUAGAGAAGUGAUCAUUAAGUUGAUUUUUUUAUAUGAGUAGAAAUCAGGUCAUUAUAAAUUUAAUAAACUAUUUAAAGUGUUCCAUUGGAAAGAAAAUAGGUGUUGUGAAUUUGAGUCUGUAUUUUUCUCUAUUUUCUUUUUGUUUUUUUUUGUUCGUCCCUUCCUCAAAAUUUAGGGUAUUAAAUUUCUUUGUUUCUUCGGAAGAUGCCUUACUCUUUGUUGAUUGUCUCUCUGUUUUUAGUUGCACUGUUAGGCUAUAUGUGUGUUUAUUGAGGCUUUGGCUGUCUUUUUUGCUACAGUUAUGAGGUUUCUUGGGCAUAGUGUUUUAGUUAGCUUCAGCCCUCUAUUAUCCAUUCUUUAUAGAGGUGGUGUUGUCUUUGUUUCGCACAAGGCGGCAUGUGUCUUGAAAGGAAGUUUACUUGGUUUUCUUUACAUGUGUUUCUUGCAUGCUACUUGUUUGGCAAAAGUCUUCUGAGAGAUCGACCUUUUUUCUUCGAUUGUUUUGGUUAGGCUGGGUGCUUGAUUUGUGUUAGGCUGUUAAAGUUUUUUCCCUUUCUUUAUAAGAAAAAAAUAUUUCUUUUGUGCUUGGGAACACACCUUUGUAGCUUUAGAGAUGAUAGAAAGCUUUGCUUUUAAAGGCAACAUUGUUCUUUAUGGUUUUUUCAACAUGGGUUUCCUUAACAAAAAUUAAGUUUUGCAUGUUUAUUUAUGUUGCUCAUCCAUAUAUAUUGCAACAGGUCUUUCUAGAGGUAACUUGGGUGAGGAAAAAACUUUGUGCCACGAAAAUAAGAGGCUGGAGUUUUAUUUUGCUUUAGAUUCUUCCCUUAAUUCCAACCUUGGUUUGUUUUCAAUUCUUUGGUCUUUCUUUUCAUUAGUCUAUGAUUUUUGUUGGCUUCUUGCUUUGUGUUAGGUUGUACGAGGAUUUUCCUUUUUUUAAAAAAAAAUCAUCUUGUGUUUGGGAACAAGCUUUGUACCUUUGAUGAUAGAAAGCUUUGAUUUUGAAGACAACACUUUUUCUUUAAGUUUUUUCGACUUGGGUUUCCCUGAAAAAUGUCUUCUUUUUGCUUGUUUGUUUGUGUUGGUCAUACAUAUAACAGAUCUUGUUUGUGGCUUGCACAUUGGUUGCUCAUGUUUAUUGAUGAUAGCUUUUAUUAUCUUUUUUCUUUUCUUUUGUAAUUCACAAUAAUAGAGUGGGUCUGAUUAUCUUGGUCUGGAAUUGACAUGAAAAAAAAGAGAAAGAAACUUACAUUCUCUACUUUAGAUGGCUUGAGCAUUGUUCGCUAGAACAACAGAUUGGGUUUGAUUAUCUUGGUCUGAAAUUGGCAGGAAAAAAAGAAAAGGAACUUGCAUUGUCUACUUUAGAUGGCUUGAGCAUUGUUCACUAGAACAACGGAUUAGGCCUGAUUAUCUUAGUCUGGAAUUGGCAGGAGAAAAAAACAGAAACUUGCAUUGUCUGCUUUAGAUGGCUUGAACAUUGCUUGCUAGAUGUUCAUUAAUUUCUCUUUUUGCAAUGAACUCUUGCAUAGUUGACAGAUCAUGCUACAUUAUUCACGCUAUUAUUGUUCUUUAUUGAACAACCAAGAUUAUUGGUUGGAUAAUAGCCACUGUGAUUAGAGAAACUGAAAUAAUUUAUAGUCUGCAAGUCUAUAUAUUCAUUACGGCAGUCAUGUUUUUAUCCAAACAUUGCCAAGAGUCAAGACCAAAGUUAAUCAAUAACAAAAAGAUGAAAAAAAACCCGAAGAUAAAAGUGACAAAAUUCAUAAAACUCAAACGCCAAUAAUGUAAUUAAUGCCAAAUGAUAAGAUUAAAAAAAUCAAUUAAAGAAAAAAUUGAAUCAACUAGUUAACUUAACUUAUCCACGACCUGAGAUAUGAAAUAGAAAUAAUAUACAAAAAAAAAAACCAGAACAAAUAACAAAGUUUAAGCCUAAUAACUCAAGGUUGAUGAUAAAAAAAAAUUAAUUUUCAAAAAGAACUUAAAAAAAAUACCAAACUUAAAACGAGUUGAUAUUCAAAAUUGGUAGAGUGAGUUAUGAGACAGGAUUAGUGUAUUCAUACAGUUUUGACCUGUUUUUUUAUUGUUUUUUUUUUAUUUUUUCAUUCAUGUGGAUAUGACUUUUUUGUUACUUUUUAUCGCAUAUGGUUGUUUCAUAAAAAAAAAAAAAACUCUAGGAAACAUAGUUGUUAAAACACAACGAAGCACAUGACCUAUGUAUGAUAUCAAAUAUCUUAAUCUUAGUUAUCUAUUUAUCAAAUAUUGAUCUAGUUACUAAAUACAUGUAUAGGCAUUUUGAUUUGUGAUUAAAAAAAAACUUAUAUUAAAAAGCACAUUAUAAGAGCCUGCUUAUUUUUUUACUUAAAAAAAUAAUCACCCCGCGGAGCGCCAAUAAAACUAGUUACUUAUAAUAUAAAUAUGUGGGGUGAACACUGUGUAGCCACGCACUUCACCUCCUCCUGUUUUAUAGUGGACACAAUGUUCACUGGUUUUUUAUUAGGUUUUGCUAUAAAUUUAAAGGAAAAUAUGUAAGGUGAACACUAUACAACCAUAUUGUUCAUCCCCUCAUGUUUGAUGUGCUAAGGAUAUAAACCAAGUAAUUGUUUCUUCCUUGAGACUAAGAGUCAUGCGUAGCAGAAUGAGCCUUCCUUCUCUCAUUCUGAUCAAUCAUCUUGGAGAGCCUAUGUUCUUGCCUUGAUCAAGAUCCUAUCUUAGUUAUUCAACACAAUGAAGAAAUUUUCCAAAAUCAUUUCUUGACAUAACAUCUUAGUUAUUCAACCGGUUUAGUGGGUUAAUCCAGUUGAAUUAUUUAUUUUUUAAUUGAUUUUUUUAUUAUUAUUCAAUUAGAUUGAUUAAGAAUUAUAUUUCAUAAUUUUUUUAUUUGCUUUCUAUCAAGAUUCUCCUAAUAUAUUGUUAUAUCUCAGUUAAAAUUAUGGGGCAAUUGGAGUUUAGAAAGGCCUUGCAAGACUGCUAGUGACAUUUUCAUAAUUUUGUUUUGAAAGGUUAUUUUUUGUGUUUUUUUUAGAUUUUUUUUUCAAUUUAACCAUUCAAUAAUAGGUUUAUUAAGAAUUGAGAUUUAGAAUUUGUUUUGAUUUGCUUUAUUUUGGGUUAUUAUGGUCUCAUAACCUGGAUUAUGGAUUUAGAAGUUAACUGAGUUGAUCCGGGUCGAUCCAAUAAGUUGUAUCUCAGUAUUGUUUUUGAAAAUAUCAUUUUAAACUUUUUUGAGUCAAACUCUAUUCUUACUAGUUGUUGUCUUUGGACCCAUAAGUCGAUCGGGUCAUAUUGGUUCAACUCUCACUUUUUUACUUGUGUUUGAAAUUUAAAUUGCAUAAUUUCAAGUUAGUUUAUAUUUAAAUUUGAAUUGAACUUAUGUUUAUUGAGUUUAAUCUUGAAUAUAUAUAUAUAUAUAUAGUAUAAUCUUGAAAUAGCAUGCUGAAAUGCUCUGAAACCAAAAUAUACAGUUUGAAUUAAAAAAUAAAACACUAUCCGGAACGAGAUUGAUAACCUGACGUGAUAUGUUUAAAAUGAGAAUCAUUUAGAGCAACCGUGUACAUAACAAGGGCGUCCCCUUCUCCGUCCAGAGAUUAGGCACUGAAUCUUUCGUUACAGUUAGAGUAGGCGAAGCUUGUCAAUCUUACAAAGGUGGUAGAAUUUGAGGAUUUUUAUUGUUCUUUCUCAUUUUUUGAAUGAAACUGUACUAUCUUACAUAAAAUUUAAAACAACACUGAGAUUUAUACAUAUUCCCUGUUAUUAUUACUUGCUUAAAUGGAAGGAGUAUGGAGAUUUGAAAUUACAAUGAUUGUUACAAACCAAACUUUUAAAACCGACAAUUGUUCGUUCCUUCCAUUAAGCCCACGUGAUUCAGAUGGAAUGCAAUCAAUCCAGUUUAUACCCAAAGGUGGAGCUUUUCUCUUUCAAUGGUAGUCUUCAGAGGGUGGAGGAUGAACGUGAGGUGGAAUCACCAGGUUCACAGGAUUCUAGAAUCAGAAAAGGGAAUCUUCGUUAUAUCAUAACUUACAGUUCUGCUGCAACUGCAGGAUGUAUUGUUGAAGAUGAGGUGCAGAGGAUGUUGUUUGCUGGGUAGGCUUUGGGAAUGCUGAGGACUUGACAGCUUUGACAGCAGACAUUAGAAGCCAGGUGGAUAAAUAGGAAGAUUGCAGAUCGGAAUGCAGCCCAAUAAUUCCAAUUUGCAGUAUAACUUGGUAAGGUUUAAAAUAAUUUAUCAAUGAAGAUUUUAUUCUGGAAUAGUUGUGGGUUGGGUAUGUCUACUAGGAGGGCAUCUAUUAGAAAUACAGUAACGCAUAGUGAUAUUGAAGUGUGUUUCUUGCUUGAAACCAAGAGGUAACUAGGGAUGAAAUAUUACGUGUUGAAUGCCACGUAUAAUGGGGUAAGGAAUUAUGAACCUUGAGAGGAAAAGCCUCUUGAAAUUCUUUCAAAACCACACUUAUUUCUUCAAGUACUUUCUUUAAAAUCAUUUGGGCUUAUAAGAUUAAGUCGUUUUCCUUUCAUAUAUUGGAGUCACAUCACACUCUCAUCAUGGUAAAUUGAGAAAUUAAUAGGAAAAUAUAUAUCUUUUUUUGAUUGCUAUGAAAGUGUUAUUAACCCAUGAUUUUUAUCAAUAAUGUAGUCUAUACCCAGCCUUUUUGUUUUUUUUAGAGGAAUCACCGAUGACCAAACGGUCACGGGUUUGAAUUUUACCAUUCUUAUUUAUUAGUUCUUUAAGAAUAUUAGAUUUAUCCAACAAUCAAUUGUCCACCAUAAAACUAGAACAACUAAAAACAAUAUGGUUUCUCAAGCUGUCAAACAACAAUGUGGGUGGGCAUUUACCGGUGUUCAAUUCUUCUAUAUAUCUUAGAAUAUCUCUACCUAGGUGGUAACAAUCUUUGGGUCAGAUAUCAGCUUUUCCAUUAAAUGAGUGGAAAGUGUGUACUGUAUUGGAUUUGAGCAACAAUCACUUUCCAGGCAUGCUUCCAAGGUGGAUAUAUAAGAAGAUUGCAGAUCGGAAUGCAGCCCAAUAAUUCCAUUUUGCAGUAUAACUUGGUAAGGUUUAAAAUCAUUUUGUGGGUUGGGUAUGUCUGCUAGCAGGGCAUCUACUAGGAAUACAGUAAUGCAUAAUGAUAUUGAAGUGUGUUUCUUGCUUGAAACCAAGAGGUAACUAGGGAUAAAAUAUUAAGUGUUGAAUGUCACGUAUAAUGGGGUAAGGAAUUAUGAACCUUGAGAGGAAAAACAUCUUGAAAUUCUUUCAAAACCACACUUAUUUCUUCAAGUGCUUUCUCUAAAACUUUCUUAGCCACUAAAGCAAAUACAACAAACUUUUCAUGAAUCUCAUUCUCAAAAUCAUUUGGGCUUAUAAGAUUAAGUCCUUUUCCUUUCACAUGCUUAUUUUUUCAUUAAUGUUGUUAAGCCUUGGUGGUAGUCCAACGAACUAGAUCUUUCUACUCUUAAGAGUGAAAUAGUAAGAAUUUGACAUACCAAAAAUGAUUAUGUCCAUAUUACAGAGACAUUGUAUACCUAACAUAUUCUACAUUUAUUGGAGUCACAUCACACUCUCAUCAUGGUAUAAAACUUGAGAAAUUAAUAGGGAAAAUAAAUCUCUUUAACUGCUAUGGAAGUGUUAUAUAUUAACCCAUGAUUUUUAUCAAUAAUGUAGUCUAUAUCCAUUUAACUUAUCUUUUUUUUUUUUAUUGGAGGAACCACUAAUGCCCAUUUAACAUUGCAUAGUUUUUUCCCUCCUUAGAACCAAAGAAAGAUAUGAUAUGUUUCUCAAUUUUGGUAGCAACAGUGGAUGGGAUAGGAAAUAAAGAAAGAUUAUUUAUAAUUGAGUUAAUCAAGCAAUAGUUUUCCACGGAUGUAUGAGAUGAAGAUGCAUGAAUAGGCAGACCCAAAUACUUAAAUGGCAUCCCUUCCAUCCUUCAUAUUAGAUUGCUAGCAGUUGAAGAAAUAACAACAUCAUCAAUUCUAGUUCUAGUGAUUGAACUCUUGUGGAAAUUAACCUUCAGCCUAGAAAUCAACUCAAAACAUCACAUAGUUCUUUUGAUGUUUGAAGAGAUGGAAAAUCAUAUGAACUGAAGAUGAGAGUAUCAUCUACAAACUGAAAGUGAGUAGUUUUCAGUUGAUCAUGACCAAAACAAAUACCUUUUAUGAGUCCCAAAUCACAUCUCUUUUUAGCAUUCUACUAAGACCCUCAGUCGCUAUAUUGAAAAGAGAUGUUGAUAAAGAGUCCCCUCUUCGCAAUCCCUUUUCCAUAAAGAACUCUACAAGAAUUGAAAGUUUUGUUGUCGAAAUACAUUAUUGUAUCCAUCAUCUCCAUCGUGAACCAAAACCCACACAAGCCAUAACUGUCGAAAUACCUGGUCAGUAAUUGUUGUGCGUGGUCUAGGAUCGUGUGUGAUCUCCAACUCUCUCUUGGGGGUGCUGGGGUUAAGAAGCAGAAUGAUAACAGCAGAGGAGAGUAAGAGACGAGAGAAAUGAGAUCGAAAUUAGACUGCAAUCUAUCAAUUAACUCUAACUGAUUAACAAACUUUGCUAACCGAAUGUACUCCAACUAACUAACAUAAUAUUAACAACUAAACAACAGGUUGCGUGCUCCUGACGUCUCUACUUCCCGCUCUUUUUUGCCUCCCUAAGGUAGUCUUCUUCUUGUUGCAACUUCUCUGACUAUUCUGUCAUCCAGGUACGUAACAAUACCCUUCCUCAGAAAGAUUCACCUUAAUGAUAAUGCAUAAUGCUGUUAUCUAGUUGUUCCACUUCUUGGGACAAUGCAUAAUGAUGCACCUUAAGUAAGUCUCCAGGCAUUGAUUCACUCUCUCGGUCUGGCCAUCCGUUUGAGGAUGAUAGAAGGUGCUUAGUAACAACUUUACGCCCAGAUGUCUAAACAAUUCUCUCCAGAACAGGCUUGUGAAAACUCUAUCUCUGUCAGUUAAUAUCAUGGCAGGCAAGCCAUGGAACUUAUAAAUGUGAUCCAAGAAAAACUUAGCCACCUCUUGAGCUGUGAAGGGAUGGGCUAAUGUGAUAAAAUGCCCAUACUUUGUAAAUCGAUCAACAAUGGCAUAGUGGUUGCACCCACCAUUGACAAAUAUAUUAACUCCCAUGUGCAGCUGCUGGAAAGAAAAAGAGAAGCUACCAUUUGCCUAUAAAUAGGCACUACGAAAGAGAGCAAAAUGAGAGAGAACGUGAGAGUGCAAACAAGAGGAAGAGAGAAAGAGGAGCUGCUGCCAUGGCAGCAAUGAGAGAUGGGAGUUGAGUGAAUGUGAUCCUCCUCCAUGUAUUUAUUGUAUCCUUUCUCUAAUCUCUAAAUAAUAUUAUCUCUCCCGUGGAUGUAGGCGGUUUUGUCGAACCACGUUAAAAAUUGUGUCUCAGUGUGCUUACCCCUCCUAUGAGCAAAUAUCAAUUCAUCACCGGUCGUCGGUUUCCGCCCAACAAUUGGUAUCAGAGCAUUUGGUUUAAAGUGGUGUUUGAUUUUUGCUCAAAAAUAAAAGUUGUUAAAAUUGUGUUUUGACCAUACCACCGUGUAGAGGAGGAAGAUACAAUGCCACUGUUGAAAACCAUGUCAAAAUCGGACGUCGGAAUAGCCUUCACGCGCCGACGAGGAGGCUGGCCACGCGUCACACGCGUCUUCGUUAUUUGCAUUUUGCACACUUCCCUUGUACUUGAAAAGAACCUUGGUCACUCUAAAUAAAACACUUGUCAAGAGAAUUAACAACAGAUGAGAACUUCUACAGAAUGACCAAUGAGGAAGUGUGGACACACUACACACACGUGUACUAGCAUGAAUCCACAAACUUAUGCAUGUGUAUAUUCAUGUCUAGAGAAUAUCCAAAUUAUUGAACCUAGCAUUAGCCGAAUACCGUACGGCAAUUUUCUUGAGUUCUUGUAAUCCCUCCUGACCAGAAAACGGAAGAUGCCUCUUUAAUGUCUCCAUUCUGCACAUGUAAAACAUUGCAUUUAAUUUUUAAUGACAAGGCAGGUAGAGAAGUUAGCAGUAGUGAGAAAGAACCGUGAACUCAUACACCACACCAAUAUCAGAAAUAUAUACAACAGAAUCAUUAGCAAAAAGUAAAAACAAAUAACGAUAUAGCUGAGUGUCAGUCAAGUAAUAUAUGGCAUCAAAAUACAGACAUCUAUUUUUACUUCCUUUCCCCGUAUUAUUCCAGAGGUAGGAGUUUACUUGGCCACCCUUCUGUCUAAAAUUUUAGUUACGAGCUUCAUGGUUAAUUUUCUUGAACUGGAAGAACCUUCCAUUUAUGGCUAUGGCUAUGCUCCAAGAUAUAUAAGUGCAUUAGUUGCAAACCAGAGGAACUCUGUAAAAACAUUACAAUAGCAUUUACACUGAGUAAGAAAACUUUUAUACGUGCACUGUAAUUGACAAAGAAAAGAAGAGAAAUCCUUUUAAUUUAUGAAAAUGCAAUGAGUUCACCUUAUCUCACGCGGCAAUAUAUACUCUACAGUGCUCAUUGGAUACUGCAAGUGCCAACAGUAGCUGUCUAUAUGAUUUUGGAUGUAGAGAUAUCACCAAAACAUUCAACUUUAUGCUGAGAAACUAGGAAACCAUACACUAUUGUGGCUAAUUGAUUUUUGUAUGCUGCUUUUGUACUUUAAUAUCACUAUCAUUUCAAUCCUGUAGAAGUUAAAGCAAAUAGAGCCCAAAUCCAACACUAUUCAUUUAAGUUCAGUUGCAACUCAAGGUUGACAUUGAAACACCAAUGCUCAUGGCAAUAGAUUAACCUUGAAAUUUAAAGCGGAACAAGCUUCAUGCAGCCAUCCAAGAGGUCAUCAUCAAAAGAAGAUGUUACACAAGAAGUUCCAACAAAAAUUACUUCCCAGCACUUUUUAUUCCCUCCAUUCACUUCUUGUGAGAAACAAGUGAAAAAUGAAAAAGACAAAAACAGAGGUGUAUGAUACUUGAGGUUGCCUCAUGGCAGUCCUGCUGAUUUUAAUUAACCUUUUGCCCUUCUCUUUUUCUUUCAUUUAAAUACAAGAUAUACUAUUUUGCAGCACUUGCACAUAUUAGCAAACAGAUAUUUACAUUUUGUUGACUAUUCUUUGCCGUGAGUCAGGCUGCAAUUGAGUUCUCCAAUCACCUGUGUCCAUCACAGGUUCUCCGCCUGGGGCAGUGGGCCUCCAAUUAUUGGCAUCCAUGGGGUUUUGGCCAACCAAAAAACUAGCCAGCUAGUUCAUAACUUGCCGCACCAACAGAUGGUGACUGUUGGUAAACCAAGCCAUAGAGAAACUCACGGUGCUUCAAUUUUAACUUGAUGUUUUCUAGCAACACUUGUGAUACAUCAUCGAUGCAAUGUUUACAAUGACAAACUUGCAUUUGUAUUCAUUGUGGUUUUAGGUUCACAGAUUCUGAUCAAAUAGAUAUUUAAUGUUCCAAAAAGAGAUUGUCUGGGAUGUUUUAAGCUAGGAAAAACAAGAAGAAAAGGACGAGCAUUAACCAUGAAUAUUUCAUGUUAUCAUCAACUCUAAUGAGCAGACUGAUAAGAAUCAACUUAACAACUCUUGUUGAAAUAAGAUUAAAUUUACAGGCACAUCUUUCUCGGAAUAGACAACACAAUAAUCCUGACCAUGCUCGACCUUGAGGUAAGUUAUAAAAUGUUCUUCCUAACUAGAUUUGUUGUUAAAAACACAAUAAUUUUGAAGAAUUCAGUAAAUUCCAAAAAAGAAGAAUCAACCAAACAGCUCAUUUUUCGGCCAUUCCGGCAGUAAUAUCUCUUCCACUCCAGCUGCUGCAUAAACUAAUUAACAAAUUAUCGAUCGAGCCUAAAAGAUUUGAAUUGAGUUCUAUUCUCAACUUAAAAAUAAAAUAAAUAAAAUAAAUUUGGGUUCAGAUCAGGGCUGAUUUUACAACAAAAACUGUGAGAAAAAUCGGAUAAUAUCAUGUAAAUUAAGGGGGAAUUGAAAAAUAAAUAUUAGAAUCGGUGAUGUGCGUUUCUUUGAUUGCGUUCACGAGCAGCGAUUUUCAUCGGAUCCUUUUAUAUUUUUUUAAUUUACUUAUUAAAAUCGAAUUGCGUUACUAGCAGAGACUUAUCGGAUCGAUAUUUGUUUUUUUAUUUAAUUAUUAAAAUAGAAUUUCUGUCUCUGAAUAAUAAUUACAAUAAAUAAAUGAAAACACCCAUAAAUUUUAAAAACAAAGCAUGAUAGAAAAGGAAGCACCUGGCAGAAAUCUGAAGCCUUAUUGGAUGCGGUGGUUUCCGAGAGGCGGAAGAGGGAGGGAGAGAGCUCGGGCGGGGAGAGGUGAGGAAUGGUGUCCCAAAGUGAAAUAGAUGACUUUAUUCUUUUCCAGAUUCCUUCUAAAAAAAUUAACAAGUAAACACUCAUAUUGGCCAGUAGUGCUAUAAAGAAGACAAAGUGGUAUAUCCACUUUUUCAUCAAUUACUUUAAGAUUUUUGGAAGAUAUGACACGAGACAAAGAAAAUGAUUGCUAUUAUCGACAAUUUAUCUGUUACACACCACACACACUUUGUCUUUAGCUAUAUUUUUUUACAAGGAUCUUUAGCUAUGCAUUAGAGAUGAACCUCAACUUCUUGAUUUUCACUCGUUUUCAUCCCAUUUAAAGAAGUUUAAGUUUGAAUGCUCAUUAUACAAAUUCUAAUAACAGGCAGCUAAAAGGGCUUGUCGAAGCUUUAUGUAAUGGCCACUACCCAUCACCAGAACAACCUCAGGAUCAUAUAUUCUUAGGUGCAAGAGUGCCCCACACUCUAUAAUGGGUGGCAAGCUCCUUCCUUUUCACGUGAUGAUGCCCCCCCCCCCCUUUCUUUCUUCCUUUUUUUUUUAAAAAAAAAAUUCCUUUUUAUGCUUAAAAUCCACCCACUAAUGGGUCGAUGAAGUGACCACUAACAACAACGCAGAUAAGAUGUUGCUUGUUCUUACAGGGAGAGGAAGUCCAGCUCCAGACAGCAGAAGGGAGAUCGUUUUCCUACAUCUUCAUCAUUAGAACACAGCAAUAACUCAAAGCUCUACCAUGUCACCAUCGCUUUUGAUUGCUAUCUUCAGUUGUUAUACCUACAAAUCCAAGAACAAUGAAUAACUCAAACGUUCAUUUUUUUAUUUUUUUUUGCAAAAUAGCACCUAGAACAAGAAAUAACACAAUUCAAAAUUUAUUUAAAGAAAUAAUAUAUUUUAACUAGUCACAGAUUGCGACUCUCUUAAGAUAAAUUGUCCUGGAUAAAUUGAAAAACUACUUUUAAGUUUUGAAUAAUUAAGUUAAUUAAUAGUAAUAGAGUACUGUUAUUAUUGCCAAAUAAUAGUAAUAGAAACAGAGGAGUCUGUUAAAUAUAGCCGAGAGAACACAAUUGACUGCCCACCAGUUAAUGGGGUCUGUCCUCCAACCAUAUCGGCCUUCCUCUCUCCUUCCAUAUUUGAAGUGUCAUUUCCUCCAUCUUUCCCUUCUUCAGGCACACGGUAAUUCGUCUGCUGUGUUGCUUGGGCCGCAGUGAUGAAGUGAUAGCCAUGACUUGAUGCCUCUGGAGGGCUUUGGAGAAGAGCAUGAUUCUGUACCAGCAAUCAAACAUCAAGACCUGAGAAAGUUGUGGUUCCGUUGAUGGAGCAAAUGACAUUGCAAAAGGAAGAGAUGUCUGAGAUCUUAAGAGUUGGUGUUUGUGAUUAUUCUGAUUUUGCAUCAGCUGCCGCUGCUAGUUCCGCAGGGAAUGAUUCUGCUGAUGAUUUUGCAAAUGGUUGGAUCUUGAUGACAGCUGCUGAUUCCACCUAAUUCACUCCCAUGUGGUUUAUGCUGCUGAUUCUGCAAAUGCUUCUGGGAUGACGAGGAGCCACUAGAAAUACUUGGAUUUUGAUAACCCUAUUUGCUUUGCUGUGUCUGUACGAAUGGUUGUUGCUGUCGCUGAAGCUGUGAAGGAUGAAGCAUUCAAGAAGAAUAAAAUUGAUCCAUUGAAGAAAGGCAUAGCCUGAGGAUGGGUUCCUUUGUAAGCUGUUGUGGCCCCCAUUCUGCAAAUUAGCCAGGGAAGUUUGGGUAGUUGAAGCUCAUUGCUGUAGCACCAGUUACUGCCGAUGUCGUGGCAUUUAUUGAAGCAGAACUUUAGAAGCUUUUACUGCUGCAGUAGCUAUAGAGGAGACUUGAUCUUCAGGUAGACUCUAUAAAGUGUAGGAAAUUGAAUCUAUCAGCCAGACAUCAUUCCAUAAGCUAAUAUCUCUACCAUUGCCAACCAAACCACAAACUUCUUUCUUUGCAAAAUAUUUUGAAGUCCCUCGUCCUUAUAAAAAGUAAUGACAUUCCUGGACCAUGUACUGCCCUUUAAAUUAACACAAACUAAAGGCAUGUUCAAAUAUGCUUUUUUUUUUUUUUUUUUUUUUGGUAAUCGGGGUGUCCGGGCCAGCUUGCGCGCACCACAACUAAUCCCCGGGUUCACUGAACAUCCUGCAAGCCCAAUGAGCAUGUAAGGCACCACGGGGGUGACAGACGUACACAUAGAGGGUCGAACCCGGGAUGGGGGCGGAACAAGUCACACGAUUGACCACAACAGCUGGACCCUCAAGUGUAACAUCUUUUCAUAGUCUUGUAUGAGACCUCCCAAACCUCCAUAGCCAUUUGAAAAAUUAACAAGGCUUUAUUUUUAUCAAUAAUGUAUUCUAUACCCACUUUUUUUGUUUUUUUUGGGAGGAACCACUAAUGCCCAUUUAACAUUGCAUAGUUUUUUCCCUCCUUCCUCCUGAGAACCAAAGAAAGAUAUGAUAUGUUUCUCAAUUUUGGUAGCAACAGUGGAUGGGAUAGGAAAUAAAGAAAGAUUAUUUAUAAUUGAGUUAAUCAAGCAAUAGUUUUCCAAACGGAUGUAUGAGAUGAAGAUGCAUGAAUAGGCAGACCCAAAUACUUAAAUGGCAUCCCCUCCAUCCUACAUAUUAGAUUGCUAGCAGUUGAAGAAAUAACAACAUCAUCAAUUCUAGUUCUAGUGAUUGAACUCUUGUGGAAAUUAACCUUCAGCCUAGAAAUCAACUCAAAACAUCACAUAGUUCUUUUUGAUGUUUGAAGAGAUGGAAAAUCAUAUGAACUGAAGAUGAGAGUAUCAUCUACAAACUGAAAGUGAGUAGUUUUCAGUUGAUCAUGACCAAAACAAAUACCUUUUAUAAGUCCCAAAUCACAUCUCUUUCUAGCAUUCUACGAAGACCCUCAGUCGCUAUAUUGAAAAGAGAUGUUGAUAAAGAGUCCCCUCUUCGCAAUCCCUUUUUCCAUAAAGAACUCUACAAGAAUUGAAAGAGACGAGAGAAAUGAGAUCGAAAUUAGACUGCAAUCUAAUUGAUUAACAAACUUUGCUAACCGAAUGUACUCCAACUAACAAACAUAAUAUUAACAACUAAACAACAGGUUGCGUGGUCCUGACGUCUCUACUUCCCGCUCUUUUUUGCCUCCCUAAGGUAGUCUUCUUCUUGUUGCAACUUCUCUGACUAUUCUGUCAUCCAGGUACGUAACAAUACCCUUCCUCAGAAAGAUUCACCUUAGUGAUAAUGCAUAAUGCUGUUAUCUAGCUAGUUGUUCCACUUCUUGGGACAAUGCAUAAUGAUGCACCUUAAGUAAGUCUCCAGGCAAUGAUUCACUCUCUCGGUCUGGCCAUCCGUUUGAGGAUGAUAGGAGGUGCUUAGUAACAACUUUACGCCCAGAUGUCUAAACAAUUCUCUCCAGAACAAGCUUGACAUAUUGUUCUGCUGCAUCUUUGGUACAGAACCUUGCAUAUUCAUUGAUUGCAACUGGGGAUUCAGUUGAUUUUCAUGGGACUGCAAUUGAGGAACUUGAGAUUGGGGUUGCUGCAUAGGUUGAAUAUGAGGUUGGGGAAGUUGUCCUUGCUGUAGAUUAGGAAUAGGCUUCCUGUAUCUGCUUGAGUUUAGAAAACCUACAAUCUGCUUCAGGGAAAAAAUGUAUGGAAAUACAGGGAAAAAAUUGAAAGGGAGAGAUUUGCAAAAGAAAAAAAUGUCGUGUCAGUACCAAGAAAAUAACCCUCUUGACCUAGAAAUCUGAAUAUUUACCUUUAAUCAUCUUAUCAGUAAUUUAUCGUUUCUUAGUUGCUGUAAUCAUGGAACUUACAAUGCUUCCUAACUAAUCACAACCAUAGCUGAAUAAAAUUCCCUUGUACCAAAUUCCAGGAGACCUUUUCCAUUGACAUCUUGCAAGACAAUGACAUACAUGAACAGUAAGCUAAAGAAAUUACCUUUUGAUAGAUCUCCUCUUGCCAAUCAGCACCAUUUGCAUGUCCAGUCUCUGCUGUAGAAUGUAGGGAUGCUACAAAAAUUUUGAUACAGCCAACAAAAGAUUAGAAUGCAUGUAUGUUUUGAAUGUUUUCUGCACACAAGGGUAUUUCUGUAAUUUUCACACUUGCUGAAAAUUAUGGAAUAUUGUAGGUCUUGGUUUUAUUUCUAUUUAGUAUUUUAUUGUUCCUAAAGAAUAAGGAGCUUUAAUAGGUUUUCCCUAUCCUAGAUAGAACCAUUAGUGUUUUCUUACAUAGGAAUACAAGUCCUUUUUGGACUUGGAGUACUAGGGACACUAUCUCAACGUUAUGUAAUCAUUCAAACAGACAGAGAGACCCCCCUCCAACAAGUGAUCAUUAUAUAUUAAAAAAAAAAGGCUCAAACAAUUUAUCAUGGAAGAAAAGCACAAAAGUGACACUUUACCUCCUAACCAGGAAAAUCUUUAAAAUAAACCAUCUCUAAUUUCAAACUCAAACAAAUCGAGAAAAAGACGUAGUAUACUUCCUUAGGUAUGAGGACAAAGCUAUGAUAAUAUUUAAAUAUUAUUUAGUCAUUGCAUUGCAUUGAUAAUAUAAAUAUUUUUUUCUUUCUUUUCUAGAAACAGACAACCUAAAGAUCAAUAAAUCCGAGAAACGAACGACGAACCAACAAACUGACGUUACAACUAUCGACUAGUGGCUCAACGUCGCAUCACUUUAGCUUUACCUUUCGAUCAUUUUUCUCUUAUAUGUUAUUUAAUUUAAUUGUAUAUAUUUAUAUACUUAUUCACUAUGAGCUUGAUUGAUUAGAUAACAAAAGAAAUUAGCAAAAUGUCCUAAAACAAUCUUUUAUCCCGAGGAUCCAUCAAAUUAUUUUAUAUCUAUUUAUUUUACUAUACUGUGUUAUUAUGCGAGUUGAAUUAAAAAAGAAUUGAGUAAAAAAGAAAUAUUCAGAUUUUUAGUAUUUAUUAAAUCCGAUUCAACAAAUCAAUAUUAAAAAAUUUCUGAUCUAAUUUCUUAUCUUGGUUGAGUUUUAAAUUUAACUAUAUGGAUGUUGUUUUAAUAUGAUUUAGUCAAAUUAACAAGUCUGAAAACAACCCAAAUAAUAAAUAGAAACAUGGUCUAACUUAAAUUUUUUGUUAAAUAUAUAUGUUUUUAUUGAAACGACGACAUAUUAGAUUGAUCAUGGCUUCGUGGCUUAACUUGCUGAACUCGUUAUCCUGGUUAUGAACUCCAUUAAAUUUAAUAAAUCUAUUUAUGCUUACUUUCUAUAAAAUUAUUGUAAUUUCAAACAAACAUCCUGGUACUUAGUUCAUAUUUGAUUUUACAAAAAUCUAUUUCAAAAUUAAAUUUUCCAUUGAGUUUUUGCUAAUCAAUAAGGUUUAAGUUUCUAAUAUUAUAUUUCUAGGUCAGAACCAAUUUUUUUAUUAAAAAAGAAUGGCAUUGUUUUGUUUAAAAAAUUUAUCUAAGUUAACCCAAUAACUCACAAAUUGACCAACAGUUCAACAAAAUAGAUUUUUAACAUGAUCAAAACCAGAACCAGGUUGGACGACCACGCCAUAAGUUGCAUCUUAUUUUUGUCUUUGCAUUACAAUAAUACUUACAAACAAGAAAUAAACUAAUUUGACAAGUCUUGCGAUUCACAUGUAUUAAAACCCACAUUACACACGGAAUAGACAGCACAAUAUAACCCUGACCAUGCUCGACCUUGAGGUAUGUUAUAAAUUGUUCUUCCUAACUAGAUGCACAGCUACGCCUUUGGGAGGGAGGGAGGGAGAGAGAGAGCUCGGGCGGGGAGAGGUGAGGAAUGUUGGACCAAAGUGAAAUACAUGACUUUAUUCUUUUCCAGAUUCCUUCUAAAAAUAUUAACGAGUGAACGCUCGCUCGCUCGCACGCAUAUCAUAAUUUUAAAACUCGGAUCGAACCAGCUGGUCAACCCGGGACCCGGCUGACCCGGGCAUGGAACCGGUCCGGGUGAAGGCCAAAACUCGCUUGGAAAUUGGCCCGGCCAGACCCGGGCCCAAACCCGUUGACUUUUAUUUUUUUUUGUUUUUUUUUUGCUAAAACGACGUCGUUUUGAUUUUUUUUAAAAAAAUAAAAAAUAAAUUUUGACCCGGCCGACCUGGCAACCCGGUCGAGACCCGGUGACCCGGUCAAAACCCGGAACCCGGGCCUUGGACCGGGCCGACCACCGGGCCGGGUCUUAAAACUAUGACGCAUAUGCGUUAAAUUCUAUUUAACUAGUAUCUGUAUUUUUGUUAAACAAACAGAUUAAUCCCUCAAGUUGAUUUAAAUAAUUAACUGAUCCUUUAAUCACAUUUUACCGUCAAGUUAAUUAGCGGCACAAACUAAGGAAAUAUUGCUGACAGCUCAACAUUUUACUAACGAAAAGUUAAUGAAGGGACCGAAUUGUAGACAUUUAAAAGUAUAGGGAUUAGUUAGAACAACUAGUUAUCACUGCCUCUGAGAAUUAAUAUACAGCUCAGCAUUUUGUUGAAGGGACGGGCAAAGGUACAUUUAUUUCCGUUAACUUUCUAAUAUUAGAUCUUGCUUCUGUACAAUUUAUUUUAAUAUAUUAAAUAAUAUAAAGCACAAAACAGAUCAUAAUAAAAUACAAGUUGUGAUAUAUUUAUUGCACAUGACAGUCUAUAAAUGAAGUGUUUGGAUCGAGGUAUAACAUGUGUUUUUUUAAUUUUUAAUUUUUAUUUUACUUAAAAUUAAUAUUUUUUAUGUUUUUAAAUCAUUUUAAUGCACUGAUAUUAAAAAUAAUUUUUUUAAAAAAUAAUUAUUUUAAUACAUUUCUGAGUAAAAAACAAUAAUUACAAUUAUAUGUACUAUCAACCACUCUCAAAAUAUUUGAUAUACACUUUGAACAUGACAAGGAUUGAUCAUUGUCUUGUCCAAAGUUUCAAAUUAAAGUUUUAUGGUCAAAUUACAAUUUUUAAAAAUUAAUUUAGUCAGAUCAUGGGUUUAAUUACAUAAUUACAAUUAAAGUAUAGGGAUUAGUUAGAACAACUAGUUAUCACUGCCUCUGAGAAUUAAUAUACAGCUCAGCAUUUUGUUGAAGGGACGGGCAAAGGUACAUUUAUUUCCGUUAACUUUCUAAUAUUAGAUCUUGCUUCUGUACAAUUUGUUUUAAUAUAUUAAAUAAUAUAAAGCACAAAACAGAUCAUAAUAAAAUACAAGUUGUGAUAUAUUUAUUGCACAUGACAAUCUAUAAAUAAAGUGUUUGGAUUGAGGUAUAAACCGUGUUUUUUUAAUUUUUAUUUUUUAUAUUUUACUUAAAACUAAAAAUUUUUAUGUUUUUAAAUUAUUUUGAUGUGCUGAUAUUAAAAAAAAAAAUUUAAAAAUAAUUAUUUUAAUAUAUUUCUGGAGAGAAAGAUUAUAGAGGACGAACAGAAGGAAUAGAAAAACAGAAACGAGACCCACAAAAACAAAACACAGAAAUAAAAUAAAAUAAAAUAAAAAAACACAAAGGGAUGAAGGGAAAGAUGGAGAGGAGGAGAACACAGGGGCUUCGUCAUUUCGAAAACCAGAGACGAAGAAGAAGAAAAAGAGUGCAGACAAGAAUUUGUACUGAAAAGGAGAAUCAGAAACGAAAACAGCAGCAGAGGGAAAGAAAGAAACGUCGCCUGAUCAGAGCACUGAUCACCCUCAUCUUCGUCUUCAUCUUUAGACACCAGCUCCAGGUACUCUCUUCUUCCUUUUCCCCCGCUUUGCAAAUUCAGCUGUUAGAAAGGCAAAUAAUUACCCUGUCAUUGUCUAAAGCAUGCGUAAGUAAUUCACGCACGCAUGCACAAUGACCAGCCGGAUCACUAGUUUGACCUAGUGACGGGCUAGGCUGAUGGGUCUAGCCCAGCCCAUACGGGUUGAGUUAGACCUAGCUUAAAAAAAGUAUAAUUUUUUUUAAAAAAAAAUUUAUGAUUCAUAUAUAUAUAUAUAUAUAUAUAUAUAUAUAUAUAUAUAUAUAUAUAUAUAUAUAUUACACAAUAUUGAUUUGUGUUUUUAUACUAUAAAGAUACGUAUCCGGUAUAAAAAUAUCCGAUUUUUAUCAAGACAUUAAGAAAUAAAAAUAAAAUAAAUAUUUUAUUUUCAUGGAUACAGCAGUUUCUCAAAAAUAAAAAUAAAAAAUUUGUAUCUUCAUACAACAAAGAAAAAAUUCAAAAAAUAUUUAACAUGUACUUUGGCUUUAAUAACCAGUUUAUUAAAGUAACGAGAACUAGGCCACUAUUUCAAAAAUUUUAAAUAAAUUAUUUUUUUUCUUUUAAUAUCUGGGUGCGACCUUAUACGUAACUCGUAUUCCAGAUAUUAAAUUCUUUUGUUGACAUUAAAACAGUUAAGUUUUACGCGAUAAGAUAAGGAUCUCUUUACCGAAGAGAACUUUUGUUCAACCGUAGACAGAUCAACAACUAGAAAACACAACAAGAUCUUAGAUUUUAUCAUACAAUAAAACAAUGCAGCUUACCUUAGGUAGGGUGUAUUUGGGGUCCUAAUAUCUUCCUUUUACGCAACCAGUCCUCGUACCCGAUCUUUGAAACCAGUUAGGGUUCCUAGUGACCAAAACACUUGGUGGCGACUCCCAUUCCAGCUUUCCACACAUAAGAGACAAGAAUUCCUUGUCUCCACAUAUUUUCUCAUUUGUAGAUAGGAUCGAUAGAACAUCAAAUAAGAUUUUGAGGGUGGAUGUAUUCGUCGCGACGUCGCACAUGUGCGACAAGGGUUAACCUUUAAAAUCCAUGACUCGGGUCAUCAGACCAUAAUAAACCCAAAUAAAAUAAUUCAAAACAAAUUAUGAAUCUUAAUUUUCAAUAAACCUAUUGUUGAAUUAUGAAAUUAAAAAAAAGAUGAUCUAAAAAAAGCAUAAAAAAUGUCUUUUCAAAACAAAAUUAUGAAUUUGAAUAAAAUUAUAAAAAUAUCAUUGACAAUCUCGCAAAGUCUUUCUAAACUUUGAUUGCCUUGAAUAUAUGUUAGGAGAUUUCUUGUUAAAUUUCAAUCUAAUUUAACAAUCAGAUUUAAAAAAAUAUGAUUGUUACAGUAAAAUUAGACUAUUUUUUUUAUAAAAAAAAUAAAAUAUUAUUUAACUAUAACAAAAUGCCUGGAAUAGACCGAAACAUUCCAGCCAGAAUUUAGGUGAAAUUCAUGGAACGAGAUAAGUUUCUAACCGAGGUGAAAUAUCUUCAAAUUUAUUCCAUUUUUUAAAUUGAAAUAAAAUAUACCUAUCAUUCUAGAUGUGACAUAGUGAAAUUAAAAACCAGUACGGCUCUAUUUCGUGGGAAAAAUUGCAUGAUAACAAUGGUAUCACUGACCCAUCUCGUGGUGGAUAAUUUAUUGCAAUGUUCUCUCCAUCAAAAUCCCUUUUGUUUUGAAAAGGAUUAUAUAUAUAUAUAUAUAUAUAUAUAUAUAUAUAUAUAUAUAUAUAUAUAUAGAUGCACACACUCAAUGAUUACUUAAUAUCUUUAUAUUAGUUUUCAAGUUUUGAGAUAUAGCUCUUAAAAACAAGAAAUAUACCACAAGAUUUUAUAAAAUUCAAAAUAUUAAUUUAACAAACAUAAUUUCAAUUUAAAUUUAAACAUAAACUAACUUGAAAUUAUGCACUUUAAAUUUUAAAUAUAAGUAAAAAAAUAAGAGCUGAAUCGAUAUGAGUCGAUCAAUUCAAUAAGCUCAAAGAUAGUCUAGAUGACUAAUAAAAAUAUAGUUUUACUUAAAAAAGUUCAAGAUGACAUAUUUUUUAAAAAACAAUAUUGAGAUAAUAACAUAUUGGAUCGAUUUUGGUCAAUAUGGGUUAACAUUUAAAAUCCAUGACUCGGGUCAUGAGACUAUAAUAACCCAAAAUAAAAUAAAUCAAAAUAAAUUAUGAAUCUUAAUUUUCAAUAAAUCUAUUGUUGAAUUAUGAAAUUGAAAAAAAAAAUUAUCUAAAAAAAAACAUAAAAAAUGUCUUUUCGAAACAAAAUUAUGAAUUUGAAUAAAAUUAUAAAAAUAUCAUUGACAAUCUUGCAAAGUCUUUCUAAACUUUGAUUGCCUUAAAUAUAUGUUAGGAGAUUUCUUGUAAAAUUUCAAUCUAAUUUAACAAUCAGAUUAAAAAAAUAUGAUUGAUACAGUAAAAUUAAACUAUUUUUUUUUAUAAAAAAAUAAAAUAUUAUUUAACUAUAACAAAAUGCCUAGAAUAGACCGAAACAUUCCAGCCAGAAUUUAGGUGAAAUUCAUGGAACGAGAUAAGUUUCUAACCGAGAUGAAAUAUCUUCAAAUUUAUUCCAUUUUUUUCAAUUGAAAUAAAAUAUACCUAUCAUUCUACAUUAUUUGUUCAUAAUAGAAUGGCUGGAAUAUAACCAAAAUAUUCCAGCCAGAAUUUAGGUGAAAUUCAUGGAAUUAGAUAAGAUUCUAAACGAGAUCAAAUAUCUUAUAAUUUCUUACAUUGUUUAAAUUGAGAUAAAAUACACCUGUCAUUCUAGAUGUGACAUAAUAAAAUUAAAAUACAUAGCUUUUAAAGCUUGUACGACCCCAUCUCGUGGGAAAAAAUAAAGAUGACAAUGGUCUCACAAACCCAUCUCUUGCUUGGUGGAUAAUUUGUUGCAAUGUCCUCUCCAUCAAAAUCCUUUUUUUUUUGAAAAGGAUUAUAUAUACACACACACACUCAAUGAUCACUUAAUAUCUUUAUAUUAAUUUUUCAAGUUUUGAGAUAUAAGUUCAUAGCUCUUAAAAGACAAUAAAUAUACCACAAGAUUUAAAACUAUUUUAUAUUUCAUUAAAAUAAAUAAAUAAAUUACUUAUAUGGUUACAAUAUUUUUUUCUUAAGAAAAUAUAUUUAUUUCAUGUGUUAAUAACAUUUAAGGAUAUUUUCCAAUCAAAUAAUCAAAUUUAUUUUAAUUAAAAAGAUUUCAAUCAAUAACAACAUUCCCAAUUAAACCAAUUUUUUUCCACGAACCCAACUUGUGGAAAAAAUGCAUUAUGGUUGGAAGAGGAAAAAUGCAUGACGGCAAAGUAGGAUUGCCUAUCCUAGAAAAAAAUGCUUGAUAGCAAGAGAAAAAACGCUUGAUAUAUAGCAAUGGUCUUAUGGACCAUCCCACUAACCUAUAUCUUGCAUCUCACACUGCAAAUUCCUAUCCAUCUUACUUGUUAAUUGUGUUAAAAAAAAGAUUGAUAAGUACUUUAGAAAGAAAAAAAGAGGACUUAUUGUCAUGAUAAUGACAAGAAGUAUUUUAGAAAUGAUAUUAUUUGUUGUUCAUUUUAUCAACGAUACUGUUUGAUUUUGCAAUCACCAUAAAAAUUAAGACAUGAUUUUUCACAUGUUAUUUCCAAAAAAAAAAUAGCAAGUCUUCUAUAUCCGUCAUCAUCAUACAAAUUGAGCUGCCUAGCAUUAACCUUUGGUUCAUAAUUUUCAUAAAAAAAAGCUGACAUGGGUUCAACUUUAUAAGAAGGAAUACAAGUUUUUAGUUAAUUACUUUUAUGCAAUUUAUUUUGUUUGUUUUUUUACAAUGUGGUUUUAAUCAGCGUUAUUAAAUUUAAUUCAAGUCUAACAUUUUAAUCUGGAACCUAACUCAAUUCAGGUUUAGAAAAAACUGAGUGAGAGUUGACCCAAUCAAGCCUAAUCGACAAGAUAAAUCAAUCCAGAAUCUAUUCAACUCAGUUAAAAACUAGUUUUACUUUUUUUAACUAUGUAGUUUUGAUUUUUUCUAAAACAAAUCUUAAAAUGAUACAAUUUUAGAGUAACACCAGUCAACAUAAGCUAACUUAUCCGAUCUAUGACCCAAAUUUUAAUCUGAGUAUUAGGCCAAUUUAUAACCUAAACUCUCAUCUGGGUAUUAAAUAUAAUCAUGUUUAAUAAUUUUGGUUGUAAUUAAUGAACAAGACAUUCUUAAAAAAAAUGUCAUAUAUAAAACAUUUAUUUGCAUCUAAAUUGAAACAUUCACAAAUUGAUAUAAUAGUUAUUAAUAUUUAUUUUUAAUAUAUAUAAAAUAAAAGAUUUUAAUAAUUGAUUAAUAUUGUUAAACAUGUAUUUUUUUAUGGUUUUUUUUUAAAAUUUCAUCUUUUAAUAUUGAAUUUGCUUAUCUAGAUCUUAUUAUCUAGGUCGACGAACUGAGGAUAGCAUUGCAUCACCACCAUGGCAAACUCGAUAUUACCGAGGAGUGCAGCAAUGUGCAAAGGAAUGUUUCAUGUGCUAAGGAUAUAGAGCCAAGUAAUUGUUUCUUCUUUGAGACUAAGACUAAGAGUCAUGUUGCAAAUGCAUGAUGGUUGGAAGAGGACGUCUCAUGGCCUCUCCUCGAGGAAAAAUGCAUGAUGGCAACGGUCUGAGGAACCAAUAUGCAGAUGGAAAUGUUCUCAUGAACUCAUCUCGUAGAAAAAACGCAUCCGAGUAUAUAAAUAGAAUUUUUUUUCUUUUUUUCCGAUAAACAUGACUUUCUUAAGCUUGUUGUAGUAUAUAGAAUUUUUUUAAAAUAAAAAAAUAGAAAUAUAAUUCGUAUCCGAGUAAAUACCUCCACAAAUAUAAUUUCAUUGAAAGCUGCGUCAUGUAUUAAUCUAAGGUUCAUUGUCCAUUAAUUAAUCGGUGGUUGCAUUUUAACACUUGAGAUUUAUUUUUCAUGCAUAAACAUUUAAUUUUUUUUCGCAAACUAAAUUGAAAUUAAAGCAUAUUAAUUAUCAAUUCCCAAGCUUACAGGGCAAUGGUCUCAUGGACCCAUCUUGUAGAAAAAACGCUUGAUAGCAAUGGUUUCAUGGACCAUCCCACCGGCCUAUAUCGUGGAAAAAAUAUAGAUGGCAAUACAUAGUCUCAAAGACAGACCCAUUUCGCAUUGCAAAUUCCUAUCCAUCUUGCUUGUUGAUAGUGUUACAUAAAAAUAAACUGACAAGUACUUUAAAAAGAAAAAGAAGAAGACUUGUUGUCAUGACAAUGACAAGAAGUAUUUUAAAAAUAAUAUCAUUUGUGGUUCAUUUUAUCAACGAUACUCUUUGAUUUUGUCACCAUCAUCAAAAUUAAGGUAUGAUUUUUGCAGAUUUUAGGUAAAAAUGAUGAUUUUAAGUUAUGGUUUGUUUAAAUAAUGAAUUUGAGUUAGAAAUCUUUAUAUAUUAAUAGGUGAUCUGAGUGUAAUUUAAUUAAAGUACAUAAAUUUAAUAUUGAAAUUUAAUUAAAGCCUCUCUUACAAUCCAAAAUUUAUUUUUAAUUAAAGUGCAUAAAAUUAACAUAGUUAAAGUUAUCUCUCUCUUUCUCUGUGUAUGUUAGACGGAGUUUGCAUUAGAUAAUUAAUUUUUUUUCAAGGUCUAAAUUUUAUACAUGUAAUUUCUAUAAAGAAAAUAGCAAGUCUUCUAUAUCCAUCGUCGUCCUAUGCCUAGCAUUAACUUUUAUUCAUGUUUUUUCAAAAAAUAAAAAUAAAAAUAAACUUGACUUGGGGUCAACGUUUUAAGAAGGAAUAUAAAUUUCGGUUAGUUACUUAAUUUUAUGCAAUUCAUUUUUUUUCUGUACUCUAUGGUUUUGAUGAACAGUUUCUUAAGCUAGUUGUCAUAUAUAGAAAUUUCUUAUAACAUUUUAGAAAUAUAAUUCACAUCUGAAUUGAUAAAUUCAAAAAUUAAUAUAAUAAGUUUUAAUAUUUAUUUUUAAUAUAUAUUUCGAAUUUAAUAUUAAUAUUUAUAAACUUUAUUUAGUUCAUAAAAAUUGUUCCACUUUUGUUAUAUCACUUUCCUUUUAAAGGGGUUAGGUGCAGCCUUGCAAAUUAUUUUAAAGUUUAUUUAUUUUGAAUUUAAUAUAUAAUUUUUUUAAAAGAUAAAUUUUAUUUAAAAAAAAAAUAUUUUCAAUAUAUGAAGGCUGGCAUAUUAUUUUUUUAUUUUAUUCAAAUAAUUUAUAAUAUAUGUGUCUAUUUUUAUUAUCGUUUGAUCGAAUUAAAAAAUAUUUUAAUUAGAAAAUUUACAAAACACAAUUGCAUUAAUAUUACGUCUUAUGAAAUUAAAUAUUUUGAUCUAUAUUUAUCAAUUGAUUUUUCUAGUUUUUAUUUUGAGUCAUCAUUUAUGGUUUUUUUCACUUAUUAACACACAUAAUUUUUGAUUUAUUUAACUAUAUUUGUGUAUAAGUUUUUUAAUUUUCACUUAAAAUUUAUAAAUAAAAAAUUUAUUGAAGAAAUCUAUAUAUACAAAUUUUAAAUUAAAACAAUUUAACUUGAAGCUGUAGUCAAAUAACUAAGUCUAUGUACUAAAAUGAGUGGCACUCAAAGGUUCACAUACCUUAUCUUCCAAGAAAGAAGAGACAAGAAAAGUAGUGGGUGAUGUUAUUUUCUCCAGCUGUAAAUAAAUAAAGAGAUUAAUACCAAAAACAUGGACAAAAAUUGAUGUGGACCCGCACCACUUUGAUUAUUCUUCACUUUUUUCGCUUUUCCUGUGUUUCACUACUUGAUGAUUCAAAAGUUAUCUAUUUAAAACAAUUUAAUUUUUUUAAAAUAUUUUUAAAAUACAAAAAUAAAUGGUUAUUAUUAUGUCAUGUAGCUAAAUUUAUUCUAACGUUAUUCAUACGAGAAUUAUAUAUUCAAUUUGUUAAGUGUUAGCAAUGCAAAAGAGACAAUAAGAAGUACAAAUUAUAUGUAUUUUAUAACUUUUUUUUAUUUAAAAGCUUGUAUCAAUGUUUUUUUUUUCAAUUUGAAUACUUAUAUUCACGGAAUUUAAUCAAUAAAAUAUCUUCAUUAGUUUUACUAUCAAAAUGAUGAUGUCAUAGUUAACUCUUUUUAGAUUAGCCUGGAUUGAUUUCAUUUUAUUUUUAAUUUAUGAACAAUAAAGAUAUAUAAAAUGCUUAUAAUUUAUAUUUUUUUUAUUCAAGUACUCUAAUUGAUUUUAUUUUUCUAUUUAAGUACGUGAUAAACUAAUGUUUGUCCAUAAAUUUGUUUACGUUGAUUUCUCUAAUAAAAGUAUAUAGAACAAAUUCAAUAAAACUAUAUUUUGAUUAAUAGAUUUGAACUUAAGUGUUGUUAUCCAUUUUUGGGACCCCACACAAAAAAGAGAAAAUACAAAAAGUAAGAGUUGAAGAAAAAUUAAUUAAAUAAUAAUAAUAAUAAUAAUAAAUAAAUAAAUAAUAUAUGUUGUAGUGAGAAAAGAUGUCGGACCGCCCAAAAUGGUCAAAAAUUUAUUGAGGUUAAAAAAUGCAAAAAUUGAAAUUUAACAGUAUAUCGUUGACUAAUGAGAGCCCUGUUGACAAAGAAAAUUCAUUUUUUAAAAAAUAUAUUCAAAAUCAGAUGUUUAUGGACUCAAUUAAAUUUUAUUGAGGGUUUAAUUGAAUUUAUGGAGGGUUUGAUUGAAAGAAAAUUGAGUUUUAUGUCGAUUUAGGCUUUUAUUGGAAGAAAUUAAAGUUCUAGGCUCCAAUUACAAUUUUGAAGAGUUGACUUGGUCAAAUUAGGAGCUUAUUGCAUAAUUAUUAAAGUUUUAUGAACAAUUAGAGACUUGAAUGCAAAGAUUGUCUUGUAAAUGGGGUUCAAAUCUAGGGAUCCAAUUAAAAUUUAUUCGGGGGCUUGAUUAUAAAAUUGCAAAACAUCCAAUGACCAAAUCAGAAAUAUUUAUUUUGAAUUUUAAAACGGUACCGUUUCCUUGACAAUUGUUCAUUACCUUCUUCAUUAACAACGGUUUCUACAGUAAAAGGCAGUGAAGACGUUAACGGUGCUGCUGCUUCAAUCAGGGGAGCACGUCUCACGGUUGAUAUCCCUCUCCACCAUGAUGCACUCCGCCCGUUACAAUCUUCCUGCAAUAAAUCCUGAAAAGCAUGCAUCCUCUGGCUAUAAAAAGCCAGAGGAGAGAUGGACAGGAAAAGAAAAAAAAAAGAAAAAAAGGAGACUGGGAAGCAGCACGAGAGGGAGAAAGAAACGAGCAAAAGGAAAGAAUGUAAGCAGAGGAAAUCGUUGAGACCAGAACCAGCGUUGCCAUCAUCUUUGUCAUUUCAAAAAUCAGAGAGGAAGAAGAAGAAGAGUGCAAAUAAGAAUUUAACGAAAAGGAGAAUAAAAAACGAGAACAGUAGUAGAAGGAAAGAAAGAAACGUUGCUCGAUCAGAGCACUGAUCGCCCUCAACUUCAUCUUCAUCGUCAGGCAGCAACUCCAGGGGACGUUUGAGAGGACCAGAGAGGGAGAGAAAGAAUAAAACAGGGAACAAGAGGAAGAACAGAGCAGAAGAGAAAAAAAGCAGAAGGGAAAUGCAGAGAAAGAAAGAAGAACCACCAGCCCGUCAGCGCCACGGUACUCAACCGCAACACCGUCCACCAACAGCACCGCUAGGCUGCAGGUCUGCUUCUUCCUCUUCCUCCUCCUCUUCUUCGCCUUCACCAGGUCUGCACCACUGUUCUUUGUUUUAGUUUUUUGGGCUAGACAGUGCCGGCCCAGCCCAAAAUGAAUGGGUCGGGUCCGGCCUAGUCAAAAACAUUUCUUUAAAAAAAAUCAUUUUAAAAAAUUUAGAUUUUCCCUCGUAUUUUUCUAUUAAAUUUUUCUUAGUAUUGGUUUGUAUUUUUAUACCGUAAAGAUACAAAUCUGGAAUUAAAAUACUCAGUUGUCAUCAAAACAUUGAAAAAUUAAAAAAAAAACAUAUUUUUAUUUUCAUGCAUACGGCUAAGUAUCUCAAAGAAAAAAAAUCAUAUCAUAUUUUCAUACAACAAAAAUUCAAAAAUAUAUAUUAACAUGCAUUUUAAUUUUAAUAACCAAUUUAUUAAAGUCUCGAGAACUAAGUCAAUAUUUUAAAAAUUCUGAUUUUUUUUUUUAGUAUCUAGGGUUACGACCUUAUAUUUAAGAUGUAUUCCGGAUGUUAAAUUCUUUUAUUGAUAUUAGAAUGAUUAGGUUUUACCCGAUAAUAUAAGAAUCUCUUUAUCGAGAAGGAUAUUAAAUUUUGACCAAUCAUUACUAAAUUGCUACUGGUAUAACUAUCUCUUGCAAAUGGCAGCGAGGAGUUUAGGCUUCAAUCAAGCAAGGUUGUCAAUUCCAUUUUAAUUGGUUUUUUAUUUUUUUAAUUGUAACAAUAUAUUUUGGUUUUUGAGUAUUUUGACGUGUCAUUUUGGAUUGUUCUAUAUAUACUUUGAAGUCAUCAAAUCGAUUGGGUCAUAUUGAUUUAACUCUUUAUUUUUACUUAUAUUUGAAAUUUAAAUUGUAUAAUUUAAAGUUAGUUUAUUUUUAAAUGUCAAUUAAAAUUAUGUUUGUUAAAAAUAUUGAGAUAACAAUAUAUUGUAUUGACCUAGGUUAAUCUUUUAAAUUCGUGACCCAGAUCAUGAGACUAUAAUAAGCUCAAAUAUAAAAAAAAUUAUGAAUCUCAUUUUUAAAUAAAUCUAUUGUUGAAUUAUGAAAUUGAAAAAAAAAUCAAUCUAAAAAAAGACAAAAAAUCACCUUAUGAAACAAAAUUAUGAAUUUAAAUAAAAUUAUGAAAAUUUCAUCGGCAAUCUCACAAAGUCUUUCUAAACUCUAAUUGUUCUAAAAUUUUAACUUGCGAUAUAAAUAUAUGUUAUGAGAUUCCUCAUAAUAUUUUAGUCUAAUCCAAUAGUUGAAUUGAGAUAUAUAAUUAAUACUAUAAAACUAGACUAUAUUUUUUUUUUAUAAAAGCAAAACAAAACAUUAUUUGAUCAUAAUAGAAUGGCUGGAAUAAAACAAAAAUAUUCCGGCCAGGAUUUAGGUGAAGUUCAUUAAAUUAGAUAAGAUUCUAAACGAGAUGAAAUAUCUUCCAAUUUAUUCAAUUGUUUAAAUUGAAAUAAAAUAUACCUUCCAUUCUAGAUGUGACAUAAUGAAAUUAAAAACCAUAGCUUUUUAGAGCCCCAAGCGUACGGCCCCAUCUCGUGGGAAAAAUUGCAUGAUGACAAUGGUAUCACUGACCUAUCUCGUGGUGGAUAAUUUGUUGCAAUGUCCUGAUCUUCAUCAAAAUCCUUUUUGUUUUGAAAAGGAUUACACACACACACACACACACACAAAGAUCACUUAAUAUCUUUAUAUUAGUUUUCAAGUUUUGAGAUAUAAGUUCAUAACUCUUAAAGACAAGAAAUAUACCACAAGAUUUAAAACUAUUUCAUAUUUCAUUGAAAUAAAUAAAUAAAUUACUUAUGUGGUUACAAUAUUUUUUCUUAAGAAAAAAAUAUUGAUUUCUUGAGUUAAUAACAUUUUAGGAUUUCUUCAAUCAAAUAAUCAAAUUUAUUUUUAAUAAACCUAUUGUUGAAUUAUGAAAUUGAAAAAAAAAAUCAAUCUAAAAGAAAACACAAAAAAUGACCUUACGAAACAAAAUUAUGAAUUUAAAUAAAAUUAUAAAAAUUUCAUCGGCAAUCUCACAAAGUCUUUCUAAACUCUAAUUGUUCUAAAAUUUUAACUUGCGAUAUAAAUAUAUUUUAGGAGAUUUCUCAUAAAAUUUUAGUCUAACCAACAGUUGAAUUGAGAGAUAUAAUAAUACCGUAAAACUAGACUAUAUAUAUAUAUAUAUAAGCAAAACAAAACAUUAUUUGAUCAUAAUUGAAUGGCUGGAAUAGAACCAAAAUAUUCCGACCAGGAUUUAGGUGAAAUUCAUGAAAUGAGAUAAGAUUAUAAACGAGAUGAAAUAUCUUCUAAUUUAUUCAAUUGUUUAAAUUGAAAUAAAAUAUACCUGCCAUUCUAGAUGUGACAUAAUAAAAUUAAAAACCAUAGCUUUUUAGAGCCCUAAGCGUACGGCCCCAUCUCGUGGGAAAAAUUGCAUGAUGACAAUCGUAUCACUGACCCAUCUCGUGGUGGAUAAUUUGUUGCAAUGUCUUGAUCUUCAUCAAAAUCCUUUAUGUUUUGAAAAGGAUCACACACACACACACUUAAUGAUCACUUAAUAUCUUUAUAUUAGUUUUCAUGUUUUGAGAUAUAAGUUCAUAGCUCUUAAUAUCUUUAAUCCUUAGUGGUUGCAUUUUAACACUUGAGAUUAAAUUUUUAUGCAUAAGCAUUUUUUUUGUUUGCAAACUAAAUUGAAAUUAAAGCAUAUUAAUUAUCAACUCCCAAGCUUACAGGGCAAUGGUCUCAUGGACCCAUCUCGUAGAAAAAAUGCUCGAUAGCAAUGGUCUCAUGGACCAUCCCUUCGGCCUAUAUCAUGGAAAAAAUGCAAAUGACAAUACAUAGUCUCACAGAUCCAUUUCGUAAUGCAAAUUCCUAUUCAUCUUACUUGUUGAUUGUGUUACAUAAAAAUAGAUUGAGAAGUACUUUAGAAAGAAAAAGAAGAAGACUUGUUGUCACGACAAUGACAAGAAGUAUUUUAAAAAUAAUAUCAUUUAUGGUUCAUUUUAUCAACGAUACUCUUUGAUUUUGUCAUCACCAUCAAAAUUAAGGCAUGAUUUUUGAAGAUUUUAGGUGAAGAUUAUGAUUUUGAGUUAUGGUUUGUUUAAAUAAUGAAUUUGAGUUAGAAAUCUUGAUAUAUUAGUAGGUGAUCAUUUGUGUGUAUGUUAAUUAAAGUGCAUAAAUUUAAUAUUGAAAUUUAAUUAAAGUCUCUCUUACAAUCCAAAAUUUAUUUUUAAUUAGAGUUCAUAAAAUAAACACAGCUAAAGUUUUCGCUGUCUCUGUGUAUGUUAGACGGAGUUUGCAUUAGAUAAUCAAUAAUAUUAUAUAUAUUUUUUUGGAGAAAGUAACUCAUUAAUUUCCACUUUGUUUUUAGAACACGAAAAAUUUUACUGAGUCUUAUUUAAAUAUGUAUUUGAUAUUAUAGUAGUUUAUAUGAUUGUAAUUUGAAAAAAUAAAUUUAAAAAAGCUAUAAGUUGUAGCUUUUUCUUAACUAAUAUUUCAAGAGAGAGUUUGUGGUAGGACCCAUACAAAGUUAUGAUAUACGUUAAUCAACCAAACACUUUAACAUGUAUGAUUAGAACAAAAUGCAUAAGAUAUCAUACUAUAGAAACUAAUAAAGAAUCAUCUAGAUCUAACAAAAUAAUUUUUUAUAAGUAUUUUAAAAAAUUAAAUCUACUCGAGUGAGAUACCAAGUGGUUUCCAAACCAAUGCAAUUUUAUAACCAUGGUAAAAACCCGAAAAGAAGUGAAAGAAAAUUAAGAAAAAAUUUCAUCAAGCAUUUGAGUUUUUUACUUUGGUUUUAUGUUUUAGAAAAUAACGCUUUUUAGUUAAUGAAAAUUUUUAAUUUGAACAAAAUAAUUAAAAUACCUUCCUAUAUAAUAUGUCAAAAAUUCACAAACAAUAGAUCGCGCGAGUUCUCUUUUCCCUUCUUUCCAUUCCCUCCUCUCUCUUCAUCUUUUUUUUUGUUUCAACCCUAUAUCGAUUCAAUUGAAGCUUAUGAAGAACUCCUAAAUUCUUAGUGAGUUAGUCUAUUCACCCCCCCAUUGUUAGUGAAGUAUCUUUUUUUUGUUUCUUGUAUAUGUCUUCGUCGUGGUACAACAAUUUUAAUAGAAGAAUUACUGACGCCUUUUAUAAGCAUCCAUUUUCCUUCUUGUUGUUUUCUAUUCAUUUUCACACCCCAGUUGCCACCCUGCUUUUCUUUCCAUUCACGCACACAGAUAGUGCAUAAAAGCACUGCGACAAUAGUUGAUUCCCAGUCAAUACGGUCAAGAUAAGGUAACUGGCUGUUGUGUGAUUUUUAUAUGGCUUGUGUGUUUUAGAUGGGUGUGUGGUAGUCACCCAAGAGAAAUUCAAUUUUAGCAUUCUUUUAGAUAAGAUAAUUGGUUGUGUUUAAAAAUCAAAAUGCCACACACCAGAAAAGUCAAUUACUUAAGAUUUGCGGAAGAUAUGAUACAAGAGAUAAGAAAAUGAUGGUGAUAAGUUAUUGUAUAUACUAUAGCCACAAAUUCCACAUGGAUAAGAUUUAUAAUUAUUCUGUGUUUAUUAUUAUUGAUAAUUUAUGUAUUUAAUUAUAUAUGUGAUAGUGAUGACACCAUGCAAGUAGGGUCCUAAAUAAUUCUAAAUUAUGAUGAGAGCAGUACACUUAUUAAAUCAAAAAGAUCUUACGACGGAAUCACACACGAAUAUUGAUAACAAUGUUGAAAUAUUGUAACAAUUUUUUUAUUUUAAUUUUUUAUAAAUUGGAUAAUUAGUAACCAAAAUAUAAUUAAAUGCAAAUAGAAUAAGUGCUAAACAAUAAAAUAAAAUAACAUUCAAAUCCAAGAUUAAUAUUCCAAAAAGAAAUGAAAUAAUAUUCAAAUCUCAAAACAUAGAACCUGCAUAAGAUAUGCAGAUAAAAUCAUGGAAAUGGCCAAAAUUGUAGUAUAAAUUGGAUCUCUAUGGUUGCCCAAAGACACAUAACAAACAACAAUAUUCUACGUAGAUGAUGAUGAAAAGAAUAGGGGCUUGUAUAUUAUUGACUCAACCAAGUGGGAGUUGACUCAAUCAAGCCUAAUCAACUUGAUAAAUUAAUUCACAAUCUAGUUAAUUCAAUAAAAAACUAAUUUUAUUUUAUUUAACUACAUGAUUUUGAUUUUUUCUAAAUAAAACUCUUAAAAUGAUACAAUUUUUUAUUAACAUUAGUCAAUAAGCUAACUUGUUUGAUCUAUAACUCAAAUCUUGAUCCGAGUAUUAAGCCAAUCUAUGACCUAAACCCUUGUAUUAAAUCUAACCAUCUUUAAUAACUUUGGUUUCUUAAGUAAAACAUCAUAUAUAAUUAAACAUCUAAUUGCAUCCAAAUUGAACAUUCACAAAUUGAUAUAAUAGUUAUUAAUAUUUAUUUUUAAUAUAUAUAAAAUGAAAGAUUUUAAUAAUUGAUUAAUAUUGUUAAACCACAUAUGUUUUUAUAGUUUUUUUCUUUAAUUUUAUUUUUUAAUAUUGAGUUUGUUUAUCCUAAUAUCAUGAUCCAGGUAAUAGAUUUGACGAGUUAACUUAAGUCUUUUUUUAAUAUAUAUAUAUAUAUAUAUAUAUAUAUAUAUAUAUAUAUUAUGUUAUUACUUGUCCUGCUAGACAGCCUCUAAUUUUGGCGCUAAUAUCUUUCUAUAAUAAUACUUGACUAUUAUAAAAAAGAAGAAGCAGCAGAAGUAGAAAUAACUUAGCGGAUUGACUAUUAUAGAUAAUGAGUUAUUUAGUUGAUUUUUGAAGAUUUUAGGUAAAAAUAAUAAUUUUGAGUUAAAUGAUGAAUUUGAGUUAGAAAUUUUGAUAUAUCAGUAGGUGAUUUGUAAAAAUCUAGGUUUGAUGUUGAAGAUGAUAAAAUUUCAUUUUGGUCCCUCAAUUCGUGAAAAUUUAAGUUAAUCCCCAAACUUUAGAAAAAUUACAGAUUGGUCCCUGAAGCAUAAUCCUAGAUUCUGUACCAAACUAGAGAUGAUUUAUGAGCAACAUUCCAAUAUAGUUAUGAAUUUAUGAUAUUUUUAUUUUGGUCCUUCAAUUUGAUAAAAUGACAAUUUGACCCUUAAAAAUUUGCUAAAAUUCCAGAUUGAUCCUUGGAGCAUAAUCCGAGAUUCUGGAUAGAAUUAAAGAAGAAUUAUGGGCAAAAUUUCAGUAUAGUUAUGAACAUAACAUUUUCAUUUUGGUCCUUCGUUAAUUUAAUAGCAUUGCAAAGGCUUGAGAAUUCACAUAUCUCCUGAUGGAAUAGGUACUUGCUGCUAAGACAUUGUCUUUUAACUCUAAACAUUAUUUUUCUGGUCUUGGAAUAUGCUUUGCAUAACGGAUCGUUAGUAGAAAAAAGAACAACAUUUACAAUCUAUGAAGAUAAGUAUCGUAUCAUCCUCGGAUUUCAUAAGCUGACUAGCAUUUCUAUCCUGCGUGGCAUGUGUCCGGCGUUGUACCAACAGGAACCGCUCCAUCAAACUGCCGCCCACUCCCUCAAAAUGAUUCUGCAAGUCUUCCUGUCCAACAAACUCAGACGCAUCUAAUCCAUCCCAUUUGGCCUCUCACAAUCUGUCAAAGCCGCAAUUAAUGCUGGAGUCGCCGAAUGUGCAGAUGUCCUCACUUCUGAUUGAUCGACUGAACUAUAAGUCCACGGGACAGUGUAGACAUCUUUGAUUUCAGGAAACCGGACCUCAUCUGGGACAGAAUCUGCAAUUAAGUUAGCACUUUAAAAUCAAACCAAGAUAAAGGUUUCUUGAAAAGAUCAUAUCCAUUAGAUAAUAUAAAUGGAGAAGUUAGUGACGUAUCACUGAUACAGUGAAUGCAGUGCACAGUUUUCCUCAUUCUCCUUGUGAGUUACCAUUAAUGGAAGCUCACACACACUAUACCAGUCCCAUGCUUGACAAUAAAUGCCAUAGCUUCUGGUGUUGCCUUUGACGCAGACAUUAUAACGCCCCCCUCAUUUUCUCUUAAUUUCUUCAUCAUCAACAACAAUUACUAACUGCAGAGAAUCAUCACACAUUCGUAACAUAAAGCCUUUCCUUGACGAAUAUCCUCAAUGGCCUCUGGGAUCGAAGCAAAUCCUCUGGCCACAAUUUAUUGUUAGCACGUGUUUGCAAUUAACAAUAUAUAUUUUGAUGAGCUACUUGUAGAGUAACCAGUUUUGUAUUUUGCUCACUUUUCAGUUUGGUUUCGGUAUCGUGUUUUGUAAUUAUUACUUACUGCUGGUGUUUUGAAUUAACUAAUCAUUUUUUCCCUCCAACUUCCCAUAUCUUUUUGUUGGAAGCUCCAUCUGUAUAGCAUUCUAUUUUUAUUUUUAUUUUGCAAAGAAAAACCUCGUUUUGCAUAACUGUUCCUAUGUCUUUUUAUUAUUGAUGUAUGUUUGACAUUUUUAAUAUCUUAAAAGAGCAUAGAGAAAGGUUUACGAGGAUUCCAAGGCGAGUGAUCCUACUCUCUGUUCGUGGAGCAAGGGAUUUCCGCAGUGAAGUUGUGGUCAAAUAUCCGGUCUAUAUACUAAAAUGAAGAAUGGCACUCGAAGGUUCACAUACCUUAUCUUCUAGGCAAAAACAGCCAAGGAAAGCAGUAAAUGAUGUUCUUUCUCCGGCUGUAAAUGGAGGAAGAGAUUAAUACCAAAAAUAUGGACAAAAAUUGAUAUGGACCCACACCACUUUGGUUAUUCUUCUCUUUCUUCACCCUUCUUGUGUUUCACUACUUGAUGAUUCAAAAGUUAUCUAUUUAAAAAAAAAAAUUAUUCAGUUUUUAAAAUUAAAAUAAAAUAUACCUACCAUUCUUAGACGUGACAUAAUGAAAUUAAAAACCAUAGUUUUUAGAGUCCCAAGUGCUCGGCCCCAUCUCGUGGAAAAAAUUGCUUGAUGACAGUGGUAUCACUGACCCAUCUAGUGGUGGAUAAUUUGUUGCAAUGUCCUCUCCAUCAAAAUCCUUUUUGUUUUGAAAAGGAAUAUAUAUAUAUAUUUUAGUUUCAAGUUUUGAGAUAUAAGUUCAUAGCUCUUAAGACAAGAAAUAUACCACAAGAUUUAAAACUAUUUUAUAUUUCAUUAAAAUGAAUAAAUAAAUUACUUAUAUGGUUACAAUAUUUUUUUUUUAAGAAAAUAAAUUGAUUUCAUGUGUUAAUAACAUUUAAAGAUUUUUUCCAAUCAAAUUUAUUUUAAUUAAAAAGUUUUCAAUCAAUAACAACAUUCCCAAUUAAACCAAAGUUUUUCCACGAACCCAUCUCAUGAAAAAAAUGCAUGAGGGUUGGAAGAGGACGCCUCACAGCCUCUCCACGAGGAAAAAUGCAUGAUGGCAACGAUCUCAGGAUCCCAAUGGGCAGAUGAAAAUGGUCUCACGAACUCAUAAAUGCAUUUAUAGUGAUAUUUUCACUGUUAGAGGCAUACAAUAGUUUAAGGAACGAAGAUAUUUUCAAAGAAUAACAUUUAUAAUGAUACUUUUAUGCGAUUCAAUUUUAUCUUCUUUUUAGUCUAUGAUCCUGAUGAACAUGACUUUUUUAAGCUAGUUGUAGUAUAUAGAACUUUUUUUAAUAAAAAAAUAGAAAUAUAAUUCGCGAGUAAAUACCUUCACAAAUUAAUAUAAUAGGUUUUAAUAUUUACUUUUAAUUAAUAUUUAUAAAAUGAAAGAUAUUAAGAGUUGAUUAAUUUGUAUAGGUCCAUUUGUAUAGCAUUCUAUUUUUAUUUUUUUUGCAAAGAAAAACUCGUUUUGCGUAAACUGUUCUAUGUCUUUUUAUUAUUGAUGUAUGUUUGACAUUUUUAAUAUCUUAGAAGAGCACACAUAAAGGUUUACGAGGAUUCCAUGGGAGGCUACUGAUUUUUGCUCUCCAUGAGAAGAGCAUCAUGGAACUUCUAACUGAGCAUUGAAUGUCAUAAUGAGAAAGAUGGCAGUUGCACACCCAAGAGAAUGCUUUUUUUAUCUUUCUUUUUUUUCACAAGAUAAGGUAAUUGGCUGUUAUGUGUUUUGACUUUUAGCAUUCUUUUUAUUAUUAUUAUUAACGUGAGUGUCUGGGCCAGCUUGCGCGCAACUCGACCAAUCUCACGGAUCCUAAAGUUAACGACCAUGUAAGCAUCCAAUGACCCUGAGGUUUAUGAGACUCAAACUGGUAACUUCUAAAAAGCAAACCUAGAACCUGACUAAUUGAGUUACACCUCUCAGAAUUACUUUUAACGUUCUUUUUUUUUAUCUUGCGGUGGUCCUCCAAGAUCAUGGAGGACCACCGGUAUGCAUAAGGAAAUCACUGCAUAGUUAUGUUUAAAAAUCAAAAUGACACACAGCAAGUCAAGCAUCAAUUACUUAAGAUUUGUGGAAGAUAUGAUACAAGAGAUAAGAAAAUGAUUGCUAUUAUCCACAAUUUCUCUGCGAAGUUUCCAUUAGAUAAUCAAUAAUGUAUACAUUCUUUUUCGAGAAGUAACUCAUUUUCACACCCCGAGUUGCUACCCUGCUUUUUUGAGAAGUAACUCCUUAGAUAAUCAAUAAAGUUUUUUUUUUGUUCAUUUACCACUGAUUUACACUUCAAUCAAAAACUAAAUUUACUUUCACUACUAUUUUAAUUUUUUAAAAUUAUUUUUAUAUUGUUUAAUGCAUUAAUUUCAAGAAAUAAAUUCCUUUUAUUUUCUCUUUCUUUCACUAUUAUUCUUUUUUCUUCUUCUUUUGAAUUGCCUUGUCUCUCUUUCUUUUCUGUUUUCCAUCUUUCAAUCCUUCAAGAUUUAAAUUAUGUAGCAAUUACAUUAGGAAUAUUGAUGACAAAUUAAAUAUAACCAAAAACAAAUGCAAAAAAAAAAAAAUUGAUAUUCUAAUAAAGCAUUUACAUUUCCAUUGAAAGAUGCGUCAUAUAUUAAUUAAUGGUCCGUUGUCCAUUAAUUAAUCGGUGGUUGCAAUACUCUAACACUUGAGAUUUAUUUUUUAUGCUUAAGCAUUUAUUUAUUUAUUGUAAACUAAAUUGAAAUUAAAGCAUAUUAUUCACCCCAAGCUUACAGGGCAAUGGUCUCAAGGACCCAUCUCGUAGAAAAAAUGCUUGAUAGUAAUGGUCUCAUGGACUAUAUCGUGGAAAAAAUGAGAUGGCAAUAGUCUCACAAACCUAUCUCACACUGCAAAUUCUUAUCCAUUUUACUUGUUGAUUGUGUUACAAAAAAUAGACUUUUUAAAAAGAAAAAGAAGAAGACUUAUUGUCAUGACAAUGAAAAGAAGUAUUUUAGAAAUAAUAUCAUUUAUGGUUCAUUUUAUCAACGAUACUCUUUGAUUUUGCCAUCACCAUCAAAAUUAAGGCAUGAUUUUCCACACGUUAUUUCCAUAAAGAAAGUAGCAAGUCUUCUAUAUUCGUCAUUGUCAUGCAAAGUGAGCUGCCUAGCUUUAACCUUUGAUUCAUAUUUUUCCUUUCUUUAUGAAAUUACAAUUAGUUUUUGGUUAAUUAUUUUAUGCAAUUCAAUUUUUUUUUUCUACAAUGUGGUUCUAAUCAGCGUUAUAAAAUUUAAUUCAAGCCUAACAUUUUAAUCUAGAACCUAACCCAAUUCAGGUUUAGAAAAAACCAAGUGAGAAUUGACUUAAUCAAGCCUAGUCGACCAGAUAAAUCAACCCACAACCUAGUCAACUCAGUCAAAAACUUGCAAUGAGAUUUUCCACACGUUUGUUUAACUAUGCAGUUUUGAUUUUUUCUAAAAUAAUCUUAAAAUAAUACAAUUUUAGAUUAACACUAGUCAACAUAAGCUAACUUGUCCAAUCUACGACCCAAAUCUUGAUCCAAGUAUUUGGCCAAUCUAUGACCUAAAUCCUCGUCUGGGUAUUAAAUCUAAUCAUGUUUAAUAACUUUGGUUUUAAUAAACAUAAGAUUUGAUCUAAGACCCAAAUCUAGAUCCAAGUAUUAGGCCAAUCUAUGACCCAAAUCUGGAAUUGUUCCCUUCUUAAUUGCAUUGUUAAUUACUUUUUUUAACAAAUGAAAUCACCACCAGAUUAAAAAGUCAUUAAUGUUAUUUGACGGGUUUUUUAUUUUUUUUAUUAUAUUGAAUAUUUAAAUUAAAUAUUACAGAUGAAAUCACCGACGGAUUGAAAAGUCGUCGGUGAUAUUUGGUGGUUUCUGAAAAAUUUUUAUUAUAUUAAAUAUUACAGAUGGAAGCACCGACAAAAUGGUUAAAAAUAUUAAUAUUUAAUUAUCUAUUGGUAUAACCGUCAGUAAAAUACCCCAAUAAAAAGAUUAGAAUCUCUCAUUUCACAAUAGACAUGCCUCUUUUUCUUCUUUUUCUUCUUCUUCCCCUUAUGUAAAAAAAAACAUUAACAUCCCUUUCUCUUCUCUUUUCUUCUUUUCUUUUCUUGUUUUUUUAAUUAACAUAUUUUAUGAAUUUUUUUAUCUUCUCAGCUUCACUCGCAACUACAUUAAAGUAAGAUUUUUCUUUUUUCUUCUUUUUGUGUUCUUUUUCAUUAUAUUUGUUCUUUUAUUUAUUUUUUUAAUUUUUUAUGUUCUUAAUAAUUUUAUGAAUGAUGAUGUAGGAUUUGUUUUUCAUGUGAGAUCAAUUUUUAGUUGAUUUAUUUAUAGGAUUUUUAAAUAGAUUUUAAUUAUUUAAUUAUUUUUCUAGUUUUGUUAAAUAGAUUUUUUUAAAAAAUAUAUUUUUUUAAAUAUUCACUGAUAAAAUUGCAUAUAGUAUGCUUGUCGGUUACAUGACAAACUUCUCGAGGAAAUUACCGACGAAAUGAAGCAGGUAAAUUUUUUUAGCAUGUUUUACUUAUCAAUAAAUCUAUCAGUAAUAAUAUUUUAUUAUUAUUAACAAAUAAAAAAUUACCAAAAAAAAAUUCACGAACAAAAAAUUUUUAUUUGUGAUCUCGUCGGUAAUUAAUUUACCUAGAAAAUGAAAUAAUAAAUCAAGAGAGUGAGCCAUUCCUUGACGAAUAUCCUCAAUGGCCUCUGGGAUUGAAGCAAAUCCUGUGGCCACAAUUUAUUGUUAGCACGUGUUUGCAAUUUGUAACAUAUAUUUUGAUGAGCUACUUGUAGAGCAAUGCGCUGUUUUUGUUUCUAGCUUUAGGUGAUUGCACCAAACAUAGACUGAACAAUAGGGACAUACAUAAAGAUUUAUAAUUAUCCCAUGUUUAUUAUUAUUGAUAAAUAUUUAUGUAUUUAAUUAUAUAUAUCAUAGUGAGAUGACACCAUGCAAGUAAACUCCUAAAUAAUUCUAAAUUAUAACCAGAGAAGUACACUUAUAAAGUUAAAAAAAAUCUUAAUGUAACAAUGCUAAAGUAUUACAACAAUAUUUUUUAUUUUAUUUAUAUAAAUUGGAUAAUUAAUAACCAAAAUAUAAUUUAAUGUAAAUAGACUAAGUGCUAAACAAUAAAUUAAAAUAAUAUUCAAAUCCUAGAAUAUUCCAAAAAAAAAAUAAUGUUCAAAUCUCAUAACAUGAAAUCUUAAAUUAUGACGAGAGAAGUAUAAUUAUAAAGUCAAAAAGAUUUUAUACGGAAUCACACACGAAUAUUGAUAACAAUGAUAAAGUACUAUAAUAAUUUAUUUUAUUUUAUUUUAUUUAUAUAAAUUGGAUAAUUAGUAACCAAAAUAUAAUUAAAUGCAAAUAGACUAAGUGCUAAACAAUAAAAUAAAAUAAUAUUCAAGUCCAAGAAUAUUUCAAAAAAAAAAAAAUUCAAAUCUCAAAACAUGGAACCCUGAAUUAUUGAAGGAUAAUUAUAAAGUCAUGAAAACAAUCUUACGAAUGUGUAUAAUAUUUUUAUUUAUUUAUUUAUUUUUAUAAAUUGAAUAGUUAGUAACCAAAAUAUAAUUAAAUACAAAUAGACUAAAGGCGGAACUUAACAAUAAAAUAAAGGCCGAACUGCACAAGAGAAUAUUCAAAUCUAUAUUAUCGACAAACACACCAUAAAGGCCGAAGUGUCAGACUUUGGCACUUCUAGGUUAAUUCCGUUGGAUCAUGUUGAAUUGUCAACAAUGGUGCGAGGUACUCUAGGAUACUUAGACCUGAGUACUUGCACACAAGCCAGCUGACGGACAAAAGUGAUGUUUACAGUUUUGGAGUGGUUCUUGUGCAACUACUAACUGGGAUGAAGGCAAUUUCCUACGAUAAGCCUGAGGGCCUUUAAGUGCUAAAUAAUAAAAUAAAAUAAUAUUCAAAUCCAAGAAUAUUCCAAAAAAAAAAAAAAUUCAAAUCUCCAGAACCUGCACACAAGAUAAGCAGAUAAAGUCAAGGAAAUUAAAUGGUCAAAGUGUAGUAUAAAUAGGACCUCUAUGGUUGCCCAAAGGCACAUAACAAACAACAAUAUUCUACGUAGUAGUAAUUCAUAGAAUUAUCUAAGAUGAUGAUGAAAAGAAUUGGGGCUUGGAUGUUGCUAGCGUUAUUGGCUUUGGUUGGCGAAUGGCAUGGUCGUUGUUAUGGGUGUGUGGAGGAAGAGAGGGUUGGUCUCUUGGAGAUCAAAGCUUUGGAUGGCAUUUACUUGAUGGAUUGGGUGGACGACAAUAGUAAUUGUUGUGAGUGGGAUGGGAUCGAGUGUGAUAACACUACAAGGCGAGUGAUCCAACUCUCUCUUGCAAGAGAUGACACCUUGGGCGAUUGGGUUCUCAACGCAUCUUUGUUUCUGCCUUUUAAAGAAUUGCAAAGUCUUCAUUUGGAAUGGACUGGAUUGGUUGGUUGCAUGGAGAAUGAAGGUUAGUUCAAUGUUUCUGCACUUAAUUAUAAUCAUAAAAUAAAUGAAGGUUGGUUGGUGUUUAAUGUCAAUUAUCUUGCUUUGAUGAUUCUCUUCCAGGCUUCCAAGUCCUAUCCACUCUCAAGUAUUUAUAUCUAAGUGAAAACCGAUUUAAUAAUGAUAAAAGCAUUUUGUCAUGUUUCAAUGGGCUUUCCACUCUCGAGUCUUUGGAUCUAUCAUAUAAUAAGUUGACAGCUGGAUCAGGAGGUAGCUUCUAUGGUAACCUUUUAAUUAUUUAGCUUCGAAACCUUUUCUUUUCUUCUUCCAAUAUGCUUUUGAGGAACAUCAUGCAGGUUUCAAAGUCUUGUCAUCAAGGUUGAAAAAGCUGGAGAACCUUCUUCUAAGUGGGAAUCAAUGCAACGAUAGCAUUUUUUCAACUCUAACUGGAUUUUCAUCUCUCAAGUCAUUAGGUCUUUCACGCAAUCAGUUGACAGGAUCUGCUAGUAUCAUUAGUAAGUUAUAUAUAAUUUCUACCUAACUGCUUUACGUGACAUUCUUUUAUACGGUUUCGUAAUCAAGAAAAUUGAGGACUUUAUAUUUAUUUAAUAAUUAAUCAACGAUAGCAUUUCAUCAUGUUUGAUUGCGCUAGCUUUCAUCUAUGAAGAUUUAUAGCUAUGGAGCUUUGAUCUUAUCCAUAAAUUAUUUUUCUAACAAGACAGGAAGAUAAUAAAGUGAGCUAGCUGGAUCAAAACUAGGAUGAUAAAAAAUUACAUGUAUAGAUCAAUGGAUACUUGCAAUCUAUCUUCUUCCUUAAUCUAUGCACAGUAGCAUCUUAUCAAUUCUGAGUGGGCUUUCAUCCCUCUAUAGAUCGUCUUUGGAUCUAUCGUAUAAUACAUAGUUUCUACCUAAAUGCUUCACAUGACAUUCUCUUAAUUAUAUUGUUUCUUUAUCAAGAAAAAUGAGGACUUUAUAUCGGCAAUGUAGGAGUGGUGUUUAAAGGACACUUUAUAUAUAUGCAAAGCUCCAUGACAAACAUAUUAAAAGAACAAAUUAUUUAAAAAUACAUAACAUUUUAUAAUUUUAAAAAAUAUUAUAUUAUUCAAAAUUAAUAAAUCCAAAUGAUUGUUCAAAACUUCUCAUUGAUAAUUAAAACAAGAACAAUAAUAAAUAACACUCAUUAUAUUAUCAUGAAAAAUGAGGACUUUAUAUCUAUGUGAUGAUCAAUUUAAUGAUAGCAUUGUAUCAUGUUUGACCAUCUUUAACAACUUUAUAUCCUUAAAUUGUUUUUUUUUUCCAAUAAGAUCAAAAUUAGAAUGAUUAAAAAUAUUUCUUAAUCUUUGAAGUGUACACAACCUAUUAUAUAAUUAAAUAUGCGUUCGUGAGCUCAUUAUAAUUAAAUAUAGCAUUUUAUCAUUCUUUUUAUGUGUAAUUCGAGAAUCAUAUAUCAAUUGAACAACAACAUCUCAUCAAUUCUAAUUAUUUUUAGUUUCUAUCUAUUAUGCAUAUCGUGAUUAUGACUUACUCUUAGAAACAAUUCUCUUGCAGGUUUUGAGAUCAUAUCAUCACAUUUGUGGAAACUCGAGUCAUUAGAUUUAUCACACAAUCAGCUGACAGGAUCUAUCACUAGUAAGUUACAUUCUUUUAUCAAGAAAAUUGAGGAAUUUAUAUCUAUAUGCUUUCAUGUAUCAUUUUAAUAUCUAAAAGAUACUUUCAUCACUAUUCUGACUGUUUUGAGAUAAAUUGUAUAGGUUGGUGUGAAUUGAAGAAUCUGAAACAGUUGGAUCUUUCUGGAAAUAAUUUAGGAGGUUCACUCCCAGAUUGUUUGGGAAACUUGUCAUCUUUACAACUAUUAGAUGUUUCUGAAAACCAGUUUACUGGAAAUAUUGCCUCUGGUCCUCUUACCAACCUUAAAUCCCUUAAAUUCCUCUCACUAUCUAAUAACCUCUUUGAGGUUUCCACUUCAAUGAAGCCUUUUAUGAAUCACUCAAGCCUCAAGUUCUUCUCUAGUGAGAACAAUAGACUUGUAACAGAACCUGCUGCCUUUGAUAAUUUGAUUCCAAAGUUCCAACUAGUUUUUUUUAGCUUGUCGAAAACAUCGGAAGCACUCAACGUAGAAAUUCCCGACUUCCUCUAUUACCAAUACGACUUAAGAGUCCUUGAUCUCUCCCACAACAACAUCACCGGAAUGUUUCCAUCGUGGUUGCUUAAGAACAAUACACGAUUGGAGCAACUAUCUUUAAGCGAGAACUCCUUUGUUGGUGCUUUACAAUUGCAAGAUCAUCCAUAUCCGAAUAUGACCGAAUUAGAUAUAUCCAACAACAACAUGAACGGUCAAAUUCCAAAAGAUAUUUGUUUAAUCUUUCCAAAUCUGAAGAGCUUAAGGAUGGCUAAGAAUGGAUUUAAAGGUUGUAUUCCUUCUUGUUUGGGAAAUAUUAGCUCUCUUUUAAUUUUAGAUUUAUCCAACAAUCAAUUUUCCACAGUAAAACUAGAACAACUAGCAACAAUAAGUUUUCUCAAGCUAUCAAACAACAUUUUGGGUGGGAAAAUACCGACCUCGGUGUUCAAUUCUUCUACCUUAGAAUUUCUCUAUCUAGGUGGUAACAACUUUUGGGGUCAGAUAUUAGAUUUUCCAUUAUAUACGAGGAAAAGCUGGAUUGUAUUGGAUUUGAGUAACAAUCAUUUUUCAGGCAUGCUUCCAAGGUGGUUUUUCAAUACUACAGGCCUUAACAUAGUUGAUUUGUCCAAAAAUCAUUUUAAGGGUUCGAUUCCAAGAGACUUUUGUAAGCUUGACUCGCUUGUAUAUUUGGACUUUUCUGAGAACAACUUGUCUGGAUAUAUACCGUCUUGUUUCAGUCCACCACCUCUAACCCAUCUGCAUCUAUCCAAAAAUAGAUUGAGCGGUCCAUUAACAUAUGGAUUUUAUAACAGCUCUUCUUUGGUUACGAUGGAUCUUCGAGAUAACAGCUUCAUCGGUUCCAUUCCAAAUUGGAUUGGCAAUCUUUCAUCGUUGAGUGUUCUUCUUCUGAGGGCUAAUCACUUUGAUGGUGAGCUCCAUAUUCAGUUAUGCUUGUUAGAACAAUUAAGCAUUUUGGAUGUUUCACAAAACCAGCUCUCUGGUCCACUACCCUCCUGUUUAGGCAAUCUUACUUUCAAGGAAAGUUCCCAGAAAAUGUUUACGGAUUUCUGGGGUCAUUUUCCAUCAUCGUCCGCAUACAAAGCUUAUGUUGAAACCAUGGGUACACCACUGGUGGAUAGUGUGUACAGCUUGGAAAAGGAAUUUUGGCCUAACAUUACAGAAGAAGUGAUAGAAUUUACAACUAAAAAUAUGUAUUAUGGUUACAAGGGGAAAGUUCUCAGCUACAUGUCUGGUAUUGAUCUCUCCAAUAACAACUUCAUAGGAGCAAUCCCACCAGAAUUUGGAAACUUAAGUGAGAUACUAUCAUUAAACUUAUCACACAACAAUCUCACUGGAUCUAUCCCUGCAACAUUCUCAAACCUAAAGCAUAUUGAGAGUUUGGAUCUUUCUUACAAUAAUUUGAAUGGUGCCAUCCCUCCACAACUUACUGAAGUUACCACACUGGAAGUUUUUAGCGUGGCGCACAAUAACUUGUCAGGUAGGACACCCGAGAGAAAAUAUCAGUUUGGGACCUUCGAUGAAAGCUGUUACGAAGAAAAUCCUUUCUUGUGUGGGCCUCCAUUGCAAAACAAUUGUAGUGAAGAAGCAGUGUCGUCCCAGCCAGUGCCUAAUGAUGAACAAGGAGAUGAUGGUUUCAUAGACAUGGAGUUUUUCUACAUCAGUUUCGGUGUAUGUUACACAGUUGUGGUGAUGACGAUUGCAGCAGUUCUCUACAUCAAUCCAUAUUGGCGACGCAGGUGGUUGUACUUCAUUGAAGACUGCAUAGAUACUUGCUACUAUUUUGUGGUGGCUAGUUUUCGCAAGUUCUCCAACUUCAGAAGGUGAAAUUGGGGAGACGGCCCGUUCCUAGUUUGUGAUGAUUGUUUGUCUAGCUAUUGGUAAUUUGUAGUGUACUGUCUCUAAGCUCAGUCUUUCUAUUUUAUUAGUUAUUUGGGCUAAAUAUAUAAGCUGGACUUCUCAUUCAUGAAUCAUUAGGAAGGAAACUGAUUUGGAUCGGUCAUUGACUCGGGUGUGAUUACUCUUUCAACUCUCAAGACUUGUCUGAAAAUAAAUUGCCAAAACCACUACUAAAGUAUAAACAAAAUAUUCUAUGCCUUUGUUUCAAGGGCGACCCCACCUCAGUUAUUCAAUCAAAGCAUUGAAAUCGGAGCAAGAAGAUCCACCUUCUUCAACAUCCUUCCUGGCCGUUUCUUUGCUCUGCUUCUCAUUUCCUCUGCUUCUUCACCCAUCAUAAUUUGAGUGAUUGCCUUCUCUACAGCUUCACUUUUAACAUGAUCUCCAUGCACUCUAAGCCAUUCCUUAACUCCAGUUUUUAAAACAUCAGUCACCAACUUUUCAUUAUAGAAUUGCUCAGCAAAUAUUGGUCUCCUAAGCACAAAAAAAUAAUUGUCCUUCUCAAACAUGCAGCUGUGACUUGAGACAUUCAGAAUUUCAACCUCAUUUUCUAUAAAAUUCAACAAUACUGGAUAUGGUCAUGAUUAUACUGGAUAUGGUCAUGAUUCAAUGGAAUAAUCCCCACUUAUUUUCUUGAGACCUUUUUCCAUUGAAAUCUUGCAAGACUAUGGCAUAAUGAACUCCAUCUAAUGAACAGUAAAUCAAAGAAAUUACCUUCUGAUAGAUCUCCUCUUGCCAAUCAGCGCCUUUUGCAUGUCCAGUCUGUGCUGUAGAAUCUAGGGAUGCUACAAAAAUUUCAAUGCAGACAACAAAAUGUUAGAAUUCAUGUAUUUUUGUGUGUUUUCCAUCUACAAGGGUAUUUCUGUAAUUUUAACACUUGCUGAAAAUUAUGAAAUAUUGCAAGUCUCAGUUUUAUUUUCCAUUUAGUAUUUAAUUAUUCCCAAAGUAUAGCGAGCUUCAUUAGGUUUUUCCUAUUCUAGAUAGGUCUAUUAGUAUUUUCCUAUAUAGGAAUACAAGUCCUUUUUGUAUUAGGAACUUCAUCUAAAUGUUAUGUAAUCAUAUAAAUGCAGAAUCAGAGGGUGAACAGCUGGUGCAAUGCACUGGAGGGUAUGAUGUGGUAACAAAUGCGUGUGUGAUUGCAAUGGUUUCAAUAGCAGUGGCAUUACUAAUGCCACAAGUGGCAGCAGUGGCACAUAAAGCUACCUAAAAGAGUAUUGCUGACUUGAACCAUUAUGAGAGGUGAACAGUUGGUGCACCGCACUGUAGGGCAUCGUGUGGUUACAAAUGCAUGUGUGAUUGCAAUAGUUCCAAUACCAGUGGCAUUUCUAAUGCCAUAAGGGGAAGCAGUGGCACAUAAAGCUACCAAAAAGAGCAUUACCUGGCAUUUGUCUCUGAGAAUUGACAAACAUAGUGGAGGGAAUCCCUUGUCCCAUUGAAUUCCCCACUGAGUUCUGUGAAACACCAGGGAUACUCUGCAUGUUAGGAUUCUGGACAACAGUGUUGGGGAUAGUCUGGGUUACACCAGAGACAGGAGGCAGUGCCGCUUGUAAACCAGCAUAACUUUGAACUCCAUUAGAUGCCAUGCAAUUCUGCAUGUUCUGUGAUACCAACUGCUGACGUGCUUGAGACUGAUCAGUGGACAAUAGGAUAGGGAGAAACAGCCCUUGAUUCUGAACUUCAGGGGACAUACUAUGGGAUGCUGUUCAAGAUAAAAGGCAAAAGGGAAAACCAUGUCACAGAAAAAAAGAAGGCACUGAACAAGGAAGACAAAUGAAACAUCGGCAGUCCACACAUAAAGUUAUGAGCGAAAGAAUUGGGAUGGAUUUGAUUCAAAGCAUAAAAGUGUCCUCUGACAAUUUUCGGGGAUGGGGGAAGAAGAGGCGGCUGAAAACAAAAAUAAUAUGACAAUUUUCAGGGUGGGGGAAAGAAAAGGAGGAGGCAGAAAACAAAAACAAUCUGUAAUAUUCUUGCAUAACAUUCAUCAAUUACUCAACUUUUUGAUUAAAGCAUGCCAUACACAUAGCAAUAUGUUGCAAUAAAAUGCAAAAGAGUUUGAUAACAAUGUGACAAACAAAACAAAAGGUAAGAUGUUUAGAAAUUCAAUGCUCGGCAGCAUUAUUAUAUAUGAAAAAAGGAUCAAAUGCUUUUCUCUCGGAAGAAAGCAAGAAAGUGACGUCUUACCUCCUAAACAGGAAAAUCUUUAAAAUCUACCAUCUCAAUCAUAAAAUAUAAAAUACCAUGCAUCACAGUCCUUGUUGCUUAACAAGUUAAGGAUGGAACACUUCACAUGCAUUAUAGAAUUAGCAUCGUGGAGGUGAUCAUGAGAUUUUUCCAGCAAGGCGAUAUACAUAGCAAUAUGCAGCAAUAAAAUGUAAAAGAGUUUGAUAACAAUGUGAGAAGAAAAACAAAAGGUAAGAUGUUUAGAAAUUCAAUGAUCGGCUGCAUUAUAACCUGCUGGAUCCAUGGGGGCAGUGGGCAUGGUGUUUUGAGACCUGAUCUCCAUUGAAAGCAUCUCCAGAGAUAUUUUACGCAGAUAAUCAUACUGAAAUCAGAUAUUAAUAACAAAACAUUAGAUCUCAGAGCAAUCCAUGUUACAAGAGGAGGAAAAUGGAUAAAUGCUCUAUCAUUUCAUCUUUUGUGAGGAUAUACUUCUGUUUCCUCUCUUUUUAUUUAAUUAUUUAGGUAUUGAUUUGCUAUUUUCUUUUUGCACACUUCCCUUGUACUUGAACUUGUUCACUCUAAAUAAAACACUUGUCAAGAGAAUUAACAAAAAGAUGCGAACUCCCAAUCAGCCUUGCAUACAGAGUGAACGGUGAGGAAGUGUAAGCACACUACACACACAUUUGUACAUGCAUAAAUGCAUGUGUAUAUUCAUGUCAAGAGAAUAUCAUAAUUAUUGAACCUCGCAUUAGGCAAAUACCUGAUUGGUGGCGGUAGUAUAAAUCUUUUCCUCAAAACGUAUGGCCAAUUUCUUGAGUUCUUGUAAUCCCUCCUGACCAGAAACAAAAGAUGCCCCUUUAUUGUCUCCAUUCUGCACAUGCAAAUCAUUACGUUUCAUUUUUAAUGACCAGGCAAGUAUAGAGAAGUUAGCAACAGCGAGCAAAUAAUGAGAUAAGCAAGAGUUGGUCAAGUAUUAUAAGACAUCAAAAUACAUAGACAUCCUUUCCCUGUAUUAUUCCAGAGGUACAGAUUAUAGGAGUUUACUUGGCCACCCUUCUGUCUAAAAUUCUAGCUACGAGCUUCAUUUAUUAGUGACUUAGUUGCAAAGCAGGGGAGUCUGUGAAAACAUUACAAUAGCAUUUACUCUGAGUAACUUCUAUGCAUGUGCUGUAAUUGACAAAGAAAAGAAGAGAAAUCCUUUCAAUAUAUGAAAAUGCAACGAGUUAACCUUAUCUCACACUGCAAUAUAUACUCUACAGUAUUCAAUGACCAAUGCAAGUGCCAGCAGAAGCUGUCUAUAUGAUUUUGGAUGUAGAGAGGUCAACAAAACAUUCAACUUUAUGCUGAGAAUCUAGGAAACCAUGCACCAUUGUGGCUAAUUGAUUUUUGUCUACUGCUUUUCAACUUUAAGAUCACUAUCAUUUCAACCCUGUAGAAGUUAAAACAAAUAGAAGGCCCAAAUCCAACACCAUUCAUUUAAGUUCAGUUGCAACUCGAGUUUUAAAUUGAAACACGUAUGCUCAUAGCAAUAGAUUAACCUUGAAAUUAAAAGCAGAACAAGCUUCAUGCAGCCAUCCAAGAGGUCAUCAUCAAAAGAAGAGAUUACACAAGAAAUUCCAACAAAAAUUACUUCCCAGCACUUUAUGUUCCCUCAAGUUUGCUUCUCGUGAGAAACACAUGAAAAGAUGAAACAAACAAAAACAAAAAAAAGAGGUGUGUGAUACUUGAUGUUGCCUCAUGGCAAUCCUGCUGAUUUUAAUUAACCCUUUGUCGUUCUCCUUUUCUUUCAUAUAAAUAAAAAAUUUACUAUUUUGCAGCACUUGCACAUACAUUUUGUCGACUAUUCUUUUCCGUGAGUCAGGCCGCAAUUGAAUUCUCCAAUCACCCGUGUCCAUGACAGGUUCUCCGCCUGGGACAGUGGGCCAACCAAAAAGAAAAAAAAAAUCAUAUUGCAUGUUAGAAUAGACCCUAAAAAGAAAGUCAGGAACGGCAAGAAGAGCAAAAGCACAUCAAGAACAUGAAAAAUGGAAUAUCAGUUGAUUCAGACUUGAAUAGAUUUAAAAAGAACUUCCGUCUAAUAUCAUGUACUUUAUUAAAGAAUUCAGCCAAAUAUGGAUGCAUAACAAAUAUACACAACCAUUCAGGUCAAGGUGCUAGGAUCCUGGGUAUUCGGCCAUUCAAAGCAAAGAAUCUUCAUGGUGCUUCUAAACCAAAGAAGCAUUCCCAUCUAAGCAAAUACUUACUGUCAAACCCCACUCCACUUUCCCUCCUGUUCUUGUUAUUUAUGCAUAUAUUUACUUCUCUGAAAGAAUAAAUAUUGUAGGGAGCAAAUAGUGUAAAUAGAAAGAGGAAAAUACCACAUCCCCAAAAGAAUAAAGAAAUAAGAAGAAGGCAAAACAAAGUCAUAAAACGAGGCCUUUCAAUCCCCAAUGAAUAUCAGCAGACUAAAUACCACAGCACAAAUAGAAGAUGAAGAGGCCAGAAACACUAAUCCAUCCCGAAGAGAUUGUCUAGGAUGUUUUAGUCUAGGAAAAAGACAAAGAAAAAAACGAGCAUUAACAAUGAAUAUUUCAUGUUAUCAUCAACUCUAAAGAGCAGACUGAUAAGAAUCAACUUAACAAAUUUACAGGCACAUCUUUCUUUGAACAGACAACACAAUAACCCUGACCAUACUAAAUGCUCCACCCACAGUAGAAUCGGCUGAUUGCGCCUUUCUUCGAGUUGCGUUCACGAGCAGCGAUUUCAUCGGGUCCGAUUAUAUAUCUUUUUUAAUUUACUUAUUAAAAUUGAAUUUUUCUCUCUGGAUAGUAAUUUCAAUUAAAUAAAUGGAAACGCAGACGUAAAUCUUUUUUUUUUUAAAAAAAAAAAACAUAAUAGAAAAUGAAGCACCUGGUGGAGAUUUGAAGCCUUAUUGGUUGAGGGGGCGGCGGUUUCCUAGAGCGGAGGAGGGAAAGAGAGCUCAGGUGGAAAGAGGUGAAGAAUGUCGGACCAAAGUGAACAGAGCUUGACAGAUGACUCUUUUUUUUUAAUAUGAAUAUUCUAGUUAACUUAGUAUACCUCUAAUAAAAUUCACAAUCAUAUAAAUAUUUAUAUAAAUAUCUAAAAAAAUUUAAUACUCAAAUUAGUGAUAUGCAGGUAGCAAUAUUUUAUUCUUUCCAGAUUUGCUAACAAACUAAAAGAAAUGUAUUCACUGUGCUGCUUUACUGUUCAUAACUAACAAACUAAAACUAAAAUUAUUAAGGCGGGGUGCUAUGCGCGCGAGGAGAUGUCAGCCGACGGGAAAUCACCUGCAUCGGCUGGGAUGGCUUCAUUGAAGCUGUCCUCUUGGUCUGUGGCGGGCCUACUCAUUAAUGAAAAAAUUAUUCUAACAGAGACAUUGUUUUUGUUUUUGUAAAAUCUUUUCUAUUAUAUUUUUUUUAAUCCAAAUUUUUAUAGAAAACAUCAUAUAAAUUCUGGUGUGAUAUUUAUUCUUGGUUGUGCUGAUAAUAAAUUGUUUUAAAACUACAGAAUUAAUCAUUAUCUCAAUUUAAUUUUUAUUUUGAUUAUUGAUUUAUGUGCAUGUUUUAUAUUAGGUGGAAACUUGAUCAUUGUAGUAAAAAGGAACAAUAAUUUUAUGAAUUAUUCAAAACAAUUUAUUUGUUCUAUGCAUAUGUAUGAUGAUCUGGUUAUACAUGAAAUAGAUAAUUUGUCAAGAACAAAUUGAUUAUAUGUUGACAUAGAUUAAAAAAAAGUUUAAUUUUAACAGGAAAAGUAAAGUGUAUAUAUCUUUUGUUAUCUAUGUACUUAUAUAUUGCCUUGAUUCUAUGGGGAAAUAAAUUUUAUGUUGCAUGGUAUUUUCCUUUGUUGUUGCGUUGAUAGAAAAAAACAAAGAAAACAGAAGAUGGGAAAAAAAGUUGCAUAUCUGGAUAAUAAUUAUCGGUGAAAUAAUAUAUGUAAAGUGAAAUUCUAUUUAAUUGGAAUUAUUUUGUUUAUGUUGCAUAUAUAGCUAUAUAUGAUUAAAGAGUGAUUAACAACUAAUACUCCUAGCAUUGAUGAUGCAUUAUUACCAAGAAAAAAAAAAUUUAGUGUAGGAUUCAUCAAAGGCAUUCUAUUUUUCACUUGGAUUGGUAAAAGACUAAAAGACUCAAAUAUAGUUAUUACUUAAGAUGUGGUUGUAGACUUACCAAACCACAUUAGAAAAUGAGUUUGCAAUCUUUAAUUAUGUUAUAUAUGUUUAGAGUGUUUAUUUUCAUUAUUUUGAUAUAAUUACCAUGUCAGAAUUACCUAUAAAAAGAGACAAUUCUGACAUGGUUUUGACAAUAAAAAAAACUUCUAAUCUUUUUAAAACUCUUCUCUUUAUAUCUUUUUAAUUAAAAUUCUUAUAAAGAGUAACAUAAAAAUUUUAGUUCACCAUUUAUUCUUGGUUGUGCUAUAAAAAAUCAGAGAUUGAGUAAGCUUGAAAAAUAAUAUUACAAUUAUAUUGCUAGCACUAAAGAGCAUGUAAUAAAUUGUUUUAUGAUAAUUUAUAGUCAAUAUUUUAAUUUGUGGCUAUCCGUACAAAAUAUUUUAAAAUGACUAAAAUAAUUAAUAGUUUAUUAGUUUGGAUGUUUUUAGUAAUGUUGAAAUUAUAGAGAAGUGAUCAUUAAGUUGAUUUUUUUAUAUGCGUAGAAAUCAGGUCAUUAUAAAUUUAAUAAACUAUUUAAAGUGUUCCAAUGAAAAGAAAAUGGUGUUGUGAAUUUGAGUCUGCAUUUUUCUCUUUCUUUUUGGUUUUUUUUGUUCGUCCCUUCCUCAAAAUUUAGGGUAUUAAAUUUCUUUGUUUCUUCGGAAGAUGCCUUACUCUUUGUUGAUCGUCUUUCUGUUUUUAGUUGCAUUGUUAGGCUAUAUGUGUGUUUAUUGAGGCUUUGGCUGCCUUUUUUGCUACAGUUAUGAGGUUUCUUGGAGUGUUUUAGUUAACUUCAGCCCUCUAUUAUCCAUUCUUUAUAGAGGUGGUGUUGUCUUUGUUUCGCACAAGGCGGCAUGUGUCUUGAAAGGAAGUUUACUUGGUUUUCUUUACAUGUGUUUCUUGCAUGCUACUUGUUUGGCAAAAGUCUCCUGAGAGAUCGACCUUUUUUCUUUGUUUUGGUUAGGCUGGGUGCUUGAUUUGUGUUAGGCUGUUAAAGUUUUUUCCCUUUCUUUAUAAGAAAAAAAUAUUUCUUUUGUGCUUGGGAACACACCUUUGUAGCUUUAGAGAUGAUAGAAAGCUUUGCUUUUAAAGGCAACAUUGUUCUUUAUGGUUUUUUCAACAUGGGUUUCCUUAACAAAAAUUAAGUUUUGCAUGUUUAUUUAUGUUGCUCAUCCACAUGUAUUGCAACAGGUCUUUCUAGAGGUAACUUGGGUGAGGAAAAAACUUUGUGCCACGAAAAUAAGAGGCUGGAGUUUUAUUUUGCUUUAGAUUCUUCCCUUAAUUCCAACCUUGGUUUGUUUUCAAUUCUUUGGUCUUUCUUUUCAUUAGUCUAUGAUUUUUGUUGGCUUCUUGCUUUGUGUAAGGUUGUACGAGGAUUUUCCUUUUUUAAAAAAAAAUCAUCUUGUGUUUGGGAACACAGCUUUGUACCUUUGGAGAUGAUAGAAAGCUUUGAUUUUGAAGACAACACUUUUUCUUUAAGUUUUUUGGACUUGGGUUUCCCUGAAAAAUGUCUUCUUUUUGCUUGUUUGUUUGUUUUGGUCAUACAUAUAUGUUACAGCAGGUCUUGUUUGUGGCUUGCACAUUGGUUGCUUAUGUUUAUUGAUGAUAGCUUUUAUUGUCUUUUUUCUUUUCAUUUGUAAUUCACAACAAUAGAGUGGGUUUGAUUAUCUUGGUUUGGAAUUGACAUGAAAAAAAGAGAGAAACUUACAUUCUCUACUUUAGAUGGCUUGAGCAUUGUUCGCUAGAAUAAUAGAAUGGGUUUAAUUAUCUUGGUCUGAAAUUGGCAGGAAAAAAAGAAAAGGAACUUGCAUUGUUUGCUUUAGAUGGCUUGAUUAUUGUUCGCUAGAACAACAGAUUGGGUCUGAUUAUCUUGGUCUGGAAUUGGCAGGAGAAAAAAACAGAAACUUGCAUUGUCUGCUUUAGAUGGCUUGAACAUUGCUUGCUAGAUGUUCAUUAAUUUCUCUUUUUGCAAUGAACUCUUGCAUAGUUGACAGAUCAUGCUACAUUAUUCACGCUAUUAUUGUUCUUUAUUGAACUACCAAGAUUAUUGGUUGGAUAAUAGCCACUGUGAUUAGAGAAACUGAAAUAAUUUAUAGUCUGCAAGUCUAUAUAUUCAUUACGGCAGUCAUGUUUUUAUCCAAACAUUGCCAAGAGUCAAGACCAAAGUUAAUCAAUAACAAAAAGAUGGAAAAAAACCCCGAAGAUAAAAGUGACAAAAUUCAUAAAACUCAAACGCCAAUAAUAUAAUUAAUGUCAAAUGAUAAGAUUACAAAAAUCAAUUAAAGAAAAAAAUAAAUCAACCUAUGUUAACUUAACUUAUCCACGACCUGAGAUAUGAAGUAGAAAUAAUCAUACAAAAAAAAAAAACCAGAACAAAUAACAAAGUUUAAAGCCUCAAGGUUGAUGAUAAAAAAAAAAUUUAAUUUUAAAAAAGAACUUAAAAAAAAAUACCAAACUUAAAACGAGUUGAUAUUCAAAAUUGGUAUGGUGAGUUAUGAGACCAGGAUUAGUGUAUUCAUACAGUUUUGACCUGUCUUUUUUUAUUGUUUUUUUUGUUUAUUUUUUUAUUCAAUGUUGGAUAUGACUUUUUUGUUAUUUUUUAUCGAAGCAUAUGGUUGUUUCAUAAAAAAAAAAAAAAACUAUAGGAAACAUAGUUGUUAAAACACAACGAAGCACAUGACCUAUGUCAUGAUAUCAAAUAUCUUAAUCUUAGUUAUCUAUUUAUCAAAUAUUGAUCUAGUUACUAAAUACAUGUAUAGGCAUUUUGAUUUGUGAUUGAAAAAAAAAACUUAUAUUAAAAAGCACAUUAUAAGAGUCUGCUUAUUUUUUUUACUUAAAAAAAUAAUCACCCUGCUGCAAACCGCCAAUAUGAAACUAGUUACUUAUAAUAUAAAAUAUGUGGGGUGAACAUUGUGUAGCCACUCACUUCACCACCUCCUGUUUUAUAGUGGACACAAUGGUCACUGGUUUUUUAUUAGGUUUUGCUAUAAAUUUAAAGGGAAAAUAUGUAAGGUGAACAAUAUACAACCAUAUUGUUCAUCCCCUCAUGUUUGAUGUGCUAAGGAUAUAAAACCAAGUAAUUGUUUCUUCCUUUAGACUAAGAGUCAAUGCGUAGCAGAAUGAGCCUUCCUUCUCUCAUUCUGAUCAAUCAUCUUAGAGAGCCUAUGUUCUUGCCUUGAUCAAGAAUCCUAUCUUAGUUAUUCAACACGUAUAAAGAAAUUUUCCAAAAUCAUUUCUUGACAUACACAUCUUAGUUAUUCAACAGGUUUAGUGGGUUAAUCCAGUUGAAUUAUUUUUAUUUUUUAAUUAAUUUCUUAUUAUUAUUCAAUAUUAGAUUGAUUAAGAAUUAGAUUUCAUAAUUUUUUUAAUUUGCUUUCUAUCAAGAUUCUCCUAAUAUAUUGUUAUAUCUCAAGUUAAAAUUAUGGGGCAAUUGGAGUUUAGAAAGGCCUUACAAGACUGCUAGUGACAUUUUCAUAAUUUUGUUUUGAAAGGUUAUUUUUUGUGUUUUUUUUAGAUUUUUUUCUUCAAUUUAACCAUUCAAUAAUAGGUUUAUUAAGAAUUGAGAUUUAGAAUUUGUUUUGAUUUGCUUUAUUUUGAGUUAUUAUGGUCUCAUAACCUAGAUUAUGGAUUUAGAACGUUAACUUGAGUUGAUCCGGGUCGAUCCAAUAAGUUGUCAUCUCAGUAUUGUUUUUGAAAAUAUGUCAUUUUAAAAUUUUUUUAGUCAAACUCUAUUCUUACUAGUUGUUGUCUUUGGACCCAUAAGUCGAUCGGGUCAUAUCGGUUCAACUCUCACUUUUUUACUUGUGUUUGAAAUUUAAAUUGCAUAAUUUCAAGUUAGUUUAUAUUUAAAUUUGAAUUGAACUUAUGUUUAUUGAGUUUAAUCUUGAAUAUAUAUAUAUAUAUAUAUAUAUAUAUAUAUAUAUAUAGUAUAAUCUUGAAAUAGCACGCUGAAAUGCUCUGAAACCAAAAUAUACAGUUUGAAUUAAAAAAUAAAACACUAUCCGGAACGAGAUUGAUAACCUGACGUGAUAUGUUUAAAAUGAGCAUCAUCGAAUCAUCUAGAGCAACCGUGUACAUAACAAGGGCGUCCCCUUCUCCGUCCAGAGAUUAGGCACUGAAUCUUUCGUUACAGUUAGAGUAGGCGAAGCUUGUCAAUCUUACAAAGGUGGUAGAAUUUGAGGAUUUUUAUUGUUCUGUCUCAUUUUUUGAAUGAAACUGUACUAUCUUACAUAAAAUUUAAAACAACGCUGAGAAUUCUCUGUUAUUAUUACUUGCUUAAAUGGAAGGAGUAUGGAGAUUUGAAAUUACAAUGAUUGUUACAAACCAAACUUUUAAAACCGACAAUUGUUCGUUCCUUCCAUUAAGCCCACGUGAUUCAGAUGGGAUGCAAUCAAUCCAGUUUACACCCAAAGGUGGAGCCUUUCUCUUUCAAUGGUAUAAGUCUUCAGCGGGUGGAGGAUGAACGUGAGGUGGAAUCACCAGGUUCACUGGAUUCAGAAAAGGGAAUCUUCGUUAUAUCAUAACUUACAGUUCUGCUGCAACUGCAGAAUGUAUUGUUGAAGAUGAGGUGCAGAGGAUGUUGUUUGCUGGGCAGGCUUUGGGAAUGCUGAGGACUAGACAGUUUUGACAGCAGACAUUAGAAGCCAGGUGGAUAUAUAAGAAGAUUGCAGAUCGGAAUGCAGCCCAAUAAUUCCAUUUUGCAGUAUAACUUGGUAAGGUUUAAAAUCAUUUAUCAAUGAAGAUUUUAUUCUGGAAUAGUUGUGGGUUGGGUAUGUCUGCUAAGAGGGCCUCUGUUAGGAAUACAAUAACGCAUAGUGAUAUUGAAGUGUGUUUUUUGGAUAAAAUAUUACGUGUUGAAUGUCACGUAUAAUGGGGCAAGGAAUUAUGAACCUGGAGAGGAAAAACAUCUUGAAAUUCUUUCAAAACCACACUUAUUUCUUCAAGUGCUUUCUCUGAAACUUUCUUAGCCACUAAAGCAAAUGAAACAAACUGUUCAUGAACCUGAUUCUCAAAAUCAUUUGGGCUUAUAAGAUUAAGUCCUUUUCCUUUCAUUUAUUGGAGUUACAUCACACUCUCAUCAUGGUAAAUUGAGAAAUUAAUAGGAAAAAUAUAUAUCUUUUUUUGACCCAUGAUUUUUAUCAAUAAUGUAGUCUAUACCCAGCACUUUCUGUUUUUUUUUGGAGGAACCACCGAUGACCAAGCGGUUACAAGUUUAAAUUUCACCAUCCUUAUUUAUUAGCUCUUUGAGAAUUUUAGAGUUAUCCAACAAUCAAUUGUCCACAAUAAAACUAGAACAACUAAAAACAAUAUGGUUUCUCAAGCUGUCAAACAACAAUUUGGAUGGGCAUUUACCGACCUCGGUGUUCAAUUCUUCUAUCUUAGAAUAUCUCUACCUAGGUGGUAACAAUCUUUGGGGUCAGAUAUCAUAUUUUCCAUUAAAUGAGUGGAAAGUGUGUACUGUAUUGGAUUUGAGCAACAAUCAAUUUUCAGGCAUGCUUCCAAGGUGGUUUGUCAAUUCUACAAGCCUUGGCGCAAUUGAUUUGUCCAAAAACUAUUUUAAGGGUAUGAUCCCAAGAGACUUUUAUAAGCUUGACCAACUUUUAUAUUUCAACCUUUCUGAGAACAACUUGUUUGGAUAUAUAUCAUCUUGUUUCAGUUCACCAUCUCUAAUCCAUGUGCAUCUAUCCAAAAAUAGAUUGAGCGGUCCAUUAACAUAUGGAUUUUAUAACAACUCUUUCCUAGUUAUGAUGGAUCUUCAAAAUAAUAGCUUCAUUGACUCCAUUCCAAAUUGGUUUGGCAAUCUUUGAUGGUGAGCUACUUGUUCAGUUAUGCGUGUUAGAAGAAUUAAGCAUUUUGGAUGUUUCACAAAACCAGCUCUCUAGCCUACCACCCUCUUGUUUGGGCAAUCUUACUUUUAAGGAAAGUUUCUGGAAAACGUUCACGCUUCUCGGAGUUCUUUCUCUAUCAAGGUCCAUAGAAAAAGCUUAUUAUGAAACAAUGGAUCCACCACUAGUGGAUAGUAUUUACAGCUUGGAAGAGGGUUUUCUGCUUGACUUCACAAAAAAGUGAUAGAAUUUACAACUAAAAAUAUGUAUUAUGGUUACAAGAGGAAAACUCUCAGCUACAUGUCUAGUAUUGAUCUCUCCAUUAACAACUUUGUAGGAGCAAUCCCACCAGAAUUUGAAAACUUAAGUGAGAUAGUAUCAUUAAACUUAUCACACAAUAAUUUCACUAGAUCUAUCCCUGCAACAUUCUCAAACGUAAAGCAGAUUGAGAGUUUGGAUCUUUCGUAUAACAACUUGAAUGGUAUCAUCCCUCCACAACUUACUGAAAUUACCACACUUGAAGUUUUUAGUGUGGCGUACAAUAACUUGUCAAGUAAGCACCUAAGAGAAAAAAUCAGUUUGGGACCUUCGAUGAUGAAAAUUGUUACGAAGGAAAUCCUUUCUUGUAUGGACCUCCAUUGCGAAACAACUGUAGUGAGGAAGCAGUGCCGUCACAACUAGUGCCUAAUGAUGAACAAGGAGAUGAUGGUUUCAUAGACAUGGACUUUUUCUACAUCAGUUUCGGUGUAUGUUACACAAUUAUGGUGAUGACAAUUGCAACACUUCUUUACAUCAAUCCAUAUUGGCGAUGUAGAUGGUUGUACUUCAUCGAUACUUCCUACUAUUUUGUGGUGGCUAGUUUUCGCAAAUUCUCCAACUUCAGAAGGUGAAUUUGUUACUGGGGAGAUGGUCGUUCCUACUUGCUAUUGGGUGCUUAAUUUGUACUGUACUGUCUCUAAGCUCAGCCUUUCUAUUUGAUUAGUUACUUGGGUUAAAUAUAUAAAGCUUGACUUCUCAUUCCUGAACCAUUAGGAAGGGAACUGAUUUCCUCUGCUUCUUCACCCAUCUCAUUCUAUUUGAUUAGUUACUUGGGUUAAAUAUAUAAAGCUUGACCUCAGCCUUCCUGGCCGUUUCUUUGCUCUGCUACUCAUUUCCUCUGCUUCUUCACCCAUCAUAAUUUUAACAUGAUCUCAAUGCACUCUAAGCCAUUCCUUUAACUCCAGUUUCCUUUUCACCAACUUUUUAAAACAAUCUUCCUCGUCUUCUUGACUCUUUUUGUUUCUUCUAACUACCUGCUGCAAUCUCCUUAAGCUGAGAGGCAGUGAGGUUUGCCAUGCUUCCAAAGCAAAUAUAAACAACUGAAUUUUGGUUUCUUUGAGUCGAGCCACUUCAAACACUCAUGUUGAGCGAUUGAGGCUUCUUUUCUCUUCGUACUUUAUCUUCAAUGUCUCUACUGCAUAGUGAAACCGGGCCUACGUUAAUUCACACCCUCUUUAAUUGACCCAACAAGACUAUAUCCUAACCAUACAGCUUCUUCUUCUACAGAUUCAUGGAUCACUUUAUGCAAAGCAGAGGAAUGAUUUUCUGGAAAAAGAGUGUCUUGGGAACUUACAGUAGAGUUUAUUCGAACUCUUGUCUCAGGACAGUAGCAUAGCUUCUUGAAUCUCUGUUUCUAAUCGAACAGGGGAGCCACGAGAAGCUUGGAGUGUAUAUAUCUUCUGUUAAAUUCCAUGACUAUGUUAAAUUCCUUAUCGUUUGUUAUUUGUGUACUUGUUGCAUUGAUUGUACAGGGAAAUAAAUUUUACGUUGCAUGGUAUUUUCCUUUGUUGUUGUGUUGAUAUGAAAAAAAAUAGAAGAUUGGGAAAAAAAGAAGUUGCAUUAAUAUAAAUAUAAUCCCAAGGAUACAGUUAAAUUUUUAAAGACGCAGCGUGAAUACUAAAACAUAAGAGAGAAGAUGGGGAGGGAAAAAAUACUUUGUCGCCACUGAACCAACGCGAAUAUGGCAACACACGCCAUACCAUCAACUACACCUUCACAUUACACGUUGAACUAUCACACGUCUCCUUGAUAACGUGGUGGCCUAUCAUGCACUGACAUGUGCUAUGCACAUGUCAAUCUUUUUUAUUGAUUUAUUAAUAUUUUAAUACUUUAAAUUACUAAAUCGCUUUUAAAAGCGUAUAAAUAUUACAAAAAAAAGCCAUAUUGCAAGGAUGAAAAUGUUAUCCCAAGCCAACUUUAGAUUUUUUUUAUUCCAAGGUUAACAUGAAAACAUGAAAAAGACUAAAAAAAUACCUCUUGUCAAGGUCAAUAUUUUUGAACUCUCAAUGGUAUUGACGUCAUUUUUCUAUCUAAAUAAAAUAAAAUAGACAAAAAUAAACCCUAACCAAAAGGUCAAAUGUUUUUUUGAUUGCAAGGGCAAUGAUGUAGUUUUAGUGUGCGAAAAAGGAGUAAACCUAUUAAAUUAUCCCCAAUCAAUUUACAAAUAACCUUUAGAUCACUUGAAAAAGAUAAUUUUACCUCGUUAGCAAGUCAAUUGUUUUGUGUAGAGAAGGGCAAAAGAUAAAUAUAUUGUACUAAUCCACGAUAUUUUACCUCACAGUCUAUAAUGAAUCACUUGAAUCAUUGAUCUCUUUUAAGGGGUUUUUUUUUGUAUAUAAUUCUACUUUUUUUUAGUUUAUGUUUAGAUCUUUAGCAUGCAUUUUCAAAUCAAAUCUCUAUUCUCUUGCACAUGUAUAAUUGUUUUUAAAAUAUAUUUUUUUCACAUUUGACAAUGCUUUUGCACUAAAAAAUUUAGGAUUGCCGGUAAUGUGAGCCACUUAUCUAGUUAGGUACUAUAAUAGUGUUUCAUUUUUAUAUGAAUAGUGAAACACUUUAUUUUAAAAAAAAUUCUUUCUUUUUUAUUUGGUUUUGUUUUGUUUUCUUUUUUACAAAUUAGUCCUUAUUUUUUAUUUAAUUCUUUUUUUGGCCUCAUUAUAUAUGAUAAAGCUUUCAAUUUAAUUAGAAAUAAACUACUAUACUAAAAAAUUAUGCUUCUCUUUAUAUAUAUUUUUUGUUUUUUUAAGUAGUCCUUAUAUUUUUUUUGCUUCUUGAUUUAGUGUUUUUUUCAUUUUAUUUCCUUUCUUAUUUUUACAAAUCGGUCUUUAGACAUUUUCUUCCCUUUUUUAUUUAACUUUUUUUGGGUCUAAUUGUAUAUGAGAUAAAGAUUUUAAUUUAAUUAAAAAAUUAUUUAUUAUACUAAAAAAGUUAGGGUUUUCCCUCCUACUUCACUAUUCAUAUCCUCUUUUUUUUUUAAAAAAAUAAUAAUCUAUCUUCUAAUUUUUUUCUUCUUUUGAUUGAAUGAUUUUUGUUGUUUUUUCUUUCAAUUUCACUUUAAUAUUUUGUUGAUUUUGAAUUGCUCAUCUUAAUUUUUUUUUGUUUCCUUUAUAUGUAAUUAUCGCGGUCUCAAAUAGACAUCUUUAAAUUUGUUUAGUGCUUAAUUUUGUAAGUGUCUAUUUUAAUUCUCACAUCAUUAUAUUAAAAAUAGUUUUUAAAUCCAAUAGAGUUCAUGAUCUACGUUGUGCAUUUGACGAGUUAAACUGCGAAGCUCGAGUUGAUCUAGUAUAUCAUCAUAUCAAUAUUAAAAAAAAAAAAGAUAUCAUCUUGAUUUUCUUUCUUAAAAUUCAAACCAUGUUUGUAUUGAUCAUUUGAGUUGCCUUAAUUUGCACAUGUCAAGCCAACUAGGUCAUGUACAGACAACUCCCUUGCGAAUUAAUUUUAAACCUAUGUUAGAUAAGAAGUCAAGUCGAGAGGUUUCAAGGUUGUCAAUGAGAUCACGUUUAAUAACAAUGUCAUAUUGUUCCUUUGUUUUUAAACUCUACCUUCCAUUUUUUUUAUUUCUUUCAAUUGAAUCCUUUUUGACUUUUUUUUAUUCCAUCCUUUAAUAUUUUUUUGAUUUUGAAUUAGUCUUGUUUCGGUUUGCUUUCUAUGAUAUUAUUGCAGCCUCAAACAAAUGUCAUAACAUUUGGUUGGUAUUUAAUUUUAUGAGCAUCUAUUUUUGUUAUCAUAUCAUUAAGCAAAAAAUAAUUAAAAAAAUUAAAGUUGUUAAACUAGGUGGAGUCCAUUAUUUAGGCCGUGGGUUUGGAGAGUUAAGUCACGAAACUAGAAUCAAUUUAGUGGGUUUGGAGAGUUAAGUCACGAAACUAGAAUCAAUUUAAUAUGUCAUCAUAUCAAUGUUAAAAAAAGAUGUCAUUUUAAAAUUUUAGUUUGGACCUACCAUGUUGACUUGAUCGUAUUAAAAUAACUUUCACAUUAGUUAAUUUUAAACUUGAUAUAGAUAAAGAAUUAAAUCAGAAGAAUUUAAAAUUAAUCCACUAGAUCCAGUUAGUUUCUUAAGCCUAGAUGAUUUUUUCAUGUUGGGCAAAACAUAAACUAGUUCCUUCCAAAAUAAACACUCACGCAUAUGAUUAUAAAAAUUUGAGUAAAAUUUUAUAUAACCAAUGUCUGUUUUUCGUGAAACAAACAAGUUAAUCCUUCAAGUUUUUUAAAUAAUUAAUUGAUUCUUUAAUCACAUUUUACCGUCAAGUUAAUUAGUGGAACAAGCUAUGGGUGUUGUAUAUCACUACUAAUUUUCUUUCCCUUAAUUUUCUCUUUUCCUUAAUGGGUGUUGCAGGCUUCUUUCUCUGAAUGUUAAAUGCUUUCUCUAAUCAUCUAUAUUCUACAGCCCAGCAUUUUGUUAUAGUUGUUGUUGCUGUGGAUAAAAGUGCAUUUAUUUUCUUUUAACUUUUUAAACAAUUCAGUUAGUUUUUUGUUAUAGUUGUUGUUGCUGUGUAGUUUCAUGAAUUUUUGUCGUUUGGUAUCAUCUUUCUAAUUUUACUAUUAGUUAAUGGAUAUUAAUUCGACCUCUUGUUCGUUUUUAAUAUUGUUGUUUGGCUCACUUGUAUAUUCUUUUUAUAGAUUUUUUGCUUGACUUAAUAUUAAUUAAGUAUGCAUCCAAUUUGCAAAAAUAGAUACAUACACCACUUUUAUUAAUUAAUAAGACUGAUUACAUUAAUUCUUGAACUUGUUUUAUUUAAAUAAAUAAAUAGAAUUAUGAUAGUUCAUAAUUUGAUGAUUAGAUAAUAUUCAUAUAUUCAGAAUACACGACGCAUGUAUUGAGUUUAAUGUUUUUGAAAAAGAAAUUUUUUAAUUGAUUAAUGUAUAAGUAUAUAAAUUUAUUUACUAAAUAAUAUUUUGAUUAAUUAAUAAAUUUCAUGGUCUAAAUGAUAUUAAUUAAAAAAAAAAAACUAAGAGCGCUCAUUAAAACACGGUGCUCUGUAUGUGAAUCCUAUGGAUUCACAGUGGCCCCUCUUCUGUUUUUCGCGUUUCUUCUGCCAGUGGAUGUUCCCUUGCGCGCUUUCUUCCUCCAUUUUUCUAGAAGCACUUUAUUUUUUAAAAAUUAAAUUGUUUUUCUUUUUAAUUUGUUCCUGUUCUUUAUUUUAUUUUCUCUUACAAAUAAGUCCUUAUUUUUUCAUUUAAUUCUUUUUUGGCCUAAUUAUAUGGGAUAAAGUUUUCAAUUUAAAUAGAAAUAAACUACUAUUUAAAAAAAAGUUAUGCUUCCCAACCUCCUCCACUCUCUCUUUUUUCACCAUCCAUAUCCUCUCUUUUUUAAAAAAUAAAUAAAUUAUAUCUUCUAAUAUUUUCUUCUUUUAAUCUAAUUUCUCUCAUUGGAUAAGAAUUUCAGUUAAAUAAAUGAAAGCGCAGACGUAAAUUUUAAAAUAAAAACACGAUAGAAAGGAAGCACCUGUGGAGAUUUGAAGCCUUAUUGGUUGAGGUGGCGGCGGAGGCGGGCGGUUUCGAGAGCGGAGGAAGGAAAGAGAAAGAUCUCAGGUGGGGAGAGGUAAGGAAUGUCGGACCAAAGUGAACAGUGCUUGACAGAUGACUUUAUUCUUUUCCAGAUUCGGUAACAAACUAAAAGAAGUGUUUUAUAGUGCUGCUUCACUGUUCAUAACUGACAAACUAAAACUGAAAGAAAUAUAUAUAUAUAUAUAUAUAAAACUAAGAGUGCUCAUUAAAACACGGUGCACUGUGUGUGAGUCCUGUGGCUUCACCGUCUUUACAGCGCUCCCUCUCUGUUUUUCGCGUUUCUUUUCGCGCGGUGGGUGUUCCCGCGCUUUCUUUUAGUUAGGUGAAUUCAUAACUAAAACGUUUAUUAAAAUCACUAAAAUAACUAAUAGUUUAUUAGUUUGGAUGUUUUUAGUAAUGCUGAAAUUAUAGAGAAUUGAUCAUUAAGUUGAUUUUUUAAUAUGCGUAGAAAUCAAAUCAUUAUAAAUUUAAUAAAUUAUUUAAAGUGUUCCAAUGGAAAGAAAAUGGGUGUUGUGAAUUUGAGUCUGCAUUUUUCUCUACUUUUUUUUGGUUUUUUUCGUUUGUCCCUUCCUGAAAAUUUACGCUCAGUUUUUGCCUUCUACCUGCUGCUUAGUUUAGGGUAUAAAAUUUCCUUGUCUCUUCGGAAGAUGCCUUACUCUUUGUUGACUGUCUUUCUGUUUUUAGUUGCAUCGUUAGGCUAUGUGUGUGUUUAUUGAGGCUUUGGCUGCCUUUUUUGCUAUAGUUAUGAGGUUUCUUGGGCAUAGUCUUUUGGUUAGCUUCAGCCCUCUAUUAUCCAUUCUUUAUAGAGGUGGUGUUGUCUUUGUUUCGCACAGGGUGGCAUGUGUCUUGCAAGGAAGUUUACUUGGUUUUCUUUACAUGUGUUUCUUGCAUGCUACGUGUUGGCAGAAGUCUUCUGAGAGAUCGACCUUUUUUCUUCAAUUGUUUUGGUUAGGCUGGGUGCUUGAUUUGUGUUAGGGUGUUAAAGUAUUUUCCCUUUCUUUAUAAGAAAAAUAUAUUUCUUUUGUGCUUGGGAACACAUCUUUGUAGCUGUAGAGAUGAUAGGAAAGCUUUGCUUUUAAAGGCAACAUUGUCUUUAUGGUUUUUUCGACAUGGGUUUCCUUAAAAAAGUUUUAGUUUUUGCAUGUUUAUUUAUGUUGCUUAUCCAUAUAUAUAUAUAUACUACAACAAGUUUUUAUGGAGGUAACUUGGGGGAAGAAAAUACUUUGUGCCACGAAAAUAAGAGGUUGGAGUUUUAUUUUGCUUUAGAUUCUUCCCUUAAUUCCAGCCUUUGGGCCUGAAUCUUCAUGGUGCUUCUAAAACCAAGGAAGCAAAAAACUAGCCAGCUAGUUCACAACUUGCACUACUAAAAACAGGGGUCAUUUGCAUCAGAAUUUAGCAACGGAUAAUUCCGUUGCUAAAUUCAGUAACGGAUUUGCAACGGAUUACACAUGUAUUAUUUUUUUAAUAUUAGCAACGGACUUUAGCAACGGAUAAUCCGUUGCAAAAUUUACGUUGAAUUUAGCAACGGAUUUUCCGUUGCUAAUUGAAAAAAAAAAGUUAAUAUAAAAUUAAAAUUAUAUAGACCGUUGAUUACAUUAAAUCCGGACCGUUUAUUUCAAUAUCUCGAUCCCCGCCCCACACCGAAAUACAAAUCCAAUUAACAAAACCAAAAUGUACAUUCACUCUUACUCUUCCAACAGAUCCUUCGUUCGAACAAAAUCAUCGAUCCAUCACCCUCAUCAAAAAUCACCAUAACUGUUCAACAGAUCCGAAACUGUUCAUCAUCUUCUCCUUCGUGUUCAUCAUCUCCUUCGUGUUCAUCAUCUUCUUCUCCUUCAUUUUAAACCAACAAAAACAGAGACCCAUGACAACAUCGCACCAGACCCAUCAUCAUCACCAUCGAACAUCCUGUUUUGCCCCUUCUCUGUAAACGGGUUAGGUUUUGCACUGUUUUCUUCAAUAGCUCAGGUAAUUAAUUUAUGGUUUUUGUUUUCUUUGUUGCAAUUUAAGUUACACUAAACAGUUCUAACCUAACUUUCCCAAUCUCAGGUGUGAUUCUGUUGUGUUGAUCCAUCUCCCUCACCCAUCUCCCUCACCUGUAACCGAAGAACACAGGUAAGAAUUUUUUUUCCCGAAACUUUGAAUAAUGGUUUUAGGCUAUUAAUUCGAUAAUAUAAUGUUUAUGAUAUGUUUUUACCAUGAUUUAUAACAUAAUGAUGCACGUUUAAAUGUAAAUUUAUGAAAACCCCCAAAUUAAUUUUUAGGGUUACGGUUCAUAAAUUGAAUGAUUUUAUUCAACCUGACCAAUGCUGGCAAUUCUUGUGUCUGGAAGAGAGUGAUUGAUGGAAAUUAUGCAUGUUUAAUUGAAAAUUUAUCAAAACCCCCAAUUUAAUUUUUAACAAUUAGUAUUAUUGAUGCUGUGUGUUCUUUGAUGUCUGCAAAUUGUCCUCCUGUGCACCGAAACCUAGGUGUUUUGAAUGUAUUAUAUGCUUAUAUAUAUAUAAGGAAACUUGAUUGUUGUUGUUGUGUUUCGUUAAUAAGAUUGCUGUUUUAUUUUUGUUUCUUCAUUAAUUAUUUUUUUUCUUGCUGUUUUACUUGUUAUAUAUAUAAUUAGCAGAAUUGUGUAGUGAAAGAGGUUAGAAUUCAUGGUUGCCUCCUCCUUGCAUGGUGAUAAGUUAAUUUCCCACAUUAGCUAUAUAUGUUGUCUGUUUUCAUUUGAUUGUCCUGUCUUGAGGUCAGCAUGCAUGAUUUGGAAAUUAACUAUUAGUCUCUUGGAUGAGGAUUUGUUUUUGUAUUAAAGAGUUCUACAGCUCUUUUGGCUUUUUUUAUAGUUACUAUGUUGCAUGAACUAAGUAGCAAAUUUUUUGGAGCCAACUUGUGUAAUUGCAGAAACAAUCGCAUGUUUUUAGCAUGUUUGUAUGUAAUGAUACAUGUAAAAUGCACCAGCAUUGUGCAAUGGUUCAUUUUUUAGUCAUUUCUGUGUGAAUUAAGCAAAUUGAUGCUGAAAAUCUUUGCUUGCUUAGCCAUUAUCAGUGGAUAUAGGAUCAGUUAACAAACUACAAGCAAUCGCAUGGGCUUGUUAGAAUUAUUUGUGGAAAAGGCUAGGGUCAAGUGCUGUGAGGUCACUGGACUUGACCCUUUAAAUUGUGAAAUUGGAAAUAUUAGACACUCUUUUGCUGUUUUCGGUUCACAAGGUUGAUGUUUACACUGUGAAGUCAGUUCUAGCAAAGCACUAAUUAGUAUAGAUCCAUUUCCAAUCACACAAAGGAUAAAGGAUUAGAGAGCAAAGCACUAAUUUGUUUUAAAGACUAGCAAUUGUUAUAACUUGAUGGGUGUAACAUACUGUUUAUGUUUUUUAUUUUUCCAGCAAUAUGAAUGGCUUAUUGGAUCACAACAUAAUCAAAUAGAGUUGGCUAAAUCUGAUUGGGUUGCAAUAAGAAAACCUCCACCUUGUGCCAUUGAUUUUUGGGGCUUUGGUAAGUCUAUUUUGCUCCAUUUUUACAUGGUUGCUUAAUUAUAUGGUGCGUAUUUUUUCUGUUGGGCAUGCAUAUUGUAAUCCUUUGAAGUAGUUGGAACUUUGCCUUUCAUUGGGAUAAUAUUGACAGUUUGUAUAAGAAAACUAAUGGAAUGAUUUUCUUUCAUUAAAUGUGAUCUUGAGUACACAUUUAGGUUACAUUACAAUGAUGGACAAGUUGAUUCCUUUUACUAUAUGCACAACAUAAUUGAUAAAAUAAGAAAAAGAAACCCCAGCAGUAAAAAGAGCUUGAAAUCUAUUGAAUUUGAUAUUGAAUUCUGUUGAUCGGAUUUUGAGGGAGAGAUGGGAGAAAUGGGUGAGAGAUAUUGAUGUUUGAAAGAAAUGUUUAAAUUGUUAUUCAACACUUUGGAAAAUGCAAAACCACUUUUAGGUGUUUUAUGGAAAAGUAAGUAUUCUUUAAAUUCGGUGAUUGCAAUUAUAAUUACGCGUGGAAAACAUGUAUACACACGCAAAUUAAAUAAUGUCGUGUAAUUUUUUAUUGAAAUUAUAUUAAAAUAAAUUUUUUAAUUUUUUUAACAUUGUUAUAUUAAAAUUAUUUAAAAAUAUAAAAAAAUUAAUUUGAUAUUUUUUAAAAAAUAUGUCAUAAUACAAAAACAAAUUCUCAUCCAAGAGACUAAUAGUUAAUAUACAUGUUUAACUAUAAACUUUGAUUACACAACAAAAUAUAAAUAAUAAGUAUUUCAUAGAAAGAGGUUUAACAUAAAUAUAUUAACACCUCCAUUACCUUAACCAUAAAUAUUAACAAUAAUUAUUGCUCGUCCGUGUAGAACUUGUAAUCAACUAAAUUGGAUUGUGCCUAAAGAAUUUAUAAAACAAAUGUAUUUAUAUUUUCAUCCACCAAUAUUAUAAUUAUUAUUUAACUACGACAUAAAAGAUAUAUACAAUGUAUAUGACAAGAGACAAAGAUACAAAUGUGAGUAACUAUUGUAACCCAUAAUAAAUUAUGUUUUUUUUUAUAUUGCAUUUUAAUCUUUUUUUAAGAAAAUUAAAAAAAUUCUUUAAUCUUGUAUUACCUCGCAUGUUUAUGAUUUCAUUUACCAUUUCUUAGUUGAGCAAAAAAAUAUCCGAAUAAAAAAGAAAAAGUUUGAUGAAUCCAAUAAAAAUAAAAGGAUCCAAAUUAAAAAAAAAAAAAAAACUAUUUGAGGUGGUAACAAAAGUUAGAAGGACCAAUAAAAAAAAUGAACUCUAAAACUAUUAUAAAGAUAAAUUUAUUUAAAAUUUGUUCAACUAAAUAUUUUUUUUUCUUUAUCCAUUUAUUCUGUAUAAAAUAUUAACCGAACAUAAUCUAAAAGUCUACUUUUGUCACUAGUUAGAAAAUAUAAAUGAAAAUAUAAAAUACUAACCGAACAUAUUUUAUUUUAAAAGAUUGUUUAAGUUUUAGUAGUUAAAGAAGUAUGCUUAUUUCAAAAAAUGCUUAUUGGUGUUGUCAUGUUAAUUAGAUUAAUAUGGAUGAUCGAUCGUGGAUGUAUCGUCGUCUUAUGGAUGGUCGCCUUCGUCCUGAAUACAUUACGGGUGUUAGAAGAUUUAUCAAUUUUGCAUUUUCAAUUGAUAAAAAUAUAUCUGGGGGGAAAAUUAGAUGUCCUUGUGUGAGGUGCAAAAAUCAAAAGUUUUUAAAGGAAGAUGAUGUUUGUAAACAUCUAUUGACAAAAGGUUUUUUACCUUGUUAUGAAAAUUGGACUGUACAUGGGGAGCCUUAUGUCGCAGAACCAAUAUUGGCUGGACCUUCAUCGAUUGGAAUGAGUCAUGUUGUGAAUGAUGUUUGUCUAGAGAAUCCAUAUAGGAAUCUGGUUAUGGAUGCAAUGGGGGUUGGUGAUGCAUUCUACAAUGAUAAUGUGUCUAGUCCUGUGGUAGCAGGGGAAAUUCCAAACCCGGAGGCAACUAAAUUUUUUAAGCUUUUGAAAGCUGCGGAGGAGCCGUUGUGGGAUGGGUGUACCAAGCAAUCCAAAUUAUCUGCUUGUGUACAAUUGCUUAAUAUGAAGUCAACUUUAAAUUUGACUCAGAAUGCCUUCAACAAUUUUAUUGACUUUACAAAAAGUUGCAUGCCUAAUGAUGAAAAUUUGGUUUCAAAUUUUUAUGAUGCCAAGAAAUUUAUGCGGCCACUUGGACUUGGUUAUGAGAAAUAUGAUGUGUGUCCUAAUUACUGUAUGUUGUACUAUGGGGCAGAUGCAAUGAAAAUAAAUUGUGAUUUUUGUGGAAGUUCACGAUACAAACCUAGAAAUCCAACUAGUAAAGGUUCCAAUAAGGCGGAGAAGCAACUCCGAUACUUUCCCUUGACACCAAGGCUUCAGAGACUGUUCAUGUCUCCAUAUCAUGCCAAAGAUAUGACAUGGCAUCAUUUUCAUAAUUCUGAUAAUGGGGUUAUGGUGCACCCAUCUGAUGGGGAGGCAUGGAAGGAGUUUAAUCGUGUCCACUUAAGCUUUGCAUCAGAUCCGAGAAAUAUUCGGUUAGGGUUGUGCACUGAUGGGUUUUGUCCAUUUGACAUGUCUUCAAAUACAUACUCUUGUUGGCCAGUAAUUGUGACUGUUUAUAAUUUGCCUCCGUGGAAGUGCAUGACUAGACCAUUCAUGUUUUUGACAAUGAUGAUUCCUGGGCCAAAGAAUCCGGGUAAAAAGCUUGAUGUUUUCCUAAGACCUUUGAUUGAUGAGUUAAAGAAUUUGUGGUAUGUUGGUGUUGAAACAUAUGAUGUAUAUAGAAAGGAAAAUUUUCAAUUAAGGGCAGCUUUAAUGUGGACCAUUAGUGACUUUCCAGCAUAUGGCAUGUUAUCGGGGUGGAGUACUCAUGGAAAUCUGUCUUGUCCUUAUUGUAUGGAGCAUAGCAAGGCUUUUAGAUUAAAAAAUGGAGGGAAAACUACAUUUUUUGAUUGUCAUCGACGAUUCCUACCCAUGAACCACCCAUAUAGAUUUCAAUCUGAUAAGUUUUUGAAAGGAGUAAUUGAAAGGCUCCCUCCUUUACCUCGUCCAUCUGGUUUGGAAAUGUUGAACGAAGUGUUGAAGUAUACUGAGGGACAUAAUGGAGGGUCAUCAUAUAAUGAUAAAAUUCCUGGCUUUGGUGUUAAGCACAAUUGGGUGAAAAAGAGCAUUUUCUGGGAGCUUCCAUAUUGGCAUACAAAUUUGAUUCGUCAUAAUCUUGAUGUCAUGCAUGUUGAGAAAAAUGUCUUUGACAAUAUUUUUUAUACAGUUAUGGAUUGUCCGAAUAGAAGCAAGGACAAUUUAAAGGCUAGGUUGGAUAUUCAAUUGUAUUGUCAGAAGCCAAAUUUGCAUUUGCAACAAGAUAUGAGUGGUCGGGUUUACAAACCUAAAGGCACUUAUUGUCUACACAAGAAACAACAACAAGAAGUCUUGUCAUGGAUGAAGGAAUUAUCAUUUCCUGAUGGUUAUGCUUCAAGCAUUUCAAGAUGUGUGAAAGAGGCACAAUGUAAGGUUUCGGGGAUGAAGAGCCAUGAUUGCCAUGUCUUCAUUCAAAGACUUCUUCCAACCGCUUUCCGACCUUACUUACCUAGGCCACUGUGGGAGGCAUUAACUGAACUGUCCGUAUUUUUUCGAGAUAUUUGUUCAACAAAUUUAAAUGCCCAGCACAUGGAGUUAAUGCAGAUGAAUAUAAUUGAAAUAAUUUGCAAACUUGAAAGGAUUUUUCCUCCAUCAUUCUUUGACUCCAUGGAACACUUGACGAUACAUCUACCUUACGAGGCAAAAGUUGGUGGACCAGUUCAAUAUCGAUGGAUGUAUCCAUUUGAACGGUAUGUUUUCAUACUAUGUUAAUUUUAUUAACUUUUGAUUUUUAAAAUAAACUAAUUGACAUAAAUGAUAUAGGUAUAUGUUUUAUUUGAAGAAGAAAGUGACCAAUAAAGCUAAAGUUGAGGGUUCCAUAUGUGAAGCAUACUUGAUUGAUGAAAUUACCAAUUUUGCAUCUCAUUAUUUUGGUGAUGACGUGCAAACAAUUUGGAAUCGAGUUCCACGGAAUGAUGAUGGUGGCCUUAGAAGUGUAGAUGGAUGUCUCUCUAUUUUUUCCUAUCCAGGGAAAAAAUUAUCCAAAAGAUUUUAUAAAAGGCAGUUGUCACAUGCUGAAAUGCAAAUUGCGCAUAACUAUGUGAUAUUCAAUUGUCAAGAACUGAAGCCUUAUUUAGUGUAAGUAUGAAAUAUUAUUUUAUACUAAAUUUAUAAUAAUUUGUUAUUAACUUUAACAUUUUAAAAUUUUAGGCAAUGUCGACAAGAGCUAAAGUCACAACAACCACAUGCGAGUGAUGGUGAAAUUGAAAAAUUAUGCGAAACGAUCUUUCCAAAUUGGUUAAAAAAUAAUGUAAGUAUUUUAAUAAAAUCAAUUUAUAUUUUAUGUCAAUUAGCUACUUUAAAAAUAUUAUUAGGGGCUUUUAAAUUAUUAUUUCUUAUGGAGUUAACUAUUAUGCUAGGUGGAAUACCAAUCUAACGGAAUUGAAAAUCAGCUCUUUGGACUUGCUAUGGGCCCUUCAACUUCAGUGAAAUGUUAUAAUGGGUAUUAUGUCAAUGGUUUUAAAUUUCAUACUCAACGUUAUGAUGAUGAUGAACGUGAUUAUUAUGGAAUGCUUAAAGAAGUUGUUCGGCUAAAAUACUUGGGGAGUAAGUGCAAGUUAUUUAUGUUUAAAUGUAGUUGGUAUGAUACAAGACGAGGGAUUAGAGUGCAUCCUUCGAAUGGUUUGGUUGAAAUCAAGCAUACAUCUCGACUACACGGAAAUGAAGAUUUUGUGUUAGCACAACAAUGUCAACAAGUCUACUAUACAUAUCCACCUGGUAAUAAAUCAUCUGAAUGGUGGACGGUUAUUAAGACAACUGCUAGAAGUCGUUAUAAUGUUGAUAUGGGUGAAUUUAUUGAAGAUGCAAACAAUGUGAGAUCAUUUGAUGUCGAUCAAUCAGAUGAGAUUUCUCAACCAUCUCUUGUCCUUCCUACUCAAACACUUGAUGAUCCAAAUAUACUUGUUGAAUCAUCUUAUUAUGAAGAAAUCGGGCAACAUGAAUUGAUUCAACUUGACAUAAAUUGGGGAAACAAAGAUGAUGAAGCAGAAGAAGAAGAAGAAGAAGAUGGUGAUGGUGAUGCUGAAGAAGAAGAAGAAGAAGAAGAAGAAGAAGAUGAUGAUGAUGAGGAUGAUUGUUAUGGUGGUGAUGGUUAGGAGUGAUAAUAAUAAUGAGUAGCACAAGUUAAUUAUAUUUCGUAGUAUAUGUAAUGAAUUAUCUUUAUUAUAUGUAUGGAUGAUUUCAUAUUAUUUGACAAUUUUUAGGCUUUCAAUGUUUUUUUAUUUAUUUAUUUUAUUCAAGUGUGUUAUGCAUCACAUUACAUAAAUCAUUUUCAUUGACCUUUGAAACCAUUUAUAACCUUUCAAGUAUCAAUCUUUAAAUUGUGAUUCUGAUGUUAUAUUUUAUUUUGUGAUUUGUUUUCUUGCUUAUAGGUGCUGAAGCGUGAAAGAAAGGGUUUUUCCUACUAAUUGUUUUGAUUUAUAGGACCAGACAUUAAGGUAAGCAUACUCAUAAAUUUUGAUUAUUGCUUAAUUAAUUAUUUAGAAUUUUUUUUUUAUUGUUUGUGUUAAUUGGCUUAUUACAAUUUAAACUUCAUAGCUGAUUUUUGCAUUGCAAGGAAUGCUUAAUGAAAUUGUCUUGAUGUUAUUUACAUAUUUGGUUUUGUUGCAGUAAUUAUUUUAUUUGAAUUAUAAUAUUUUUCGGAGUGAUGGCUAUUAUUGUUAUGUUGUAUAUAUUCAUAUGAUAAUGUAUAUAUUUUUUCUGGUUUUUAGCAUGCCUCGACGAGGAUCCAUAUUAGAUUCUAGGAGUGACAGGUCCACAUCAAGGAGUGAAAGGUCCACUUCAUCCAAAUCAUUUCAAACUACAUCAAGGCAUAAUAACAAAGGAUCCACAGUUCAUCAACCUGUGUAUCAGAACACAAAUGAGUAUUAUAUACCUACUUUGGGGAGUACACAUCCUCCUCAACAUGAUUAUGGGAGGGUUGAUGGAUAUCAAUAUUGUGAGGGAUUUCGUUUUCAGGAUUUGCUUCAAACUCAAGGAGGUUUCUCUCGAGAAAACCAACUUGUUUAUGGAGGACAUAAUUUAUAUGGGAGUCAUGGGAGAGUUGGUGAUGAUGAUGAUGUGAACAUUAGAGAUGAAGAUGAGGGAGACGGUAGUAAUGUGAGAGGUGUAUGUGAUGAGGAUCAAGAUGGUGUUCCAUCAUAUCACGGUUCAACAUCUUCUCCAUACAAUUAUGAUCACAUUGUUAAAAGGAAGGGUUUUGACACGCCAAUGGAUCCAAUAACAAGAAAAAAAGAGCUUUGUUUGUAUGGAACAACAGAGUAAGUUCAACUUUUUAAUAACUAACUGAUUAAGGUUAUAUUUUUAGGUAUGAAAAAAAUUAUUUAUUAUUGUAUAAUUAUUUGUUUAAUAUAAGUUUAUUAUUAUGUAUUUUCAGGUUCAAUAACGCAUCAUGUGGACGUGUAAUUGGAGAUAUUUUGAGGUCCAAUUUUAAGGGAGCAUGGCAUUUCUUGGGAAAAAGUAGAUUCAAUGUGCAGGGAUGAACUUUUUAGAGAGUUUAAGGUAAGAACCAACACUAAUUGCCAUAAUAUUCUUUUUAAUUUUGAUCGCUUUAAUGUAGCAUUAUGAAAAUUAUCAACUGAAUAGCUAUGACUGAUUUGUGUUAUAAUUUGUUUUUAUUUCUUGUUUACUCUUUAAUAUCAUUUAAUUUCUUUAGUUAUUACAUUAUCUUGCAAAUUAUGAACAAGAUAACACAAUAUGAUUAAUUAUUUAUAUAAUUUGAAAUUUUGUGCACUCUUUUUACUUGAUAUAUAUAUUAUUUGGUAGAAAAAAUAUUCCUUUCCUGAGGAAGAUGAGUCAAUUGUUCGUAAUAUUUGGGAAGAUAAGGCUAGAAUAGCUUUGAAUCAACAAUUGACACGAGCUCGCAAGAAUGCCAUGUCAAAAGAAAACACGACAAAUAUUCUAGAUUGCCUUGAUAAAGGUCCUGCCUGGAUAAACAAUGAUGAUUGGAAUCAAAUGAUCAAAGAUGUUUGGUCCACCCCUGAAUUUCAAAGGAGGUCUGAAUCUGCCAGGAGGAAUCGAUUAUCCCAAACAGAUGGCAAAAUAAGCACUCAUUCUGGAGGAACAGUGUCAUUUGCUUCAUAUCGAGCUAACAUGGUAAGGAUAUUUUUUUUUAUGCUUAAGAUUAUGAAUUAAAAUUUGUAUAUUUAUCUUUUAUAAUAUUUAUUAAUCUUGAAAGCAAGAGGAAGCUGGUGGAAAAGAACCUCCAUGGGAUGAUGUCUUUUCAGCUUUGCAUCAAAGUACGAAGCAGUCUGGUAGCUUUGUCGACAACAAGUCAAAAAAAGUGGUUGUAUGUAUUUUUAUUUGAUUAUUUUUUAAUAUAACUCAAGUAUUAUUUAACAUUCAAAUUAAUUUAUUGUUGCAUGUAUUUUAUUUGUAGGAAAAUUAUAAAAUGGAGAUGAUUUCAAAGUAUGGAACUGAUCGGGAAAAUCAUCCUUCAUUUGAUGGAGCAGCUUGGUGUGUCGCUUCAGGAGGAGUUACAAAGGGUAGGGUAUAUGGUGCACCUCGUAUGCCAAAAUCUAUAGUUAGUACAAGCUCUUCAUCACAUUCCUACUCGGUGGAGUCAUCAUAUCCAAGUUCAUCAUAUCGAGCAUUGCAAGAGGAGAAAAGGAAAAAAGAUGAAGUGAUUUUUGAAAUGAAACGGCAGAUGGAUUCCAUGAAAGAUUAUCUUGUGAACAAUCUUGGAUAUCAUGGCGGGACAUCAAAUAUUGAUCAAGGUAUGCCACCACCUUUGACUCCAUCAAUACCGCCACAUAUGGCUCCUCAGAUAAUGACACCUAUGGGUCCCACAUCUCAACCAAUUUAUCGACCUAUACCCCGACCUUUAUAUCCUGAUCAAUCUUGUGACGAUCCACAAUAUCAUGGUUCGUCUUCGCAACCAGCACCAUGAUUGUAUCUUUUGUUGUUGUUUUUUUUUUGUAUUUGAACUUAAUUGUAUUAAUGCAUGUUUAUUUAAAUUUUUAUAAUAUGAAUAUUAUUUUUAUUCUAUUUUUUAUUAAUUAUAUAAUUAUUGUUAAUAUUAAUUUAUGCUGGUUAUAUAUAUUCUGCAACUUUUAAAAUAUCCAUAAAUUAAUUAAUUAAUUAAAAAUCAUUUUAAUAAAUAAAUAAAACGUAAUUUAAUAAAAAUUUAAUAAUACAAUCACCAACGGAUUCUCCGUUGGUGAUUGUAUCUGAUGCAGGCAUCAGCAACGGAGAAUCCGUUGCUGAUGCAGCGAACCAGCAACGGAUUCUCCGUUGCUGAUUCAGCGAACCAGCAACGGAUAAUCCGUUGCUAGUUUUGCAACGGAUUAUCCGUUGCUAUUUGUAAGCAACGGAUUUAUCCGUUGCAAACAAAUCAGCAACGACAAAUCUGCAUCCGAUUUGUGCCGUUGCUGAUUCCGUUGCUAAAUUACUUUAGCAACGGAUUUUAAUGGUUUUUGCAACGGAAUAGUCCGUUGCUAAUUGCUAUAUUUUUUAGUAGUGUUGCCGCACCAACAGAUGGUGAGUGUUGGUAAACCAAGCCAUAGAGAAACUCAUGGUGCUUCAAUUUUAACUUUUGGGUCAUGUUAGUUUUUAGGAAUUCACUUUUCUAAAAACCAUUUUCCUCACUUUUCUAUGUUUGACAAAUACAUGGAAAGUUAGUCAAUGAAAUUUAAAUUCUGGUCAAAGGAAAAUAUUAACUUAAUAUGAGGAAAGUGUUUUCCCCUUUUUAUUCUUGGAAAACACUUUCCUUUCCUUUUUAAUUUACGGAAACAAAUCACUCCUUCUCUUUUACAAUUGAUCUCUUAAAAAAAUUAGCGUGGCUGUUAAAUCUUCCUUUCUCAUAUCUCAGUGUUGGAAAAAGAAUCAUCUUCAUCUUCAGGUAAUUAUUUUCCUCAAAUAUUUCUAUUAUUAUCUAUCUUUUUUUUUCCCUGUUCUAUAUUAAUUGUGAUUGUGAAAUGUUGUGAGCUUGUUAAUUCUUGGAAAAAAAUCAAAGCAAUUCCAUGCUCUGUUUUGCAUAGGAUCUCAGAUCUUGCGUGUGUUUGAUAAUCUCAUAUCAAUCUUUUAACACUUGUGAUGCAUCAUCGAUGCAAUGUUUACAAUGACAAACUUGCAUUUCUAUUCAUUGUGGUUUUUUUUUGGAAUAAGUCGAUAUAUUGAAAGGGCUAACCAGAAAAUAGCCAAAAAAAAGAUACAUGGAAAAAAAAAAAAAAAGAAUCACAAUAACAAAAAGCAAACACAAAAAGAAAAGAAAAGAAACUCAACAGAUACAUAACCGAAAAAGCAAACACAAACAUGAUAUAUUCAUUGUGGUUUUAGGUUCACAGAUUCUGAUCAAAUAGAUAUUUAAUGUUCCAAAAACAUUGUAUACACAUUUAAAUGCUUUACUUCAAUAGAUAGAUUAGGUUAUCUCUCUACACAUAUUACCAAUUUAGAUUCAGCACAGGACCUUUUUCAGGUGCUUACCACUUUGUACUCGCAAGCAAAUACAUACUCCCCCCUCCCCCCUCCCCCCCUCCCUUCCUGUUCUUGUUAUUUAUGCAUGUAUUAACUUUUCUGAAAGAAUAAAUGUUGAAGGGAGCAAAUAGUGUAAAUAGAACGAGGAGAAUACAGAAAGAAUAAAGAAAAAGAAGAAAACAAAACAAAGUCAUAAAAAAAGGCUUUUCAAUCCCCGAUGAAUAUCAGCAGUCUAAAUACCCCAGCAAAUAGAACAUGAAGAGGCCACAAACAAUAACCCAUCCCAAAGAGAUUGUCUAGGAUGUUUUAAGCUAGGAAAAUGAAGAAGAAAACGACGAGCAUUAACAAUGAAUAUUUCAUGUUAUCAUCAACUCUAAAGAGCAGACUGAUAAAAAUCAACUUAACAACUCUUGUUGAAAUAAGAUUAAAUUUACAGGCUGACCAUGCUCGACCUUGAGGUGAGUUAUAAAAUGUUCUUCCUAACUAGAUGCACAGCUACGCCUUUGGGGUGAAGUGAACUAAGUCAUUUGUUUUACACUUCCACAUGCUCUCAAGCUUUCACCUCAUACUCAAGACCAGCUGAGCAGUCCUAAAAAGAAAGAUAUAUCAUGUAGGGUCAUCAAGGCAGACCUGUUAUUUUUAUUUUUUUCGCGUUAACGUCAUGACCAAAUUAUAAAAUUUAAACUUCUUUUCUUUCUUUCUUUUUUCCAUGUGUGAGCGAGCAUAAAACCCAAGGAAAUCGAUUUGUUGUUAAAAACACAAUAAUUUUGAAGAAUUUGGUAAAUUCCAAAAAAGAAGAAUCAACCAAACAGCUCAUUUUUCGGCCAUUCCGGCAGUAAUAUCUCUCCCACUCCAGCUGCUGCAUAAACUAAUUAACAAAUUAUCGAUCGAGCCUAAAAGAUUUGAAUUGAUUUCUAUUCUCAACUUUAAAAUAAAACUAAAAAAUAAAAUAAAAUAAAUUUGGGUUCAAGAAUUCACGGCUUGAUUAUUACAACAAUAACUGUGUGAAAAAUCGGAUAAUAUCAUGUAAAUUGGGGGGGGGGGGUUGAAAAAGAAAUAUUAGAAUCGGCUGAUUGUGCGUUUCUUCGAGCAGCGAUUUCAUCGGAUCCGAUUAUAUAUUUUUUUAAUUUACUUAUUAAAAUCGAAUUGCGUUCACUAGCAGAGAUUUCAUCGGAUCGAUUAUUUGUUUUUUUUUUAAUUUAAUUAUUAAAAUAGAAUUUCUGUCUCUCAAUAAUAAUUACAAUAAAAUAAAUGAAAACACCCAUAAAUUUUAAAAACAAAAGCAUGAUAGAAAAGGAAGCACCUGGCAGAAAUCUGAAGCCUUAUUGGAUGUGGCGGUUUCCGAGAGGCGGAAGAGGGAGGGAGGAAUGUUGUCCCAAAGUGAAAUAGAUGACUUUGGCCUUAUUUGUUUGUUAGAAAGUAGUUUCUUUUUAGAAAGUGAAUUUUAGGGAAAGUGAAUUCCAGGAAAGUUUUUUUCGAUGUUUGGUAGUAUAAUAAAAAAUAAAUUGGAAAACACUUUUCAGUUUUAGGUUAUGUCAUGGAAAAUAAGCUGGAAAAUUGCUUAUUAAUAUUUUAUUUUUCUCAAGUUUAUUAAAAUAAUGAGGAACAAAUUGCAAUCUAAAUAUAUAUAGAAAAAUAAUAAGAAAAAAGCAAAUAGAAUUAUAAAAAUAAGGACCAAAGUUAAUAUAAAAAUAAAAUUUUAAGAGAUGAAAUUGAAAAAUAAAUAUUCAAAACAAAAUAUAUAUAGCAAUCAAAAGUUUGAGGAUCAAAUUUGAUAUAAUCAGCAAAUAAUAACAUUUUUAAAUUUUUCACAACUUCCGAAAAAUGUUUUUCCUCCAAAUUUUUUAGGAAAACACUUUCUUGAAAACCAAGACAAAUUUUCCUUUUACUAGAAAGUGUUUUUCAUUGACCAACUUUCCUAAUGGCAAACAAACACAAGAAAGUUUGGAAAGUAAUUUCCCGAAAACCAUUUUCCGGAAAACAAACACAGCUAAAGAGAAAACACUUUCCUGAAAACCAAGUUAAAUUUUUCUUUAACUGAAAAGUGUUUUUCGUUAACCAGAAGUGUUUUCUGUUGACCAACUUUUCUAAUAACAAACAAUCACAAAAAAAUUUAAAAAAUGAUUUUCCAAAAUCUAAUUUUCAAAAUACAAACAUAGCCUUUAUUCUUUUCCAGAUUCCUUCUAAAAAAAAUUAACAAGUAAACACUCGCUCGUCAAGCAUCCGCGUUCACGACCUUUUAAUUAUGCCUUAACUCAUAUUGGCCAGUAGUGCUAUAAAGAAGACAAAGUGGUAUAUCCACUUUUUCAUCAAUUACUUACACGAGACAAAGAAAAUGAUUGCUAUUAUCGACAAUUUCUCUGUUACACACACACACAAUUUGUCUUUAGCUGUAUUUUCUUACAAAGGAUCUUUAGCCAUGCAUUAGAGAUGAACACCUCCAACUUCUUGAUUUUCACUCGUUUUCAUCCCAUUUAAAAAAGUUUUAAGUUUGAAUGCUCAUUAUACAAAUUCUAAUAACAGGCAGCUAAAAGGGCUUGUCGAAGAGCUCAUCUUUAACGACUACUCUUGCAGGUUUUGAGAUCAUAUCAUCACAUUUGGGAAAACUCAAGAACCUUGACCUGAGCUAUAAUAUAUUCAACGACAGCACCAACUUUUAAAACAUCAGUCACCAACUUUUCAUUAUAGAAUUGCUCAGCAAAUAUUGGCCUUAUGCCUUCAAGAGUUGAGUUCCAUCCUCAAUGAGUCACAAAUGCACCUAUUGCUUUAUGAUCAAGAAUCAAAACUUGGAGUGUCCAUCCUCUGAUAAUAGUCCUUUGCCUUCCAUUCUUUCCUCAAAUCCUUCGGGUAAACAAUCUUUCUUGUCUUCUUGACGCUUUGUUUCUUCUAACUACCCGGAUAAGGAUGAAACACUUCACACGCAUUACAGAAUUAGCAUUGUGGAGGUGAUCAUGACAUUUUGCCAGCAAGGCGAUAUACAUAGCAAUUUGCAGCAAUAGAAUGUAAAAGAGUUUGAUAACAAUGCGAGAAGAAAAACAAAAGGUAAGAUGUUUAGAAAUUCAAUGCUCGGAUGCAUUAUUACCUGCUGGAUCCAUGGGGGCAGUGGGCAUGGCAUUUUGAGACCUGAUCUUCAUCAAAAGCAUCACCAGAGAUAUUUUAUGCAGAUAAUCAGACUAAAAUCAGAUAUUAAUAACAAAACAUUAGAUCUCAGAGCAAUCCAUGUUACAAGAGGAGGAAAAUGGAUAUAUGCUCUAUCAUUUCAUCUUUUGUGAGGAUAGACUUCUGUUUCCUCUCUUUUUAUUUACUUAUUUAUGUAUUGAUUCGCAAUUUGCUUUUUGCACACUUCCCAUGUACUUGAACUUGGUCACUCUAAAUAAAACACUUGUCAAGAGAAUUAACAAAAAGAUGCAAACUCUCAAUCAGCCUUGCAUUCAGAAUGAACGGUGUGGAAGUGUAGGCACACUACACACACAUUUGUACAAGCAUAAAUGCGUGUGUAUAUUCAUGUCUAGAUAAUAUCGUAAUUAUUGAACCUCGCAUUAGGCAAAUACCUGAUUGGUAGCGGUGGUAUAAAUCUUUUCCUCAAAACGUACGGCAAAUUUCUUGAGUUCUGGUAAUCCCUCCUAACCAGAAAACAGAAGAUGCCUCUUUAAUGUCUCCAUUCUGCAUAUGCAAAUCAUCACGUUUCAUUUUUAAUGACCAAGCAAGUAUAGAGAAGUUGCAGUAGCGAGUAAGAACCCUGAACUCAUAAACCACACCAAUAUAAAAAAUGUGUGGAAUCAUUAGCAAAAAGUAAAAACAAAUAAUGAGAUAAGCAAGAGAUGGUCAAGUAAUAUAAGACAUCAAAAUACAUAGACAUCCUUUCCCUGCAUUAUUCCAGAGGUACAGAGUAUAGGAGUUUACUUGGCCACCCUUCUGUCUAAAAAUUCUAGCUACUAGCUUCAUGGUUAAUUUUCUUGAAAUGGAAGAACCUUUCAUUUAUGGCUAUGUUCCAAGAUAAUUAGUGACUUAGUUGCAAAGCAAGAGAGUCCGUGAAAACAUUACAAUAGCAUUUACUCGAGUAAGAACACUUCUAUGCAUGUGCUGUAACUGACAAAAGAAAGAAGAGAAAUCCUUUCAAUAUAUGAAAAUGCAACGAGUUAACCUUAUCUCAAACUGCAAUAUAUACUCUACAGUAUUUAUUGACCACUGCAAGUGCCAGCAGUAGCUGUCUAUAUGAUUUUUGAUGUAGAAAGGUCAACAAAACAUUCAACUUUAUGCUGAGAAACUAGGAAACCUUACACCAUUCAACAUUAACUGCUUUUCUACUUUAAGAUCACUAUCAUUUCAACUUUGUAGAAGUUAAAACAAAUGGAAGGCCCAUAUCCAACACCAUUCAAUUUAAGUUCAGUUGCAACUAGACGUAUGCUCACAACAAUAGAUUAACCUUGAAAUUUAAAGCGGAACAAGCUUCAUGCAGCCAUCCAAGAGGUCAUCAUCAAAAGAAGAGAUUACAAAAGAAAUUCCAACAAAAAUUACUUCCCAGCGCUUUAUGUUCCCUCAAGUUUGCUUCUCGUGAGAAACACAUGAAAAGAUGAAAAAAAAAACAAAAAAAAAGAGGUGUGAUAUAUUUAUUUCGGGCAUUCUAAGCAAAGAUUUGGGCCUGAAUCUUCAUGGUGAUUCUAAACCAAGCAUUCCCUUCUAAGCAAAUACUUGCUGUCAAAACCCCCUCUCCUUCCCCUCCUGUUCUUGUUAUUUAUGUAUAUAUUUAUUUCUCUGAAAGAGGAAAAUGCCACAAAAGAAUAAAGAAAUAAGAAGAAAACAAAACAAAGUCAUAAAACGAGGCCUUUCAAUCCGCAAUGAAUAUCAGCAGACUAAAUACCACAGCACAAAUAGAAGAUUAAGAGGCCAGAAACACUAAAGCAUCCCAAGAGAUUGUCUAGGAUGUUUUAAUCUAGGAAAAAGUAGAAGAAAACAACGAGCAUUAACAAUAUUAAUCUUUUUAAAAACAACAAACAGAACCUAAAAAUGCUGAUUAAAAAACGGUGAACUGUAAGUGCCAGCAAAAGGUAAGGAUGUUUAGAAAUUCAAUGCUCUUUCUAAUACGCACACAUGUGUACAUGCAUAAAUCCACACACUUAUGCAUGUGUAUAUUCAUGUCUAGAGAAUAUCGAAAUUAUUGAACCUGGCAUUAGCCGAAUACCUGAUUGGUGGCGGCCGUAUAAAUCUUUUUCUCAAACCGUAUGGCAAUUUUCUUGAGUUCUUGUAAUCCCUCUUGACCAGAAAACGGAAGAUGCCUCCUCUCUUUUCAUUUAACUAUGUAUGCAUUGAUUCAUUAUUUGCAUUUUGCACACUUCCCUUAUUCUUGAAAAGGACCUUGGUUACUCUAAAUAAAACACUUGUCAAGAGAAUUAACGAAAAGAUGUGAACUUCUACAAAAUGACCAGUGAGGAAGUGUGGACACACUACGCACACAUGCAUAAAACCACACACUUAUGCAUAAAUCCACACAUUAGCCGAAUACCUGAUCGGUGACGGCAGUAUAAAUCUUUUCCUCAAACUGUUUGGUAAUUUUCUUGAGUUCUUGACCAGAAAACGGAAGAUGCCUCUUUAAUGUCUCGAUUCUGCACAUGUAAAACAUUACAUUUAAUUUUUUAAUGACAAGGCAGGUAUAGAGAAGUUAGCAGCAGUGAAAAAGAGUCGUGAACUCAUACACCACACUAAUAUCAGAAAUGUAUACAACGGGAUCAUUGGCUAUGGCUAUGCUCUGUCUGAAAUUCCAGAGGUACAGGGUAUAGGAGUUUACUUGGCCACCCUUCUGUCUGAAAUUCUAGUUACGAGCUUCAUGGUUAAUUUUCUUGAACCGGAAGAACCUUCCAUUUAUGGCUAUGGCUAUGCUCCAAGAUAUACAAGUGAAUUGGAUGCAAACCAGGGGAACUCUGUGAAAACAUUACAAUAGCAUUUACUCUGAGUAAGAAAACUUUUAUACAUGCAUGGACUGUAAUUAGCAAAGAAAAGAAGAGAAAUCCUUUUAAUUUAUGAAAAUGAAAUGAGUUAACCUUAUCUCACGCCGCAACAAAAAAUUACUUCCCAGGCACUUUAUGUUCGCUACUUGUGAGAAACACGCGAAAAAUGAAAAAGACAGAAACAGAGGUGUGAGGUGUAUGAUACUUGAGGUUGGUUGCCUCAUGUCAGUCCUGCUGAUUUUAAUUAACCUUUUGCCCUUCUCUUUUUCUUUUUCUUUGUUUACUAUUCUUUGAACACAUGGUGCUUCUAAAACCAAGGAAGCAAAAAACAAGCCAGCUAGUUCAUAACUUGCAGCACCAGCAGAUGGUGAACCAAGCCAUAGAGAAACUCAUGGUGCUUCAAUUUUAACUAGUUCGUGCUUGGACCCCUCAAAGAACAUUAGCACUUAUUCAAGAAAAAACAUAUAAAGUUGUGAGACACGAGAGACUAUAAUUAUUAUUAUUAUAUAUGGAAAGCAAUGCAAUGCAAUUUAUUUUUUAAUUUUUGUUAUGAUUUUUUUUCAAAUCUAUUUUUACAAUGGUUGAGAAUCUUGGUAAAACAAUUAGUCUUAAUCGUUGUUGAUACUUAAUUUAUAAUGAUAGAUGUUGGAAAGUCACGGUAACUCCUAAUUUUACUCUUGUCGACAAUAAUUUAUAAUGGGUGAUGGUUGAGGAUCAUCUGAUAAGUACGCUAACUUAGCAAAUAAGUGAUAAGUGCCUCUCUUUUUUUUUUUGGCAACUCUCUGUGGCCGCAUGACCAUUUUUAUAAGGGAAAAAGAAAGAAAAAAAACCCAUGACCUUUAUUUGCUCAGCAAGAAACAAAACACAAAGCAGAAUUGGACCUUUAUUUGCUCAGGUGUAACCUUGCAGAGAUUACAAUAAACAAAACACAUAAGAAAAACAAGAGGUUUAAUUGACUUAUAAAAUGUAUGUUUGUGAGCUAUGAUGUAGUGUUUUUUGUUCAAUUGUUGAGAGAAUUUCAUGAAACCAAUGGAAAAACAAAAUAAUAAGGAUUUAUGUAAGAAAUACACCUGUUUAUUUUCGUGUUGUGUUCGUUAACCAUUUUAUAACCAAUUUCUUUUUAAUUUAUAAUUUAAGAAAAAGUAUGGAAUAAUUCUGUAGAGUGUUCUCCUUCUGGGGUUUGGAAAGCGUAGAGGCUUUCCAUUGGAACUGCCAUUCUAUAUUUUGAGAGUUUCUUUGCGAAUAGCUUUUUUGGCAUUUUGACAGAUAUGAGAGAUUCUAAGAUGGAAACUACUUUAGUUGCUGAUAAACGUGCAGCUAGCAUCAUUCUCUUCAUUUUAUUUAUAAUUAAACGAAUAACGAUAAUUGAUGGUGGAUCCGUUUCCCUUUAAAUGUUUUUUUUUUAUCUGGUAUCUUUAAAUUAAUUUCUCCAUCAAUUAUUAAGUUUCACUAUAACGUGUAUUAUUUUUCACUAUGAGUGAAUUUACUGUGGAUGCAUUGUAAGUCCUGGCUUUACGCGGGGCGGGCUCGAGCGCCAAGUGGUGCUGGGUGGCUACAUGGAGCGGGGCAGAACCCUGGCACUUGGGUCUUGGCAAAGGCCUGAUUGGAUUGGGUAUAGCAGCACAGCGCUGCAUGUCGCUGGGGAACCCCGAGCGCCACCUGGCGUUAGAGCACCACCUCGUGCUGGGGCGGAUCCAAUUCUCUGGGUAAACCCCAGCGCUAGGUGGCGCUAGGGUCUUGUCAAAAGGCAUUUUUGGUUAUGAUAGCCCCAAUGUCACGUGGCACUCGAGUCCGGACGCGUUUUGCCCAAUCACAUGUGUGUUUAAUAAUGUGUGUUAUAAAUAUUAUUUUUUCUUUUAUAAUUCAAAGUGUUCAUAACAAAAAUAUUAGUAUUUGUGUUAUAAAUAUUAUUAUUUUUAUUAUAACUCAAGUAUUGAUAUAAAAAAAAAUAUUAUUAUGCAUUAUAAUCAUCCUUGAAAUUCUUAAUAUAAUUAUUUCUGUUAUUUCUUAAUUCUAAAUAUUCAUAUCAAAAAUAGUAUUAUUUGUGUUAUAAAUAUUAUUAUUUUUAUUAUAAUUCUAAAUAUUCAUAUAAAAAAUAGUAUUAUUUAUGUUAUAAAUAUUAUUAUUUUUAUUAUAAUUAAUAUUAUUAAUAUUAAAAAUCUUAUUAUUUAUGUUUUAAAUACUAUUUUUUUAUUAUAAUUCAUAUAAUUAAGAAAUCUGAAAAAACAAAUUCUUAUUAAUAUUUUAAAAAAUAUUAUUUGUGUUAUAAUUAUUUUUAAUUUAUUAUGAUUUGUAUUAUAAUUCAUAUUAUUAAUAAAAUAAUUAAUAAAUUUGCAAAAAAAAACAUUCUUAUUAAUAUUUUAAAAAAUAUUAUUAUUUUAUAAUUAUUUUUAUUUGUAUUAUGAUUAAGAGUAUUAAUAUUACAAAUAGUAUUAUUUGUGUUAUAAUUAUUUUUAGUUUUUAUUAUGCUUAAGAGUAUGAAUAUUAAAAAUAGUAUUAUUGAUUUAUUAUUAUAAUUAGAACUAUUAAUAUUAAAAAUAGUAUUAUUUGUGUUAUAAUUAUUUUUAUUUUUAUUAUAAUUAAAAGUCUGGGCGCAUCUACGCCCAUCCCAACGUUGGGCCUGGAGGCGUCCACGUUCAUCCCCAAAUAGGGUUCGCCCAGCCAUGCCCACCCCUAAGAUGGGUCUGGACGCGUCCACGCCCAACCACAUUUGUUAAUAUAAUAAUGUGUGUCAUAAAUAUAUAUUUUUUCUCUUAUAAUCCAAAGUGUUCAUAUCAAAAAUAUUAUUAUUAGUGUUCUAAAUAUUAUAACUUUUAUUAUAACUCAAAGUAUUGAUAUAAAAUAUAUUAUUAUUUGUGUUGCAAUCAUUCUUGAAAUUCUUAAUAUAAUUAUUUAUGUUAUAAAUAUUAUGAUUUUAUUAAUGAAUUUGAAAAAUAAUUAUUGUUAAUAUUUUAAAAAAUAUAUUAUUUGUGUUGUAAUUAUUUUUAUUUUUGUUAUGAUUAAAAGUAUGGGUGCGUCCAUACCCAACCCAAAGUAGGGCUGGCUAAGAGUAUUAAUAUUACAAAUAGUAUUAUUUGUGUUUUAAUUAUUUUUAUUUUUAUAAUGAUUAAGAAUAUUAAUAUUAAAACUAGUAUUAUUUGUGUUAUCAUUAUUUUUAUUAUAAUCAAAAGUAUGGGCAUGUCCACACCCAUCCCCAAGGGGGGCUGGGUGCGUCCACGCCCAACCCCCCGGCAGGCGUUGACGUGUCCUUGCCCACACCCAAGUGGGGCGUGGAUGCGGCCACGCUCGACUCCAAGUGGGGUCUGGACGCAUCCUCGCCCAACCGCUUGUUAAGCGUGGAGGCGUCCACGCCCAAACCCAAGUUGGGUCGGAUGUGUCCAGACCCAACUUGGAGUAAAAAAUAUUAUUAUGUGUUGUAAUUAUCCUUGAAAUUUUUAAUAUAAUUAUUUAUGUUAUAAAUAUUAUUACUUUUUAUUAUAAUUCUAAAUAUUCAUAUAAAAAUUAAUAAUAUUGGUGUUAUAAAUAUUAUUAUUUUUAUUGGAUGGAUCUAUCGAGCAUGCCCCAGCGCCAGGUGGCGCUCGGGGUUCCCAAUCAGCUAAGUGGCACUCGGUUGUUCCAAAGUGCUAGGUGGCGCUUAGGUUUUCCAUUGAGUUUCUAAUAUUAUAUUUCUACGUCAAAACCAAUUUUUUUUAAAAAAAAAAAUGGCAUUGUUUUGCUUACAAAAUUGAUCAAGUUAACCAAUAACUCACCAGUUGAUCAACAAUUCAACAAAAUAGGUUUUUAACAGGAUCAAAACCUGAACCAGGCUGGAUGACCACGCCAUAAGUUGCAUCUUAUUUUUGUCUUUGCAAUACAAUAAUACUUACAAAUAAUAAAUAACUAAUUUGUAUACAUCUUUUUGUCACAUCUUUAUAGUUUUUGUAGAAUAAAUUGGAACUUAAGAUUUUGUCACAUCUUUAUAUAUAGUUUUUGUAGAAUAAAUUGGAACUUAUUAAGAUAAUAUUCUUUAAUUCUCAAUGCUAUUUGUAAUCAAUAAGAAAGAUAUGGACAAGUCGAUCGUGCGAUUCACAUGGAUUGAACCCCACAUUACACACGGAAUAGACAACACAAUAACCCUGACCAUGCUCGAUCUUGAGGUAAGUUGUAAAAUGUUCUUCCUAACUAGAUGCACAGCUACGCCUUUGGGAGGGAGGGAGGGAGGGAGAGAGAGAGAGAGCAAAGUGAAAUAGAUGACUUUAUUCUUUUCCAGAUUCCUUCUGAAAAUAUUAACGAGUAAACACUCACACUCACGCACGCAUAUGAUGAUUAAAAUUUGAGUUAAAUUCUAUUUAACUAGUAUCUGUAUUUUUGUUAAACAAACAGAUUAAUCCCUCAAGUUGAUUUCAAUAAUUAAUUGAUCAUUUAAUCACAUUUUACUGUUAAGUUUUUCCAUUAGCAACGUCGCUGCUUUAUCUUGUUGCCUGGCAGAGUUCCUUGAUGAAAAAGAGCCUAAUGCUUCUACUUCUUUCCAAGUUUUUGAAGACAUGCUUGAAGAUAAUAUCUCAUCAAGGUAUAUUUAUUAUAACAAAGAAGCAUACUCAAGGAUGAUACUUCAACUCUAAGAGUUGAUAUAGCAAGUAAGAGUAAGGAUAUAGAGCAAAAUGAGCCUCCCUUCUCUCCUUCUAGUCAAUCAUCUUGAAGAGCCUAUGUUCUUGCCUUGAUAAAGACUCCUAUCUUAUAUUUAUUGAAGAAAUAUCAAGAAAGUUUCCAAAUUCAUCUCUUGACAAAAACAUCUCACCCACCUUAGCACAUGUCAAAUCCUUCAUCCCCUUAUGCCAUUGCACAGACUUGCCCUCGGGGUAAAUUCUAAAACUUCAGGCAUUUUUUAUAUGGAAAUUUAUAAUCAUAACUUGGUGUUUGUCCAUUUAUAUACAUGUUUAAUGCUUAUAAUUCAUUGUAAAAUAACUUCAAAACGGUUAAGGAGCACUUUUAUUACCAAAAAGAAAUGGCCCAGUAUAUAUUAUUAAAGGAUCUCAAAUCUUACAUUGUAAAAAUAAAAUAUUCUUCUAAUAUUUAUAUAGUGAACUUUGAAAAUGGUUAAUAACUAACCAAAAAUAUAUAUAAAAAAAGGAGUUUCUGACUACGAGAAAAAAAAUAUUUGAAAAAAAAAAUGGAUCUCAACUGCAUUUUGCUGGAUUGUUUUCGUCACGGAUUAACCUAAUGAGUUAAAAAAAUAUAUAUAAAAAAAAGAGAGGUAUCUGAAUAAAAUAAAAACAUUUUCAAUUUUUUUAUAUGUCAUGUAUAGCUAAGGGACCCAUUCCUUUGUAUAAAAAAUGAUUUGACGGUGCUUGGAUUGGGUGUAUGCCUACGUACUUGGUUUUUUAAACAGACCUUGAGCUUUAUUUUUUAUUUUUUCUAUGUAGUAUUAGUUUUUAAAAGAAUUAUUUUUUAAAAUCUUAGUAUAUUAUACAAUUGGAUUUAUUAUGAUGUUUCUCACACGUGUAUUAAUUAUAUAUUCAAUUCUUUAAUAGUUAGAAAAUACAAAGAGUUAGUGACACUUACAGAGCAUUUUGUAUCUUGUUUUUUCUAAUUAAAAACUUGUAUGGAUUUAUUUAUUUAUUUGAAUACUUGCUUUUAAUUAUGAUAUUUUUAUCAAUCAAGUCUCUAUAUUAGUUUUGUUGUCAGAAUGCAAAUAACACGAUUAAUAGUAUUUUAUUUUCAAUUUUUUUUCAAGGCCUAAAUUUUCCACACGUAAUUUCCAUUAAAAAAAAGUAGCCAGUCUUCUUUAUCCAUCAUCGUCAUGUGCAUAGCAUUAACCUUUUAUUCAUAUUUUUUUCAUAAAUAAAUAAACUUAACUUGGGGUCAACGUUUCAAGAAGGAAUAUAAGUUUCGGUUAAUUACAUAGUUUUUUCCAAAAUGUUCCGCUUUUGUUAUCUCUCUAUUACUUUUCCUUUUAAAGGGGUUAUGUACAGCCCUUGUAUAUUAUUUUGAAUUUAAUAUAUAAAAAUCUUUAGUAUAGAUGAAUUUUGUUUUUUAAAAAAAAAAAAAAAUUAUUUUCAAAUAAUAUUUCUAAUAUGUACAACAUUGCAUAUUAUUAUUUUUUCUUUUAUUUUGUUCAAUUAAUUUAUGAUAUGUAUGUUCUUUUUAUUAUCGUUUAAUUGAAUAAAUAAUUUGAAUUUUUAGAAAAUACAAUUGCAUAAAUGUCAUGUCUUGUGAAAUUAAAUAUUUUGAUCUACAUCUGUCUCUCGAUUUUUUUAGUUUUUAUUUUGAGUUAUCAUUUAUGUUUUUUUUUUUCAUUUAUUGACACACAUAAUUCUCAAUUUAUUUGACAAUAUUAUUUGUAUAUAAUUUUUUUAAUAUCCACUUAAUUUUUUUAAAAAUAAAAAAUAUAUUAAAAAAAUCUAUAUAUAAUUUUUUUAAUUAAACAAAUUUAACUUGCAAUGAAGCUUUAAUCGAAUAACUAAGUCCAUGUACUCAAAUGAGUGGCACUCGAAACUUUACAUACCUUAUCUUCCAAGCAAGAAGAGACAAGAAAAGCAGUAGGUGAUGUUCUUUUCCCCGGUUGUAAAUGAAUGAAGGGGUUAAUACCAAAAACAUGGACAAAAAUUGACAUGGACCCGCACCACUUUGAUUAUUCUUCACUCUUCCUAUGUUUCACUACUUGUUGAUUCAAAAGUUAUCUAUUUAAAAAAAUUUAAAAUAUUUUAAAAUAUGGUUACAAUAUUUUUUCUUAAGAAAAUAAAUUGAUGUCAUGUGUUAAUAACAAAUAAGGAUUUUUUGCAAUCAAAAAAUCAAAUUUAUUUUAAUUAAAAAGUUUCCUAUCAAUAGCAGCAUUCCCAAUUAAACCAAAGUUUUUCCACGAACCCAUCUUGUGGAAAAAAUGCAUGGUGGUUGGAAGAGGACGUCUCAUGGCCUCUCCUCUGGAAAAAUGCAUGAUGGCAACGGUCUCAGAGACCGAUGUCGCACCCCAAAAACAACAAUUUUCAAUUGCAAGUUCAACUGGCGAAAUUUUUUUUAUUUUUGGUUCUUUGGAGUCGCCACCUAGUAUUUUGGUCACUAGGAACCUAACUGGUCUCAGAGAUCGGGUACGGAGACUGGUUGCGUAAAGGGAAGGUAUUAGCACCCCAAAUACACCUUACCUAAGGUAAGCUGCAUUGUUUAAUUGUCUGAUAAAAAUAAUAAUAAAAAAAAAAAAACUAAGGUGUUAUUGUGUUUUCCUAGUUGUUGGUCUGUCUAUGGUUCAAGAAAAAUCCUCCUCGGUAAGGAGAUCUUUAUCUUAUCGGGUAAAAAAAAAUCCUAACCGUUCUAACGUCCAUACCAAAAUUUUAUUAAUAAUAUUUGGGAAUACGUUUUACGUAUAAAUUCGUAAUCCCAAAUACUAAAAUAAAACAAAAAAAGAUUUUUUAGAAUUUUUGAAAUAUUGGCCUAGUUCUCAUGGCUUGAAUAAACUGGUUAUUAAAGCCAAAAUGCAUGUUAAUACAUAUAUUGUUUUGAAAAUUUCUUUGUUGCGUGAAAAUAUGAUGUUAUAAUAUUUAUAUAUAUAUUGGAGAGACUAGGCCGUAUUUUAAAACAAAAAAAAAACAAUUUUUGGAAAAUAUUAUUUUUUUUAUGCUUUGACGAAAAUCGGGUAUUUUAAUACUGAGCUUGUAUCCUUACGGUAUAAAAAUACAACCCAAUAUUAAUCCACUUUGAUAAAAAUAUGCAGAAAAAUCAACAACAUUUUUUAGGGACUUUUUAGAAUUUUUUUUUUUAAAAGCAAAAACAUUUUUUAUUCUGAAAAUCUUUGAUAUUUUGACGAAAACCGGGUAUUUUUAACACUGGUUUUGUAUCUUUACAGUAUAAAAAUACAAAACCAAAAUGUAUAAAACAAACAAUAUAUUUAUAUGAAAAGAAAAUAACAACCAGAUUUUUUUAGAUUUUUUUUCAAAGAAAAAAAACGUAUAUAUGUAUAUACACAUAUAAUAAUAAUAUAUUUAUAUAUUAAAAAGGGGCUGGGCCGGCCCAAACCAAACUGGGCCGGACCCAGCCCUAACAGUCGUUGGGCCGAACUCGGCCCAGCAGGUACUGGGCAGAACUCGGCCCAGAAACUAAUUAACCUCGGUCUGGGCCGGACCCGGCCCAGACCGCCGGACUGGGCUAGAUCCCUCUGGCCCGUCCCACAUAACUCUGGGCCAGACACAAUCUGGCCCAGAAAAAAAAUAAAAAAAACACGGGGGGGGGGGAAUUAAUUUCCCCCCCCCCCGCCUCCUGCAUGCAGAACGAUUCUGCAUGCAGGAGGCAAAACAUAUAUAUAUUAACAAAAAAAAUGCAGGGGGAGGAAAGGAGGCGUACCUGGUGCGGUGGAGGAGGUGGUUUGCUGGCGGGGCUGCGGUGGUGGUGGCAGUGUCUUAGCUUCACAGACGACGGCUUCUCUCUCCUAUGUUACAGUGUUUCUCUCUCUUCCUCUCUCUCUUCGUUUUUUUUUUCUUUGUUUCGGGGUUCCUCCCUUUCUCUCUUUUUUUUCGUCCCCCGUUUUCCCUUUUGGUUCUCUAUUUAUAGAACCAUGGCGCGACUUCGACGUGGAGCCCCGAAGUGGGUCGAGGAGCGUCUGUCGGGGAGCGGCGGGCCUCCCUCGGCUUCGGCCACGAGGAGGGUUGUCGACCAUUGUUUCUGUCGGUGGCCCACCGGCGUGGGGUCUCUGUCGGUGGUAAGGGGGACCUGCAAAAAGAAUAAAAAAUACAAAGUUUUUCUUCUUCCCCGCUGUAAUGUUCGGGGGGGAAGAAGACAGUGAACAGUGUCGUUCAAAACGGCACCGUUCGGUUCCCCCCCCCUUUUUUUUUUUUUUUUAAUUUAUUUAUGCAUGAAACGGCGUCGUUUUGGACAAAACGCGCCGUUUCAUUUAAAAAAACGCCAGAAACUUUGUUUUUAAAUCAGUCCCUAAUUUGUCAUUUGUUCUAUCAAGUCCUUCAAUCGAGUCCUUUAAUCAAGAAUAAAAUUCAAUUGCGUCCCUGCCAAAUUCGGUCCCUACCCCUAUAAUUGGCCGCGUUUUUCACUUUGAUCCUUGACCUCUGAUUUUCACAAUUAAGCCCUUAAUUGAUCAAUAAACUUCCAAUUUCUUCAAUUAAGCCCCUGAAACAAUUCCAAACAGCCCCCUCUAUCUUUGCGCCUUCUCCAAAUUGGUCCCUGGUUUCGGAUUUUUCACAAUUAAGUCCCUAAUUGGCCAUUAAACUUCAAUAUUUAUGCAAUUAAGCCCCUGAUUUGACCCAAUAAAUUCCUAAAAAAUAUAUUUUGACCCCAGAACUUAAAUUUCUUCAAAUUAAAGCCCAAAUUGACUUAAAAAUCAAUUUUUCUUGCAAUCAAAUCUUCCAUAAAUUCAAAUAAAAAUCCAAUUAAGUCCAUAAAAAUCCAAAUUUGGGUUUUUCUCCUCAAAAUUCAAAUUUUCCUUCUCAAUAGGGCUUUCAUCCUUCAAGAAUAUACUGUCAAAAAUUCAAUCCUUGUAUUUUUAAAUUCCUUGACCAAUUUUCUGACUGUUUUCCGAGCGCUUCUACCUCCUGUUAUUUUUCUAACCUCUUUUGGCUAUUUAUUUUAUUUUUCAUGGGGACCCAAAAAUGGGUUACAACAACCGAUAUGCAGAUGUAAAUGUUCUCAUGUACCCAUCUCGUAGAAAAAACGCAUCCGAGUAAAUAGAAUUUUUUUUUCUUUUUUUUUAGAUGAACAUGACUUUCUUAAGCUCAUUGUAGUAUAUAGGAUUUUUUUUAAAAUGAAAAAAUAGAAAUAUUAUUCGCAUCCGAUUAAAUAUCUCCACCGAUAUAAUUCCAUUGAAAGUUGCGUCAUGUAUUAAUCUAAGGUCCAUUGUUCAUUAAUUAAUCGGUGGUUGCGUUUUAACACUUGAGAUUUAUUUUUUAUGCAUAAACAUUUAAUUUAUUUUUUUGCAAACUAAAUUGAAAUUAAAGCAUAUUAAUUAUCCAUUCCCAAGCUUACAGGGCAAUGGUCUCAUGGACCCAUCUCGUAGAAAAAACGCUUGAUAGCAAUGGUUUCGUGGACCAUCCCACCAGCCUAUAUCGUGGAAAAAAAUGCAGAUGGCAAUACAUGGUCUCACAGUCCCAUUUCACACUGCAAAUUGCUAUUCAUCUUACUUGUUGAUUGUGUUACAUAAAAAUAGACUGACAAGUACUUUAAAAAAAAAAAAAAAGACUUGUUGUCAUGACAAUGACAAGAAGAAUUUUAAAAAUAAUAUUAUUUGAGGUUCAUUUUAUCAACGAUACUCUUUGAUUUUGUCAUCACAAUCAAAAUUAAGGCAUGAUUUUUGAAGAUUUUAGAUAAAGAUGAUAAUUUUGAGUUAUGGUUUGUUUAAAUAAUGAAUUUGAGUUAUAAAUCUUGAUAUAUUAAUAAGUGAUCUGUGUGUAUUUAAAAUUAAAGUGCAUAAAUUUAAUAUUGAAAUUUAAUUAAAGUCUCUCUUACAAUCCAAAAUUUAUUUUUAAUUAAAGUGCAUAAAAUAAACAUGGUUAAAGUUCUUUCUUUCUCUUUCUCUUUCUCUCUGUCUCUGUGUAUGUUAGAUGGAGUUUGCAUUAGAUAAUCAAUAAUAUUGUAUAUAUUGUUUUUGGAGAAGUAACUCAUUUUCACACCCUUGGUGUAGUUUUCCAUUCAUUUUCACACCCCAGUUGCCACCCUGCUUUUCUUUUCAUUCACGCACACAGAUAGUGCAUCAAAGCACUACGACAAUAGUUGACUCCCAGUCAAUACGGUCAAGAUAAGGUAAUCAAAAACUAAAUUUACUUUUACUACUAUUUCAAUUUUAAAAAAAUAUUUUUCUUUUGUUUAAUGCAUUAAUUUCAAGAAAUAUUUUUAUUUUUUUGUAAUUUGAAUACUUGCUCUUAUGAUUUUUUAUCAAUAAAGUCUCUAUAUUAGUUUUGUUGCUAGAAUACAAAGAACACAAUUAAUAGUAUUUUAUUUUUAAUUUUUUUCAAGGCCUAAAUUGUACACACGUAAUUUCUAUAAAGAAAGUAGCAAGUCUUCUAUAUCCAUCAUCGUCAUGUACCUAGCAUUAACUUUUAUUCAUGUCUUUUCCAAAAAAAAAAAACUUGACUUUGGAUCAAUGUUUUAAGAAGGAAUAUAAGUUUCGGUUAAUUACUUAAUUUCAAAUUUUUUUUGUACUCUAUGUUUUCGAUGAACAUCACUUUCUUAAGCCAGUUGUAGUAUAUAGAAAUUUCUUCUAACAUUUUAGAAAUAUAAUUCACAUCUGAAUUGAUAAAUUCACAAAUUAAUAUAAUAGGUUUUAAUAUUUAUUUUUAAUAUAUAUUUCGAAUUUAAUAUUAAUAGUUAUAAAGUUUAUUUAGUUAAUAAAAAUUGUUCCACUUUUGUUAUAUCACAUUCCUUUUAAAUUAUUGUAAAGUUUAUUUAUUUUGAAUUUAAUAUAUAAUUUUUUUUGGAAUAAAUAAACUUUAUUUUUUAAAAUAAAAAAACUAUUUUCAAAUAAUAUUUCAAAUAUAUGAAGCUUGUCAUAUUAUUACUAUUUUUUAUUUUAUUCAAUCAAUUUAUAAUAUGUGUCUAUUUUUAUUAUUGUUUGAUCGAAUUAAAAAAUUAUUUUAAUUAGAAAAUUUAAAAAAUGCAAUUGCGUAAAUGUCAUGUCUUGUAAAAUUAAAUAUUUUGAUCUACACAUGUCUCUUGAUUUUUUUACUUUUUAUUUUGAGUCAUCGUUUAUGGUUUUUUUUUUUCACUUAUUAACACACAUAAUUCUCGAUUUAUUUAACAAUAUUUGUGUAUAAGUUUUUUAAUUUUCACUUAAAAUUUUUUUAAAUAAAAACUUUAUUGAAGAAAUCAAUAUAUAAUUUUUUUUAAUUAAAAUAAUUGAACUUGUGGUGAAGGUGUGGUCAAAUAACUAAAAAUAGGUGGCACUCAAAGGUUCAUAUACCUUAUCUUCCAAGCAAGAAGAGACAAGAAAAGCAGUAGAUGAUGUUCUUUUCUCCGACAAUAAAUGGAUGAAGAGAUAAAUAUCAAAGACUAUUAUAUUAAUCGUUCAUACCCCCCCCCACCCCCACCCCACGAUCUCUUAAAUGCAAAACAAUUUGGAAUAGUUGAUAAAUCACUUUUGGUAAUUUCACAUCAAAAACAUCUCACCCACCUUAGCCCAUGUCAAAUCCUUCAUCCCAUUAUGCCCUUGCCCAGACUUGCCCUCGGGGUAAAUUCUAAAACUUGGGGCAUCUUUUAUAUGGAAAUUUAGAAUUAUAACUUGGUGUUUGUCCAUGUAUAUACAUUUUUAAACGUUAAGGAGCACUUUUAUUACGAAAAAGAAAUGGCCCAGUAUAUAUUACUAAAAAAACUCAAAUUUCACAUUGAAAAAAUAAAAUAUUCUUUUAAUGUUUAUAUAAUAAACUUUAAAAAUAAUUAAUAACCAACCAAAAACAUAUAUAAAAAAGAGAGGUUGGAAAAAAAAAACAUUUAACAAAAAAAAUGAGUCUCAACUAGGUUUUCUUGAAUUGUUUGGAUUACGGGUUAACGAGUCAAAAAUAUAUAUAUAUAAAAUGAGAGGUUUCAAUAAAAUAAAAACAUUUUCAAGUCUUUUAUAUGUCAUGUGUAGCUAAGGGACCCAUCCUUUGUAUAAAAAAUGAUUUGACGGUGCUUGGAUUGGGUGUAUGCCUACGAACUUGGUUUUCUAAACAGACCAUGAGCUUUAUUUUUUAUUUUUUCUAUGUAGUGUUAGUUUUUAAAAUCUUAGUAUAUUAUACAAUUGGAUUUAUUUUGAUGUUUCUCACACGUGUAUUAAUUAUUUAUUAAAUUCUUUAAUAGUUAGAAAAUACAAAGAGUUAGUGACACUUACAGAGCAUUUUGUAUCUUGUUUUUUCUAAUUAAAAACUUGUGUGGAUUUAUUUAUUUAUUUAUUAAUUUGAAUACUUGCUUUUAAUUAUGAUUUUUUUUAUCAAUCAAGUUUCUAUAUUAGUUUUGUUGUCAGAAUGCAAAUAACACGGUUAAUAGUAUUUUAUUUUUAAUUUUUUCAAGGCCUAAAUUUUCCACACGUAAUUUCCAUUAAAAAACGUAGCCAGUCUUCUUUAUCCAUCAUCGUCAUGUGCAUAUCAUUAACCUUUUAUUCAUAUUUUUUCCAUAAAUAAAUAAACUUAACUUGGGGUCAACGUUUCAAGAAGGAAUAUAAGUUUCGGUUAAUUACUUAGUUUUUUCCAAAAUGUUCCACUUUUGUUAUAUCUCUAUUACUUUUCCUUUUAAAGAGGUUAUGUACAGCCCUUGUAUAUAAAAGUCUUUAGUAUAGAUGAAUUUUAUUUUUAAAAAUAAAAAAAAAAUUAUUUUAAAAAAUUAUUUUUAAUAUGUUCAACAUUGCAUAUUAUUUUUUCUCCUUUUAUUUUGUUCAAUUAAUUUAUAACGUGUAUGUUGUUUUUAUUAUCAUUUAAUCGAAUAAAAAAAUUAUUUUAAUUUGAAUUUUUAGAAAAUACAAUUGCGUAAAUGUCAUGUCUUGUGAAAUUAAAUAUUUUGAUCUACACAUGUCUCUCGAUUUUUUUAGUUUUUAUUUUGAGUCAUCAUUUAUGUUUUUUAUUUAUUUAUUAACACACAUAAUUCUCGAUUUAUUUGACAAUAUUUGUAUAUAAAUUUUUUAAUAUCCACUUAAUUUUUUUCAAAUUAAAAAUAUAUUAAAGAAAUCUAUAUAUAAUUUUUUUAAUUAAACAAAUUUAACUUGCGAUGAAGCUUUGAUCGAAUAACUAAGUCCAUGUACUCAAAUGAGUGGCACUCGAAAGUUCACAUACCUUAUCUUCCAAGCAAGAAGAGACAAGAAAAGCAGUAGGUGAUGUUCUUUUCUCUGGCUGUAAAUGGAUGAAGGGAUUAAUACCAAAAACAUGGACAAAAUUUGAUGUGGACCCGCACCACUUUGAUUAUUCUUCAUUUUCUUCACUCUUCGUGUGUUUCAUUACUUGAUGAUUCAAAAGUUAUCUAUUUAAAAAAAUUAAAAUUUUUAAAAUAUUUUACAAUAUGGUUACAAUAUUUUUUUCUUAAGAAAAUAAAUUGAUGUCAUGUGUUAAUAACAUUUAUGGAUUUUUUCCAAUCAAAUUUAUUUUAAUUAAAAGGCUUCCUAUCAAGAACAUCAUUCCUAGUUAAAACAAAGUUUUUCCACGAACCCAUCUUGUGGAAAAAAUGCAUGAUGGUUGGAAGAGGAUGUCUCAUGGCCUCUCCUCAAGGAACAAUGCUUGAUGGCAACGGUCUCAGGGACCAAUAUGUAGAUGGAAAUGUUCUCAUGGACCCAUCUCGUAUAAAAAACGCAUCCGACUAAUUAGAAUUUUUUCCGUUUUUUAGAUGAACAUGACUUUCUUAAGCUCAUUGUAGUAUAUAUAACUUUUUUAAAAUAAAAAAAUAGAAAUAUUCGCAUCCGAUUAAAUACCUCCACAUAUAUAAUUCCAUUAAAAGUCAUGUCAUGUAUUAAUCUAAGUUUCAUUAUCCAUUAAUUAAUCGGUGGUUGCAUUUUAACACUUGAGAUUUAUUUUUUAUGCAUAAGCAUUUAAUUUAUUUUUUUGCAAAUUAAAUUGAAAUUAAAGCAUAUUAAUUAUCCAUUCCCAAGCUUACGGGGCAAUGGUCUCAUGGACCGAUCUCGUAGAAAAAACGCUUGAUAGUAAUGGUCUCGUGGACUAUCCCACCGGCCUAUAUCAUGGAAAAAAAUGCAGAUGGCAAUACAUAGUCUCACAGACCCGUGCAAAUUGUUAUCCAUCUUACUUGUUGAUUGUGUUACAUAAAAAUAGACUGACAAGUACUUUAGAAAGAAAAAGAAGAAGAUUUGUUGUCAUGACAAUAACAAGAAGUAUUUUAAAAAUAAUAUUAUAUGUGGUUCAUUUUAUCAACGAUACUCUUUGAUUUUGUCAUCACAAUCAAAAUUAAGGCAUGAUUUUUGAAGAUUUUAGGUAAAGAUGAUAAUUUUGAGUUAUGGUUUGUUUAAAUAAUGAAUUUGAGUUAUAAAUCUUGAUAUAUUAAUAAGUGAUAUGUGUGUAUUUAAAAUUAAAGUGCAUAAAUUUAAUAUUAAAAUUUAUUUAAAGUCUCUCUUACAAUCCAAAAUUUAUUUUUAAUUAAAGUGCAUAAAAUAAACAUAGUUAAAGUUCUUUCUUUCUCUUCCUCUCUGUCUCUGUGUAUGUUAGACGGAGUUUGCAUUAGAUAAUCAGUAAUAUUGUAUAUAUUCUUUUUGGAGAAGUAACUCAUUUUCACACCCUUGUUGUAGUUUUCCAUUCAUUUUCACACCCCAGUUGCCACCUGCUUUUCUUUCCAUUCACGCACACAGAUAGUGCAUCAAAGCACUACGACAAUAGUUGACUCCCAGUCAAUACGAUCAAGAUAAGGUAAUCAAAAACUAAUUUUACUUUUACUACUAUUUUAAUUUUUAAAAAAUAUUUUUAUAUUGUUUAAUGCAUUAAUUUCAAGAAAUAAAUUCCUUUUAUCUUAAAAUAUGAACUUGAAAAACCAAAUGUAUUUUAUAAUGAGGGAGAAAACUAGAAAAAAUGAUUAGCCUUCUCAUUGUAGUAAUAUAAAUCGUAUAUCUUUGACUCGAUUGAGUUGAAAUGUAAUAAAAACAAGUCAAGAAUACCUUUCCUAACAUAAAAACAAAAGUGUGUGUGUUUUUUAUUUGAAGUUUUUGUAUAUAAUACUAUAGCCACACAAUCCACAGGGAUAAGAUUUAUAAUUAUUCCGUGUUUAUUAUUAUUGAUAAUUUAUGUAUUUAAUUAUAUAUAUAUAUAUAUAUAUAUAUAUAUAUGAUAGUGAGAUGACACCAUGCAAGUAGGCUGCAAGUAGGCUACUAAAUGAUUCUAAAUUAUGACAAGAUAAGUACAAUUAUAAAGCUAAAAAGAUCUUACGCGGAAUCAUACACGAAUGUUCGAUAAUACUACAACAAUUUUUAUUUUUUAUUUUUUCAUAAAUUAGAUAAUUAGUAUGCAAAAUAUAAUUAAAUGCAAAUAGACUAAGUGCUAAACAAUAAAAUAAAAUAAUAUUCAAAGGUUUCCGUAGUGAAGUUGUGGUCAAAUAUCUAGUCUAUGUACUAAAAUGAGUGGCACUCAAAGAUUCAUAUACCUUAUUUUCUAGGCAAAAAGAGCUAAGGAAAGCAGUAAGUGAUGUUCUUUUCUUUGGUUGUAAAUGGAUGAAGAGAUUAAUACCAAAAACAUGGACAAAAAUUUAUGUGGACCCACACCAGUUUGAUUAUUCUUCUCUUUCUUCACUUUUUCUGUGUUUCACUACUUGAUGAUUCAUAAGUUAUCUAUUUAAAAAAAAAUUAAUUUAUUCAGUUUUUUAAAUUAAAAUAAAAUAUACCUACCAUUCUUAGAUGUGACAUAAUGAAAUUAAAAACCAUAGCUUUUAGAGCCCCAAGUGCACAGCCCCAUCUCGUGGAAAAAAUUGCUUGAUGACAAUGGUAUCACUAACCCAUCAUCUAGUGGUGGAUAAUUUGUUUCAUGUCCUCUCCAUCAAAAUCCUUUUUGUUUUGAAAAGGAAUAUAUAUAUAUAUAUUAGUUUUCAAGAAACAUACCACAAGAUUUAAAAAUAUUUUAUAUUUCAUUAAAAUGAAUAAAUAAAUUACUUAUAUGGUUACAAUAUUUUUUUUCUUAAGAAAAUAAAUUGAUUUCAUGUGUUAAUAACAUUUAAGGAUAUUUUCCAAUCAAAUUUAUUUUAAUUAAAACGUUUGCAAUCAAUAACAACAUUCCCAAUUAAACCAAAGUUUUUCCACGAACCCAUCUCGUGGAAACAAUGCAUGAUGGUUGGAAGAGGAUGUCUCACAGCCUCUCUUCGAGGAAAAAUACAUGAUGGCAACGGUCUCAAGGAAAUGGUCUCACGAACUCAUUAAUGCAUUUAUAGUGAUAUUUUUAUUGUUAGAAACAUACAAUAGCUUAGGGAAUUUUAUCAAGGAACAAAGAUAUUUUCAGAGAAUAACAUUUAUAAUGAUACUUUUAUGCCAUUCAAUUUUUUCUUCUUUUUAGUCUAUGAUCCUGAUAAACAUGACUUUCUUAAGUUAGUUGUAGCAUAUAGAAUUUUUUUUAAUAAAAAAAAUAGAAAUAUAAUUCGCAUAUGAGUAAAUACCUUCACAAAUUAAUAUAAUAGGUUUUAAUAUUUACUUUUAAUAUUUAUAAAAUGAAAAAUAUUAAGAGUUGAUUAAUUUGUAUAGCUCCAUUUGUAUAUCAUUCUAUUUUUAUUUUCUUGCAAAGAAAAACCUCGUUUUGCGUAACUGUUCCUAUGUCUUUUUAUUAUUGAUGUAUGUUUGACAUUUUUAAUAUCUUAGAAGAGCACACAUAAACGUUUACGAGGAUUCCAUGGGAGGCUACUGAUUUUUGCUCUCCAUGAGAAGAGCAUCAUGGAACUUCUAACUGAGCAUUGAAUGUCAUAAUGAGAAAGAUUGGCAGUUGCACACCCAAGAGAAUGCUUUUUUUAUCUUUCUUUUUUUUCCCAAGAUAAGGUAAUUAGCUGUUGUGUGUUUUUACUUUUAGCAUUCUUUUUAUUAUUAUUAUUAACGUGAGUGUCUGGACAGCUUGCGCGCAACUUGACUAAUCCCACAAGCUCUAAAGUUAACGAUUAUGUAAGUUUCUAGUGGCUUUGAGGUUUAUAAAACUUGAACCGGUAACUUUUAGAAAGCAAAUCUAGAACUUGAUUAAUUGAGUACACCCUCAGAAUUGCUUUUAACAAUUUUUUAGAUUGUCUUGUGGUGGUACUCCAAGAUUCCGGAGGACCACCUGUAUGGAUAAGGAAAUCACUGCAUGGUUGUGUUUAAAAAUCAAAAUGGCAUACAACAAGUCAAGCAUCAAUUACUCAAGAUUUGUGGAAGAUAUGAUACAAGAGAUAAGAAAAUGAUUGCUAUUAUCCACAAUUUCUUUGCGGAGUUUCCAUUAGAUAAUCAAUAAUGUAUACAUAUUUUUUUGGAGAAGUAACUCAUUUUCACACCCUCAGAUGCCAAACAUUAACAUCCCUUUCUCUUCUCUUCUCUUCUCCUCUUUUCUUCUUUUCUUUUCUUGUUUUUUUAAUUAACAUAUUUUUAUGAAUUUGUUUAUCUUCUUAGCUUCACUAGCAACUACAUUAAGAUAAAAUUUUUAUUUUUUCUUCUUUUUUGUGUUCUUUUUCAUUAUAUUUGUUCUUUUAUUUAUUUAUUUUUUAUUUUUUUCUGUUCUUAAUAAUUUUAUAAAUGUUGAUGUAGGAUUUGUUUUUCACGUGAGAUCAAUUUUUAGUUGAUUUAUUUAUAGGAUUUUUAAAUAAAUUUUAAUUAUUUAAUUAUUUUUCUAGUUUUGUUAAAUAGAUUUUUUUUUUAAAUUUUUUUUUUAAAUAGUCACUGACAGAAUUGCAUACGGUAUGUUUGUCGAUUACAUGACAAGCUUCCCGAGGAAAUUACCAAUGAAAUGAAGUAAAUAAAUUUUUUUUAGCCUGUUUUACUUAUUAGUAAAUCUAUCAGUGAUAAUAUUUUUUUAUUGCUAACAAACAAAAAAUUACCAAUAAAAAAUUCAUGAAUGGAACAUUUCUGUUUGUGAUCCCAUCAAUAAUUAAUUUACCUAGAAAAUUAAAUAAUAAAUCAAGAGGGUGAGCCUUUCCUUAACGAAUAUCCUCAAUGGCCUCUGGGGUCGAACCAAAUCCUGUGGCCACGAUUUAUUGUUAGCACGUGUUUGCAAUUUGCAACAUAUAUUUUGAUGAGCUACUUGUAGAGUAAGGUGCUGUUUUUGUUUCUAGCUUUAGGUGAUUGCACCAAACAUGGACUGAACAAAAGGGACAUCCAUUGGUGGAGAAAUUGGUUCCAGUUCCUUUUGAUACAUUUAACCAGUUUUGUAUUCUUGCUCACUUUUCAAUUUGGUUUCGGUAUCGUGUUUUGUUAUUAUUACUUACUGCUGCUGUUUUGAAUUUACUACAACAAUUUUUUUAUUUUAUUUUAUUUAUAUAAAUUGGAUAAUUAGUAACCAAAAUAUAAUUAAAUGCAAAUAUACUAAGUGCUAAACAAUAAAUUAAAAUAGUAUUCAAAUCCUAGAAUAUUCCAAAAAAAAUAUAUAUAUAUUCAAAUCUCAAAACAUGAAACCCUAAAUUAUUACGAGAGAAGUAUAAUUAUAAAGUCAUGAAAACAAUCUUACGAAUGUCUACAAUAUUUUUAUUUAUUUAUUUAUUUUAUAAAUUGAAUAAUUAGUAACCAAAAUAUAAUUAAAUACAAAUAGACUAAAGGUUGAACUGAACAAUAAAAUAAAAGCCGAACUGCACAAGAUAAUAUUCAAAUCUAUAUUAUCAACAAACACACCAUAAAGGCCGAAGUGUCAGACUUUGUCACUUUUAGGUUAAUUCCGUUGGAUCAUGUUGAAUUGUCAACAAUGGUGCGAGGUACUCUAGGAUACUUAAACUUUAGUACUUGCACACAAGCCAACUGACGGACAAAAGUGAUGUUUACAGUUUUGGAGUGGUUCUUGUGGAACUACUAACUGGGAUCGAUGAAGGCAAUUUCCUUCGAUAAGCUUGAGGGCCUUUAAGUGCUAAAUAAUAAAAUAAAAUAAUAUUCAAAUCCAAGAAUAUUCCAAAAAAAUAAUAUUCAAAUCCAAGAAUAUUCCAAAAAGAAAUAAAAUAUAUAUUCAAAUCUCCAAACAUGAACCUGCACACAAGAUAUGCAGAUAAAGUCAAGGAAAUUAAAUGGCCAAAGUGUAGUAUAAAUAGGACCUCUAUGGUUGCCCAAAGGCACAUAACAAACAACAAUAUUCUACGUAGUAGUUCAUAGAAUAUUAUCUAAGAUGAUGAUGAAAAGAAUUGGGGCUUGGAUGCUGCUAGCAUUAUUGACUCUGGUUGGCGAAUGGGCUGGUCGUUGUUAUGGAUGUUUGGAGGAGGAGAGGGUUGGUCUCUUGGAGAUCCAAUCUUUGAUCGACCCAGAUGGCCUUUACUCGAGAGAUUGGGUGGACGGUAGUAAUUGUUGUGAGUGGGGGUGGAUCGAGUGUGAUAACACUACAAGGCGAGUGAUCCAACUCUCUCUUGGCGAAGUAAGGGAUUUCCGCUUGGGCGAUUGGGUUCUCAACGCAUCGUUGUUUCAGCCUUUUAAAGAAUUGCAAAGUCUUGAAUUGGAAGAUACUGGAUUGGUUGGUUGCAUGGAGAAUGAAGGUUAGUUCAAUGUUUCUGCACUUAAUUAUAAUCAUAAAAUAAAUGAAGGUUGGUUGGUGUUUAAUGUCAAUUAUCUUGCUUUGAUGAUUCUCUUCCAGGCUUCGAAGUCCUAUCAUCAAAACUGAGGGAACUUGACCUAUAUUAUAACCGAUUUAAUAAUGAUAAAAGCAUUUUGUCAUGUUUCAAUGGUAACCUUUCCACUCUCAAGUCUUUGGAUCUAUCAUAUAAUCAGUUGACAGAUGGAUCAGGUAGCUUCUAUGGUAACCUUUUAAUUAUUUAGCUUCGAAACCUUUUCUGUUCUUCUUCCAAUAUGCUUUUGAGGAACAUCAUGCAGGUCUAAAAGUCUUGUCAUCAAGGUUGAAAAAGCUGGAGAACCUUGAUCUAAGUGACAAUCAAUACAACGAUAGCAUUUUUCCAUCUCUUACUGGAUUUUCAUCCCUCAAGUCUUUGGAUCUAUCGGCUAAUGAGUUGACAGGAUCAGGUAUAACACACAGUUUCUACCUAAAUGCUUCACAUGACAUUCUCUUAAUUAUAUUGUUUCCUUAUCAACAAAAAUGAGGACUUUAUAUCUAUUUAAUAAAAACUAUCAACAAAACUCUCUAAUACAAAUCACUAGACAGCCAACGAGAGACUGCCAAUUUCUUUAUUAGAAAAACUCUUGAACUGUUUUAUCAAUGAAGACCACAACAUAAAACCCACAUAUUUGAUAUUUAAUUCUUGUUUGUAGCCAUUUAUUAUUUCCUCUCUUUUUAAUUAUGGUUUUAUAUUAUUUUGGACCUUUUUUAAAUCACAAUAUUAUUCAGUAGUGGAGGAUAUAUUGCCUUAUGGUCGUGGUGAAUGGUGAAAUAUUUGGACUUUGAAAAAUAAAACGUGAAAAAGUUUAUAGUUCUUUAAUGCCAUGGAUAAAAUUGGGAAACUUGCUAGAAAACAGAGGCAGUUAGGAAAAAAUUAUAAUGACUAAAUUAGUAACAGCUAAGCAUCUUACUAACUAAAUAGAUAGAGGAAUUAAGUUAUGAUUAUUAUUCUUGUUUAACUAUUAUUAUUCUUGUUUUAAUUACCGAUGAGGUCUUAAUUACAAGUUUCUUUAUCAUAACUUAGCUUCCAUCUUUUUAUGUAUAAUUUGAGAAUCAUAUAUCAAUUGAACAACAGCAUCUCAUCAAUUCUAAUUAUCUUUAGUUUCUAUAUAUUAUGCAUAUCGUGAGCUCAUAAUUAUGACUUACUCUUAGAAACAACUCUCUUGCAGGUUUUGAGAUCAUAUCAUCACAUUUGGAGAAACUCGAGAACCUGGACCUCAGCUAUAAUAUAUUCAACGACAGCAUUUUCUCACAUCUGCGUGGACUUUCUUCUCUCAAGUCUUUACAUUUAUCAGGCAAUAUGUUGCUAGGAUCAACAACUGUAAAUGGUAAAGUUGUGAAAUCUCUGGAUUUUUCAGGCAAUUUGUAGUUUAUAUCCAAAAAUCAUCUCACUAUAAAAGUACCAGUUCUUUAUCAUAGAUUUAAGAACUCGACCAAGAUAACACUUAAUUUCACUACUUACUUGAUUGCAUGUUUUCAAUUCUACACAUCAUAGGUUCAAGAAAGCUAGACUUCCUGCAGUCAUUGCCAUCCCUGAAGACCCUUUCUCUCAAGGAUACUAAUUUAAGUCAAGGUUAAUCAUAGUUUAGUUUCUUAAAAUCAUAAUUAAGAAUAUUGAAUGGAAUGGCCAUUCUGUACCACCACUAUUUUCAUCAUAUCUUUUUUCUUCUUCUUCUUCUUUUCACAGGGACUUUCUUCAAUUCUAGCACCCUUGAAGAAUUGCAUCUAGAUAAUACUUCUCUCCCAAUAAACUUUCUCCAGAACAUUGGAGCAUUGCCUACUCUUAAAGUUUUGUCUGUUGCUGAAUGUGACCUCCAUGGCACCUUACCCGCUCAAGGUAAAUUAACAACUCUCCAUUCGCCUAUAAUUACAUCAUUAAUAAAAGAUUCUUUCAACAUUGUUUUGACUGUUUCGAGAUAAAUUAUACAGGUUGGUGUGAAUUGAAGAAUCUGAAGCAGUUAGAUCUCGCUGAAAAUAAUUUAGGAGGUUCACUCCCAGAUUAUUUGGGGAACUUGUCAUCUCUACAACUAUUAGAUGUUUCUGGUAACCAGUUUACUGGAAAUAUUGCCUCUAGUCCUCUUACCAACCUCGUAUCCCUUGAAUUCCUCUCACUAUCAAAUAACCUCUUUGAAGUUCCCAUUUCAAUGAAGCCUUUUAUGAACCACUCAAGCCUCAAGUUCUUCACCAGUGAGAACAACAGACUUGUAACAGAACCUCCAACCUUUGAUAAUUUGAUUCCAAAGUUCCAACUAGUCUUUUUCCGCUUGUCAAAAACAACGGAAGCACUUAAUGUAGAAAUUCCUAACUUCCUCUAUAACCAAUACGACUUAAGAGUCCUUGAUCUCUCCCACAACAACAUCACCGGAAUGUUUCCAUCGUGGUUGCUUAAGAACAAUACACAAAUGGAGAAACUAUAUCUGAGCGAGAACUCCUUUGUUGGUACUUUGCAAUUGCUAGAUCACCCAUAUCCGAAUAUGACCGAAUUAGAUAUAUCCAACAACAACAUGAACGGUCAAAUUCCAAAAGAUAUUUGUUUGAUCUUUCCAAAUAUGUUGAUCUUAUGGAUGGCUAAGAAUAGAUUCACAGGUUAUAUUCCUUCUUGUUUAGAAAAUAUUAGCUCUCUUUCAUUUUUAGAUUUAUCCAACAAUCAAUUGUCUACAGUAAAACUAGAACAACUAAAAACAAUAGCGGUUCUCAAGCUAUCAAACAACAAUUUGGGUGGGCAAUUACCGACCUCGGUGUUCAAUUCUUCUAGCCUGGCUUUUCUUUACCUACGUGGUAACAACUUUUGGGGUCAGAUAUCAGAUUUUCCAUUAUAUGGGUGGAAACCAUGGAUUGUAUUGGAUUUGAGUAACAAUCAAUUUUCAGGCAUGCUUCCAAGGUGGUUCGCCAAUUAUACGAGCCUUAACUCAAUUGAUUUGUCCAAAAAUCAUUUUAAGGGUCCGAUCCCAAGAGACUUUUGUAGGCUUGACUGGCUUCAAUAUUUGGACUUUUCUGAGAACAACUUGUCUGGAAAUAUACCAUCUUGUUUCAGUUCACCAAUUCUAAUCCAUGUGCAUCUAUCCGAAAAUAGAUUGAGCGGUCCUUUAACAUAUGGAUUUUAUAACAGCUCUUUCCUGGUUACGAUGGAUCUUCGAGAUAACAGCUUCAUCGACUCCAUUCCAAAUUGGAUUGGCAAUCUUUCAUCAUUGAGUGUUCUUCUUCUAAGGGAUAAUCACUUUGAUGGUGAGCUCCCUGUUCAGUUAUGCUUGUUAGAGCAAUUAAGCAUUUUGGAUGUUUCACAAAACCAGCUCUUUGGCCCACUACCCUCAUGUUUGGGCAAUCUUACUUCCAAGGAAAGUUCCCAUAAAGCGUUGGCGUAUCAAAGAGCUUAUUUUCCACUAGGGUCCAUAGAAAAAGCUUAUUACAAAAAAUGGGUCCACCACUAGUGGAUAGUAUUUCCAACUUGGAAAAUUAUGUUUGGCUUAACUUUACAGAAGAAGUGAUAGCAUUUACAACUAAAAAUAUGCAUUAUGGUUACAAGGGGAAAAUUCUCAACUACAUGUCUGGUAUUGAUCUCUCCAAUAACAACUUUGGAGGAGCAAUCCCACCAGAAUUUGGAAACUUAAGUGAGAUACUGUCAUUAAACUUGUCACACAACAAUCUCACUGGAUCUAUCCCUGCAACAUUCUCAAACCUAAAGCAUAUUGAGAGUUUGGAUCUUUCUUACAACAACUUGAAUGGUGCCAUCCCUCCACAACUUACUGAAAUUACCACACUGGAAGUUUUUAGUGUGGCGCACAAUAACUUGUCAGGCAAGACACCCGAGAGAAAAUUUCAGUUUGGGACCUUCGAUGCAAGCUGUUACAAAGGAAAUCCUUUCUUGUGUGGACCUCCAUUGCAAAACAAUUGUAGCGAGGAAGUGGUGCCAUCGCAGCCAAUGCCUAAUGAUGAACAAGGAGAUGAUGGUUUCAUAGACAUGGAGUUCUUCUACAUCAGUUUCGGUGUAUGUUACACAGUUGUGGUGAUGACAAUUGCAGCAGUUCUCUACAUCAAUCCAUAUUGGCGACGCAGGUGGUUGUACUUCAUCGAAGACUGCAUAGAUACUUGCUACUAUUUUGUGGUGGCUAGUUUUCGCAAGUUCUCCAACUUCAUAAGGUGAAUUUGUUACUGGGGAGAUGGGGAGACGGUCGUUUCUGGUUUGUCAUGAUUGUUUGUUUAGCUAUUGGGUGCUUAAUUUUGUAAUGUAUUGUCUCUGCAUCAAAUAUAUAAGUCGGACUUCUCAUUCCUGAACCAUUAGGAAGGGAGCUGAUUUGGAUUUGCCAUUGACUAUUUGUCCUGUAUGUCUAGCUAUUGGGUUCUUCAUUUGUAGUGUACUGUCUCUAAGCUCAACCUUUCUAUUUGAAUAGUUAUUUGGGCUAAAUAUAUAAGCUGGACUUGUCAUUCAUAAAUCAUUAGGAAGGGAACUGAUUUGGAUUGGUCAUUGACUCGGCUGUGAUUACUCUUUCAACUCUCAAGACUUGUCUGAAAAUAAAUUGCCAAAACCACUACUAAAGUAUAAACAAAAUAUUCUAUGCCUUUGUUUCAAGGGCGACCCCACCUCAGUUAUUCAAUCAAAGCAUUGAAAUCGGAGCAAGAAGAUCCACCUUCUUCAACAGCCUUCCUGGCCGUUUCUCCUAGCUUCUUUGCUCUGCUCCUCAUUUCCUCUGUUUCUUCACCCAUCAUAAUUUGAGUGAUUGCCUUCUCUACAGCUUCACUUUUAACAUGAUCUCCAUGCACUCUAAGCCAUUCCUCAACUCCAGUUUUUAAAACAUCAGUCACCAACUUUUCAUUAUAGAAUUGCUCCGCAAAUAUUGGUCUCCUAAGCACAAAAAAAUAAAAUUGUCCUUGUCAAACAUGCAGCUGUGACUUGAGACAUUCAGAAUUUCAACCUCAUUUUCUAUAAAAUUCAACAAUACUGGAUAUGGUCAUGAUUCAAUGGAAUAAUCCCCACUUAUUUUCUUGAGACCUUUUUCCAUUGAAAUCUUGCAAGACUGUGGCAUACAUGAACUCCAUCUAAUGAACAGUAAAUCAAAGAAAUUACCUUCUGAUAGAUCUCCUCUUGCCAAUCAGCGCCUUUUGCAUGUCCAGUCUGUGCUGUAGAAUCUAGGGAUGCUACAAAAAUUUCAAUGCAGACAACAAAAUGUUAGAAUUCAUGUAUUUUUGUGUGUUUUCCAUAUACAAGGGUAUUUCUGUAAUUUUAACACUAGCUGAAAGUUAUGAAAUAUUGCAAGUCUCAGUUUUAUUUUCCAUUUAGUAUUUAAUUAUUCCCAAAGUAUAGCGAGCUUCAUUAGGUUUUUCCUAUUCUAGAUAGGCUAUUAGUAUUUUCCUAUAUAGGAAUACAAGUCCUUUUUGUAUUAGGAACUUCAUCUAAAUGUUACGUAAUCAUAUAAAUGCAGAAUCAGAGGGUGAACAGCUGGUGCAAUGCACUGGAGGGUAUGAUGUGGUAACAAAUGCGUGUGUGAUUGCAAUGGUUUCAAUAGCAGUGGCAUUACUAAUGCCACAAGUGGCAGCAGUAGCACAUAAAGCUACCUAAAAGAGUAUUGCUGACUUGAACCAUUAUGAGAGGUGAACAGUUGGUGCACCGCACUGUAGGGCAUCGUGUGGUUACAAAUGCAUAUGUGAUUGCAAUAGUUCCAAUACCAGUGGCAUUUCUAAUGCCAUAAGGGGAAGCAGUGGCACAUAAAGCUACGAAAAAGAGCAUUACCUGGCAUUUGUCUCUGAGAAUUGACAAACAUAGUGGAGGGAAUCCCUUGUCCCAUUGAAUUCCCCAAUGAGUUCUGUGAAACACCAGGGAUACUCUGCAUGUUAGGAUUCUGGACAACAGUGUUGGGGAUAGUCUGGGUUACACCAGAGACAGGAGGCAGUGCCGCUUGUAAACCAGCAUAACUUUGAACUCCAUUAGAUGCCAUGCAAUUCUGCAUGUUCUGUGAUACCAACUGCUGAUGUGCUUGAGACUGAUCAGUGGACAAUAGGAUAGGGAGAAACAGCCCUUGAUUCUGAACUUCAGGGGGCAUACUAUGGGAUGCUGUUCAAGAUAAAAGGCAAAAGGGAAAAACAUGUCACAGAAAAAAAGAAGGCACUGAACAAGGAAGACAAAUGAAACAUCGGCAGUCCACACAUAAAGUUAUGAGCGAAAGAAUUGGGAUGGAUUUGAGUCAACCUGACAAUUUUCAGGGAUGGGGGAAGAAGAGGCGGCUGAAAACAAAAAAAUAAUAUGACAAUUUUCAGGGUGGGCGAAAGAAAAGGAGGAGGCAGAAAACAAAAACAAUCUGUAAUAUUCUUGCAUAACAUUCAUCAAUUACUCAACUUUUUGAUUAAAGCAUGCCAUACACAUAGAAAUAUGUUGCAAUAAAACGCAAAAGAGUUUGAUAACAAUGCGACAAACAAAACAAAAGGUAAGAUGUUUAGAAAUUCAAUGCUCGGCAGCAUUAUUAUAUAUGAAAAAAGGAUCAAAUACUUUCUCUCGGAAGAAAAGCAAGAAAGUGACGUCUUACCUCCUCAACAGGAAAAUCUUUAAAAUCUACCAUCUCAAUCAUAAAAUUUAAAAUACCAUGUAUCACAGUCCUUGUUGCUGAACAAGUUAAGGAUGAAACACUUCACAUGCAUUAAAGAAUUAGCAUCAUGGAGGUGAUCAUGAGAUUUUUCCAGCAAGGUGAUAUACAUAGCAAUAUGCAGCAAUAAAAUGUAAACGAGUUUGAUAACAAUGUGAGAAGAAAAACAAAAGGUAAGAUUAGAAAUUCAAUGCUCGGCUGCAUUAUAACCUGCUGGAUCCAUGGGGGCAGUGGGCAUGGCGUUUUGAGACCUAAUCUCCAUUGAAAGCAUCUCCAGAGAUAUUUUACGCAGAUAAUCAUACUGAAAUCAGAUAUUAAUAACAAAACAUUAGAUCUCAGAUCAAUCCAUGUUACAAGAGGAGGAAAAUGGAUAUAUGCUCUAUCAUUUCAUCUUUUGUGAGGAUAUACUUCUGUUUCCUCUCUUUUUAUUUAAUUAUUUAUGUAUUGAUUUGCUAUUUUCUUUUUGCACACUUCCCUUGUACUUGAACUUGUUCACUCUAAAUAAAACACUUGUCAAGAGAAUUAACAAAAAGAUGCGAACUCCCAAUCAGCCUUGCAUACAGAGUGAACGGUGAGGAAGUGUAAGCACACUACACACACAUUUGUACAUGCAUAAAUGCAUGUGUAUAUUCAUGUCAAGAGAAUAUCAUAAUUAUUGAACCUCGCAUUAGGCAAAUACCUGAUUGGUGGCGUAGUAUAAAUCUUUUACUCAAAAUGUAUGGCAAAUUUCUUGAGUUCUUGUAAUCCCUCCUGACCAGAAAGAAAAAGCUGCCUCUUUAUUGUCUCCAUUCUGCACAUGCAAAUCAUUACGUUUCAUUUUUAAUGACCAGGCAAGUAUAGAGAAGUUAGCAACAGUGAGCAAGAACCCUGAAUUCAUAAACCACACCAAUAUCAGAAAUGUGUGGAAUCAUAGCAAAAAGUAAAAACAAAUAAUGAGAUAAGCAAGAGUUGGUCAAGUAUUAUAAGCCAUCAAAAUACAUAGACAUCCUUUCCCUGUAUUAUUCCAGAGGUACAGAUUAUAGGAGUUUACUUGGCCACCCUUCUGUCUAAAAAUUCUAGCUCCGAGCUUCAUAUAUUAGUGACUUGGUUGCAAAGCAGGGGAGACUGUGAAAACAUUACAAUAGCAUUUACUCUGAGUGACUUCUAUGCAUGUUAAUUGACAAAGAAAAGAAGAGAAAUCCUUUCAAUAUAUGAAAAUGCAAUGAGUUAACCUUAUCUCACACUGCAAUAUAUACUCUACAGUAUUCAUUGACCAAUGCAAGUGCCAGCAGAAGCUGUCUAUAUGAUUUUGGAUGUAGAGAGGUCAACAAAACAUUCAACUUUAUGCUGAGAAUCUAGGAAACCAUCCACCAUUGUGGCUAAUUGAUUUUUGUCUACUGCUUUUCAACUUUAAGAUCACUAUCAUUUCAACCCUGUAGAAGUUAAAACAAAUAGAAGGCCCAAAUCCAACACCAUUCAUUUAAGUUCAGUUGCAACUCGAGUUUUAAAUUGAAACACGUAUGCUCAUAGCAAUAGAUUAACCUUGAAAUUAAAAGCGGAUCAAGCUUCAUGCAGCCAUCCAAGAGGUCAUCAUCAAAAGAAGAGAUUACACAAGAAAUUCCAACAAAAAUUACUUCCCAGCACUUUAUGUUCCCUCAAGUUUGCUUCUCGUGAGAAACACAUGAAAAGAUGAAACAAAAAAAAAAAAAAAGAGGUGUGUGAUACUUGAUGUUGCCUCAUGGCAAUCCUGCCGAUUUUAAUUAACCCUUUGUCAUUCUCCUUUUCUUUCAUAUAAAUAAAAAAUUUACUAUUUUGCAGCACUUGCACAUACAUUUUGUCGACUAUUCUUUUCCGUGAGUCAGGCCGCAAUUGAAUUCUCCAAUCACCCGUGUCCAUGACAGGUUCUCCGCCUGGGACAGUGGGCCAACCAAAAAGAAAAAAAUAAUAAUAUUGCAUGUUAGAAUAGACCCUAAAAAGAAAGUCAGGAACGGCAAGAAGAGCAAAAGCACAUCAAGAACAUGAAAAAUGGAAUAUCAGUUUAUUCAGACUAGAAUAGAUUUAAAAAGAACUUCCGUCUAAUAUCAUGUACUUUAUUAAAGAAUUCAGCCAGAUAUGGAUGCAUAACAAAUAUACAAAACCAUUCAGGUCAAGGUGCUAGGAUCCUGGGUAUUCGGCCAUUCAAAGCAAAGAAUCUUCAUGGUGCUUCUAAACCAAAGAAGCAUUCCCUUCUAAGCAAAUACUUACUGUCAAACCCCACUCCCCUUCCCCUCCUGUUCUUGUUAUUUACUUCUCUGAAAGAAUAAAUAUUGUAGGGAGCAAAUAGUGUAAAUAGAAAGAGGAAAAUACCACAUCCCCAAAAGAAUAAAGAUAUAAGAAGAAGGCAAAACAAAGUCAUAAAACGAGGCCUUUCAAUUCCCAAUGAAUAUCAGCAGACUAAAUACCACAGCACAAAUAGAAGAUGAAGAGGCCAGAAACACUAAUCCAUCCCUAAGAGAUUGUCUAGGAUGUUUUAGUCUAGGAAAAAGACAAAGAAAACAACGAGCAUUAACAAUGAAUAUUUCAAGUUAUCAUCAACUCUAAAGAGCAGACUGAUAAGAAUCAACUUCACAAAUUUACAGGCACAUCUUUCUUUGAAUAGACAACACAAUAACCCUGACCAUACUAAAUGCUCCACCCACGAGCUGAUUGCACCUUUCUUCGAGUUGCGUUCACGAGCAGCGAUUUCAUCGAUCCGAUUAUAUAUCUUUUUAAUUUACUUAUUAAAAUCGAAUUUAUCUCUCUGGAUAAGAAUUUCAGUUAAAUAAAUGAAAACCCAGACAUAAAUUUUAAAAAUUAAAAACAUGAUAGAAAAGGAAGCACCUGGUGGAGAUUUGAAGCCUUAUUGGUUGAGGCGGCGGCUUCCUAGAGUGGAGGAGGGAAAGAGAGAGGGCUCAGGUGGGGAGAGGUGAAGAAUGUCGGACCAAAGUGAACAGAGCUUGACAGAUGACUUUAUUCUUUUCCAAAUUCACUAACAAACUUAAAUAAUUGUAUUCUGGUGUUGCUUCACUGUUCAUAACUAACAAACUAAAAGAAUUAUAUAUAUAUAUAUAUAUAUAAAAAAAAAAAAAACUAUGAGUGCUCAUUAAAACACGGUGCACUGUGUGUGAAUCCAGUGGCUUCACAGUCUUUACCGCGCUCCGUCCCUGUUUUUCGCGUUUCUUCUCGCGCGGUGGGUGUUCCCGCACUUUCUUCUCGGCUGCUGAGGCUCCCUGGCGUCUUUUCAUCGACUUUUGUCUGGUGCAUGUUCAGAUUGAGGCGGUUUGGCUGGUGCUAGGCGCGCGAGGAGAUGUCAGCCGACGGGUAAUCACCUGCAUCGGCUGGGAUGGCUUCAUUGAAGCUGUCCUCUUGGUCUGUGGCGGGCCUUCUCAUUAAUGAAAAAAUUAUUCUGAGACAUUGUUUUUGUUUUUAUAAACUCGUUUCUAUUUUAUUUUUUUUUAUCAAAAUUUUUAUAGGAAACACCAUAUAAAUUCUGGUUCGCUGUUUGUUGUUCUUGGUUAUGUUAUCAAAAAUACAAUAUUAAGUUAAUUAAAAAAUGAUGUUACAAUUACAUUACUAGCAUCAAAGAGGCGAUGAUAAAUUGUUUUAAAGCUAGAAAAUUGAUCAUUAUCUCUAUCUAUUUUUUAUUUUCGUUAUUGAUUUGUAUGUAUGUUUUAUAUGCUGACAUAGAUUGCAAAAAAGUUGUUUAAUUUUAGUAGGAAAAGUAAAGUAUAUAUAGUUUCUGUUAAAUUCCAUGACUUGUUAAAUUAUUUGUUGUGUGCUAUCUUUAUACUUGUUGCAUUGAUUCUACGGGGAAAGAAAUUUUAUGUUGCAUGGUAUUUUCUUUGUUGUUGGAUUGAUAUGAAAAAAUAAAUAAAACAAAAGAUUGGGAAAAAAAAGUUGCAUAUUUGGAUAAUAAUUACCGGUGAAAUAAUAUAUUAUUGGUUAGUAAAAGAAUACAAUACUCAAUUACGAUUAAUACUUGAGGUGUGAUGUAAAUUUAUUAAAUCACGUUAAAAAUCGAGUUUACAAUCUCUCUUUUCUUAUCUAUUUACUUUAAGCAUUUUAAUUAUAUUGUUUAUUAUUAUAUUAUAUGUGUUUAGUAUGUUUAUUUGUAUUAUUUGACAUAAUUAGUGUAACACCUAAUUCAUUUCCAUUAGAUGUUAUUGUUGUUUUAAUCCUAGAAUAUCAUAAGUAUCAAUUAGAUUUGUUUUUAUCAUAACUUUAGAAAAGUGCAUAAUGUUUUCUUAUGUUGAUGUCAAAAGAAAAAUAUUUAUAAUUAUUUGUAUUGUUAUAGUUUCUAUUGAAAAUUACAUUGUAUCUCGUAGAAAAACAAAUAAAUAAAUACAGAAUUGCAAAGUUAAAUUGUUUUUUCACAAAAUUAGUGUGUUAAAUUUUUGUGAUUAAUUAUAAUUAAUAUUAUUUGAGAUUAUAUAAGUAUGAUAUAUAAUUGCAAAGUUAAUUGAGAUAAUAGAUUGAUAAACCUAUUGAUAAUAAUUUCAAUAUACUUGUUAAUGUGGUAAUCUUUGUGGUUUAGAUGGCAAACCUAAUUCCUCAACAUUCUUCAUAUGGGGUAAAAACCAAAAUAAUUUGAGUGGUGUGAACUUAAAUAUAAAGCAUGAUGAAACAAUAAUCCUUCCAUCAUCAAGCCUUGUUAUGACAGCAAAGCUCCACAAAACCAUGAUUUCUUAGCAUAUAAUUGAGAAUGUUGAUAAGAAAGCUACUAAGCUUGUUGUAGUUGUGUUAGAAGUAAACUUCAUGGAAAAUCCUAAUAGUGGUGGAUUGUUAUUGGAGUUAUCUAUCAUGUAUGUUUUGAUAUUUUUUUUAUUUUAGUAUGCAACAACUACUAAUGGAGAAUAAUUAUUCUUGGAUAACUCCUUAGUGAUUGUUUGAGAGUGUGGUAACGAUUGCGUUACAAAGUUUUUUCGUUUGAAAAUACAUUAAAAUAAUUUUUUUAAUUUAUUUUUGACAUUAGUAUAUCAAAACUAUUCAAGAACACAAAAAAAUUAAUUUGAAGCAAAAAUAAAUUUUUAAAAAAUAGCAAAACAACAAUUUAACUAUAAUGGCAAACAAGCCUUUAAUAUGCAAAAUCCUAGACCACAAAAAAGGUGAUGUUAAGGAUGACAUAGGAAAGAGUGGACUCUGAACAAUAUAGUUAAUGCUUCUAAUAUUCAAAAGAGUAUUGUUUGUGGCUCACUAUUAAGCAAAUACAAGUUUAAGUUAGUUUUCUAAUCUAAUAAAUGUAUCCUCACCAAGAGUGGGAUGGUUGUGGGGAAGGUAUAUUCAUGUAAUGAGUUAUUUAAGCUCAAUGUGAUGACUAUUGUACUAAAAAGCCAAAAAAAAAUAUGAACAUUCCUUCUUCUUUUUUUAAUUGGUUAGAGCCUUCUAAUCUAUUCUAUAGAUAGAAGUAGCGAGCCUCUAGAGUUAAUUCACAUUAAUAUUUGUGAUUUAAAUUUAUACCAAUUAAAGGUAAUAAAAAUUAUGUUAUUAAAGUUAGAAGUUAUUCUACUUCUUUUCUUUAUUUAAAGUUGUGUUUGUUAAAACUCUACCUGAAAUAUAAUUGUUUACUUUUAAACUAUAAAGAUGUAACCUUUUGUCUUAAAAGUUAUGUUAAAAUUAAAUAUUAGAAUUACCUAUAAAAAGAGAUAAUUCUGACGUGAUUUUGAUAAUGAAGAAAACUUCUAGUCUUUUUAAAACUCUUCUCUUUUAUAUUUUUUCAACCAAAAUUCUUACAAAGAGUAACAUAAAAAUUUUAGUUCGCCGUUUAUUCUUGGUUAUGCUAUCAAGAAUAAGAGAUUGAAUAAGCUUGAAAAAUAAUAUUAUAAUUACAUUGCUAGCACCAAAGAGCAAGUAAUAAAUUGUUUUAUAAUAAUUUAUCGUCAAUCUAUUUAUUUUAAUUUGUAGCUAUCCGUACAAUAUAGAUCUCAUAGACCUAUAAAAAUUCAAAAUGGUAUUGAGAUUUCUAAAAUUAUAAGUGAAUAUGCGGACAAUGAUAAAAAAUUAUUUUUUAUGGAUGUUAAAGCCAUGAAUAUUUUAUAUUAUACAUUGGACAAAAGUAAGUUUGAUAGAAUUAUAUUAUAUAACAAUGCUUAGAGAUAUAUAGAUUGCGUUCCAAGUAACUCAUAAAGAAACUAAUAAGUUAAAAAAUCUGAAAUAUGAAUUGUUCAAAAUGUUUGGUGACUUCAUCGCUAAAAUGUUUAUUAUUAAUAGUUUAUUAGUUUGGAUGUUUUUAGUAAUGCUGAAAUUAUAGAGAAUUGAUCAUCAAGUUGAUUUUUAUAUAUGCAUAGAAAUCAGAUCAUUAUAAAUUUAAUAAACUAUUUAAAGUGUUCCAAUGGAAAGAAAAUGGGUGUUGUGAAUUUGAGUCUGCAUUUUUCUCUACCUUCUUUUUGGUGUUUUUUGUUCGUCCGUUCCUGAAAAUUUACGCUCAGUUUUUGCCUUCUACCUGCUGCUUAGUUUAGGGUAUUAAAUUUCUUUGUUUCUUCGGAAGAUGCCUUACUCUUGGUUGAUUGCCUUUCUGUUUCCAAGAUAAAUAAGUGAAUUAGUUGCAAAACAGGGGAAUCUCUGUAAGAACAUUACAAUAGCAUUUACUCUGAGUAAGAAAACUUUUAUACAUGCACUGUAAUUGACAAUGAGUUAACUUUGUGGAUUCCGUAGCACCGACUACAUCGCAGGCCAUGCCUGAUAAUCAAAUUCAAGCUGUUCUGACUUCGGUUGUUGGAAAGCAAAGUUAACAUAAGUGAAAAAAAAUGUUUCUAUUCCAAUUCUUCUGUGUCAAUGCAUGGCUGUGGGGUAGUUGGGGGUGGGGGGGGGGUAAUUAGUGCAGAUGAUACAGUGACAAGCAAUGCUGAUGGGGAAAACAAAUUAAUCAAAAGCUCAGCUGUGGGGGUUUAUGAAUCAUGUGUGAGCAAAUAAAUCAGAAAAAAAUUACAAAGACAACUUACCUGCUGUAACUUGGUAGCAAUUCUCUGGUACAUUUCAUUUAUUUCAGGCAAAUACGUUUCCUUCAUAACUUUGAUCUAGGAAGUACAUAUAACCAGCAAAACAUUAUCAAUCAUAUGCUUGAUUUCUUCAGGUGGCAGAGUCAGAAAGCAACUUAAGCAAACUUGAGAGAAUUGAUAGAUAAAUAAAUAAAAUGGCAGAGGACAGCAUAUAUUGUUUGAGAUAAAAAUAGCAGAGUGGAAUCAAUGCUGAAAACUCAAUAGAGAAUAUAGUUAUUGAUUGCAUGCAAAGAUGCAAAGGAUUGUGUAGUUACCCCUUCAGACAAGAUUCAGGGAUUGGUCAAGUUCAGUUACUUUGUCUCACGGCAAACUACUCACCAUUGUUUUCUAUUGUUCUCACUCAAGUCAAUGGAUGUCACGACUUUGGUAAACACUUCUUAGCUUUAUAACUUUAGAUUUAUAAUCCUUAUAUCCUAAUUACAACCACUCCUAUUCCCGUUUUAGUACCCUCCCAGGCACAAAAAAAUUGACCUCAUCAAAUAUGCAGUUAUGAGUUGCAACUACAGCCAUUAAACGAUUCAGAAUAUCAACCUCGUUUUCUAUAAAAUUCAACAAUGCUGGACAUGGUCAUGAUUCAAUGGAUUAGGUCCACUUAUUUUCCUUUCUUCGAUUGUCACAUGUUUCAGAACAAAUUUGAUUGUAAUCUUGAAAAUAACUGUUCACUUAACCAAAUAUAACGAUGACUAUUCAGAAACAGUUCACUCUUGUUUUCAAGUCUGUCUAUUAUUGUAAGAAGUAUUGUCAAUUGGACUUAUUGGAAAUAAUAAAAUAAUAAUUCACCACACAAUAAAUGUAUGGAAAUACAGGGAAAAAAUUGAAAGGGAGAGAUUUGCAAUAGAAAAAAUUGUCGUGUCAGUACCAAGAAAAUAACCCUCUUGACCUAGAAAUCUGAAUAUUUACCUUUAAUCAUCUUAUCAGUAAUUUAUCGUUUCUUAGUUGCUGCAAUCAUGGAACUUACAAUGCUUCCUAACUAAUCACAACCAUAGCUGAAUAAAACUCCCUUGUACCAAAUUCCAGGAGACCUUUUCCAUUGAAAUCUUGCAAGACGAUGACAUACAUGAACAGUAAACUACAGAAAUUACCUUUUGGUAGAUCUCCUCUUGCCAAUCAGCACCAUUUGCAUGUCCAGUUUCUGCUGUAGAAUCUACACACACAUGUGUACAUGCAUAAAUCCACAAACUUAUGCAUGUGUAUAUUCAUGUCUAGAGAAUAUCGAAAUUAUUGAACCUAGCAUUAGCCGAAUACCUGAUUGGUGGCGGCAGUAUAAAUCUUUUCCUCAAACCGUACGGCAAUUUUCUUGAGUUCUUGUAAUCCCUCUUGACCAGAAAACGGAAGAUGCCUCUUUAAUGUCUCCAUUCUACACAUGUAAAACAUUACAUUUAAUUUUUAAUGACAAGGCAGGUAUAGAGAAGUUAGCAGCAGUGAGAAAGAACCGUGAACUCAUACACCACACCAAUAUCAGAAAUGUAUACUACGGAAUCAUUAGCAAAAAGUAAAAACAAAUAAUGAUAUAGCCGAGUGUCGAUCAAGUAAUAUAUGGCAUCAACAUACAGACAUCUAUUUUUACUUCCUUUCCCCGUAUUAUUCCAGAGGUACAGGGUAUACGAGUUCACUUGGCCACCCUUCUGUCUAAAAUUCUAGUUACGAGCUUCAUGGUUAAUUUUCUUGAACCGGAAGAACCUUCCAUUUAUGGCUAUGGCUAUGCUCCAAGAUAUACAAAUGAAUUAGUUGCAAACCAGGGGAACUUUGUGAAAACAUUACAAUAGAAUUUACUCUGAAUAAGAAAACCUUUAUACAUGCACUGUAAUUGACAAAGAAAAGAAGAGAAAUCCUUUUAAUUUAUGAAAAUGCAAUGAGGUAACCUUAUCUCAUGCUGCAAUAUAUACUCUACAGUGCUCAUUGGCUACUUUAAGUGCCAACAGUAGCUGUCUAUACGAAUUUGGAUGUAGAGAUAUCACCAAAACAUUCAACUUUAUACUGAGAAACUAGGAAACCAUGCACUAUUGUAGCUAAAUGAUUUUUGUCAGCUGCUUUUGUACUUUAAGAUCACUAUCAUUUCAACCCUGUAGAAGUUAAAGCAUAUAGAAGGCUCAAAUCCAACACUAUUCAUUUAAGUUCAGUUGCAACUCAAGGUUGAAAUUGAAACACCAAUGCUCAUAGCAAUAGAUUAACCUUGAAAUUUAAAGCGGACAAGCUUCAUGCAGUCAUCCUAGAGGUCAUCAUCAAAAGAAUAUGUUACACAAGAAGUUACUUCCCAGCACUUUUUAUUCCCUCAAGUCACUUCUUGUGAGAAACACGUGAAAAAUGAAAAAGACAAAAACAGAGGUGUAUGAUACUUGAGGUUGCCUCAUGGCAGUCCUGCUGAUUUUAAAUAACCUUUUUCCCUUCUCUUUUUCUUUCAUUUAAAUACAAGAUUUACUAUUUUGCAGCACUUGCACAUAUUAGGAAACAGAUACUUACAUUUUGUUGACUAUUCUUUGCCGUGAGUCAGGCUGCAAUCAAGUUCUCCAAUCACCUGUGUCCCUCACAGGUUCUCCACCUGGGGCAGUGGACCUCCAAUUAUUGGCAUCCAUGGGGUUUUGGCCAACCAAAAAAAUCACUUCUAUCACCAAAUUUUUUUUUAAUUAUAUUGCAUGUUAGAAUAGACCCUAAAAAGAAAGUCAGGAACAACAGAAAAGUAAGAGCACAUCAAAGUCAUGAAACUUGGAACAUCAGUUUAUUCAGACUUGAAUAGAUUUAAAAAGAACUUCCAUCUAAUAGCAUGUACUUUAUUAAAGAAUUCUACCAAAUAUGGAUGCAUAAAAUCUGAACAGCCAUAACAAAUAUACACGACCAUUCAAGGCAAGGUGCUAGGAUCUUGGGUAUUCAGGUAUACGGGUAUUAUAAGAGAUUUGGGCCUGAAUCUUCAUGGUGCUUCUAAAACCAAGGAAGCAAAAAACUAGCCAGCCAGUUCAUAACUUGCCGCACCAACAGAUGGUGAGUGUUGGUAAACCAAGCCAUAGAGAAACUCAUGGUGCUUCAAUUUUAACUUGAUGUUUUCUAGCAACACUCGUGAUGCAUCAUUGAUGCAAUGUUACAAUGACAAACUUGCAUUUGUAUUCAUUGUGGUUUUAGGUUCACAGAUUCUGAUCAAAUAGAUAUUUAAUGUUCCAAAAACAUUGUAUACGCAUUUAAAUGCUUUACUUCAAUAGAUAGAUUAAGUUAUCUUUCUAGAUAUCAGUAUAUCACAUCUUACCAAUUUAGAUUCAGCACAGGACCUUUUUCAAGUGCUUACCAAUUUUUACUCGCAACCAAAUACAUACCGUCAAACCCCAACACCCCCCCCCCCGGUUCUUGUUAUUUAUGUAUGAAUUAACUUUUCUGAAAGAAUAAAUGUUGUGUGGAGGAAAUAGUGUAAAUAGAAAGAGGAGAAUACCACAUCCCCAAAAGAAUAAAGAAAGAAGAAGAAAACAAAACAAAGUCAUAAAACAAGGCUUUUCAAUCCCCGAUGAAUAUCAGCAGUCUAAAUACCCCAGCAAAUAGAACAUGAAGAGAUUGUCUAGGAUGUUUUAAGCUAGGAAAAUGAAGAAAACGACAAGCAUUAACCAUGAAUAUUUCAUGUUAUCAUCAACUCUAAAGAGCAGACUGAUAAGAAUCAACUUAAUAACUCUUGUUGAAAUAAGAUUAAAUUUGCAGGCACAUCUUUCUUGGAAUAGACAACACAAUAACCCUGACCAUGCUCGACCUUGAGGUAAGUUAUAAAAUGUUCUUCCUAACUAGAUGCACAGGUGCGCCUUUGGGGUGAAGUGAACUAGGUCAUUUGUUUUGCACUUUCACAUGCUCUUAACUUUCAACUCAAUCAAUCACAAUACAGUCCUUGGUUAGGACUAACUGUCCUACUCAAGCUUUCACCUCAUACUCAAGACCAGCUGAGCAGUCCUAAAAAGAAAGAUAUAUCAUGUAGGGUUAUCAAGGCAGACCUAUUGUUUUUAUUUUUUUUCGCGUUAACAUGACCAAAUUAUAAAAUUUAAAGUUCUUUUCUUUCUUUCUUUUUUCCAUGUGUGAGCGAGCAUAAAACCCAAGGAUAUCGUAUUGUUGUUAAGAACACAAUAAUUUUGAAGAAUUCAGUAAAUUCCAAAAAAGAAGAAUCCACCAAACAGCUCAUUUUUUGGUUAUUACAAAAUCUGAAGCCUUCUUGGCAGCGGCGGUUUCCGAGAGGCGGAGGAGGGAGGGAGGGAGUGAGAGCUCGGGUGGGGAGAGGUGAGGAAUGCUGGGCCCAAGUGAAAUGGAUGACUUUAUUCUUUUCCAGAUUCCUUCUAAAAAAAUUAACGAGUAAACACUAGCUUGCUCGCUCGCUCGCACGCACGCACGCAUAUGAUAAUUAAAAUUUGAGUUAAAUUCUAUUUAACUAGUGUCUGUAUUUGUGUUAAACAAACAGAUUAAUCCCUCAAGUUCAUUUAAAUAACUAAUUGAUCCUUGAAUCACAUUUUACCGUUAAGUUAGCGGCACAAACUAAGGAAAUAUUGCUGACAGCUCAACAUUUUACUAACGAAAAAUUUAUGAAGGGACCGCAUUGUAAACAUAUUUAAAAGUAUAGGGAUUAGUUAGAACAGCUAGUUAUCAGUUAUCACUGCCUCUGAGAAUUAAUAUACAGCUCAGCAUUUUGUUGAAGGGACGGGCAAAGGUACAUUUAUUUCCGUUAACUUUCUAAUAUUAGAUCUUGCUUCAGUACACUUUAUUAAAUUUAUUUUAAUAUAUUAAAUAAUAUAAAGCACAAAACAGAUCAUAAUAAAAUACAAUAAAAACAAGUUGUGAUAUAUUUGUUGCACAUGGCAAUCUAUAAAUGAAGUGGUUGGACCUCAAUUUUCAAUUUUUUUAUUUAAAAUUAAUUUUUAUUUUAGAUUAUUUUGAUGUAUUGAUAUUAAAAAUAAUUUUUAAAAAUAAAAAAAUUAUUUUAAUGUAUUUUCGAGUUAAAAACAUUUUAAAUACAAUCACACUUUCAACCACCCUCAAAUUGUUUGAUAUACACUUUCAACAUGACAAGGAUUGAUCAUUGUCUUAUCCAAAGUUUUUCUCCGGAUAAGAAAUUUGUAAAAAAAAAUAUUUUUUCUUAAUUUUGUAUUUUGUAUUUAUCGCUUAUUUAUCUUUUAAUUCGAAAAACUAAAAUUUGACCAAUUUUAUUGAAAUAGAUAUGUGCAUGUAAGAUUUUAAUUGCAAAAUCUUUUUGAUUUAAGAACUAGAUUGUUCUAGAUGACAGAAAUUCUAGUAAAGACUAAAAUAUCAUAAAAAUAAAAAUAAAACAAAUAAUUGAAAAAAUAUCAAUAAUAAAAACAAAAUUAUUUGAUCUUGUCUCGUGUGCAUCAAACAUAGAAUAAAAACAUAUAUUAUCUAGUUCAAUUCAAUUCAAUCUUAAAUAUUGUUUAGUAUUUAUAUUAUCAUUUUCAAACUAUAAUAACUAACGCAUUUUUAGUUUCAAUUUACAUACAAACUCAUCUAAUGAUAUUUUUAUUGUUAAAAAAAUAUCAUAAUUUGGAAUUCCAAAAAAAAAUUCUAUUGGAAAAAUGUUCUACAAAAAUAAAAAGAAAUGUGGAAAUAUACUUAUAUAUUAUAAAUUAAUGGAAAUACAUCAAAUUAUUGAUAAUGUCAAAAUGUUGCAUGGCACUUUAAUCACAUGUCUCCUUCUCCUCCUCCUCCUCCUCCUCCUCCUUACAAUUGUGUUUCAAAAUAUAUGAUAAGAGAAAGGCUUGAAUGACAACAUACACGUUUCUAUAUGCUAUCAAAAGGUAAUAUUUGAUUACAAUCCUGAACAAAAGAGACGAAAACCAUGAAAAUAAAGGAAACAAGAUAGAAAAGAAUUUGAAAAUAUAAUUAUGUCUAGUAGUAACUAUUUAUAUAUCUUAUUUGAUAAUGAUAAAUAAAUAAAAUAAAAUAUAAAAAAUUAUUUUAUCUUUAAUAUGUAUUAUUAUUAAACUUAUACAUUUAUACAAAUAAGUUUGUAUUAAGUGUUAAAAUUAAUAAUAUUAUGAUAACCCUAAUUAUAAAGCCUACACUGGCCUAGUGGAUCGAUUCGGGACUUAGUCGUCUCUAGACCUGGAUCAAUACAAGUUUAAGAAAAGAUAAGGUGAAUUAAAAAACCUUCUUGAUUCAGGAUAAAGCAUGGGUUGACUUAGGAUAAAACACGGGGCAAAACCCAUUGUUUUUUUUUUUUUUAAAAUGGUCAAAACAAGGUUGUGUUGAUUCUCAUUUAAAAAAAAAAAAUUUGGGUCAACUCGAGUUGACCCUCCCAACUCAUGACCCAAGCUUUGCCUCAGAUCGAAUCUUAGAUGAAGUUUCAAAACUAUGAUAAUAAUUAUUUUUAUCUAUGCAUUAAUCCUCCUGACCCAAGACUUGAGCUUAUAUCAGGUCAAUCCCUGAGUUGAGUUUUAAAAAUAUUGUAAUAACCAUUUUUAUCUUGACAUUGACCCCGUUCAACCAGAGUUGACCCUCCUGACUUGUGACUUGAGCCUUGCCCUAAGUCAACCUUCAAGUUAAGUUUUAAAAUUAUAAUAAUAACCAUUUUUAUUUUUUUAUUGACCUGGGUCAAUGGUCAACCUAAACAAUAACUCGAGCCUUGUUCCAGGUCGACUCUCGUGUUAGAUUUUACAACUAUAAUAAUAACUAUUUUUAUGCUUACCUUGAUUUGGGUCAACAAGGAUCACAUAUUUUACUCCAAGUCAACCCCCAAGUUGGGUUUUAAGACUACAAUAAUAACUAUUUUUAUUUUUACAUGUCUUAGUUAGGCAAUUUUGAAAUUGAAAGUUUUUUACAAUGAUAUUUUAUGAAUAAAAAAUAAUAAAUAUUGUUUAUAAAGAUAUGUCUUAUUUGUACUUUCUAUUUUGAAAGUCCAUAAAUUCACUGUAAAAUUAUCCUGUAAAAAUAUUAUUUUUAUAUCUAUUUUUAUUUUCAAUUAAACACAUUUUUGUCUCUACUAUUUUCAUUCUUUUUAUCCUAAGAUAAUAACUAAAUGCUACACUAGAGUUUAAUAAUGAUAUAAAUGCGAACAUCUUAACUUCGUAAAAUCAAAUGAGUAAAGAAGAAGACAUAAAAGGGAAGUUCAUGUUAAUUUUAUAAAAUCAUAGUUAUUAUAUCUUGCUUAAAGCUUGAUUCGGCUAAAAUCCUAGAUUAGCAAGUUAUAGGUCAACCUAUUAAGUUAAUGAGUUGACUAGUAUAUCAAUUAUGAUAAUAAAUUAUACAUAUAAUAUUAAAUCUAAAUGUUUCAUACAUGUUGGUUUUGGUGGGUUGGUAAUUUUUUUGUGUCAAUAAAAAAACACCAAGAUUCAAACAUUACUGUAUGAAUAUUUUUUUCAAAGUCAACCUUUAAAUCAACUAGGUUUUAAAAUUUAGUAGUUAAACUCACAAAUCAAUCAUUUGAUUUAUGUGAUAGGCCUAUAUUUAAGAUGAACAUUUACCAUAAAUGAAAUGUAUCUUACAGUAUCAGACUUGUUAUUAUAAAACAUGUUUUUGUUAAAGAGUUAUUGAUACUUCAAAUGCAAAAUGAUGAUAUAAAACCUUGAUAAAAAUACACUUUUAAGUAUUAAUCAAUGUUCUACUAGAAUGUAGGAGAAGCAUAGAGAGUGGGACCCGACUUCUCACGUGCAAGUACAACAGGAGUUCAAGGUAAGGGUUGCCCCCUUGCUUCUUUAAAAUGUUUAAAUUCUUGUAAAGCUAAUAUGUUAUAGACAUUAUAUGUAUCAUGUACUACUGUGUAUCAUGAGAAAUAUGUCCUAUAUGAACAUUGUCUACGGGUAGUAUAAAUAUUGUUGCGUGAAAGUUACCAACAAGUAGGAGAAAUAUUAUUAUUGUGUGAACGUUGCCAAUGAGCAAGAAAUGUUAUUACAAUGUGAAUGUUGCCUACGAGCAAGGAAAAAAAUAUUAAUUCUAUGUGAAUGUUGCCUACGGGUAGGGAAACAAAUACUAAUUCUAUGUGAAUAUUACCUACAAAACAGAGAAAUAAUAUUAUUAUAUGAAUAUGUCCACCUAGUGAAUAUGACUAAAGAAAGGAAAGAUACAAUGAAACAAACAUGGAUUUGAAAUUUGAAUUUUGUUCGUAGUCUCUAGGAUUUGGAGUUUGGAUAUGGGUCUAUAUUAUGUUUAUAUAUAUAAAAAAAAGAAAAAGAAAAGAUUGCCUAUGGACUUAAUUACCGACCUCGAAUAGGGGUAGCUAAUGAUGUUAACAAAUAUUGUUAACAUUGGCAUGAUCUUGAUGGAAAUAUAAUGAAUAUUGAACUUGAUUAACUAUUUGUAUCACUAAUAGUUAAUGAUAUUGAUGAAUAAUGUUUGUAUCGACAAGCCCAUACUAACUAACUUGAUUAACUUUAUAAGGUUGAAGUUAAUGGUGUCAUGAGAACUUGGCAUCGGCAUUUCUGGAAAUAUCUCCAAUUGUGAUGGAGAGUAAUUGAUUGACUAUUUCGGGUUGGAAAUAGCUCAAUGGCAUCGAUCGAUUAAGUUGGUGUCGGCAUUGCUAAGGAAUUGAUUAGUUUAUCUAGGUAAGGGUGACUAAUGACACUAAUAGGAGUUAUUAGUGUUGGCAGUGACUGCCUUAGAAUUUGGGGCGGAAGAAAAAGGGUAAAUCAUACAAAAGUUAAUGUGUGAUAAUCGAAAAGAAAACCAUAAGUAGGUUGUGGAAGGAUAGGUGUUAGAUGUAGUAAAUGAUCUUCUUUUACGGAUCAACUAUGAUUAUGCCCUAUCAAGUGGGUACACAUAUGCGUAGUUACAUGUAGUAGUGACCCUCCAUUAUCUGGUUGUAUUUUAUUUAUUUAAUAUAAUUAUUCUCUUAUUUUGAUGUUUUAGGUCUUUCUCAUUCCCAUCAGGAGUAGUGUCCUAGGUGUCUAGUUCUUUUGUAUGAAUUAGGGAAUUAUCAUUUCCAAUUCUUUUGUAUAACUUAGGGUUAGCAUCUUUAUUUCUUCUGUGUGAACCUGGGAUGAAAUGGAUGUUGUAUUUUCUUUAGAUAAUUAUAUGACAGGAACGAUGUUAAUGUUCCUUUAUCUUAAUCUUAGAGACCUUUAGAAUUUUAUGCUUGUAAUAUUAAUGUUAUUAAUCAAGUUUAUUACUAUUAGUUUGUGUUGUAAAUUAUAUGUUCGAAAUGAAUCCUUGGAUUUGCAAUAUAUUAUGAUUAAUAAUAAUUUUAUGCUUGUAAUAUUAAUGUUGUAGGAAUUAAUUUUAAAUGCUUACGAAAUCGCCGGGCAUUACAUUACUAAUAAGGCUAGCUACCAAAUCCUCACCCACCGAUGUAGGAUAUUACAAUCCACCUCCCUUAUGGAGCCCGACGACCUCGUCGGCACAACUGGAUAUCCAGUGAGGUUGGCUCCGAUACCAAAUAUCACAACCCGCCCCAACUUGGAAAAUAUUAUUGGUUUUGGGCCUUACCGCCAUCACAAAUUUGUUUUUAGAAGCCACGCAUAGCUCCAAAACGUAUCUGACAAGUCAACAACCAACAAUACUAAUAAGGCUAACUAUCAAAUCCUCACCCGCCGAUGUGAGAUAUCACAAUGCACCCUUCUUAAGGAGCCCGACGAUCCCAUCGGCACAACCGAACAACCAGUGAGGCCGACUCUGAUACCAAAUGUCACAGCCCGAUCCAACCUGCUAAAUAUUGUCCGCUUUAAGCCUUACCACUCUCACAGAUUUGUUCUUGGCAGCCACGCAUGGCUCCAAAACACGUUUGACAAGUUAGCAAUAGUUAGCUACUAAAUCCUCACUCAUUGAUGUGAGAUAUUAUAUUAAAAAUAUACAAGUUUGUAUACUAGUGUUAUGCUUUGGAGAUAAAAAACCCUUUAACUGUAAAACAAAAUAUCCAAGUCUAAGGGAACUCAUUAGCAUUAUUAUUAAACUUGAAAAUACAGUAGUUUUGAAUUUUUCUCCAUCAAGAUAAUUUUUCUUAUUAACAUAUUUUUUUUUGUUUAUCCUGGUGAAUGCAAGCUUUUUUUUCUUUACUAGAAUCAUUGUUUCUAUUAAAAGAAUAUUCUAUAAUUGUCACAACAAAUUAAAAAAAAAUAAUCAAAAUAGUAUGUUAAUAUUUUUAUGUGUGAUUGAAAGUUAAAAAAAUAAUAAAUAUGAUAAAAUCAUGCUCAAAAUAUAUUUAAAAAUUCUAAGAUUAAUUAAAAAAGUGAUUUAAAUUGAACUUUCAUGAACAAAUUUUUAUGGCAUAUAUAUAAUAAUUGAAAACAAUUAUUAAAAUUUAAAUAAAAAUUUAUAAAACAAGGCUUGCGCAUCUGACCUUGUUUUAUAUUUUUAUUAAACUCUACUCGAAUGCUGGAGCUCUAUCAGUUGUUCCUCUAUUUUUAUUAUCCCAGCAUUAGUUGUUGACAAAAAAAACUGGAAACAUCCUCUCGUGGUUGCUAGGAGUUGGGAGUCACAAAAAUUUACAUGACUAGAUGAGAUAAUAACAACAUCCUUGUAGAUGAGGUUGCCGAUGCGUUGCGGUUGCUGCACAUUGCGAUGUCUUUGCAGAUGAAACCCACUAGCUGCUGAUGCAAAGCUUGUUGAAUUUGCCACAUGUUGAGCUUGGGCUUGCAUAAAAGCAUUAGUGUAGAUUAGUUGAGUCUGUUGCAGUGCAUACUUUUUUAACUGCUACUGCUACUGCCGCUUUGAACAAGAUUUUGAGGAAAUGCAGAAGUGCAUUAGGUAACUUGGUACCCAUAGAUGAUGAUGAUGAGAUGUGGUCCGAAUAAACACUUCCAUUACUAGUUGUUGGUGUUUCACUAUGAAUGGAAGCUGCAGCUGCAAAUUGUCUCACAGGAAUUGUUGAAACAGAGGAGUCUGUUAAAUAUAGCCAAGAGAACACAAUUGACUGCCCAACAGUUAAUGGGGUCUGUCCUCCAACCAUAUCGGCCUUCCUCUCUCCUUCCAUAUUUGAAGUGUCAUUUCCUCCAUUUUCCCCUUCUUCAGGCACACGGUAAUUCAUCUGUUGUGUUGCUUGGGCCGCAGUGAUGAAGUGAUAGCCAUGCCUUGCUGCCGUUGGAGGGCUUUGGAGAAGAGCAUGAUUCUGAACCAGCAAUGAAACAUCAAGACCUAGGAAAGUUGUGGUUCCGUUGAUGGAGCAAAUGACAUUGCAAAAGGAGGAGGUGUUUGUGAGUAACAUUCUGAUUUUGCAUCAGCUGCCGCUACUAGUUCGGCAGGGAAUGAUUCUGUUGAUGAUUCUACAGAUAGUUGGAUCUUGAUGAUCGCUGCUGAUUCCACCUAAUUCACUCCCAUGUGGUUUAUGCUGCUGAUUCUGCAAAUGCUUCUGAUUCUGAUGACGAGGAGCCACUAGAAAUACUUGGAUUUUAAUGACCCUGUUGGCUUUGUUGUGUCUGUAUGAAUGGUUGUUGCUGUCGCUGAAGCUGUGAAGGAUGAAGCAUUCAAGAAGAAAAAAAUUGAUCCAUUGAAGAAAGACAGCCUGAGGAUGGGUUCCUUUGUAAGUUGUUGUGGCCCCCAACAUGUUCAGGGAUUGGAAUCUCGUACGCACCAUUUUGCAAAAUUGCCAGGGAAGUUUGGGUAGUUGAAGCUCAUUGUUGUAGCACCAGUUAUUGUUGAUGUCGUGGCAUUUAUUGAAGCAGAACUUUAGCUACUUGAAGAAGCUACAUUGCUAGCAACAGGGGAAGGCCUCACACUGGCUAGUUGAAUAGAAGCUUUUACUACUGCAGUAGCUUGUUAUUGAUCCAUUGGGAAGAUGAAAGCGAGCCCUUGCUUGAAAAAUCUUAUUAUGAGCCCUAGGGGGCAGAACUCGCUGAAGCAAAAUCUGCAAGGGCCUAAAUACAAAAAAAAAAAAAAAACGUUAUGUACAAGUUGAAUAAGAAAUUGGAUAGCUGAUAGAAUUGAUGCAGGCAACAAGGAAAAUAUGGGGAGUCGCUAGCAAGGUCAUUUAUGUUACAAUGAUAUGUUCUUAUUUAUUGCUUUUCUGAAUAAGAGAUCAUGUUCUUAUAUCAUAUACAAGGCUGCUAAGUAUGGAAAGUAAUAACUAUUUACACAUAAAUUGGCUGGGAUCAUGGUGAUACAUAUUUUGUGGAGCUAAUGGAUUCUAUCCUCGUGAUUUCAGCAAUUAAUCUCAAUGAUAGUUCAUGCCAACACUCUCCCUCGAGUUGGUGCACAGAUGCCUUUAAUGCCCAACUUGUCUAGCGAGUUAUAAAACAUCUUGCUUGAAACAACUUUUGUGAGAAUAUCCACUAGAUGGUCUUCUGAUAUUACAAAUGGGAAUUGAACUAUCUUGGCCUCAAGCUUUUCUUUGAUAAAAUAUUGAUCUAUUUCAACAUGUUUUAUCUUGUCAUGUUGAACUGGAUUUUGUGCAAUUUGUAUAUUUGCUUUAUUCUCACAAAACAACCUCAUGGUUGGCCAAGAUGAGUAGCCAAUUUCUUCCACCAACUCCCUUAACCAAAGAAGCUCGCAAAGUCCUUUGUCCAUGCCAAGAAACUCAGUCUCUGCACUAGAUAAUGCCUCAACUUUAUGUUUCUUACUUCUCCAAGUGACUAAGUUUUCUCCACAAAAGUGAAAUACCCAAAAAUAGACUUUCUAUCAACAAUGUUUCCGACUCAAUCUGCAUUUUUAUACCUAUCAAUGUUUAGGUGGUUAUACUUCAUGAACAUAAGCCCUUUUCCUAGAGAUGCCUUCAACUAUCAUAAGAUCCGGAUCAUAGCUUCCAUAUGCUCUUCACUUGAGCUAUGCAUAAACUAACUCACCAAGUUCACAACAUAGGUAAUGUCUAGUCGAGUAUGAGAUAAAUAAAUCAACUUCACAACUAACUGUUGAUACCUUUCUUUAUUAGUGGGUAUUUGAUUUGGAUGCUCUCCUAGUUUGUGGUUUUGGACUGUUGGUGUGUCUGCUGGUUUACAAUCAAGUAUACCUGUCUCAGCUAGUAGGUUAAGUACAUAUUUUCUUUGUGAGAGAAAUAUCCCUUUACUUGAUCGAGCCACUUUAAUCCCCAAAACAAAUUUUAGUCCUCCAAGGUUUUUCAUUUCAAACUCAUUCGUUAGAUGUUCUUACAAGCUCAAGAUCUCCUCCUCAUCAUUUCCUAUAAUUAUCAUAUUUUCGACAUAAAUUAAAAGGCAGUUACCAUUUUCCCUUGAUGUUUUAGGAAUAAAGUGUGAUAUGAAUUUCUUUGUUUGAAGCUGUACUUCUUCGUGGCUAAACUAAACCAUCCAAACCACAUCCUUGGUGACUAUUUUAGACCAUAUAGUGCCUUCUGCAACUUGCACACUACUCCAGCAUAUGAGGUAGCAAAGCCUGGUGGGACAUCCAUAUACACUUUUUCUUCAAGGUUCCCAUGAAGGAACACAUUUUUGACGUCGAACUAUUGGAGUGGCCAAUCUAAAUUCACAGAGAUUGACAGCAAUGCCCUGAUUGUAUUUAAUUUUUCCAUGGUGAAAACUUCCCCUGAUAGUCAAUGCCAUAUGAUUACGUAUAUCCUUUUGCGACAAGCCUUGCCUUGUAUCUAUCAGCCUUGUAUUUAAUAGAGAAUACCUAUUUACUUCCUAUUGCUUUCUUCCCUUUUGGUAGUGGCAUGAUCUUCCAUGUUUCAUUCUUUUGUAAAGUUGCCAUUUCUUCUAUUAUUACUUGAUUCCAUUUUGGAUUACUCAAGGCUUCUUGCACUGUGUUUGGGAUGUGUUCAGAAGACAGCUUUUGCACAAAGGUCUUGAGUGGCUGUGACAAUCUUUGGGUAGUGACAUGAUUAGCAAUUGGAUAUUUAAUUUUCUCCUCUCUAUGGUCUGGUGAGUAUCGACUUGGUGGCUUGCUGCGGUUGCACCUAUGAGGUAAUUUGUAGCCAACAAAACUAUCUUUAAUAUUAUUAAGAGAGAGAUUUGGGAACUGUACCUCAGGAUUAUUCUUAGGACAAUGGUUGUUUGAUACUGAACCGAGAGGGGGCUGUUCUUGUUCUUGUUCAUUCUCUGUCUUGUUAUUCUACCCAACUAUUGUGUUUGUGUCUCUAAACCAUGGCCAGUUCUCCCAAUUACAACCAUGGUCUAUAUUCUGCUCUUCACCAAUCAUCUCCCCCUGAAGAGAAUAAUGAGAACCUGGCUCUUGAAAGAAGUAUUUAGUUUCUAGAAAUGUAACAUCCAUUGUGAUGUAAAGGCGUCUUGUUAUAGGAUCAUAGCAUUGGUAGCCAUUCUUAUACUGUGUAUAGCCUAGGAAUAUACAGCGGACUGCACAUGGAUGAAGUUUGGUUCUUUGAUUUUUGUGAAGAUGGACAUAAGCUACGCAUCCAAAUAUCUUUGGUGGAAGCAUAAGUAUAGACGGGAGAGGCACAUGAUGGGCGAGAGCUUGUAAUGGAGUACUAAAGUUUAACACCCUAGACGACAUUCGGUUCAACAAGUAGACCGCAGUUGUGACUACAUCUGUCCAAAACCGUGGAGGUGCAUUUACUGCUGUUAAGAAGGCCCAAGUUGUUUCUAAGAUAUGUCUAUUCUUCUUCUCUGCAACAACAUUUUGCUGUGGUGUUUGGGAGCAUAUUGUCUCAUGGUAUAGCCCACAUGUUUGGAAGUACUCUUGUAACUCUUUAUUGUCAUACUCCCCACCAUUGUCAGAACGAAGGAUUUGAAGUUUGGUAGAGAAUUGGGUUUUGAUCAUAUUAUGGAAAGAGCGAAAAAUCCUUGCUACCUCAUUCUUACUUUUCAUCAAAUAUAACAAUGUCAUGCGUGUGCAGUCAUCCACAAAAAUCACAAAUCAUCUGAUGCCUCAAGAAACUGAAACGGGAGCUGGUCCACAUAUGUCCGAGUUAAUUUACAUAAAUGGUGUCUCACACUUUUUGAAUUUAUUGGAUAGGAAACUUGAUGGCUUUUAGCUAAAAUGUAGGUUUUACAUUUUAACAUUGUAUUGUCUGAGUUGCAAAACAAACUAGGAAAUAAAUGUUUUAAGUAGGAGAAUGACGGGUGUCCCAAGCAGUGAUGCCACAACCAGAUAUCAUGUUCUUUGUUACCAAGAUGACGAACAUUGUUCGCCUUGUUAGAAUUGAAAAUAACUUAAACAAUACAGUAAACUUAACAAUGCAGUUUACGUAAAGAAAAAGCAAUUUGAUUUUAAGAUGGCAGAGUUGAGUAGAAAGAUCAAUACUUUUCAUUAACUUCAAAUGCAUAUAAAUAGGAUUACAUAGAACUUGAAAUGAUGAACUCUCAACAAACUUGAGAGAUUAUUGGAAUUGAAAUAACAAACUCAGCAGAAAGUUUCUGCUGCAAUCUGAAGAAGCUAACGAAAAUUCAAAUAUUUAAAAACUACUCUUAACUCUAUCUUUCAAGGCAAAAACUCAUAAUUCUAACACUCCUCCUUGAGACUUGCCUUGACAAACCAAGUUUCAUCCUUAGAAAUUCCAGUCUUGAUCUAGGAAGAGCUUUAGUCAUUAUAUCAGCAAGUUGAACAUCUGUUGGACAAUAGAGUAUCUUUAUAAGCUUGUUCUUCUCGGCUUCUCUUAUAGAAUGAAACUUCACAUUGAUGUGCUUGGUUCUGCCAUGUUGAACCGGAUUUAGAGCAAUAGCAAUGGCAGAUUUGUUGUCACAAUAAAGCUCAGUUUGUGAGCUUUGUUCUUGACCCAAAUCAGCAAGCAAUUUGUUCAACCAAAUUGCUUGAUUUGCAGCAGCUGCCAUUGAGAUAUACUCUGCUUCAGCUGUUGAUUGUGCCACCACCUCCUGCUUCUUUGCAUUCCAACAAAUUGCACCUGAACCAAUAUUAAAAACAUAUCCAGAGGUGCUCUUCAUGUCAUCAACACUCCCUGCCCAGUCACUGUCUGCAUAACCAAUCAGAUUUACUCCUCCUGUCUUCAAGUACCAGAUGCCAAGAUCAGUUGUUCCUCUGAUGUACUUCAACACUCUUUUAGCAAUUCCCAUGUGAAUGUUGCUAGGUGAGCUCAUAAACCUUGACAGCAAACCAGCUGGAAACAUUAAGUCAGGUCUAGUUGCUGUCAAGUAUAGCAAACUGCCCACUAGGCUUCUAAAUCCAGAGGGAUCUUCAAGUUUCUCACCAUCAUUCUUUGAAACUUUCUCAUUUUGUGCUAAAGGAGUUGCUACUUCUUUGCAUGACUCAAGCUUGAACUUCUUGAGUAUAUCAACAACAUACUUCCUUUGUGAAACAAAAAUACCCGAACUACAUUGAUGUAUUUCCAUUCCAAGAAAGUAGUUCAUAAUGCCAAGAUCAGACAUUUCAAAAACAUCUUGCAUUUCAGUUUUGAACUCUUCCAGCAACUUUGCAUUGCUUCCAGUAACUAGCAUGUCAUCUACAUAGAGUGAUAUCACCAGCUGCAAACCAUCUUCAUCUUGUUUCAGAUAUAGGGUAGCUUCAUUUUCACUUCUUUUGAAUCCUAGUUGAAUCAAAUGAGUAUCAAUCCUGCUGUACCAAGCCCUUGGUGCUUGCUUCAAACCAUAAAGAGCUUUGUGUAGCUUGUAAACUUUGUGUUCAUCACCAGCAAAACAAAGCCUUCUGGUUGCUGAACAUAAAUUUCCUCAAGUAGUAUUCCAUUUAGAAAAGCAGACUUCACAUCUAAAUGAUAAACUUUCCAUCCUUUUUGUCCCGCAAGAGCAAGUAGGAGUCUUAUAGUGUCAUGCCUAGCUACUGGUGCGAAAGUAUCUCCAUAAUCCACUCCAGCAACUUGAGCAAAACCUUUAACAACCAAUCUAGCCUUGUGUUUGAAGAUUGAACCAUCUGGAUUGAAUUUGGUUCUGAAAACCCACUUCACUCCAAUUGCCUUUUUAUCUCCAGGAAUUUCAGUCAAUCUCCAAGUCCCAUUUCUUUCAAUGGAAUCAAUUUCUGAUUUCAUUGCUUCAAUCCAAGCUGGAUCUCCUGCAGCUUCAGAGUAAUUUGUAGGCUCAGCAUGUACAAGGUUACAUCUUUCAUACACAUCAGACAAUUGUCUAACCUUAAGUACUGUUGUAUCUGAAGUUGCUUCAAUGGCUUGUUGAUCUUCAUCAUCAAUACUUUGUACUGGUGAUUCAAGGCAGCUGUGAUAGUCUGUUGAACUUCUUUUAAGUCCCAAUUCCAGCAGGCAUUUUCAUCAAAUUGCACAUCUCUGCUGACCUGAAUUUUGGCUGAAUUCAGAUUGAAAACUCUGUAACCUUUUGAUUCUGUUGCAUAUCCCACAAGAAUCCCUUUUUCUGCUCUAGCAUCCAGUUUUCCUCUUUUGGCAGAUGGAACAUGAAAAUAGCACAAUGAUCCAAACACUUUUAAAUGUUUGGCAGUAGGCCGGACUCCAGACCAUGCCUCCAAUGGUGUUUUGUUUUGAACAGACUUGGUUGGAAGUCUAUUAAGCAAGUAUACUGAAGUAUUUACUGCUUCAGCCCAUAGAAACCUUGGCAACUUCUUUUCAAACAAUAUACAUCUGGACAUCUCCAUCACUGUUCUAUUCUUCCUUUCAGAAACUCCAUUCUGCUGUGGAGAGUAAGGAGUCGUCAGCUGGUGCACAAUUCCAGCUUCUGAACAAAAGGCAUUAAACUCCUUCGAAAUAUACUCUCCACCAUUAUCAGUUCUCAACACUUUGAUCUUCUGACCACUUUGAGUUUCAGCCAUGCUUUUGAAGUUUUUGAACAUAGAUAAAGCUUGUGACUUGUUUUUCAGAAAAUAAACCCAAGUCAUUCUGCUGUAGUCAUCAAUGAAUAAUAUAAAAUACACAUUAUUAUUCAAAGAAGCUGUGCUCAUAGGUCCACAUAUGUCUGAGUGAACCAGCUCCAGCAUGUGUGUUGCCCUUUUGGAUAUACCUUUAGGAAAUGGUUGUCGAUGCUGCUUUCCCAGUUCACAACUUCCACAUGUAUGAGCAGUAACAUGUAUUGCAGACAUGUUUUCUACCAUUCCAGUAUCAUACAGCAACUUUAAUGAAUUAAGAUUGUAAUGACCGAAUCUUUUGUGCCAAAGAAUGCUUUCAUCAAUCUUUGCACUAAACACAUGUCCAUUAACAGCAUCAAGCUUCAAAUAGAAGCUAUUACCAUCCAUUUUGAUUUUUGCUAUCUCUGAAUUAUGUGUAUCAGUGAUAAAGCAAAAUUUCUCUUUAAAAGAGACUUCAUAACCAUUCUUGAGCAUUUGUGCAACACUAAGGAGAUUCUGAUCUAGUUCAGGAAUGUAAAGAACAUUUGUGAUGGUUUUAAUACCUCUAUUUGUGCUGACUGCAACAGUUCCUUUCCCCUUAGCUUGCACAAUAUCUCCAUUUCCCAGCUUAAUCUUCGGUUGAACUGAUCUGUCAAUAGAGGAGAAAAUUGACAGAAAUUUGGACAUGUGACUUGUGCAGCCACUGUCUAUAAGCCAUGUAUUCAGUUCAGAGGUAUUGCUAGCUUGUGUUGCCAUAAACAAAUGCUCCUCCUCAUCUUUGCUUUCUUCAGAAACAUUUGCUUGUUGUUGUAUUUGUUGCUGAGGUUGCUUCUUCUUGAUUCUGCAAUAUUUCUCACUGUGACCGAGAUUAUUACAGAAUAAACAUUGAAGAGAAGGUUUCCCCUUAAACCAGCAAUCUUUCUCAGUAUGGUUAGUUCUUCUGCAAUAAGAACAUGGUGAGAAAGUCUGUCUUUUUGAAGGUAUACUUGAUUUCCUUUUAGCAUACUUGACAGGUUUGUUUCUUGGUAGAUUACCAGCACUCCUUUCCCUGUUGUUUGCUUGGAAAGCCCCUUCAACUGCCUCAUCAUCUCUCAUAUGAACUCUUUGCUCCUGAAUAUGAAGUUUGCUAAUUAACUCAGCAAUAGUCAGACUUUGCAGAUCGCAAGAUUCUUCUAUUGCUGAGAUUUUAGCUUCAAACUUUUGAGGAACAGACAUCAUAAGUUUUUCUACUACCUUAUGAUCUUCAAAUGUGUUUCCAAGAAGCCUCAUUUGAUUUACAACAUCCAUUAAUCUGCCAGAAUAAUCUUUGACAGAUUCAUUGUCUUUCAUCUUCAUCAACUCAAAUUCCCUCUUAAAUGCAAGAAGUUUAACUGCUUUGACUCUGCUGCUGCCUUCAAAUUCAACUUGAAGCUUAUCCCAUACCUGUUUUGGUGUUUCCAGAUUCAUUAUAUUUGUAAAAAUAUGAUCUGCAAGACCAGAAUGAAGACAUGUAAUAGCUUUGUCCUUCUUGAGCUUUUCUUCUUCAUGUGCUUUCAUUUGAGCAAUUGUUGGAUUUGCAUUCAAUGGUGGAGGAUCAGAAUCGGUUGCCACAACAUUCCAUAAGCCAUGAGACCUUAAAUAAAAUUUCAUUUUGACAGCCCAAAUAUGAUAGAGUUCUCCACUAAACAUUGGAAUUGCAGAUACAAUAUUAUUUGAAGAAGACAUUGACAAAAAACAGAAAGAAAAUAACUCUCAAGUGUUUCGCUCACCCUCUCUGUGUUUGCCUCACCUUCUCUUAUUAUUGUCACUCAAAAGAAAGAAAAAUUGUUUGCCCCACAGCCCGUAGGAUCUAAUGCUCUGAUACCACUGUUAGAAUUGAAAAUAACUUAAACAAUACAGUAAACUUAACAAUGCAGUUUACGUAAAGAAAAAGCAAUUUGAUUUUAAGAUGGCAGAGUUGAGUAGAAAGAUCAAUACUUUUCAUUAACUUCAAAUGCAUAUAAAUAGGAUUACAUAGAACUUGAACAUGACUGAAACUCUCAACAAACUUGAGAGAUUAUUGGAAUUGAAAAUAACAAACUCAGCAGAAAGUUUCUGCUGCUAAUCUUGAAGAAGCUAACCGAAAAUUCAAAUAUUUAAAACUACUCUUAACUCUAUCCUUAUCAAGGAAAAAACUCAUAAUUCUAACACGCCUGACAAUACUGAAGUCAUCAAUGCAGUACAACCCCCCUUGUUUAGUACUACAACCAAUAAUCUCCUUAGUUAGAAUAUCAUGAAACAAGCAAAUUUUAGGAUAGAUUAGUGGGCAGCAGUUCAAAUCCUCAGUAACUUGUCCUACCAAUAAUAAUUUAUUGGAAAGAGUUGGAACAAGUAGAGUGUUUGAUAAAGAAAAAGAGGAUGACAGUGCCACUUCUCCAGCCCCAGUAACUGGAUAUUUUUCACUGUUUGCAUUGGUUAUGCUUGUGAUCUGUUUUGGUUGAGUCGUUUCAAUAAAGUCUUGUGGAUUGAAUGUCAUGUGAUUAGUUGUCCCAGAAUCAAUAAUCCAACCGUGGUUCCUGAUUCAUUCUGGGCUAGGGAAUAAUUUGCUGCUGCUAGUGAAAAAUCCUCCUGAGAUAUAUGAGAAAGGUGAGGUUUGAUGGAAGAAAAAGAAGUGCUCUCAGCUCUGACAAGUGUAGCCCGACCUCUUUCACGCUUUUUCUUUGUCUUGAGUUCAUGCCACCAGCUUGAAACAGGUUUCCUUAGUAUGUUUCAUAUUCCCCCAGUGUACAACCACCUCCCCCAGCUUGUGUUUUUGAUUUCAUGCCUAGCUUCCCAUCUGUUACCAUCUGAAGAGAAGGUUGCUGUUGUGAUUUUUGUCCUCCUUUUGAUAUCAUGGCCAUGCUGGAAAUGGUAUCUGCUUUUGAUAGCAUCACCAUUUGUCUUAGAUCUUCUCAUCGGACAUGGGCAUAUGUCUGUUCGAUUGUUGGAAAAGGGUGAAGUUGAAGCACAUCAGCUUGAAUCUUGUCCGAGCGACCAUCAAGUCCGUCCAAGAAAGUAUAAACUCUAUCUUCCUGUAUAAUAGAGUUAUAUUUCUGUGUAUCAACUUCACACUUCAUGGGAUUUGGACGCCGAAAAUCAAUCUCUCUCCAAAGACCUUGAAGAGUGUUGUAAUAUGUCUCAAUUGAUCCUUCCCCCUGUUUGAAUCUUGUCACCCUUCUCUUCAGAUCAUAGACUUGUGAGGUGUCGGAGCCAUCAAAACACGUUGUGACAAUAGCAUCCCAUACUGCCUUAGCCAUUGGAAAUCUGAUGUAAUUUCCAAUUAGUUUUGGAUCCAUGGAGUUGAUUAGCCAUCCUUUACCAUUGCAUUUUCAAUUCUCCACUUUCUGAAAGUAGGAUCUGUCUCUGUAGGUUGUGGAAGAUCUCCAUUCAUGUAUCCCAACUUGUCUUUACCAGAGAUAUACAUCUCGACAACUUGGGACCAGAGUCCAUAGUUCGUGUCAUUUAACUUGAUACCGAUUGGUGCAGCAACAGAUUCAUGAGUUGCUGCAGUUGUUGUCUGACUCAACAUCUAUGAUAUUCUGGAUGUUAAGUCAGCAAGGGUUGAAGGAUCUGCUUGGGAGUUUUCUAUUGGGGGGGGGGGUAAGAUCUCUCAAAUUCUGUCUUCUUUCCCUUUCUUUCUAUUAGUUCACAGAAAGAAUCAGACAGGUCCUAGAGUUGACGCACUGAUAUCAUGUUACAAUGAUAUAUUCUUAUUUAUUACUUUUCUAAAUAUGAGAUCAUGUUCUAUAUCAUAUACAAGGCUGCUAAGUAUUGAAAGUAAUAACUAUUUACACAGAAUUUGGCUGGGAUCAUGGUGAUACAUAUUUUGUAGAGCUAAUGGAUUCUAUCCUCGUGAUUUCAGCAAUUAAUCUCAAUGACUGUUCAUUCCAACAAUUUUUGGAUGAAAGGCUGUUUGGCGAUGCUGCACUAUAGUAAAGAAAAAAAAAUAGAGCCCUCGAUCACCAUCGUCACAAAGACAAGCUGAGGAUUAGCAGAGUCACAAGACACGCUGAGAAUUAGCAGACUCCUUCUAUGAUUGCUAGUAGCAAACAAUAGUCGAAUGAGGCUGACAAUAGCUCGCAGCCCUACAAUAAGAGUAGUUGUUGAUUAAUUGAAUGGAAGCAGGCAAGAACUCACAAACAAUUCUAUCAAGUUUAGUCAAGUUUCUUUCAAUGGCAAGCUCGCACCAUCCAUCAUGCAGUUGCAGGAGCAGACAUGGGUUAACACACACAUAUAAUAUGCUUUCUAAGUCUCGGUCUUUGAAUUAGAAGCAAAAUCAGAAAACAACAAACCCCAACCAAAGCCAAAUCAAACUCAGCCGAUAUAAAUCCACUCCUCAAAACAGAGAAACCUCUAUAGGAUUCUUCCCCGCUCCCUUGGAUGACUGUGUCCCUGUCUUCUCUUCCACUACUGGUCUCUAUUUCUCUGCCCUUUUCUUUAUUCUAGGCCUUUCACAAUUUCACUUUUCUCCAUGCGGUCAAAAAUAGGAAGACGGUGCAAAUGCCUUUAUAAAAGAUCUAGAGAAGUUUAAGUUACUGUUAUCAUGAGCUUUGGUUAGAAGUUUAAAGAUUAUUUCACCUGCAUAAACUCAGAAUUGUGUCCAGCAUUCAUACAAAAACAAAAAAAAAAACUUGCAGUUGUAAAAUAAAUACUGAAGAGCCAUGCAUACCUGCUAAGACCGUCGGUGAUGCUGGCCUGCUAGGUGGAUGUUACACUGUUAGUGAAGGAGAAGAAGGACUGCUUAGUUGGUAACAAAAAAGAAAGGCAAUGUGGUGUUUUUUAUAACCCCACCAGGGAGCCUGUCCUGAUUACAAAAGAAAAAAAAAAAUCCUCCUAUUCUAUGAAAAUAAGGUCGGCCACGUGCACAAGCUUUUUUUCCUCUUCGGAAAUAACAUGGUAACACAAAAGAAAAGGAAACAACAAAUUUUCUAUAAAUAGCGUGCCUUAAUUGAGAGAAAAGGAGGAAAAGAUUCUUGGAGAUAUAAAUUUCCUUCAAAACAAGCUUUUUGGGCGGUCGUUGGAACCAUCAAAAUAUAAUUUUAACUUAACUAUCACAAACAAAAUAAAUUUGUAGUAAAUAUGAUCGUGAAAACCAGGUCGAACCUAAAGGAAAAUUCAUUUCAUCUUCCUACAAUAUACUAAAUAAGAAAGAACGGGGGGUUUGAAUGAAAAAAAAUCAAGAAACAAUAAUUCCAAAAAUAAUAAAUUGAUAUGUUGUUAAAUCAGUUCAAGGGUCCACACAUCCAUUCUUAUAAUUCUGUUGGUCAUCGAAGUAAAAUAAAUAUGCUUUCAUGUCAAGCAAAUAAAUUUGAUAUUCCUUAAAGCUGAGGGAAAUAAAUGAGAUUACAAGUACAUUAAUUAGAAAAAGCUUUCUAAUAAAUUUCUUACCAUCAAGUGAAUGUAAUAUUGAAAACAAUUUGCAUUUAUUCGGUAGUAGUCUAGGAAUAAAAUAUGUGCAUUUAUUCUAAGCAAACGUUCAAAAGCUUGACAAUUUAACUUAGUUUAUUCUUCCCUAAUAAAUCAAGAUGAGAGUUGCAACAAUCAAAUUAAUUCUUUUGCUUCUUACUCUAAUCCCUAAUAACAAUCAAUGAUUGAAGAAACUAGAAAGCAUACAUGUCAUCUCAAAACAAUUCAAUAAGCUUGAAUAACAAUCAAUAACAUGAUUCUGAACAAGGGAAAAUAAAUACUUGAAUCUAAAAAAAUUACAAUGAUAACGUUACUUCUGACAACUUGCUAAUGGAGAUGGUGUGUAUUCCUUUUGAACCAAAUUCAGGAGUUUAGUUCAUAGUUCUUGGAAAAUUGACAAAGCAGAGAAGAAAUGAAUGUUUUUCGAAUGUUGUUUCAUCUAUGUUCUGCUCUAUUUAUCCUCUUCCUUGGCUACAUAAUUUCUUUAGGAUUAUUAGGCUAAUUAGAAUUAUUCAUGAUACUUAAUGUGUUCAUUUUUUUAUUUGGUCCUUAAGGUUGGAUAAAUCUCUUAGAAUUUAUUUUGAAAACUAACUUUGUUGAUGUCAUAUCUCUGCCGUAAUUCCAACUUUGCUGCAACUUAAACUUUGUUUUUGACUUGGUUUCUUGCAAUAUCCGACUAUCACUGCUGUAUUCAUUCAUUCAUUGCAUGUUAGAGGCUUGAUCUAAAUCUUUUUUAGGUCCUAAGGCCCACCGUUUUUUAUCUCAGACUUUCAGUCGUAGUAGGAUGCUUGACACCGUUAGUUUCCUGAUCAGAUCAAGAGACCCAUCUCAUCCUUCAAAUUGCGUUCGGAUUUUGGCCUUCAAAAUGAUCUUAUUUGACUUGGAGUCCUUAUCAAAGUUAUAGUCCUAAAUGCGUAGAAGAAUUUGGGCUUUUUAAUCUCUUAAUUUUGAUAUUUGAAACUCAAGAUAUUCCUGUUUGAAUAUCUAGUGUGAAAGUAAAGAAUCUUGUUGUGAGUAGGAUUCUGACCCGAGUUUGCAGGUUUAAUUAGAAAUCCAAAAGAGAUUGGGUUGUUACCCAUAAUACCUUCCUGGAAAGCUUGACAUAUGUAAUUCAACUUAGAUUCAGCCCACGUUCUCAUUUGGGAACACUAACUUGACGAAAAACCUGUCAUAAGAAGCCAGGUCUAGAACAUAAAGUGCAUAAUUUCUUAUCUUAAGCAAUCAGUUCACAAUCUCUUAAACAUGCCAAAAUCAUAAAAAUAACUUUCAAUAAACUCAAAUAUUCUCAAAAUACAUUAAAAAUCAUAGUGUAAAAGGAGUAAAAACUUAUGUAUAUUUUUCACUUAUCACUCUUUAAGCAAGGAAGCUCUGUCAAAAGUUUUCAAGCCCCAUCUACGCUUGAAGUCUACAAAGAAUGAAGCUUUGCUGGAUCAAGCCUAAAACACCCCACUAGAGUUCUUCAACAAUACUUUGAAAACAAAUCAAAAGUACUCUUUAAAUCAUCAAAUCACCAAAUCUCGUUUUGCAAUACACGCCCAAAUUCCCAUUCUUGCAAAGUAUAAAUCUUGGCUUGAUUCGUCAAAUAAAUCAAGUCACCAUAUAUCAACUCCAAGGGAAGAAUCAUAGGAUUGUCUUAUUCUUUUGAAAAGAAUACUUAGAUAGAGAUUGUACAUGGUUAUAUAUUUAAUAAAAUCAUAUAUUUGUACACGUGUGCUUGUUUAAUUUCAGGUGCUCAAAAUUAUGUCUACAUAGAGAUGAUGACAAACUGGAUGUUGGGCUGGCUAAAUUUGUAGUGGGAUGUUGAUUUGUGAUAAAAUUUGGGAGGUUUGUGGUGUUUGUUGCAGAUAAAAAUAGAGAAAAAAGAAGAGAUGGGAGAGAGAGAGGAGGGUCCUUUCAUUCCUUUUCAAUGUAAUUCACUCGAUAUAUAUCGAGAAAAUAUUUGUGUUGGUGUUUACUGAUUGAUACUGCGAGGGUAUAUUCAAUCAGAAAAAUUUACUAUAAUUUACUAACAAAAAUAUUCUAUUAGUGUAUUCAUUUGUGUUUGUCAAUUUUCUGAUUGUGUUAAUAGUUAGGAGAUGAUAGAAGAAAACACAUAGAUUUAACUGAAUAAACCCUACUAAAGUUGGAUUUUCAAAUCAAUUUAUCCAAAACUUCACUUUAUAACACCGCUUUUGAUAUCUUAUCAAAUAGAGAAUCAAAAGAUCCUAUCUCUCUUAUUCUUAGAGCACUUCUCUAUUUGAAAUUCCAUAUCCAUAAAAAUCCAUCUCACACACCCAUAUUAGCUACAGAGGAAACUUGAUCUUCAGGUAGACUAUAUAGUCUAGGAAAUUGAACUACAAGACAAGAAUCUAUCAGCCAGACAUCAUGCCAGAAGUGUUGACCUCAUAGCUUAGCCUUAUUGUUGAUCGUUUUAAUAGAGAAGUGUAGUAACUAUAUUUAUCUGUGGAAGCCUAAGUCUGUCUUGUUUAAUUACUUUGUUUUCGCUAUUUUUUAAAAAAACUUUUAUGCACUUACCAUCAUGUUGGAGUCUUCUGAUCAAGAAGUUAAAAAUGAUAUAGUCCAUCUUCAAGUUUAGUUUCUCAUUGAUAUCUUCCUAAUUUAACAUAAAAAAUGAGAAAACUAUAAAGAAAACUCCAACUAAGCCUGUCAUGACUAACUCUUUCAACUUGUCUCAAGGUGUACACACCACAAAGAUAUCUUUUAAUGAUGAAGACUUGUUGCUUGGAUCAAAACUCGAUAAACAACUUUUUUUUUAUUAAAAGAUGUGUCAAUGAAAAGAUGGUGAAUUGUCUCUUGAUGGAUGAUGAUUCAACUAUUAAUAUACUACCUUUUAAGAUUAUAAAUGAGCUCAGGAUUCAUAUUUAUGUUUAUAUAUAAAAAAUAAUGUUGUUUUGACACACACACAUAAAAUUGAGGUUAAUCCAAGUUGAUCUAGGAUGGAUUAAAAAUUUUGACACAAAUUUUAUCCCGGGUUAACUCCUGAGCCGGGUCUAAUGAGUCUAAUGAGAAUUGUUUGAAAAAAGAUUAUGGAAAACCACCGGUAUAUAUAAGGAAAUCACUAGGAAAUUACUGAAUGGUUGUGUUUAAAAAUCAAAAUGGCACACAACAAGUCAAGCAUCCGCUUUCACGACCUUUCUUGGCCAGUAAUGCUAUAAUGAAGAGAGAGUGGUAUAUCCACUUUCUCAUUAAUUACAACAAAAAUAAACAACUAGUCAAUACGGUCCACGCAAAUUGUUUGGUAAGGUUACAUGCCAACAAAACUAAUUGGAAUAGGUAUAGAAGUAUUAGGUUAACAAUUAGAUAAUAAAGUUAGAAGUUGUUAGUUUAAGUAUUUUACAGGGGCUACUGUUUGAUCCAAAAAAUGAUUUGAAUAUAUACAGUUUUUUAUCCAAAUUUUAUACAUAGGAAAAGCUUGUUCUCUAUGGUUUUUAAUACCAUAAACGGUGCAUUAAUCCAGUUUUUAUAGAAAUAGCUAUGAUGAAAGUAGUAAAGAACACGUGGACUAUAUAUAUGUCAAUAAUGCCCAGAAAUGAUUUCGGGAAUUAUUAUAAAUUGCUAUCUGGAUUAUAUAUAUAUAUAUAUAUAUGUAUAUAUAUAUAUAUAUAUAUGUAUAUAUAAUAGAAUUCUGAAUGUUCUAAGCUAUGAUUAGUUUAUCAGGUAGCAUGCAGUUAACAAAUUAUUGUAGUUGAGUCAUGGAGGGAUUUUAACGGGUUAUAUGCUUGCGAAUAGGUUUUUUGAGCUAAGAUUUCAGACCUCAGCUAUUUAAGCAAAGAUAGUAAGUAAAUAUUCACACACUAUUAUUUUUAAAUAGAAUAGAUAUUUUUCUGAAUUGUGCAUUUUUCAUCUACUAAAUGUAUUACUUUCUAUCAAAAAAAAAAAAAAAAGAUCAAGCAAUGGCUGUGUUUAGAUUGAUUUGCUUAUAUGCGAUAUUUGUGAAUGUAUGGUAUAUAAUUUUUGUAAGAAUGUUUUAUAAUAGCAUUUACUCUGAAUAUGAACACCUCUAUGCAGGUGUUGUAAUUGACAAAGAAAAGAAGAGAAAUCCUUUCAAUUUAUGAAAAUGCAAUGAGUUAACCUUAUCUCAGACUGCAAUAUAUACUCUACAGUAUUCAUGUAUGAAAACAUUUGAAUGGUGAUAAAGAAAAUAAUUCAUCAAACAAUAUGAGGGUUGUUUGGAAAAAGAUUAUGGAAGACCACCAGUAUCAGUGUUGUUUGGAAAAAUAAUUCUGUAAUUGACUUUUGUAACUUGUCAGGUAACCACAGGUAACUUGUGUGGACCUCCAUUGCGAAACAAUUGUAGUGAGGAAGCAGUGCCAUCCCAGCCAGUGCCUAAUGAUGAACAAGGAGAUGAUGGUUUCAUAGACAUGGAGUUUUUCUACAUCGGUUUCGGUGUAUGUUAUACAAUUGUGGUGAUAAUGAUUGUAACAGUUCUCUAUAUAUCAAUCCAUUUUGGCGACGCAGGUGGUUCUACUUUAUCGAAGACUACAUAGAUACUUGCAGCUAUUUUGUGGCGGCUAGUUUUCGCAAGUUCUCCAACUUCAGAAGGUGAAUUUGUUACUAGGGAGACGGUCGUUCCUAGUUUGUGAUGAUUGUUUGUCCUGUAUGUCUAGCUAUUGGGUUCUUCAUUUGUAGUGUACUAUCUCUAAGCUCAACCUUUCUAUUUGAAUAGUUAUUUGGGCUAAAUAUAUAAGCUGGACUUGUCAUUCCUAAAUCAUUAGGAAGGGAACUGAUUUGGAUUGGUCAUUAACUCGGCUGUGAUUACUCUUUCAACUCUCAAGACUUGUCUGAAAAUAAAUUGCCAAAACCACUACUAAGUAGAAACAAAAUAUUCUAUGCAUUGUUUCAAGGGCGACCCCACCUCAGUUAUUCAAUCAAAGCAUUGAAAUCGGAGCAAGAUGAUGCACCUUAUUCAACAGCCUUCCUGGUCGUUUCUCCUAGCUUCUUUGCUCUGCUUCUCAUUUCCUCUGCUUCUUUACCCAUCAUAAUUUGAGUGAUUGCCUUCUCUACAGCUUCACUUUUAACAUGAUCUCCAUGCACUCUACGCCAUUCCCUUAACUCCAGUUUUUAAAACAUCAGUCACCAACUUUUCAUUAUAGAAUUGCUCGUCAAAUAUUGGCCUUUUGCCUUCAAGAGUUGAGUUCCAUCCUCAAUGAGUCACAAAGGCACCUAUUGCUUCAUGAUAAAGAAUCAAAACUUGGAGUACCCUUCCUCUGAUAAUUAGCCCUUUGCCUUCCAUUCUUUCCUCAAAUCCUUCAGGAAGACAAUCUUCCUUGUCUUAUUGACUCUUUUUGUUUCUUCUAACUACCCAGAUAAAUUGAUGCCCAGAAGCUUCGAGAUCUGUUGCAAUCUCCUUAAGCUGAGAGGCAAUGAAGUUUGCCAUGCUUCCAAAGCAAAUAUAAACAACUGAAUUUGGUUUCUUUGAGUCGAGCCACUUCAAACACUCAUGUUGAGCGAUUGAGGCUUCUUUUCCUCUUCCUGCUUUAUCUUCAAUGUCUCUAUUGCAUAGUGAAACCGGGCCUACGUUAAUCCACACCCUCUUUAAUUGACCCAACAAGACUAUAUCCUAACCAUACAGAUUCCUCUUCUACAGAUUAUUGGAUCACUUUAUGCAAAGCAGAGGAAUGAUUUUCUAGAAAAAGAGUGUCUUGGGAACUUACAGUAGAUUUCGUUGGAACUCUUGUCUCAGGACAGUGGCAUAGCUUCUUGAAUCUCUGUUUCUAAUCGGCCAUGGUUUUAUUUAAACGGUUAGUGUAAGCUAAGGGCAUUGGCAUUUUCGUGGUGGAUCAUUUGCCUCAGUGAUGGUUGAUGUAUCACGGUGAAGUGAUGCAAAUCCACCUCGAGGAUCAGCUGCAGCAGCUAUUGCAGAGCUGUGAAUCCAAAAUAAAUUAAUAAGCUAUGUAUUUGCUACUCAUCAAGCAAAAAGAAACAACUAACACUGCUGAAAUUGAAAGGCAACAACUUUUAAAUGAGAGAAAGGAGCAGCCUAUCACCUUUCAAUAGGCGUUUAAUCUUCAAACAACAGCUGUCUUUUGGUUUGUGAUUGCAAAGGACCAACCAUAUAUGGUUGCCUUGGAGACACUUGUUGCUGUUGUGAGAAAUUAGCAUUAGUUUUAGACGGUAGAACAGGUGAUGGUGUUGUUGGGUCCAAUGAAAAUGCAACUUUAGAGGAUGAUGAAGCUGCUUGAUCAUUAAGAGGAAUAUCAACAACAUGCAGCUCUGGUUCAGCAGGCAGGUGUGGAGCUUUAUCAGUUAUAAUGUGGUCACAGACAUUGGUAACAAUGAUGUCACAAAAGUUGACAGCAGAGCGAAAAGCUCCAAAUCUCAACUGGAAAAUCUUGUCAUUAUUUAAAUUUUCAAUCACGGGAGGUGGGAUGCAAUCAAUGAACCCCCUUGUCAUAGAGAUAGCGGUGGGCAGAGAAGCCAAAGAAGUUUUCAGUAGUUUUUCCAACCAUUAGAAAUGUUGCAACAUCAUUGCCAUCAGUCACAAUACAAUCUAGUUUCCCAAGAAAAAUAAUCAACCCUAAUCAGAAGAAAAUGUAUAAUCUAGUUUGGGACAUGAAAGAUAAAUGAACAUAACGCAUUAUUAGUUCAGGAAAAUCCAUAAAAUGUUUAGAAGUUAGAUAAAUAAACAUAAGGCAUUAUUAAAAAGAUGCAAAGAAAAUGUAUAAUCUAGCUUGGGACAUGAAAAGCAAUAGAAAAGAGCUCAUAACUGUGGAACCGCCAUUACUUCAUUGUGUCCAAUGCAUCUAAAAAUUAUGCCUUUGUUAGAAAAUGAUUUUGCGCCCAAGGGGCAACUUUGAUACCACCAUCCUCUAUGAAGGUCAUAUCAGCUAUCGAAGCUUUGCAUGUAAAUCUUUCGCUCUACAAAUUACUAUGAAAAAAUAUAGUUUGAUAUGUUUUUAUAAAGAGCAGAGUAAAUGUUGAAUAAAAGAUGAAGCAUUGAAAGAAUAGUUGAGAUUAUUGUUGACAUACUUUGUGCUGAUAUGGAUCUAGUCAAAGAAUUUCUUUGAUAGUCUACAUGUUUUUAUUUAUUUGUUGUUUGAUAAUUCUGAUGGCAUUCAUGGAAGUAGGGAGUUGAUGAACCUCAACUGGCAGAUGAUUAUAGUUGAGAAUAAAAGCAGUUUUAUGUUAAAAGAAAAUAAUAAUAAUUUAAUAACAUAAGCGAGACAAAAAAAAAAGAUAAAGAGCUAGCUUGCUAGUACAUAUACCUCAAGAAUUUCUGGGUUGAAAAACCAUAAGGAGGCAACAGUGCUAGCAAGGUUUGGUUUUCCUAGGAGUAAAAGGAUGUAAAUUGAUUAAAAUUAUUUGAAAAUAAGCUAAAUGAUAAUGGGAGAACGCAUGAUAGCUAGGUUAGAAAAAAAUAUAUAAAAACAUAAAAUUAAUUUUUUAGAUUAUGAAAAACUUUUUAUAGAAUCCACUGAUUUGAUAGUAAUCUCUUUCAAUGAUAAAAGUAGCAAACAACUACCUGCGUUUGAAGUGCGAAAUGCAUUGAGCCCCAUCAAGAAUAAAUUGCAUUUUUAAUUUUAUUAAAUAAUUUUUUGGCUGUGGUUGAUUCAAACACAUAAGUAACCAUGCAAACAAACGGAAAUAUGUCCUUGCCUUUAGUAUAGCUGAGCCCUGUAUUGUGUUACCUGAUGGAAUCAUGAUGAAAACUAUUAUAAAUGAGAUAACAUUAAAAUUGAGCGCAAAAAAAAAAAUAUAAAGCUAACAAAUGGUUUAUUAGCCACUGUCGGUAGUUUUAGAAAGUUUCACAGGGAAAAUUUUUUAUUUUACAAUUGAUUCAUUCCUAUAAAAUAUAAAUUAUUUUACAAUUUUUAGUUAUAUAUUUUAUUAUAUUAUAAAAUAUAAAAUAUAUUAUAACUAUAACGAUGAUAAUUAUAUUAUAAUUAAAAAUCUAAGUCAAUUCUUGGUUUAGCUAUAUCACACAUUGCUGUCAUCUUUGUAAUUAAUAAAAUAAAAUGAAGACAUUUUACAAAUAAUUCAUUCAACCAUGGCCUGUGUGUCAUGUUAUUUCUUAAACCUACACCACUGCUAUGUGUGUUACAAAGGGUUAAAAUAAAACAUGGACGUAGCAAAAGCUUUGUUUUCUCAAAAUAUUAAAAGGUUAUUUACUGGAAAAAGAAAAGGAAACAUUUGAUUAUACCAAAAGGAUAAUAAUUAAGUUUUUUUUUUUUCAGAUUCAAUUGUAAAAAUAGUUUUUCAAUUUUAGAUUAAAGCUUGUAAAAAUUAAAGGGUGAAGAUAAGGAAGUCUAUUGUUUUUUAUUUAGUACAUGGAACCUUGUGAUAUCCUUUUGAGAAUCUAAUUGAACAAAUUUAAGAAUUAAAAACUGAAAUCAAAAGGGGAAUAUAUGACCUAAUUUAGUUUAGGAUUAUCAAAAUAAUAUUAUUUUAUUUAAAUAAAAUAAUAUGUUUUUGACAAAAAUAGCAUGUUUUGAUUCAAUACAACAUUGUCCUCGUCAACACCAAGUUAAAAAAUAUAUAAAAAAAAACUAGAUAAUAUGUCGCUCAACAGUGAUCAUUGUCCUUUUUUCAGCCUUAUAAAAGCUGACCGAGAGAUCCCUUUUUCAAAGCCAUUUAAUGUAUCUCCCACUACUUUUUUAGAGCCAUAUGUGUGGACUUGGGCCUUUAAUCCAAUAAGCCUAACCUAUGUGAUCGGGCAACGCCUAGCCUAGCCCAACCCAACCUUAAAAGCAAGUUUGGCAUGCCUAAUUUUUACCAAAAAAGAAAUGUUUUUUUUCCCUAAAAGCAUGUUUAUCAAACACAAUCUUAAAACAUUUUUCAUGUCUCUGACUUUUAGAUAAAUGUGUGUUUGACAAACACGAUUAACUAUCCUCUUUUUAGCCUUAGUUUGUUCAUUAUUUUAGUUUCUAGCCAAACAUGCUCUACAUAAUCUCAAAAAAUUCUAAAAACAAAAGUUUGACCAUUUUAAAAUUAUUUGUGAGUUCCUUAGAUGUUCUCCCAACAAUUUCACUUAAUAUUGAGAUGUAAACUUACACUACAAAUACUGACUCGAUAUUAAAAAUACUUAUUUUUCUCUGAAAUUUCAAAAAAAACUAAAAAAAUAUUAUUUCAAAAAUACAAAUUUUUUUUUGUUUGCAUACAACUAGUUCCUAAUGUUUUUCAUGCAUUAUUUAUAAAAAGCAGAAAAAUUGCAUCAUUAUCAUAUUUUAAAAAAUACAAAAAUAAAUAUUGUAAUCAAUUUAUGAUUAUUCAUUGGGGUUUAACUAAAAUUUCAAAAAUACCACAUAAAUUAAAUUUUGUAAUUGAUAUUCAGGGUAUGAACUUUACACAUAAUGCGUACUUUUGAUAUUAAAUUAAAUGAAUUAAUAGCAAUAAAUGUUAUGAAUUACUUACAGACUUUAUUAUUUUGCGGUAUAAAAUUAUACUAUAAGAAUAGGUACGAGUGUCUGUAACAAUCCCAGUUAUUUUGUUCCAUCAAUGUAAAAAGAUCCUCUUAAAUUGAGGGUAAUGUUUUUUUAGGCCCCGCAAAGAUUGCCAUUUACUCGAAGAAUUAAAAUGGACUCCAUUUUAUGCUAAUAAAGGUAUAAUUAAAUCAUAUCAUUCAUGAAUUAACAAUUAGUAGAUGGUUAAAAGAAACUAUUCAUGUUUUAAAGGUAAAUCAAAUGGAAAUAAAUGCAAUAGUGUUUACACAAAAAUACCAUGCUUCAAGUCUAGCCGAGAGUUUUUAUACACAUCAAGUUUACACAAAAUAAUAUGCUUCCAGUCUCAGCUAAGAGUUUUUAUACACAUAGAAGAUUACACAAAAUAACUUAUAACAUGUACUAGUUAAUACUAAUAUGCUUAAGGUUAAUUUGUACAUAAGUUUAACAAAAAUAGAGUCCUAAAACUAAUAAGCUCCCUAGAUAUUAGAUAGACCUGUUACAAAAACUUCUUAUGGAUGCAAUUAUAUCGGUACAAGAAAUAUAAAUGAUCAUGCAACGAAUACAAAUGAGGCAUAAGUUUUCUAUUAGUUACAUGGGAAUCUUAGUAAUCAACUUAUAAAUUUAUUGGGAAUCAUUUUAAAACACUAUUUAACACCAUUUACAUAACUUUAAUGGGAUACUCUUAUCUUCUUACAUGAACUCAUAACUUUGUUUAAUUGGAUUCACUAAGUCUUCAGCUUUGCAUAGUCCGAUUUGAAUAAUUUUGAGCAAUUGUACUUAUCAAUUUCCGAGGUCAUCCAAACACAGUACCCUUUACAAAUUAAGUCUUAUUGAUCGUUCCUGAGCAUCCCAACAUGGACACCAUUAGCUCUAGUUACUCUUAUUGAUCAUUUCCCGGCAAUUCUAAUGCAAAUAUCAUUAGCCGAAGCUAAUUUUAUUAAUCGUUCCCGACAGUCCUAACACGAAUGUCAUUAGCCAAGGCUAAUAUUAUAAUUCUAUUAGCCAAGGCUAAUAUUAUAAUUCAUUUUCCAGCAAAUCCUACCACAAAUAUCAUUAGCCAAAACUAAUCUCAUAAUUCAUUUCUCAGCGAUCUUAUCAUGAAUGCCAUUAGCCGAAGCUAAUCUCAUAAUUACUUUCCCGGCAAAUCCUACCAUGAAUGUUGUUAGCCAAAGCUAAUGUCAUAAAUAUACCAGACUUUAUUUACAUUGAGCAUAAUAUAUAUAAUUGCAUUCCUCCUAAAGAAUUAAAUUUCAUCAAUGUAAAUGGAAGGGAAAACCACGCACCUGCUCUGUCUGUCUCAUAACUUCCUCCAACAAAAGAUCCAAUCAUGGUCGCUCCUCCUAAAUCAUAAGAAAAUCUUUGGUCAUGUUUCCUUCAAUGUUUUUAAACCCGGCCCAGGUCACUUGUUUUGCCCAAGUCACCGGGUCUUGAUCGGGUCAACCCAAACUUUUUUUUAUAAAUAAAAACAAUGUUGUUUUGGUAAAAAAAAUAAUUAACAGGUUAUUACCUUGUUUUUGACUGGGUUUUGUCUGGUUAGCCAGGUCACCCUGGGUUGUGACUUCCCCUAUUUUUUCUUAAACCUGGCUUGGUUCCAAUCUUGAGUCUCGGGUCGACCUACCAAGCCGGGUCAGGUUUCAAAACUUGGGUUUCCUUAAAGCCUUAUGUUAUAUUAACUCUAUAUUCAUUCAUUAUACAUAUUGUACUUUCCAUACAUGUUUAUUUUCUCAUCAUAUCAUAUACAUACAUAUCAAGUAUAAUUGGCUUGGAUUUGUAGUAAAUCCUGUGAAAUUUUUGCUACAAUAUCCUCAUCAUUCUCUCUUCCCCUCUUUUCUUUUCUUAAAACCUCUCGUCCCACAUCAUCAUGUAUGGUUGUGACAUCGAAAAUGGAGCAGUUUCUUGAUUACUAGUAGCAGGUUCGUGAUUGUUAUGAUAUAGAACUCACAUUAACGAUGGAAUUCGUAUGGAAGAAGUCGUAGAAGAAGAAGAAGAACAGGGCUCAAGAUAGUGAGAUGAAGAAGACUGUUGGAGCAGAGAAUGCGUGGGCAGAGUUUGUUGGAAGGAAAACUGAUUCAAUAUAUUCAUAUCCUCUGUUGUAACAGAAUGAUUAUUAUUUAUACAGCUGAGCCUAACAACCUAGCACAUGCAUCUUCUCUUUGCACGUGAUAGUAACUGAUUUGUAAUAGAAACAUAAACUUUCUAAACGCACCGUUUAGGACUUAGUGACUUACUCGUAACGCACCGUUUUACAAUCGAUUAAUUUGAAUUUCCCUCGUGUAAAACCUAUAGCUAAAUGUUGACCUGCAACAAUUGCCCCUUCUUCAAAUGGACCUUGUCCUCAAGGUCAAAUUGGGGAAAACGAAGGGCGAUUUCAUCAGCAAAUUCCCAGGUAGCUUCUGCAGGGGUGAGACCCGCCCAAUGAAUGAGGAGUUGAGUGGCGGCCUGUAGAUUUCGCUUGACCAUUCGACGUUCCAAAAUAGCUUGUGGAAGAAGAAGAGGUUCUGAUGGCAAGGCAGGCAGUGUGGUUUGGACAACCCGAUUGCCCACCUUAUUUUUCAGAAGCGACACAUGAAACAUAGGGUGGAUGGAGGCAGAGGUAGGUAACUGCAAUUUGUAAGCUACGGUACCGAUUCUUGCUAAGACUUUGUAUGGUCCAUAGUAUUUUGAAGCUAAUUUUUGAGAAUAUCUGUGGCCUAGAGUUUUCUGUCGAUAGGGUUGUAGUUUGAGGUAGACGAAAUCACCAGUAUUAAAUUGUCUUUCACUCCUGUGUUUGUUGGCAAGCUGAAUCAUCCUAUGCUGAGCAUGUUGUAAGUUGUGUUUAACUGCUUGUAGAAUCUGUUCUCUAUUGCAUAAGAAUUUAUCCACGGUAUCGACAGGGGAGUCUUUGGGGACAUAAGGAAUGUGUAAAGGGGGAGGGUAGCCAUAGAGAAUUUCAUAGGGGGUAGAUUUGGUGGCUGUAUGGUAGUUGGUGUUGUACCACCAUUCAGCAAGGGGAAGCCACUGAACCCAGUGUGUAGGAGAAGUACCUGUCAUGCAGCGGAGGUAAUUUUCGAGGCACUUAUUGACCACCUCUGUCUGGCCAUCGGAUUGGGGGUGAUAGGCUGUCGAGUAACACAAUUUGACGCCUUGUCGAGCAAAUAACUCCUUCCAGAAGAGACUGAGAAAGACAGUGUCUCUGUCACUAACAAUGGUGGCUGGAAAUCCAUGCAGCUUGUAGAUAUUAUCGAGGAACACUCUAGCUAUAGAACAAGCAGUGUAGGGGUGGGGAAUAGCCAUGAAGUGAGCAUAUUUGCUAAAUCUGUCCACUACCACAAAUAUCACCUCCUUGCCUUCAGAUUUAGGGAGCCCCUCUACGAAAUCCAUACUAAUAUCGAUGAAAGGAUGUGUAGGAAUAGGGAGAGGUUGUAGCAGUCCAGGAGUUCGUGUAUUUUCAGAUUUGUUUUGUUGGCAAGUGGUACAUUCUCUGAUGUAUUGGCGAACAUGCCUUUGCUGGCCCUUCCAAUAAAACCCAUUGGCCACUCGUUUGGCAGUAACAGUAGAGCCUGAAUGGCCACCAGUAGCUGAAUCAUGGUAAAUGGAAAUAAUCUGAGUCUGAAGAGAUUCAUUUUGGCCUACCACCAAUUUACCUUUCCUGAAUAGUGAAUAGUGAGGGUGAGAGGUAGGCUAUUGGGUAAGUUCCUGAAUGAGAAGCUGAACUGCCUUAUCAUCCUGCCAUGAUUGUUUGAUAGCCUCUAGGAGUGUAGUGGAAAGGGAAGAGACUGCCAGGGUGCUGAGAGUGCCACAUGACACUCUUGAGAGGGCAUCAGCAACCACAUUGUCUUUGCCCUUCUUGAAUUCGAUCUCAUAGUCGAAUCCCAAGAGUUUGGCGAGCCACACAUGUUGUGAUGGACAAGUCACCUUCUGUUCCAACAGGUAUUUGAGACUAAGAUGGUCAGUACGUAUAGUAAAGUGUUGUCCCCAUAAGUAAUGUCGCCAUUUAGUAACUGCUAGGAGGAUAGCAAGGAGUUCCCUUUCAUAGGUAGAAAGUGCUUGUUGUUUAACCCCAAAUGCUUUACUAAUGAAAGCAAUCGAGUGACCUGUUUGCAUGAGAACUGCCCCCAUGCCCUUGCUGCUAGCGUCUGUCUCAAUGAUAAAUUGUUGAGUGAGGUCUGGUAGGGCCAAAACUAGAGGUUGAGUCAUCAUGAAUUUCAAUUGAUUGAAGGCUGUGGUGGCUUCUUCAUUCCACUUGUAGGCAUCUUUUUUCAACAGCUGUGUCAAGGGUUUGCAAAUGAUGCCAUAACCCUUAACAAACCGCCUGUAGUAUCCAGUGAGACCCAAAAACCCUCUUAGCUGUUUAAUGUUGCCAGGGAGAGGCCAAUUCAGGAUGGCCUGGAUCUUAUGGGGAUCAGUCGAGACCCCUGCUGCUGAGAUGACAUGGCCUAGGUAUUCCACAUGAGAGCUGCAAAAUACACACUUGCUGGACUUGGCAUACAGCAGGUUAGUCUGUAGGAUGGUGAAGACAGUUCUGAGAUGGUCUAAGUGUUCUGGCAUGGAGUUACUGUAAACAAGAAUAUCAUAAAAAAAAAAGAGAAUUGCCUUAGUUGGUCCCUGAAUACUUCGUUCAUGAGACUUUGAAAUGUGGCAGGAGCAUUAGUCAAGCCAAAGGGCAUAACCAAAAAUUCAUAGUGUCCAUUGUGGGUCUUGAAUGCUGUCUUGUAGAUGUCAUCAGGGGUCAUUCGGAUUUGGUGGUAACCAGAUCGGAGAUCAAUUUUUGAGAAGACUGAGGCACCGACCAGUUCUUCUAAGAGUUCAUCUAUUAGAGGAAUAGGAAACUUAUCUUUGAUUGUAAGUUGGUUUAAGGCCCUGUAGUCAAUGCAUAACCUCCAUGAACCGUCCUUCUUCUUGACUAGGACAACAGGUGAAGAAAAUGGGCUAUGACUAUGCUGAAUGGUUCCUGAGGCCAGCAUUUCCUUAACCAUAAGUUCCACCACAUCCUUCUGUAGGCUGGAGUGUCGGUAGGGUCGAAGGUUGACUGGGUUAGAGCCUUCUUAAGAGGAAUACUGUGAUCAUGGCUGCGAGGAGGAGGCAAACCCCUAGGUUCUUCAAACAACUCUUGGUAUUCUGCUUGCAGAUUGAUAAAAGCUGUGUUUUCAGUGAGGUCAGGUUGGAACCCAGUGGUGUAGGGUGCUCCUUGGUCCUGACUGUUAAUGGAACGUAGACUGCAUACAUUAAUUUCAGAAACCAUAUUAGUACUACAUAGCAAGCCAUUAAGUUGCUUCAGUCUGAUGGUUUCCAUGGUUACUGGAUCAUUGCCCUUAAUGAAAACCUCUUGACCUCGCCAUGUAAAUGCCAUCCACAUUUCCUCAUAGUUGCAUACAAUGGUUUUCAGGGUAGCUAGCCAUUGAAUGCCCAGUAUCAUAUCACAGUUUUUUAGAUCCAAAGUAAACACAUCAGUCGCAAAAUCAACUCCCUGGAUAGACCAUUGGAAGUUGUUACACACUGAGGUGCAAGUCAUGAUUCCCCCAUCUGCUACCUGCACUGUUAGAGCCUUAAUACUUGUAAGGUGACAAUGCAAUUUGUCUACUAUGUGAUUGCUGAUGAAAUUGUGUGUACUGCCAGAAUCAACCAAGAUAAUCAGCGGCUGGUUCUCAACCCUGCCUGUGACCCUUAAAGUGUUUAGGCCCGUCACCCCUUCUAUUGCAUUGAGGGAAAUGUGAGGGUUGUAUGUUUCAGGGUCUCGGUCAAUAGUUCUUCAUCCUCACUACCCUCUCCAUUCUCCUCCAUGAUACAUAGAGAAUACAGCUUCUUAUUUUGGCACCUAUGUCCUGGUGUAAACUUCUCAUCACACCAAAAACAAAGGCCUUUAGCACGUCUCUCGUCCAAGUCCCUAUUUCUGACAGGUCUAGUGGUUCUUUGGGUGGUGUUGGGAUUGUAAUGUGGGGGGUUUGGUAACAGACCUGCUUGUGGCUGUUUAAGGUUAGUACUGGGAAACCCGAUGGGAAAGUUUUUGUUGUAAUUAGCAGAGGUUGCAGGUUUGUUUUGGUAAGACAAGGUUGUGGGUUGAUAAGUCUGUUUGGUAGGAUUAGAACCAUAACGUCUGUGGGUGAGGGUGUUGUCCUGUAAUCUAGCUAAUGUAUAUGCUUGUUUCAAUGACUUUGGCUCAAACAUUUUGAUCAUAUUUUUAACUUCUAUAUCCAGCCCUCCUAUGAAAAAAACCAAGGCGUUUUUCUCAGAAAUUUCAGAUCGAUUCCAGAGGAUAUCAAAAUCCUUGAUGUAGGUUUCUAAAUCAUUUCUCUGCUUGAGUUCAAUGAGCUUCUCAUAUAAUUUUGAUGCCAACAUAGGGCCAUACCAUCUAGAUAAUAGGAAGCUAAUUUGAGCUUGUCUUGCUCAGCAGUUUCUUCUACAUCAAAGUAUUGGUUACACUUAUAAAUCCAUUUAAGGACAUCCUCUCCUUUAAAAAUGGAAAACUCUCGUUUCGGCCUACGCAAUUGAUAUUGAGGGGAAGUACCUUCAUUAAUCCAGUUGAAACGAGCGGUUGAGUCUCUUGUGGGAGGAGGCUGAGGAGCCUUAGGUAGGCUGCAUUCCCCUGAAGAAAGUUGGGUCUUCUGUAAUGCUGUGUCUACCCGAGAAACAAGAGCAUCCAUGGCUUCUUUAAGUUCCCUGAAGCGUGUAUUAGCAUCAGCCCUGAUAUUAUUAAGUUGUUGUUGGAUGUGAUCAUAUGUUUGAGGUUGCUCCGGAUUGGUGGUUCCAUCCACCCUUCUGGCAUCUUGGGAUCUCGUUUCAGGAGGCAUUGUGAGUCUGGAGAUGCAGCUCUGAUACCACUUGGAGCAGUUUCUUGAUUACUGGUAGCAGGUUCGUGAUUGUUAUGAUAUAGAACUCACAUUAACAAUGGAAUUCGUAUGGAAGAAGUCGUAGAAGAAGAAGAAGAACAGGGCUCAAGAUAAUGAGAUGAAGAAGACUGUUGAAGCAGAGAAUGCGUGGGAAGAGUUUGUUGGAAGGAAAACUGAUUCAAUAUAUUCAUAUCCUCUGUUGUAACAGAAUGAUUAUUAUUUAUACAGCUGAGCCUAACAACCUAGCACAUGCAUCUUCUCUUUGCACGUGAUAGUAACUGAUUUGUAACAGAAACAUAAACUUUCUAAACGCACCGUUUAGGACUUAGUGACUUACUCGUAACGCACCGUUUUACAAUUGAUUAAUUUGAAUUUCCCCCGUGUAAAACCUAUAGCUAAAUGUUGACCUGCAACAGAAAACCAUGCUGCAAGCUUGACAUAUUGUUCUGCUGCAUCGUUGGUAUAGAACAUUGCACAUUCAAUGAUUGCAACUGGGGAUUUAGUUGAUUUUCAUGGGACUGCAAUUGAUGAACUGGAGGCUGGGGAAGUUGUCCUAGCUGUAGAUUAGGAAUAGGCCUCCUGAAUCUAACUAGGUGUGACGUUGUUUUUAGAGACCUGUAAGAACAGCAAAAAUUAGUUGAGAUAAAAAUAGCAGAGUGGAAUUAAUGUUGGAAACUCAAGAGGACGUCGAUAUUGAUGGAAUGGAAACAUGCAAAGGGCUGUGUAAGUACACCUUCAGACAAGAUUCAGGUUACUUUGUCGAUAUUGAUGGAAUGGAAAGAUGCAAAGGGUUGAGUUCAGUUACUUUGUCUCACUGCAUUAUAUUUUUAUAUAGGUGGUUAUGAACUAUCAAAAUUGAGCAAUUUGGAACACCUUGACUUGGAAUUAAAUCACUUUAAUAACAGUAUUUUAUCAUUAAUGGAGAGGCUUUCAUCUCUUAAAUUCUUAAAUUUGAUUGAGAUGGGGCUGUUCCUUCAGAUGUUAAUGGUGUUUGUAAUAAUGGUUUCCUUGCAAGGAUGGCUGCCUCUUGGUUGCUUGGAGGAAGAGAGAAUCGCUCUCUUGCUCCUCAAAGAUUCUCUUAACUAUCCCGAUGGCACAUCCCUACCCUUGUGGAUUUUUAGAAGGCCAAGCCCACUGUAGUUCCUGGGAAAGUAUUAUCUGCAACAGCAGUCACCAGACUCUAUCUUGAUGGCACAAGGUACUUAAAUUAAUGCCUUCCUUUUCAACAACUUUGAAGUCAGUGGCACUGUAUCUUCUCGAGGUAAAUUAACAAAUUUUAACUCCAUAUUACUUAUCUGUGACUGUGCCCUAUAAAGAAUUCCUCUUUUCCUCUUUUAAAUGUCCUCUUUUCCUAGAGAUAAUUGAACUGACAAAGAGAAACAAUGCGAAGUACUUUCUAACCAAGAAAUGAAAGAGGGAGCGUAGGCGAAGAUUAAUUCAAACAGUUCCAGGUUUUGACAUCUGGGAGACCAUAUCAUAUGCUGCUAGCCAUAGUUUAAAAUAUCCAAGCCCUGCACAGCACCGUGAACAAGCGAAGUUUUGGCCAGCCACCACACCUUCGUCAUCGUUCAGACCAGAAGUGGAGGGGAAGUUUUGGCCAGCCACCACCUUCGUCAUCGUCCAGACCAGAUCUGUCACUGUCUUCGGCCGAUCUCUCAUUCUUCUACCGUUGGAUCAACUUGAUUUUUGGGUAUGUUAUGUGUCUCCAUAGUUCCUACAUCCAGACCGGAGGGAUCGUUCAUAUCUGCUACCGUUUAAGAAAUCUAAUUGUUUGAAGAUUUCUGGACAAACCACUCUCGGAACAGUAAGCUCCGCUGGCCUUUUUCUCACUUUUCUACCGUUGGAUCAAUCUGAAUUUUGGAUAUGUUAUGCUUAUGGUUGUAUUAAACAUUCUGAACGGUGGAGAUGAGAUGAAACCUUUUCCAGCAAAGUGUUAUGAAUGUCUAAAUGGUGGCUCGUCAAUCUCAGGUCAGUUUUGUUCUAACUCCGAUCUAGAGAGAUCCAACCGUUAACUUGAGCUGAUAUUUGGAUAUAUGCUGCAUAAGAUGUGUGUUUAUCUUUGUACCGUUGGGAUUUGAUAUUGAUUGAAUUGUUAGUCAGUAAUUGAUGUUUGAAGCUCUGUCCGGAAUCUGUCAUGACUUUCAAACCGAAACCCAAAACACCCAAAGUUAACAUCACCCCCUCAACCACUAAACAUCCCACAAACCAACACCAAAACACCCAAAACACAGCCUUCCCAUCGCAGGUUUGAUUUCCAAAAUCCCACAAACCAACAAACAAUCAAAAAUCCCUUUCCAACAACCAUCUCUGCCCAAAACAGCAACCACUCUCUAAACACAAUUGCAGUUUCCUAGCACAAAGAACAACGAUACAAUAACAAGAUCUCCCAAAAUGCUCCCAACCAAAAAGCCUUCGCUCACCCCUGCAAACCAGACCGUAGCAACGUUACUCAAACCUCACCUGAAUAAUACAGCCUCUCAAACACCUUCAAACACAACCUUCCCUGUUACACUAAACCUACCGAGACCUGUGCACCACACAAUAAACGUCCAGAACGUUAAUAAGCCUUCUUCUAACACAACCUUCCCGACCUUUACCCCUUCUAAGUUCUUUAUUGAACGUUUCCCAUCAUGGUUAGAUUAUCAUGACCUCAAAAAGACGCUUGCAAAGAUUGGUCCUGUUACCAAUCUUUUUGUCUCCAGGAAAAAAACAUCACGAGGGAGACGGUUUGGGUUUGUUUCCUUCCUCUCCACCUUAAAAGAAUCAGACAUUUGUAACAGCUUGAACCUUAUCUGGUUCGAUUCAUACAAAAUUCGUGCAAACCCGGUCAGAUUUCAGAAACCUCUAGACAAAAAACCAGACCUUGUUAUAAAACCACAACCAAAAACCAUGCCCAAACUCACCUUCAGAGACACCCGGACCUUCGUUGAAGCUCUUUCUGUCACAAAGCAUCCAAAGAAAACGGUGAUGUAUGAGUCUAUCCCCGAUGACAAGGAAUGGCUUCAGAGAAGUUUAGUGGGAUUCAUAGCCACAGACGUGGACUAUGCUCAGCUUGAGCAUAUGGUGCUAAAAAAUGUCAAGCAGACAGUUGGGUUUCGUUUUUUGGGAGCAAGCCAAGCAGUCAUCACCUUUACAAAUAGAGAAUCUAUGGAGAAAGAGCUGGUAAAUGGAUCCUCUGUUUUGGAAACAUCAUUCUUUCAUUUGAAACCAUGGGAAAAAGGAGCUAAAGCCAUAGACAGAUUUGUGUGGGUGUCCAUAUUAGGAUUACCUUUGAUAGGAUGGAAUCGCAGAUGUAUUGAAUCCAUUAUUGAGAAAGCAGGGAAAAUGCUUGGAUAUGACAUUACCAGCGUGAGCCAAGGAUCUCUCACAGGAGUUAAAGUGCUGCUGAGCACAACCUCAUUUGAGACGCUAAAUGAACAUGUUUUGCUGGUUCUAGAUGGCGACGAAUUGAAAUCUCAAUCAUGGAAAUGAAACCGGAUUUUAGUCCCCUGCUGUCUACAAUCAAACAUUCAAUGGGUGCAACAGGUAUUCAAACAUCAGAUGAAGAGUUAUGCAGUGAAUUUGCAGCUUCAGAUGAGGUUACGGCAGCGGGCACAAAGAUUACUGACACUGAUGGUGAUCAUUGUGCAACAGACAUUAUUUUAACACAGCAACAAAAGGCGGAUACGGAUAGUGAUUUCUCUCUCAUUCUCUAUCAAGGGUACACUGGACCAACAAACAACUUGGAUCAUACUGACACAAGUUCAAAAUUGCCUACCUUUUUCCUGAAACAAAAGAAACACGUGAUGAAGGGGCAACCGACAGUGAUAGCAACACAGAUGUCUCAGCACAUUCAGUUACAAGAGUGGGCCUUGUAAAAAACAGAAUCACAGGCCAGGUGAAAGGAACAAGGCUAAUCAACAAGGCAAUAAACUCAUGUAACUCAUUCUCUGAUUUCAUACGUGACCUGGCAGAGCCUCAAGAAGUAGUGGAAAUGGAACUACAGGAAAAAAAAAAAAGCUUAGACGAACCAGAAGACUUGGCCCUAAAUAUACAUACGGAAAAGGGAAGAAGGGGAAGAAAAACAGGCAUGCUUUGGCUCUUAAUGACACAUCAGAUAUUGUUCCUGACUCAUUCAGAAACACAUCUCAAAAAGAAAACGGCUCCCCCUGCUAUUAAGUCAUCUACUGAUCAACAUGAAGAUAUUACCUCUAAUCAUGCAUCCAUGGAUACAGAGACCAGUGAUACACAGCUCAUCUACCAACCCUUUUGAACUCUCAGUGCAGCCAAGAGGCCUCCUCAGAAGCGAUCAACGAAAACAACAGGAAUGCUAGAAGCAAAUCCAGGAAAAUAAAAUUGUUGCAAGCUAAUGGUAGUGUAGCUAACACUACUGAGAAAUGUGUCUCUUCUGAUUCCCUCAAUUCGGGAAUUAAGCAAGGCAAUGUCCGGUUCCAGACAACCUGUGAGAAUAAUCAAGCUGAUGGUUUUGAUAUAGAUAAGGAAACCCAGGAAAUGUUACAUGAUGCAGCGGCUCUAGGCUUGGGACCAUUCCAAGAUCUUAUAGGGUAUGAAGAGGGAGUUCGGGGGAACAUUGACAGAGAAGUAGACGAGUGGAAAUCAGUCAAUCAGUUGUAAGUUUCUUAACUUGCUAAGUUUUGUUCUGUCAUGGUUUUGAUCUACCUAUGAAUAUUUUUGCUUGGAAUAGUUGUGGGUUGGGUAUGUUGAACAAACGUCAUUCCAUCCGGAAUAGGUUGCUCAACAGUAAUGUUGAUAUCUGCUUUCUAUUAGAAACAAAAAAAGAUAAUUGUUGCGAUUCAUACAUCAGGAAUUUGUGGAAUGUGGUAACUGUUAAAUGGGCUUUGCUAGAGUCUGUAGGCAAAUCAGGAGGGAUAAUUGUGAUGUGGGAUAGUUCUAUCUUUGAGGUUAAUUCCAUAGAAUUUGGGGGGCAAUGGAUCAGCCUAUGCGGUAAACAUGUUCAUUCUUCCUUUAACUGCAUGGUAGUUGGUGUUAUGCUGCAUCUUCUGUGCAAGAUCGUGCUAAGCUGUGGGAAGACAUCACUACUCUGAAGUUUGCCUUUGAAUUACCAAUGGUGGUGAUAGGUGAUUUCAAUGAAACUCUUCAAGCUAAUGAGAGAAGUAGCGGCUACAUUAAUCAUUCAGGGUCAGCUGCUCUCCGUAAUUUCCUGUCCGAUUGUGCUCUGAUUGAAUUCAAACUGCAGGGCAACCGUUUCACUUGGUUUAGGGGGGGUUCUAUGAGCUGUAUUGACAGGGCUUUCGCAUCUCCAGAGUUCCACCUCCAGUUUCCAUUCUUAUCACUCUACCGUUAUCCUAGGGGGAUGUCUGAUCACUGUCAAUUGCUUCUUCAGGCACCAAAGGUAGAUUGGGGAUGGAAGCCUUUCCGCUUCAUAAAUAGUUGGUUGUCACACCCUACAUUCUCAGCUGAUUUUGAGAUCUUCUGGUUUGAUAGUUGCAAGGAAUUUCCCGGUGACUAUAGAUUGGUAAAGAAACUAGGAACUUUGGGGAAAAGACUGAGACAAUGGAACAAAUCCACCUUCGGUAAUCAAAAUUCAAAACUUGCAGACAUUCAGAACUCCAUCACAACCAUCGAAGACUUAAGCGAGGUACGCCUCUUGUCUGAGACUGAAAAAACAAAGCUCAAGAAUCUGAACUCUGAACUUUGGGAGGUUAGUAGGAAUGUCGAGGGCAUUUGGAGGCAGAAAUCCCGCCAAAACUGGUGCAAAAUGGGGGAUAAAAACACUCGGUUCUUCCAUCUUUCGGCAAGUUUGAGGAAUGGUCGGAACCACAUUAGCAAGAUUGAGCAGAAUGGCAGAUUUUUGGACUCUCCAAAUGACAUCAAAGAGGGUGCUGUCAACUUCUUCUCAACUCUGUUUGCCAAGCCACAAUGCAGAAGAAUUGAAAUGGGAGACUCAGGGUUCUCUAAAAUUUCAGAAGAAAGUUCAGUUUGGUUAGAAAGACUACCUUCAUUGGAGGAAGUGAAGCAAGCCGUAUGGGAUUGUGAUGGUUCAAAAGCCCCCGGUCCUGACGGGUUCACCUUCUCCUUCUAUAAAAAGGAAUGGAAUCUUAUCAGCCCUGACAUCUUUGUGAUGGUCACAGAAUUUUUCAGAACAGGUAAAUUACCAAAGGGGAUCGGCUCGUCCUUCGUGACUUUGAUUCCAAAGACCAAGAGGCCGAGCACUUUCUCCCAAUUUCGACCAAUUAGUUUGAUUCAUGGGUUAUAUAAAAUAGUGGCAAAGCUCUUGUCCACUAGGCUCCGAAGCAUUCUACCAGAUGUGAUAAGUGUAAACCAGUCUGCUUUCAUUGCCGGGCGUCAGAUUCUAGAUGGGUUCAUGAUAGCAAACGAGGUUGUCCAUAGUAUUCGUAGCAAAAAGGACCACGGGUUUUUGCUAAAGGUAGAUUUUCAUAAAGCCUUCGACUCGAUUUUAUGGGAGCAUAUCGAUUCUACCAUGGGUUAUAUGGGUUUUGGAUCUCACUGGAGGAAACUGAUCUUUGAAUGCAUGUCCACUUCUAAAUUGGCCAUCCUGAUUAAUGGCUCACCAAGCAGAGAAUUCAGUAUGGAGAGGGGUCUCAGGCAAGGGGACCCCCUCUCUCCUUCCUUUUUGACAUAGCAGUUCAGGGGUUAACAGUUCUAUUCAACAGGGCAUCAGAUUCAGGUUACUUUAAAGGUUUACAGACUUCGCAAGGACAUCACAUAACCCAUUUGCAAUAUGCAGAUGACACUUGAUUUUCCUGCCGAAUGAUUAUAUCUCUCUAUUGCAUGUCAAGAGGAUCCUCCGCUGGUUUGAGAUCAUUUCAGGACUGAAAGUUAAUUUCUAUAAAAGCUCACUUAUAGGAAUUAAUUUGGAUAACGAAUACACUUCAGGUCUGGCUAACACAAUUUUCUGUCGCAGUGACUCUUCCCAGUCAGAUACCUUGGGUUGCCUCUUGGUGCUAACCCAAAUAGGCUCUCCACUUGGAAACCGGUAUUGUCCACAAUCAGAGCAAAGUUAAGCAAAUGGAAAGGGAAGUUUUUGAGCAUGGCCGGAAGGAUAUGUCUUAUUAAAUCUGUCUUAAACUCUCUACCUCUAUACUAUAUGUCGGUCUUUAUUAUGCCAAAGGGCAUUGCAAAAGCAAUAUCCUCAAUCAACCGAUGUUUUCUCUGGAAGGGCUCCUCAAAUUCACAUGGUAUUUGUAAGGUUGCUUGGCAUAAGGUAAUUAAGAGUAAGCCACUGGGAGGUCUCGGGCUUGGUUCUAUUCACAGUAAAAAUCUGGCUCUGAUGUUUAAAUGGCUUUGGAACCUUGACAAAGGAGUGGUAGGAGGUUGGCAAGAGCUCAUCUUACGAAAGUACCGGCCACAUUUUUCAAAUGGCCUUCCUGUGUUUGCAGGUUCUUUAUCUCCAACUUGGCGUGGCAUGGUAUCUGCAAUUUCCUUAAAUCACAGCAUAGCCGCUCCCAUCCAAUCCAAUGUUGGGUUUAAGGUGGGUGAUGGGAGAAACAUCAGGUUUUGGUCUGAUUCUUGGCUAGGCUAUGCAGCCCCUCUCCAGUUCAUGUUCCCUAGGCUCUACAACCUCUCCCUGCAGCAAUCUUUAAGCGUUGCAGAAGUUCAUAACCCAACAGAUAACUCAAUCAAUCUUUCUUGGAGAAGACCACUUCGAUCCCGAGAACUCUGCAUGUGUGAAAGCUUGAUAGCAGAAGUGGAACGUGGCCUAGUCUUCUCUGAUGGUGAAGACAACAAGAUUUGGAAACACCAUAGCUCCAACAAUUACACAGUCUCCUCUGGGUGCCAUCUCUUUGACGGUUUAAAUGUUUCAGGACAUCUGCACUCCCCUGCUUUGCUUUGGAAAGGGUUUGCGCCUCCAAAAAUAGAUGUGUUCAUAUGGCUUCUUUUCAAUGGCAGUGUCUGCACAAAGGGUUUCUUAGCUGAGAGGAGAAUCAUCAAUUACGAGGAAGCUCUUUGUCCUUUCUGCUGCAAGGAGAUUGAGACUACACAUCAUCUUUUCCAUCUUUGUCCAAAAUCAUGGUCUCUUUGGGGCAGACUAUUUAGUUGGUUUGGGUGUGUAGGUUGUCUGCCAAAAGAACCAUAUCAUAACCUUCAGGAAUGGUCUAACAUGGUAAAAGGAAAAUUCCAGCGUCAGGCAAUUUCCCUUCUCUGUAAAGGAUUAUACUGGUCAAUUUGGAUAGCGCGCAACCACAUGAUCUUUGACAACAAAACUCCAGACUGGGAUGUGAUUUUUGACCUCACCUUUCAUCGGUUGGCCUUUUGGUUGAAGUCCUUUGUUAAAAAUUUCAGCUAUACGGGCUCUGAUCUUUAUAGAAAUCCUGAAUGUAUUAUGAACUGGACUAACUAGUCAGGUCUUUAGAUUCCUUGUUUUCUUAAUGUAUUUUUAAUUUCCCAUGUAAUCUUCCUUAUCAGCCCUCAUCUCCUUAAUGGGGGCAUAUUAUUUAUAAUAUUCUCGAUUACUAUCAAAAAAAAAUGUCCUCUUUUCCUAUUAAACAAUUUGUCCAUCAAGUUUUUGCCCCACCAGUAAGAUGGUUCACUGAAAAGACAAAUUUUGGAAAUGCUUUUGUUUGAUCUAUUUUCUGUUAUUCUCCUAAAAUAUCUUCGUUCCUUGAUAGUAUUCUCUUGGAUAUGAUGAGGUACUACUCCAUUUUUUGAUCUUUGCUGGCCUAGCAUUCCGUGGGUCUAUUUUAUAGAUUGCCAAAUAGUAUAGUCUCCGAGAAUUCUCAAAUCUAUUAGUAUUUGAAUUCAUACAAACAGAGAAAUGGCCAAUUACCAACCGCCCAAGGUAAGGUUAAUGACUCUUAUUCUCUUUAAAUUAUAUAUUUUCCAUUAAACAGUAAGAGUUUAAAAUUUUCUAAAUUAUGAUGUCAGGCCUAUGUAACUUAAAUGAUCUCCAAGAACUAGAUAUGAGGUUAGUGGUGUCUUAUCUCCAUGUCUGGCAGAUGUUACUGGAAAAUCUCUAUAUCAUUGAACCCACUAUGCAAACUUUCAAAACUCAAGUCUUUUCAUGGUUUGGAAAAUGAAAUAUCCACAGAAGAAGAUGGUCAUAAUUAAUUAAGCCCAAAGUUCCGGUUAGAGUCUCUUGGUUUGAGGUGUCAUGGACAAGGUGGAGCAUUUUCCAAGUUCUUUACCAUCAGUUGAACCUACAAUCUUUGGAUCUUACAAACAUCCAAAUAAAGGGAGAGUUUCCAAAUUGGUUGACAGAGAACUAUUGUAAAACUGAUAUAUAAAGAACAUACUAUUGUUGAUGAAUUAAAAAAAAAAAAAAGAAGAAAGUCUUUACAGUUUAAAGAACAAGGAGCAGAAAAUGUUUCGAUAGGUUACUGCCGUCCCUAAUGUUUUAUUUAUAGAAGGAAACAAACAUUACAAAAUUAUAAAAAACUGAAGAAACGUACCAGUUAUGAUCUCCUUUAUCUAAGGAGUUGUAUAACAAGCUAGUCUAAUCCUAGAUAAACUUAAACAAACGAAUUGAAAGAAACAUCCUAAUCUAGAUAAUGUUAUAAGCUAACAGAUAGAUAGCAAUGUAGUAGAUUACUGCUAAGUAAUCCUGUUCCAGCUUUGGUACCAGACUUCAACAAGAAUAACACAUACGUACCUAGAAUAGUUGACCUUGGUGCAGAACUAAUGAGUGAUGUAAACUAUUCAUCAGAACCAGUGAAAUUGAAAGACUUGCAAAGAAUCCUGAGUAAUAUUGGUGAUGGAGGUAUGUUCUGCUCAGAUAGUGCAAUUGACCAUAUCUUUUGUUGUCUUAUGUGUUGCGAUUUCUUGUGUGUCUUACGUCGUUGUAUUCUAAGGUAAUUAUGAGGUUGCAAGGCCACUAAACUCCAGAGGAUAUUUUAGACUUUUUGCAGAGCCCUCCUUUCCGUCAACAAGUGGAUUCUUUUACUUAUGUAAGAAAUGCGAGGCUGAUCCUUCUUGUUCUGGUUCCUGUCCUUUUGAUGAUAGCCAAUUUUACAAGGUUUAGCUCUUCUUUUUGCUUGAAGGUUCUCCGAACUGGACAAAUAGAUUUGUCUGAAUUUGGGAUCAACCCCAAUAAAUAUGAGUGGUUUGUGGCUCUAGAACCUGUACCUUAGCAAUGGUUUUCUCUUUAGCAAAUCAUUUACUCGUGUUCAUUAGCAUUAACUAAAGUCUUUAGUUAAUUCUUUCUUGGGAAAUUCUUAUUAGGGUUGCUUAUAUAACUAAUGAUUAUAGAACCUUGUUCGAAGUAACCUGAACAGCCUCUUCCUCGGCAAUCCUGGCAUUUCUUGAUCUACCCAAUACUGGUUUGGGCACACACCUAUAUAUAUUUUUUGGAGUUUCAAGAAGCCAUGCUCUAUGUAGGCACACAUAGAAUUUCCCACACCAAAUCAUAAUCAAACUCGAUCCGCUUUAGUAAUCUAUUUUAUUUAAACAUGCAGUCUGCCAAACCCAAUCCAGAAUAACAAGGCAUCCUUUUAUUAAUUCACGUAGAAACUACUAGUCCUAAGUUUAUAAAUCCAAUCAUAGAGCAAUCAGUGAAGAAACUUCAUUAUUAUAUAUCACACAGAAACUAAAAACAAAAACAAAAACAAAAACAAAAACAAAAACAAAACUCAAAUGAAAAUCAAUAUAAACUUAUUUAAAUCUUGAAACUAAAACCCAAAACCAUGCACCAAGGCUUAGUACCAUCAAGAUAAAAGGCUAUGAAAAUCCAAACUUAGAUAAAAUGAGAAGAUUGUCCACCAGAAAAUAAUAGCAAUUGUUGAUGCUCACCUCAAUAAAGUGAAACCAAGAUUGUUGCCAAUUUGGAUUUAUGUACAAAAUUGCACCUAUCACCAAUAACACCAUAAUGUAUGCAACCCCAAGGCUCACAUAGAAAACCUCUAUAUCCAUGAAACCACCAUUAUCUUAUUAUUCGUUGAAGUUGGCAUUGGUGAUGGUGGCAUAGCCACACCACAUAUUUUGGGUAGCAGUUCUCCACAAAAAAAGGGUUGUCCUUGUAGUAGCUCUCUUCAAAUGUGAUAAACUAUGCAACUCUAACAAGAGUCUUGCUAAAUCUUUUAAAUCUAUCAACCUUUCCGGCCUAUUAUAAUCUAAAUAUAGUGAUUAAAGAGAUGAAAAUCCCUCCACAAAUGAUAGAAUAUUGUUAUCGAAACAAUUAAUUCUCAAGUCAAUAUACUCCAAAUUGUUCAAUUUAUGUAACUCAUAACUGUCGCAUGUCACCCGUGCGGCAUCAGCUUGGUGAUUUUUCAUUGUCGUUUGAUUUGAUUGGUUUAGAGUUGCCACCUAGUAUUUAAUUGAGGACUACUAGGAAACCUGAGUGUACUAGUCUUGUCAGAGAUUCACGGGUAAGGGACUACUAGGCGGUCAAGAGUGGCAGAGGGCCGUCGGCUGGCUUUUUGUUGGCUGGGAGUUGGGUUUUUCUAUUUUUGAUAAAGGGGGGCGUGACAGCUUCUCUUGGAGAAGAUAGAGUUAGGUCUUUUUUUUUAGGGUUUUCUCUCUUCUUUUUUUGUGUUACCUCCCCCUGAAUGUUCAAAAGUACCCCCCCCUUUGUUUUGAGUUACGGACCUAUAUUUAUAGGUAAAAUGUUGCUCGGGCUUCAAAAUUGGUCUCUCAACCUUUUUUUUUUGUAAAUUUUGAUUUUUCUUGUAUUUUUGAAAACAAGCAACAUCAACGCCAACUCAAUGAGAGAAAUCAAGGAUUUUAAAAACGACGCGUGAAAAGUCGAACGCGUUCGAAAGACCUUUGAAAAUUUAAAUUUGUUUUUAGAUGAUGUUGAAAAUGCUAAAAACAAUGCAAAUAUAUUAAAAACAUAUUUUUUGAAUUUUCGUUGUUUUCCGCUAUUUUUGGAUUUUUUGAAAAUUUUAUCAAAUAGGUGGGUCAAAAAUCGGGUAACAACAUAUGUCCCCUCUUUACAAUGCUUACGAAGCAAAACUCCUCAAUGUUUUGCAUAGUAAGCUUUGUAAAGAAAAGGAAAGGAAAAUGAUUUCAUUAUCUUGGGCAACCUGCCCCUUUUAAAGAAAAGUGAUCUAUUUUCAGGGGUGACCUGCUCAUACACUCACACUGGUCUAUUUUCAAGGGUGAUCUGCCCACACAUAUGUAAAGUGGCCUACUUUCAUGGGCGACCUGCCCUUUUGAUUGGGUUUAUCUAAGAUCCCAUCUGACAAAUUAACAAGAACCAAAAUCGGUGCGUAGCUCGGUCAAUUUGAAAUCACAUCUAGCGAUUCCCUUUAACCAAAGCUAAAUUCUGCAUGGUUAUGAUAAACUGAGAUCCCUAAACCAAUCCCCUUUAACCAGAACCAAAAUCCAUUGUAGUUAGGCUAAACUGAGAUCCCUUCGCCGAUCCCCUUUAACCAGAAUCCAAAGUUCUGUGUGUGGUUAUGAUAAACUGAGAUUCCUUCGCCGAUCCUCUUUAACCAGAACCAAAAUCCUUUGUAGUUAGGUGACAAGACCAAAAAAUUGAUGUCUUCUCCCAAGUGCAGGAGUAUCGAAGUAAUAAAUAACCCGGCAAGACCGGGGUCGAACCACAGAGAGGUAAUUGUAUAAAUUAUAAAUAACAAGACAACAACAACAACAACAACAACAACAAUAACAACAACAACAACAACAACAAUAACAAUAACAAUAAUAACAAUAAUAAUAAUACUCAGUACGUGGCGUUGUUAUACCUGAGAAUGAUCUAAAAGAUCGGGUCAUAGGUUUCCAACCUAUAUACUAAGUUUAUGAAAAGAUCAAAGAGAUAAAUUAUAUAAUAUAAACAAAAUGUAAAUAAUAAUAAUAAUAAAAAAAAAAAAGAAGAGGAGGAAGAAAUUAAUGAGAACUUUGAGAUGGAAGAUUAAUGUAAGGAUUAAACAAUGAUAAAAACAAAUGUCAAGGUUAGAGGAUCCACCAAUGGUAUUUCAAACAAGUAUAGUAUAAACUCUUAUUAUUCAACUGGAAACCACACACAAAGGAGGUUCCAAUCGGAUGAUUUCUCAUUAAUAGCUCAUUAUAAAUUAUUAACAUGAUCAUAUUAAUUAUCUUAAUUACAUAACACCAAACUUUUAAAUAUUGUCAGGAAUUCAUGAUAUUAACUGAUGUUAACAACAAAUCAAGUUCCUUUCAUAGCCCAGGUGUAGGUAAUACCAUACUGUUGGGCUAUGAGAGUGCCAAGCAUUUGUUGUACCAAGUGUUAUACAACACAAAUCUAGAUUAACCAUUUAACAAGCAAGGUAUUAAGAAUUAGUAAGAUAAAAAGAUAAGACAUGUUAAUAUUAAACAUUAAGAUCCAUGUUGAGUUUACACUAUAUUUAUUCUUACACCAUUAGUGUAACCUUUUCACCUUGACAUAAUAAACUUAGCUAAACAUAAUGAAGAAGAGAAACAUAAAUAAACAAAACAAGAACAUAAAGAAAAUACAAGUUAACUAAGUAAAGGAAAGGAAAUGAAAAGCAUAAACAAGAUAUUAAUGAAAGCAAAACUUAAAAAUUACAAAAAAAUAUAAAGAGAGAAAUAAAGAGCAUGAGCUUGAUCUGAACAACCAAGCCCAAAUACAUGGCAAAUGCCUCCUUUUAUAGGCCAAAAUUCGGAAUUAUUGAUUUGAUGACUAAUUGUUGAGUGGGUGGCCAACUUUUGACUUGGUGAAAAUCCUUAUCUUCUUGUCUGAAUAAAAAAAAUGCUACCAUCCGAACUGGGUCCACUGGAAAACAUGAAAGUUGUAGGAAAUUGACUCAGCUUUCCAGGAAAAAAAAAUGGAGGUCAUUUGGACUUCUAGAACUCCAGAUAUGGGCCAAACACUGAACAGUGUUCGGGCUGCAGGACAGAUUCGGACUUCUCCGUUGUUGCUAUAAUUUGGACUUGAAAACGGCCUUCUUAGAUCUUGAUGAAAACAUGAAAGUUGUAGGCCUAUGUCUUACUGAAUCUGUGUAAAAUUUGAGGUCAUUUGGACAUCUAGAACUCGAGAUAUGACCCAAUUACCGAACAGUGUUCCAGUUUGGACUGCACCAACAUCUCUUUUCUAAGUUUCACCCUCUCUUUAUCUUUGCAAAUUUCAGUAGUUGAAUUCAUCAAUCAAUCCUUUGAUUUAUGUGAUAGGCCUGCAUUUAAGAUGAACAUUUACCAUAUAUUAGGGCAUUUUAUAGUUUUAGACUUGUUAUUAUAAAACAUGCUUUAGUUAAGGAGUUAUUGAUACUUUAAGUGCAAAAUGAUGAUAUAAAACCUUGAUAAAUAUGCACUUUUAAGUACUAAUCAUUAGGCUAAACUGAGAUCCCUUCGCUGAUCCCCUUUAAUCAGAACCCAAAGUUAUGUGUGUGGUUAGGAUAAACUGAGAUCCCUUCGUCGAUCCCCUUUAACUAGAACCAAAAUCCUUUAUAGUUAGGCUAAACUGAGAUCCCUUCGCUGAUCCCCUUCAACUAGAACCAAAGUCUAUGUGUGGUUAGGAUAAACUAAGAUCCCUUUGCCGAUCCCCUUUAACCAUAACAAAAAUCCUUUAUAGUUAGGCUAAACUAAGAUCCUUUCGCCGAUCCCCUUUAACCAAAACCCAAAGUUCUAUGUGUGGUUUGGAUAAACUAAGAUCCCUUCACCGAUCCCCUUUAACCAGAACCAAAAUCCAUUGUAGUUAGGCUAAACUGAGAUCCCUUCGCCGAUCCCCUUUAACCAGAAUCCAAAGUUCUAUGUGUGGUUAGGAUAAACUAAGAUCCCUUCGUCGAUCCCCUUUAACCAGAACCAAAAUCCUUUGUAGUUAGGCUAAACUGAGAUCCCUUCGCCGAUCCCCUUUAAUCAGAACCCAAAGUUUUGUGUGUGGUUAGGAUAAACUGAGAUCCCUUCGUCGAUCCCCUUUAACCAGAACCAAAAUCCUUUGUAGUUAGGCUAAACUGAGAUCCCUUCACCGAUCCUCUUUAAUCAGAACCCAAAGUUCUAUGUGUGGUUAGGAUAAACUGAGAUCCCUUCGUCGAUCCCCUUUAACCAAAACCAAAAUCCUUUGUAGUUAGGAUAAGCUGAGAUCCCUUCGCCGAUCCCCUUUAACCAGAACCAAAAUCCUUUGUAGUUAAGCUAAACUAAGAUCCUUUCGUCGACCCCCUUUAACCAGAACCCAAAGUUUUGUGUGUGGUUAGGAUAAAUUGAGAUCCCUUCAUCGAUCCCUUUUAACCAGAACCAAAAUCCUUUAUAGUUAGGCUAAACUGAGAUCCCCUCGUCGAUCCCCUUUAACUAGAACCCAAAGUUCUGUGAGUGGUUAGGGUAAACUGAGAUCCCUUUGUCGAUCCCCUUUAACCAAAACCAAAAUCCUUUGUAGUUAGGCUAAAUUGAGAUCCCUUUGCCGAUCCCUUUUAACCAGAACCCAAAGUUCUGUGUGCUGCUCGGUCAACCUGGAAUCCCAUCUGGUGAAUCCCUUCAACCAAAGCUAAAACAUUCAUGGUGGUUAACCUGGGAUUCCUUCUGGCAAUCUCCUUUAACAAAAAAAAAUGUUUCUUCUUCAAGAUGAUUGGGUUAAAAUUAAAGACUCUUCUUCAUUGAUCUUCUUAUUUCUUUGAGAUUUCCUUAAUGUUAGGGUUUAUCUCAUCUUCCUCCCAUUUCGGGGUCAAAACCAUGAUUCUUUGUUGUUCAUCAACUCAAUGAUUCUUUCUUUGUGCCUAAUCUUGCUCGACUAUAUUGAGGAUUUUUCCUGCAACAAAUCAAAAAUAUAUGGAAUACUUCGACGUUAGAUGCAUGCAUCCUUACCUGAUUUGAAAUAUAGGUCCCCCCCUCUUCAAUGUUCCAUCAUCAUAGCACCUUUGUUUGUUAUUCAAAGCUUUCUUUAUUCUUUCAGUGCAAUGGUUCAUUCGUGUGCUAGCCUUCCACUCUAAUGUAAGUGUAGUGCCUAUCGUGGGUUGUCCAUGACAGUUACUACUCUUAUUGCUUCUCAAGCUUGACCAUGCUUCCAUGUGUGAUGUAGCUUGAUUCCAUAAAUUAUCUUAUCUCUUGGAUUCUUCCGAGAAUUGUUCUUUGUUUGAAUAUGUGCAUCGUGCCAAUGCCCAUUAAAAUUGUCAAUCAAUCAUGGACUUGCCCCCAGUUGAAACAAUACUCUUCAAGUAUAUGUUAUCAUCAGUAUUCUUGGAAACUAUCCAAUCAUCCAGACAUGCAUCUCAUAGCUUGCAGUAUAAAGGCUCAUGGUUGUAUGCUCAGUGUUCUUCUUAAUAGAUUCCUUUCAACUCUUCUAAUCAAAUUGUGAAAAGAAAUGUCUCGGCCUCAUUAAUGAUGUUGCUUUUAUCACCCAUAUUCAUGCGGUGAAGUGCUCAUUUGGCUUCAAAACAGAUGGUACCACAGUCAGUCUUAGUGGGUGCAUCCUUUCAACAUUCAUUCAAAUGCAAUUAUGCGAUAACAUCAUUCAAAAGUCAUAGCCAUGUUGGAGAUGAUAAACCAAGAUGAAGAUAUGAAAAUAUCCUUCAAGUGCAGCGUUGCUCAUCAAUUGUUGCUGAAAUGCACUAAAUCACAGACUAUCUUUAAACAACAUUGCCCCCAGUCGAUUUGAACAUGCUCAUUCUUCAGUCUAUAAUCAAAUGGCUUUUGUGAUUGCCAAGAAUGACUUUGAUGGACUUUGGUGACUCAUCAUCUGAUUCUUUCUUUGCCCCCAGCUGAUAUGAAUACUUUUUGUUUUUCUUCUCAAGGUCCACUAUAUUGCCCCUAGGUGAUCAACUUUUCAAGGAGUGUCGAGAAAUGUUGAUGUCAUUUUUGUCAAGGAUUUUGCCAAUUUGAUCGAUAUUCUUCUUGUUUGGCAAUCUUUCUUGUUUUGGAAUCAAAUCUCAGAUUUUGAAGAUCAUGUCUAUUCAAAGUCUAGUUGUUGAAAUGAAAUCAGAGAUGUUGGUUUUGGAAAAGAUUUUGAAAAUCAAACCUCUUUGAUCAAAGACCCAAUACGCCAUUCAAUGUAAUCAUUUGAUUGUCUUGUAAUUUGAAAGCAGAAAUUGACCCGUUGUGAGAUUAAAAUAGCUUUUUUGGUUCUUUAUAUCUAUUUUAAUAUUUGAUCUUGAGUGUAUCAUUUGAUGGUCUGUGAUGAGGUGACCUUUUGUGAAUUUCAAGGAAAACAAAAGACUCAAGUCAAAACUUAAGGAUUCAUCAAGAAAGAUUGUUUUCUUUUUUAACACCAAUUUUAUCAGAAUGCAUAAUAACAAGUAGCUUAAUCCAUGAAGCCACGACUCUUAUGGAAAGCUCUUCAAGUUUUGAGAUCGCCAUUUAUCGGUUCAGAUUGCUUCUUGAUUAAAAAGAGCUUUUUAAAGCACGUAAUGCAGGCUAUGGUUCAUGGUUAUGAAAGAAAGGAAUUUCACAAGCUCAAAAGUUGUUUUAGGGUUUCAACGACUAGGAUCAACAUUAACUAUUCAUAAACUCCUUUUCUCUUGUUGUUGUCGCACGUGUGCGGCGGCGCGGCGAUCGUCCACCCUCAAGAAAAAAAUCGGAAUAUUAUAUUCCUGGCAAAUAGGGAGAGACAAGAAAAUUCUUGUCUCUACAAGUGAAAAUAUGGACUGGGAGUCGCCACCUAGUAUUCUGGUUACUUGGAACCUUAACUGGUCUUCUUUAGCGAUCGGGUACGGAGACUGGUUGCGUAAAGGGAAGGUAUUAGCACCCCAACUACGCCCUACCUAAGGUAGGCUGCAUUGUUUUAAAGUCUGAUCAAAUCUAAAAUCGUGUUGUGGUUUUUUUAUUUGUUGGUUCGUUUACGGUUUAAGAAAAGUCCUCCUCUGUAAGGAGAUCCUUAUCUUUAUCGGGUAAAAAACUAACUAUUCGAAGUCGUCAAAAGAAAAUAUCUUUUUAAUAUCAGGAAUACGAUUUACGUAUAAAUUCAUAAUCCCUGAUACUAAAAUCAAACAAAAUAAAAUAUUUUGUUGUUUUUGAGAUUUUGGCCAAUGUUCUCUUGACUUUAAUAAACUGGUUAUUAAAGCCAAAAUGCAUGCUAAAAUAUUGUUUUUUGACAUAUGAAAAAUACGAUAUGAUUUUUUAGAUUUGAGACACUUGGCCGUAUGCACAAAAACAUUUUUUUUCUCUUUUUUUAAUUUUUUUUUUUGUAUUUUUGGAAGUUUUUGCCGAAAACCGGGUAUUUUAAUACCGGAUUUGUAUUUUACGAAUAAAAAUACUGCCCGAUAUUAAUCAAAAUGACGCGGAAAAAUUAUAAAAUGCUGAAACAAAUAUUUUUGAUUUUUUUUGUGUGAACAGUACCGUGUGAAAGAUAAGUGCGAAAACCGGGUAUUUUAAUACCGAAUUAUAUUUUUACGAUGUAAAAUACAUACCGAUAUUAAGCAAAAUUGAUAAAAAAAUGUGCUGGAAAAAUUGUAAAAAAAAAAUAAAAAAAAUAAAUGGGCCGGACCAUAUCAGUUGGGCUAAAUGGGCUGGUUACUGUGCAUAAGCACAGUAACCAGCCUCUCAUCAGUUGCAGAACGUGAAUUAAUUCACGUUCUGCAUGAAAAAAAAAGAAGGCAGAAAGGAGAAGGAGACGGGGCAGGGGUUACCUGCGGUGGCGUCGAGGCGGUGCUGCUGGUGGCAGCGGAGGCGAUGGUGGCGGAGGCACGGUGGUUCUGCGUUUUCUUCUCUCUCUCGUUUUCUCUCUCUUUUUUCUUCUUUUCUUUUCUUUUUUCUUCUUUCUUCUCUCUUUUCUUCUCCUCUUCUUCUUCCUCUCUCUCUCUUCUCCUUCUCUUCCCCUCUUCUUUUUUUUUUUCCUCUUCGGUCUCCCCUGUUUUUAUAGGCAAAAACAGGGGGGGACGUCAUGGUGGUGGCCGUUGUGCUGCCGCCCGUCCAACGCCCGUAACGUGGAAAGUGGUCGGCAAGUCGGCGUCUUUUUUCGCAAAAAACGGGAAAGAAAUUAGGCGAAAAGGGGAAGAAAAAAUCUUCUUCUUCCCCUGCCUCGCGCGUCCAGGGGAAGAAGAAGAGCUACAGUGCCGUCAAAACGGCACCGUUUUGCCCAGCUUCUUCUCCUCUUCUUUUCCCCGCCGGCGGUGACACUCACCGUCACUAGCAAAAGAAGAAAAAAUACAAGCAGUCGAUUUUCUAGGUCCACUCGAUUUUGGAUGGCGGCCGAACUAAUGGUUGUGGAAGGAGUGUUGGAUGGCCAGAGCAGCGGUGUCACCGUUGGGGAAAGGGACAACACUGGAUCUGUGGGCGUUACUGUUGAGGAAACCGAAGGGGAAGCAACCGUUGCUGAUGGGGAAGGAUACGCUGUUGUUGGAGGUUUAGGGUUCGGUGGAGGCCGGUUUGGCCGCUAGUCUGUGGGGGAUGAGAGAAGGAAGAGGGUGAGCGAUGGGGUUUUGUUUCUUUGCAAGGAAGAUGGAGAUUUUCGAGCAGCAACUCUUUUAGGGCAAAGAGAGAGGAAGUUCAAAAUGAGGGUGGUGGCUCUAGUGAGGCCAAGAGGGAAGAUGAUGGGGAGAUGGGGGCUCUGGUUUUCUUUGGCAAGGCCAAAGGGAAAAAAUGAGUGGCUGGCUGUGAGAGGGAGAACCGGUUUUGGUUUGGGUGAGCGACUGUAGAGGUAAAACGAAAUGGCCAAGGGAGAAGGUGGCCGAGAGUGGUAGAGGUCCACCGACUGGCUUUUUGUUGGUUGGGAGUUGGGUUUUUAUGUUUUUGAUAAAAGGGGGCGCGACGGCUUCUCUUGGAGAAGAUAGAGUUAGGUCUCUUUUCUUUUUAGGUUUUUUUUUUUUUGUGUUACCUCCCCCUGAAUGUUCAAAAUUACCCCCCCCCCUUUAUUUUGAGUUAUGCACCUAUACUUAUAGGUAAAAUGUUGCUCGGGCUUCAAAAUUGGUCUCUCAGCUCUCUUUUUUUUUUUUGUAAAUUUUGAUUUUUUUUGUAUUUUUGAAAACAAGCAACAUCAACGUCAACUCAAUGAGAUAAAUCAAGAAUUUUAAAAACGACGCGUGAAAAGUCAAACGCGUUCGAAAGAUCUUUGAAAAUUUAAAUUUUUUUUAGAUGAUGUUGAAAAUGCUAAAAAUGAUGCAAAUUUAUUAAAAAUAUAUUUUUUGAAAUUUUGUUGUUUUCCGCUAUUUUUGUAUUUUUUAAAAAUUUUAUCAAAUAGGUGGGUCAAAAAUCGGGUAACAACAAUAACCACCUACAUAAAUAAAUUAAGACUUCAUGUAAUGUUUUCUUAAAAAAAAGAUAUUGUUGGAUUUAUUUAAUUAUGAUCGAUUAAGAGGUAUGUUAUUGCUAUAGUGACGUCAUGUAAAGAGGUUGAGGCGGUGAAAGUAUAAGUAAAAGGACUAAUUGUUACAGUGAUGAUGUCAUGAUUAUAAAAUAUUAGUAAUGUAAUUAUAUAUGUGAAUAUAUGAUAUAAAUGUUAUAAAUAAUAAAGUUUAAAAGAUUAUUUAAAAAUAUUUUGUUUUUCACAUUGAAAAGAUAUUAUAUUAGUAUGUUAUCCUUUCAAGUUAAAGUAUUUAAACAAAAAAAAAAAUUAUUCUAUAUUGAAAAAACAUAAUUUUUUUUCUUGUUAAUAUAGAGUAUAUAUAUUAAAGGACUUCAAAUCCCACAUUGAAAAAAUAAUUUUUUUCCUGUGAACAUAGUAUAUAAACUAAAAAACUUCAAAUCCCAUAUUGAAAAAGUAAAAUAUUUUUCUAGUAUUUAUAUAGUGAACUUUGAAAAGGGUUAAUAACUAACUAAAAAAUAUAUAAAAAAGAGGUGUCUCUUACCAGGAGAAAAAAAAACAUUUAAAAAAAAAAAAUGGGGUCUCAACCGGGUUUUUCCAGGUCACUAGUCAACCCAGUGGGUCAACCCAGUUUUGCUUACCCCGAUCUUUUGCCUUAACCUACCGAUCCAGCCAUCGGGUCGACCGGGUCUCGGGUCAACCUCCUAGGCCGGUUCGGGUUUAAUAACUAUGAUAUAUAUAUUCUUUUUAUAAUGCUUUGAAUCUGAAUAUCUUUUAGAAAAAAUAUGGUUUUAUUUUGUUUUGAAUUUUUUUUUAAUUUUAUAUCUUAUAAUUUGAUUUUUAUAUUAAUUUUGGUCAUUAUUUAGUUUUUUCUUAAUUUUUUUUAAUUCAAUUUUUUUAUUUAUCAAAUUUCAUUCUUAUUCUUUUGAUCAAUAUUUAUUUUAUUUGAAAUAAUUUAUACGAUUACAAUUAUUUUUUAAAAUUUUAUCAUCUUUCAAUUAUUUUUUAUUUUACAUGCCAUGCACAGCUUAGGGACCCAUCCCUUUGUAUAAAAAAUGAUUUGACGGUCCUUGGGUUGGGUGUAUGCCUACGUACUUAGUUUUCUAAAUAGGCCUUGACUCUUUUUCUCUCUGUAUGUUGUGUUAGUGUUAAAAUCUUAGUAUAUUAUACAAUUGGAUUUAUUUUUAUGUUUCACAAACGAGUAUUAUACAUUUGUGUCUCGUUUUUUCUAAUUAAAAACUUGUAUUGAUUUAUUUAUUUUUUUGUAAUUUGAAUACUUGCUCUUAUGAAUUUUUAUCAAUCAAGUCUCUAAUAAUGUUUGUUUCCCAAAAAAUAGUUUCUGAAAAACCACUUUCCAAACUUUCCCGUGUUUAUUUGUAAUUUGGCUUCGUUUUCAACAAAGUGUUUUCCUGAAAAAUUUGAGCGGAAAACACUUUCCGGAAGUUAUGAAAAAUUUAGAAAUGUCAUAUUAUUUGUUGAUUAUAUCAAAUUUGAUCCUCAAACUUUUGAUUGUUAUAUAUAUUUUGUUUUGAAUAUUUAUUUUUCAAUUUCAUCUCUUAAAAUUUAAUUUUUAUAUUAACUUUGGUCCUCAUUUUUAUAAUUGUUAUUUGCUUUUUCCUUAUUAUUUUUUUAUUAAAAUUUUUUAUCUAUCAAAUUUGGUCCUCAUUCUUUUUUAUUGUUACUUAUUUUAAUUGAAAUAAUUUAUGAAAUGUUAAUUAUUAUUAUUUUAAUUUCUUCAUCUUUUUUUUUUUUAGAUUUGAUCUAUAUUAUUUUAAUCAUUAUUUAUUUUAUUUGAGAUAAUUUAUGAAAAAAACAUUUUCCAAUUUCAUUCUCAUUUAACCUUUAAUUUUGUAAGAUUUGUUCCUUAUUAUUUUAAUAAACUUGAGAAAAAUAAAACAUUAAUAAGUUAUUUUCCAGCUCAUUUUCCAUGACAUAACCAAACACUAGAAAGUGUUUUCAACUUAUUUUCCAUUAAACUACCAAACAUCAGAAAAUAAUUUACUUUCCCGGAAUUCACUUUCCAAAAAAAAACUAUUUUCCAACAAACAUACGGGGCCUCUGUAUUAGUUUUGUUGCCAGAAUGCAAAUAACAUGAUUAAUACUAUUUUAUUUUCAAUUUUUUCAAGGCCUAAAUUUUCCAAACCUAAUUUCCAUAAAAAUAAUAGCAAGUCUUAUAUAUCCACAAUCAUCAUGUGCCUAGCAUUAACCUUUUAUUCAUGUUUUUUCCAAAAACAAAACUUGACUUUCGGUCGACAACGUUUUAAGAUGGAAUAUAAGUUUCGGUUAAUUACUUAAUUUCAAUUUUUUUUUGUACUCUAUGCUUUCGAUGAACAUCACUUUCUUAAGCUAGUUGCAGUAUAUAGAAAUUUCUUCUAACAUUUUAGAAAUAUAAUUCACAUCUGAAUUGAUAAAUUCACAAAUUAAUAUAAUAGGUUUUACCAUUUAUUUUAAUAUAUUUUUGGAAUUUAAUAUUAAUAGUUAUAAAGUUUAUUUAGUUAAUAAAAAUUGUUCCACUUUUGUUAUAUCACUUUCCUUUUAAAUUAUUUUAAAGUUUAUUUAUUUUGAAUUUAAUAUAUCAUUUUUUUUUGGAAUAGAUAAAAUUUAUUUUUAAAAAUAAAAAAACUCUUUUCAAAUAAUAUUUCAAAUAUAUGAAGCCAGGCAUAUUAUUACUAUUUUUUAUUUUAUUCAAUCAAUUUAUAAUAUGUGUGUCUAUUAUUAUUAUUAUUUCAUCGAAUUUUUUUUUUAGAUGAAUAUCACUUUCUUAAGCUCAUUGUAGUAUAUAGAAUUUUUUUUAAAAUAAAAAUAAAAAUAUUAUUCACAUCCGAUUAAAUACCUCCACAAAUAUAAUUCCAUUCAAAGUUGCAUCAUGUAUUAAUCUAAGGUCCAUUGUCCAUUAAUUAAUCGGUGGUUGCGUUUUAACACUUGAGAUUUAUUUUUUAUGCAUAACCAUUUAAUUUAUUUUUUUGCAAACUAAAUUGAAAUUAAAGCAUAUUAAUUAUCCAUUCCCAAGCUUACGGGGCAAUGGUCUCAUGGACCCAUCUCGUAGAAAAAACGCUUGAUAGCAAUGGUCUCGUGGACCAUCCCACCGGCCUAUAUCGUGGAAAAAAAUACAGAUGGCAAUGCAUGGUCUCACAGACCCAUUUCGCACUGCAAAUUGCUAUCCAUCUUACUUGUUGAUUGUGUUAUAUAAAAAUAGACUGACAAGUACUUUAGAAAGAAAAAGAAGAAGACUUGUUGUCAUGACAAUGACAAGAAGUAUUUUUUAAAAAAAUAUUAUUUGUGGUUCAUUUUAUCAACGAUACUCUUUGAUUUUGUCAUCACAAUCAAAAUUAAGGCAUGAUUUUUGAAGAUUUUAGGUAAAGAUCAUAAUUUUGAGUUAUGGUUUGUUUAAAUAAUGAAUUUGAGUUAGAAAUCUUGAUAUAUUAAUAAGUGAUCUGUGUGUAUUUAAAAUUAAAGUGCAUAAAUUUAAUAUUGAAAUUUAAUUAAAGUCUCUCUUACAAUCCAAAAUUUAUUUUUAAUUAAAGCGCAUAAAAUAAACAUAGUUAAAGUUCUUUCUUUCUCUUCCUCUCUGUCUCUGUGUAUGUUAGACGGAGUUUGCAUUAGAUAAUCAAUAAUAGGAGGAGAGUCGUCCACAUUCCAUUUGAGGCUAUUAAUCAUAGGAGGAGACCAUAUAUUUUUAAUCCUGAAAGAGUGAGCAUUGGACCACCGAAGCAAGCCAUAUGCCGAUCUGAUCAGAUCUGUAGAGGAGUAUGGAAAAUCUGAAUGGAUAGCUUUUAGCCAAAGACAUAGACGGGUGAUAAUAAGAAAGAAAAUUGAGUCAUAAUCAGGUGUCUUCUGAUGGAAAAUGAGAUCAUUUCGAAGGAGCCAAAGAGACCAUGCCACUGAGAAGAACAACAUCAACCAUGCCUUCCUCUGAAAAUUACCAUGCACCAUGGAAGACCAUUGAGACCACAUAUCUGAGAAGCUCUUUGGGCAACACCAAACUAAACCCCACCACUUAAUGAUUUUGGACCAAAUGAGCCAAUGCUUAUGGCAGUGAAGCAGAAUAUGGUCCACCGAUUCUGCUUCAACAAGGCAGAUAGGGCAAUUUGAUUCCGAGCAACUCAAGAUACCUCUUCGAACCAACAUACAUCGGGUGUUGAGUCUGUUAAUGAUAGCCAUCCAGCAAAAGAUCUCUACUUUAGGUGGGACAAUACCUUUCCAAAAUCCAGCAAACGAGAAGGCACUUACAGAGAGUUAGUGACACUUACAGAGAGUUUAUACAAAGAGUUAGUGACACUUACAUAGCAUUUUGUAUCUUGUUUUUUCUAAUUAAAAACUUGUAUGGAUUUAUUUAUUUAUUUAUUAAUUUGAAUACUUGCUUUUAAUAAUGAUUUUUUUAUCAAUCAAGUCUCUAUAUUAGUUUUGUUGUCAGAAUGCAAAUAACACGAUUAAUAGUAUUUUAUUUUCAAUUUUUUUCAAGGCCUAAAUUUUCCACACGUAAUUUCCAUUAAAAAAAGUAGCCAGUCUUCUUUAUCCAUCAUCGUCAUGUGCAUAGCAUUAACCUUUUAUUCAUAUUUGUUUCAUAAAUAAAUAAACUUAACUUGGGGUCAACGUUUCAAGAAGGAAUAUAAGUUUCGGUUAAUUACUUAGUUUUUUCCCAAAUGUUCCACUUUUGUUAUCUCUCUAUUACUUUUCCUUUUAAAGGGGUUAUGUACAGCCCUUGUAUAUUAUUUUGAAUUUAAUAUAUAAAAAUCUUUAUUAUAGAUGAAUUUUAUUUUUAAAAAUAAAAAAAUAUAUAUUUUCAAAUAAUAUUUUUAAUAUGUGCAACAUUGCAUAUUAUUUUUUCUCCUUUUAUUUUGUUCAAGCAAUUUAUAACGUGUAUGUUGUUUUUAUUAUCGUUUAAUCGAAUAAAAAAAUUAUUUUAAUUUGAAUUUUUAGAAAAUACAAUUGUGUAAAUGUCAUGUCUUGUGAAAUUAAAUAUUUUGAUCUACACAACCAUCUAGGUGGUGGCCCAGUGGUAAAAGCUUGGGACCAAGAGGUUUGCUCCCUCUGUGGUCUCAGGUUCGAACCCUAGGUUGCUCAUAUGAUGGCCAUUGGAGGCUUACAUGGUCGUUAACUUCAGGACCCGUGGGAUUAGUCGAGGUGCGCACAACCUAGCCCGGACACCCAUGUUAAUCUAAAAAAAAAAAAAAUUGAUCUACACAUGUCUUUCGAUUUUUUUAGUUUUAAUUUUGAGUCAUCAUUUCUGUUUUUUUUUUCAUUUAUUAACAUACAUGAUUCUCGAUUUAUUUCACAAUAUUUGUAUAUAAAUUUUUUAACAUCCACUUAAUUUUUUUUAAAAUUAAAAAUUUAUUAAAGAAAUCUAUAUAUAUAUUUUUUAAUUAAACAAAUUUAACUUGCGAUGAAGCUUUGGUCGAAUAACUAAGUCUAUGUACUCAAAUGAGUGGCACUCGAAAGUUCACAUACCUUAUCUUCCAAGCAAGAAGAGACAAGAAAAGCAGUAGGUGAUGUUUUUUUCUCCGGCUGUAAAUGGAUGAAGGGAUUACUACCAAAAACAUGGACAAAAUUUGAUGUGGACCCGCACCACUUUGAUUAUUCUUCACUCUUCCUGUGUUUCACUACUUGAUGAUUCAAAAGUUAUCUAUUUAAAAAAAAAUUAAAAUUUUAAAAUAUUUUACAAUAUGGUUACAAUAUUUUUUUCUUAAGAAAAUAAAUUGAUGUCAUGUGUUAAUAACAUUUACGGAUUUUUUCCAAUAAAUUAAUCAAAUUUAUUUUAAUAAAAAAGUUUCCUAUCAAGAACAGCAUUCCUAGUUAAACCAAAGUUUUUCCACGAACCCAUCUUGUGGAAAAAAUGCAUGAUGGUUGGAAGAGGACGUCUCAUGGCCUCUCCUCAAGGAAAAAUGCAUGAUGGCAACGGUCUUAGGGACCAAUAUGUAGAUGGAAAUGUUCUCAUGGACCCAUCUCGUAGAAAAAAUGCAUCUGAGUAAGUAGAAUUUUUUCUUUUUCUUAGAUGAACAUGACUUUCUUAAGCUCAUUGUAGUAUAUAGGAUUUUUUAAAAAAUAAAAAAAUAGAAAUAUUAUUCGCAUCCGAUUAAAUACCUCCACAUAUAUAAUUCCAUUAAAAGUUGUGUCAUGUAUUAAUCUAAGUUUCAUUAUCCAUUAAUUAAUCGGUGGUUGCGUUUUAACACUUGAGAUUUAUUUUUUAUGCAUAAGCAUUUAAUUUAUUUUUUUGCAAACUAAAUUGAAAUUAAAGCAUAUUAAUUAUCCAUUCCCAAGCUUACGGGGCAAUGGUCUCAUGGACCCAUCUCGUAGAAAAAACGUUUGAUAGCAAUGGUCUCGUGGACCAUCCCACUGGCCUAUAUCGUGGAAAAAAAAUUAAGAUGGCAAUACAUGGUCUCAAAGACCCAUUUCGCACUGCAAAUUGCUAUCCAUCUUACUUGUUGAUUGUGUUACAUAAAAAUAGACUGACAAGUACUGUAGAAAGAAAAAGAAGAAGACUUGUUGUCAUGACAAUGACAAGAAGUAUUUUAAAAAUAAUAUCAUUUGUGGUUCAUUUUAUCAACCAUACUCUUUGAUUUUGUCAUCACAAUCAAAAUUAAGGCAUGAAUUUUGAAUAUUUUAGGUAAAGAUGAUGAUUUUGAGUUAUGGUUUGUUUAAAUAAUGAAUUUGAGUUAGAAAUCUUGAUAUAUUAAUAAGUGAUCGGUGUGUAUUUUAAUUAAAGGGCAUAAAUUUAAUAUUGAAAUUUAAUUAAAGUCUCUCUUACAAUCCAAAAUUUAUUUUUAAUUAAAGUGCAUAAAAUAAACAUAGUUAAAGUUCUUUCUUUCUCUUCCUCUCUGUCUCUGUGUAUGUUAGACGGAGUUUGCAUUAGAUAAUCAAUAAUAUUGUAUAUAUUCUUUUUGGAGAAGUAACUCAUUUUCACACCCUUGUUGUAGUUUUCCAUUCAUUUUCACACCCCAGUUGCCACCCUGCUUUUCUUUCCAUUCACGCACACAGAUAGUGCAUCAAAGCACUACGACAAGAGUUAGUGACACUUACAGAGCAUUUUGUAUCUUGUUUUUUCUAAUUAAAAACUUGUAUGGAUUUAUUUAUUUAUUUUUUAAUUUGAAUACUUGCUUUUAAUUAUGAUUUUUUUAUCAAUCAAGUCUCUAUAUUAGUUUUGUUGUCAGAAUGCAAAUAGCACGAUUAAUAGUAUUUUAUUUUCAAUUUUUUUCAAGGCCUAAAUUUUCCACACGUAAUUUCCAUUAAAAAAAGUAGCCAGUCUUCUUUAUCCAUCAUCGUCAUGUGCAUAGCAUUAACCUUUUAUUCAUAUUUUUUUCAUAAAUAAAUAAACUUAACUUGGGGUCAACGUUUCAAGAAGGAAUAUAAGUUUCGGAUAAUUACUUAGUUUUUUUCCAAAAUGUUCCACUUUUGUUAUCUCUCUAUUACUUUUCCUUUUAAAGGGGUUAUGUACAGCCCUUGCAUAUUAUUUUGAAUUUAAUAUAUAAAAAUCUUUAUUAUAGAUGAAUUUUAUUUAUUCAAAUAAAAAAAAAUUAUUUUCAAAUAAUAUUUUUAAUAUCUGCAACAUUGCAUAUUAUUUUUCCUCCUUUUGUUUUGUUCAAUCAAUUUAUAACCUGUAUGUUGUUUUUAUUAUCGUUUAAUCAAAUAAAAAAAUUAUUUUAAUUUGAAUUUUUAGAAAAUACAAUUGCGUAAAUGUCAUGUUUUGUGAAAUUAAAUAUUUUGAUCUACACAUGUGUCUCGAUUUUUUUAGUUUUUAUUUUGAGUCAUCAUUUUUUUUUCCAUUUAUUAACACACAUAAUUCUCGAUUUAUUUGACAAUAAUUGUAUAUAAAUUUUUUAAUAUCCACUUAAUUUUUUUAAAAUUUAAAAUAUAUUAAAGAAAUCUAUAUAUAAUUUUUUUAAUUAAACAAAUUUAACUUGCGAUGAAGCUUUGGUCGAAUAACUAAGUCCAUGUACUCAAAUGAGUGGCACUCGAAACUUUACAUACCUUAUCUUCCAAGCAAGAAGAGACAAGAAAAGCAGUGGGUGAUGUUCUUUUUUCCGGCUAUAAAUGAAUGAAGGGAUUAAUACCAAAAACAUGGACAAAAUUUGAUGUGGACCCGCACCACUUUGAUUAUUCUUCAUUUUCUUCACUCUUCCUGUGUUUCACUACUUGAUGAUUCAAAAGUUAUCUAUUUAAAAAAAUUUAAAAUUUUUAAAAUGUUUUACAAUAUGGUUACAAUAAUUUUUUCUUAAGAAAAUAAAUUGAUGUCAUGUGUUAAUAACAUUUACGGAUUUUUUCCAAUAAAAUAAUCAAAUUUAUUUUAAUUAAAAAGUUUCCUAUCAAGAACAACAUUCCCAGUUAAACCAAAGUUUUUCCACGAACCCAUCUGGUGGAAAAAAUGCAUGAUGGUUGGAAGAGGACGUCUCAUGACCUCUCCUCAAGGAAAAAUGCAUGAUGACUGUUGUAACCCAUUUUUGGGUCCCUAUAAAAAAAUAAAAUAAAUAGCCAAAAGAGUUUAGAAAAAAUAACAGAAGGCAGAAGCGCUCAGGAAACAGUCAGAAAAUUGGUCAAGAAAUUCAAAAUACAAGGAUUAAAUUUUUGACAGUAUAUUCUUGAAGGAUGAAAGCCCUAUUGAGAAGGAAAAUUUGAAUUUUAAGGAGAAAAGCCCAAAUUUGGAUGUUUAUGGACUUAAUUGGAUUUUUAUUUGAAUUUAUAGAAGAUUUGAUUGCAAGAAAAAUUGAUUUUUAAGUCAAUUUGGGCUUUAAUUUGGAGAAAUUUAAGUUCUGGGGCCAAAAUAUAUUUUUUAGGAAUUUAUUGGGUCAAAUCAGGGGCUCAAUUGCAUAAAUAUUGAAGUUUAAGGGCCAAUUAGGGACUUAAUUGUGAAAAUCCGAAACCAGGGACCAAUUUGGAGAAGGCGCAAAGAUAGAGGGGGCUGUUUGGAUUUGUUUCAGGGGCUUAAUUGAAGAAAUUGGAAGUUUAUUGAUCAAUUAGGGGCUCAAUUGCAUAAAUCAGAGGCCAAGGACCAAAGUGAAAAAGGCGGCCAACAAGAGGGGCGGGGACCGAAUUUGGGGGACUGAUUUGAAGUUUAGCCAUUUAAAUGAAACGGCGUGUUUUACCCAAAACGACGCCGUUUCAUAAAAUAAAAAAAAAAAUAAAAAAAUUCGAAAACGACGCCGUUUUGAAAGACACUGUUCAUCUUCCUCCUUCCCCCCGUUUUAACAGAAAGAAGAGAAAAAAUUCGAAAAUCUUCCCGCGCCUCUCUCUCUCCUCGCCCCCACCACCUUUAGCAUUGGCCGACCAGCCGUUGCACCGCACUAACGAUGGUCCCCCACGGUUCGGCCCCUAUAAAUAGAGAAGAAAACCGAAGCUGACGGAAGAAGAGAAAAAAAAAAACCGAAGGGAGGAGAGAGAGAGGAGGCCAAGAGAGAGAGAGAGAACCGAACACCGAAGAGAGAAGGAGCCGCGCGCCGCCCGGGAAGCCACGCCACCGCAGCACCGCCUCCUCCACGCCAGGUCACCUCUUCUCCCCCUUUCGUUAGUUUUUUAUUUUUUUCCCUGCAUGCAGAAUGAACAUUCUGCAUGCAGGGAGGAGGGGGGAAUUAAUUCCCCCCUCUCUGUUGAUGCGUAGCUGGGCCAGGUGGAUCCUGGCCCAGCACAUUUUUUUCUUUUUUUGGGCCAGACUAAGUCUGGCCCGGCCUUGUAUCUGACGGGCCAGACCAGGUCUGGCCCAUACCAGCUCUCUAGGCCAAGUCCGGCCCAGAUAUUUGGGCCAGCCCAGCCCGAAUUAUUUUUAUAUUAUAUAUUAUAUAUUAUAUAUUAUAUUAUAUAUGUGUAUAUAUGUAUAUAUAUAUAAAAUAUAAUAAUAAAAAAAUAAAUAUUUUGAAAAAAUCUUAAAAAAAUAUUGUUGAUUUUUCUGCAUAUUUUUAUCAAAAUGUUUUAAUUCUGGUUUGUAUUUUUAUACCGUAAAGAUACAAGCUCAGUGUUAUAAAUACCCGGUUUUCGUCAAAACAUCAAAGAUUUUGAGAAUAAAAAAUGUUUUUGCUUUCAAAAAAAUUCUAAAAAGUCCCUAAAAAUAUUGUUGAUUUUUCUGCAUAUUUUUAUCAAAAUGGUUUAAUUUUGGGUUGUAUUUUUAUACCGUAAGGAUACAAGCUCAGUAUUAAAAUACCCGAUUUUCGUCAAAGCAUAAAAAAAAUAAUACUUUCCAAAAAUUGUUUUUGUUUUAAAAUACGGCCUAGUCUCUUCAAAUAUAUAUAUAUAAAUAUUAUAACAUCGUAUUUUCACACAACAAAGAAAAUUUUCAAAAACAAUAUAUGUAUUAACAUGCAUUUUGGCUUUAAUAACCAGUUUAUUCAAGCCAUGAGAACUAGGCCAAUAUUUCAAAAAUUCUAAAAAAUCUUUUUGUUUUAUUUUAGUAUUUGGGAUUACGAAUUUAUACGUAAAACGUAUUCCUAAGUAUUAUUAAUAAAAUUUUGGUAUGGACGUUAGAACGGUUAGAAUUUUUUACCCGAUAAGAUAAAGACCUCCUUACCGAGGAGGAUUUUUCUUGAACCAUAGACAGACCAACAACUAGGAAAACACAAUAACACUUUAGUUUUUUUUAUCAGACAUUAAAACAAUGCAGCUUACCUUAGGUAGGGCGUAUUUGGGGUGCUAAUACCUUCCCUUUACGCAACCAGUCUCCGUACCCGAUCUCUGAGACCAGUUAGGUUCCUAGUGACCGAAAUACUAGGUGGCGACUCCAAACAAAAAAAUAAAAAAAAUUUCGCUAGUCGAACCCGCAAUUGAUGAAUUUGAAUUUUUUUUUGGGGUGCGACAAUGACAACGGUCUCAGGGACCAAUAUGUAGAUGGAAAUGUUCUCAUGGACCCAUCUUGUAGAAAAAACGCAUCCGAGUAAGUAGAAUUUUUUCCUUUUUUUAGAUGAACAUGACUUUCUUAAGCUCAUUGUAGUAUAUAGAAUUUUUUUUUAAAUAAAAAAAUAGAAAUAUUAUUCGCAUCCGAUUAAAUACCUCCACAUAUAUAAUUCCAUUAAAAGUUGUGUCAUGUAUUAAUCUAAGUUUCAUUAUCCAUUAAUUAAUCGGUGGUUGCGUUUUAACACUUGAGAUUUAUUUUUUAUGCAUAAACAUUUAAUUUAUUUUUUUGCAAACUAAAUUGAAAUUAAAGCAUAUUAAUUAUCCAUUCCCAAGCUUACGGGGCAAUGGUCUCAUGGUCCCAUCUCGUAGAAAAAACGCUUGAUAGCAAUGGUCUCAUGGACCAUCCCACCGGCCUAUAUCAUGAAAAAAAAUGCAGAUGGCAAUACAUCGUCUCACAGACCCAUUUCGCAAUGCAAAUUGCUAUCCAUCUUACUUGUUGAUUGUGUUACAUAAAAAUAGAAUGACAAGUACUUUAGAAAGAAAAAGAAGAAGACUUGUUGUCAUGAAAAAUAACAAGAAGUAUUUUAAAAAUAAUAUUAUUUGAGGUUCAUUUUAUCAACGAUACUCUUUGAUUUUGUCAUCACAAUCAAAAUUAAGGCAUGAUUUUUGAAGAUUUUAGGUAAAGAUAAUAAUUUUGAGUUAUGGUUUGUUUAAAUAAUGAAUUUGAGUUAGAAAUCUUGAUAUAUUAAUAAGUGAUCUGUGUGUAUUUAAAAUUAAAGUGCAUAAAUUUAAUAUUGAAAUUUAAUUAAAGUCUCUCUUACAAUCCAAAAUUUAUUUUUAAUUAAAGUGCAUAAAAUAAACAUAGUUAAAGUUCUUUCUUUCUCUUCCUCUCUGUCUCUGUGUAUGUUAGACGGAGUUCGCAUUAGAUAAUCAAUAAUAUUGUAUAUAUUCUUUUUGGAGAAGUAACUCAUUUUCACACCCUUGUUGUAGUUUUCCAUUCAUUUUCACACCCCAGUUGCCACCCUGCUUUUCUUUCCAUUCACGCACACAGAUAGUGCAUCAAAGCACUACUACAAUAGUUGACUCCCAGUCAAUACGGUCAAGAUAAGGUAAUCAAAAACUAAAUUUACUUUUACUACUAUUUUAAUUUUUAAAAAAUAUUUUUAUAUUGUUUAAUGCAUUAAUUUCAAGAAAUAAAUUCCUUUUAUCUUAAAAUAUGAACUUGAAAAACCAGAUGUAUUUUAUAAUUAGGGAGAAAACUAGAAAAAAUUAUUAGUCUUCUCAUUGUAGUAAUAUAAAUCGUAUAUCUUUGACUCGAUUGAAUUGAAAUGUAAUAAAAACAAGUCAAGAAUACCUUUCCUAACAUAAAAACAAAAUAGUGUGUGUGUUAUGUAUUUGAAGUUUUUGUAUAUAAUACUAUAGCCACACAAUCCACAGGGAUAAGAUCAUUUAUAAUUAUUCCGUGUUUAUUAUUAUUGAUAAUUUAUGUAUUUAAUUAUAUAUAUGAUAGUGAGAUGACACCAUGCAAGUAGGCUCCUAAAUGAUUCUAAAUUAUGACGAGAGAAGUACAAUUAUAAAGUUAAAAAGAUCUUACGCGGAAUCACACAUGAAUAUUCGAUAACAAUGUUUAAGUACUACAACAAUUUUUUUAUUUUAUUUUUUCAUAAAUUAGAUAAUUAGGAAGCAAAAUGUAAUUAAAUGCAAAUAGACUAAAUGCUUAACAAUAAAAUAAUAUUCAAAUCCAAGAAUAUUCCAAAAAGAAAUGAAAUAAAGAAAACAUCUCAUAACAUAGAAUCUGCACAAGAUAUGCAGAUAAAGUCAUGGAAACGGCCAGAGCAUAGUAUAAAUAGGACCUCCAUGGUUACCCAAAGGCAGAUAACAAACAGCAAUAGUUCAUAGAAUUAUCUAAGAUGAUGAUGAAAAUAAUGGGGGCUUGGAUGUUGCUAGCAUUAUUGACUUUGGUUGGCGAAUGGUAUGGUCGUUGUUAUGGGUGUUUGGAGGAAGAGAGGAUUGGUCUCUUGGAGAUCCACUCUUUGAUCGACCUAGAUGGCUUUUCCUUGAGAGAUUGGGUGGACAGUAGUAAUUGUUGUGAGUGGCGUGGGAUCAAGUGUGAUAACACUACAAGGCAAGUGAUCCAACUCUCUCUUCAUGGAGUAAAGGGUUUUCCGCAGUGAAGUUUAUGUACUAAAAUAAGUGGCACUCAAAGGUUCACAUACCUUAUCUUCUAAGUAAAAAGAGCCAAGGGAAGCAGUAAAUGAUGUUCUUUUCUCCGGCUGUAAAUGGAGGAAGAGAUUAAUACCAAAAAUAUGGACAAAAAUUGAUGUGGACCCACACCACUUUGAUUAUUCUUCUUUUUCUUCACUUUUUCUGUGUUUCACUACUUAAUGAUUCAAAAGUUAUCUAUUUAAAAAAAAUUAAUUUAUUCAGUUUUUUAAAUUAAAAUAAAAUAUACCUAUCAUUCUUAGACGUUACAUAAUGAAAUUAAAAACCAUAGCUUUUAGAGCCCCAAGCGCACGGCCCCAUCUCGUGGAAAAAAUUGCUUGAUGAUAAUGGUAUCACUGACCCAUCUAGUGGAUAAUUUGUUGCAAUGUUCUCUCCAUCAAAAUCCUUUUUGUUUUGAAAAGGAAAAUAUAUAUAUAUAUAUAUAUAUAUAUAUAUAUAUAUAUUAGUUUUCAAGUUUUGAGAUAUAAGUUCAUAGCUCUUAAGAUAAGAAAUAUACCACAAGAUUUAAAAAUAUUUUAUAUUUCAUUAAAAUGAAUAAAUAAAUUACUUAUAUGGUUGCAAUAUUUUUUUCUUAAGAAAAUAAAUUGAUUUCAUGUGUUAAUAACAUUUAAGGAUUUUUUUCCAAUCAAAUUUAUUUUAAUUAAAAAGUUUGCAAUCAAUAACAACAUUCCCAAUUAAACCAAAGUUUUUCCACGAACCCAUCUCAUGGAAAAAAUGCAUGAUGGUUGGAAGAAGACGUCUCACAGCCUUUCCUCAAGGAAAAAUGCAUGAUGGCAAUGGUCUCAGGAGCCAAUGGACAGAUAGAAAUGGUCUCACGAACUCAUAAAUGCAUUUAUAGUGAUAUUUUCAUUGUUAGAGACAUACAGUAGUUUAGGGAAUUUUAUCAAGGAACGAAGAUAUUUUCGGAGAAUAACAUUUAUAAUGAUACUUUUAUGCAAUUCAAUUUUUUCUUUUUUUUAGUCUAUGAUACUGAUGAACAUGACUUUCUUAAGCUAGUUGUAGUAUACAGAACUUUUUUAAUAAAAAAAUAGAAAUAUAAUUUGCAUAUGAGUAAAUAGCUUCACAAAUUAAUAUAAUAGGUUUUAAUAUUUACUUUUAAUAUUUAUAAAAUGAAAGAUAUUAAGAGUUGCUUAAUUUGUAGAGCUCCAUUUGUAUAUCAUUCUAUUUUUAUUUUUUUUUGCAAAGAAAAACCUCGUUUUGCAUAACUGUUCCUAUGUCUUUUUAUUAUUGAUGUAUGUUUGACAUUUUUAAUAUCUUAGAAGAGCACACAGAAAGGUUUACGAGGAUUCCAAGGGAGGCUACUGAUUUUUGCUCUCCAUGAGAAGAGCAUCAUGGAACUUCUAACUGAGCAUUGAAUGUCAUAAUGAGAAAGAUUGGCAGUUGCACACCCAAGAGAAUGCUUUUUUUUAUCUUUCUUUUUUUUCACAAGAUAAGGUAAUUGGCUGUUGUGUGUUUUGACUUUUAGCAUUCUUCUUCUUCUUAUUAUUAUUAUUAUUAUUAUUAUUAAGAUGAGUGUCCGGACCAAUUUGUACGCAACUCGACUUAUCCCAUGGGCUCUAAAGUUAACGAUCAUGUAAGCCUCUAGUGACUCUGAGAUUUAUGAGACUCGAACUAAUGAUUUUUAGGAAGCAAACCUAGAGCCUAGGUAAUUGAGCUACACCCUUAUUAGAAUUACUUUUAACAUUCUUUUAGAUUGUCUUGUGGCGGUCCUCCAAGAUUCCGGAGGACCACCUGUAUGCAUAAGGAAAUCACUGCAUGGUUGUGUUUAAAAAUCAAAAUGGCACACAGCAAGUCAAGCAUCAAUUACUUAAGAUUUGUGGAAGAUAUGAUACAAGAGAUAAGAAAAUGAUUGCUAUUAUCCACAAUUUCUUUGCGGAGUUUCCAUUAGAUAAUCAAUAAUGUAUACAUUUUUUUUUUGAGAACUCAUUUUCACACCCCCAGUUGCCACCCUGCUUUUUUGAGAAGUAACUCAUUAGAUAAUCAAUAAAGUUUUUUUUUUGUUCAUUUACCACUAAUUUACAUUUCAAUCAAAAACUAAAUUUACUUUUACUACUAUUUUAAUUUUAAAAAAUUAUUUUUAUAUUGUUUAAUGCAUUAAUUUCAAGAAAUAAAUUCCUUUUAUUUUCUCUUUCUUUUACUAAUAUUCUUUUUUCUUCUUUUUUUGAACUGCCUUAUCUCUCUUUCUUUUAUGUUUUUCAUCUUUCAAUCCUUCAAGAUUUAAAUUAUGUAGCAAUUUACAUUAGGAAUAUUGAUAACAAAUUAAAUAUAACCAGAAAAAAAAUGCAAAAAAAAAUAAUAAUGAUAUUCUAGUAAAACAUUUACAUUUCCAUUGAAAGAUGUGUCAUAUAUUAAUUAGUGGUAUGUUGUCCAUUAAUUAAUCGGUGGUUGCAAUACUCUAAAACUUGAGAUUUAUUUUUUAUGCUAGCUUAAGCAUUUAAUUUAUUUAUUUAUUGUAAACUAAAUUGAAAUUAAAGCAUAUUAUUCAUUCCCAAGCUUACAGGGCAAUGGUCUCAAGGACCCAUCUCGUAGAAAAAACGCUUGAUAGCAAUGGUCUCAUGGAUUCUAUUGUGGAAAAAAUGAGAUGGCAAUAGUCUCACAAACCAGUCUCAUGGACUCUAUCUUACUUGUUUAUUUUAUUUUUUUAAUUUUUUGUGUUCUUAAUAAUUUUAUAAAUGUUGUUGUAGGAUUUAUUUUUCAUGUGAGAUCAAUUUUUAGUUGAUUUACUUAUAGGAUUUUUAAAUAGAUUUUAAUUAUUUAAUUAUUUUUCUAGAUUUGUUAAAUAGAUUUUUUUAAAAAUAUAUUUUCUAAAUAGUCACUACAGAAUUGCAUUUGUUGGUUACAUGACAAGCUUCCCGAGAAAAAUACCGAUGAAAUGAAGGAGGUAAAUUUUUUUAGCGUGUUUUACUCAUUAGUAAAUCUAUCAGUAAUAAUAUAUUUUUAUUACUAACAAAUAAAAAAUUACCGAUAAAAAAUUCACAGACAGAACAUUUCUGUUUGUGAUCCCGUCAAUAAUUAAUUUACCUAGAAAAUUAAAUAAUAAAUCAAGAGGGGGGGCCUUUCCUUGACGAAUAUCCUCAAUGGCCUUUGGAAUCGAAGCAAAUCCUGUGGCCACAAUUUAUUGUUAGCACGUGUUUGCAAUUUACGACAUAUAUUUUGAUGAGCUACUUGUAGAGUAAGGCGCUGUUUUUGUUUCUACCUUUAGGUGAUUGCACCAAACAUAGACUAAACAAAAGGGACAUACAGUGGUGGAGAAAUUGGUUCCAGUUCCUUUUGAUACAUGUAACCAGUUUUGUAUUCUUGCUCACUUUUCAAUUUGGUUUCGGUAUCGUGUUUUGUAAUUAUUACUUACUGCUGCUGUUUUGAAUUUACUAAUCAUUUUUUUCCUUCAACUUCCCAUAUCUUUUUGUUGGAAGCUCCAUUUGUAUAGCAUCCUUUUUAGAGAAGUAACUCAUUAGAUAAUCAAUAAAGUUUCUUUUUAUUCAUUUACUAUUAGUUUACACUUCAAUCAAAAAGUAAAUUUGCUUUUACAACUAUUUUAAUUUUUAAAACAUAUUUUUAUAUUAUUUAAUGCAUUAAUUUCAAGAAAUAAAUUUCUUUUAUUUUAAAAUCUAGACAUGAAAAACCAGAUGUAUUUUAUAAUUAGGGAGAAAACUAGAGGAAUUGAAUAGUCUUCUCAUUCUAAUAAUAUAAAGAUAUAUCUUUGACUCGAUUGAAAAAAUAUAUAUUUAAUAUUGAAAUGUAAUAAAAACAAGUCAAGAAUACCUUUCCUAACAUAAAAACAAAAGAGUGUGUAUGUAUGUUAUGUAUUUGAAGUUUUUGUAUAUAAUACUAUAGCAAAUUACAAUUAUAAAGUUAAAAAGAUCUUAUACGGAAUCACACACGAAUGUCGAUAACAAUGCUAAAGUACUACAAUAAUUUUUUUAUUUUAUUUUAUUUAUAUAAAUUGGAUAAUUAGUAAUUAAAAUAUAAUUAAAUGCAAAUAGACUAAGUGCUAAACAAUAAAAUAAAAUAAUAUUCAAAUCCAAGAAUAUUCCAAAAAAAAAAAAAUCAAAUCUCAAACAUGAAACUCUAAAUUAUUACGAGAGAGAAGUAUAAUUAUAAAGUCAUGAAAACAAUCUUACGAAUGUCUACAAUAUUUUUAUUAUUUAUUAAUUUAUUUUAUACAUUGAAUAAUUAGUAACCAAAAUAUAAUUAAAUACAAAUAGACUAAAGACGGAACUGAACAAUAAAAUAAAGGCCGAACUGCACAAGAUAAUAUUCAAAUCUAUAUUAUCGACAAACACACCAUAAAGACCGAAGUGUCAGACUUUGGCACUUUCUAGGUUAAUUCCGUUGGAUUAUGUUGAAUAGUCAACAAUGGUGCGAGGUACUCUAGGAUACUUAAGGGCCAACUGACGGACAAAAGUGAUGUUUACAGUUAAAAAUUCAAGUGCCUAAGGGCCUUUAAGUGCCUUCGAUAAGCCUAAGGGCCUUUAAGUGCUGAACAAUAAAUAAAUAAAAAUAUUCAAAUCCAAGAAUAUUCCAAAAAGAAAUAAAAUAAUAUUCAAAUCUCCAAACAUGGAACCUGCACAAGAUAUAUAGAUAAAAUCAAGGAAAUUAAAUGGCCAAAGUGUAGUAUAAAUAGGACCUCUAUGGUUGCCCAAAGACACAUAACAAACAACAAUAUUCUACGUAGUAAUUCAUAGAAUUAUCUACGAUGAUGAUGAAAAGAAUGGGGGCUUUGAUGUUGCUAGCAUUAUUGACUCUGGUUGGCGAAUGGUAUGGUCGUUGUUAUGGUUGUUUGGAGGAAGAGAGGAUUGGUCUCUUGGAGAUCCAAUCUUUGAUCGACCCAGAUGGCAUUUACUUGAUGGAUUGGGUGGACGACAAUAGUAAUUGUUGUGAGUGGUAUGGGAUCGAGUGUGAUAACACUACAAGACGAGUGAUCCAACUCUCUCUUAGUCGGGAUUACAGCUUGGGCGAUUGGGUUCUCAACGCAUCUUUGUUUCAGCCUUUCAAAGAAUUGCAAAGUCUUGAUUUGGAAUGGACUAGAUUGGUUGGUUGCAUGGAGAAUGAAGGUUAGUUCAAUGUUUCUGCACUUAAUUAUAAUCAUAAAAUAAAUGAAGGUUGGUUGGUGUUUAAUGUCAAUUAUCUUGCUUUGAUGAUUCUCUUCCAGGCUUCCAAGUCCUAUCAUCAAAACUGAGGGAACUUGGCCUAAGUUUUAACCGAUUUAAUAAUGAUAAAAGCAUUUUGUCAUGCUUCAAUGAUAACCUUUCCACUCUCAAGUCUUUGGAUCUAUCAUAUAAUGGGUUGACAGUUGGAUCAGGAGGUAGCUUCUAUGGUAACCUUUUAGUUAUUUAUUUAGCUUUGAAACCUUUUCUUUUCUCCUCCUCAUAUCAUUUUUUUCUAUGCGUUUAAUUAUUUCCUUCCAAUAUGCUCUUGAGGAACAUCAUGCAGGUUUCAAAGUCUUGUCAUCAAGGUUGAAAAAGCUGGAGAACCUUUAUCUAAGUUAUAAUCAAUACAACGAUAGCAUUUUUCCAUCUCUUACUGGAUUUUCAUCCCUCAAGUCUUUGGAUCUAUCGACUAAUGAGUUGACAGGAUCAGGUAUAAUACACAGUUUCUACCUAAAUGCUUCACAUGACAUUCUCUUAAUUAUAUUGUUUCUUUAUCAACAAAAAUGAGGACUUUAUAUCUAUUUAAUAAAAACUAUCAACAAAACUCUCUAAUACAAAUCACUAGACAGCCAACAAGAGAUUGCCAAUUUCUUUAUUAGAAAAACUCUCGAACUGUUUUAUCAAUGAAGACCACAACAUAAAACCCACAUAUUUGAUAUUUGAUAUUUAAUUCUUGUUUGUAGCCAUUUAUUAUUUCCUCUCUUUUUAAUUAUGGUUUUAUAUUAUUUUGGACCUUUGUUUAAUCAAAAUAUUUUCUGCUGUGGAGGAUAUAUUGCCUUAUGGUCAUGGUGAAUGGUGAAAUAUUUGGACUGAAAUAAAAUGUGAAAAAGUUUAUAAUUCUUUAAUGCCUUGGAUAAAAUUAGGAAAGUACUUGCUAGAAAACAGAGGCAGUUAGGAACAAAUUAUAAUUACUAAAUUAGUGACAACUAAGCAUCUUACUAACUAAAUAGAUAGAGGAAUUAAGUUAUGAUUAUUAUUCUUGUUUAACAGUUAUUAUUCUUGUUUUAAUUACCGAUGAGGUCUUAAUUAUAAGUUUCUUUAUCUUGUUUUGUAAGUCUAUCAUAACUUAGCUUCCAUCUUUUUAUGUAUAAUUUGAGAAUCAUAUAUCAAUUGAACAACAUAUCUCAUCAAUUCUAAUUAUCUUUAGUUUCUAUCUAUUAUGCAUAUCAUGAGCUCAUAAUUAUGACUUACUUUUAGAAACAGGUUUUGAGAUCAUAUCAUCACAUUUGGGGAAUCUCGAGAACCUGAAACUGAACUAUAAUAUAUUCAACGACAGCAUUUUCUCACAUCUGCGUGGACUUUCAUCUCUCAAGUCUUUAGAUCUUUCACACAAUCAGUUGACAGGAUCUGCUGGUAUCAAUAGUAAGUUAUAUAUAAUUUCUACCUAACUACUUUACAUGACAUCUUAUCAAUUCUGAGUGGGCUUUCAUCCCUCAAGUCUUUGGAUCAAUCAAACAAUAUGUUGACAUGAUUAGGUAUAAUACACAGUUUCUACCUAAAUGCUUCACAUGACAUUCUCUUAAUUAUAUUGUUUCUUUAUCAACAAAAAUGAGAACUUUAUAUCUAUGGAAAGAUAAAUUGUGUCAUCUCCUGAGUCCAGAUCUAUUAUCGGCAAUGCAGGAGCGGUGUUGAGAGGACACUUCACUUAUGCUAAGCCUCAUAACAAACAUAUCAAAAAAACAAGUUAAAAAUACACAAUAAGUUUUGAGAUCAUAUCAUCACAUUUGUGAAAACUCGAGUAAUUAGAUUUUUCACAAAAUCAGCUGACAGGAUCUAUCACUAGUAAGUUGCAUUCUCUAUAUCAAGAAAAUUGAGGACUUUAUAUCUAUUUAAUAAUCAAUUUAAUUAUAGCAUUUUAUCAUUUUUUAUUGAGCUUUCAUCUCUAAGAAUUUAUAUCUAUAUGCUUUCAUGUAUCAUUUUAAUAUCUAAAAGAUACUUUCAUCACUAUUUUGACUAUUUCGAGAUAAAUUGUACAGGUUGGUGUGAAUUGAAGAAUUUGAAGCAGUUAGAUCUCUCUGGAAAUAAUUUUGGAGGUUCGCUCCCAGAUUGUUUGGGGAAUUUGUCAUCUCUACAACUAUUAGAUGUUUCUGAAAACCAGUUUACUGGAAAUAUUGCCUCUGGUCCUCUUUCCAACCUCAUAUCCCUUAAAUUCCUCUCACUAUCAAAUAACCUCUUUGAAGUUCCCAUUUCAAUGAAGCCUUUUAUGAACCACUCAAGCCUCAAGUUCUUCUCCAGUGAGAACAACAGACUAGUAAGGGAACCUGCUGCCUUUGAUAAUUUGAUUCCAAAGUUCCAACUAGUUUUUUUUAGCUUGUCGAAAACAUCGGAAGCACUCAACAUAGAAAUUCCCGACUUCCUCUAUUACCAAUACGACUUAAGAUUCCUUGAUCUCUCCCAUAACAACAUGACCGGAAUGUUUCCAUCGUGGUUGCUUAAGAACAAUACACGAUUAGAGGAACUAUAUCUGAGCGAGAACUCUUUUUUUGGUACUUUGCGGUUGCAAGACCACCCAUAUCCGAAAAUGAUCGAAUUACAUAUAUCCAACAACAACAUGAGUUGGUCAAAUUCCAAAAGAUAUUUGUUUGAUCUUUCCAAAUCUAUACACCUUAAUGAUGGCUAAGAAUGGAUUCACAGGUUGUAUUCCUUCUUGUUUAGGAAAUAUUAGCUCUUUUUCAGUUUUGGAUUUAUCCAACAAUCAAUUGUCUACGGUAAAACUAGAACAACUAACAACAAUAUGGUUUCUCAAGCUGUCAAACAACAAUUUGGGUGGGCAAGUACCAACCUCGGUGUUCAAUUCUUCUACCUUAGAAUAUCUCUACCUAGGUGGUAACAACUUUUGGGGCCAAAUAUCAGAUUUUUCAUUAUAUGGGGGGAAAGUGUGGAUGGUAUUGGAUUUGAGUAACAAUCAGUUUUCAGGCAUGCUUCCAAGGUGGUUCGUCAAUUCUACUUAUCUUACCGCAAUUGAUAUGUCCAAAAACCAUUUUAGGGGUUCGAUUCCAAGAGACUUUUGUAAGCUUGACCAGCUUGAAUAUUUGGACCUUUGUAAGAAUAGCUUGUCUGGAUAUAUACCAUCUUGUUUUAAUCCACCGUCUCUAACCCAUUUGCAUCUAUCCGAAAAUAGAUUGAGUGGUCCAUUAACAUAUGGAUUUUAUAACAACUCUUCCCUGUCUUCCCUAGUUACGAUGGAUUUUCGAGGUAACAACUUCAUCGGCUCCAUUCCAAAUUGGAUUGGCAAUCUUUCAUCAUUGAGUGUUCUUCUUCUGAGGGCUAAUCACUUUGAUGGUGAGCUCCUUGUUCAGUUGUGCUUGUUAGAACAAUUAAGCAUUUUGGAUGUUUCACAAAACCAGCUCUAUGGUCCACUACCCUCCUGUUUGGGCAAUCUUACUUUCAAGGAAAGUUCCCAGAAAGCGUUGGCGUAUCACACAAAUUAUUAUCAACUAGGGUCCAUAGAAAAAGCUUAUUAUGAAAAAUUGGGUCCACCACUAGUGGAAAGCAUGCACACAUUAGCAAACAGUUUGUUGGUUAACUUUACAGAAGAAGCGAUAGAAUUUACAACUAAAAAUAUGUAUUAUGGUUACAAGGGGAAAGUUCUUAGCUAUAUGUCUGGUAUUGAUCUCUCCAAUAACAACUUCAUAGGAGCGAUUCCACCUGAAUUUGGGAACUUAAGUGAGAUACGAUCAUUAAACUUAUCACACAACAAUCUCACUGGAUCUAUCCCUGCAACAAUCUCAAACCUAAAGCAGAUUGAGAGUUUGGAUAUUUCUUACAACAACUUGAAUGGUGUUAUCCCUCCACAACUUACUGAAAUUACCACACUGGAAGUUUUUAGUGUGGCGCACAAUAACUUGUCAGGUAAGACACCCGAGAGAAAAUAUCAGUUUGGGACCUUCGAUGAAAGCUGUUAUGAAGGAAAUCCUUUCUUGUGUGGACCUCCAUUGCAAAACAAUUGUAGCGAGGAAGUAGUGCCAUCGCAGCCAGUGCCUCAUGAUGAACAAGGAGAUGAUGAUUUCAUAGACAUGGAGUUUUUCUACAUCAGUUUCGGUGUAUGUUACACAGUUGUGGUGAUGACGAUUGCAGCAGUUCUCUACAUCAAUCCAUAUUGGCGACGCUGGUGGUUGUACUUCAUCGAAGACUGCAUAGAUACUUGCUACUAUUUUAUGGUGGCUAGUUUUCGCAAGUUCUCCAACUUCAGAAGGUGAAUUUGUUACUGGGGAGACGGUCGUUCUUAGUUUGUGAUGAUUGUUUGUCUAGCUAUUGGGUGCUUAAUCUGUAGUGUACUGUCUCUAAGCUCAGUCUUUUUAUAUGAUUAGUUAUUUGGGCUAAAUAUAUAAGCUGGACUUGGGUGUGAUUACUCUUUCAACUCUCAAGACUUGUCUGAAAAUAAAUUGCCAAAACCACUACUAAGUAGAAACAAAAUAUUCUAUGCAUGUGUGACAGCACUUACAUCUGCCUCUGUUUCAAGGGCGACAACAGUUGUUCAAUCAAAGCAUUGAAAUCAUAGCAAGAAGAUCCACCUUUUCAACAGCCUUCCUGGCCGUUUCUCCUAGCUUCUUGACUCUUUUUAUCUUCUACCUACCUGAUAAAUUGAUUCCCAGAAGCUUCGAGACCUGCUGCAAUCUCCUUAAUUAAGCCAAGAAAUAAGGCGCAUGGGGCUACAAGGUGUGAUAGUUAAUGGAAGUAGUUGAGACCAGCAAGAAAAAGCUAAACAAAAAGCAAAUAAAUAAAGGGAGUGAUCACUCUAAUUGCUUGCCCAGUACCAACAUAUAAUUCUCUGCCUCAAUGAUGCCUUCUACACUCACAGCCACACUGUCUGAUCGUGCCAUUCUUUUCUGCUCCUAAGGCAGUCAAAGCCAUUCAACCCACUCAAUACAGUCUUCACAUUGCUCACAGCUUCAACUUUGUAGAGUGGUGGGUGCGUCUUGUAAUGCAACUGAUCAUAAUGUAUACGAUGCUUCUUUUUAUUUUGCGCAUACACUGCAUGGCUUGCCUAAUAUUCCCCAGUAUUUACUGCCUAGCUUAUUAAUUAGUUUAAGUAAAUGCUAGCUUGCAAGAGAGAAAAGAUCAGGAGCCGAUCGAGUUAUCCUAGUCUUAUGAUCCUGAUCAUGAGUUUGACAUGUUAACUUGAGUUGAAUCAAGUUAUUUUUUUAUUUACUUUUUAUAAGAUUAUCUUUAUCUUAUGACUCGAAUCAUGGGUUUGACAAGUUAACUAAGGUCAAGUUGUUUUCUUAUUUCUUAAUUAUUAUUGUUUAAAUUUUAUUAUUAAACAUUGAAUUGAUUGGGAAUUAAGCUUCAUAAUUUAUUUUGAUUUGCUUUAUAUAAAGUUAUUAUGGUCUCAUGAUCUAAAUCGAAGGUUUAGCAAGUUAACUCGGGUUGAUCCGGAUCAAUCUAAUAUAUUGUUAUUUUAAUAUUAUUUAAAAAAAAAAGAUAUUAUCUUGAUUUUUUUAUGAAUCAAAUAAUGUUUUUCUUAGUCGUCCAAAUUAUUACUGAUUGAGGCAUUGAAACACAAGUAAGGUGUAAGCACUACUUAAGAUUUAGAUCUACAGCUGGUCUUGAUAAAGAUACGCACGGCGGUCUCCUUUUUACUCAGUGCAAUUCAUAACAGAGCAGCAUUAGAAGGACAUUUCGAUGACUUGGUGUUCAAGCAAGAGAGGACAUUCCUUACCUUUUGCACAGGUGUGGCUGUUGCAGAUCUGCUUGGACAUUCAAAUGACUGUACGGUACUCUAAAGUACCAAGGCAGUAAGGUGAUUCUUGGCCCAGAUAAUUAACAAUUCGAUCAAUCCUUGCCUGCCUAGGCAUUGGUCUUUUUUCUCAUCUUCAUAUAUUAUUUGGACUGAACCCUGAUUUUAACAAGGCAACCUGCCUCGUAAAUGGGUUUUCACAUUUAUUAAUCAAAUUCUCACUGUCGUUAAAAAAAAUAAUCCUUUUCUCAUUAUUACUUGUCAAUAAACUAUAGGAAUAAUUGAAGUUUGCCACUUCGAAUACUCAUGUUGAGCGAUUGACGCUUCUUUUCCUCUUUCUGCUUUAUCUUCAAUGUCUCUAUUGCAUGGUGAAACCGGGCCUACGUCAAUCCACACCCUCUUUAAUUGACCUAACCAUACAGAUUCCUCUUCUACAGAUUCAUGGAUCCCCUUAUUCAAAGCAGAGGAAUGAUUCAAAGCAGAAAAUACAAGAAGGAGAACAGAGUUGACGAUAGCAGAGGAGAGUAGAAAAGAAUGCAGAAGACAGAAACGAGACUGAAAUUGAGCUUCAAUUUAUUUCCACCAAUAUAAUCCCUACCAUGUGCUUUUAUAAGGAUCAGCAUCAGUUACUACCGGACUAACCAACUAACUGUAACUAACUAACAAACUCUGCGAACAGAAUCUUCUCUAACUAACUAACAGAAUCUUAACCACUAAACAGCAGCUUGCGUGUCCUAUGCGCUUUCGACCCUUAGCCCCUCUUGCCUUUCCACCAUAGUCUUUAUUCUGCCAUCCUGGGCGUAACAUAGCAUAGCUUCUUGAAUCUCUGUUUCUAAUCGGAACAGGGAAGCAACGAGAAGCUUGGAGUGGUCGCAGAUUGUCUUUCUUGUGCUCAUGAGGCUGCCUGUCGAAACGCUGAAGAUUUGCCCGCAGCUUGUAGGAAUCAAACCAAAGCCCCUUUUAAGAAAAUUUAAUGACCAAAAGGAAAAAAAUCAUAAAAAUCUGCCGUGUUUUUAAAAAAAUCUAGUUAGAUCAAAGGAGAAGAUAUAUUAUAGAUUCAUAAAAAGCUUAAAGUAGAUAAACAUCAAACAUUGAUUAAACAUCUAACAAUGCAAAGCUGAUGUUUGAUUGCAAAAACAUAAAUGGUAGUCAUUAGAAGGUUAUGUUUGAUGUCCCAGACGGUAAAAAGAUGAUUCAACAUGACAGCCUCAAACCCAUGUUUUAAGAAGAUCGUAAGCCAGUAAUCUAGUCAAAUAUUUUGGCUUGGAUUUGUAGUAAAUCCUGUGAAAUUUUUGCUACAAUAUCCUCAUCAUUCUCUCUUCCCCCUGAUAAAAUCUCUCGUCCCGUGUUUACCCAUGUUUGAUUUUUUUUUUUUUUUUAAAUCUCUCGUCCCGCAUCAUCGUGUUUUUGCUACAAUAUCCUCGUCAUUCUCUCUUCCCCCUUUUCUUUUCUUAAAAUCUCUCGUCCCGCAUCAUCAUAAUUGGUUGACAUGGAAACCCAGAUAAAGAUGAAAGAGAACCAUGCUGCAAGCUUGACAUAUUGUUCUGCUGCAUUGUUGGUAUAGAGCCGUGCACAUUCAUUGAUUGCAACUGGGGAUUCAGUUGAUUUUGUUGGGACUGCAAUUGAGGAAUUGGAGGGUGGGGAAGUUGUCCUAUUCUUCCGUGUCGAUGCAUGAUUAGUGCAGAUGAUACAGUGACAGGCAAUGCUGAUGAGGAAAACAAAUGAAUACAGAAGCUCAACGUGGGGAAAUUACAGAUAAUCAUGCAUGAACAGAUAAUCCGGAAGCAAUUGCAGAGACAAUGUACCUGCUGUAACUUGGCAGCAAUUCUCUGAUACAUUUCAUUUAUUUCAGGGAAAUAAGUCUCCUUCAUGACUUUGAUCUAGGAAGUACAAAUAACCAGCAAAACAUUAUCGGUCACAUGCUUGAUUUCUUCAGGUGCCAGUCAGAAAGAAAGUAACACAAACAAACUUAAGGGAAUUGAUAAAAAUAAAAUAACAAAAAAAGGGAAGAGGACAGCAUAUAUUAGUUGAGAUAAAAAUAGCAGAGUGGAAUUAAUGCUGGAAACUCAAGAGGAUGUCGAUAUAGAUGGAAUGGAAAGAUGCAAAGGGCUGUGUAAGUACACCUUUAGACAAGAUUCAGGGGUUGGUUAAGUUCAGUUACUUUGUCUCCCUGCAAACUACUCAUCAUUGUUUUCUGUUGUCAUAGCUCAAGACAAUGGAUGUCACAACUUUAGCAACGCUUCUUAGCCUUAUAGAUCCUAAGCAUGACCCCAUGUAUCAUCAACAGCCAUUCUUAUUCCCGUUUUAAUACUCUCCUAAGCACACAAAAAAAAUGUCCUUAUCAACCUCAUUUUCUAUAAAAUUCAACAAUACUGGAUAUGGUCAUGAUUCAAUGGAAUAAGUCCCACUUAUUUUCUUUUUCUUCCAUAGUCACAUUUUUCAGAACAAGUUGAUUGCAAUCGUGCAAAUAACUCUUCACUUAACCAAAGAUAAACUGUAAGUCAUUCAGAAAUAGUGCACUCUUAUUUUUAAGUCUGUCUAAUGCAGUAAGAAGAAAUGACAAUAGGACUCGUUGGAAAUAAAUAAUAAAAUAACAAUUCACCACACAACAAAUAUAGGGGGAAAAAUCGAAAGGGAGAGGUUUGCAAUAAAAGACUGCCGUGCCAGAACCAAGAAAGCAAUCCUCUUGACCUAGAAAUCUGAAUAUUUUUACCGUCAUUCAUCUAAUCAAUGAUUACUCAUUUCUUAGUUGCUGCAAUCAUGGAACUUACAAUGCUUCCUAACUAAUCCCAACCAUAGCUGAAUAAAAUUACUUGGACCAAUCCCAGGAGACCUUUUUCCAUUGAAAUUUUGCAAGACUAUGGCAUAAAUGAACUCCAUCUAAAGAGAGUCAGGAACGGCAAGAAGAGUAUAAGCACAUCAAGAACAUGAAAAAUGGAAUGUCAGUUUAUUCAGACUUGAAUAGACUUAAAAAGAACUUCCGUCUAAUAUCAUGUACUUUAUUAAAGAAUUCAGCCAAAUAUGGAUGCAUAAUAAAUAUACACCACCAAAUGAAUAUCAGCAGACUAAAUACCACAGCACAAAUAGAAGAUGAAGAGGCCAGAAACACUAACCCAUCCCAAAGAGAUUGUCUAGGAUGUUUUAAUCCAGGAAGAAGAAGAAGAAGAAGAAAACAACGAGCAUUAACAACGAAUAUUUCAUGUUAUCAUCAACUCUAAAGAGCAGACUGAAUAUUUCACGUAACAAAUUUACAGGCAGAUCUUUCUUUGAAUAGACAGCACAAUAACCCUGACCAUACUAAAUGCUCCACCCACAGUAGAGUCGGCUGAUUGCGCCUUUCUUCAAGUUGCGUUCACGAGCAGCGAUUUCAUCGGAGCAGAUGAGAGGAAUUUGGAUUAGAGUUUUAAUUAUGAUGCCAAAUAAUUCUUUAAGCCUAGAUGAUUUUUUUAUGGUGCGCAAAACAUAAACUAUUUCAUUCCAAAAUAUUUACAAGUAAACACUCACGAAUAUGAUGAUAAAAAUUGGAGUAAAAUUUUACAUUACCAGUGUCUGUUUUUUGUGAAACAAACAAAUUAAUCCCUCAAGUUUUUUAAAUAAUUGAUUGAUUCUUUGAUCACAUUUUAACGUCAUGUAAGUGGAACAAAUUGAGGAAUUAUUGCUGACAGCUCUACAUUUGACUAACGAAAAAACUAAUGAGGGGACCAGUUUAUUAACAUAAUGUAAAAGUAUAGGGAUUAGUACAUACAUAGCAAAAUGCAGCAAUAAAAUGUAAAAGGGUCUGAUAACAAUGCAAAAUAUAAAACAAAAGGUAAGGAUGUUUAGAAAUUCAAAGCUUGGAUCUUGCACACUUCCCUCCUGGAUACAGGGGUUUGUUACCAUUGCCAGUGGGUAUGGCGUUUAGAGACUUGGUCUCCAUUGUAAGCAUCUUCAGAGAUAUUUUACGCAGAUAAUCAGACUGAAAUCAGAUAUCAAUAACAAAAUAUUAGAUCUCGGAGCAGUCCAUGUUACAAGAGAAGGGGGGAAAGGGAUAUAUGCUCUUUCUAAUAUGCUAGGCUUUUUAUAUUUGCAUCUUCUGUGAGGAUAUAGGAUAUGCUUCUGUAUCCUAUCUUUUUAUUUAAUUAUUUAUGUAUUGAUUCGUUAUUUGCAUUUUGCACACUUCCCUUGUACUUGAAAAGAACCUUGGUCACUCUAAAUAAAACACUUGUCAAGAGAAUUAACAGAUGAGAACUUCUACAGAAUGACCAAUGAGGAAGUGUGGACACACUACACACACGUGUACCAGCAUGAAUCCACAAACUUAUGCAUGUGUAUAUUCAUGUCUAGAGAAUAUCCAAAUUAUUGAACCUAGCAUUAGCCGAAUACCUGAUUGGUGGCGGAAGUAUAAAUCUUUUCCUCAAACCGUACGGCAAUUUUCUUGAGUUCUUGUAAUCCCUCCUGACCAGAAAACGGAAGAUGCCUCUUUAAUGUCUCCAUUCUGCACAUGUAAAACACUGCAUUUAAUUUUUAAUGACAAGGCAGGUAUAGAGAAGUUAGCAGUAGUGAGAAAGAACCGUGAACUCAUACACCACACCAAUAUCAGAAAUAUAUACAACAGAAUCAUUAGCAAAAAGUAAAACAAAUAACGAUAUAGCUGAGUGUCAGUCAAGUAAUAUAUGGCAUCAAAAUACAGACAUCUAUUUUUACUUCCUUUCCCCGUAUUAUUCCAGAGGUAUAGGGCAAUGGAGUUUACUUAGCCACCCUUCUGUCUAAAAUUCUAGUUACGAGCUUCAUGGUUAAUUUUCUUGAACUGGAAGAACCUUCCAUUUAUGGCUAUGGCUAUUCUCCAAGAUAUAUAAGUGAAUUAGUUGCAAACCAGGGGAACUCUGUGAAAACAUUACAAUAGCAUUUACUCUGAGAAGAAAACUUUUAUACAUGCACCGUAAUUGACAAAGAAAAGAAAAGAAAACCUUUUAAUUUAUGAAAAUGCAUUGAGUUAACCUUAUCUCAUGCCGCAAUAUAUACUUUACAGUGCUCAUUGGCUACUGCAAGUGCCAACAGUAGCUGUCUAUAUGAUUUUGGAUGUAGAGAUAUCACCAAAACAUUCAACUUUAUACUGAGAAACUAGGAAACCAUACACUAUUGUGACUAAUUGAUUUGUGUCUGCUGCUUUUGUACUUUAAGAUCACUAUCAUUUCAAUCCUGUAGAAGUAAAGCAAAUAGAAGGCCCAAAUCCAACACUAUACAUUUAAGUUCAGUUGCAACUCAAGGUUGAAAUUGAAACACCAAUGCUCAUAGCAAUAGAUUAACCUUGAAAUUUAAAGCGGAACAAGCUUCAUGCAGCCAUCCAAGAGGUCAUCAUCGAAAGAAGAUGUUACACAAGAAGUUCCAACAAAAAUUACUUCCCAGCACUUUUUAUUCCCUCAAGUUCACUUCUUGUGAGAAACAAGUGAAAAAUGAAAAAGACAAAAACAGAGGUGUAUGAUACUUGAGGUUGCCUCAUGGCAGUCCUGCUGAUUUUAAUUAACGUUUUGCCCUUCUCUUUUUCUUUCAUUUAAAUACAAGAUUUACUAUUUUGCAGCACUUGCACAUAUUAGGAAACAGAUACUUACAUUUUGUUGACUAUUCUUUGCCGUGAACCAGGCUGCAAUUGAGUUCUCCAAUCACCUGUGUCCAUCACAGGUUUUCCGCCUAAUCAAAGUCAUGAAAAUUGGAAUAUCAGUUUAUUCAGACUUGAAUAGAUUUAAAGAGAACUUCCAUCUAAUAGCAUGUACUUUAUUAAAGAAUUCUCCCAAACAUGGAUGCAUAAAAUCUGAACAGCCAUAACAAAUAUACACGACCAUUCAGGGCAAGGUGCUAGGAUCUUGGGUAUUCGAGUAUUGUAAGCAAGAUUUGGGCCUGAAUCUUCAUGGUGCUUCUAAAACCAAGGAAGCAAAAAACUAGCCAGCUAGUUCAUAACUUGCCGCACCAACAGAACAUGAAGAGGCCACUAACAAUAACCCAUCCCAAAGAGAUUGUCUAGGAUGUUUUAAGCUAGGAAAAGCAAGAAGAAAAGGACGAGCAUUAACCAUGAAUAUUUCAUGUUAUCAUCAACUCUAAUGAGCAGACUGGUAAGAAUCAACUUAACAGCUCUAAUGAGCAUAUCUUUCUCGGAAUAGACAACACAAUAACCCUGACCAUGCUUGACCUUGAGGUGAGUUAUAAAAUGUUCUUCCUAACUAGAUGCACAGCUACGCCUUUGGGGUGAAGUGAACUAAGUCAUUUGUUUUACACUUCCACAUGCUCUCAAGCUUUCACCUCAUACUCAAGACCAGCUGAGCAGUCCUAAAAAGAAAGAUAUAUCAUGUAGGGUUAUCAAGGCAGACCUGUUAUUUUUAUUUUUUUCGCGUUAACAUGACCAAAUUAUAAAAUUUAAACUUCUUUUCUUUCUUUCUUUUUUCCAUGUGUGAGCGAGCACAAAACCCAAGGAAAUCGAUUUGUUGUUAAAAACACAAUAAUUUUGAAGAAUUCGGUAAAUUCCAAAAAAGAAGAAUCAACCAAACAGCUCAUUUUUCGGCCAUUCCGGCAGUAAUAUCUCUUCCACUCCAGCUGCUGCAUAAACUAAUUAACAAAUAUCGAUCGAGCCUAAAAGAUUUGAAUUGAUUUCAUUCUCAACUUUAAAAUAUAACUAAAAAAUAAAAUAAAAUAAAUUUGGGUUCAAGAAUUCAGGGCUUGAUUAUUACAACAAUAACUGUGAGAAAAAUCGGAUAAUAUCAUGUAAAUUGGGGGGUUUGAAAAAGAAAAUAUUAGAAUCGGCUGAUUGUGCGUUUCUUCGAGUUGCGUUCACGAGCAGCGAUUUCAUCGGAUCCGAUUAUAUAUUUUUUUAAUUUACUUAUUAAAAUCGAAUUGCGUUCACUAGCAGAGAUUUCAUCGGAUCGAUUUUUUUUUUUAAUUUACUAAUUAAAAUGGAUUUCUGUCUCUGAAUAAUAAUAACAAUAAAAUAAAUGAAAACACCCAUAAAUUUUAUAAACAAAAGCAUGAUAGAAAAGGAAGCACCUGGCAGAAAUCUGAAGCCUUAUUGGAUGCGGCGGUUUCCGGGAGGCGGAAGAGGGAGGGAGGGAGGGAGCUCCGGCGGGGAGAGGUGAGGAAUGGCUUGUCGAAGCUUUAUGUAAUGGCCAAUACCCAUCAUCAGAACAACUUCAGGAUCGUAUAUUCUUCGAUGCAAGAGUGCCCCACACUCUAUAAUGGGUGGCAAGCUCCUUGCUUUUCACGUGAUGAUGUGCUAAAAAGAAUCCUUUUUAUUCUUAAAAUCCACCCACUAAUGGGUCGAUGAAGUGGCCACUAACAACAACGCAGAUAAGAUGUUGCUUGUUCUUACAGGGAGAGGAAGCCCAGCUCCAGACAGCAGAAUGGAGAUCGUUUUCCCACAUCUUCUAUUUGAAAUAAAAUCGUGUACUUUUAAGCUAGAAAGUUGUAAUCUUUUAUCUUAAAGGUUAUGUUAAAAUUAAAUGUUAGAAUUGCCUAUAAAAAAGGUAAUUCUAACAUGGUUUUAAUUUAAAAUUCUUCUCUUUUACAUUUCUACAGUUAAAAUUUUUACAAAAAGUAACAUAUAAAUUUUAGUUCACUAUUUGUUCUUGAUUAUGCCAUCAAGAAUAAAAAAUUGAGUAAACUUGAAAAAUAGUAUUACAAUCACAUUACUAUCACCAAAAAGCAAGUAAUAAAUUGUUUUAUAAUAAUUUAUUGUCAAUUUAUUGAUUUUAAUUUAUGGCUAUCUACACAAAAUAGAUCUACUAGAUCUAUCAAAAUUGAAAAUAAUAUUGAAAUUUCUAAAACUAAAAGUUAAUAUACAAAAAUGAUAAAAAGUUAAUUUUUAUAGAUGUUAAAGCCAUGAAUAUUUUAUCGUAUACAUCCUGUAAAAGUUAAUUUGAUAGAAUUAUAAGGGCUUUGUUACCUUUUUAUAUUCACUUUUAUUUUCAAAACAUCACAAAAGUGUUGGGCAAAGAUCCAAAUCCCCCAACCUGCCCUGCUUUCUGAUUUUGUUUAUGUUUCUCCAUUAUAAUUUUUUAAAAAAAAAUUUACACUAUUAAAAAGCUAGCUUAGCUAUGAUUUAGUUAUUUUUUAUUCUUGGUUUUGACUUCUAUAGCUUGGGGUUUUAUAUUCGUGGAGGUGGUGGAAUGGGAAGGCAGUGGUCCAAGAAUCGGAAGUACUUGAAGAAAAAGAAUACUUUCACAGAUAUUAUUGCUUGUGCUGAGUAUUGAAUAGAACAGAGGUUCUGUCCAAAGGAAAAACUGUGUGUUGAAGGAAGGAAUGCAGGGGGGUUGCUUAUCGGCUCCGUCCUUAAUAUGAGUCCUGAUUUGUUUAAAGUUGCUUUUGCUUGAGUACCUUUUGUAGAUGCUUUGACUACAAUGCUUGAUCCAACCAUCCCUCUUACAACUUCAGAGUGGGAGGUAAGCCUUUAAAUCCAACCAUCCCUCUUACAACUUCCCUUGUAAAGAUAUGAAUUUUGAACUGUAUCCACCUUUAAAUCUGGCUUUCAGUGGAACGUGAUUUUCACUUCUUUGUUUACUGCAGGGUACAUUUAUGCUCCAACAAUAGUAUGUGUCGGUGGCUAGAUGCUAGUACUUGCGUAUCACUUUUUGUUUACUGCAGGAAUGGGGAGAUCCUAGGAAGGAGAUGUUCUCCCACUGCAUGAAAUCAUAUUCUCCUGUUGAUAACGUAAGUAUUCAGCUUUGAAUCGGUUCCUCAUGUUCAUGAUUAAUAGCUUUGAAUCGGUUCCUUCUCCUGUCAGCAUGGUAUUUGGUAUGACAACUUGACAGUAGUGGUUCGUGGAAGAUGCUGCCAGCAACCAUCAAUCAAUUGGGGAGGAAGGGACCCUCAUGCAACUAUGCUCUAAAGUUGAAUGUAUCUCAUCAUUUCAAACACUUCGUUUCAUCUUUUAUAUUUCACACCAUACUUCUCUCUCUUUUGUGCUCAAAAUAUCUUCUUUGAUUCCCCAAAAAAAAUAAAAAAUGGCUGCAGAGCUUCUUCUUACGUUUGCCAUGGAGGAGACUUUGAAAAGGCUGAGUUCCAUUGCUGCUGAAGGGAUCAGACUUGCUUGGGGAUUGGAGGGCCAGCUGCGAAAGCUCAACCAGUCCUUGACCAUGAUCAAAGAUGUGCUCCAAGACGCAGCCAGAAGAGCAGUGACAGAGGAGUCUGUGAAGCGUUGGCUGCAGAACCUACAGGUUGUAGCUUAUGAUGCUGAAGAUGUUCUAGACGAGUUUGCGUAUGAGAUUCUCCGCAAACAACAGAAGAAGGGAAAGGUACGUGACUGCUUUUCACUUCACAACCACGUUGCAUUCCGUUUAAUUAUGGGUCAAAAAGUUAAGAAGAUCAAUGAAGCCCUGGAUGAAAUCAGGAAAGAUGCAUCCGGAUUUGGGCUUGGAUUGACAUCUCUACAUGUAGAUAGUGCUCAAGAAGUUAGGUGGGCUCCAGAUCGAGAGACAGAUUCCUUCCUUGACAGCUCAGAAAUUGUAGGAAGGAAGGAUGAUGUCUCUAUAGUUAUGGAUACGCUGACUAGCUUGACCAAACACCAUGUCCUUUCGGUUGUCCCUAUAGUGGGGAUGGUUGGCCUUGGAAAGACUACUGUAGCAAAAAAGGUUUGUGAAGCAGUGAGGGAGAGAAAACAUUUUGAUGUGCCUCUAUGGGUUUGCGUUUCUAAUGAUUUUAAUAAAGUGAAGAUUUUAGGAGCAAUGUUGCAAAUGAUUGACAAAACUACGGGUGGGUUGAGCAACCUAAAUGCAAUUAUGGAAAACCUUAAGAAAAAGCUGGAAAAGAACACAUUUUUUCUUGUUCUUGAUGAUGUGUGGAAUGAAGACCAAGAUAAGUGGGAUGAUUUGAAGGAGCAACUGUUAAAAAUUAACAGCAAGAAUGGUAUAAAUGCUGUUGUUGUUACAACCCGCAGUAAGAAAGUAGCAGACAUGAUGGAGACUUCUCCUGGGAUUCAGCAUGAGCCAGGGAGACUAUCAGCUGAUCAAUGUUGGUCCAUUAUCAAGCAAAAGGUGAGCAGGAGUGGACGAGAAACAAUAGCUUCAGACUUGGAGGUUAUUGGAAAAGAUAUCGCAAAGACAUGUGGAGGGCUUCCGUUGCUUGCUACUGUUAUGGGAGGAACGCUGCGGCAAAAGGAGACAGGAGUGGAAGUCAAUUCUAAACAGUAGAAUUUGGGAUUCUCAUGAUGGAAAUAAAGCUUUCCGCGUAUUGAGAUUAAGUUUCGAUUACUUGUCAUCGCCAACAUUGAAAAAAUGUUUUGCAUACUGUUCCAUUUUUCCUAAAGAUUUUGAAAUUGAAAGGGAAGAUCUAAUUCAACCUUGGAUGGCUGAAGGUUUUCUAAGCUCAUCAAAUGGGAGGAUGGAAGACGAAGGCAACGAGUGUUUCAAUGACUUGCUUGCAAAUUCCUUUUUCCAAGAUGUUGAAAGGAAUGCGUAUGAGAUCGUAACAAGUUGCAAGAUGCAUGAUCUUGUGCAUGACCUUGCAUUUGAGGUGUCAAAAUCAGAAACGUUGAAUCUGGAGGCGGAUUCAGCUGUAGAUGGCGCAUCUCAUAUUCGUCAUCUCAAUCUCAUUUCUUGUGGGGAUGUUGAGUCAGCAUUAAAAGCGGUUAUGCUAGAAAAUUGCGUACUGUUUUCUCAAUGGUUGAUGUAUUAAAUGGGUCUUGGGAAUUCGACAGGUUGAGAACUCUCAAAUUGCGACGGUCUGAUAUCACAGAGUUACCAGAUUCAAUUUGCAAGCUGAGACAUUUGAGAUAUCUUGAUGUCUCCGAUUCUGCUAUUAAAAUAUUGCCAGAAUCCAUCACCAAGCUCUACCUUUUGGAAACAUUAAGAUUCACUGAUUGCAAGUCACUAGAAAAGCUUCCCAAGAAAAUGAGAAAUUUAGUCAGCUUGAGACAUCUUCAUUUUGAUGAUCCAAAGCUAGUGCCAGCUGAGGUGAGACUCUUAACAAGCCUUCGAACUCUGCCUUUUUUUGUUGUGGGUCCGAAUCAUAUGGUAGAAGAGCUGGGAUGUUUGAAUGAACUAAGAGGAGCAUUGAAGAUAUGCAAGCUUGAGCAAGUUAGAGACAAAGAAGAAGCUGAGAAGGCAAAACUGUGUGAAAAAAGAAUGAACAAAUUGGUGUUUGAAUGGAGUGAUAAUGGUAACAAUAGUGUUAACAACGAGGAUGCGCUGGAAGGCCUGCAACCUCACCCAGACAUAAGAAGCUUGACAAUUAAGGGUUAUUGUGGUGAGUAUUUCCCAUCAUGGAUGUCUACAUUGCAACUCAAUAAUCUGACGGUCCUAACGUUGAACGGUUGCAGCAAGAGCAGACAACUCCCAACACUUGGAUGUCUUCCUCGCCUUAAGAUUCUUCACAUAACUGGAAUGCCUAGUGUGAAAUGUAUAGGUAAUGAGUUCGAUAGUAGUAGUGGCAGGGCAGCAGUGCUGUUUCCAGCACUGAAAGAACUCACUCUAUCCAGUAUGGAUGGUCUUGAAGAAUGGAUGGUACUAGGUGGAGAAGGUGAUCAAGUAUUCCCUUGUCUUGAAAAGUUGUGCAUUGAGGGGUGUGGCAUGUUGAAAAGCAUUCCGAUAUGUCACCCUUCAUCUCUUGUACACUUUGUAAUUCGAAGAUGUGAUGAACUGAGAUAUUUAUGUGGUGAAUUUCAUGGCUUCACACCUCUUCGAAUUUUGAUGAUAAUUAAUUGUGAGAAGCUGGCAUCCAUUCCAAGCGUACAACACUCCACAGCUCUGGUGGAAUUGAUCAUAUGGAACUGCCCUGAGUUGAUCUCCAUUGCUGGUGAUUUCCGAGAAUUGAAAUAUUCUUUGAAGAAAUUGUUUAUUUAUAGAUGUAAAAUGGGAGCUCUUCCAAGCGAACUACAAUGUUGCGCAUCUCUAGAGGAAUUGCGGAUAGAGUAUUGCAAAGAGCUUAUCCAUAUCAGUGAUUUGCAAGAAUUGUCUUCGCUUCGAAGAUUAGUGAUUAGAGGUUGUUACAAGCUCAUCAGUUUUGAUUGGCAUGCUUUACGACAAUUACCUUCUCUUGUUCUUUUAGAAAUCAGUGGGUGUCGGAGUUUGAGUCAUUUCCCAGAGGAGGAUUGCUUAGGCGGCUUCACCCAACUAAAGGAAUUGAGCAUCGGUGGCUACUCAGAGAAGCUAGAGGCUUUUCCUGCCGGAGUUUUGAACUCAGUCCAACACCUCAACUUGAGUGGGUCCCUUGAAAGACUAUGGAUACGGGGAUGGGAUAAACUGAAGAGUGUACCACACGAACUACAACACAUCACUACCCUUGAGUCAUUGUGGAUAUGUGAUUUCAGGGGAGAUGAAUUUGAGGAAGCAUUGCCAGAAUGGUUGGCCAACCUUUCUUCUCUUCGAUCUCUCUGGAUUUGGGAUUGCAAGAAUCUCAAGUAUAUGCCAAGCUCAACAGCCAUUCAACGCCUCUCCAAAUUAAAGGAAUUGAGGAUUUCAGAAUGCCCACUACUAUCAGAAAAUUUUAGAAAGGAGAAUGGCUCCGAGUGGCCCAAGAUUUCUCAUAUCCCAUCAAUCAUCUUAGAGGGUACACGUGUACAGGGAAGUAGGGAUUAAAUUUUUAUGUUACUUUGUAUGCAGUGGAGGAGAAUUUAAUAAUAACUCAAGGAUAGUGGAAAUUAAACGUCGAUAAUCCAAGUCUCCAACUCACUAUGGCUCAUAUUUGAACCGCUGAACACUUGAUUUGUGCACUAAUUUUCAUUCACUUCAUUUUCGUUGAAUAAUUUUUUUUUAUUGCAUUCGUUGAAUAUAAUUACUGUACAUUCAUAGUUUAUAUAUACUACUUAUCAUACAUGCUUUGCUGCAUUACUUGAAAAUGGAUAGCACUCAUCUUGUGAAGACUGCAGAAACUAUGAAGCAGUCUCGUUUUUUUUUAAAAAAAUAUCCCUCUCUAUAUUGUUUUUGUUUCCAAGACUAAUAACAAAUUGGCUCUUUUAACAAUUGUAUAUGCAGUAGAAACUCCAAGACUGGAGAAAGCCGUGGAUUGGUCAUUUAAAGCUUCUGCAGAAUAGUGUUUGUCUUGCUGCAUUGUGGAUAAACGUGUGGUCUGCACAGUUUUCUGUUGUCUUUCGCCGAUAAAUAUACUCGUCAGAGAUCAAGAAAAUGGACGAAGCUCACAAAAAUAAUAGAGCUUAAUAUGGGAAUGGAUAUGAAUUAUUACUUGUUUAUAUGCAAUGUAACUUAACAAGUACAUUUGUCAGAAAGAAAGAAAAUGAAUGCAGGUGGCAGCUUAUUACCAAGAUAGUAGUGCUUUAAUAUAUAUGGGCAUGGAUGUGAAUUCUUACCUGAAUGUAAUGUAUCGUCUGCUAUUUUGUAUUGUAUUUCUUUCUUAACAUUUGAGAAUUCAAUUUUUAUGAAGUUAUGUAUAUUUCAGAGACUAAAUUGAAGUUCCCACCAUAUAUUUUAUGCCCAUAUUUGCAUCUUCUGAUGAGAUUGAUUUAUAUAUAAUUCUACAUCACAUUAGCAAACUACAAAGAAAAAAAAAAAAAAGAGAAAAGAACUGGGCAGGCUCGAGGUGUUAAUUAACAUAUUAAAGAAAGAAUAGUCCUGGAAAUACUAUAAUGAGCAUAGAUUAAUUAAUCCACAUAUUUUUUCAAAGAGAUAGGAUACAAACAAAUCAAUAUCCCUGACGAAUAAAUCCUUGCAAGUGUGGAUGUUAUUUGUUAUCUGGGCUUUGCACUUUCCUAAAUUAAUGAAUUUUGCUACUGUUUAAAAAAGAAUACAAAAAUAAAUAAAAAAUUAAUGGUAGCUUGACAUACUUAUGGCAUAGACUGAACCAUAUUCACCUAAUCCUCAGAAAAAAAUGUCGAAUUGUCAAGAACACCAGAGUGUUCUGCCUUUGGUGUCGUCUGCACUUGAUGAGAGAACAAAAAUGCCAGUUAUGGCUCUCAGAAAACAAAAAAGAAAACACCCAAAAACAUGCCAGCCAUUGGUUUCCUAACUGGUCAAAAUUCAUGUUUGACUUGCCCAAGACUCUUUUCCUUGUUGAGUUGGAAAUAGAUGGCAACUUCCUAUUAGUUAGGAAGCCUAUGGAGAACUUCUUUGGCUCAUCAUCACAGCAUUAUAUGUUCGUAAGAGAGUACAAUAAUCCUUCCAUCAUCAAGCCUCUGAUGAUAGCUCAACAAAACCAUGAUUUCUUAGCUUAGAUUUGACGUGUUCAUACUUGGCACUAAUCAAUGCAAGAUUGUCGUUUACAAUGUCUUUAAAAAUGUCCCUGAAAACAAUCUCGAUAAACUGCUAGGACCAUCUGGAGCAGCUGCUGCAUCAGACAUCCAUUACUCUUGUAAACAUCAUUUCACUUUUGAUGGGUCGUUGGUGAUUGUAUUAAUUUGGUUACAGCAUUGUAUUAAUUUGGCAAAUCUCGAUCCAGGGGUUUGUUACCAUUGCCAGUGGGUAUGGUAUUUUGAGACUUGAUCUCCAUUGCAAGCAUCUUCUGAGAUAUUUUACAUAGAUAAUCAGACUGAAAUUAGAUAUCAAUAACAAACCAUUAGAUCUCCGAGCAGUCCAUGUUACAGGAGAAGGGGGGGGAAAGGGAUAUAUGCUCGUUCUAAUAUGCUAGGCUUUCUGUAUUUGCAUCUUCUGUUAGGAAAUACUUCUGUGUCCUAUCUUUUCAUUUAAUUAUUUAUGUAUUGAUUCGUCAUUUGCAUUUUGCGCACUUCCCUUGUACUUGAAAACGAAAAGAUGUGAACUUGUACAGAAUGACCAGUGAUGAACUGUGGACACACUACACACACGUGUGUACAUGCAUAAAUCCACACACUUAUUCAUGCGUCGCCGACCUUGAGGUCCUUUGAACGAACAAAUACAAACCAAUCCCCAGAAAGGGCUGGUUUCGAACCCCCUCCUGUUGGGACUCUACAACGAAAUAUCCACACUUGGCCUCUCGGGAAAUCUCUUAUACAGUAUUGUUGAGUUUCUUCGUGAAGUUUUUUUUCCAUCGCUUAUCUCGAAGAAGUAGAUGGGCAAUUUACGAGGCAACUUGCCCCUUGCAAUAGGAUUGAUAUAGUGCCGCACUCUACAAAACUGUGAAAAGGAAACGAGCGUUAAGGUCCUCUUGUUCUAACCAGUGAAUGGUCGAUCCACAGACAGAAAGAAAAGCCAGAAUCAUGUCAUCACAUGUUCAUCUUUCUGACUCACUGUGAAUUGUGAUCGAAAUAAAAAUAAGAAAAGAAAAGAAAUAAUCAACAUUCGUUUGAUCGGUUAUUUUAAGAACCAAAAAAGAAAGCAAGAUUAAAGAUCCAAACUUUUUGCAAGAUAUCCCUUUCAUGGGUCCAUUAACAUCACUAUCAUUUCUUUCACUGUCAAACCCCUCCCCCUCCCCUGCUGUUCUUGUUAUUUAUGUCUGUAUUAACUUUUCUGAAAGAAUAAAUGUUGUAGGGAGCAAAUAGUGUGUAAAUAGAAAGAGGAGAACACCACAUCCCCAAAAGAAUAAAGAAAGAAGAAGAAAACAAAACAAAGUCAAAAAACAAAGCUUUUCAAUUAAAUAAAUGAAAACGCAGACGUAAAUUUUAAAAAUAAAAAACAUGAUAGAAAAGGAAGCACCUGGUGGAUAUUUGAAGCCUUAUUGGUUGAGGUGGCGGCGGAGGAAGGAAAGAGAGAGAGCUCAGGUGGGGAGAGGUGAGGAAAGUCGGACCAAAGUGAACAGAGCUUGAAAGAUGACUUUAUUCUUUUCCAGAUUCGCUAACAAACUAAAAGAAAUGUAUUCUUGUGUUGCUUCACUGAUCAUAACUAACAAACUAAUAGAAUUAUAAAAACCAAGAGUGCUUCACUGUGUGUGAAUCCUGUGGCUUCAGUCUUUACCGCGCUCCGUCUCCCGUUUUUCGCGUUUCUUCUCGGCUGCUGAGACUCCCUGGCGUCUUUUCAUCGACUUUGUGUGCUGCAUGUUCAGAUUGAGGCGGUUUGGCUGGUGCUAGGCGCGCGAGGAGAUGUCAGCCGACGGGUAAUCACCUGCCUUGGCUUCAUUGAAGCUGUCCUCUUGGUUCACUAAAAAAAAUAUGAAAAACCAAAAAAAACUUCACUAAUAAUAUCAGGCUUGACCCUAUAGCUUAUGUUUCAUCACAGCAGAUUAAAUAAGGUUCUAGAUAACAGGAUAUAGGAGUUUACUUGGCCAUUCUAGUUACGAGCUUCAUGGUUAAUUUUCUUGAACCAGAAGAACCUUCCAUUUAUGGCUAUGGCUAUGCUCCAAGAUAUGUAAGUGAAUUAGUUGCAAACCAGGGGAACUCUGUGAAAACAUUACAAUAGCAUUUACUCUGAGUUAGAAAACUUUUUAUGCAUGCACUGUAAUUGACAAAGAAAAGAAGAGAAAUCCCUUUAAUUUAUGAAAAUGCAACGAGUUAACCUUAUCUCACUCUGCAAUAUAUAUCAGUGCUCAUUGGCUACUGCAAGUGCCAGCAGUAGCUGUCUAUAUGAUUUUGGAUGUAGAGAGGUCAAGAAAACAUUCAACUUUAUACUGAGAAACUAGGAAACCAUACACUAUAUAUUGUGGCUAAUUGAUUUUUGUCUAAUGCUUUUGUACUUUUAAUAAGAUCACUAUCACCUCAACCCUGUACAAGUUAAAACAAAUAGAAGGCCCCAAAUCCAACACCAUUCAUUUAAGUUCAGUUGCAACUCAAGUUUCAAAUUGAAACACCAGUGUUCAUAGCAAUAGAUUAACCUUGAAAUUUAAAGCGGAACAAGCUUCAUGCAGCCAUCCAAGAGGUCAUCAUCGAAAGAUGUUACACAAGAAGUUCCAACAAAAAUUACUUCCCAGCACUUUUUAUUCCCUCGAGUUCCCAUCUUGUGAGAAACACGUGAAAAUAAAAAAGACAAAAACGAAAGAAGAUGACAUCCUGUCAUUGCUACCAAAUCCUCACCAGCUGCAGCUCUAGAUCCAUUACCAGCUGCAGAACCAGCAAUUCUGUCAAUCAUACUGACAACGGAGCCAAUGUCACCGACAGAUGCACUAAGUGCUUUGGGAGACAGAGAUUUCACCUGGGAAAAAAAAUUACAGCAUCACCAUCUCAUUAACAAAGAAGUUUUCUUUUUCAGAAACCUCCAAAAUAAGGGUGGGGUGGAGUAAAACCAAAAGGAGAGCAUCACUAACCGCUUCAAUCAAGUACUCAAGUGGUUGCUCUGUAACAUUUGACUUGCCAGAAACAGUUGUCAAAGCACUGCCAUGAGAACCAUCAGGACUGGUAAAGUCUGCAAGCAAAGGUGAUGCAGAUAUCCCAGGAGUGCCAAUUGCAAGGGAGGGAGCCAGUGCUUGUGCAACAGAUGGUUGGUGUACAAUAGGAGAUGGAGCUUGCUGGUGUAAUUGCUGCUGCUGCUGCAUCUGUCGAUUCUGCAUUAAAUUCUGGUGUUGCUGCAAUCGUUUAAGCUGUUGUGUUUGUAGCAUCUGUUGUUCAUGCUGCUGCUGCUGCUGUUUUAGAUGCUGGUGUUGAAUCAUAUUGGAAUUCGACUGAAGGGGAAUAUUUGACUGCAGCAUACUCGCCCCACUUUGUGUUGACAAUGUGUUAACAUUGGUUGGUUGGGAAAUGCUCACGAGAUUCUGUUGGACAGAUCCUACAGGUGUCUGCUGCAAUGAGCUCAGUGCAUUUCCUUGUCCAGAAUCUAAAUUGGAGCCUGGUUGUAUUGGAUUCAUCAUGUUUGAUUGUGACGUCGAAUCCCCAGAUAAAGUUGAAAGAGAAUUAUGCAGCAAGCUUGACAUAUUGUUCUGCUGCAUCUUUGGUACAGAACCUUGCAUAUUCAUUGAUUGCAACUGGGGAUUCAGUUGAUUUUCAUGGGACUGCAAUUGAGGAACUUGAGAUUGGGGUUGCUGCAUAGGUUGAAUAUGAGGUUGGGGAAGUUGUCCUUGCUGUAGAUUAGGAAUAGGCUUCCUGUAUCUGCUUGGGUUUAGAAAACCUACAAUCUGCUUCUCAUAGAAACCCAAUUUCUCCUUGAAAGUAGGUGUGAUGUUGUUUUUAGAGACCUGUAAGAAUGUAUCAAGCGCUCCAACAUGACCUUGAAUACCUUCAGCUUUUCAAGCUGUUCUGACUUCGGUUGUUGCGGAAGAGGGUCAUGCUGGAAAGCAAAGUUAACAUACACGAGAAUUAAAAAUUGCAUUGACCCUUUGUAGCAAAACUAGUAAAACAUAAGUGAAAAAAUGUUUCUAUUCCAAUUCUUCUGUGUCAAUGCAUGGUUGUGGGGUGGUUGGGGGCGGGGGUAAUUAGUGCAGAUGAUACAGUGACAAGCAAUGAUGAUGGGGAAAAUAAAUUAAUACAAAAGCUCAACUUUGGGGGUUUAUGAAUCAUGUGUGAGCAAAUAAAUCAGAAAAAAUUGCAAAGACAAUUUACCUGCUGUAACUUGGUAGCAAUUCUCUGGUACAUUUCAUUUAUUUCAGGCAAAUACGUUUCCUUCAUAACUUUGAUCUAGGAAGUACAUAUAACCAGCAAAACAUUAUCAAUCAUAUGCUUGAUUUCUUCAGGUGCCAGAGUCAGAAAGCAACAUAAGCAAACUUGAGAGAAUUGAUAGAUAAAUAAAUAAAAUGGCAGAGGACAGCAUAUAUUGUUUGAGAUAAAAAUAGCAGAGUGGAAUCAAUGCUGAAAACUCAAUAGAGAAUAUAGUUGAUUGCAUGCAAAGAUGCAAAGGAUUGUGUAGUUACCCCUUCAGACAAGAUUCAGGGGUUGGUCAAGUUCAGUUACUUUGUCUCACGGCAACCUACUCACCAUUGUUUUCUAUUGUUCUCACUCAAGUCAAUGGAUGUCACGACUUUGGUAAACACUUCUUAGCUUUAUAACUUUAGAUUUAUAACCCUUAUAUCCUAAUUACAACCACUCCUAUUCCCGUUUUAGUACCCUCCCAGGCACAAAAAAAUUGACCUCAUCAAAUAUGCAGUUAUGUUGCAACUACAGCCAUUAAACGAUUCAGAAUUUCAACCUCGUUUUCUAUAAAAUUCAACAAUACUGGACAUGGUCAUGAUUCAAUGGAUUAGGUCCACUUAUUUUCCUUUCUUCCAUUGUCACAUGUUUCAGAACAAAUUUGAUGUAAUCUUGAAAAUAACUGUUCACUUAACCAAAUUAAACGAUGACUAUUCAGAAACAGUUCACUCUUGUUUUCAAGUCUGUCUAUUAUAGUAAGAAGUAUUGUCAAUUGGACUUAUGGAAAUAAUAAAAUAAUAAUUCACACACAAUAAAUGUAUGGAAAUACAGGGAAAAAAAAAAGAGAUUUGCAAUAGAAAAAUUGUCGUGUCAGUACCAAGAAAAUAACCCUCUUGACCUAGAAAUCUGAAUAUUUACCUUUAAUCAUCUUAUCAGUAAUUUAUCGUUUCUUAGUUGCUGCAAUCAUGGAACUUACAAUGCUUCCUAACUAAUCACAACCAUAGCUGAAUAAAACUCCCUUGUACCAAAUUCCAGGAGACCUUUUCCAUUGAAAUCUUGCAAGACAAUGACAUACAUGAACAGUAAACUAAAGAAAUUACCUUUUGAUAGAUCUCCUCUUGCCAAUCAGCACCAUUUGCAUGUCCAGUCUCUGCUGUAGAAUCUAGGGAUGCUACAAAAAUUUUGAUACAGCCAACAAAAGAUUAGAAUGCAUGUAUGUUUUGAAUGUUUUCUGCACACAAGGGUAUUUCUGUAAUUUUCACACUUGCUGAAAAUUAUGGAAUAUUGUAGGUCUUGGUUUUAUUUCUAUUUAGUAUUUUAUUGUUCCUAAAGAAUAAGGAGCUUUAAUAGGUUUUCCCUAUCCUAGAUAGAACCAUUAGUAUUUUCUUACAUAGGAAUACAAGUCCUUUUUGGACUUGGAGUACUAGGGACUCCAUCUCAACGUUAUGUAAUCAUUCAAACAGACAGAGAGACCCCCCUCCAACAAGUGAUCAUUAUAUAUUAAAAAAAAAAAGGCUCAAACAAUUUAUCAUGGAAGAAAAGCACAAAAGUGACACUUUACCUCCUAACCAGGAAAAUCUUUAAAAUAAACCAUCUCAAUCAUAAAAAAUAGAUAGCCAUGCAUCACAGUCCUUGUUCCUUAACAAGUUAAGGAUGAAACACUUCACAUGCCUUACAGAAUUAGCAUCGAGGAGGUGAUCAUGAGAUUUUCCAGCAAGGUGAUGAUUUAUCAGCACACCAAACCUUAAGUGCCUCAGAGUUAGUCCACUUGCUAAUUUCUUUCUUCCCAUAAAAAUCAAUUGGCUGAUGAUUAGUUACCCUAGUGUCAAAUGCAUUGUCCAGUUAUGCAUAUAUUUUUAAAAUUGAUGUCCGUUAAAUUCAAAAUGAGAGGUGAACAAUUGGUGCGAUGAGCUGGAGGGUGUGAUGUGGCAACAAACGAGUGUGAUUGCAAGGGUUUCAAUAGCAGUGGCAUCAGUAGCACAUAAAGCUACCAAAAGAGCAUUGCUGACUUGAACCAUUAUGAGAGGUGAAGAGUUGUUGCAAUGCACUGUAUGGCAUUAUGUCGUAACAAAUAUAUGUGUGAUUGCAAUGGCUCCAAUAGCAGUGGCAUUUCUGAUGCCAUAAGUGGCAGCCAUAGCUCAUAAAGCUACCAAAAAGAGCAUUACUGACUUGAACCAUUAUUGUAUUUUCAAGAAAUUUAAAUAAAUAUGUUAUAAUCUAACAUGAAAGCAUAAAGCUGCAAAAUUAAAGUUGGAGCAAGGUUAGAAAGCUGCAAGGAUGAGAAAAACUUACUUGAGGACGUUUCUGGAAGGGCUCUUUGAGGUUGAUAUAACUGCCUUUGCUGAUCAAUCACAUUUGACUGUUGAAGCAAGGAGCCUGAUGCUUGAAGCCUUAGCUGCAGAUCAUGUUGUAAUGGAUUUGAUUGCUGUUGCUGAGCUCCAAGCAACUGCUGUUGCUGUAAACCAGUGACAUUACUUUGAGAGCCCAACUGUUGCUGAUGCAUGCUUGAGAGGUUAUUCUGUUGAGCCAUUAACUGCUGCUGCUGCUGCUGCAGAUUUUGAAGGUUAUUCUGCUGCCCUAGCAAUCUCUGCUGCUGCUGCUGCUGCUGCUGCUGCUGCAAGUCCCCAACAAUGUUUUGCUGUCCAAUUAACUGAUUUUGCGACAUGUUAGUCGUAUUGAUUGUUGCCCCAUUAGCUGCUGUUGUGGAGGCAAUAGUGGCUGCUGCAUCAUUGGUGUUUGCUGCUGAUGAAUACCAGCAGACUGUUGAGGUUGUUGCUGCUGCUGCCUAAGGACUGAUUGUGGAUGUUGCUGGUGCAUUGGUUGUGUUGACUGUUGAACAGAAGAUGGCUGGUUCUGUUGAAGGCCAGAGACAGUUUGCAUCAUUGAAGGCUGCAUAACAGUUGAUGUUGGCAAACCAGAUUGCUGAGAAGAUUGCAACUGAUUUGGCUGUAACAAGUUUUGCUGCUGCUGGUGGUGGAUGUGAGAUUGCACAAGUGAGUGUGGAUGAUUUCCCUGUUGAAGCUUCUGCUUUAAAAGCUGUUGUUGUAUCUGCUGCUGAUAAAGAUACUGCUGAGGAUUUUGGGACUGCUGCUGUUGCUGUGGAGGAACAACCUGUUGCCUGCCUGGCAUUUGUCUCUGAGAAUUGACAAACAUAUUGGAGGGAAUCCCUUGUCCCAUUGAAUUCCCCGCUGGGUUCUGUGAAACACCAGAGAUACUCUGCAUGUUAGCAUUCUGUCCAACAGUGUUUGAGAUAGUCUGGGUUAAACCGGAGACAAAAGGCAUUGUUGAUUGUAAACCAGCAGAACUUUGAACUCCAUUAGAUGACAUAAUAUUCUGCAUGUUCUGUGAUAACUGCUGACGUGCUUGAGACUGAUUAGUGGGCAAUGAGAUAGGGAGCGACUGCCCUUGGUUGUGAACUUGAGGCGGCAUACUAUGAGAUGCUGUUCAAGAUAAAAGGCAAAAAGGAAAACCAUGUCAAAGGAAAAAAAGAAGGCAUUGAGCAAGAAAAACAAAUGAAACAAUGACAGUUCACACGUAAAGCUAUGAGGUAAAUAAUUAAGGUGGUUUUACCUCAAAGCAUAAAAGUACAAAAAUAAUCUGUAAUUUUUUUGAAUAUUCAUCAAUUACUCAACUUUUUUAUUAAAGCAUGGUAUAUACAUAGCAAUAUGCAGCAAUAAAAUGUAAAAGAUUUUGAUAACAAUGCGAAUUAUAAAACAAAAGGUAAGGAUGUUUAGAAAUUCAAUGCUUGGCUGCAUUAUUACCUCCUGGAUCCAGGGGUUUGUUACCAUUGCCAGUGGGUAUGGUAUUUUGAGACUUGGUCUCCAUUGUAAGCAUCUUCAGAGAUAUUUUACGUAGAUAAUCAGACUGAAAUCAGAUAUCAAUAACAAAAGAUUAGAUCUCUGCACAAUCCAUGUUACAAGAGAAGGGGGAAAAGGGAUUUAUGCUCUUUCUAAUAUGCUAGGCUCUUUGUAUUUGCAUCUUCUGUGAGGAUAUACUUCUGUGUCCUCUCUUUUUAUUUAAUUAUUUAUGUAUUGAUUCGUUAUUUGCAUUUUGCACACUUCCCUUGUACUUGAAAAGAACCUUGGUCACUCUAAAUAAAACACUUGCCAAGAGAAUUAACGAAAAGAUGAGAACUUCUACAAAAUGACCAGUGAGGAAGUGUGGACACACUACACACACAUGUGUACAUGCAUAAAUCCACAAACUUAUGCAUGUGUAUAUUCAUGUCUAGAGAAUAUCCAAAUUAUUGAACCUAGCAUUAGCCGAAUACCUGAUUGGUAGCAGCAGUAUAAAUCUUUUCCUCAAACCGUACAGCAAUUUUCUUGAGUUCUUGUAAUCCCUCUUGACCAGAAAACGGAAGAUGCCUCUUUAAUGUCUCCAUUCUACACAUGUAAAACAUUACAUUUAGUUUUUAAUGACAAGGCAGGUAUAGAGAAGUUAGCAGCAGUGAGAAAGAACCGUGAACUCAUACACCACACCAAUAUCAGAAAUGUAUACAACGGAAUCAUUAGCAAAAAGUAAAAACAAAUAAUGAUAUAGCCGAGUGUCGAUCAAGUAAUAUAUGGCAUCAACAUACAGACAUCUAUUUUUACUUCCUUUCCCCGUGUUAUUGCAGAGGUACAGGGUAUAGGAGUUCACUUGGCCACCCUUCUGUCUAAAAUUCUAGUUACGAGCUUCAUGGUUAAUUUUCUUGAACUGGAAGAACCUUCCAUUUAUGGCUAUGGCUAUGCUCCACGGUAUAUAAGUGCAUUAGUUGCAAACCAGGGGAACUCUAUGAAAAAAUUACAAUAGCAUUUAGUCUGAGUAAGAAAACUUUUAUACAUGCACUGUAAUUGACAAAGAAAAGAAGAGAAAUCCUUUUAAUUUAUGAAAAUGCAAUGAGUUAAUCUUAUCUCACGCUGCAACAUAUACUCUACAGUGCUCAUUGGCUACUGCAAGUGCCAACAGUAGCUGUCUAUAUGAUUUUGGAUGUAGAGAUAUCACCAAAACAUUCAACUUUAUACUGAGAAACUAGGAAACCAUACACUAUUGUGGCUAAUUGAUUUUUGUCUGCUGCUUUUGUACUUUAAGAUCACUAUCAUUUCAAUCCUGUAGAAGUAAAGCAAAUAGAAGGUCCAAAUCCAACACUAUUCAUUUAAGUUCAGUUGCAACUCAAGGUUGAAAUUGAAACACCAAUGCUCAUAGCAAUAGAUUAACCUUGAAAUUUAAAGCGGAACAAGCUUCAUGCAGCCAUCCAAGAGGUCAUCAUCAAAAGAAGAUGUUACACAAGAAGUUCCAACAAAAAUUACUUCCCAGCACUUUUUAUUCCCUCAAGUUCACUUCUUGUGAGAAACAAGUGAAAAAUGAAAAACACAAAAACAGAGGUGUAUGAUACUUGAGGUUGCCUCAUGGCAGUCCUGCUGAUUUUAAUUAACCUUUUGCCCUUCUCUUUUUCUUUCAUUUAAACACAAGAUAUACUAAUUUUCAGCACUUGCACAUGUUAGCAAACAGAUACUUACAUUUUGUUGACUAUUCUUUGCCGUGAGUCAGGCUGCAAUUGAGUUCUCCAAUCACCAGUGUCCAUCACAGGUUCUCCGCCUGGGGCAGUGGGCCUCCAACUAUUGGCAUCCAUGGGGUUUUGGCCAACCAAAAAAAAUCACUUCUAUCACCACAAAAAAAAUUAAUUAUAUUGCACGUUAGAAUAGACCCUAAAAAGAAAGUCAGGAACAGCAGAAGAGUAAGAGCACAUCAAAGUCAUGAAAAUUGGAAUAUCAGUUUAUUCAGACUUGAAUAGAUUUAAAAAGAACUUCCAUCUAAUAGCAUGUACUUUAUUAAAGAAUUCUGCCAAAUAUGGAUGCAUAAAAUCUGAACAGCCAUAACAAAUAUACACGACCAUUCAGGGCAAGGUGCUAGGAUCUUGGGUAUUUGGGUAUUCAGGUAUUAUAAGCAAGAUUUGGGCCUGAAUCUUCAUGGUGCUUCUAAAACCAAGGAAGCAAAAAACUAGCCAGCUAGUUCAUAACUUGCCGCACCAACAGAUGGUGAGUGUUGGUAAACCAAGCCAUAGAGAAACUCAUGGUGCUUCAAUUUUAACUUGAUGUUUUCCAGCAACACUUGUGAUACAUCAUCGAUGCAAUGUUUACAAUGACAAACUUGCAUUUCUAUUCAUUGUGGUUUUAGGUUCACAGAUUCUGAUCCCAAAGAGAUUGUCUAGGAUGUUUUAAGCUAGGAAAAAGAAGAAGAAAAGGACGAGCAUUAACAAUGAAUAUUUCAUGUUAUCAUCAACUCUAAUGAGCAGACUGAUAAGAAUCAACUUAACAACCCUUGUUGAAAUAAGAUUAAAUUUACAGGCACAUCUUUCUCGGAAUAGACAACACAAUAACCCUGACCAUGCUCGACCUUGAGGUGAGUUAUAAAAUGUUCUUCCUAACUAGAUGCACAGCUACGCCUUUGGGGUGAAGUGAACUAAGUCAUUUGUUUUACACUUCCACAUGCUCUCAAGCUUUCACCUCAUACUCAAGACCAGCUGAGCAGUCCUAAAAAGAAAGAUAUAUCAUGUAGGGUUAUCAAGGCAGACCUGUUAUUUUUAUUUUUUUCGCGUUAACAUGACCAAAUUAUAAAAUUUAAACUUCUUUUCUUUCUUUUUUCCAUGUGUGAGCGAGCAUAAAACCCAAGGAAAUCGAUUUGUUGUUAAAAACACAAUAAUUUUGAAGAAUUCGGUAAAUUCCAAUAAAGAAGAAUCAACCAAACAGCACAUUUUUCGGCCAUUCCGGCAGUAAUAUCUCUUCCACUCCAGCUGCUGCAUAAACUAAUUAACAAAUUAUCGAUCGAGCCUAAAAGAUUUGAAUUGAUUUCUAUUCUCAACUUUAAAAUAAAACUAAAAAAUAAAAUAAAAAAAAUUGGGUUCAAGAAUUCACGGCUUGAUUAUUACAACAAUAACUGUGAGAAAAAUCGGAUAAUAUCAUGUAAAUUGGGGGGGGUUGAAAAAGAAAAUAUUAGAAUCGGCUGAUUGUGCGUUUCUUCAAGUUGCGUUCACGAGCAGCGAUUUCAUCGGAUCCGAAUAUAUAUUUUUUUAAUUUACUUAUUAAAAUCGAAUUGCGUUCACUAGCAGAGAUUUCAUCGGAUCGAUUAUUUGCUCUCUUUUUUUAAUUUACUAAUUAAAAUGGAUUUCUGUCUCUGAAUAAUAAUUACAAUAAAAUAAAUGAAAACACCCAUAAAUUUUAAAAACAAAAGCAUGAUAGAAAAGGAAGCACCUGGCAGAAAUCUGAAGCCUUGUUGGAUGCGGCGGUUUCCGAGAGGCGGAAGAGGGAGGGAGGGAGGGAGGGAGGGAGGGCGGGGAGAGGUGAGGAAUGGCUUGUCGAAGCUUUAUGUAAUGGCCAAUACCCAUCAUCAGAACAACCUCAGGAUCAUAUAUUCUUCGAUGCAAGAGGGCCCCACACUCUAUAAUGGGCGGCAAGCUCCUUGCUUUUCACGUGAUGAUGUGCUAAAAAGAAACCUUUUUAUUCUUAAAAUCCACCCACUAAUGGGUCGAUGAAGUGGCCACUAACAACAACGCAGUAGCUAAUUACCUGAGUGAAUCUAAUAGUUUUAAUACAAAAAUUUUAAGAUCAAAAGCUAUCUUACUUGAUGCAAUGACUUUCCGCUCCUAUUCUUUAUUUUCAUAACUACUCUGUAUUUUAUUCCGAUCAAACAAUUUUUAUCUUUGGGGGAUUGUUAGGGUGUAAAUAAAAAGUUAUAUUUGUUGAACCUCUAUUUAAAAUAAAAUUGUAUACUUUUAAGCUAGAAAGUUGUAAUUUUUUAUCUUAAAAGUUAUGUUAAAAUUAAAUGUUUGAAUUGCCUUUCAAUUCUAACAUGGUUUUAAUAAUGAAAAAAACUUCUAAUUUUUUUAAAAUUCUUAUCUUUUACAUUUUUGCGGUCAAAAUUCUUACAAAGAGUAUCAUACAAAUUUCUUACAAAGAGUAUCAUACAAAUUUUGGUUCACUAUUUAUUAUUGGUUAUGCCAUCAAGAAUAAGAGAUUGAGUAAACUUGAAAUACAAUAUUACAAUCACAUUGCUAUCACCAAAGAACGAGUAAUAAAUUGUUUUAUAAUAAUUUAUUGUCAAUUUAUUGAUUUUAAUUUAUAGCUAUUUGCACAAAAUAGAUCUCCCAGAACUAUCAAAAUUGAAAAUAAUAUUGAGAUUUCUAAAACUAAAAGUGAAAAUACAAAAAUGAUAAAAAAUUACUUGUUAUAGAUAUUAAAAACAUGAAUAUGUUAUAGUAUACAUCCGGUAAAAGUUAAUUUGAUAGAAUUAUAUUAUAUAAAAAUGCUUAGAGAUAUAUAUAGCAUGCUUUACAAGUACCUCAUGAAGAAACUAACAAGUCAAAAAAUCUAAAAUUGAGAUGUUAAUUCAUCAAUAUGAAUUGUUCUUUGGUGAAUUCAUAACUAAAAUGUUUAGUAAAAUGACUAUAAUAACUAAUAGUUUAUUAGUUUGGAUGUUUAUAGUAAUGCGGAAAUUAUAGAAAAUGGGUGCUGUAAAUUUGAGUCUGUAUUUUUCUCUACUUUCUUUUUUGUUUUUUCGUUUGUCCCUUCCUGAAAAUUUGUGCUCAGUUUUUGCCUUUUACCUGCUCCUUAGUUUAGGGUAUUAAAUUUCCUUGUUUCUUCAGAAGAUGCCUUACUCUUUGUUGAUUGACUUUCUGUUUCCAAGAUACAUAAGUGAAUUAGUUGCAAAACAUUCCAAUAGCGUGUACUCGGAGUAAGAAAACUUUUAUACAUGCACUGUAAUUGACAAAGAAAAGAAGAGAAAUCCCUUUUAAUUUAUGAAAAUACAAUGAGUUAACUUUGUUGAUUCCGUAGCACCGACUACAUCGCAGGCCAUGCCUGAUAAUCCAUUAAUCAUCUGAUCUAGAAGGAAAUGCAAAUUACUGUACUGAGAACUGCUAAGAUCAACCACAACAGGAAACAGAUGAACAUGCAAGAAGAAUGAAGAGCUCAAAAUUAACUCUCCUCUAGCUCGCAAAUUUAUGUCUCCGAGAUCCUUUGCAGCAGUUGCACUAGCAAAUUCAUAUCCUUUCACCUUGAUUUUUUUUCACAUCUUUAUAUAUAGUUUUUGUAGAAUAAAUUGGAACUUAUUAAGAUAAUAUUCUUUAAUUCUCAAUGCUAUUUGUAAUCAAUAAGAAAGAUAUGGACAAGUCGAUCGUGCGAUUCACAUGGAUUGAACCCCACAUUACACACGGAAUAGACAACACAAUAACCCUGACCAUGCUCGACCUUGAGGUAAGUUGUAAAAUGUUUUUCCUAACUAGAUGCAUAGCUACGCCUUUGGGAGGGAGGGAGGGAGAGAGAGAGCAAAGUGAAAUACAUGACUUUAUUCUUAUUUACUUUUUAAAUUUUUUUAAAAUUGAUUAUUUUAAUUUAAUAUAUUUGGUUUUUAUUUUUUUAAUUAAUAUUUAUUUUAUUUGUAAUAAUUUAUAAAAUUAUAAUUAUUUUUUUAAUUUUAUUAUCUUUUAAUUUUUUUUAUCUGUUAUGUGAAGCUAUAUCCCUAUAUAUAAAAAAUGAUUUGACUGUGCUUGGGAUUGGGUGUAUGCCUACAUACCUAGUUUUCUGAACAGGCCUUGAUCUUUAUUAAGGCAGAAAAUGAGCUGCGUAGCACUAACCUUCUAUUCAUGUUUUUUUCCAAAAAGACUUUGAAUUGUAAUCUACUUUUUAAUCUUGUUUGUUUUUUUUUAAAAAAAAGUAUUAUUCAAAAAAUUAAAAAAAAAUUAUUUUUUUUUACUUCAAAUUAAUAUAUUUUUUAUGUUUUUAGAUCAUUUUGAUAUGAUAAUAUUAGAAAUAAUUUUUAAAAAUUAAACAGAAUUUUAUUUUGAUGCAUUUUCAAACGAAAAAUACUCAGAAAAGCAACCACUACCAUACUCCUAAACACUAAUAGAAAGAAUACAAGUUUUUUGUUAUUUACUUUUAAAAAAAUUUAAAAAAUAGCGCAGCUCAGCCUCCUUCCACUCAGAGAUGCCUUCCUAACAAGAUGCACAGCUACGCCUUUGGGGUGAAGUGAACUAAGGCCUUGUUUGUUUCAAGGAAACUGAAUUUCAGGAAUUCAGUUUCCUUAUUUUUCAAUGUUUGGCAACCAUCCGGAAAGUUAGUCAAAGAAAAGUUAAUUCCUUAACUUUCCGGUCAACAAGGAAAUUACUUUCACCCGCAGGAAAGUGUUUUCCUUUCCUUAUCAAAAGGAAAACACUUUCCUUUAUUGAUAAAACACAUCUUCUCCUUUCUGUGACCGAAAAUAGUUGAAAAGCAAAGAAGAUCUGCUGGAGAAUCACACUUGCAUUUCAGGUAUUUUUUCCCUCAAAUUUCUCUAUUAUAUCUCUUUAUGUUUUUUUAUCUUCUUCGUAUUUUUUAGAUUUGUAAGAAUUAUAACAAAAAAACCUUGAUAUUGUUUAAUUUGUUGUCUGUUCUGAAAAACAAACAAUUUCUCUGUAUUUGUAUUUGUUGCGCAAACAAUACAUCAUGGUUGGGGAAGCUACCUGUCAAUUUUUUUCCCAUACCCAGUUUUCUUCUUCAUCUCCUCGUCACAUUCAAACAAGCUCACAGAAAAACCCAACCAAAUUUAUCACAAGCAACCCAUAAAAAAACACAAGUUUUCAUGCACAUUCGGCAGCUUCCCCAACCAGUCCUACCUUGUUUCCCGAACAAAGAGAACAAAAAGAGAGAGACGCAAACAGGAGGGAAACUGUCGGGGGGGGGGGUAGAGGGGAAAUGAGGGGAAACCGAAUGAGAGGGGAAAUGACAGCGGAUGACAGAAAAGUUUCUCAUCUUAAUUAAUUUGUCGGGAGAUUAUAGUGAUUUUUUUGUUGUUGUAGCUCGUAUGUGAUUUUCAAACCAAACAUCACAAUCUUCCUAGUUGUCCCGUUCUUCUUUCCCUGUCCCUCCCCAUGUGCCAUGUGGUUGGGGAAGACUGCAUGUGAUCGAACCAGCCUCAGACGCUAAUGCCAGUAGCUAGCACACAGCGAAAAAAACCUUAUCUCUCAUGGCUGAUCAUUCUUGCCACGACUCUUGACUUAAAAUCAAAUCCUCCUCAUUCCUCCUGACUUGAAACCGGCAGUGUGGGUCUAGAUCUAGAUGGAGCUUGCUGUGUCCGAGAACUUCGUCUGUUAUAGUAUUCCCUCCCGCUGCCUCCCUAUCUGAUGCUAGAUCAAGAAAAGAGCUCUUCAACAAUGAAGGGCAUAUGGCCCAUAACUAAUUUCACUAGUCUCAAGACUGAGUCUGCUCAAAUCUCUUUUUUCUUCAUAAGAAUGCCGAGUCCAGAGUGAGCGUCGAGAGGGUAAGCGUGUAGGGGGGAAAUCACGAAGACGGGCCACACAUACUUGGCUUUACGCGAUAGGGCGUUUUUUUAAGACUUUCACCUUUUGAAGCUCACUUGACAGAGGGGUAGCAGGGGCUUUGGAAUCAUGAAUGAGGGAAAUGAGGGAAACCGAAUGAGGGGAAUGACAGGGAAUUACAGUGGAAUGAGAGUGGAAUGUAGCGUGGACUCCAACAUUUGUAUCUAUUCUGUUUAACGAGAGGGGAAAUGAGGGAAACCGAAUGAGGGGAAUGACAGGGGAAUGAAGGGAAUUACAGUGGAAUGAGAGGAACCGGAAUGAGAGUGGAAUGAGAGGGAAAUGAGGGAAUUUGUGAGAAACCGAAUGAUGAUGUCCUAAUUAAGUUAUGGGAGAAACCGAAUGAUGAGGUCCUAAAUUAUUAGAGAUUUGCAAUGCAGUAGUUGGGAAUAGUGGGGUUUUUUAUAAAGCAAAUGUAUAGGCUGAACUAGUGCUUAAACUCAACAAUCUCCAUGUUUAUAACUAACAAAUCAAAAUAGAAUAGAAUUGAACCUAGCCAUGAACUCGAUCGUGUGUUGUGUUGCCGCAUAUGAGGUGAUUUUUGAAACUUAUGUUUAUUUAAUUAUUCGAUAAUGACAUUAUUUUUAAGAAUUAAAAUGAUUGAUCUUAUUGAUCAUUGUGAACUUAUGAAUUGUAUAUUGUCAGCUUCUUUGAACAUAAUUUAUUGUAUUGAUUGUGUAAGUAUUUUAUAUGCUUUUAUUAAUAUUUAUUUCCCUAUAUUUUUAGGUUUUGUUAUCAGAAAACUACACUUUCAUGUUAUGGAUAGUAAAAUAAUUAAUGCAGUAUGCAUGGGAGCAGCUGUAACUGUGAUAGCUACAGGGGUAACUAUUAUUGAAGAAGAAAGAAAUAGAAUUUAUAUACCAAGAGAACCACGUAUAAAUGCAAUUGCUCAACGAGAAUUCUAUAUUGACAGCAUUUUGAAUCGAGGUGAUCGACAUUGCGUUGAACAAAUUCGUAUGAAACCUAUUGUAUUAUAUAGAUUGUGUGAUGUUCUCACAAGUCGUAACCUAUUACGAUCAACUCAAAAUGUGUCUAUUAGGGAGCAAGUAAUUGUGUUCUUAUAAAUUGUAGGCCAAAACCAAAGAUUUCGGGUUAUUAGUGGUAUAUAUUAUAGGUCUGUUGAAACUAUCCAUCGUUACUUUAGAAUUGUUUUAAAAGCAAUUCUAAAGUUAUACAAACACCUUAUUAAAGAUCCAGAGGAUAUAGUUUCAGCAGAGAUAAUGAAUAAUAGAAGAUUCUAUCCUUAUUUUAAGGUAUGAAAACAAUACCAAUAUUUUUAUGAAUUAAUUAAUUACAUUAAGAAGAAAAGGUUAUAAAUUAUUUUUUCAUGUUUAUAUAGGAUUGUGUGGGAGCAAUUGAUGGUACCCAUGUUCCUGCAAAUGUUCCUGUUGAGAUUCAAGGAAAGUUUCGAGGACGAAAAGAAGGAACAACACACAAAAUGUUUUAGCAGCUAUAACUUUUGAUUUGAAGUUUAUAUAUGUUUUAGCUGGCUGGGAAGGAAGUGCUCAUGAUUCACGAGUUUUAGGUGAUGCAUUAUCAAGAUCUAAUGGUUUUAAAAUUCCAGAAGGUAUAUAAUAAAGUAUGUAUUAUAUGCAUAAACAUAUAAAAUGUAUUAUUACAUAAAGAUAGUAAUAGGUUUGUUUUUUUAAUUUGUAGGGAAAUAUUAUCUUGGUGAUGCUGGUUACGGUAUUCGAAAAGGAAUCAUUUCUCUUUUUCGUGGAGUUUGAUAUCACUUGAAUGAGUUUAUAGAACGUUCACCAGAAAAUGAAAAGGAGCUAUUUAAUCUUCGACACUCUUCAUUGAGAACCGCGAUUGAGCGAGGGUUUGGUAUUUUGAAGAGUCGUUUUAGAUCAAUUGAUGGAAAAUCUUUUUGGUCUUAUGAAACACAAGUAGAUGUUGUGCUUGCAUGUUGUAUUAUUCAUAAUCACAUAAUGGGGGUUGAUCCUUAUGACUUUCUUAUGGAAGAAAUAUGUCCGGAUAGUGAACUAAUUAGACGAACAAUCAACUUAAGUCAACGGGAGGAAAGGGAAGAGAAUAGGGAGUGGAUAACAAAAAGAAAAAUGAUUGUCUCAACCAUGUGGAAUGAUUAUAACACUCAAACAAACUAGUAAUUGAGUGAUAAUUAUAUGUGUUUGUUUUUAUUAUGUCUUGCUUGAGUUUUUAUAUGAAAUUUAUUAAAUCGAAAUAUUGUAUGAUUUUAUUUUGUAUAAAUUUGUAAUUUCUUUUUUGUAGAAAUGAGUUUCUCACAGAAUGAAAAAUGCAAGGGCAAGCACUUCACAUGGUCUAAGCCUAUGUCUCACAUGUUGCUUGAGAUAUUAGCUGAGGAGGCACUUAAAGGAAGUAAACCUUCUUCCACCUUUAAAGCAGAAUCUUUUGUUAAGGUGGCUACAGAAAUCAGUCAAAAGUUCAAUGUGCAAUGCGAGCAUAAACAUGUGGAAAAUCAUCUCAAGACUGUGAAAAAAGAAUGGGGAAUAAUAACCAAGCUUAAAAAUAAAAGUGGUUUUGGCUGGGAUGAUUGUUUGAAGAUGAUUACAGUUUUGAAAGAUGUAUAUGAUGAAGAAGUAAAGGUAUGAUAAAUAUUAUACUCUUUGUAAUUUUUAUAUUUACUUUUGUUUCUAAAAUGUUAUACAAUGAACUAAAAAAAUUGCAUAUUCUAUACUUUAUGAACAGGCACAUCCCAAUCAUGACAAGUAUCUCAAUAAAAAACUUGAUAUGUAUGAGAUAAUGAUAAUUGUUGUUGGAAAAGACAUGGCAACCGGAAAUUAUGCCAAAUCAUAUGAUGAUGUCAACUUGGAAGAGAACACUGAAGAGCAAUCAAUUUCAAUUGAAAAUGAAGGGGAAUAUGAAAAAACUUCAAAGGGAAAAGGGACAUCUUCCUCUAGUACACAAAAGAGGCAACAUAGAAAGAGAAAUUGCAUGUAUGAAGAUGAUGGUGUUGAAAAGUUGUUUAAACAGAUUGGAGAUGUAGCAUUUGCAAUUCAAAGUCUCAGCAAAAAUCAACUUGAUGUUAAUGCGUUGUAUGCGGAAGUGAAGAAAGUUGAAGGCUUUGAUGAGAUAACUCUUGGGGAUGCAUAUGAUCAUUUGGUCCAAAAUGAAAUGUUGGAAAAAGCAUUUAUGGCAAAAAAUGCUAAUUUGAGAAAAAUUUGGGUUCAGAACUUUGUGACCCAACACUACUACAGGCCUGCUUGCUAAGAUGGUUUGAAUAUGUUCAAAAUUUGGGUUCAGACUAUGUUUGUUAUUUGACAAGUAUGUUUACUUGUUUAAUUCGGUCUAGCAUAUUUAUGUUUCUAAUUUGAACUAAUAUGUAUGUAUAUGACAUCGAAACAUAAUAUUUAUGCAUGACUAUGUUUGAUGUUAGGUAUUAAUAUUUAUUUCUUGAUGUUUAUUUGAUAGAUAUUAAAGGGAUAAUUGCCUUUACCCAUAAAAAAAAUAUUUAUCCAAAAUACCCAUCAAAAUAUUUUUGUAUCUAUUUAUCUUUUAAAAAAUACUUCAUACCAAAAAAAAACCCAAAUAUAUAACUCUUAACAUAAACUAAUUUGGCUUUCUUCAUAUGAAAAAAAAAACUUAUUUUAAGCUUUUAAAAUUGAAAAAAAUAUAUAUUAAUAAGUUUUACUUAAAAAAUAUUUCACAAGCUUAUUUCUCUAUAAUAUGAUAUGACAUAUAUUGUUAUAUUUUAUAAAAUAAGCUAUGUAUGAAUAUAGGAUAUAAUAAAAAAAAUUCAUCAUUAUACUUUUUAGAUUUCAUUUUUUUAUUUUAAGUGAUUAAAUAUUUUAUAUAUAUAUAUUAGAUAAACUUGAAAAAAUAAUAAUUUAUUAAUAAAUUAUUUUCCAGUUCAUUUUUCAUAAUACAAACAAACACUGGAAAGUGUUUUCCAGUUCAUUUUCCAUAAUAUUGCCAAACAUCGGAAUUCACUUUCCCCGAAAUUCACUUUCCAAAAGAAAACCACUUUCCUGCAAACAAACAGAGCCUAAGUCAUUUGUUUUACACUUCCACAUGCUCUCAAGCUUUCACCUCAUACUCAAGACCAGCUGAGCAGUCCUAAAAAGAAAGAUAUAUCAUGUAGGGUUAUCAAGGAAGACCUAUUAUUUUUAUUUUUUUCGCGUUAACAUGACCAGAUUAUAAAAUUUAAAGUUCUUUUCUUUCUUUCUUUUUUCCAUGUGUGAGCGAGCAUAAAACCCAAGGAAAUCGAUUUGUUGUUAAAAAACACAAUAAUUUUAAAGAAUUCGGUAAAUUCCAAAAAAGAAGAAUCAACCAAACAGCUCAUUUUUCGGCCAUUCCGGCAGUAAUAUCUCUUCCACUCCAGCUGCUGCAUAAACUAAUUAACAAAUAUCGAUCGAGCCUAAAAGAUUUGAAUUGAUUUCUAUUCUCAACUUUAAAAUAAAACUAAAAAAUAAAAUAAAAUAAAAAUUGGUUUCAAGAAUUCACGGCUUGAUUAUUACAACAAUAACUGUGAGAAAAAUCGGAUAAUAUCAUGUAAAUUGGGGGGGUUGAAAAAGAAAAUAUUAGAAUCGGCUGAUUGUGCGUUUCUUCAAGUUGCGUUCACGAGCAGCGGUUUCAUCGGAUCAGAUUAUAUAUAUUUUUUAAUUUACUUAUUAAAAUCGAAUUGCGUUCACUAGCAGAGAUUUCAUCGGAUCGAUUUUUUUUUUUUAAUUUACUAAUUAAAAUGGAUUUCUGUCUCUGAAUAAUAAUUACAAUAAAAUAAAUGAAAACACCCAUAAAUUUUAAAAACAAAAGCAUGAUAGAAAAGGAAGCACCUGGCAGAAAUCUGAAGCCUUAUUGGAUGCGGCGGUUUCCGAGAGGCGGAAGAGGGAGGGAGGGAAGGAGGGAGGGAGAGAGCUCAGGCGGGGAGAGGUGAGGAAUGGUGUCCCAAAGUGAAAUAGAUGACUUUAUUCUUUUCCAGAUUCCUUCUAAAAAAAUUAACAAGUGAACACUCGCUCGUCAAGCAUCCGCGUUCAUUUUCACUUUUAGUAGUAUUGGCCAGUAGUGCUAUAAAGAAGACAAAGUACGUGGUAUAUCCACUUUUUCAUCACUUACUUUAAGAUUUUUGGAAGAUAUGACACAAGAGACAAAGAAAAUGAUUGCUAUUAUCGACAAUUUCUCUGUUACACACACACUUUGUCUUUAGCUGUAUUUUCUUACAAAGGAUCUUUAGCUAUGCAUUAGAGAUGAACACCUCCAACUUCUUGAUUUUCACUCGUUUUCAUCCCAUUUAAAGAAGUUUAAGUUUGAAUGCUCAUUAUACAAAUUCUAAUAACAGGCAGCUAAAAGGGCUUGUCGAAGCUUUAUGUAAUGGCCAAUACCCAUCGCCAGAACAACCUCAGGAUCAUAUAUUCUUAGAUGCAAGAGUGCCCCACACUCUAUAAUGGGUGGCAAGCUCCUUGCUUUUCACGUGAUGAUGCCCCCCCCCUCCCUUUCUUCCUUUUAAAAAAAAAAAUAUCCUUUUUAUGCUUAAAAUCCACCCACUAAUGGGUCGAUGAAGUGGCCACUAACAACAACGCAGAUAAGAUGUUGCUUGUUCUUACAGGGAGAGGAAGCCCAGCUCCAGACAGCAGAAGGGAGAUCGUUUUCCUACAUCUUCUAUUUGAAAUAAAAUCGUGUACUUUUAAGCUAGAAAUUAUCCUUCAGUGAAUCUUUCAUCGGUAAUUUUUUAUCCGUCAGUAAAUCCGUUGGUAAUAAAAAAAUAUUAUUACCGACGGAAUAGACAUGUCAGUAAUAAUAUUUUUUUUUAAUUACCGACGGAUAUACCGAUGGAAUUCCAUCGGUAAUUAUUUAAAAACAUUUUAAAAAUAUUUCAUUUUAUAAAAUUAUAAAAUUAUUAAAUUAACAUAAAUCAACACUCUAUAAUAUAUACUCAAAAUGCUUGGAAACAAAUAAUAAGAAAAUCAACUCAAACAUAUUUGCAACAAAUAAAUAAAAUGAAAAAAUAAAUUCAACUAAAAAAAUUCAUAUGAAAAAAAUGAAGUUGCAAUUGCUAAAAAUUUAAAAAUCCUAUAAAUAAAUCAACUAAAAAUUGAUCUCAUAUGAAAAAAAAAAUCUUGAAAAAAGAAGAAAAAAGAAAAAUCUUACCUUAAUAUAGUUGGAAGUGAAGCUAAGGAGAGAAAAACAAAUUCAUAAAGCAUAUUAAUUUUUUAAAAAAAACUAAGAGGAUAAAAGAAAAAAGAAGAAGAAGACAUACCCGAGCAUGGAGGAAAGGAGAAGGAGAUGAGGAGAGAAAAGAAGAGAAACAAAUAGAUAUUGAUAUUUUUUAUAUAUAGUGAAGAAGAAGAAGAAUAAGAAAUGAGUCUAUCUCUUGUGAAAUAAGGGGAUUCAUGCUUUUUAUUGGGGCGUGUUAGCGACGGAUUUACCGAUGGAAAAUUGAAUAUAUUUAAUUGUAAUUCUUAAUUUCAUAAAAUGUUUUCAGAAACUUGGUCUUGUUAUCAUAUCAUUAAAUAAAAAAUAAUUAAAAAUUAAAACUAGAUGGAGUCUAUUAUUCGAGUAGCGGGUUUGAAGAGUUAAACCAUGGAACUAGGAUUAAUCUUGUCACACCUAACAUUGCAGCAGCCUUAAAAAUAAAAAAAUGGAAAGAACGGAUUUUUGGCAUCUUAUUCUUUGAUGGAGAACGGUCUUGUUUAAGGAGUCGCCACCUAGUAUUAUGGUUACUAGGAACUCUAACUGGUCAAUAGAGAUUCUAUGGUUCGGGACUGGUUACGUAAAAGGAAAGAUAUUAUCACCCCUUAAAUGUUCUACCUGAGGCAAACUGCAUUAUUGGUUUUGUCUUAAAUUGUUAAAUAUUUAUUAGUUUAGGUUAUGAUAAUUUGCUUAUAACAGAUUGGGUUUGAUUAUCUUGGUCUGAAAUUGGCAAGAAAAAAAGAAAAAGGAACUUGCAUUGUCUGCUUUAGAUGGCUUGAGCAUUGUUAGCUAGAACAAGAGAGUAGGCCUGAUUAUCUUAGUCUGGAAUUGGCAGGAAAAAAAAAACAGAAACUUGCAUUGUCUGCUUUAGAUGGCUUGAACAUUGCUUGCUAGAUGUUCAUUAAUUUCUCUUUUCGCAAUGAACUCUUGCAUAUUUGACAUAUCAUGCUACAUUAUUCAUGCUAUUAUUGUUCUCUUUCAAACUGCCAAGAUUAUUGGUUGGGUAAUAGCCACUAUGAUUAGAGAAACUGAAAUAAUUUAUAGUCUGCAAGUCUGUUAAUUCAUUAUAGCAGUAAUGUUUUUAUCCAAACAUUGCCAAGAGUCAAGACCAAAGUUAAUCAAUAACAAAAAGAUGAAAAAAACCACUAAGAUAAAAGUGACAAAAUUCAUAAAACUCAAACGCCAAUAAUGUAAUUAAUGCCAAAUGAUAAGAUUAAAAAAAUCAAUUAAAAAAAAAAUUGAAUCAACCCAUGUUAACUUGACUUAACCAUGACCUAGGAUAUGAAAUAGAAAUAAUCUAACAAAAAAAAAAAACUAAAACAAAUAACACAAAGUUUAAGGCCUAAUAACUCAAGGUUGAUGAUAAAAAAAAUUAAUUUUCAAAAAGAACUUAAAAAAAUACCAUACUUAAAACGAGUUGAUAUUCAAAAUUGGUAGAGUGAGUUAUGAGACUAGGAUUAGUGUUUUCAUACAGUUUUGACUCGUCUUUUUUUAUUGUUUUUUAUUUUUAUUUUUUCAUUUAGUGUUGAAUAUCACUUAGUUAAGAAUAAUAGAAUGUGUUAGGUUGUGCCUUAGCCAACCUUCCUAUUUAUAUAGAGGCAGUAGAACACUGCAGUAACUGUAAUGAUUACAACAUCCUAUAUUAGAAUCCUAUUCUGAUAGAUACAUGAGUAACUGUAAUGAUUACAAUAUCCUAUAUUAGAAUCCUAUUCUAUAAUAUGCCCCCUCAAGCUGAGGGUGGGGGAUCAACCCGAAGCUUGAAUCGAAAAGCAGUAAAAGAUGCAACAGGAAGCGGUUUAGUGAAGACAUCGGCAAGUUGAUCUCGAGAGGGAAUAAAACGAAUCUGAAUUUCUUUCUUGGCAACACGGUCACGAACAAAGUGAUAAUCCACUUCAACAUGCUUAGUACGAGCAUGGAAGAUAGGAUUUGCUGAGAGAUAGGCAGCACCAAGAUUAUCACACCAAAUGGUAGGGGCAGAGACUGAGGGAACCUGCAAAUCUGUUAACAAGUAUUGAAGCCAAAUGACUUCAGCGGUACCAUCAGCAAGGGCUUUAUACUCAGCCUCAGUAGAGGAGCGAGCAACAGUGCGUUGCUUGCCGGAUUUCCAAGAAAUCGGCGUCUGACCAAAAAAGACAAGAUACCGCCCGUAGACUUGCGAUCAUCAAUACUACCAGCCCAAUCUGCAUCUGUAAAGCCAUGUAGAGCAAAAGAGGAGCCUCGAGUGAUAUGGAAACCAUAAGAUGUCGUACCUUUAAGAUACGUAAAAUACGUUUGACAGCGGCCCAAUGAGAAUCUGUAGGAGCAUGCAUAAACUGACAACUCUGUUAACAGCAAAGCAUAUAUCUGGACGGGUGAAGGUAAGAUAUUGAAGAGCACCCACGAUUUGACGAAAUCGUGUAGGAUCAGAGAAUGAAUGAUCCGGUAAUAAAAUGACUUUCGAAGGGGAGACUGGAGUAUCAACUGGUUUGCAGGAAGUCAUACCAGCUCGGGUGAGGAUGUCAAGAAUAUAUUUAUGUUGACGCAGCAUUAAACCCAUACUGGUAGACUGAACUUCAAUACCCAGAAAGUAGUGAACAACACCUAAGUCACGAAGCUUGAACUCAGAGCUGAGUAACUGUAUAAGGUGAUGGAGCAUAGCAGAGUUGCUACCCGUGAGCAGAAUAUCAUCAACAUACACCAGGAGAUAAAAGAUAUUAGUACCAUCAGAUAAGAUAAACAGGGAGGUGUCAACCUUGGAAGCUCGGAAACCGAUGGAGAGCAAAAAAUCACUUAGACGAGUGUACCAUGCUCUCGGUGCCUGUUUCAAACCAUACAAUGAUUUGUGCAAUCUGCACACAUGAGAUGGAAGAGAAGAGUCAACGAAACCUGGAGGCUGUUUCAUGUAGACCUCUUCAGUAAGAACACCAUUGAGGAAGGCAUUAUGAAUAUCAAGCUGAUGAAUCUUCCAAUUUCGCGAAACCGCGAUAGAGAAAACCAAUCGGACAGUGGCCUGCUUAAUAACUGGACUGAAGGUUUCAGAAUAAUCAAUACCUUCCUGCUGGGUAAAACCUCUAGCAACAAGGCGCUUUAUAGCGCUCAAUACUACCAUCAACACGACGUUUGAUCCGAUAUACCCAUCUACUGCCAACAACGUUCAUCGAAGGAUGAAAUGGAACCAAAGACCAAGUGCGAUUUUCGCGUAAAGCGGCGAUCUCAUCACACAUAGCAUUAUGCCAAACUGCAUACCGGUCAGCAUCAGAGAAUGCAAAAGGCUCAGAAGAGGGAGAAUACAGUACCCGUGUGGAGGUAGAAGUAGCGGCAGGAAGCAACCAGAUUAGCUGUCUUCGGCUGCCGCGGUCUAAGAGUCAUAGGAUGUCUGUGUGCUGGUGGAGACCAGGGGAAGACGGUUGUAGCGAGGAGACCUGUGGCAGCUGAUAAGAAGACAAAUCAACCAUAAGUUGCAGACCAGCGGGAGAGGAUGAUAAAGAAGCAGCCUCAAGCACAGGACUGUCAGUAGAGGAGGGGCUGGAAGUAGAGACUGAAGCUGCAGGAGUGCUGGCCAGGGAGGGCGAAGCAGAGGAGGGACUAGAAAGUGCCCCAAGACCAUGAGGAGAGGAGACCAAUUGACGAUCUGAACCUGCAUCAUAAGGGUUAGAUAAACAAGCAUGGGAUGAUGGCCAAGGGAUGGGUGGAGGCUGUGGUCGGGUGGCUGUUUGGAGUGGCAAAGUGGAGUGUUGUGGGCUGUUUGGGUGGCUAGUGAAAGUGGGUGCGGUGGGUGGUUUAGCAAAUUUGGGAGGGUGACAGUAGCGGGUGGGGUGGGGGUUGUGGUGGAGACCUUUGCAAUCUGUUCAGAAUUAUCAAAUGGAAACACAUGUUCAUGGAAGCGGACAUGAGGAAAUAUAAAUACGGUGAGAUGCAAUGUCAAGACAUCGAUAACCAAGAUGCGAGGAACUAUAUCCAAAAAACACACAUGGAGAGGAACGAAAAUCCAAUUUAUGAUUAUUAUAUGGACGCAGAAAAGGAAAACAGACACCCAAAGGUACGCAAAAAAUGAUAAUCAGGAGACCGUUGAAAUAAACAAUCAAACGGAGAGCGAUGGGCAAGAAUAGGAGUAGGCAUGCGAUUUAUAAGAUAAACAGAGGUUUCAAAAGCAUAAUUCCAGAAUCGAAAAGGUGCUUUACAUUGCCCUAAAAGAGUAAGACCUGUUUCCACAAUAUGCCUAUGACGACGCUCUACUGUUCCAUUUUGUUCAUGAGUGUGGGGACAAAUCAGACGAUGAUGAAUACCAAUGGUCUGAAAAAAUGUGGAUAGUUUUCGGUAUUCACCCCCCAAUCAGUUUGAACAGAUUUUAUUUUUAAUGAAAAUUGACGUUCGACAAGAGUCUGAAAUUGAUGAAAAACAGAGUAAACAUCAGACUUGGCAACGAGAGGAUAAUACCAUACAUAUUUAGUAUAAGCAUCAACAAAGAUAACAAAAUAACGAUAGCCAUCUGAAGAAAAAAGAGGAGCAGGGCCCCAUACAUCACUAAAAAUUAAUUCAAGUGGAGCAGAAGUUUUGUGACCGUAGGUCCUAAAGACAAACGCGAUGAUUUUCCUAAAGGACAACUUUGACAUUGAAAAUUAAGACGUUUGUUGUUACAAAUGAUCUUAUUUUUCGAGAUUAACAAUUGAAAAAUACGUGAAGUAGGAUGACCUAGUCGACGAUGCCAUAAAUCGGCAGAGGCAGAAGUGCAGGGAGACCAAUAGGCUUGAGGAACUGACGUGACGGAAGACUUGGUCAGGGCAUAGAGACCAUCUUUACUCUGACCUGAGAGAAGGACUUCAUGGGUGUUGAAAUCCUUGACAUAAAACACACGAGGGUGAAAUUCAAAAUAAACAUUAUUAUCAAGACAAAAUUUCUGAACAGAGAGCAGAGGUUUUGUGAUUGCAGGAACAUGAAGAACAUUAGAUAAGGUGAAAGAACGAUGUGGUGUAUAUAUUUUUGUAUGACCAAGAUGAGAUAUAGGAAGGCCCUUACCAUCACCAACAUGCAAAUUAUCAUUACCAAGGUACGGUUCUGAAGCGGUCAAGGUGGCAAGAUCAGGUGUGACGUGUUGAUUGGCACCGGUAUCUGGAAACCAAUCAACAGAACCGGUUGAGGAGAGAUUGCGCUGCACCAGGUUGGCAGUAGGUUGUUGGCCAUAACCUCGCUGCUGGAAUUGAGGGCAAUGGGGAGCUGUAUGGCCGAAAUUCUGACACAGUUGGCAGCGUGGAUUCUGCCCCCUAUUACGCUGCCAAGAGCCCUGCCUAUUGUCACCGAAGGAGGAGUUUUGGAAGCUGCGGUGAUCAGGUCUGGAGCCAGCAAAUCGGUUGCCUCUGCUGUUGGACUGGUUGGGACGCCAGCCACCGUUGAAGCGGCCCCUACUACGGCCAGAAUUGCCAAAAGUCUGGCGCUGUGCAACAAGAGCAGAAGAUGGAAUGCUGGGUGUGGGCAGCAGAGGAGCAUGUAUGGCAGCAGAAGAUUUGUGAAGAAAUUCAUGUGUGAGGAGAUGGCUGUGAAGAUCUGCAUAUGAUAAAGGUUCAGCCUUGGUAAUAAGACUGGUAACUAAGUCUUUAAACUCUCCCCGAAGACCACGAAACACAUAUAAAUUGAAAUCUUCAAGUGAAACUGGCCGACCAGCAGCGGCCAAUUCAUCAAAUAAGGCCUUCGCUUUUUGCAUAAAUUGAGUUACUGAUUCAUCACCCUGUCGAAGAUCCUGAAGAGAGCCGUGAAGUUGCAUAAUACGAGAGUUGGAGGUGGAAGCGAGAGCUCGCUCAAGAGUGCCCCAAGCUGAACAAGAACUUUGACAGCCAACAACAAGAUGCAAAACUUCCAUAGAUAGGGAGGAAAGAAGAGCACUUAGAAUGAGUUGGUCCUGUUGUUUCCAGGUUUGAAAAAGCGGAUUUACCUGAAGAGAGAUACCAUCAUGGGCAAGAACAUGUGUUGAUGGACAUGUGUUGGAGCCAUCAACAAAACCAAAAACUCCUUGGCCUAGGAGAUAAGGUAGCAUUUGCAUACGCCAAUAUAAAUAAUUGGUGUUUGUUAAUUUGAGGGAGAUGACUUGAUGAGUGUGAGAAAGAGAGAUAAUGCGUUCACCAGCUAUGGCAGAGGAGAAUCCAGGCGGUGACGUAGUAGAGGAAAGCAGAGGAGGCGCUGCAAGAGAAGAGGGCUGCACUGUCGAAGAAGAAGAAAGCUGGACUGCUGGUGCUGCAGAAUUUGAAGAUGUAUGUGGUGGUUGUUCCAUUGAAAAAGGGAGGUUGGGAGGCUAUGAGAAAAUUAGGUUUAAUUUAUUUUAGGGUUUUGUUGCUCUGAUACCAAGUUGAGAAUAAUAGAAUGUGUUAGGUUGUGCCUUAGCCAACCUUCCUAUUUAUAUAGAGGCAGUAGAACACUGCAGUAACUGUAAUGAUUACAACAUCCUAUAUUAGAAUCCUAUUCUGAUAGAUACAUGAGUAACUGUAAUGAUUACAAUAUUCUAUAUUAGAAUCAUAUUCUAUAAUAGACUUUUUUGUUACCUUUUAUCGGAGCAUAUGGUUGUUUCAUAAAAAAAAAAUAACUCUAGGAAACAUAGUUGUUAAACACAAGAAGCACAUGACCUAUGUCGUGAUAUCAAAUAUCUUAAUCUUAGUUAUUUAUUUAUCAAAUAUUGAUUUAGUUACUAAAUACAUGUAUAGACAUUUUGAUUUGUGAUUGAAAAAAAAUUAUAUUAAAAAGCACAUUGAAAGAGCCUAUUUAUUUUUUUUAAUUAAAAAGAUAAUCACCCCACCGCGGAGCGCCAAUACAAAACUAGUUACUUAUAGUAUAAAGUAUGUGGGGUGAACACUGUGUAGCCGCACUCUUCACCUCCUCCUGUUUUAUAGUGGACACAAUGUUCACUGGUUUUUUUAUUAGGUUUUGCUAUAAAUUUUAAGAGAAAACAUGUAAGGUGAACACUAUACAACCAUAUUGUUCAUCCCCUUAUGUUUGAUGUGCUAAGGAUAUAGAACCAAGUAAUUGUUUCUUCCUUGAGACUAAGAGUCAGUACGUAGCGGAAUGAGCCUUCCUUCUCUCAUUGUGAUCAAUCAUCUUGGACACCCCAUGUUCUUGCCUUGAUCAAGACUCCUAUCUUUGUUAUUCAACACAUAUGAAGAAAUUUUCCAAAAUCAUUUCUUGACAUAACAUCUUAGUUAUUCAACCGGUUGAAUUGAAUUUAUUUUUUAUUUGAUUUUUUAUUAUUGUUCAACAUUAGAUUGAUUAAGAAUUAGGCUUCAUGAUUUCUUUUUAUUUGCUUUCUAUCAAGAUUCUCCUAACAUAUUGUUAUAUCUCAGGUUAAAAUUAUAGGGCAAAUGGAGUUUAGAAAGGCCUUGCAAGAUUGCUAGUGACAUUUUCAUAAUUUUGUUUUGAAAGGUCAUUUUUUGUGUUCUUUGUUUAGAUUUUUUUUCCAUUUAACCAUCCAAUAAUAGGUUUAUUAAGAAUUGAGAUUUAGAAUUUGUUUUGAUUUGCUUUGUUUGGGGUUAUUAUGGUCUCAUAACCUGGAUUAUGGAUUUAGAAUGUUAACCUGAGUUGAUCCGGGUCAUUCCAAUAAGUUAUUAUCUUAGUAUUGUUUUUGAAAAUACAUCAUCUUAAACUAUUUUGAAUCAAACUCUAUUCUUACUAGUUGUUGUCUUUGGACCUAUAAGUCAAUCGGGUCAUAUCGCUUUAACUCUCACUUUUUUACUUGUGUUUGAAAUUUAAAUUGUAUAAUUUCAAGUUAGUUUAUAUUUAAAUUUGAAUUGAACUUAUGUUUAUUGAGUUUAAUCUUGAAUAUAUAUAUAUAUAUAUAUAUAUAUAUAUAUAGUAUAAUCUUGAAAUAGCAUGCUGAAAUGCUCUGAAACCAAAAUAUACAGUUUGAAUUAAAAAAUAAAACACUAUCCGGAACGAGAUUGAUAACCUGACGUGAUAUGUUUAAAAUGAGCAUCAUCGAAUCAUUUAGAGCAACCGUGUACAUAACAAGGGCGUCCCCUUCUCCGUCCAGAGAUUAGGCACUGAAUCUUUCGUUACAGUUAGAGUAGGCGAAGCUUGUCAAUCUUACAAAGGUGGUAGAAUUUGAGGAUUUUUAUUGUUCAUCAUUUUUUGAAUGAAACUGUACUAUCUUACAUAAAAUUUAAAACAACACUGAGAUUUAUACGUAUUCUCUGUUACUAUUACUUGCUUAAAUGGAAGGAGCAUGGAGAUUUGAAAUUACAAUGAUUGUUACAAACCAAACUUUUAAAACCGACAAUUGUUCGUUCCUUCCAUUAAGCCCACGUGAUUCAGAUGGAAUGCAAUCAAUCCAGUUUAUACCCAAAGGUGGAGCUUUUCUCUUUCAAUGGUAGUCUUCAGCGGGUGGAGGAUGAACGUGAGGUGGAAUCACCAGGUUCACUGGAUUCUAGAAUCAGAAAAGGGAGUCUUCGUUAUAUCAUAACUUAUAUAGAAAACUUCUACUAAAACUAACUCUUUCAACUUGUCUCAAGGUGUAUGCACUACAUAAAUAUCCUUUAAUGAUGAAAACCUGUUGCUCGGAUAAAAACUCCAUAAACAACAUUUUUUUUAUUAAAAGAUGUAUCAAUAAAAAGAUGAUAAAUUGUAUCUUGGUGGAUAAUGAUUCGACUAUUAAUAUACUAUAUUACCUCUUAAGAUUAUAAAAAAGUUCGAGAUUUAUAUUUAUGUUUAUAUAUAAAAAAUAAUAUUGUUUUGAUACACAUAAAAAAUUAGAUUGAUCCAAGUUAACCUGUAUCGUGAUAAAAAAGCAUGAUACAAAUCUUACUCUAGAUUAAACACCGAGCAGUGUCUAACGAGGAUUGUUUGGGAAAAGAUUCUGGAAGCCCACCAGUAUGCAUAAGAAAAUCACCAGGAAAUUACUCAUCUUGGCCAGUAGUGCUAUAAAGAAGAGAAAGUGGAUAUUCCACUUUCUCAUCAAUUACGACAAUAAUUGACUCCCAGUCAAUGUGGUCCACACAAAUUGUUUGGUGAGGUUACAUGCCAACAAAACUAAUCUGAAUAUUUUUAAUGUGGAAAAAAUUAUUAAAUGUUGUAAUGAGAUUAUGUUUUUUUUUUUCAAGAUAAUAAAAACAUUAUAUUUAGAAAGGUUUCAGAUUAAUUAAAUAGGUUAUGAAAAUAUAAUUGCUUAGCGGUAUAGAUCAUGAAAAUAUGAUUGCUUAGUGGUUGUUUAAUGGUAUAGAAGUAUUGGUUAACAAUUAGACAAUAAAGUUAGAAGUUGUUAGUUUAAGUAUUUUACAGGGGCUACUGUUUGAUCCAAAAAAUGAUUUGAAUAGAUACAAUUUUUAACCCAAAUUUUAUACAUAGGAAAAGCUUGUUCUCUCUGGUUUUUAAUACCAUAAACGGUGCAUUAAUCCAGUUUUCAUAGAAAUAGCUAUGAUGAAAAUAGUAAAGAAUACAAGGACGGACUAUCUGUCAAUAAUGCCCAGGAAUGAUUUUGAAACUUGUCGACAAUUUUCUUGAACGUGUUCAGCUAAUGGGUUCUUUAAGAGCCUAUUUAGAAGUGUAGUUGUGGUUGUUUUUCAUUCAGAAAUGUAUUAAAAUAAUAUAUUUUUUAUAAAAAAAAUUAUUUUUGAUAUUAACACAUCAAAAUGAUCUAAAAACACCAAAACAAUAUUAAUUCGAAGCAAAGAAAAAAAUUAAAAAAUUUUAAUUUUUUUUUAAAAACACUUUUGAAACAUCAAAACAAACAGGGAGACAAGUGUUGACCUCAUAGCUUAGCCUUAUUGUUGAUCGUUUCAAUAGAGAAGUGUUGUAACUAUAUUUAUCUGUGGAAUUCUAAGUCUGUCUUGUUUAAUUACUUUGUUUUUGCUAUUUUUUUAAAAAUAAUUGCCUUGACCAUCAUGUUGGAGUAUUCUGAUCAAGAAGUUAACAAUGAUGUAGUCCAUCUUCAAGUUCAGUUUCUCAUUGAUCUCUUCCUAAUUUAACAUAAAAAAUGAGAAAACUAUAAAGAAAACUCCUACUAAGCAUGUCAUGACUGACUCUUUCAACUUUUCUCAAGGUGUAUUCACCACAGUGAUAUCCUUUAACGAUCAAAACUCGAUAAACAACUUUUUUUAAUUAAAAGAUAUGUUGAUGGAAAGAUGAUGAAUUGUAUCUUGGUUGAUGAUGGUUCGACUAUUAAUAUACUACCUCUUAAUAUUAUAAAAGAGCUCGGGAUUCAUAUUUAUGUUUAUAUAUAAAACACAAUGUUGUUUUGACACACACACAUAAAUUUAAGGUUAAUCCAAGUUGAUCUGGGACCUGAUAAAAAAUCAUGAUAAAAAUCUUAUUCCAGGUUAGCCCCCGAACCGGGCUAACGAGGAUUGUUUGGAAAAAGAUUAUGGAAGACCACCAGUAUGCAUAAGGAAAUCACCAGGAAAUUACUCAUCUUGGCCAAUAGUGCUUUAAAGAAGAGAGAGUCGUAUAUCCACUUUCUCAUCAAUUACGACAAUAAUUGAUUCCCAGUCAAUACGGUCCACGCAAAUUGUUUGGUGAGGUUACAUGCCAGCAAAACUAAUUUGAAUAUUUUGAAUGUGGGUAAAACUUUUAAAUGUUAUAGUGAGGUAAUGUUAUGUUUUCUUUAUUUUGAGAUAAAAAAAAACAUUAUAUUUAGAAAGGUUUCGAAUUAAUUAAAUAGGUAAUGAAAAUAUAAUUGCUUAGUGGUACAGAUAAUAAAAAUAUGAUUGCUUAGUGGUUGUUUAAUGGUAUAGAAGUAUCAAGUUAAAAAUUAGAAAAAUAAAGUUAGAAGUUGUUAGUUUAAGUAUUUUACAGGUGCUGCUGUUUGAUCCAAAAAAUGAUUUGAAUAGAUACAGUUUUGUAUCCAAAUUUUAUACAUAGGAAAAGGUUGUUCUCUCUGGUUUUUAAUACCAUAAGCGGUGCAUUAAUCCUGUUUUUAUAGGAAUAGCUAUGAUGAAAAUAAUAAAGAAUACGUGGACUAUCGAAUGAUUUCGGGGAUUAUUAUAAAUUAUAUAAAAGGAAUUGCUAUCUGAAUUAUAUAUAUGAAUGAAAAGGUAAUGAGACUAGUUUACAACCCAAAAAGCAUAAUAGAAUUCUGAAUGUUAUAGGAGCUAUGAUUAGUUUAUUAGGUAGCAUGUAGUUAACAAAUUAUUGUAGUUAAGUGUUGAAGGGAUUUUAACAGGUUAUAUGCUUGUGAAUAGGUUUUUUGAGCUAAGAUUUCAGACCAGGCAAAGAAUAGAGAAGUUAGUAGCAGUUAGUAGCAGUGAGAACCCUGAACUUACAAACCAUACCACUAUAAAAAAUGUGAGGAAUCAUUAGCAAAAAAUAAAAACAAAUAAUGACAUAAGCAAGUGUCGGGCAAGUAAUAUACAACAUAAAGAUACAUAGACAUCAAAUAGUAAUUUUCUUGAACCGGAUUUAUGGGUAUGUUCCAAGAUAUAUAAGUGAAUUAGUUGCAAAACAGGGGAGUCUCUGUGAAAACAUUACAAUAGCAUUUACUCUGAGUAAGAACGCUUCUAUGCAUGUGCUGUAAUUGACAAAGAAAAGGAGAAAUCCUUUCAAUUUAUGAAAAUGCAAUGAGUUAACCUUAUCUCACACUGCAAUAUAUACUCUACAGUAUUCAUGUAUGAAAACAUUUGAACGGGAAUAAAUAAAAUAAUUCAUCAAACAAUAUGAGAGUUGUUUGGAAAAAGAUUCUGGAAGAGCACCAAUAUGCACAAGGAAAUUACUGCAUGGUUGUGUUUAAAAAUCAAAAGGGCACAUAGCAAGUCUAGCAUCCGCGUUCACAACCUUUUAAUGCUUUAACUCAUCUUCGCCAGUAGUGCUAUAAAGAAGAGAGUGAUAUAUCCACUUUCUAAUCAAUUACUUUAGAUUUGUGGAAGAUAUGAUACAAGAGAAAGUGGUAUAUCCAGACUCUAUAAUGGGUGGCAAGCUCCUUGCUUUUCACGUGAUGAUGCCCCCCCUCUUUCUUUCUUUCUUUUUUUUUAUAAAAAAAUCCCUUUUAUGCUUAAAAUCCACCCACUAAGGGGUCGAUGAAGUGGCCGCUAACAACAAUCCAGAUAAGAUGUUGCUUGUUCUUACAGGGAGAGGAAUCCCAGCACCAGACAGCAGAAGGGAGAUCGUUUCCCUACAUCUUCAUCAUUAGAGCACAGCAAUAACUCAAAGCUCUACCAUGUCACCAUCGCUUUUUUGAUUGCUAUCUUCGGUUGUUAUACCUACAAAUACAAGAACAAUAGACAACUUGAACGUUAAUCUUAUUAUUUUCUUUGGAGUUUUUUUUUUCUUUUGCAAAAUAGCACCUAGAAAAAAAUAAUAACACAAUUCAAAAUUUAUUUAAAGAAAUAAUAUAUACACUUUCUCAUCAAUUACUUAAGAUUUGUGGAAGAUAUGAAUGAUACAAGAGAUAAGAAAAUGAUUGCUAUUAUCGACAAUUUCUCUGUUAUAUAUAUAUAUAUAUAUAUAUAUAUAUAUAUAUAUUAUGCGGAGUUUCAUCCUUUCCAUUAGAUAAUAAAUAAUAUUGUAUAUAUUCUUUUUUGAGAAGUAACUCAUUUGCACACCCUUGUUGUAGUUUUCUAUUCAAUUUCACACCAGAGUGUAACAUAAAAAAACUUUUGAAAAGUAUUUUAUUUUCUUUCCAUUCACCCCAGCACUACGACAAUAAUUGACUCCCAGUCAAUAAGGCACAUAACUCAUUUGAAUAUUUUUCCCAACCUGGCGAAUAGACUAAGUGCUAAACAAUAAAAUAAAAUAAGAUAAUAUUCAAAUCCAAAAAUAUUCCAAAAAAAAAUGAAAUAAAGAAAACAUCUCAAAACAUAGAAUCUGCACAAGAUAUGCAGAUAAAGUCAUGGAAAUGGCCAUAGUGUAGUAUAAAUAGGACCUCUAUGGUUGCCCAAAGGCACAUAACAAACAACAAUAUUCUACGUAGUACGUAGUUCAUAGAAUUAUCUAAGAUGAUGAUGAAAAGAAUGGGGGCUUGGAUGUUGCUAGCAUUGUUGACUUUCGUUGGCGAAUGGCAUGGUCGUUGUUAUGGGUGUUUGGAGGAAGAGAGUAUUGGUCUCUUGGAGAUCAAAGCUUUGGAUGGCUUUUACUUGAGAGAUUGGGUGGACGGUAGUAAUUGUUGUGAGUGGGGUGGGAUCGAGUGUGAUCCGACUACAAGACGAGUGAUCCAAAUCUCUCUUGGUGGCGCAAGGGAUGAGAGCUUGGGCGAUUGGGUUCUCAACGCAUCUUUGUUUCUGCCUUUCAAAGAAUUGCAAAGUCUUGAAUUGGGAGAUAAUGGAUUGGUUGGUUGCAUGGAGAAUGAAGGUUAGUUCAAUGUUUCUGCACUUAAUUAUAAUCAUAAAAUAAAUCAAGGUUGGUUGAUGUUUAAUGUCAAUUAUCUUGCUUUGAUGAUUCUCUUUCCAGGCUUCGAAGUCCUAUCAUCAAAACUGAGGGAACUUGACCUAGGUGUCAACCGAUUUAAUAAUGAUAAAAGCAUUUUGUCAUGUUUCAAUGGUAACCUUUCCACUCUCGAGUCUUUGGAUCUAUCAGACAAUGGGUUGACAGCUGGAUCAGGUAGCUUCUAUGGUAACCUUUUAAUUAUUUAGCUUCGAAACCUUUUCUUUUCUCCUUCUCGUAUCAUUUUUUUCUACGCAUUUAAUUAUUUCCUUCCAAUAUGCUAUUGAGGAACAUCAUGCAGGUCUCAAAGUCUUGUCAUCAAGGUUGAAAAAGUUGGAGAACCUUCGUCUAUGGUGGAAUCAAUACAACGAUAGCAUUUUUCCAUCUCUUACUGGAUUUUCAUCCCUCAAGUCUUUGGAUCUUUCAGAAAAUCAGCUGACAGGAUCUAUCAAUAGUAAGUUACAUUCUCUUUAUCAAGAAAAUUGACUUCAUAUCUAUUUAAUAAUCAAUUGUUUCUAACUAGGAUCGACACUUGCUAUCUAUCUUCUUCCUUUAAAAAAAUUAUAUUUUUUUAUGUAUAAUUUGAGAAUUAUAUAUCUUGCAGGUUUUCAACUCCAACCGAUGAGGCUGGGAAAGUUAGAGAACCUUGACCUGAGUGCAAAUCAAUUGAACAGCAGCAUCUUAUCAAUUCUGAGUGGGCUUUCAUCCCUCAAGUCUUUGGAUCUAUCGUUUAAUAUGUUGACAGGAUCAGGUAUAAUACACAGUUUCUACCUAAAUGCUUCACAUGACAUUCUCUUAAUUAUAUUGUUUCUAUAUCAAGAAAAAUGAGGACGACUUUAUAUCUAUGUAAAGAGGCACUUGGAAUGAGGUCCAAGAGGCAUAUAUUUUGUUGUAACCCAUUUUUGGGUCCCCACAAAAAAAAUAUAAAUGAAAUAAAAUAAAUAGCCAAAGGACGUUAGAAAAAUAACAGGAGGCAGAAGCGCUCAGAAAGUGGUCAGAAAAAUCAGUCAAGGAGGAUAAAAAUACAAAGAUAGAUUUUUGACAAUAUAUUCAUGAAGGAUGAGAGCCCUGUUGAGAAGGAAAAUUUUGAAUUUUGAGGAGAAAAGCCCAAAUUUGGAUGUUUAUGGACUUAAUUGGAUUUUAUUUGAAUUUAUAGAGGAUUUGAGUGCAAGAAAAAUUGAUUUUUAAGUUAAUUUGGGCUUUAAUUAGAAGAAAUUUAAGUUCUGGGGCCAAAAUAUAUAUUUUUGGAAUUUAUUAGGUGAAAUCAGGGGCUUAAUUGCAUAAAUAUUGAAGUUUAAUGGCCAAUUAGGGACUUAAUUAAGAAAAUCCGAAACCAGGGACUAAAUUGGAAGAGGCGCGUAAAUGGAAGGGCUGCAAUUAUUCGGUUCAGGGGCCUAAUUGAAGAAAUUGAAAGUUUGUUAUCCAAUUGAGGGCUCAAUUGCAUAAAUCAGAGGCCAAGGACCAAGGUGAAAAACGCGGCCAACUAUGGGGGCAAGGACCGAAAUUGGCAGGGACGCAAUUGAAAGAAUCAAAAGAUAAUUGAGGGCUGAGUUGAAAUUUGACGCGUUCUGGCGCCAUUUUUUAAAUGAAACGACGCGUUUUCCCCAAAACGACGCCGUUUCAUAUAGAUUUAAAAAAAAAAAAAAAAGAAGGACCGAACGGUGCCGUUUUGAACGGCACUGUUCCCCUUUCUUCUUCCUCCCCGAACGUGCAACAUGGGAAGAAAGUUUGUUUAAUCAUUCGGCACUGUCAUGUUCCCCACGCAGGCCUGCUCAACCCACGCUGCCCUGCUCCCCACGAUGCCCUGCUCAACCCGCUGUCAUGCUCCCCACGCUGCCCUGCUCAGCCCAUGCAGCCCCGCUCCCUUUGCCCGCCUAUAAAAGAAGAGGAGAGACCAAAGAGAGAGAGGAGAGAGAACGAACGUGAGAGAAGGAAGAGAAGCAACAAACGAAAAAUAACAAAAGAACAGAACAAACCGGGGAAAAAAAAAGGAACCAGAGAAAAAGGAGACCGAAAGGGAAGGGAAGUUGAACGAGAGAAGAGAGAACGGAGAGAAAGGAAGGAAAGAAUACCGGGGGGGAGUUUUUUUGAACAAAGAGAGAACGAAAUAGAGAGAGGAGGGAAGAAGUCAGGGAAGUUUGAAACAGAAGGGGGAGCACAGACACACCAGUAUUGCCAAGGAUCGUCAUUUUUUAGCUCAUCAUUCUUCACACACGUUGCAGCACCAUAGAAGAAAAGGAAGAAGCCUGCACCUCGGUACAAACAGAGAAAACAGCGGCAGAACACCGCCCGCCACCGCCGAGAAGACCCACCGUCGCACUGCCAUCAUCAUCACCGCUAGCUGCCACUGUCUUCCCAUCCGACAACAACACCGUGAGGAACAGAAUGAGGAAGCAGAAGCAGAGGAGAACAUAGCUGAAGAAAAAAAAAACACAGAGAAGAAGGAAAAGCCGACCACCGUCCAAGCCACUCAUUAGGCCGCCGCCACCAGCACCUCCACGAAGCAGCUGCAGAGAGGGAAGAACAUUGUUGACAGAGGGAGCAAAGGAAAUAAAGAGAAGAACACAGAAGCAGCAGAGAAAAGGAAGAGCCAACCUUCGGUCAGCAACCACCAGCAAAACCGCCACCAGCACCACUGUCAGCUCCUCUACCCAAGCUCAUCGUCGCAGGUGCACAGUAACCACCUAAUUAAUUAACUGGUUACUGUGCAGGUGCACAGUAACCAGUCCAUGUUCAUUUCGGGCUGGAAUAUCAGCCCAGCCCAGGUAGUUGGACUGAGUCCAGCCCUGUAGAAAGUAGGCUUGUUUUAUUUCAGGCCAAUUUCGGCCCAGUCCCUUUUUUGGGCCGGGUCCGGUCUAGUAAAAAAAUUUUAAAUUAAAAAAAAAAAAUUUCAAAAAAUAUGUGAUUUUCCACAAUUUUGUUACUGUAUUUUGAUCAAUACCGGUUUGUAUUUUUAUACUGUAAAGAUACAAAUCCGGUAUUAAAAUACCCGGUUUUCGAAAAAAAAAAAUGUUUAUUAAAAAAUGUUUUGUUUUCAUGCAUACGGCUAGUCUCUCCAAUAUAUAAUAUAAAUAUUAUAACAUCAUAUUUUCACACAACAAAGAAAUUUUCAAAACAAUAUAUGUAUUAGCAUGCAUUUUGGCUUUAAUAACCAGUUUAUUUAAGCCAUGAGAACUAGGCCAAUAUUUCAAAAAUUCAAAAAAUUUUUGUUUUCUUUUAGUAUUUGGGAUUACGAAUUUAUACGUAAACGUAUUCCUAAAUAUUAAAUUUUGGUUAUUAACGUUAGGAAUUUUACCCGAUAAGAUAAAGACCUUCUUACCGAGGAGGAUUUUUCUUGAACCAUAGACAACCAACAACUAGGAAAACAUAAAAUACCUUAGUUUUUAUCAGACAAUAAAACAAUGCAGCUUACCUUAGGUAGGGCGUAUUUGGGGUGCUAAUACCUUCCCUUUACGCAACCAGUCCCCGUACCCAAUCUCUGAGACCAGUUAGGGUUCCUAGUGACCAAAAUACUAGGUGGCGACUCCCAUUCCAUUUUCUACCAAUAAAAGACAAUAUUUUCUUGUAUCCCCAUAGAUAUAGAUAGAUUUACAUUGUAGAUUAAGAAAAUGGAAAACUUAUUUUCGCCGCGACGCCGCACACGUGCGACAGAAUGGCGACUCCACUGGGGACCUUGUAGACUAAGCUUUGUUUUUGUCUGAUUUUUGUGUUUUGUGUUUAUUGUUAAUAUGCCUUCCUUUUAUUUGCGUAUUUAUUUUAUUUUAUUUACUCAUAUUAUUCAUGCAUUGUAUACAAUUGUCUCAUGCAUCACUUGCUUUAAUUUUGAAAAGCACACACAAGCUUUAAGUUAAGUGGGGAAUUAGCGAUUUACCCUAAGACUAUUGGUCAGGGUUUAAAUGCGUGAAACACCCAACUCAUAUCUGAGUGCCUGCUUGGUAAUGGUGGGCAUACGUGUCUUAACUGUUCCUUGCAACGCCCCCAUACUUCUUUACGAAGAACGUCACUGGGCAGAUAUGAGACCCUUCGAGACCAGAUAGAAAAACUACCCACUCUCACUUGAUAAUUAGAGCUUGUCCUUAGGUUGUGAAUCUUACUUUCAUUUUGCAUCACGAUUAAUAAUGUUGAAUUCAUCAACCCAGGUUUUGAGCUGAAAUCAUGACUAAGUACCUCUCUUUCCAAGAAUAUGGACAAGAGUCUGAGUUGGCUCAGAUUGCCGAAGGAAAAUGCCCAAGAAUCGAUACUAGUGGUUUACCAUGCAUUACCAAGGUAAAUCACAUGGUAAACGACUUAGGAAAGUUGCUGCCUAUCAUGGAAUAUGUUGACGAGACUUUGUUUGAAAGGCGAUAUGGGAGAAUUGCACAAAUAAUGAGGUUACCUGUACAAGCAGCGGCGAUCAAAGCCCUUCUGAAUUUUUGGGAUCCAAGUUAUCGGUGUUUUACCUUUGGAAACAUCGAUAUGACACCCACCUUGGAAGAAUAUGAGAGAAUUCUGGACUUUCCAAAUGACAGCCACAGAAUCUACCACCGACGCAGAUUUGAAGACACAGCUUCGGAAGUAGUCAAUUUAUUAGGCUUAGGAAAGAUCAGCCAGUGUAGAGUCGCCGAAGGGGGUUUUAAAUGGAAGGUCAUUGAAGCCGAUGAAGAAAAAUGCCGAAGAAGGCAAGUUGGGAGACGACGAUAUAGGUUGGUGGCCUUCGCCAUUUUUGGGCUAGUGUUGUUCCCUUCUGAAACUGGGGUCAUCAGUUUAGAAGCAGCAAGUGUCUUCGUCGAAUAUGAGCAUGACCGGAUCAAUCCUUCCUCAGCCAUCUUGGGGGAAACCAUGUUAUCUCUUAAUCACUGCCGAACACAUGGAAAAGGAGCUAUGAGAUGCUGCGUCCCUAUGUUGUACCUAUGGAUAAUCAGUCAUAUCGAAGCACCAAGAGACAUCUUCAACAACUUUUGGUGGUUUGACUUGCGACCGUUAAAGAUUACCAUAGAUGAGACUUGGAAGAAUUGGGAUGAGAAGGCAUGGAGGGAUAAGUAUGCAGCAUUGCCAAGUAGCAACUUCAAAUGGAAAGCACCGUGGAUGAACAACGCUAUUUGCACAAUGAGCUGCGGAAGCAAGAUAUGGGUUCCUUUAAUUGGUGUAACCGGUUACAUCAGCUAUGCGCCCGCCCUCGUAACAAGGCAGUUUGGCGGAAUGCAAUAUACGCCAAGAACCUUGGGUUUAGCUGAUUUCAUUGGGUUAUUCAAGCACCAACCGUUCAUCCAAGAAAUAGAGCUUAUCCGACAGGAUUGGGAAAGACCCGUGAAGGUGAAAAGAGAAGAAGGAAGCAGUUUUGAAACCUCAUUCAGCCAUAAUUAUAUAGUUUGGAGGAAUGAAGAUUUUUCUGAAGAGAAGGGUCUCUCUACACAAGAACAGUCUGAGGCAGCUAUGGAACCACAGAAAAGGAAAAGAAAGGAUGAUGAGGAAGAUCUAAGAAAGCAGUUAGAUCAAUGUAUAAUAGAAACAAAAGUAAGGGGCAACAACAACUGUUAGAGAACCAGCUAGAGGAGGAAAAUACGAUGAGAGUUUUUCUGAAUCAGCGGUUAGAAAAACAAGAGAAGCAACUAAUGUCUCUAAAGGAAUGGCAGAAAAGGGCUGAGGUAGCUGAAGAGAUAACAACAGGGGUCCAGGCUGAGUUGAGGAGUCGAAUAGCUGAUUAUGAUGAGUUGGUCAAGAAGUAUGGGAUAGCAGAAAAAGAAUUGGCUAAGGUUAAGAGGGCAACAAAAGGCGUGAAUGUUGAUAAGGAGACGAUGGAUUCUUUGAAGAAGGGAAGAAGCCUUCUUUUAAAGAAAGUAGAAGUGGAAAAAGAGAAGAAUCGUCUAGCCAAGCUCGACAUAGAAGAAGAAAGGAAGGUCAGAGCUCAAUACAUGGUCCAACUAGAGGAAGAAAGAAGUGCGAGAAGGGCCGCUGAGUCUGACAUGAGAGAUUACCAGAAGAGAGCUGAGUCUUCAAAAGGAAGGAUGAGGGCUUUACAAUCGGAGAUCGAGGUACGAGAAGAAGAGUUAAGGGAGUUGAGAAGACACUACUUCGAGAUAGAAGAGGAAAUGAGUAAGGCUAAGCAAGAGCGUCAAGAAUGCCAAGACUACGUGGACAGCUUUGCAGUUCAAAUCAAUUCACAAAUAGCAGAGCUGGAUAUCAAAAAGGAAGAGCUACAGAGGACAAGAGAUAAGUUGGCACAAUCAGAGGGUAUGGUGCGAGUAUUGGAAAGAAGCAACGAAGCCUUAGGAGCCAGCAACGCAGCAAUAAUCGGUUGAGCACGUAGCCCGUUGUGCGGAAAGGUUGCAACAGCAAGCCACCGAGGUUGGAAAUGACGCUUCAAAGUAUCGAGAAUACAUGGGGACCAUGGCCUGUUUUAUUAGGGAUUUAGCUAAUAGGGGAAAUGCCUUUUAGAAGUAGCAAUGUAUAGGACUUCUCUUUUCCAUUAUUGUUUUGUAGGAGCAAUUUUGUUAGAAGUCCAUGGCGUAUUUUCUUUCUUAAUGUGUUGAGUAAACCACCAUGAUAAGAACUUGGCAAACCUUCCUUUAUGGUAAUCAGGUCAACUCAGAAAUCUUGCUUAAAGGUUACGAAAGUCAUGAAUCAACUCAUAUAUAUAUAUAUAUACACACACACAUGCAUCACAUUCGCAUUACACAUUUUGUUUUUAAUUCAUCAUAUGCAUGCCAGAUCGUGAAACAUAGGUCCCAUAUCCAGAGUCCACCAAACACGGUCUAGAUCAAGAAUGGAAAACGAAGAAAGAGCUCAAUUAGAGUCGCACUACCAGACCGAGUUGGAAUCUGUGAAAAAUGAAGUUUCUCGACUGACCAAUCUGCUUGAGCAACUUUUAAGAACCAAGAACUAAGAGGGAACGUCUACCCAACCACCUAUAGGAGCACCGUCAGUUCAUGUCCCGGGGUUAUCUCAGAACUUGGGGGCAGAUUCAGCGACAGGGCAGCACUUUGCACCUGCUAUUCCCAUUCAGCCCCCUCAAACUCACAUCACUGUAGAUUUAACAGCUGAGGGGCCUUCCGAUAAUAGGUCCACUGGUUUUGUGAACGAUGACAAGAUAUCAGCAUUAGAAGAAAGGUUAAGAGCGGUCGAGGCAAAUGAUUGGUUUGACCCCAUGCGAGCGUCAGAAAUAUGCUUGGUACCAAACGUCACGGUACCAAAAGAUUUUAGGAUACCGGAGUUUAUAAGGUACACUGGGUUGGAAUGCCCAAACACUCACCUUCGAUCUUAUUGCAAUAAGAUGGCUGAGGUGAUUCAUGACGAUAAGUUAAUGAUCUACUUUUUCCAAGACAGUCUAUCGGGAUCUGCGCUAAGUUGGUACAUGAGGCUGGAUAAUGUCAAGAUUAAGAAAUGGAAGGACUUAGUGGAGGCUUUCCUAAAGCAAUACAAGUUCAAUUUGGAAAUUGCUCCAGAUCGAACGAGCCUCAUGUCAAUGGAAAAGAGAAGCCAAGAGUCAGUGAGGGCUUAUGCGCAAAGAUGGAGGGACGAGGCCACGCAUGUGCAACCCCCUUUGAUAGAAACAGAGAUGGUGACUUUGUUCGCCAAUACAUUCAAGGCACCAUAUUAUGAGCAUUUAAUGGGUAGCUCAGCUCAGCAUUUCUAUGAUGUUGUACGCAUAGCGGAAAGAAUAGAGCAAGGGAUUAAAGUUGGACGCAUAAUUGAGCCAUUGGAGAUAAAGGGUUUUAUUGGGAAAAAAAGGGAAGGUCCCAUUACCAACUUUGAAGAUGGGUCCAAUGGCAAGAUAACAGAUUCAUAUAACCUACAAAUACCUACCUCUCAUGUGGCCCACAUAAAACUUUAACAAACCUUUUUCCCCUAAUUGAGUAAAUAACCAGUCAAACAACCACAACAACCAUCAAAGACCAAAUACAAGAUACAUUUUAGAACAACUACCACCAUUACCCAUGCCUUUGAAGGACAUGUAUGCCAAACUACUAAGCAUUGGACAAAUAACUCCUAUCCCCACAUUACCACUACAACCACCAUUCCCUAUCUGGCACAAGCCUGAAUUGGCUUGCGAGUACCAUACUGGUAUCCCCGGGCAUGGUCUUGAAACGUGCUAUGCUCUCAAGAAAAGGUUGUUGGAGCUCAUCAAGAUAGGAUGGGUGUCAUUUGAAGACCCACCCAACAUCAAUUCAAAAUCAUUGCCUAGUCAUGACGCAAGCAAUAGUGGAUAAAGGAUUGGAAAACCUUGGUCAAGAAUUGUCAAUAAUGAAGAAGGUAAGAUCGAAAGAGAUGACAAGGAAACACACGUGGGGGAAGAAGAUGAAGCGCUGCUACGGUUGAUUGUCCACAUACUAGAAGAAGUCUCUGCCAAGACCUUUUUACGCGAGUAGAGAAGUUUCAGAAUGGGGUGACCCAAGAAGUUCCUGUAGUUAACCGACUUUAUUUGCCUUAGCAUGCUUUUGUCAUUGUUUUUAUUUGCUUUUAUUUUCUCUAGUUGACAAUUAGGGCUCAUGAUGUCAGCCAGAUUUUGUAUUUGUCUUUGAGCCUACCUUUUCUUUCUAUAAAUGAUGAGAUUAUGCACUUUUUAAACAAGGUUGAGUGGUUACAAAGAAAGUAUCAUAAAUCGAUCAAAAAUGAAAAUUUAAGAAAAGCUACCCUCGAAAUACAACCUUACCUCUGGAUAACAUAAUGAAUUGAUAAAUCACCUGUAAUUUUCUUUCAAGAUAAAAAUAGAGUUUAUCAAUCUUAACAAUGUGCAUUUUGAAAUGAGAAAAACUCAUUUUCCUUUCACUUUCUAAAGAGUUUAUCGUUGGUGAUCCCAUUUGAGCCAGAAUGAAUUUCUCCUUUAUAAAAACCCGGACUAGGAUCACACUCCACACUGGGGGCAAUAAAAGAUAUUUCAUGAAAAGUUUUACAUAUUUUUCAAAGCAAGAUGAGAGCCGUAGAUUUGAAAAAAAUAAAGCAUUUGACAAAAGCAUGACAAAAAGGCAAUAACAAGUCAUACAUUUUGAGAAAAGGACUACUUGAAGAAAGUCAAAGACUUCUUCUCCAAGAAUAUGAUCAGUAAAAAGAGGCAACACGAGAGAUGAAUCCAGCAUACGACUUCAAAAGCAAGCUCGUGUUAAGAAAGAGCUUCAUGAACUAGAAGAAGAUGAUGGGGCCUAUGUUUCAAACCAGGUACGAAUACAUGCAUUGCAUCUAAUCAUAAAUCAUUGCAUGUUUGUUUUUUUAUCGUUACAGGAGGAGAUCUUAGUGCAUUCCAACAAGAUUGUGGACGAAGAAAGAAUCAUUGAGUUGAUUCUAGAACAACAAGAAGAGAAGAUAAUAACUUCCAAACCCUGCCCGUAGGAAGAACGACAUCGAUAUCAGCUUUGGUAAUAAAGAAUCGCCUGAUGGGAUUCCAAGUUGUUUGAGAUCGCCAGAAGGGAUCUCGUAUUUUGCUAUUUUGGAGGUCGCCAGAUGGGACCUCAUAUUUCAUGUUGGUUAAAAGGAAUCGCCAGAUGGGAUUCCGAGUUGAUUAAAGGAGAUCGCCAGAAGGGAUCUCGUGUUCGCUAUUUGGAGGUCGCCAGAUGGGACCUCAUAUUUCAUGUUGGUAAUAAGGAAUCGCCAGAUGGGAUUCCAAGUGUUUGAGAUCGCCAGAAGGGAUCUCGUAUUUCACUAUUAUGGAGGUCGCCAGAUGGGACCUCAUAUUUCAUGUUUGUUAAAAGGAAUCGCCAGAUGGGAUUCCGAGUUGAUUAAAGGAGAUCGCCAGAAGGGAUCUCGUGUUUCGCUAUUUGGAGGUCGCCAGAUGGGACCUCAUAUUUCAUGUUGGUAAUAAGGAAUCGCCAGAUGGGAUUCCAAGUUGUUUGAGAUCGCCAGAAGGGAUCUCGUAUUUCACUAUUGUGGAGGUCGCCAGAUGGGACUUCAUAUUUCAUGUUUGUUAAAAGGAAUCGCCAGAUGGGAUUCCGAAGUUGAUUAAAGGAGAUCGCCAGAAGGGAUCUCGUGUUUCGCUAUUUGGAGGUCGCCAGAUGGGACCUCAUAUUUCAUGUUGGUAAUAAGGAAUCGCCAGAUGGGAUUCCAAGCUGUUUGAGAUCGCCAGAAGGGAUCUCGUAUUUCACUAUUUGGAGGUCGCCAGAUGGGACCUCGUAUUUCAUGUUUGUUAAAAGGAAUCGCCAGAUGGGAUUCCAAGUUGAUUAAAGGAGAUCGCCAGAAGGGAUCUCGGGUUUCACUAUUUGGAGGUCACCAGACGGGACCUUGUAUUUCAUGUUUGUUAAAAGGAAUCGCCAGAUGGGAUUCCAAGUUGAUUAAAGGAGAUCGCCAGAAGGGAUCUCGGGUUUCACUAUUUGGAGGUCGCCAGAUGGGACCUCAUACUUCAUGCUUGUUAAAAAGAAUCGCCAGAUGGGAUUCCAAGUUGGUUAAAAGAGAUCGCCAGGAGGGAUCUCAUAUUUCGAUAUUCAUCAAAGAAGGUCGCCAGAUGGGACCUCAUAUCUCAUAUUUCAUAUUGGAAUCGCCAGAUGGGGUUCCAAGUUGAUUAAAAAAGGGAUCGCCAGAAGGGAUCUCGUAUUUCGAUAGUUGUCAAAGGAGGUCGCCAGAGGAGACCACAUAUUUUUUCAUUUUCAGGGAAUCGCCAGAUGGGAUCCCAUUUUUUUAGGCCGAAGAGGAUUGCUGUAAAGAAAGAGUUUCAGAUCGAUCAAGCUUCGACCAGAUCAGUUUCAGGAGUUCAGACGGGAUUAUCUUUAUAAAACUUACUACGCCCUUGCUCCGUAAGCAUUAUAAAGAGGGGGCAUCUGUUGUAACCCAUUUUUGGGUCCCCACAAAAAAAAUAUAAAUGAAAUAAAAUAAAUAGCCAAAGGACGUUAGAAAAAUAACAGGAGGCAGAAGCGCUCAGAAAGUGGUCAGAAAAAUCAGUCAAGGAGGAUAAAAAUACAAAGAUAGAUUUUUGACAAUAUAUUCAUGAAGGAUGAGAGCCCUGUUGAGAAGGAAAAUUUUGAAUUUUGAGGAGAAAAGCCCAAAUUUGGAUGUUUAUGGACUUAAUUGGAUUUUAUUUGAAUUAUAGAGGAUUUGAGUGCAAGAAAAUUGAUUUUUAAGUUAAUUUGGGCUUUAAUUAGAAGAAAUUUAAGUUCUGGGGCCAAAAUAUAUAUUUUUGGAAUUUAUUAGGUGAAAUCAGGGGCUUAAUUGCAUAAAUAUUGAAGUUUAAUGGCCAAUUAGGGACUUAAAUUAAGAAAAUCCGAAACCAGGGACUAAAUUGGAAGAGGCGCGUAAAUGGAAGGGCUGCAAUUAUUCGGUUCAGGGGCCUAAUUGAAGAAAUUGAAAGUUUGUUAUCCAAUUGAGGGCUCAAUUGCAUAAAUCAGAGGCCAAGGACCAAGGUGAAAAACGCGGCAAACUAUGGGGCAAGGACCGAAUUGGCAGGGACGCAAUUGAAAGAAUCAAAAGAUAAUUGAGGGCUGAGUUGAAAUUUGACGCGUUCUGGCGCCAUUUUUUAAAUGAACGACGCGUUUUCCCCAAAAACGACGCCGUUUCAUAUAGAUUUAAAAAAAAAAAAAAAAAAAGGACCGAACGGUGCCGUUUUGAACGACACUGUUCCCUUUCUUCUUCCUCCCCGAACGUGCAGCAUGGGAAGAAAGUUUGUUUAAUCAUUCGGCACUGUCAUGUUCCCACGCAGGCCUGCUCAACCGCUGCCCUGCUCCCCACGAUGCCUGCUCAACCCGCUGUCAUGCUCCCCACGCUGCCCUGCUCAGCCAUGCAGCCCCGCUCCCUUUGCCGCGCCUAUAAAAGAAGAGGAGAGACCAAAGAGAGAGAGGAGAGAGAACGAACGUGAGAGAAGGAAGAGAAGCAACAAACGAAAAAUAACAAAAGAACAGAACAAACCGGGGAAAAAAAAAGGAACCAGAGAAAAAGGAGACCGAAAGGGAAGGGAAGUUGAACGAGAGAAGAGAGAACGGAGAGAAAGGAAGGAAAGAAUACCGGGGGGGAGUUUUUUUGAACAAAGAGAGAACGAAAUAGAGAGAGGAGAGAAGAAGUCAGGGAAGUUUGAAACAGAAGGGGGAGCACAGACACACCAGUAUUGCCAAGGAUCGUCAUUUUUUAGCUCAUCAUUCUUCACACACGUUGCAGCACCAUAGAAGAAAAGGAAGAAGCCUGCACCUCGGUACAAACAGAGAAAACAGCGGCAGAACACCGCCGCCACCGCCGAGAAGACCACCGUCGCACUGCCAUCAUCAUCACCGCUAGCUGCCACUGUCUUCCCAUCCGACAACAACACCGUGAGGAACAGAAUGAGGAAGCAGAAGCAGAGGAGAACAUAGCUGAAGAAAAAAAAACACAGAGAAGAAGGAAAGCCGACCACCGUCCAAGCCACUCAUUAGGUCGCCGCCACCAGCACCUCCACGAAGCAGCUGCAGAGAGGGAAGAACAUUGUUGACAGAGGGAGCAAAGGAAAUAAAGAGAAGAACACAGAAGCAGCAGAGAAAAGGAAGAGCCAACCUUCGGUCAGCAACCACCAGCAAAACCGCCACCAGCACCACUGUCAGCUCCUCUACCCAAGCUCAUCGUCGCAGGUGCACAGUAACCACCUAAUUAAUUAACUGGUUACUGUGCAGGUGCACAGUAACCAGUCCAUGUUCAUUUCGGGCUGGAAUAUCAGCCCAGCCCAGGUAGUUGGACUGAGUCCAGCCCUGUAGAAAGUAGGCUUGUUUUAUUUCAGGCCAAUUUCGGCCCAGUCCCUUUUUUGGGCCGGGUCCGGUCUAGUAAAAAAAUUUUAAAUUAAAAAAAAAACUUUCAAAAAAUAUGUGAUUUUCCACAAUUUUGUUACUGUAUUUUGAUCAAUACCGGUUUGUAUUUUUAUACUGUAAAGAUACAAAUCCGGUAUUAAAAUACCCGGUUUUCGUAAAAAAAAAAAUGUUUAUUAAAAAAUGUUUUGUUUUCAUGCAUACGGCCUAGUCUCUCCAAUAUAUAUAUAUAUAAAUAUUAUAACAUCAUAUUUUCACACAACAAAAGGAAAUUUCAAAACAAUAUAUACAUUAGCAUGCAUUUUGGCUUUAAUAACCAGUUUAUUCAAGCCAUGAGAACUAGGCCAAUAUUUCAAAAAUUCCAAAAAAAUUAUUGUGUUUUCUUUUAGUAUUUGGGGUUAUGAUCUUAUACGUAAGACGUAUUCCGAAUAUUAAAUUAUGUUAUUAACGUCAGAAUUACCCAAUAAGAUAAAGAUCUCCUUACCGAGGAGGAUUUUUCUUGAACCAUAGACAAACCAACAACUAGGAAAACAUGAAAAUACCUUAGAUUUUAUCAGACAAUAAAACAAUGCAGCUUACCUUAGGUAGGGCGUAUUUGGGGUGCUAAUACCUUCCCUUUACGCAACCAGUCCCCGUACCCGUUCUUUGAGACCAGUUAGGGUUCCUAGUGACCAAAAUACUAGGUGGCGACUCCCAUUCCAUUUUCUACCAAUAAAAGACAGUAUUUUCUUGUAUCCCCAUAGAUAUAGAUAGAUUUACAUUGCAGAUUAAGAAAAUGGAAACAAUUAUAUAAUUUUCGCCGCGACGCCGCACACGUGCGACAUAUUUUAUUCUUAUUUUGGCCCUUUUAUGCCAAAAGUGUUGUAAUAUUUAGAUUAAAUUAGCAAUCAGAAGUUCACUUCAAAACUCUCCUAUAAAUAUAUAUUUUAUAUUUAUCUUUUUAAAUAAAUAUAUUUUUAUAUAUGUUUUUUUUGUCUUGAGAUACUGAGUCGAACACAACUCUUAAGUAUUUUUUUUUAAUGCAUUUGAGUUUGAAUGAGUUUUGAAUAACAUAAUAAGAAGCUAUCUCCUAGAAUAUUAUAAUUAAGAAAAUUGUAAUUAUUAAAACUUGGAUUUUAACAUCUAUUAAAAAAAAAAAAAACUAUCCAAUACAAAUCACUCGUGUUUUAUCAAUAAAGAGAACAACAUAAAACCCACAUUUGAUAUUUAAUUCUUUUUUGUAGCCAUUUAUUAUUUCCUCUCUUUUUAAUCAUGGUUUUAUAUUAUUUAGGACCUUUUUUUAAUCAAAAUAUUAUUAUGCGGUGGAGGAUAUAUUGCCUUAUGGUUGUGGUGAAUAGUGAAAUAUUUGGGCUUUGAGAAAUAAAACGUGAAAAAGUUUAUAAUUCUUUAUAAAAAAAAUGAGGACUUUAUAUCUAUUUAAUAAAAACUAUCAAAAAAACUCUCUAAUACAAAUCUUUAGACAGCCAACGAGAGACUGUCGAUUUCUUUAUUAGAAAAACUCUCGACUGUUUUAUUAAUAAAGAGAACAACGUAAAACCCACAUAUUCUGUGGUGAAUGGUGAUGGGUGAUUUUAUGGUGAAAUAUUUGGAUUUGAGAAAUAAAACAAGAAAAAGUUUAUAAUUCUUUAAUGCCAUGGAUAAAAUUGAGAAAGUACUUGCUAGAAAACAGAGGCAGUUAGGAACAAAUUAUAAUUACUAAAUUAGUGACAACUAAGCAUCUUACAGAGGUAGUUAGGAACGAAUUAAGUUACGAACGGAUUUGAACUUACAUGGAUUAUGACUUACUCUUAGAAACAACUCUCCUGCAGGUUUUGAGAUCAUAUCAUCACAUUUGGGGAAAUUCGAGAACCUGGACCUGAGCUAUAAUAUAUUCAACGACAACAUUUUUUCACAUCUGCGUGGACUUUCUUCUAUCAAGUCUUUAAAUUUAUCAGGCAAUAUGUUGCUAGGAUCGACGACUGUCAAUGGUAACGUUGUGAAAUCUCUGGAUUUUUCAAUAAAUUUGUAGUUUAUAUCCAAAAAUCAUCUCACUAUUCAAUAUCAAUUCUUUAUCAUAGGUUUAAAAACUCGAUAAAGAUAACAUUUAAUUUCACAACUUACUUGAUUGCCUGUUUUCAAUUCUACACAUCAUAGGUUUAAAAAAGUUGGACUUCCUACAGUCAUUGCCAUCCCUGAAGACCCUUACUCUCAAGGAUACUAAUUUAAGUCAAGGUUAAUCAUAGUUUCUCUUCUUCUUUUAAUCAUAGUUUAGUUUCUUAAAAUCAUAAUUAAUAAUAUUGAAUGCAAUGGCCAUUCUAUACCACCACUAUUUUCAUCAUAUCUUUUUUCUUUUUCUUUCUUUUUCACAGGGACUUUCUUCAAUUCUAGCACCCUUGAAGAAUUGCAUCUAGAUAAUACUUCUCUCCCAAUAAACUUUCUCCAGAACACUGGAGCAUUGCCUGCUCUUAAAGUUUUGUCUGUUGCUGAAUGUGACUUCCAUGGCACCCUACCCGCUCAAGGUAAAUUAACAACUCUCCAUCCGCCUAUAAUUACAUCAUCAACACUAUUUUGACUGUUUUGAGAUAAAUUGUACAGGUUGGUGUGAAUUGAAGAAUCUGAAGCAGUUAGAUCUCGCUAGAAAUAAUUUAGGAGGUUCUCUCCCAGAUUGUUUGGGGAACUUGUCAUCUCUACAACUAUUAGAUGUUUCUGAAAACCAGUUUACUGGAAAUAUUGCAUUUGGUCCUCUUACCAACCUCGUAUCCCUUAAAUUCCUCUCAUUAUCAAAUAACCUCUUUGAUGUUCCCAUUUCAAUGAAGUCUUUUAUUAACCACUCAAGCCUCAAGUUCUUCUCUAGUGAGAACAACAGACUAGUAACAGAACCUGCUACCGUUGAUCAUUUGAUUCCAAAGUUCCAACUAGUCUUUCUUAGGUUAUCAAAAACAACGAAAGCAUUCCAUGUAGAAAUUCCUGACUUCCUCUAUUACCAAUACAACUUAAGAGUCCUUGAUCUCUCCCACAACAACAUCACCGGAAUGUUGCCAUCGUGGUUGCUUAAGAACAAUACACGAUUGGAGCAACUAUAUUUGAGCAAUAACUCCUUUGUUGGUACUUUGCAAUUGCCAUAUCACCCAUAUCCGAAUAUGAUAGAAUUAGAUAUAUCCAACAACAACUUGAACGGUCAAAUUCCAAAAGAUAUUUGUUUGAUCUUUCCAAAUCUGUGGACCUUAAGGAUGGCUAAGAAUGGAUUCAUAGGUUGUAUUCCUUCUUGUUUAGGAAAUAUUAGCUCUCUUUCAUUUUUAGAUUUAUCCAACAAUCAAUUGUCUACAGUAAAACUAGAACAACUAACAACAAUAAUGUAUCUUAAUCUAAGUGGUAACAACUUUUGGGGUCAGAUAUCAGAUUUUCCAUUAUAUAGGCUGAAAGAGUGUGGUGUAUUGGAUUUGAGUAACAAUCAAUUUUCAGGCAUGCUUCCAGGAUGGUUCGUCAAUUUUACAAGCCUUAUAGUACUUGAUUUGUCCAAAAACCAUUUUAAGGGUCCGAUCCCAAGAGACUUUUGCAAGCUUGACCGGCUUGAAUAUUUGGACCUUUCUAAGAACAACUUGUCUGGAUAUAUACCAUCUUGUUUCAGUCCACCGUCUCUAAUCCAUGUGCAUCUAUCUGAAAAUAGAUUGAACGGUCCAUUAACAUAUGGAUUUUAUAACAGCUCUUCCCUGGUUACGAUGGAUCUUCGAGAGAACAGCUUCACCUGCUCCAUUCCAAAUUGGAUUGGCAAUCUUUCAUCAUUGAGUGUUCUUCUUCUAAGGGCUAAUCACUUUGAUGGUGAGCUCCCUGUUGAGUUAUGCUUGUUAGAAGAAUUAAGCAUUUUGGAUGUUUCACAAAACCAGCUUUCUGGUCCACUGCCCUCCUGUUUGGGCAAUCUUACUUUCAAGGAAAGUUCCCAUAAAGCGUUCGAAGAUCUCAAAACUGGUUUUGGAUCAAGUUCCAUAGAAGAUGCUUAUUAUGAAACAAUAGGUCCACCACUAGUGGAUAGUAUUGACAACUUGGAAAAGGUUUUUAUACUUAACUUUACAGAAGUGAUACAAUUUACAACUAAAAAUAUGUAUUAUGGUUACAAGGGGAAAGUUCUUAGCUAUAUGUAUGGUAUUGAUCUCUCAAAUAACAGCUUUGUUGGAGCAAUACCACCAGAAUUUGGAAACUUAAGUGAGAUACUGUCAUUAAACUUAUCACACAACAAUCUCACUGGAUCUAUCCCUGCAACAUUCUCAAACCUAAAGCAUAUUGAGAGUUUGGAUCUUUCUUACAACAACUUGAAUGGUGCCAUCCCUCCACAACUUACUGAAAUUACCACACUGGAAGUUUUUAGUGUGGCGCACAAUAACUUGUCAGGCAAGACACCCGAGAGAAAAUUUCAGUUUGGGACCUUCGAUGAAAGCUGUUACGAAGAAAAUCCUUUCUUAUGUGGACCUCCAUUGCGAAACAAUUGUAGUGAAGAAGGAGUGCUCUCACAGCCAGUGCCUAAUGAUGAACAAGGAGAUGAUGGUUUCGUAGAUAUGGAGUUUUUCUACAUCAGUUUUGGUGUAUGUUACACAGUUGUGGUGAUGACGAUUGCAGCAGUUCUCUACAUCAAUCCAUAUUGGCGACGCAGGUGGUUGUACUUCAUCGACGACUGCAUAGAUACUUGCUACUAUUUUGUGGUGGCUAGUUUUCGAAAGUUCUCCACAUUCAGAAGGUGAAUUUGUAACUAGGGAGACGGUCGUUCCUAGUUUGUGAUGAUUGUUUGUCUAGCUAUUGGUAAUUUGUAGUGUACUGUCUCUAAGCUCAGCCUUUCUAUUUGAUUAGUUAUUUGGGCUAAAUAUAUAAGUUGUACUUCUCAUUGACUCAAGUGUGUUUACUCUUUCAACUCUCAAGACUUGUCUGAAAAUAAAUUGCCAAAACCACUACUAAAGUAUAAACAAAAUAUUCUAUGCCUUUUUUUGAAAGGCGACCCCACCUCAGUUAUUCAAUCAAAGCAUUGAAAUCGGAGCAAGAAGAUCCACCUUCUUCAACAGCCUUCCUGGCCGUUUCUUUGCUCCGCUACUCAUUUCCUCUACAGCUUCACUUUUAACAUGAUCUCCAUGCACUCUAAGCCAUUCCUUAACUCCAGUUCUUAAAACAUCAGUCACCAACUUUUCAUUAUAGAAUUGCUCAACAAAUAUUGGUCUCCUAAGCACACAAAAAAAAUUGUCCUUAUCAACAACCAUUCUUAUUCCCGUUUUAAUACUCUCCUAAGCACAAAAAAAAAUUGUCCUUAUCAAACAUGCAGCUAUGACUUGAGACAUUCAGAAUUUCAACCUCAUUUUCUAUCAAAUUCAACAAUAUUGGAUAUGGUCAUGAUUCAAUGGAAUAAGUCCCACUUCUUUUCUUGAGACCUUUUUCCAUUGAAAUCUUGCAAGACUAUGGCAUACAUGAACUCCAUCUAAUAAACAGUAAAUCACAGAAAUUACCUUCUGAUAGAUCUCCUCUUGCCAAUCAGCGCCUUUUGCAUGUCCAGUCUGUGCUGUAGAAUCUAGGGAUGCUACAAAAAUUUCAAUGCGGACAACAAAAUAUUAGAAUUCAUGUAUUUUUGUGUGUUUUCCAUGUACAAGGGUAUUUCUGUAAUUUUAACACCUGCUGACAAUUUUGAAAUAUUGCAAGGCUCAGUUUUAUUUUCCAUUUACUAUUUAAUUAUUCCCAAAGUAUAGCGAGCUUCAUUAGGUUUUUCCUAUUCUAGAUAGGACUCUUAGUAUUUUCCUAUAUAGGAAUACAAGUCCUUUCUGUAUUAGGAACUUCAUCUAAAUGUUAUGUGAUCAUAUAAAUGCAGAAUGAGAGGGUGAACAAAUGCGCUGGAGGGUAUGAUGUGAUAACAAAUGCGUGUGUGAUUACUAAUGCCACUAGUGGCAGCAGUGGCACAUAAAGCUACCUAAAAGAGCAUUGCUGACUUGAACCAUUAUGAGAGGUGAACAGUUGGUGCACCGCACUGUAGGGCAUCGUGUGGUUACAAAUGCAUGUGUGAUUACAAUAGUUCCAAUAUCAGUGGCACAUAAAGCUACCAAAAAGAGCAUUACCUGCAUGUUAGGAUUCUGGACAACAGUGUUGGGGAUAGUCUGGGUUACACCAGAGACAGGAGGCAGUGCCGCUUGUAAACCAGCAUAACUUUGAACUCCAUUAGAUGCCAUGCAAUUCUGCAUGUUCUGUGAUACCAACUGCUGAUGUGCAUACCCUUGAUUCUGAACUUCAGGGGGCAUACUAUGGGAUGCUGUUCAAGAUAAAAGGCAAAAGGGAAAAACAAAUGUAACAUCGGCAGUCCACACAUAAAGUUAUGAGCGAAAGAAUUGGGAUGGAUUUGAUUCAACCUGACAAUUUUCGGGGAUGGGGGAAGAAGAGGCGGCUGAAAACAAAAAUAAUAUGACAAUUUUCAGGGUGGGCGAAAGAAAAGGAGGAGGCAGAAAACAAAAACAAUCUGUAAUAUUCUUGCAUAACAUUCAUCAAUUACUCAACUUUUUGAUUAAAGCAUGCCAUACACAUAGCAAUAUGUUGCAAUAAAAUGCAAAAGAGUUUGAUAACAAUGCGACAAACAAAACAAAAGGUAAGAUGUUUAGAAAUUCAAUGCUCGGCAGCAUUAUUAUAUAUGAAAAAAGGAUCAAAUACUUUCUCUCGGAAGAAAAGCAAGAAAGUGACGUCUUACCUCCUAAACAGGAAAAUCUUUAAAAUCUACCAUCUCAGUCAUAAAAUAUAAAAUAGCCAUGCAUCACAGUCCUUGUUCCUUAACAAGUUAAGGAUGAAACACUUCACAUGCAUUAUAGAAUUAGCAUUGUGGAGGUGAUCAUGAGAUUUUUCCAGCAAGGCGAUAUACAUAGCAAUAUGCAGCAAUAAAAUGUAAAAGAGUUUGAUAACAAUGCUAGAAGAAAAACAAAAGGUAAGAUGUUUAGAAAUUCAAUGCUCCGCUGCAUUAUAACCUGCUGGAUCCAUGGGGGCAGUGGGCAUGGCUUUUUGAGACCUGAUCUCCAUUGAAAGCAUCUCCAGAGAUAUUUUACGCAGAUAAUCAUACUGAAAUCAGAUAUUAAUAACAAAACAUUAGAUCUCAUAGCAAUCCAUGUUACAAGAGGAGGAAAAUGGAUAUAUGCUCUAUCAUUUCAUCUUUUGUGAGGAUAUACUAUAUUUGAAGGGUAUAGCGAUACUAAUUAGAUAUCCAAUAUUAUUCAAAAUCCACAAAUAGAUUUAUCUUUGUUAUCGGAGAAGCUAUAGUCUUUUGAAAAUUCUUUAAACAAACAUGCAUAUCCAUAUCCAUGAAGGAGUUUGAGUUUACAACUUUAGAUAAAGAAAAGAAGUAGAAUAGCUUCUAAAACCUUACUGAGGAUAUUCCCUUUCAAUUGUAAAUUUGAAUAUCCUCAGUAAGGUUUUAGAAGCUAUUCUACUAUAUAUAUAUAUAUAUAUAUAUAUAUAUAUAUAACUGCAAGUAUUGACAUAAUUGUCAAUAUUUUAAGAUAGUUGAUCUAAAAUCAGUUUAAUUUUAUUGACCAUAUAAAAUAAAAUGAUAAUAUCAUGGAUUUGCUAAUAAAAUGCUUAACAAUAGAGCAAGCCAAUAAUCAUCGAGGGGAAUGAGAUUAAGACACAGUUCAAUGAAUUGUCAUGAUAGCGACCCAACCUAGUUUACUGGAGAUCCCAAAUUUAGGUUCAAAGAGGCAACCAAAUCUUGUGUCAAUUCAAUAAUAUCCCGUUUACCCAUUCAUAUGAUAUAAAGUGUUAUCUGUAGUGAAAAUAAGAUAAGCUAAGAUUUUAAUAACUUUUAUAGCUUGAGAAAUUCAAGUGAGGUAUUACAUGAUACUUUUAAUAAGAAUCACCUAUGUGAGUUUGAAACAAGGCCACUUCUAUGAGAAUUGAAAAUGCAAAUUCUCUAACGCUCUCUGAAAUGAAGACAUAUUUGAGGCUAAAAUGAACACAACCGUGAGAACCAAAAUUGUAAGAAAAUAAACUGUGUAAUCUCUAUUAUCUAGUUUCACACAAAAGGUUAAACAACUCAAGACAUCAUGUUCACUAGUUAGCCAAGUGAAUCCAAUAGUUUUAAUUAUGGAAGGUUAAAGGCUAAAAACUAUCAUGCUUGAUGCAAUACUUUUCGCUACUAGUCUCUAUUUUUUUGCCUACUUUGUAUUUUAUUCAGAUGUAAUGUUUUGAAAUAAAUGAGUUGGAAAAUACAAUAAAGCCCUUGAAGGCUUAAAAGUUGGAAUAAAUGAAUAAGUGGUAUAGUGGUAAUUCAACAAAACUUGAUAAAUAUAAAUAGGAAGUAAAAAAAGAAAAAAGAGAGAGAUCUGAAAUUAGAGAGUAGAACCGGCAGGAGUGAAGUGAGAAAGAUGAAGAAGAGAAAAGAGGGGAAAGUAAGGGAAAAAGGAAAGGAGUUUGAGGAAAUAAGUUAAAAGGGUAAGAUUUAUGCUUUAAUGUGUAUAAUAUGUUUUAAUUAAGCUUUAAUUUUGAUUUUGAUAAAUGUUAGGGUUUUGAAUAUUAUGUUUUGGGUUUAAUUGAUGAAUUAAUAUGGAUGUUAUGGGGUUGAUUAUUGUGGGUAAUGGAUUGUUAAGUUGAAUUUGAGAGAUUGUAGAUAAAAAUGAUGAUUUUGAGUUAUGGUUUUGUUUGAAUGGUGAAUUUAUGCUAUAAAUCAGGGAUAACAGUAGGUAAUCUGUUAAAAUUCUGGGUUGGAGGUUGAAGAUGACGAAAAUUCAAUUUGGUCCCUCAAUUUGCAAAAAUUACAGUUUAGUCCCCAAACUUUGGGAAAUUACAAAUUGGUCCCUGGAGCAUAUUCCGAGAUUCUGAACAGAAUAAAAUAUGAAUUAUGGGCAGAAUUACAGUAUAGUUAUGAAAUUUUAAACAGUUUUAAUUUGGUCCUUCAAUUUGACAAAAAUUACCAUUUGACCCUAAAAAUUUGGUAAAAUUCCAGAAUGGUCCCUGGAACAUAAUGAGAUAUUCUGGACAGAAUUGAGGAUGAAUUAUGGAAAUAAUUCCACUAUAGUCAUGAAUUUAUGAUAUGUUUAGUUUGGCCUCCAAUUAGAUGAAAAUUACAAUUUGGCCCUAAAAAUAUAAUAAAUUCCUGAUUAGUCCCUAUCUGUAAUAUUAGCUUUUCCAGAUUAGUUUGAUGAAUAAUUAAGGGUUAUUUAGUGAAUUAUUACCAAUUUUAUUAGUUAUUUUUAUUAUGGAUUAGAUUUCGAGAAAACCGUUAAAUUUUGGGUUUUUAAGAAAAUUGACUAGUUAGUUCAAAAACAUAUAGGGUUACAGAAUACAGCCUUAGUUAAGUGUAUUAAAUAGUUUAAAUGUUCUUUCGAGUCCUUUUUGAAUAUGUCUCCUUUGUAUUUAGAUAAUCCUGAUAUUCUACCGGCGGGACGUUAGUAGGAUUUCCUUCGGUAUCUGCUUUUGACUUCUGUUUGCUUUUGAGUCAGGUGAGUGGAUAAUUUUCCAUAUGCAUGAGAAAUAUUAUAAAUAUUUGAUUUGUUAAUAUGAAUUGAAUCACGCUUCUUAAUAAUAUAUAUGUUGAUUAUUAUCCUUGAUAUGAUAAAGCAUGAUCAAUUAUUGAAUUUGAAUUCUUGAUAUGAACCAACAUAUAUUUUGAAUUGACUUCUGAAUUGAUAGCUCCUUAUUUGAUUGAUGUCAUGAGUUGAGCUUUGAGAUAUGAAUAUGUUUGUUAGAUUAUGAUUAUGAAUCUAUGGCAUGUCAGUCAGAAUACCCAUGCUAACAGGGUAGUGUUAGUCUUUGUGCAAAUCGUAUCUGAACCCUAGUUGGUUGGGGGAGUCAUCAACUUGUGUGGACUGAUCAUCCCACAGUACGGAGCCUCAUGCUCAUUGCAUUUUGAUUUUCUGAUGAGUUUUACCAUAUGUUCUUGUUAUGGCCUACUUAAGAAACCUUUCCUAUAAGAACCUAGAGCCAUAAUUGUAUAUAUUUUUCAUUGUUGUAUUACCUCGUGUGUGUAUAUUGAACGUUAUCUACUCACUAAGUUGUUGAACUUGUUGUAACCCAUUUUUUGGUCCCCACAUAAAAAAUAAUAAAAAUUCAAAAAUUCAAAAAAUAUAUUAUAAAAAAAACGCAAAAUGGUGCCGUUUGGAAACGGCACCAUCGUCUUCUUCCCUGCACACGCAGAGAACAGGGGAGAAGAAUUUUUCUUCUCCACUUUUCGCCGAACUUCUUUCCCGGAUUUGGCGCAAUAAGACGCCUACCAUUCGACGCCCACUUGCCUCCUUUUUAUCCAUUGAACAGAUAGUGCAGGGGCGGCCAACAAUGGCCGCCCCACCAUUCGCCCCCCCUGUUUUUGCCUAUAAAAACAGGGGAGGAAGAAGAAAAAAAGAAAAAAAAAGAGAAGACCAAGAGAGGGGGAAGAGAAGAGAAGGGAGAGCAAAGAGAGGGAGAAGAGGGAGAAGAGAGGAGAGAAGGCAGAGAAGAGAAAGGAAGAAGCAGAGAAGAAAACAGAGGAGAGAGAGAAGGAAAACGCAGAGCCACCGCCGGCCACCCCACUGUCAGCGCCGCUUCCUGUCGCCACCAGCAGCUCCGCCAUCAACGACAGCCACCACAAGUCAGCCCUCAAACCCUUAUCUCGUUUUACUGUUCAUCUUCUUGCAUGCAGAACGUGCACUGUGCACGUUCUGCAAGCCAUGAAUUAAUUACCCGGUUACUGUGCAUGGGCACAGUAACUGGCUAAUUAAUUCACUGGUUACUGUGAACACAGUAACCCGGUUACUAUAUGCACAGUAACCAGCCCAUUUGGGCGUGGGCUGGGACGUCAGCCAGCCCAUGUAAAUGGGCCAGGUUUGGCCCAGCCCAUGCAAUUGGGCCUGAUCCGGCCCAUUUAAAAAAAAAAAUAUUAUUUUUUAAAAAAAUAUUUAUGAUGUUCCACUUUUGAUUUAUGUUAUUUUUAUUAAUAUCGGGUAGUAUUUUUAUGUAAAAAUACAAAUCUGGUAUUAAACUACCGGUUUUUCAUCAAAAACUUCCAAAAAUACAAAAAAAUUAAAAAAAAAAAGAGAAAAAAUGUUUUUGUGCAUACGGCCAAGUGUCUCAAAGCUAAAAAAUCAUAUUGUAUUUUUCAUACACCAAAAAACAAUGUUUUAGCAUGCAUUUUGGCUUUAAUAACCAGUUUAUUAAAGUCAAGAGAAUAUUGGCCAAAAUUUCAAAAACAACAAAAAAUUUAUUUUGUUUGUCUCUUAGUAUCCGGGUAUGACAUUACAUGUAAUGCAUAUUCCGGAUAUUAAUUCUUUUCGGACAAUCGAACCUGGGGUAUGACAUUACAUGUAAUGCGUAUUCCGAACAAUACAAACCACAACAGACUUAGAUUUUAUCAGACAAAACAAUGCAGCUACCUUAGGUAGGGCGUAGUUGGGGUUAAUACCUUCCCUUUACGCAACCAGUCUCCGUACCCGAUCUCUAAAGACCAGUUAAGGUUCCUAGUAACCAGAAUACUAGGUGGCGACUCCUAAUCCAUAUUUUCACAUUGUAGAGACAAGAAUUCCUUGUCUCUCCCUAUUUUUUCCAGGAAUGAAUAUUCCGUUUUUUCCUUGAGGGUGGACGAUCGCUGCGCCGCCGCACACGUGCGACAGAAUGGCGACUCCACUGGGGACUUUGUGGACUAAGCUUUGUUUUUGUCUGAUUUAUUGUGUUUUUUGUUGUGGUUUGCGUGUUUAUUUUUAAAUAUGCAUUUCCUGUAUUUAUUUCUUACGCGCUUUAAUUUCUAUACAUCUUUGUUCAUGCAUUGCAUAAAACUGCCUCAUGCAUCACAUGCUUUAUAUUUUUCAAGCACACACAAGCCUUUAAGUUAAGUGGGAAUUAGCGAUCUGCCCUAUGACUAUUGGUCGGGUUCAGAUGCGUGAAACACCCAACUCAUAUCUGAGAGCCUGCUUGGUAAUGGUGGGCAUACAUGCCUUAACUGUUCUUUGCAACGCCCCCAUACUGCCUUUACGAAGGACGUCACUGGGCAGAUAUGAGACCCUUUUGAGACCAGGUAGAAAACCUAUUCAUGAAUAGACCCUGUCUUUAGUUUGUAUGCGCUAUCUUUCUUUACAGAAUAUGUCAUACAAAAAAAAAAAAAUCAUGUCACCCCUUUGAGGGGCAAGUGCAUCAUAUAAAUUACAUGUUCAAACAUUUAACAUGCAUACAUGCCAGAUCGAAAUAUAGGUCCCCAAAAAGUCUACAACACCCGACUUCGAGCAAGAAACAUGGAAGAUGAAGAGCGUGCUCAACGUGAGGCCUAUUUGCACGACGAGUUGGAGUCUCUGAAAAUAAGUGUGGCUCACCUCACUAGCUUACUCAAGCAAACACUAAGAAAUACCUCUGAUGAAGGUCCUUCUAAUCAACCGAUCACCUUUGAUCCGGCUCCUACUACAGUUCAGCCUGAGGAAAGAAUGAGCGAACAUGGUCAAGAACCUCAGCAAAAUCCAACAUUUGUGCAGUCAACGACACCUGCACCAUCCCCAACAGUCGUGAAGGCAUCUGCUAAUGAGUCCCACAAGGCUAAGUCAUCUGAUAGCAUUGAUCAAGCUAAGAUAGAGGCGUUGGAAGCCAGACUCAAAGCCAUUGAAGGGAUAGACUUAUAUGACCCGGUACGGGCAGCAGAGAUGUGUUUGGUCCCAAAUGUGGUUAUCCCAAAGAAAUUUCGUGUUCCUGAAUUCAUCAAAUACAGUGGAACACAAUGCCCCAUGACUCAUCUCAGGUCCUACUGCAAUAAAAUGGCUGAGGUAGUACAUGAUGAAAAACUACUAAUGCACUUUUUCCAAGACAGUUUAAGUGGGGCAACUUUGAGUUGGUACAUGAGAUUGGAUAACACAAAAAUUCGCAACUGGAAAAAUCUUGUGGAUGCUUUCGUCAAGCAAUACAAUACAACAUGGACAUUGCGCCCGACAGAACCAGUUUGUCCAAUAUAGAGAAAAAGGAUAAAGAAAGCAUAAGGGAAUAUGCUCAAAGAUGGCGAGAAUUAGCUGCUCAAGUACAUCCCCCACUUCUGGACAAAGAGAUGGUCUCUUUAUUUGCCAACACACUCAAAGCACCAUAUUACGAACAUAUGAUGGGUAGUUCAGCCCAACAAUUCACUGAUGCUGUGAUAGUGUGUGAACGCAUAGAGCAAGGUGUCAAGAGUGGUAGAAUUGCUGCACCAACCGAGAAAAGAGGCGUCGAAAGAAAAGAGGUUCACCAUGUUGAAGAUGGCUACAUGGGUAAAACAAAUACAUCCCAAAAUUACCAUACUCCAUCCCAAAUUGCCAACAUCAAAAAACCUGAACCCCAAAACUUUCAAGCCAAAAGCCAAAUUGGAAAUUUCCAAAGGGUUCAAGAACAACUACCUCCACUACCGUUACCCCUGAAUGAGAUGUAUCAAAAGCUAUUGAGCAUCGGGCAAAUAGCUCCAGAACCUCUAACACCUCUGCAGCCACCUUAUCCUAAUUGGUACAAGCCAGAACUCAAUUGUGAAUACCAUGCCGGUAUUACUGGGCAUAGCAUCUAUACCUGCAACGCCUUCAAGAGAAAGCUUCUGCAAUUAAUCAAGGCUGGGUGGAUAGAAUUGGAAGAUGCCCCCAAUGUGAAUACGAACCCGUUACCUAAUCAUGCUUGAAGCAUAUUAGGAUGGAAAGUUUGGGGAAUUGGAAAGCAUCAAUGGUCCAACAUGAUAGCUCAACUUUUGACCGUGGUGUUGUUCCGCAUUGUCUUUGAGUCCUCUACGCAGAGCUUUUGAGAGGAGGUUUUAGCCUAUGAACAUAUUCACCAAAGCCUGCCUUGUUAUUGCCUUUUGUUAAUGCUUUUGAAUAAGACUUUCUCUGUUAAUGAGCUUCUCUUGUGAAAUAAGAUCAUGUGUUUUCUUGUGUUCACAUCACACUCUUCUUUGUUGUUAUUACAUGUAAAUAACAUUUUGAGCGCAACUUUGCUCACAACACUACAACAUGAAGAAUCCUUUUCUUUUUUUCUUUCUUCCAAACCCAUACAUUAAUCUCAUAUGUUUUCAAGGAUAUUUUUUUGGGACCUCCAAAGUGAGUACAAAAAAACAAAAAUCGUGUUGAUAUUUGUCCAAAACAAAUGCAUUUUGAAAAUUCAAGUGAUUCCUUAAAUAGGUACACAUAUACCUAGAAAACUUGAAAGAAAAAAAGACAACAAAGACAAACAACACUAUGAGGUGACUCAAAAGCUGAGUUUUAUUUGACUGAAUAAAUCAUUUGGCAUACGCGCAUGAAAGCAAGACCUAUCGAUCCUCAAUGCAUGAGUUUGAGAUGAGGAAAGGCCAUCUUUGAUAAUCCUUUCACAAGGCUAAAAAAUAUCCUUUGCAGUCCCAUUUUGAGCCUAGUAAUGUUUUUUGGAAAUAACCUUGACUAGGAUCACACCCCACACUGGGGGCAAAAUAAUAGAGUUUUUACCCAUCCAGACAAAGCAGUGAAGAUGGGUGCUGGAUUGAUCAUGUAAUUUUUAAUCUUUCAUUAUCAUCUAAAUGAAGCAGUGAUUGGUUAAGAAAAGAAAAGAAGAAGAUCUAAAGGAUCUAAAAGAUUUGAGCUUCUCAUACAAACAACUGAUAUGAUCGUGCUCAACCAAACAAAAAUGGAGAAAACAAAGAGAAAAGCCCAAACCCGACACUGGGGGGCAUGAAGACUAUUUUGAAAAAAAACAAAUCCAAAAGACAAAAGGUCAGGAAACAAGCACAAGUGAUCCCUAGUCUUGAAAUCCCUUAAACACCUUUUGAGCCUGCAACAUAUCCAUUUUCUUCGUAACCAAUAGCCAAAGCCUACAUUACAUACCUGAUAAAGCCCUUUCUGAUCAAAGGCAAGCAAUCUGGAUGGUAGGUAGUGCUUUCAUGUGCAAGUCAAAUCAUUAUUCAUGCAAAUAAAAUAAAUGCUUUGAAUCAAUUCGGUUCUCAAUAACCCUCAAAUUGAAAUUUAAACCUUUUGUGACCAACCAGAUGUCACUUCAUCUUUAAACCAAAAGCAAAAAGCUUUCAUCACUUCAAGAAACCUGUCCAUAGGAAUCGCUUGAAUUUUUUAGAACAAGUUUAUUUUGAACCAAUAUCAAAAUCAUUUUUGAGUUUGGAAUAACUUGGAAGUUCCAAAAAUUUUGCAUGAAAACAUUUCAUUGUACAAAAAACCCAAACUUACUUUCACAUAUCCUCACCCCAAACUAAACCCAAGUUGAACACUUGGGGGGCAUGAUCAAGCUGGGGGGCAAUCAAACACACAUGGUAGGGCUGUCUCCAUGAUUCCUUUUCUAAGGAAAAUGUCGGGCAAAAUUGGCAACUCUUGAGAUAAAGGGUGAAGGACAAAGAUGUAUGAUGACAUCAAACCCUUCCCAGAGGUCAAGAUCACAAUGUGUAACCCGAGUAAGCAAAGUGGAAAAGCCAUCGAAGUUUACUACCAACACUACAACUUUUGAGAGAAAACAAAGACACCAUGAAGAAAUGGGGGCCUAUAUUUCUCAGGUAAGUAUACAUGCAUAUCAAUCAUAAUGCAUUUUCUUACAACAUUCACAGAUCAGUGUUUCAACAUCAUCCCUUAGGUAGUGCGUUUUAUAACCCUACCUCCUUUUGAGUGCGCCUUUGAGCCCUCACCUCCAUUUUGAGUGCGCCUUUGAGCCCUCAUCCCUUUGGUAGUGCGUUUUCUAACCCUACCUCCUUUUGAGUGCGCCUUUGAGCCCUCACCUCCAUUUUGAGUGCGCCUUUGAGCCCUCAUCCCUUUGGUAGUGCGUUUUCUAACCCUACCUCCUUUUGAGUGCGCCUUUGAGCCCUCACCUCCAUUUUGAGUGCGCCUUUGAGCCCUCAUCCCUUGGUAGUGCGUUUUCUAACCCUACCUGCUUUUGAGUGCGCCUUUGAGCCCUCACCUCCAUUUUGAGUGCGCCUUUGAGCGCUCAUUCCCUUGGUAGUGCGUUUUCUAACCCUACCUUCUUUUGAGUGCGCCUUUGAGCCCUCACCUCCAUUUUGAGUGCGCUUUUGAGCCCUCGUCCCUUUGGUAGUGCGUUUUCUAACCCUACCUCCCUUUGAGUGCGCCUUUGAGCCCUCACCUCCUUUUGAGUGCGCCUUUGAGCCCUCAAUUCCUUUGGUUGUGUUUUUCUCACCCUACCUCUUUUAGAGUGUGCCUUUAAGCCCUCGCCAUCCAAUUCUUCAUAUUUUUUUCAUUUGGGUAGGUCACCCAUUACAAUGAGACCGUUUUUUUUUUAUCACAUUUUCUUUUGUUUUGGUUAAAUGAGGUUGCCAGAUGGGAUCUCAUGUAGCUUUGGUUAGAGGGAAUCUCCAUAUGGGAUUUUAGGUUGACCGAGCUACACACGCAGGAUUUUUUGGUUCUGGUUAGAGGGGAUUGCCGAAAGGAAUCUCAGUCUAUCCCAACCACACAAGAUUUUGGUUCUGGUUAGAGGGGAUUUCCGAAAGCAAUCUCAGUCUAUCCCAACCACACACAGGAUUUUGGUUCUGGCUAGAGGGGAUUGCCGAAAGGAAUCUCAGUCUAUCCCAACCACACAUAGGUUUUUUGGUUCUGGUUAGAGGGGAUUGCCGAAAGCAAUCUCAGUCUAUCCCAACCACACACGGGAUUUUGGUUCUGGUUAGAGGGGAUUGCCGAAAGGAAUCUUAGUCUAUCCCAACCACACAGGAUUUUGGUUCUGGCUAGAGGGGAUUGCCGAAAGGAAUCUCAGCCUAUCCCAACCACACAGAGGAUUUUGGUUCUGGUUAGAGGGGAUUGCCGAAAGGAAUCUCGGUCUAUCCCAACCACACAUAGGUUUUUUGGUUCUGGCUAGAGGGGAUUGCCGAAAGGAAUCUCAGUCUAUCCCAACCACACAGGAUUUUGGUUCUGGCUAGAGGGGAUUGCCGAAAGGAAUCUCAGUCUAUCCCAACCACACAGAGGAUUUUGGUUCUAGUUAGAGGGGAUUGCUGAAAGGAAUCUCAGUCUAUCCCAACCACACAGGAUUUUGGUUCUGGUUAGAGGGGAUUGCCGAAAGGAAUCUCAGUCUAUCCCAACCACACAGGAUUUUGCUUCUGGUUAGAGGGGAUUGGCGAAAGGAAUCUCAGUCUAUCCUAACCACACACACAUAGUAUUGAAGUUUCGGGUUAAAGGGGAUUGGCGAAAGGAAUCUCAAUUUAGCCCAACCACACACAGGACUUUGGGUCCGGUUGAAGUUUUAGGUCAAUCAAAUUUUGAGACGACCAGUUUCGAAAGACCAAUGUUAUUUUAUCUUUACAACACUUACUAUGCACAAAGUUUUGCUCCGUAAGCAUUGUAAAGAGGGGGGCAACUGUUGUAACCCAUUUUUUGGUCCCCACAUAAAAAAUAAUAAAAAUAAAAAAAUUCAAAAAAUAUAUUAUAAAAAAAAACGCAAAACAGUGCCGUUUGGAAACGGCACCAUCGUCUUUUUCCCUGCGCACGCAGAGAACAGGGGAGAAGAAUUUUUCUUCUCCACUUUUCGCUGAACUUCUUUCCCGGAUUUGGCGCAAUAAGACGCCUACCAUUAGACGCCCACUUGCCUCCUUUUUAUCCAUUGAACAGAUAGUGCAGGGGCGGCCAACAGUGGCCGCCCCACCAUUCGCCCCCCCUGUUUUUGCCUAUAAAAACAGGGGAGGAAGAAGAAAAAAAGAAAAAAAAAGAGAAGACCAAGAGAGGGGGAAGAGAAGAGAAGGGAGAGCAAAGAGAGGGAGAAGAGGGAGAAGAGAGGAGAGAAGGCAGAGAAGAAAACAAAGGAGAGAGAGAAGGAAAACGCAGAGCCACCGCCGGCCACCCCACUGUCAGCGCCGCUUCCUGUCGCCACCAGCAGCUCCGCCAUCAACGACAGCCACCACAAGUCAGCCCUCAAACCCUUAUCUCGUUUUACUGUUCAUCUUCUUGCAUGCAGAACGUGCACUGUGCACGUUCUGCAAGCCAUGAAUUAAUUACCCGGUUACUGUGCAUGGGCACAGUAACUGGCUAAUUAAUUCACUGGUUACUGUGAACACAGUAACCCGGUUACUAUAUGCACAGUAACCAGCCCAUUUGGGCGUGGGCUGGGACGUCAGCCAGCCCAUGUAAAUGGGCCAGGUUUGGCCCAGCCCAUGCAAUUGGGCCUGAUCUGGCCCAUUUAAAAAAAAAAAUUAUUGUUUUAAAAAAAUAUAUUUAUGAUGUUCCCACUUUUGAUUUAUGUUAUUUUUAUUAAUAUCGGGUAGUAUUUUUAUGUCGUAAAAAUAUAAAUCUGGUAUUAAACUACCCGGUUUUUCAUCAAAAACUUCCAAAAAUACAAAAAAAUUAAAAAAAAGGAGAAAAAAUGUUUUUGUGCAUACGGCCAAGUGUCUCAAAGCUAAAAAAUCAUAUUGUAUUUUUCAUACACCAAAAAAACAAUGUUUUAGCAUGCAUUUUGGCUUUAAUAACCAGUUUAUUAAAGUCAAGAGAAUAUUGGCCAAAAUUUCAAAAACAACAAAAAAAUUUAUUUUGUUUGUCUCUUAGUAUUCGAGGUAUGACAUUACAUGUAAUGCAUAUUCUGGAUAUUAAUUCUUUUUUUCCGGACAAUCGAACUUGGGGUAUGACAUUACAUGUAAUGCGUAUUCCGAACAAUUACAAACCACAACAAGACUUUAGAUUUUAUCAGACAAAACAAUGCAGCUUACCUUAGGUAGGGCGUAGUUGGGGUGUUAAUACCUUCCCUUUACGCAACCAGUCUCCGUACCCGAUCUCUAAAGACCAGUUAAGGUUCCUAGUAACCAGAAUACUAGGUGGCGACUCCCAGUCCAUAUUUUCACAUUGUAGAGACAAGAAUUCCUUGUCUCCCCCUAUUUUUGCCAGGAAUGAAUAUUCCGUUUUUUCCUUGAGGGUGGACGAUCGUCUCGCCGCCGCACACGUGCGACAGAACUCACCCUUUUAUUAUUUAUCCUUUUCAGGCUUAUAGCUUGAUAGCAGGUCACUUUUGUUGAAUCUUCCGAACCUGUUUUUUGGUUGUAAUUUGUACCUUCCUUUUAUGUCAAGUUAGUGCUCCAAAACUAUGAAUAUAUAUGAACUCUUGUAUUAAGACAAUCGAAUUAUGUUAUAAAGUUAGUUUUGUUGUUACUGCUGCGUUGAAUAACUCUGAUUGAAUUUUGAAGGAUAAGUUUGUAUGUAAGUUUGGGUUCGCAUAGGUAUGGAACCUUGAAGGGGAACCUUGCCUAUGUACCGGUCAUGGAUCCGGGAUUCGGGUCUUAACAUCAGAUCAAACAAUUUUUAUCAUGUGGGGGGAUUGUUAGGGUGUGAAUGAAAAGUUGUAUUUGUUAAAAACUCUACUUGAAAUAAAAUCUUGUACUUUUAAACUAGAAAGUUGUAACCUUUUGCCUUAAAAGUUAUGUUAAAAUUAAAUGUCAGAAUUACCUAUAAAAAGAGACAAUUCUAACAUGAUUUUGAUAAUGAAAAAACUUCUAGUCUUUUUAAAACUCUUAUCUUUUACAUUUUUUUAGUCAAAAUUCUUAUAGAGAGUAACAUACAAAUUGUGAUUCAUCAUUUAUUCUUGGUUGUGCUAUCAAGAAUUAGAGAUUGAGAAAGCUUGAAAAAUAAUAUUACAAUCACAUUGCUAGCACCAAAGAACAUGUAAUAAAUUGUUUUAUGAUAAUUUAUCGUUAAUUUAUUGAUUUUAAUUUGUGGCUAUCAGUUCAAAAUAAAUCUCAAAGACCUAUUAAAAUUGAAAAUGGUAAUGAGAUUUCUAAAAUUAUAAGUGAAUAUAUGGAAAAUAUUAAAAAAAUACUUUUUAUGAAUGUUAAAGCCAUGAAUAUUUUAUAUUAUACAUUGGAUAAAAGUGAAUUUGAUAGAACUAUAUUAUACAAAAACGCUUAGAGAUAUAUAACAUGCUUUACAAGUAAUUCAUGAAGGAACUAAGAAGUCAAAAAAUUUAAAAUUGACUUGUUAAUUUAUACUAAAAUAACUAAUAGUUUAUUAGUUUGGAUGUUUUUAGUAAUGCUGAAAUUAUAGAGAAUUGAUCAUUAAGUUGAUUUUUUAAUAUGCGUAGAAAUCAGAUCAUUAUAAAUUUAAUAAACUAUUUAAAGUGUUCCAAUGAAAAGAAAAUGGGUGUUGUGAAUUUUAGUCUGCAUUUUUCUCUACUUUCUUUUUGGUUUUUUUUGUUUGUCCCUUCUUGGAAAUUUGCGCUCAGUUUUUGCCUUUACUCUUUGUUGAUUGUCUUUCUGUUUUUAGUUGCAUUGUUAGGCUAUAUGUGUGUUUAUUCACUUGCACAGUGUAAAUGCCAAUUAACUGCAACAAUGUGAGAAGAAGAAGCUGCUUGCCUGGUCUGCUGGAGGCGAAGGCGCGCGGUUGCUGAUAAACCAGCCUAUUUCUUGCUUUCCCUGCCUCUAGUCUUUUCUGUCUAGUUCUCUGGAUUUCUUUUGAUUUUUCUGCGGGUGUGGUUCGUUUGUCAUAAAGCCAGAGAAGGUCGUGUGUUCAUGCCUUCAGAAAUGGCAAGCAUCGUGGAGGCGAGAGAUUGUGGGCGCAAGGUACUGGAAUUCCCCUGUUGAAUCGGCUUCAGCCAACAGAUGAUGAACAAUAGGAUCCAAAACGAUGUCAUUUAGCAUGAAAAAUGACAAAUUGUAGUUUGGUCCCUGGCAUUUUGAAAUGUAUCAAUUGGGCCCCUUAAUCAAAUAAAUUUGUAAUUUUACCCUUGGAUUAAUUUCAAAUAAAUCCCUGAAUUUAUUUAAUUAAUUAAAUCAAAGUUUAAUUAAGUCCACAAACUUAUUAAUUCUUCUAAUUUCAUUAAUUAAACUAAUUCAAAUUUUAAUUAAAUUUCCAAACUUAUUAAUUCUUCAAUUUUUGAUUAAUUUACUCUCAAAUCUGAUAAUUUCAUCCCUGAACUUUGAAUUUGUACUAUUGUUUUAACCACAUUCUCAAAUAUAUUUUUAUCCGUUCACUUUGUAUUAUUUAUUUGAAAAUUAGGUUAUGACAAAUCUAAUAUGUCAUUAUAAAUCUAUCAUAUUGACUGUAUCAUGUUAGAAUAAUUUUUAUGUUGGUUAAUUUUAAAUUUGAUACAGGGAAAGAAUCGGAUAAAAAAAAAUUAAAAUUAAUUUACUAGAAUUUAAGAUGCCAAAUAGUUACUUCAGCGUAUAUAAUUUUUUCGUGUUGCGCAAAACAUAAACUGGUUUCUUCUAAAAUAUUUACAAGUAAACAUUCACGCAUAUGAUGAUAAAAAUUUGAGUGAAAUUUAUAUAAAUAGUGUCUGUUUUUUGCGAAACAAACAAAUUAAUCCCUCAAGUUUUUUAAAUAAUUAAUUGAUUCUUUAAUCACAUUUUACGUCAAGUUAGUGGAACAAAUUGAGGAAAUAUUGAAAGAAAUUUGAGUAAAAUUUAUAUAACUAGUGUCUAUUAUUCGUGGAUGAAUUUGUCUCUCUCAUGAUUAUCUCUACAGCAUUUUUUGCUCUUGGUUCGUCUGGAUUCUUCUCUACAGUCUCGCGCUGGUCUGGAACAAGGCGAGCCUCUGUAUCAAUUAAUCUACAUUUCUUUCCCUUAAUUUUCUCUUUAAUUUCCUUAAUGGGUGUUUUGUAGGCUUCUUUCUCUGUAUGUUAAAUGCUUACUCUAAUCAUCUCUAUUCUACAGCCCAGCAUUUUAUUAUAGUUGUUGUUGCUGUGGACAAAAGUGCAUUUAUUUUCAUUUAACUUUUUAAACAAUUCAUUUAGUUUUUGUUUUAAAUGUUUAAUUUAUUGGUAUUGAACAAACCCCCUUAUAGAGAGCCUUAUGUAGUUUCAUGAAUUUUUGUGAUUUUGUGUCCUUUGGUAUUAGUUAAUAGAUAUUCUACCUCUUAUUCGUUUUUAAUAUUGUUGUUUGGCUCACUUUUAUAUUCUUUUUAUAGAUUUUUUGCUUGACUUAAUAUUCAAUAAGUAUGCAUCCAAUUUGCAAAAAUAGAUACAUACAUGACUUUCAUUAAUUAACAAGAUUGAUUACAUUAAUUCUUGCACUUGUUUUAUUUAAAUAAAUAUAUAGAAUUAUGAAAAUUCAUAAUUUAAUGAUUAGAUAAUAUUUGUAUAACCAGAAUACACAAUAUAUGUAUUAAGUUCAAUGUUUUUGAAAAAGAAUUUCUUUUAUUGAUUAAUGUAUAAGUAUAUAUUGUAUUAAUAAUAUCUUGAUUAAUUAAUAAAUUUCAUGGUCUCAAUGAUAUUAAUUUAUAGAUGUUUAACUGUAUAUUGUAUUAAUUUUUAAAAAAUAUAUAAAUUUUACAUGAUAAAAUUAAAAACACUUAACUCCAUAUAAGGAAAAUAUUUAUUUUUAAACGACAAUACAAAAUAUAUGAUAAUACUAAUAUGUAAAUUCAAAUCUAUCUCUAAUGAGGCAUAUGUAUUGCUUACUAGGGACAUCAUUAGCUUUUUAGCUUCCAUUGAUUUAGCCAUGCAUUGCCUCUUUCAUUUCUCAACUGAUUGUUUUUAACAUUCCAUGUUAAUUUUCUUUCUAGAUGAAGCUCUCAAAUGUACUCUUGGAAUCAACAACUUAGGUUACAAUUACAUGAACAUCGCCCUUUUUAUCUCACACAUACAUAUUAAAGAACUUUGGCAUGCUUAGCUUUCUUACUAUGGCUUUGUCUAAAAUAUGAUGAUUGAUCUUUCGUUUAAGAGUUACUUUUCAUUCCAUUGUUCAUUCUUCUCCCUUUCAAUUUGCCUAGCAUUUGUUGUUUCCUUUCAAGUCUUCUACUUUAAAUCUUAUGUUCAGAAGACAUUGGUUCAACUGUUACUUUUAGCCUGGAGUUCAUAAGGAAGCAAUGAGAUACUAGAUUUGCUUUUCCAACUUCCAUUAACAAUUUGAGUGGCUUGCACUUUGGUUGCUUAUGUUUAUUGAUGAUAGCUUUUAUUGUCUUUUUUCUUUUGGUUUGUAAUUCACAAUAAUAGAUUGGGUCUGAUUAUCUUGGUCUGGAAUUGACAUGAAAAAAAAAAAAAGAAACUGAUAAAACAAUGGAACAAUACAACAGUAGAGAAUGUAUGUUGCAGCCAAAAGCUUAAGGUCUGCGUGUAUUGUAUUAGGGUUUUAUAAUACCUAAAUGUCCACAAUUAAAGCCUAAAUACAUGCCUAAGAAUAUUCACAUUCCAUAAUAGGAUAAUAUUACAAUCAGCUCAUCCCAUAUUUAGAUAUUCCAUAAUAGAAACUUACAUUCUCUACUUUAGAUGGCUUGAGCACUGUUCGCUAGAACAACAGAUUGGGUUUGAUUAUCUUAGUCUGGAAUUGGCAGGAAAAAAAAAACAGAAACUUGCAUUGUCUGCUUUAGAUGGCUUGAACAUUGCUUGCUAGAUGUUCAUUAAUUUCUCUUUUUGCAAUGAACUCUUGCAUAUUUGACAGAUCAUGCUACUUUUUUCACGCUAUUAUUGUUCUCUAUUGAACUGCCAAGAUUAUUGGUUGGAUAAUGGCCACUGUGAUUAGAGAAACUGAAAUAAUUUAUAGUCUGCAAGUUUGUAAAUUCAUUACGGCAGUCAUGUUUUUAUCCAAACAUAUGCCAAGAGUCAAGACCAAAGUUAAAUCAACAACAAAAAGCUGGAAAAAAAACCCUGCGAUAAAAGUGACAAAAUUCAUAAAACUCAUUGGCCAAUAAUGUAAUGCCACAUGAUAAAAUUACAAAAAUUAAUUAAAAAAAUUGAAUCAAUUCAGAUUAACUUACUUAUCUGCAACCUGGAAUAUGAGAUAGGAAUAACCUUACAAAAAAAAAAAAAACCAAAACAAAUAACAAAAUUUAAGGCCCAAUAACUCAAGGUUGAUGAUAAAAAAAAAUAAAAAAAAACUUAAAAAAAUACCAUACUUAAAACGAGUUGAUAUUCAAAAUUGGUAGACUGAGUUAUGAGACCAGGACAACAAAAGAUAAUGAAGCAAAAUUUUCAAUCAUAAAAAAAUAAAAAUCCAAACAAUAAGGACAAAUUCUUAUACAGAAAAUCAUUAAAAGAAAAUAGUGAGGGAUUAAAUUGAAAAACAAAAUAAAUGAAGAAAAUGAUAAACAAAAGAUCAAUAAAAAAAAUAAGGACCGAAAUUGCAAACAAAAUAAAAUGAAAUAAAAUGCUAAAGGACAAAAUUAAAAAAUAUAAGUAAAUGAAAAAAAAUAGUAAUCAAAAGAUUGGAGACCAAGUUUAACAUAAUAAAUAAAUAAAAUAAAAUGCUGAGGGUUGAAAUUGAAAACACUUUUCUUCAAAAAACAUCAAAAUCAAAAUAAAUAGAAAUCAAAAUAAUAAGAAUCAAACUUAUUAUAAAUACAAUCUGAAGGAUACAAUUGAAAUUUUAAAGGCUUGGCAUGAAUAUUAAAGCCCAAGAGGGAGGGAGAAAAAAAAAAUUUAUCACCGUUGAACCACUACAAAUAUGACGACACGUCACUCCAUCAACUACACCUUCACAUUACACGUUGGACUAACACACACCUCUUGAAUGAUGUGGUGGACUAUCACGCGUUGACACGUGUUACAUACAUGUUAGCCUUUUUUAUUGAUUUAUUAAUAUAUCAAUACUUUAAAUUACUAAAUAGCCCCUAAGAGCAUCUAAAUAUUACAAAAAAAGCUAUAUUGCAAAGAUGAAAACCCUAUCCCAUUUCAACUUUAGAUUUUUUUUUUAUUCUACGGUUAACUUUGUCAUUUUACAUAUACAAAACAUGGAAAAGACUAAAAAAUGCCUCAUGUCAAGGUCAAUAUUUUUGAAUUCUCAAGGGUAUUGACAUUAUUUAACUAUGCAAAUAAAAUAGAAAAGACAAAAUGGACCUUAAGCAAAAGGCAAAUUGUUUUUUUGCUUACAAGGGCAAUGAUGUAGUUUUAAUGUACAAAAAAAGAGUAAACCUACUAAAUUAUCCCCAUUCAAUUUACAAAUAACCUUUAGAUCCAUUGAAAAAUACAACUUUACCCCGUUCGGAAGACAAUUGUUUUGUGUAGAGAAGGGCAAAAAGUAAAUAUAUUGUGUUAAUCCAUAGUGUUUUACCUCAUCGUCUAUAAUGAAUCAGUGAUCUUUUAGGAUUAUUUUUUUUGCUUUUUUUUUAAUUCCAUUUUGUUUUAGUUCAUGUUUAGAUUUUAAACAUGCAUUCUCAAACCAAAUCUCUUCUCUCUUGUACGCAUAUAUGUUUUUUAAAAAAUAUUUUUUCACAUCUGACAAUGUCGAAAUGUUUUUUUGCUUUAAAAAAAUUAGGAUAGCCCGUAGUGUAGAUCAUUUGUCUAGUUGGAUACUAUAGUGAUGUUUCAUUUUUAUAUUAAUAGUGAAGCACUUUAUUUUUUUUUAAAUUAGUUUUUUUUUCCUUUUUGAUUUGGUUCUGUUUUUUUUUUUUUUACAAAUUAGUCCUUAUUUUCUUGUUUAAUUUUUUUUUGGCCUAAUUAUAUGAGAUAAAUUUUUCAAUUUAAUUAGAAAUAAACUACUAUACUAAAAAAGUUAUGUUUCUCUACUUCCUUCACUCUUUAUAUAUUUUUUAUUUUUUUAAAUUGGUCUUUAUAUUUUUUUUGCUUCAUGAUUUGGUGUUUAUUCUUCUUCUUUUUUCCUUUCAUUUUUUUACAAAUCGGUCUUUAGAAAUUUUCUUUCCUUUUUUAUUUAACUCUUUUUCGGUCUAUGAGAUAAAGAUUUUAAUUUAAUUAAAAAUUAUUUAUUAAACUAAAAAAGUUAGGUUUUCCCUCCUACUUCACCAUUCAUAUCCUCCCCUUAAAAAAAAAAAAAAAAAAAAUUCUAUCUUCUAAUUUUUUUUUUCUUUUGAUUGAAUGAUUUUUGCCCUUUUUUUCCUUUCAAUUUCACUUUAAUAUUUUGUUGAUUUUAAAUUGAUUAUCAUAAUUUGUUUUUAAUUUCUUUAAAUGUAGUUAUCAUAGUCUCAAACAAAUAUCACUAAAUUUGUUAAGAUCUCAAUUUUAGAAGUUUCUAUUUUAGUUAUCGUAUCAUUAUAUAAAAGAUAGUUUUAAAGCCUAGUGAAGCUUAUGAUUUGGUUGCAUAAUUGAGUUAAAUCACGAAGCUCAAAUUGAUCUAGUAUAUCGUCAUCUUAAUAUUAAAAAAAAUUAUCAUCUUGAUUUUUUUUUUUUGAAUCCAAACCAUGCUUUUAUUGGUCAUUUGGGUUGCUUUAAUUUGCAUAUGUAAAGUCAACUAGGUCAUGUAUAAACAACUCCCUUAUGAAUUAAUUUUAAACCUAUACUAAGCAAGAAAUCAAGUCGAUAGUUCAGGAUCAAGUUUAAUAACAAAUGUCAUUGUUCUUUUGUUUUUAAACCCUACCUUCUAUUUUUAUUUUUAUUUCAAUUGAAUCCUUUUAGGCUUUUCUCUGUUUUAUCCUUUAACUUAUCAUAUUUCAGUUUACUUUCUAUAAUGUUUUUACAAUCUCAAACAUUUAAUUGAUACUUGAUUUUACAAGCAAUUGUUUUAUUAUAUUAUUAAGUAAAAUAUAAUUAAAAAACAUAAACCAGAUGAAAUCCAUUAUUCAUGUUGUGGUUUUGAAAAAUUAAGCUAUGAAAUUGAUCUAAUAUAUUGUUUUAUUAAUACUAAAAAAAGAUUAAAACCAAAUUAUGUUUUUUUACCGGUUAUAUGAAUUGACUUUGAACCCAUCACAUUGAUUCUAACUAUAUCAUGUUAGGACAACUUUCACGGUGGUGAAAUAGAUAAGAAGUCAAGAUGAGAGGAGAAUUUACUAUUAAUCCACUACUUUUUUUAUGUUGCGCAAAACAUAAACCAGAUCCUUCCAAAAUAUUUAUUUAACCAGUGUCUGUUUUAUGUGAAACAAACAAAUUAAUCCCUCAAGUUCUUUAAAUAAUUAAUUGAUUCUUUAAUCACAUUUUACCGUCAAGUUAGUGGAACAAAUUGAUAAAAUAUUGCUGACAGCUCUACAUUUGACCGACGAAAAACUAAUGAAGGGACCCGUUUAUUGCAUAAUGUAAAAGUACAGGGAAAAGAUUUAAAAGAUCUAGUUAUCAGCAACAAAACAACCAAAACAAAAAGCUAUUUCACUGUUCAGUGUCUCACUGUAGAAAUGGUACUUUGUAAUUCCAGGGAAGAUUAGUUUUCCCUUUGGGAAUGGCCAUCUGCAGAUAUCCCUGCAUUAUAUGUUUGAUUAAAGCAUGGUAUAUACAUAGCAAUAGAAAACAAAAGGUUAGGAUGUUUAGAAAUUCAAUGUUUGGCAGUGGGUAUGGUAUUUUGAGACUUGGUCUCCAUUGCAAGCAUCUUCAGAGAUAUUUUACGCAGAUAAUCAGACUGAAAUCUGUGAGCAGUCCAUGUUACAAGAGAAGGGGGAAGAGGGAUAUAUGCUCUUUCUAAUAUGCUAGGCUUUCUGUAUUUGCAUUGUCUGUGAGCAUAUACUGUAAACUAUGAAGAGAGAAUAGAAUUUGCUGGAAUGAAUUGUAUUAUUGAUCACAUCAUAUAUUUAUACAAGUGCAUUUACAGUCAUUCCCAUAGAUUAGGAAUCAAUUACUACCUUACAAUUUAUCAUCCUAUAGACUUAGUUUUACACUAGGAAAGCCAAUGUAUUCAGAUUAUCCAUUCCUAAUAAAUAGCUUACGAGAUUCCUAACAUAUACUUCGGUGUCCUCUCUUUUUAUUUAAUUAUUUAUGUAUUGAUUCGUUAUUUGCAUUUUGCACACUUCCCUUUGUACUUGAAAAUGACCUUGGUCACUCUAAAUAAAACACUUGUAAAGAGAACUAACGAAAAGAUGUGAACUUCUACAGAAUGACUAGUGAGGAAGUGUGGACACACUACACACACGUGUACAUGCAUAAAUCCACACACUUAUGCUUGUGUAUAUUCAUGUCUAGAGAAUAUCGAAAUUAUUGAACCUAACAUUAGCCGAAUACCUGAUUGGUGGCGGCAGUAUAAAUCUUUUCCUCAAACCGUACGGCAAUUUUCUUGAGUUCUUGUAAUCCCUCUUGACCAGAAAGCGGAAGAUGCCUCUUUAAUAUCUCUAUUCUGCACAUGUAAGACAUACAUCUAUUUUUACUUCCUUUCCCCGUGAUAUUCCAGAGGUACAGGGUAUAGGAGUUCACUUGGCCACCCUUCUGUCUAAAAUUCUAGUUACGAGCUUCAUGGUUAAUUUUCUUGAACUGGAAGAACCUUCCAUUUAUGGCUAUGCUCCAAGAUAUACAAGUGAAUUAGUUGCAAACCAGGGGAACUCUGUGAAAACAUUACAAUAGCAUUUACUCUGAGUAAGAAAACUUUUAUACAUGCACUAUAAUUGACAACAAAAGAAGAAGAAAAUCCCUUUAAUUUAUGAAAAUGUAAUGAGAUAACCUUAUCUCAUGCUGCAUAAUUAUAAAGAACUCUAAAACGCGUGGGGAAAGUACUGUAGCUUUCCCCACGGUUUUCCCUGCCAAGGCAUAUAUUGUCGUUGCAGAAGUUUGAAAAAACAUUAGAUUAUAAUACCAGUGUCUUAAAUGCUUUGAAAAAUUAGACUGUUAUUUUCCCCCUGUAACUGGGUCUUUUGAAUUAUCUACAUCUGAUCAUCUUUAGAAUAAUUAACUUACGUUUUCAGGUUUCAUUUGGACAAUGUCAAAUUAGCCGGUGUUUUUUUAAUGGUGCAUUAAUUGCUUUCAGCUUCAUUUAGAAUAAAGUCAAGCUGCCUAAUCUUCUUUGAUGGUGCAUUAAAUGGAUGUGGCGUUGGCAUCAUUAUACACAUAUUCUUGCCUCCGUUUUCAUUAUUUCCUGUUCAGUUUUCGUUGUAUUUCUAUUCUAGUUAGUCUGCUUUCUAAUUGUUUAAUUGCAUGGGAUGAUUCUUUUGAAAUAGUUUCUAGCGAGCCAGUUCUCUAGCUCCCGCCUCUCUUAUAAUAUUUGAAGGUAUGUUUUCCUGUAACUUUUGUUUGUUCCCUGCAACUUUUGUUUGUUCAGUAUGCGGGUGGCCAUGAUUUGUUAUGCUUUCCUUUGCAGUUCGUUGUUCCUUUAUCAUAUUGUCUUUCAGGAGAGAGUUUGGACUUCAAGGUUAGAAUAUUUUCUCUUAGUUGUUUUUAAGAUUGUGUUCUCGUGUGUGUGUGUGUGUAUAUAUAUAUAUAUAUAAAAACUAAUUCGUGGUGAUAUUACUUAUACACAGAGAGUAAACUCAUGUGGAUUUCAAUAGUGUGGUGUGUGUGGCUGGGAAUUUCAUUUUUUAUGGAUCGACGGGUCUUGGAUGAUCAGCUGUUGUUGAUUGGUGGAUCUAUCUUCUUUCUUGGGGGUUGUCUAGCUCUGNNNNNNNNNNNNNNNNNNNNNNNNNNNNNNNNNNNNNNNNNNNNNNNNNNNNNNNNNNNNNNNNNNNNNNNNNNNNNNNNNNNNNNNNNNNNNNNNNNNNUUAUUAGUUUGAUAGUCUUUUUAAAUUUAUCAAGGUUCAAGAAGCUUGAUAAAUGAUUUUGAAACCUACGAAAACCUUGAGUUAGGUAAAAAAUUUAGAAACUUGCACCUUUUAUUUUGUAAUUUAUUAAUUAAAUUGUUUGCAAACAUCUAACAUGUCUAAUUUUUUAUUUUGUAGAAUUUGGUGGAAAGUUACAUGUAGAAUCGGAUGAUAAUUAGUUCAGAAGUUACUUUGAUGGUAAAAUACUACUUUUUUAUUUUUACAUAUUCUAAUUUAUUUUAUUAUGUUAUAAUUUUUAGAUCUUGAUUUCCCAGGUUUUGAUGUCAAUGGUAUUACGGAAUCAAAGUGCAAUGUUCUUGUCAUCUUGAUGUGCUUUUUGAUUGGGAUGAUGUGCACAAUGAAAAUUUAUAUUUUUUGCAUGAAGUGUUUUAUUUUUAUGGCAAUGUUAUUUGUUGUUUUUUUAAGCCCUUUUGAAGGCAAAGCUUUGUAAUUUAAAUUUUAAUUUGGUGUGUUAUUUAAACUUUGAUGCAUGAGGAGUACAAACUCUAAAACACAAAUAUUAGAAAGAUUGCAACAUAUUAAACACAAUAUUAGCACUAAUAAUUUAAUAUAAAUGAAUAUUUAGUGAUAAAAAAUAUAAAUAUAUUAUAGAAUUUGUAACAAAAUUAGAUAAUAGUUACAUUAAUUACAAGCCUAUUAGAAAGCCCAUCAGAAAACCCAUUAGAAAGCCCAAAAAAACCCAAAAAACAAUAAUAGAAGUUUUCCAGUUUUUCUGUUAAAAAAACCGAACCGAAUGGAACCGAAACCGGUCGGUUUGAACCGGUUCUGGUUCGGUUUCGGUUUGAAUUUUUAAGUUUUUCAAAUUUUAAUUUUGUUAGUUUUUUAUAUAAAAACUGAACCGAACCGGUUUUACUCACCCCUGCACAAUGCUAAGGGAAUGUAAGAUAGUUGUUGACAGCUGGCGUCAACCAGAAAAUUCUAAAAUAUUCUCAUCAUUUCAAAGAAAAUUCUAUCAAGAGGAAUUCUUCAUCUAUUUGGGAGGCCACCAAAGUCAAAAAGGAGUGGUAACUCAUCAUUUUCAUUUAUUUCGUAUCGAACCAUCUUAAUGGUUGUGAGAAAAUCAAGGCACAGUCACAUACAUAUCUAAAGAAAAUACAAAGUUAAGUUUAAACUUGUUAAUUCACCUUAAAAAGAUACUGAGCACACAAGUUUAUUUUAAAUUUAGGUUUUGCUAUAAAUUUAAAAGAAAAUAUGUUAGGUGGACACUAUGCAGUUUCACUAUUUACCCCCUCAUGUUUUACCGUGGAUGACAAUAUUUACUUUCUUUUAGGUUUGCUAUAAAUUUAAAGGAAAAAUAUAAACCCGGUUAAGUUCAUAGUUUGGGUUCACCACACAAGUUUUACUGUGGACAACACUAUUUACUUUUUUCUUUUUUGCUUAAGAAAAAAUAUUUCUUUUUUUUUGUUUCUAUUUUUUAAAAAUAAUCUUAAUCUUAGUUAUAUUUAUAUUUAUAUUAAUAUCCCUUCUCUAUUUUAUGUUAUUUAGAAAGCCUAUUUGAAAUGAUGAUUAUUUUUUAAUUAUGCAUUUAAUUUUUGAGGAGGUUUUUCUAAUAAUCUAUAAUUUUUUUAAAAUAUUUUAUAGAUGAAUUUUAUUUUUGAAAAUAAAAAUAAAUUUAUUUUCAAAUAAUAUUUCUAAUAUGUAUAGCCUUGUAUAUUAUUUUCUCCUUUUAUUUUAUUCAAUCAAUUUAUAAUGUGUGUGUCUGUUUUUAUUAUCGUUUGAUCGAAUAAAAAAUUAUUUUAAUUAGAAAAUUUAGAAAACACUACUGCGUAAAUAUCACGUCUUGUGAAAUUAAAUAUCUUGAUGUACACCUUUCUCUUGAUUUCUCUUGUUUUUAUUUUGAGUUAUCGUUUAAGGUUUUUUUUUUUCACUUAUUUACACACAUAGUUCUUCAUUUAUUUGACUAUAUUUGCGUAUAGUUUUUUUAUUUCACUUAAAUUUUUGACUUUCUUAAACUAGUUGUAGUAUAUAGAAUUUUUUUUAAAAUAAAAAAAUAGAAAUAUAAUUCACAUUCGAGUAAAAACCUCCACAAAUAUAAUCUCAUUGAAAGUUGCAUCAUGUAUUAAUCUAAGGUCCGCUGUCCAUUAAUUAAUCGGUGGUUGCAUUCUAACACUUGAGAUUUAUAUUUUAUGCUUAAGCAUUUAAUUUUAUUUUUUUGUAAACUAAAUAGAAAUUAAAGCAUAUUAUCCAUUCCCAAGCUUACGGGUAAUGGCCUUAUGGACCCAUCUCGUAGAAAAAACACUUGAUAUAUAGCAAUGGUCUCAUGGACCAUCCCACUGACCUAUAUCAUGGAAAAAAACAGAUGGCAAUAUAUAAUCUCACAAACCCAUCUCACACUGCAAAUUCCCAUCCAUCUUACUUGUUGAUUGUGUUACAAAAAAUAGACUCUUUAGAAAGAAAAAGAAGAAGACUUAUUGUCAUGAUAUUGACAAGAAGUAUUUUAGAAAUAAUAUCAUUUGUGGUUUAUUUUAUCAACGAUAUUGUUUGAUUUUUCCAUCACCAUCAAAAUUAAAGCAUGAUUUUCCACACGUUAUUUCCAUGAAGAAAGUAGCAAGUCUUCCAUAUCCGUCAUUGUCAUUCAAAAUGAGCUACCUAGUGUUAACCUUUGAUUCAUAUUUUUCCAAAAAAAAAAAAAAAACAGACAUGGAUUCAACUUUAUAACAAGGAAUACAAUCAAUUACUUUUAUGCAAUUCAAUUUUUCCAAAGUUUUUUCACGAACCCAUCUCGUGGAAAAAAUACAUGAUUGUUGGAAGGGGUCUGACGACCUCUCCUCGAGGAAAAAUGCAUGAUGGCAACGGUCUCCGGACCAAUGUGCAGAUGGAAAUGGUCUCACAAACUCAUAAAUUCAUGAUGGAAAUGGUCUCACGAACUCAUAAAGUUGAAUUUUUCAAUUUUUCACAAAAGAUAUUUUCGGAGAAUAACAUUUAUAGUGGUACUUUUAUGCAAUUCAACUUUAUUAAGCUAGUUAUAGUAUAUAGAAUUGAUUUUUAAUGAAAAAUUAGAAAUAUAAUCCGCAUCCCAGUAAAUACCUUCACAAAUUAAUAAAUAUGUUUUAAUAUUUACUUUUAAUAUAUAUACAAUGAAAAGAUAUUAAGAGUUGAUUAAUAUUGUUAAGCCAUAUAUGUUUAUAAAAGUCAUUUCUUUUAAACCACAUGAUAUGUUUACAUAUUUGCAAUAUGUAUGUAUUUUGAAUUUAAUAUUAAUAAUUAUAAAAUUUAUAUAGUUAAUAAAAAUAGCUUCACUUUUGUUCUCUCUUUCUUUCUCACUAUUGUUCUUUUUUCUUCUUCUUGAAUUGCCUUGUCUCUCUUUCUUUUCCGUUUUUCAUCUUUCAAUCCUUCAAGAUUCAAAAUACAUUGCAAUUUACGUUGGGAAUAUUGAUGAAAAAAUAUAAAUAUAACUAGAAACAAAUAAAAAAAAAAUGAAAUUCUAGUAAAGCAUUUACAUAUCCAUUGAAAGAUGCGUCAUAUAUUAAUCUAAGGUCCGUUGUCCAUUAAUUAAUUGGCGGUUGCAUUUUAACACUUGAGAUUUAUUUUUUAUGCUUAAGCAUUUAAUUAUUAUUUUUUUGUAAACUAAAUUGAAAUUAAAGCAUAUUAAUUAUCCAUUCCCAAGCUUACGGGGCAAUGGUCUCAUGGACCCAUCUCAUAGAAAAAACGCUUGAUAGCAAUAGUCUCAUGGACUAUAUUGUGGAAAAAAUACAGAUGGCAAUAUAUAGUCUCAUAGACCCAUCUCACACUGUAAAUUCAUAUCCUUCUUACUUGUUGAUUGUGUUACAAAAAAUAGGCUCUUUAGAAAGAAAAAGAAAAGACUUGUUGCCAUGACAAUGACAAGAAGUCUCGUAAAAAUAAUAUCAUUUGUGGUUCAUUUUAUUAACGAAACUUUUUUAUUUUGUCAUCACCAUCAAAAUUAAGACAUGAUUUUCCACACGUUAUUUCCAUAAAAAAAGUAGCAAGUCUUCUAUAUUCGUCUUUGUUAUUCAAAGUGAGCUGCCUAGUGUUAACCUUUGAUUCAUAUUUUUUCUAAGAAAAAAAAAAACAAAACAGACACGGGUUCAACUUUACAAGAUGGAAUACAAGUUUUCAGUUAAUUACUUUUAUGCAAUUUAUUUUUUUCUACAAUGUGGUUUUAAUCAGCGUUGUUAAAUUUAAUUCAAGCCUAACAUUUUAAUCUAGAACCUAACCCGAUUUAGGUUUAGAAAAAUCAAUUGAAAGUUGACUCAAUCAAGCCUAGUUGACUAGAUAAAUCAACCCACAACUUAGUCAACUCAGUCAGAAACUAGUUUUACUUUUUUUAACUACGCAGUUUUGAUUUUUUCUAAAAACAAUCUUAAAAUGAUACAAUUUUAGAUUAACACCAUUCAACAUAAGCUAACUUGUCCGAUUUAUAACCCAAAUCUUGAUCGGAGUAUUAGGCCAAUCUAUGACCUAAACCCUCAUCUAGGUAUUAAACCUAAUCAUGUUAAAUAAUUUUAGUUUUAAUAAACAAGACAUUCUUAAGAAAAAUGUCAUAUAUAAAACAUUUAAUGGCAUCCAAAUUGAAACAUUCACAAAUUGAUAUAAUAGUUAUUAAUAUUUAUUUUUAAUAUAUAUAAAAUAAAAUAUUUUAAUAAUUGAUAAUAUUGUGAAAUCAUAUAUGUUUUUUGUGGUAUUUCUCUUUAAUUUAAUCUCUUAACAUUGAGUUUGUUUAUCCCGAUCUCAUGAUCCGGGUCGAAGACAUGAUGGGUUAACUCGAUUUGUUAUUACUUCCUCCCCCUGUCUUGCAUAUAUUGUCCUCUGUUUUUCUUUUAUGCUAGCUAGCCUCUAAUUUUGGCUCUAGCACCUUUCUAUAAUAAUACUCGACUAUUAUUAAAAAAAAAAAGAAAAAAAAAAAGCAGAAGCAGAAAUAACUCGACAAUUUCUCUAAUGUGCAAAGGAGUGUUUGACAGAGCCUUCCUUAUCUCCUUCUGGUAAAUCGUCUUGGAGAGCCUAUGUUCUUGCCUUGAUCAAGACUCCCAUCUUAUCUUAGUUAUUCAACAAAUAUGAAGAAAUUCUCCAAAAUCAUUUCUUGACAUAACAUCUCACCUACCCCUCAGCCCUUUGUCAAGUCCACCGUCACUCUCGGUAAAUUAUUCUAUAACAUCUCAUAUACAGUUUCCUAAAGGUCCUCCGUCACUCUCUGUCAUUGACAGCUAUGCAUUAAAAUUAUUCUAUAACUUUUGCCUUUUCAGUUUUUCCUCUUGCGCUCUUCAAUAAUGUGCAAAGGAGUGUUUGACGUGCUAAGGAUAUAGAGCCUUCCUUCUCUCCUUCUAGUAAAUCGUCUUGAAGAGCCCAUGUUCUUGCCUUGAUCAAGACUCCCAUCUUAUCUUAGUUAUUCAACAAAUAUGAAGAAAUUUUCCAAAAUCAUUUCUUGACAUAACAUCUCACCCACCCCUCAGCCCUUUCUCAAGUCCUCCGUCCCCUUAUGCCCGAUGGUUGGGCAUCAGCCUUGAAACCACAAUGAUCCGAUGGACGAGAGUGGAGAAGGAUUCAUGCAUCUGUGUAUUUCUCAUGCUCUUUUUCACUAUACAACAGAGCUUUUGCCUUUUCAGUUUUUUCUCUUAGACGCUCUUCAAUCAAUGGAAAGAGGAAACACCACAGAAAGGUGUAAACUGACAAGAAAUUCAAUGCUCACACUUUGAAUUUUAAUUUGCAUGUUUCAGGUCAUUGGCAGCUAUAUAUAUAUAUAUUAUGUAUUUGAAGUUUUUGUAUAUAAUACUGUAGCCACACAAUCCAUAGGGAUAAGAUUUAUAAUUAUUCCGAGUUUAUUAUUAUUGAUAAUUUAUGCAUUUAAUUAUAUAUAUGAUAGUGAUGAAACCAUGCAAAUACUCCUAAAUGAUUCUAAAUCAUGACAAGAGAACUACAAUUACUAAAGUCAAAAAGAUCAUACGCGAAAUCACAUGGAGUACGUACUGCAACAAUGUUAAUUUUGUUUUUAUUUUUUUAUAAAUUGGAUAAUUAGUAACCCUAAAUAAUAUUCAAAUCCUAGAAUAUUCUAAAAAAAAUAAAAUAAUAUUCAAAUCUCAAAACAUGGAACCCUAAAUUAUGACAAGAGAAGUAUAAUUAUAAAGUCAAAAAAAAAUACACGAAUAUCGAUAACAAUGCUGAAGUGCUACAAUAAUUUAUUUUAUUUUAUUUUAUUUAUAUAAAUUGGAUAAUUAAUAACCAAAAUAAAAUUAAAUGCAAAUAGACUAAGUGCUAAACAAUAAAUUAAAAUAAUAUUUAAAUCCAAGAAUAUUCUAAAAAGAAAUAAAAUAAUAUUCAAAUCUCAAAACAUGUAACCCUAAAUUAUUACCAGAGAAGUAUAAUUAUAAAGUCAUGAAAACAAUCUUACGAAUGUCUACAAUAUAAUUUUUUUAUAUAAAUUGAAUAAUUAGCAACCAAAAUAUAAUUAAAUACAAAUAGACUAAAGGCCGAACUGAACAAUAAAAUAAAAGCCAAACUGCACAAGAUAAUAUGCAAAUAUAUAUUAUUGACAAACAUACCAUAAAGGCCGAAGUGUCAGACUUUGAAUCAUGUUGAAUUGUCAACAAUGGUGCGAGGUACUCUAGGAUACUUAGACCUGAGUACUUGCACACAAGCCAACUGACGGACAAAGGUGAUGUUUACAGUUUUGGAGUGGUUCUUGUGGAACUACUAACUGGGAUGAAGGCAAUUUCCUUCGAUAAGCCUGAGGGCCUUUAAGUGCUAAACAAUAAAAUAAAAAAUAUUCAAAUCCAAGAAUAUUCUAAAAAAAAAAAAUUUCAAAUCCAAGAAUAUUCCAAAAAAAAAUAAAAUAUAUCAAAUCUCCAAACAUGUAACCUGCACACAAGAUAUGCAGAUAAAGUCAAGGAAAUUAAAUGGCCAAAGUGUAGUAUAAAUAGGACCUCUAUGGUUGCCCAAAGGCACAUAACAAACAACAAUAUUCUACGUAGGAGUUCAUAGAAUUAUCUAAGAUGAUGAUGAAAAGAAUUGGGGCUUGGAUGUUGCUAGCGUUAUUGACUUUGUUUGGCGAAUGGCAUGGUCGUUGUUAUGGAUGUUUGGAGGAAGAGAGGAUUGGUCUCUUGGAGAUCCAAUCUUUGAUCGACCCACAUGGCGUUUCCUUGAGAGAUUGGGUGGACAGUAGUAAUUGUUGUGAGUGGCGUGGGAUCGAGUGUGAUCCGACUACAAGGCGAGUGAUCCAACUCUCUCUUGUUGCAGCAAGGGAUGAGAGCUUGGGCGAUUGGGUUCUCAACGCAUCUUUGUUUCAGCCUUUCAAAGAAUUGCAAAGUCUUGAAUUGGUAUAUACUGGAUUGGUUGGUUGCAUGGAGAAUGAAGGUUAGUUCAAUGUUUCUGCACUUAAUUAUAAUCAUAAAAUAAAUGAAGGUCGGUUGGUGUUUAAUGUCAAUUAUCUUGCUUUGAUGAUUCUCUUUCCAGGCUUCGAAGUCCUAUCAUCAAAACUGAGGGAACUUUACCUAUGGAAUAACCGAUUUAAUAAUGAUAAAAGCAUUUUGUCAUGUUUCAAUGGUAACCUUUCCACUCUCAAGUCUUUGGAUCUAUCAGUCAAUGAUUUGACAGCUGGAUCAGGUAGCUUCUACGGUAACCUUUUAAUUAUUUAGCUGGGAAACCUUUUCUUUUCUCCUUCUCAUAUCAUUUUUUUCUACGCAUUUAAUUAUUUCCUUCCAAUAUGCUCUUGAGGAACAUCAUGCAGGUCUCAAAGUCUUGUCAUCAAGGUUGAAAAAGCUGGAGAACCUUUAUCUAAGUUGGAAUCAAUACAACGAUAGCAUUUUUCCAUUUCUUACUGGAUUUUCAUUUCUCAAGUCUUUGGAUCUAUCACAUAAUAAGUUGACAGGAUCAGGUAUAAUACACAGUUUCUACCUAAAUGCUUCACAUGACAUUCUCUUAAUUAUAUUGUUUCUUUAUCAACAAAAAUGAGGACUUUAUAUCUACUUAAUUAAAGAGGCACUUGGAAUUAGGUCCACGAGGCAUAUAUUUUAUUCUUAUUUUGGCCCUUUUAUGCCGAAAGUGUUGUAAUAUUUAGAUUAAAUUAGUAAUCAGAAGUUCACUUCAAAACUCUCCAAUAAAUAUAUAUUUUAUAUUUAUCUUUUUAAAUAAAUAUAUUUUUAUAAAUGUUUUUUCUGUCUUGAGAUACUUAGUCAAACACAACUCUAAGUUUUUUUUUUUAAAAUGCAUUCGAGUUUUAAUGGGUUUUGAAUAACAUAAUAAGAAGCUCUCUCCUAUAAUAUUAUGAUUGAGAAACUUGUAAUUAUUAAAACUUGGAUCUUAACAUCAAUUCAAAAAAAAACUAUCCAAUACAAAUUCACUAGACAACCAAUUUUUUUGUACCCACAUAAUUGAUAUUUAAUUCUUGUUUGUAGCCAUUUAUUAUUUCCUCUCUUUUUAAUCAUGGUUUUAUAUUAUUUUAUGGUGAAAUAUUUGGACUAUCAAUAGUAAGUUACAUUCUCUUUAUCAAGAAAAUUGAGGACUUUAUAUAUAUAUAUAAGUAUCAACGAUAGCAUUUCAUCAUGUUUGAUUGCGAUUUCAUCUAUGAAGAAUUAUAUCUAUGGAGCUUUGAUCUUAUCCAAUAAUUGUUUUUCUAAUAAGACAGGAACAGAUUAAAGAGAUCAAAACUAGGAUGAUUAAAACAUUACUUGCAAUCUAUCUUAAUCUAUGCACUGUAUAUUUUUUUAUGUAUAUCUUGUAGGUUUUCAAGUACUCCAACCGAUGAGGCUGGGAAAGUUAGAGAACCUUGACCUGAGUUCCAAUCGAUUGAACAGCAACAUCUUAUCAAUUUUGAGUGGGCUUUCAUCCCUCAAGUCUUUGGAUUUGUCAGAGAAUAUGUUGACAGGAUCAGGUAUAAUACAUAGGCUUUUUUUUUUUUUUAAAUGCAUUUGAGUUUGAAUGGGUUUUGAAUAACAUAAUAAGAAGCUCUCUCCUAUAAUAUUAUAAUUAAGAAAAUUGUAAUUAUUAAAACUCUCGACUGUUUUAUCAAUAGAGAGAACAAUAUAAAACCCAUAUUUGAUAUUUAAUUCUUGUUUGUAGCCAUUUCUUAUUCCCUCUCUUUUUUAAUCAAAAUAUUAUUAUGUGGUGGAGGAUAUUGUCUUAUGGUCGUGCUGAAUGGUGAAAUAUUUGGACAUAGAAAAAAUAAAACGUUAAAAAGUUUCUAAAUUUUUUUAAAACUAAUUAAUUAGUUUUGCAAAAUUAGGCAAUAUGUUGCUAUCUAGGUUCAAUUAUUAUUCUUGUUUUAAUUACCGUUGAGAUCAUAACCUGGCUUCCAUCUUUAAUGACUUUAUAUUCAUAAAUUGUUUUUUAUUUUUAUUUUAUUUUUCCAAUUAGAAAGAUAUUUAAAAAUUGUUUCUUAAUCUUUAACGACUUUAUAUAAUUAAAUAUGCCAUCAUUCAUGUAUCAUUUGUUUAUGUAUAAUUUGAGAAUCAUAUAUCAAUUGAAACAUUAACUUAUCAAUUCUAAUUAUCUUUAGUCUCUAUCUAAGACUUACUCUUAGAAACAUUAACUCUCUUGCAGGUUUCGAGAUCAAAUCAUCACAUUUAGUGAAACUCGAGAACCUGGACCUGAGCCGUAAUAAUAUAUUCAACAACAACAUUUUAUCAUAUCUGCGUGGACUUUCUUCUCUCAAGUCUUUAGAUCUAUCAUACAAUAUGUUGCUAGGAUCGACAACUGUCAAUGGUAAAGUUGUGAAUAUCUCUUGGCAUCUUCUAUUAUUAACUCUUUUUUAACAAUACCUUUUGAAAUCUCUAGAUUUUUCAGGCAAUUUGUUGUUUCUAUCCAAAAAUCAUCUACUAUUCAAUAUCAGUUCUCUCAGGAAUACUAAUUUAAGUCAAGGCUAAUCAUAGUUUAGGUUCUUAAAAUCUUAAUUAAUAAUAUUGAAUGGAAUGGCUAUUUUAUCAUGUCUCUUCUUUUUUCUUUUUCGGGACUUUCUUCAAUUCGAGCACCCUUGAAGAAUUGUAUCUAGAUAAUACUUCUCUCCCAAUAAACUUUCUUCAGACAUUGGAGCAUUGCCUGCUCUUAAAGUUUGUCUGUUGGUGAAUGUGACCUCCAUGCACCCUUCCCGCUCAAGGUAAUUAACAACUCUCCAUCCGCCUAUAUAAUACAUCACCAAUAAAAGAUUCUUUCAACACUAUUUUGAUUGUUUCGAGAUAAAUUGUACAGGUUGGUGUGAAUUGAAGAAUCUGAAGCAGUUAGAUCUCUUGGAAAUAAUUUAGGAGGUUCACUCCCAGAUUGUUUGGGGAACUUGUCAUCUUACAACUAUUAGAUGUUUCUGAAAACCAGUUUACUGGAAAUAUUGCCUCUAGUCCUCUUACCAACCUCAUAUCCCUUAAAUUCCUCUCACUAUCAAAUAACCUCUUUGAAGUUCCCAUUUCAAUGAAGCCUUUUAUGAACCACUCAAGCCUCAAGUUCUUCUCCAGUGAGAACAACAGACUAGUAACGGAACCUGCUGCCUUUGAUAAUUUGAUUCCAAAGUUCCAACUAGUCUUUU